GGGGGGGGGGGGUUUGGAAAGAUUUAUCUAACUAAAACUACAGCUGAAAUAAAACCUAAACUAACAUAUAUACAAGUGAUCGACAACUUCACACAAAACAAGAAAUGAAAACACUCAAGAACAUGUAACAAGUUAUGCAAGACAUUUGGUACAGCAGUUUCUACAUAUCCUAGAAUUUACUUCAAUUCAGACUCUGAUUUAGAGCCCUUCGCGGUUACUCCAAUCGUUAAGACUUCACAAGUAUUUAGAAUUAACUUCGCGUGUAAUCCUAAAUUGUAUGCUAACUCAUUUAAAGACACUUCGCGUAGAAAUUAAACAAGAAAACACAUAAGCACAGUAAGCCGAAUCAGAAACAUGCACAAGGUAGGGCGUCACUCAUCCUAUUAACAUGCAAGUUUUCAGAAUUAUACUUAACCACUUUUAAGCAACAAAGACCUAGACAACUUCGCGUAUGACUAAAAUCAUAUAUCACUUUGGUAGAUGAAAUCGCAACCCACAUAUCAACCAUGGCCUUAGGCUGUAUGCAACCAUUGAUUUUGCCUGCUCAAUUCAGAAAACUAAUCGAAUACAAUCAAGAACACAUUGAAACAUGCUGCCCCAAAUCUAGCACAUAAAAUAUCACAUGAACAAGUUUGUAACAAUCAUUAAGUUAUAAAUAUCAGAAAAUCUAAACAUGUUACAAAACCAAAUCGGCAACCAUAAAAACAAACAAUCUUCAUAGACAAAGUGUUGUAAAAUUACAGAAACAUAAACAGCCAUGAGAAGAAUGGAUCGCACUUUGUAGAAACCUUGAAUGGUUGCUGCAAAGGUGGUGGAAUUGGUGAUGGAAUUAUACAAAACAAAAGGGAGAUGGUGGAGGUUCGGCUGAUCUAGUUUCUGUCCAGAUGCUAUUAGUCUUUUCAGACAACUGCCUUUUUGUAGUGAGGCAAUACUUACUGAUUGAUUCUCUUGGACAUUAUAUUUUCCCCUUCAUCUUGAUUUGUCUUUGCAGUGUUUUGGAUAUGCCCAAUAAUUGUAGUUUACUUUGUCUUAAGUUUCAGACAUUUAUUAUAUGGAAAGAGGUAAAAAAAUGUAAAAUGGAGGAACUGCUAGAAAAUCAUCCAAAAAUGUUGAUUGAUAGUCUUCAACACAACAGAAGAAAUGUCCCAAGAGUGGAGAAUUUUUAACCAACCAUUUUCUUCUGCAUCUUUAGUACGAGAUCAUUUGUGUCAACUGGAUCUUAUCAAAAGAGUAAAUUUGUUGGUCCCUUAUUUGUCAAUGGGCACUAUGUUGGACAUUUAGAAACAGACAACAUUGUUUCUUAGUGUGCUGAUAGGAGCAUAAAAUGCGAUGUUCUUAAUAUGUUUUUAUCUCCAUUUAUACUUUGCUUAACCCUUAUUGUUGUAAUAUUGAGUCAUUUAGUCAAGUUAAGAGUUUCUGGUAGAGUCGGUUGUAUAUUGUGCUAAAACGAGCUGAAAACGCAGAAUUUGUCAAGAGUUUUAUUUAGAGUAGGAUUCCUUGUGCAACUAGGAAGCCUAGUUGGAUUAAAAGUCUUCAUUAUUUGACGAUUCUGUAAUAUUUGUGAUAACUACCUUGUCUUUAUUUUAUUUCUUCUUUCUUAUUGUCAGAAAUUAAAGAAGAGAUAAUGCAGCACGAAUUGAGGAUUAAACAAGGAGAUAAUUAGGAAGAGAAACAUGUAGAAAGCCCAAAAGAGGCCCAAGUCCAAGGAAGGAAGAAGAAGCAAAUUUGGAUUCCAACUCUAAAAGGGAUGAGAAAAGUCAAAAUUGUGGAGCUAGUCCCACAUCAUUAAUUGAGGAGGAAUUCAACUUGAACAAGUAAUCCUUGCUAUGAAGACUCUUGGAGGCUAAGCAAUGUAUCUGGACAUGAUUCAAUUUGAUGCAAAGAGCUAGCUCUCCAUUCUUUAGGCUCCCUCCUUAAUGGUUGUUGGAAGCUCAUGUUUGAAAUGGAAAAUGCUAAACUCAGCCAUAUAUUUUCGUGAAUCUAAUAUGAUUGUUGAUGUUUUAGAUAAGAGCAGUAUCUCCUAUGAUAUGGGAUUCAUAAGCUUGAACGACCCCCCNCCCNNNNNNNNNNNNNNNNNNNNNNNNNNNNNNNNNNNNNNNNNNNNNNNNNNNNCCCCCCCCCCCCCCCCUAACCUUCUCCCUUAGGCUUGGUCCUGGCCCAGUGCUGGCAGUUAAGCAUGUUAAAGUUUCGUUUAUGAUAUUCUUUGCAAUCUGGUUAUGUUAACUCUUUUAUUAGUAAUGCUAUGUUUGUGUUUGAAUAGACGUUAAAAUGCAUGUUAACGGUAUGCCAUGAUUUAGUGCUAUGCCGAUGUGGUAAGCAUUGAUCUGUAGUGGUGGAAACUAUGGUGAGUAGUUGAGAACGUAGGUUGCAUAGCAAUAAGUGGGAUUUCAUCACCGAGUUAUGUUCAAUCUCUAUUCUUUAGAACUUAAUGAUUCAUGUUUAGAGUAGACAGAUGCUUGUAGAAUUGAUAGCAGCCUAUGCAUGAAAUAAUCUUUGAUUGCGUGAUGUACGGAUUAAAGAUGAUAAGCUAAGAAGAAUCUAUGGGUGCAUAGCUGGAUCAGUAUGUCACUCGAGAUUGUUGCUAGUAGUUGAGUUGAUAUAAUUCAGACUGUUUAGGAUUGAAAUGUCUCUUUAAUUGUGGUUAGAAUUUGAGUCUCUCUCUUUAUUGAUGUGUUGAAUGAAUUGAUCACUUGUAUAUAUUAGUUUAGACUCUACCUUUAUCUUUUCGUAGGAAAGUUAAACUCUGAAAACCCUUUUUACCUUGUAUCAUAUGUAUAUUUGUAAAUGAAUACUUGUAUAUAUUGUUAGCACUAACUUUUUUACAGGAUUAUUACAUGAGCACCCUUAGUCCCCGGAUUGAUCGAACCUUAUUUGCCUUAUACUACGAUUGUCAAAAAGCGUUCUUAAUUGUCGUAUGCCCGGUAACGAGCACGUCAACAGUUAAAGUAAAUGACGUGCCCGUUAACGGGCGUGCGACAAUUAAGAACCCUUUUUGACAAUCGUAGUAUAAGGCAAAUAAGGUUCGAUCAAUCCGGGGACUAAGGGUGCUCUUGUAACAAUGGUCAUGUAAAAAGUCAGGAGUUAUCAAUACAGAUAUUUACAAGUAUUCAUUUACAAAUAUACAUAUGGUACAAGGUAAGCAGGGGGUUUUUGAGGGUUUGUUCAAACAUUCCUACGAAAAAGAUAAAGGCAGAACCUAAAUAUACAGGUGAUCAUCUUCAACACACAUCAACCAGAGAUUUCAUAAUGAAUCAAACAAGUAUCAACAUACCUCAAACAUAUAUUCAAGUUCAUCGCCAAUUAAUAUCAAAAACAAACUCGAAACACAAGCCUCAACGGUCAUGCAUUCCUUUAAUUCUACUUACUUUAUCUCCUAAGCACAGAGAAGUCUAGAACCUAGGAUAUUUCAUGCAAAGGCUGCGAUCGAUACUCUGUGUCACUCAGAGUACCCGUCUACACUAAACAUGAAUCAUUAAGUGUUAUAGAAUUCUGAAUUUGAACAUGCUCAAGUUUACAGGAAGCUGCUUAACCUGCAAACAUGUAAUACAUAGUCUCAGCUAUUAUUACACAACCUUCACUAUUGGAGAUCUACACUUACUUGAAGAAGCUUAGUAUAGAUCAUAGCAACACUAACUUGCAGAAUAGAGUUUUAGUUCAAACAAAACUAUGCAUUUAAUGAAAUCAACAAGGCAUAAAACGGAUCACAUGCUAUCAUAGACAAGUUGAAAUAUGCUUAAAUUUAUUCUGAAAUUAACCUAUUCAUGUUCUUAACAACCAGCCAAUUCCAACUUUGAAAUCUAAUAAAAGAAGACAAAUAACAAUAACAAGAAAGAAGAAACAAGACAUGAGUUACACUAUAAAUCUUCAAGGAAGCUUGAGAUGUUCAAAGGAACACACAGGCCUGAUGCUUCUCGGCAGCCUUCUGGAGAAGUCCUACAAAUGUGCCAGCUUGCAUUGCUUUUUUUCUGGAGAGAGGAGUUGAUAAGGAGAAGGAAGGCUAAUGUGUUUCACUAAUUUUUGUGUGAAGAAGAGAUGGGCUGAGAAGUACACAAGGCUGUGUUUAUAUAGAGAAAAUCUUGGUGAAACUUCUCUUCAAAAAUGAUGUGGGACUAGCUUCACAAGUUUUACUUUUCUCCUGCCCUUUUUAGACUUCAAAUCCAAAUUUACUUCUUCUUCUAAACUGAUGUGGGACUAGGAGAAAUGUUUGACUUUUCUCUUUCCUUUUUGGACUUGGGCUUUCUGCAUUUUUCUCUUCCAUCCUUGUACUACUUAGGCCUUCUUUUGUCAAUUAAGCUCUUUGUCCUCUACAAUCACAAAACAUGUUAUAAAUGGUAUUAUUAUGAGAAUAUCAUAGCUAAGUAGGGUAGGAAACACAUUAUAAACAUAGCACUUUGUGCUCAUAUCAGUAAAAAGGAAGCAAAAUACUUAUCAAAGUUAACAUUCAAGUGACUAUAAUACUCAAACUCGUACUCCAUCAGUCAAACUUGCAUUCAUUCUUCAGUUCAUCUCUUUACCUUAGGAUAAUAAACAAAACAGAUGGUGAAAUUAAUUUUGGUCUAAAGAAAGGAUUGUUGAUCUAAAAGUGAAAAUAAAAUUCAGUGUGAAAGACGAAUUCCUUUCCAGAUUUAUAGGAUCUAAACACGAUUGUCUUUCCACUAAGCUCCAGAGCUGUACAUUAAUCACCAAAAAGAAUUUUAAGCACAUUUAUUGAUAAGCUGAGCACACUUCUAGUCAAACCAAUAUCUCACCUCUUCAAUAUCUCCUCUGACAGAAACAGUCAACAUUGUUCAUUUCUUUAAUUAUUUAUGAAUCUCCUGUCCGUGGCCAAACUGGUCUAUUAAACCAAAAAAAAAAAUUAUUAAUGGGACAAAUUUUAACAAUUUCCUUUAUUCAAAUGCAAUUUCAUACUAGGCCAAAAGUAAUACCAGCUACAAAAAUACAUUGCCUAAAUACAGGGCCAAAAAUACAUGGCUAAAAUACUUAUAUACAUUACACAAUUAUACAUCAACUCAAGACUCUAUCUGCUCAUCUUUGUUCUUGUUCAAGAUGUAAGCUAGGUCUUCUUAAUUCUCCUGUCAAGAAUCCCCAGUAAAUCUCCAUAGUAAUACAUAUCAACAUAACAAGGAGACAUAACACACGCUGUAUUACAAAUCCGUAAUUGAAGUAUCAUAGUAAAAUUGAAUUUGAAAUGAUACUUACAAUUUACAGUAGACGAUUCCGGCUGCAAAAUUCCCAGAAGCCAUUGUUGCAAAUUCAGCGACCACAUAAGCCAAAUAUCUGGAACAAAGCCAUGAAAUCUCAAUCAUAAAUUACUGAUAAAGAGAGGAGAGAGAUUAAAUUCAAUCAGAUUAAAUUCUCAAACAUAAUAAAAAUAACUUCUUAAACUGCAACGAAUACCCAUCUCCAAUACAACUAAACUCCAGAACAAGAUCAACAACAAGCCAGGGGUCUUAUACCUUCAAACUCCAAAACUGGAACCCUAGAGCAGUUGCUCUCUUCUACCUCUGACGAGCUCCAAGUCAGUCUCCGAGUUCCUGAAGUCGAAAUCGAAAGCUCAUCAACAAAGGUCUCUCGAGUCUUGGAGGGAAAUCAACGCCGGCGUUGGGAAAAAAAAGGCUGAGGAGGUAAAUCAGAAAUAGGGAUUUGAUUAGAAUCGAAUUGAAAUUGUGAAUUAGGUAUUCUAGAAGGCAGAGGAGAUUCAGGGAGUUGAAGGAUUACCACAUGCAAGCUGAAUCGUGGCUGGAAAACGGAGGAACACGCUGGUAAAUACUGUCGUCCUCCUCGGGUUCUCCUCCAUCGAUCUCAUCCUAGAGUGAUUGUAUGUGGGAUUCGGGGCUCGUAAUAGGAAGGUGGUGACGAGGAGGUACUGAUGUGGGUGGUCCGGUGAUCCUCCCCCACUCUCUCUCUUCACUCAUCUAGAUUUAGAUCUAGAAUAUGAAAUCGGAAGACGAAAGUGAUAUGAGCACAAAGUGCUAUGUUUAUAAUGUGUUUCCUUCCCUAUUUGGCCAUGUUAUUUCCUUAACAAUACCAUUUCUGACAUGUUUUAUAAAGGACAUGAGAGCAUAAAUCAAGAAAAGAAGACUAAAUUAUGGAAAUAAGAGAAAAAUGCAGAAAGCCCAAGUAGUACAAGGAUGGAAUAGAAAAAUGCAGAAAGCCUUUGGCCCAAGUCCAAAAAGGAAGGAGAAAAGUCAAACAUUUCUCCUAGUCCCACAUCAGUUUGGAAGAAGAAAUAAAUUUGAAUUUGAAGUCUAUAAACGACGAGAGAAAAGUCAAACUUGUGGAGCUAGUCCCACAUUAUUUUUGAAGAGAAGUUUCACCAAGAUUUUCUCUAUAUAAACAUAGCCUUGUGUACUUCUCAAAUCAUCAUUCAUUCAUACAAAAGUCAGGGAAACACAUAGCUCUACUGAGUAGCCUCUCUCUCUUCUUUGCUGAGUUUCUUCCUCCCUUGCUGAUACGAGCACAAAGUGCUAUGUUUAUAAUGUGUUUCAUGUCCUGUUUAGCUAUGUUAUUCUUGUAAUAAUGCCAGUUCUAACAUGCCUUGUGAGUCUGAAGGCAAAAGAGCAGAAAAGCAGAAAAGGAAGCUAAAACCGGCAAUUUAAGAGAAAUCCUAAUCAGAGGAGGAUUCUCAGUGCUGCAAGAAGUCUCAUUAAGUCGCAAAAUCUGAGGAUAAGUCGUUUAGGAAACUUUCCUGUUUUGAAAAGGGAAACUUACCUAUUUCAUUUUAAGAAACUUUCUUAUUUUGAUUUGGGAAACUUACUACUUUUGAAUCUUUCCUAUUCUGACUUUCCUAAAAUAUUUAGGAAACUUUCUUUUCUGAUGAGACAGGGAAAUCAUUUGAAGUCAGGAAACCUAAUCCAACUUGGAAUAGGAAGUCUUGGAACGUGUAUAAAAGAGGAAGGACGAAUUCUGCAGUAAUCAAGGGAUUUAUGUGUGCUAAUAUAAUCAGAAAUGAAUCUUUCCUUUAAUUUCGUCAUUUGAAUUCUGUUAUUCCCUACCAUAUUUAUCUGACUUUAUUUCUCUUUCAGGAACCCUAAUUGCGCACCAGGAAAGGAAGGAAAAUCAAGGAUUUUCGUCAAAGGUCUGAUUGAAGGCAGAAGAAGGAAGGUUUUCACUGCUGUGAUUUCUUUUGGAGAGCAAGAAACGUACCUGGCCUCUAUUCAAGCCUCAUGCAAUGAAUUACUGCAAAAGACAUUCCAGAGAAUUCUAGGGAGUUCUAAAUUAAGAUUUAAAGCAAUAAUUCUGCACCGUUGGAUCAGAAAUUAAUCAAGGGCUAGGAGGAUAGCUAGGGUUCGGCCAGACCAGUAUAUAAAGGAGCAAAGGAGCAAAGGAGCAACGUUUUGGGCAUCACUUUUCACGCAUAGACUUCUGCCCUAACAUCAUAAUAGCCUUCUCUCCGUUGUUUUCGUCCAAGACAGCAGAGCCUCCUUCCAUUGAAGCUUGCUCUACCUUGGUGUUCUGCAGGAAGUCACUUCAGAAUAAAAAGUGUAACAAUGCCUCAAUCGAUUUCUCUCUGUUCUGUAGUAUUUUCUUUUGUUAGAUUUUUAGAACUCCUGCAUUUUGGAUUGAGAUUGAUGUUGAGAAUAUGGUUAUAUUAAUUUUCAGAUUUAUAAAGUUAUGUUCUUAAGUUGUUUAUGAGAUUUGCAUAAUUUAUCUUCAUGUCAUUCUUGUUGUUGAAAACUUGUGAUCUGGUUAUUUAAAUUACUAACUUCUGCAGGGUUGGUAGUGCCAUUGAUCUGUGUGAAACCGCUGAGGCAAACAUAGAUUGAAUAAGUGGCGAAAGCUUAUAUUCAUGGGAAUGGGUCGGAUUUGAUCAUGAGUUGCAUGUAGACUUGUUUAAGCGCUGAGAUAAACAUGUUUAUGUGUUUGAAUUCUUCUUUGAUCUUAAUGCUUCAUGUUAUAUGCUGUAUGGUUGCGCUGAGUAUUAACAUGACAUAUUGCAUGGAAUUUUCUGUGUUAAACCGCUAAGGCAAACAUAGGAUACAUAAGAAGAUUAUUAUAGGUUACAUGACCGCUGAGGCGUGUAAUUCUGAGUUCGUUUCAUAAUACUUGAUUGGCAUGAUAUUAAGUUGUGUAGAUUGAAACAACCUGUUUGCAUGAUUCUAUAUGUCUGUGCGUGUUUGAAGUCGAUCACUUGUACAUAUUUUAUUUUCUGUUUAGUAGGAACGUAGAACAAACCUUCAAAACCCCCCCCCUUUUAUCUAUUGUACCAUGUGUAUUUUUGUAACUGAAUACUUGUAAAUACUUAUAGUUACUGAUUCAUUAGUGUAACCGUGACUGCAGGAGCGCCCUUUAAGUCCCCGGAUUGAUCGAACCCUAUUUGCCAAUACUACAUUCUGAUAAGAAAAGGGUUUUUAAGUUACGCGCCCGGUAACGAGCACGUCACUUGCCAAAGCCUUGUCGGAUGUUCCACAAGAGCAGCAACUUUGGAGCCUUGAAGCCGGAGCACUUUUUAGAUGUCUACAAGCUUCUUGAAGACUGAUAAAGUGUAACCCUACCUCUGUUUUGUUUAGUUUUCCUUUACAAUUUCAGAAACAUGUUUUCGGUUUUCAAAUAUUGGAUUUGGAUGUUGUUUCGAUGGUUAUGUUGUUAGUAAAUUCUGAAUUUUAGUAAAGCAUGUUAAAGUUUCGUUAAUGAUAUUUUUAGCAAUAUGAUCUUGUCAAUUCAUUGGUUAGAAAGUAUGUGUUGUUGUUUGAUAUCCCUAUGUUAGAAUGAAUGCUAACUAAUGCCAUGAUUUAUGCUAAGCCUCGUAGGUAACUGUAGAUCUCCAAUGGUGUCACAGAUAUAGCUGAAUACAUAUACUAUGCAAUUCCAUGUUGUGACGUUCAUAAUAUAAUUGUGUUCAAUCUCUUUCUAUAGAUCUUAAGGACUCAUGUUAAGUGUAGACAUACUUAUAGUAUUGAUAGCAGUCUUCCAUGAGAUGUCCUAGCUCUAGACGUUCUGUGCUAGAGACAAGUAAGUAGAACUAUAAAAUGCAUGACCUCAUAGGCUUGUGUUUUGAGAUUGUUUCUAGUUCUCUGAAUUGGUAUGUUAUUGGAUUGCUAAGGUUGAAACGUGAACUUUGAUGUGUGGUAUGAAUAUGAGUUUCUCUCUGAUGGAUGUGUUGAAUGAAUUGAUCAUUUGUAUAUAUUAUACUUUAUUUUCUGUUUUUAGGAAUGUUAGACAAAAUCACUCUCAACCCCCCUUUUUUACCUUGUAUCAUAUGUAUAUUUGUAACUAAAGACUUGUAUAUAAAUGUAUUGAUAACUACUGACUUUUUACAUGACCAGUGUUACAAGAGUACCCUUAGUCCCCGGAUUGAUCGAACCUUAUUUGCCUUAUACUACGAUUGUCAAAAAGGGUUCUUAAUUGUCGCAUGCCCGGUAAUGGGCACGUCAAAGAAUGAGUGCAUACCUUGUGAGAUUGAAUCAUACUUGUCUGAAAUAUGCUGAGCUUAAAUAUCACCAUUGUUCUAUCAGGUCCUACGUGUAAAUAUGUGAUCUGUGCAUGGCAAUUAGCUUCUGAAAUUUCAUGGAAUGAUUCUUGGUUGAGUGCUAAUUUUGAUGCCAUGAGAAUAGAGAUUCUGAGACAAUAGUUAUGGGCAUCAGAGUCUGUUUGUUUUUUAUGUUAGUGUGUUUGUUAGAUUGGUUUUGCUAUGGGACUAGCAAAAGCUAAGUGUGGGGGAAUUUGAUAUGAGCACAAAGUGCUAUGUUUAUAAUGUGUUUCCUACCCUAUUUGGCCAUGUUAUUUCCUUAACAAUACCAUUUCUGAUAUGUUUUGUGAAUGUAAAGGACAUGAGAGCAUAAAUCAAGAAAAGAAGACUAAAUCAUGGAAAUAAGAGAAAAAUGCAGAAAGCCCAAAAGAAGGCCCAAGUAGUACAAGGAUGGAAGAGAAAAAUGCAGAAAGCCCAAGUCCAAAAAGGAAGGAGAAAAGUCAAACAUUUCUCCUAGUCCCACAUCAGUUUGGAAGAAGAAGUAAAUUUAGAUUUGAAGUCUAAAAAGGGCAGGAGAAAAGUCAAACUUGUGGAGCUAGUCCCACAUCAUUUUUGAGGAAAAGUUCCACCAAGAUUUUCUCUAUAUAAAGACAGCCUUGGGUACUUCUUAGGGCAUCUCUUCUUCACACAAAAAUCAGUGAAACACAUUAGCCUUCCUUCUCCUUAUCAACUCCUCUCUCCAGAAAAGAACCAAUGCAAGCUGGCACCUUUGUAGGACUUCUCCAGAAGGCUGUCGAAAAUCAUCAGGCCUGUGUGUUCCUUUGAACAUCUCAAGCUUCCUUGAAGAUUUAUAAAGUGUAACUCAUGUCUUGUUUCUUGUUUCUUGUUAUUGUUCUUUGUUUUCUUUUAUUAGAUUUCAAAGUUGGAAUUGGCUGGUUGUUAAGAACAUGAAUGGGUUAAUUUUCAGAAUAAAUUCAAGCAUAUUUCAACUUGUCUAUGAUAGCAUGUGAUUCGUUUUAUGCCUUGUUGAUUUCAUUAAAUGCUUAGUUUUGUUUGAACUAAAACUCUAAUCUGCAGGUUAGUGUUGCUAUGAUCUAUACUACUUACUUCUUCAAGUAAGUAGUAAGCUAUGAUCUAUACUAAGCUUCUUCAAGUAGUGAAGGUUGUGUAAUAAUAGCUGAAACUAUGUGUUACAUGUUUGCAGGUUAAGCAGCUUCCUGUAAACUUGGGCAUGUUCAAAUUCAGAAUUCUAUAACAUUUAAUGAUUCAUGUUUAGUGUAGACCGGUACUCUGAGUGACACAGAGUAUCGAUCGCAGCCUUUGCAUGAAAUAUCCUAGGUUCUAGACUUGCCUGUGCUUAGGAGAUAAAGUAAGUAGAAUUAAAGGAAUGCAUGACCGCUGAGGCUUGUGUUUCGAGUUUGUUUUUGAUAUCACUUGGAGACGAACUUGCAUAUAUGUUUGAGGCAUGUUGAUACUUGUUUGAUUCAUUCUGAAAUCUCUGGUUGAUGUGUGCUGAAGAUGAUUACCUGUAUAUAUUAGUUUAUGUUUUGCCUUUAUCUUUUUCGUAGGAACAUUAGAACAAACCUCAAAAACCCCCCAUGUUUAUCUUGUACCAUAUGUAUAUUUGUAAAUGAAUUCUUGUAUAUAUUUUUAUUGAUAACCACUGACUUUUUACAUGACCAUUGUUACAGGAGCACCCUUAGUCCCCGGAUUGAUCGAACCUUAUUUGCCUUAUACUACGAUUGUUAAAAAGGGUUCUUAAUUGUUGCACACCCGGUAACGGGCACGACCGUUAUGAUUUAAGUUGUUAGGUGGGGGAAUUCUUUCUCAAAAAAAAAAAAGAACAGGUUUCAUUUGGGCACGGACGUGUUCUCUUUAACUUAUUUUAAUCUCAUUUGGACAUCGUUUGAGCAUGGCCACUCACUUUUUAUUGUAUAAGGAUGUGAAACAAAAUAUGUGUACCUUGUUAGGGACGGAGACUGAAUUGUCCGUGGCUAUAGAGUUGGUACAUAUUUGUCACAGAUGACAAUUUGACUGUCCCACAUAUCUAAGAAUACCACGAAAUAAACUCAUCCCUACCUAUUUAAAAUGAGAUGGGGACGGAUCUAAAUUUGUUUGUGCCUAUUUAUUACAUAGGUAUUAUUUUGGGGACGGAUUAAAACUUGUUCAUGCCUAAAUUAUCCCCCUUUUACCCAAAUGAGGACGGAUCUGAAACUUGUCUGUGCCCAAUCAAAAUAUUUCCCAUGCUAUAUUGACUUUGACAUCCUUUCAGGGAAGUGAUAUGUUUAUAAUGUGUUUCCUGCCCCAUUUAGCUAUGUUAUUCUUGUAAUAAUACCAUUUCUAAUAUGUUUUGUGAGUGUGAAGGCAAAAGAGCAGAAAAGCAAAAAAGGAAGCUAAUUCGUCAAUUUAAGAAGAAUCCUAUUAAAACUAGGAAACAAGUCCGACUCAAGCAAGGAAUCUCACUAAGUUGCAAAAAUGAGUGAAUAAAAGGAUAAGUCGUUUAGGAAACUUUCUUGUUUCAAAUGGAAAACUUGCUUAUUUCAUUUUAAGAAACUUUCUUAUUUUGAUUUAGGAAACUUACUAUAUGUGAAACUUUCCUAUUCUGACUUUCCUUAAUUGUUUUGAGAAACCUUCUAUUCUUGUGCGACAAGAUUGAGUAAAAGAAGGAAGGGAAUUAAAGAGUUGACUUGCUGGAUGCGAUAGGAGCAAAGAAGGAAACCAGAAAUCUCUAAAGAUUUCUGGCCAAAAUUUAGGAGCCCAAACAAGGACUUAUUGGCUGCAAAUCGUUGAUGGGAAUCUUCCUCAAAUCAUGGAAUACUUAAUUGAUUCAAAAUCAGAAAAUAAGGAAGUUAUCUGUUAUUCCUUUUAUUAAGAUUCCUAAUUGGUCCAUAAUUAUGUCAUAAUCUGAUUUCCAUAAAUUGCAGGAUUAACUGUGUGCAUCAGGAAAGGAAAAGAUCAAAAAUCUUCCUCGAGGAUAUGAUUGACGCAGAAUAAAAUAAGGAGGAGAUUUUCUUGCAGAUUAAGACAUACACCUGGUCACCAUUCAAGCUACAUUCGAUGGACUAAUGCACAAGACUUUUAUGGCAAGAUUUUGAGCAAUUAUCCCAGACCGUUGGAUCAGAAGUUGAUCAAGGGCUUGGAGAAGACCUAGGGCUGGGCGUGUCCACUAUAAAUAGAGGCUCUCUACUUCAUAAUAAUCAUCAUUCAUUCACAUAAAAAUCAGAGAGGUACGAGAGCAGCAGCAGACCUUCAUUUCCUCCUUUGCCGAGUUCAUCUUCUCUUGCCAGACCUUGAAGGACUUCUCCACGAAGGUAGCACAGUUUGAGAGAAGCAUUGAAGCAAAACAUCCUUUUGACAUCGACAAGCUUCCUUGGAAACUAAAAAAGUGUAAACAGUGCCCUUACUUUGUUUUGAUUUUCUUUACAAACUUGAAAGCAUGUUUCGAAUGUUUAACUCUGGAUUUGUAAGCAUGGUUUGCUUGUUCUUGUAUUCAAUAUAUUCAGAAUUUUAGUAAAGCAUUUUGGAGUUUCUUUCAUGAUAUCUUCGCAAUCUGAUCUUGUCAAUUCAUAGGUUAGAAAGUAUGUGUUGUUGUUUGAUAUACCUAUGUUAGAAUACAUGCUAACUAAUGCCAUGAUUUAUGCUAAGCCUCGUAGGUGUAGAUCUCCAGUGGUGGAAGCUUUGUCACAGAUAUAGGUGAAUGCGUAUACUAUGCAGUUUCCUGUUGUGACGUUCAUAAUAUAAUUGUAUUGAAUCUCGUUCCAUAGAUUCUAAUGACUCAUGUCAAGUGUAGACAGAUACGUUGAGUAUUGAUAGCAACCUUACAUGAGAUGUCCUAGUUCUAGACGUUCUGUGCUAGGGACAAGUAAGUAGAACUAUAAAAUGCAUGACCUCGUAGGCUUGUAUUUUGAGAUUGUUUCUAGUUCUUUGAAUUGGCAUGUUAUCGGAUUGCUGAGGUUGAAAUAUGAACUUUGUUGUGUGGUCAGAAUCUGAGUUUCUGUCUUAUGGAUAUGUUGAAUGAAUCGAUCACUUAUAUAUAUUAUACUUUAUUUUCUGUUUUAGUAGGAAUGUAGAACAACCCUUCCAACCCCCCCCCCCUUUUAUCUAUUGUACCAUGUGUAUAUUUGUAACUGAAUACUUGUAUUGAUAAUUACUAGCUAUUUUGACCAUUGUUCGCAAGAGAGCCCUUAGUCCCCGGCUAUAACGAUACCCCGCUUAUUUUAUACUACAAUGCUGGGUUUUUUUUAAUUGAGAACGUCCCGGUCACGGAGAGCGCAUCAGGACGGAUGAAAUUUUUAUGUCCCUAUUAGACAUAUAAGGCCACAGACAAGGAGGUCGUCCCUAAUUUUGCUAUCUAUAUUGAUCGAUUUGCUAGUAGUGUAUGUUUGAUUAACAGCAAGCAGCAUCAAAUUUGCACAAAUGAAAAUAAAGAAGCAGGCAAAGCCAGUUAGAUAAGCUAUAUAAACAUCAGUGCAGUAUACUCUAUAAGGCCGGUUAGGAUUUGGCCGGCGGAGUGAUGGAUCUGAACCAAAUCGGCGCAAGAGAGACACCGGUCGCCGCUGGAGAUGAAGGCCUAGUGAUGAAGGGAAUCAAAUCAAAGGCGUGGACCGGGUGUUGAUGGAGCCAUGGAGGUGAAUCGAACUAGAUCGAGCCCGAGAGAGAGAGAGAGAGAGAGAGAGAGAGAGAGAGAGAGAGAGAGAGAGAGAGAGAGAGAGAGAGAGAGAGAGAGAGANNNNNNNNNNNNNNNNNNNNGAGAGAGAGAGAGAAGAAUUCAGAAUGGAGACAAGGGCUAGGGUUAGUUUAAUUGAAUUGAGGGUAAGUUUCUUUUUACUUAGAUUCAUUGGAAUUGGCUCAUAUAUAAGAUUUUCAUUGGAGUGGGCAUUAAUCUUGUUGUUUUGCUGUUUUUUGUAAAUAUGUAUUUUCCCAAAAUAAUUGUUAUUCCUUAUUAGGAGAGACUAAUUUAAUGAUAAGUCGAAUUAAAAUAUCUAUUACACUGCAAUUAGAUCGAAGGUAGGUAUUUUCGAGUACGAGAUGUUACAUCUUGUUCUCAAAAUUUAAUUCCUGCAUAACAGAAAACAUAAAGUGUGUUGGAAAUCUAGAAACUUUUCUAUUUAUACCAAUUUUUAUUGUAACCCGAAAACUUUCGUUGAACAUAACUUCUUCAUAUGAUGUCUGUUUUACGCGUGUCACGUGUUCAUGAACUCAUAUCGCCGUGUUCUACAGUUUUGGUGAAGGAAGUUUUCCAAGAAACCCAAAGAAUAAAAAGUCAACUUUUGACCUAUCAAAAGAAACAUUUUCAAGUAAAUUAUCGUCCGAACACUUCCGCUCUUCUUUCGAACAUCGAAAACACACUAACUCCUAACUUAAUAAUUUCCAAAUAAUAUUAGAAAUUAAUAUCAAAUUUCUGAUGGUUAGUAUCAAUUUGUUUGGUAUUUAAGUUAUGCUGAGGGUUAGUAUCAAUUUAGGGUUAGUAUCAACUUCUAAAUUAUAUGGUGAGGGUGAGUAUGAAUUUGUUUGCUAUUUAAGUUUUAUGGGUUAUGAGGUGUUUACCAAUAACUACAUUUCCAAGACUUUAAUUACCAGUAGCAGGGCUGAAAUAUUGGUAACCCACGUGCAAAAAACGGCAUGAAGAAACGGCCCACUAUCACUCCGUACCAAAUUACGGAUAUGCCAUCAUAUAAAUUCAUGAUCCCUUUGUUAUCUUUAUUUUCGUUUAUUGGUAGUUAAGCACGAUCUUACAAGAUUGCGAACGAAUUAAUGUUCUCAGAAUCUGCCGAAACCAAAGUCUUUGUUCUUCUUGGGAAUUAUAUACACCAAUGACAUUGAUUUCUCAACUUAUUUCAUCAAUUUUUUGAGAAAAUUGUUUGCGUUUUAUUGGCAAUUUAACACGAUUUUACAAGAUUGCGAACGAAUCAACGUUUUCAGAAUCUGCCGAAACCAAAGUUUUUUUUCUUCUUCUUGGGACCUCUAUGCACCAACGACAUUGAUCUCUCAACUUAUUUCAUCAAUUUUUUUAAGAAAACUAUUUGCGUUUUACUAGCCGUUUAAGUGAUCUUAUAAGAUUGCGAACGAAAAAAAUAAGAUUUGUUAGUGUCCCCUUGGUGAAUUAGAAUUGUUGACCAGAUGACUGCCCAAAUAAGAUUCGCAAUAUGUGCUUAAAUAAUAUUGAUGUGUGUCCAUUUGAGGACUUGAGCUUAUUUGUCCGCUGACUUAAGUUGUCCAAGCGGAAUGAAGUAGCUUGAUUUUCACCGUUGACUGGUCAACUUUAUCAACGUUUCCAAUGUAGAAUUAUGGAGAUUCUUCUAUACACCGCUGUGAAGGUACACGGCAGUUUUUUUUUACACGUGGCCAUAUCAGAGCCUUCCAUUUAAUGGUGAGAAUGAAGUCAUAUAAGCCAUAGAUUAAUGCUUACUUACAGAACGGUCAACGUGAAACUGAGUGAGUGAGGUAAAAAAAUGGGUAAAAAACUAUCCAGGUAAAAAUUCAAUAAAUCUCUUCCCAUCCCCGACUCCGGCUAGCAGAGUGUACAGAGCAACUCUUCUCCGUAUGGAAGGGCCAUAAUCGGCGGCAAAGGUGUAAAGUUUUAGACUACUCAGUCAGGUCCGAAUGUUUUUUGAGGGGUUCAGGGUUUAGAUUUCGAGGUGCGAAACGCGAUUUCAGGCUUUCAAUAUGAAUGAAGGGGGAACAGGUUGGUUGACUGCACGCACAAGGCAUCACCUCGUCUUGAGAUGUAAGCAUCAAUCGAGCAAGGCUACUUGGUAAUUUGAUUCUGGUUAGUUUGUAUCUUUUUCAUUUUCAAAUAUCUUUGAUUUUGAUGAUUUUUGAGAUCAAUUUUGUUCGUGCUAUACUAGGUGAUUUAGAUGUACUACAAAAAUAUUAAUUUGGGGCAUUGAUUUCUAAAGAGACUUCUCUCACCGGUUAUAGGUUAGUGUUUGCCGGGUUUGUGUGCUUGAAUUAAAGUUUAAGGUUUGGGAAUAACUUGCUCCGGUUGAAUUGCUUUGAAUUUUAUUGUAGAUUUAACAUUUAACUAUCAGGUGUAUGUUUUAGCACAUCAUUGUGAGAGAGAUAUAUGUUACCGCAAACUCUCCAACACUACACCAAGGAUGCAAAGUUUAUUUCUUACCACAUGUGCAGUGUAACCUUGUAAUAAUACAUGUUUCCUUUGAUUCCUUACUUUGUGACAAACAGAUAAUGUAUCCUUUCAUGAUACUGUAAAUUUGUGUGAGAAGAAAUUGCAAAUGAUUCUUACAAGUUACAAAACAACUCUGUUAGUCAUUUGAAAAUCUGCAAUCUUAUGUUGAGCAUAAAGAAAGGUACAAAUGAGAGGUGAGAUAUACAUGAGCGUAUUUCAUAAGUUUUCCUAUUGUUUUCAGAAGAUCGUAUGGUUCCUUUAUAUGGAGUUUGAGUGUUUGAUUGAUUCAUUCGCAGUGUGAUGGUUUAGGUUUUAAGAUUUCAAGUAUACUUCUAUGUUCUAUGUAUGAAUUAGGGUUGCUCCUUGCUAGUACAUAGAGGUAUCACAGCCUUUAGUUUCCUGGCUACUGUUGGGAUCAUGCAUGAAAAUAGACAUUCCAUACCAAAUCUCUUGGUUAUUUUUUAAUUCAGGUCUCUCUGGGGGAGUUCUUAAUGACUUGUGGUUUUGGGGUCUCCUUGAUUUGUUUAGGUAUGUGUUAAGAUACAAUGGUUAUUAUUUGGAUGAUUUGCACUUAAAAUAAGCUGGGUCAAUGGAGAUGAGAAAUAUAAACACCAGGUGUGUUUAAUGCUUUAAGUCUUAAAUGUGUCUAAUAUUGCAUGUAAUUCUUACAUUUUGGUUAUUACUCAGGUAAAGGUUUUAUUGUUAUUCAUUUCUUAAUGUUUCUUUUGCUAUGUUGAAGUUCAGAUGCAGGACUUAGGCAACUGUGAUGAUUCUUGCUAGUUGCUAUGGAUGAUAGUCUAUGGAUGUUCAGUUGCUUAGUUUGAUGCGCAGGUUGUUAAUUUAUUUAUUUAUUUAUUUUUUCUGUGUAGAAGUCCUUGCUCAUUUACACUUCCUUUUUUCUUUCAUUUAGUUGUCCUUAUGGUAGUUUGUUGGUACGUACAGUGAACUUAAUUUAUGAAUCUUUCUCUAUUCUAAACUGAGAAUCUAACAUGAUUCAUGAUUUUUUUAUCUGACUUCAAUCUGGUUUUUUCUUGCGAUGCAGAUCACUGUAUUUUUUGCAAUGAGCCAAAACAACCAACCUCAGCAGCAGACAAGCUGACUAGACAACUCUAAAGUGCUAUUGAAGAACUUUUGAAUUAGAUUGGAAAUGUAAUAUGUUUUGUUAAGGCUAUUUUUGUAACCAUAUUCAACGUCAGAUAGUAUGUUAGUGAUUACUAUUUGUUCUUUAUGGGAUCUUCGGCUAAAUCUCUUGCUUAUCUUCCAUACCCCCAUCUUGUGCAGUUGCAUACUUGCAUUGUUUGCAUAUCUAGACUUUGAGGGCAGUGAUGGUGAUGUGGGACGGCACGACGGUGUUGCAGGGCUGCACGUCGACACGAAGGCACUGCAGGCUUGUAUGAUGGCGCUGCUGGAAUUGUAAUUUUUUAUGAACACCAAUUGAUAUAGUUGUCAUGCAAUCUUGACCACAGAUGAAGCAGUAAACAUUUACAGUGUGAAGCAAAGAUGACAUAAGGCAAUACUGUUCUUUUGAGCGAAAUGAUCAGUGUUAAAUUUAUUAUGUCUUCCUAAAAUCUGUCAUUUAACUAAAGAUACCUGAACCUUUAUUUACUAUAAAAUUCUGUAAAAUAUGAGUGGUUGAUGUAAUUUUCAUGUAGCACCGGGCAGCUGUGUUGUAUUGAAUUUCAGCAGGACUUGGUAACUCCAAUUGAUCUGAAAUUUUGUGGCGUUGUACUUCCAGGUGUGUAUUGUGCUGUGUUUGAAUUGCUUUUGUGAGUGUUGGUUUCGAUCUCGAUCGGAGUCGGAUACGGAGUUGGUCAAGCGAGCUCUUAUCGUAGUAGUCGAAGCUUGAGGGCUGAGCGUUGGACUCCUCUGCCGGCGACGACAAGAGUCGAGUAUUUUUGGGAUUUGGGUGAACGCUGAGCUUUUGCGUUCGAAGAUGAGGAAGGCAUGGGCCUCUAUUGUUUGUAAUCUUGUGAUUCUGUAAGAUAGGCUCUGAAACGGUGUUUCGAAUGUCGUCGUUCAUAGAACAGAUGCCGACUAGAAACUUGUGCUUCAAUUUCUUGUUGUUCGUAAUUGAAUGGAUGAUUGAGUAUUGGGCUCUUGGGCUCUGAACUCCGAUCGGAAAGGAGGAGCAAAACAGGUGAGAGUUGGACUCCGAACGGUAAUCCGUGAAGAAAAUUGGAGCGCUGGGUUCGAGUGCUGAUCGAAGGCAGGGAGAAGAAGGCAUGGGUGCCCAUAGAAAAUUGUUGGGCGCUUCAACGUGAAGUUCCUUCAAUCGAAGUUUCCGGUCGAAGUUGACCGCUGAGAUCGAAUUUCUGCUGCAAUUCUUUCGUGUUCGAAGGUUCAAUUUAGCUGUUCGGAGCUUGAUGCAUGGCUGCCCUGGCGACUUUGUUGUUUGGGUGCCAAGAGUAGCUUGCUGUCUCUGAUGUAUAAUAGUUAUAAUUGUUGAUGAAGAGCAUUUGCUUUGUGUUUCGAUCGGUAGAUUUGUCUUUAUGCAUGAGAAGAACUGAAUGUCCUUGACUGGACUCCUUCCAUGCAUGUCUAAGACCACGAUGAUGAUGAUGCUCUUGUAUGUAUGUGGGCAAACUGAAGUACUAAACAUGAAUUGUUUACUUUGUUACUUUCCCAUCUUGUGAGUCUCCAUCGACUUUGCAUAAUUUGAACUUUCCAUUUGGGUUAAUUAGAUGGCAGCUUGAUAUCGUGCGUGGCCCUUCGUGGGUCAAAUUGGCCGCUCGAUCGUGUAGAUAUGGUUGAAGAGCUGAGCGCUCAUGGGAAUGGGGCCGAUCGUGGGCGAGAUGAUUUCGUUUGUAACUGCAAAUUCAGAAUAAAACAUAUUAAAUUUGUGUUCGAAACUGCAAUAUAAUUAUGAGAUUGGUAAGGAGAAUAGAAGUAUGAGCGUUGGGCUCUUAGUUUAUUGUUCCGAUCGAGUUUGUUGAUCAAGCAUGGUGUUCGUCCGUCGUAAAGAGCUGGGCGAACAAGCUGCUAUAAUUCGAAGCCGAUAUAGCUAAUUUUGUGUUCGUCGAUCGAGCAAUUUUAGAAUCUUUAGUGAGCUAGGCGGUUCCGCAUGGGUGACCAAAACAAAUUGCUGGGUGUAGAGAGUAGAAGUUCUCAUCCCGUAGCUUACUUCGGCUUGUCAGGCUUGAAGGUGCAGUUGCUCUGAGAUUCAUAAUCAUCAUUGUAUGAAUGUAUUCGAUAGCUUGUUUUGUUUUCUUGUGCAUUUUUCCAUUACGAUCGGUGGAACUUGGCUCCAUAUAGCAAGUUCUCCAAAUUUGCAUGGAAUUUGGUCUCCUUGCCUUGUCUUUUGUGGCUUUAAUUAAGCAAUGGUGAUUGCCUUGUUGCCUCAAUGUGAACACAGCUGUGCAUUCUCACACAUGAAUUGUAAUUGAACCGUUUCCAUGCAAAUGUUGUGCGCUUGCCCUAGUAUUUGUAUCUUUGGAGGAGUGAGAUCGCUGGGACCGAGUGCACUCAUUUGUGAAUAGUGCGCAGUGCCUGCACGGGGUUGGACCCCUUGUAGAUGCAUAAUCACGAGCGGAUUGAUCGAGAGUAGAUCCAUUUUGUGCAUGGCCGAGCGUAAGUGAACUAAUCCCGAACGAGCAUAGCUUUUCCAUGCGAUCCAUGCGAUCCAUGCAAUGUGAGGUCCAUGCGCUGCUUUGGUAACUAAAGGGUUGGACCCGUGCACAUGCAAUCAUCCUCCAAGCCUCAAUUUGCAAACAGAUGGAGGAGGAAUAGUUGAGUUUGGCCAAUCGAGAGACUGAUCAUUAUGAUCAAACGUGGAGGUUGGUCCGCGGUCAGCUCUUUGGUAGAGAACGUGGCUUUUGGUGUGUGGGAUUAUGUGGUCAAACGUGGGAUGAAAAUUGUCCGAAGAAAGGGUGUGCGCGACGUGUCAUUUGUCCGUGCGCGACGACAUUUAUCCGCGCACGAUGGCCAUGUGAGACCAAUUUGUCCGCGCACAAUGGCCAUACUAGACCAAUUUGUCCACGCACAAUGGUCAUGCGAGACCAAUUUGUCCACGCACAAUUUGCCCGUGCGAACUGAAUUAUCCGAAAAUGCCCAUGCGAAAUGAUACAUGUUUGAAGAAAAAAUAUAUGAUUUCACAUAUACCGAGUUGUGCAAAUACAAUGUAUAAUUGAUUCACAACACUGACUGCACGAUAUUUCUUAAUUGAUAUUAGAGCUUAUUCACAAUAGUAAAUACCCAAUGUGUUUCCUUAUGGUUAUUAGAUUUGAUUCACCAUGUGCUUCCUUGAUGGUUAUUUUCUAACUAAAGACUAUUGCCAUUGUUCAUCACCAACACCUUUGAAAGAUGAUACCUGCAAAGAAAAGAAACCAAUAACAGAUAACCAAAUUGAUGCUUGCAAGCUGCAACACACUAUACUUUAAAAUGACUUUCAUCAUCUGCCAAGGGAAAUGUCAUUAAACUGUAAUAUUAGAACAUACAUAUACAGUUUAUGCAUCCAAAAAACGGAAAUCCAGACAAAGGUUUUACUUUUUCUGGUUUGACAGAGAAGGGUGCGAUGGUCAGGAACACCACCAUUUGGCACUUGAUUUGAUUAUGGGGUACUAUCAUCCAAUAUCAAAAGGCCAACACCAUAUCUUGUUAUGCCUAAUUGCUAUAUCAGUGAAGCUUGUAUUUUUAGUUCAAAGUUCAAACCAACCUAAUAUAACAAGUCACUACUAAUUAGCAUAACAAAAUUUGCCAAGAAGCAAACACACCAAACCUAGCGCUUCUGCUGCUCUUCUGGCUCUCUUCGCUGCAAAUGCCAACAAGCAUGCUCAUAAGAAAUUCCCUCUGAUCCAUUUCAAGUGUUUAUCCAAGCCUUGAGCCACCAUCUCCAUCUCAGGCUGCACAGUAAAAACCAAUCAUCAAGAAACUGAUCCCAAACGCAACAACAAAGUUAGGAAGGAAAGUCAAUUUCUCAUGAUGCAUGUGUACAUUGAUUAGAGGCCAGCCAGGUCAUUAAAAAAUAUUAUGUCUUUAUAUAUAUAUAGCUACAGACUCACAAUGUUUUUGAUUCAAAAAAAGACUCACAAUGUCGGUUUGAAGUAUUUACUGGGAUUGAGCAUAAGAUAAUUUUCUUAACUAGAAAAUGCAAAACAAAAACCAUUAAACAAAGAGAAAAUAUAUUCUUAAUAACACCGUAACAAAGGUAAAAAAAAUAUAGGUGAAGACUAUAUUGAAAAACUAUAAAGCAAAUGCCCUAAGAAAAAUAGCUCUCAGACAAUAUAGGAACAGGAAUAGAGGCUAUUAGUGCUACGAGUCAAAAAUUGUUGCUUUGUUAUGGUAAAGUUGUUUGAUGAAUUAUAGAGCACAUACCGAAGACUCCUCGGGAGGGAAAAUCCGCCAAACAAGGCAUAUCUUUGACAGUUCCACUACUGCUUCUGCAUGUUUACCUUGCAUCACUAAAUUAGCCUGCAAUCAACAAGAAUAAAACAUAAAGUGCCAAAAAUUCACAGUUAAGUUUCCAACUGUACUUCAUGGUUUUUGGAGUACAUAAUUGACAUAAUUUUCUAAAUUGAUUUUAGAAAAAUUAGGAAGUUCUAGACCACUGACAUUCACUAACCCAACUCAGCCGUAUGACAACUAGUGAUCAUUCAGGUGCUAGACUGCAGCACAGACAAAACCCGAAUCAGCUCAAAUCACGGAAACAGAAAACACAGCCAAAAAUAACAAUGCGCAUCACAUUCUUCAUUAGAUAAAACAUGCUGUUAUGUUUGAAAAGAUAGUGACCGAAUAUCAAAGCAAUUGAGCUAGUACUUACAUUCACCGUCUUUAGUUUCCAGCCAGGUCCAGUUAUCUCUCUAAUUUAGUAUUCGGGUGGCACUUAAUAGCAAAAAGAAGAAAGAAAGAAACGAAAAUCAGAUUGAAACUCAAAAAGAACGAAAUACAGUUUUCUUUAUUUGAGUAUAUUGCAUGUAAACUGUAACUUUACCUGAUAAACUGCUAAAAAAUGAAAAUCAGAUUAGCUGUAUACUAGAAUUCGGUGCAAUCGAUCAUUGAGGUCCUAGAUUGCAGAACAGACAAACGCCGAAUCAGCUCAAAUCAGGUUACGGGAACGGUUAUCCUUCGUGAAAUGAUAAGCUCAAUCUCAAACAGUAUAAAAACCACAUAAGAACGGAAUGAAAAAAUUUGAAAAUUCAAAAGCACUCAACUUAUCUAUUCGAUCUGAGCAGAGGAAUGGGAACUUCCCAAAUCUAUAGUCCCACGAAUCCAUCUUGGGGAAAAUUUAUAUUGCACUCUUUGCAUUCAAACACCAAUUUCAUGCCACCAAAAAAAAUUCAAAUGCAAACGCAAAAGCCAACAAAGUCAAGCAUAACAACAUCAAGAAUAUACCUGAGAAACUAACAAAUUGGAUCCCGCCCAAAAUCAACCAAACUCCCAGGCACAUGUUAACAAAUCCUCCAUAGAUUUUCACUUAAAGACAUCUCAUCGGCUCUACACCGAAAAUAAAAAAAAAUGGAUAGAACAAAAAGAAAAGGAUAAGAAAUACUGAGACAUUAGAGCUGCUCAAAAUAUGGACAAAUAAGAACAACAUGGUCUUCAAUGGUGGGACAUAUAUUUUUUUUUUACCAAGAUCAAAGGCCAAAGCGGCUUGAACUCUAUUUGAAUUAAACCCUGGACAAAGAGCAAUAUUAGAAUCUCAAAACAGAUCCGAAAAUAAAAAGCAUACAAAACAAGCACAAACCCAAAUACUAUUCUCUCUUUCACUUUAUCAAUGCUAGUCUUGCUUUAAAUUUUCUGCUAGUCUCAUUGACUCACGUUAUUGCUCGUUACAAAUCAUAUUCAGAUUAUAGAAAUAACCCAGUAGCACAAAAUGGAGAACUGUAAAGUACACACAAGAGCUUGCAGCAGUUGUUGCUGGGAUAUCAAUAACUAACCUGGAAAAUACGCAUACAUGAUUUUCAAUGGGAGCUGUUGCCAUAUGCAUAAAAUAUUUGAGCACAAACUAUCCCAUCGACAUUUCAUGUCAUCUGAUCGUCAAUCUAGACUGUUAAAAAAAUGAGGUCUAAAUAGGGUCGAAAACAAAACAUACCGGAUAAUAAAAUGAGUGAUAAUUAAGAGAAAGGUUUACUUACUUUUUGCCUAAAAAUUGGCCCAUUCGAGUCUCCCAUCUCCCACACUUAUGCAAUGGCAGUCCUCUAUAUUUUGAGCCGCCUCUACAGAACCGGUACUUUGUGGGCAAAGUACAUGCACACAUUCCUCCUUUGUUAAAUUGCUCAUCCGUUAGCAACAUAUUACAAAAGAAUAUAAUCAAUCUUCCCCAUAUCCACAAAAUGACGGAAAAAAAUAAAAUAAAUAAAUAAAUAAUUGAAUAGCUGGUUUUACUGUUGAUGAUACGUUAUAAAAACUUCAUCACCAAUAUGACAGAAAACAAAAACAUGAAUUUUCAAAACCUCGAUCCAAGGCUGUACUAACAAAAGCGCAUGUGUUACUAUCAGAAACACAUGCAAAAAACCCUCAUUUUGUAAAGAAACCUGCAUGGAAAAAGCUUGUGCAAGUCCAACUUGACCAUUACACCAAAUGUAUCUCUUAUUUUUAAAUGAAGAGCUUGUGUGUUGGGCUAACGCAUUGGUAUUAAAAGUAUCUCUAUUAAACUUGACCAUUACACCAAAUAUAUCUUUGUUAAACUUGACCAUUACAAAUGUAUCUCUUAUUUGCACAACGCAGUUCAAGAGAUUGACAAAUUGACCAAAGCAUUGUUAGAUUUGGUAAAAGAAUAAGUACACCAGAAUUGACAAAAUAUAAUUUCAACUCAGAAAGAAAGAAAUACAGUUUUCUUUAUACGAGUAUAUUGCAUGUAAACUGUAACUUUACCUGAUAAACUGCUAAAAAAUGAAAAUCAAAUCAGCAAGCUGUAUACUGGAAUUUGGUGCAAUCGAUCAUUGAGGUCCUAGCUGCAGAACAAACAUACGCCGAAUCAGCUCAAAUCAGGUAAUGGGAACGGUUAUCCUUCUUGAAAUGAUAAGCUCAAUCUCAAACAGUAUAAAAACCACACAAAAACGGAAUGAAAAAAUUUGAAAAUUCAAAAGCACUAAACUUAUCUAUUCGAUCUCAGCAGAGGAUUGGGAACUUCCCAAAUCUAUAGUCCCACGAAUCCAUCUUGGGGAAAAUUUAUAUUGCACUCUUAGCAUUCAAACACCAAAUUUCAUGCCACCAAAUGAAAACACAAUAAAAAUUCAAAUGCAAACGCAAAAGCCAAUAAAGUCAAGCAUAACAACAUCAAGAAUAUACCUGAGAAACUAACAAAUUGGAACCCGCCCAAAAUCAACCAAACUCGACCAGGCACAUGUUAACAAAUUCUCCAUAGAUUUUCACUCAAAGAUUUCUCAUCGGCUCUACACCGAAAAUGAAAAAAAAUAUAUAUGUAUGGAUAGAACCAAAAGAAAAAGAUAAGAAAUACUAAGACAUUAGAGCUGCUCAAAAUAUGGACAAAUAAGAACAAAAUGGUCUUCAAUGGUGGGAUAUUUUUUUUUACCAAGAGCAAAGGCCAAAGCGGCUUGAACUCUAUUUGAAUCACAUAACACAGCUAUGGGAACAAAUUUUACCCCGGACAAAUUGGUGAUAUACUGAAACUACUCCCCCACUUUAUAAAACAGGAAAAACCAUGAAUGGAUGAUAAGCCAAUUAAGUAUGGUAACUCAGUAAAACACAGCAUUCAAACCAUAAAGCUGAGCCACAAAGAAACAAUAACAUUGUAGGCAAAGUUGAAAGAAAAGACGAUACAUUUUAGAAUAGCUGCAAGGAGAAUAAGCAAGCCUGAAUCUGAAGUAACAGACAACAACAUUGUAACAAAAAUUGAAAAAGAAAAAAAAAGAAUAGACACCCUUACGGAGCAAUUGGUGUCGUCGAUCUUGAGGAAAAAUUAAUAUCAACAGACACUCACUCAGAACAUACUCCUUUAGUUUCCUGCACAAUAAAACAAAUGAAAAUGUGAAACACACCAAAACCACUGUUUGAUCUCAUUGAGCUAACCCAAAAGAUUGGAAUCCUUGAUCUAACUAAAAAAAUAUUAAAAUCCAACCAAAUACCAAAUACAGAUUUGACAAAAUAUGAUUUUUUCACUCAUCUUGAUCCAACACAAAGGAUUGAAACCUCUGGAGCUAAUACUUGCAUUCAUCACCAUAGCUAGUUUCCCGCCAGCUCCAAUUAUCUCUUCAAUUGUGAUUGCUUUUGGUAAAUCGAAAAUCAGUGGCCUGCAAACCCAGAAGAACAAUCAAAGUCAAGCCUCAGAUGCUGAUGCCCUUGCCACAAACAGUGUUAAUCAUGAACUUGGUUUCAUUGCUUUUGACCAUCCUCCCAACCAUGCCGCACAAGCCUUUCUAGAUGACAUUGAUGCAGUUUCUAGAGCUAGAAUGAGCUCUUCCACUAAUUUUAAGUCUCUUUUUUUUCUCCGUUGGGUCUUUUUGACCCGUUUGUAACAAAAAAAAAAGUCAAGCCUCAGAUACCUCACUCAAUCUCAGAUGUAAAAUACUUGAGUAUCCAUUCUUUCUCUCUUUCUAUUCUAUUGCAAAUCCACAGACAUUGAACUGUGAAUGGAUUUGGCUAGAAAACAUAUCUUGUUUGCAUAUACCGGAUGUAAAUUGUUUUUGGCCAAACACAGCAAUCAAAUCUGCAACUAAAUAUUUUUGCUCAGAACUGUCAUCAUUAACAUUCAACGGGUACAUUUUUGGAUUUCCAAUCAAUUUUAGAUGCAUUGCAUUGCAUGCAUUUUAUUUCCUGAAACCUCUGGCCCAAGGCUUACCAAUGCCGUUGAGCAAAGCAGAGAACCACUUCCCACGGCCACAUAAUAUCCAACAUAAGAGUUUUUAAACAUCACAAUGCAAUAACAGUAUGUGGCAGUGGUAGCAAUGACUUUUAAAUAUCAGGUUUUCACACAGGAAUUUUGAUACAAAUCCAUGAUCUCAAAACAUACCCAAAUUAGAUAAUGCUUGAUCAGAUGAAGAAUGACACCCUGUAUUAAAAAUGUGAGAUUUAUACCCAUUUGAGGAGUUCAAGAACCAGAUAAGUCCUUGAAUCCAACAGGUUCCAUACUGAAAAAGAACAACAGUAGCCUGACUUCACAUCUCAAAAACAUUCUUAAUACCCAGUCGAAAUAGCAAAUAAAUGUUGAUUAAAAAGAACUCGAGGUACCCAUCGAUUUUCUGAGCCAUCAAUUAUGGAUUUAAGAACCCAUAAGCAAUGCAAUUGUACCAAUGACAGAAAUUUCAACCCAAGCAAAAAAAAAAAGAAAUCAAUUCUAAUGAUACCAGACUUCCUACAACUACAAUUCUAUCCCUGAAGUUCUUAUCAAUCGUUGACAACCGAAAUGAAUAUCUCGAUUCAAAACAAUCGCUCUACAGGUAAAUCGACACAGUGAAUACAAAAGCAGAAAGAAGAAAGAAACAAAGAAAGAAAACUCAUAUUGAUACUCAGAUUAAGCAAACAUGAAAAUUAAAUCAAGCAGAUGAAAGUAAAGUUUUCUUUCUUUGAAGACACUAUAUAAUCGACAGUUUUCUUUAUUUGAGUACAUUGCAUGUAAAGUUACAAACUUUACCUGAAAAACUGCUUAAAAAUGAAACUCAAAUCAGCAAGCUACAUACUGGAAUUCGGUGCAAAUGAUAAGCUCAAUCUCAAAUAGUAUAAAAAUACACAAAAAUGGAAUGAAAAAAUUUUGAAAAUUCAAAAGCACUCAACUUAUCUAUUUGAUCUGAGCAGAGGAUUGGGAACUUCCCAAAUCUCUAGUCCCACGAAUCCAUCUUGGGGAAAAUUUAUUGCACUCUUUGCAUUCAAACACCAAAUUUCAUGCCACCAAAAAAAAUUCAAAUUAAAACACAAUAAAAAUUCAAAUGCAAACGCAAAAACCAAUAAAGUGCAUAACAACAUAAGAAUAUACCUGAGAAACUAACAAAUUGGAUCCCGCCCAAAAUCAACCAAACUCGACCAGGCACAUGUUAACAAAUCCUCCAUAGAUUUUCACUCAAAGAUAUCUCAUCCGCUCUGCACCGAAAAUGAAAAAAAAAAUAUGUAUAGAACCAAAAGAAGAGGAUAAGAAAUACUGAACCAAACGAAAUACUGCUCAAAAUAUGGACAAAUAAGAACAAAAUUGUCUUCAAUGUUGGGAUAUAUAUAAAUUUUUUUACCAAGAUCAAAGGCCAAAGCGGCUUGAACUCUAUUUGAAUCACAUAACACAGUUAUGGGAACAAAUUAAACCCUAGACAAAGAGCAAUAUGACAGCUCAGAACUAUUGACCAUGAAAAACAAUCUUGAAUUUGCUUCUUGUGAUGAUACACAGUUCACUUUUAGCUUUACCUGAAAUGCAGGUGGCUGUGGGGUACUUCUUGACAUUGCAGGUAAUGAUGGUGCUUAAGAAUCUGUAACGACCAACAAAGUCCAGUGAAUCAACGGAUAUAGAUCGUGAAUGAAAGCUGAGAUCAGGCCAUAACUUGAAUAUUACAAAAGUACCUUUUUGUUUACUGGACGAGCCUUAAACUUUGGAAUUUUGGCCAUCAUCUCUUCUUCCAGCUCAGCAGUACUCUCUUCACUCUAACUGGAGCGCACACGCUGUGAUGUCUCAAAUUCUGGCUCCUUUGGUCUUGUUAAGGCUCAUUUCGGCUUCAUCUGAAUAAUAGAAACAACAUCAACCUCUAUAGCAAAAAAAAUUUAUUAAACCUGACCAAAUAAAUAUAUAUAAAAGUGUAAAGAAGUGAAAGAACUUUAAGCAGGGUGAAGCUCCUUUACGUGUGAAAGAGAACCAUUAGCAUGCGGCAGCGACAAGUCUCUGGUACUUGAUUGGAACCUGUUCAUCAUUUCUGCCAUUGAAACAAAUGGUGCUGCAGGUUCCCGAACCUAAAUAUGUAGAUUGAGAAAGGAUCAACUACUCAAUUCUGAUAUUGCAUAACAACAUGGAGUGCAAAAGAGGGAUCAAAAGUACAAACCGUCCUGUCCUCUUUUUGAGUUUUAAUAGCAGUUGAAAAAUGUGUGGCACUGUAUAACCUAGUUUUGACUUGUGGAGCAAUGUUUGGGUUAAGAAUCUGCAUUUUAAGGCACACAAGGAAAAACAGUCAUGGGAAAUGUCUAGAAAUAAUCUUCACCAAACGACAACAAAGAGGCUUCUAGAUGUGAGUCAACACAAAUUACAGAACUAAAAGUAACCUGUCUAGAUCUUCCAGCAUCCAACUUCUGCCGCUUAAUUGCCUGAUUCACCUGAGCUAACAUGGAUGUGCCGGUUGCAUUUUUCACGUUCUCUUCUCUGUAAGUUUCAGUCAAAUAUACAAUUAGGACAUAGCACUGGCGUAUAAUGAAUUCAAGAGAUACCAGAUAAAGUGAAGCACGCCAACCUUUUCAUAGUAUACGGUUUAAUAUGUGAAAAGUGCAAGUGACUUUUUCCCCUUGGCCCUGAUGGGUUUCUGACCAUACUUGAUAUCUUUUUAGCUGUCUGGUGGUUUUUGGAAUAAAGAUCUCCCUUCUUGGAAUAAUUCAUGGGUGGCUUUGGAGUACUAGCUAUGGAAUUACUAUUCUCCUUCUCAUUAGUUAUAUCAGUUCUCUUAUUGGAAGAUACUGCAGCAGCCAGAACACUGCAGAGAAGAAACACAAUGAGAAACCUUGGAGCUAGAAAGAGACCUAAGAGAGCAUUAGAUCAGCAGAAAGAGGAAAACUUACCUUCCAUCAUCUUUCAUGCAUUUGUCCUCUACUUUAUCAGCAGAAAUCUGAAAGGAAUACAUUAGUGAUAAGGAGCCACAUGUAAUCACGAAAAUGUGAAUUGCAGAGAGUAAAGUCAAAUUACCGUAGUGGCUUGUCUUGCACUGUUUUCAUCUUUAGCCACCCUGGGAAUUGUUUCUUCCUUCAAUUCAGGAGUGAUCUUCAAGUCAGCCUUUGUUUCAUCAGCAGCUUUUAAAUCAGAGGAUGAUUCAAGGUUCUGCAAAAGUUAAGCCAUCUGAAACAAUAAGCUAAAAGGUUCUCAAAUUUCAAGGAGAUAAAAGAAAAAAUUGUACAAGAUCACCACCUUCUGCAUAUGUUCUGCUUCAGUAAAGUCGCACAUGCUCUCUACUGUAAAGGAUCUACCAGUCUUGAUUCGAGGCAUGAAAGCUGCACAAACAAAUGUGUCCAGAAAAUAAUCAAAACGUUUUCAUAUCCAAAGAACACAAGAAAUCACCUUUUGGGAUCUUUUCAAGUCUUGAUGCUCAGUUUUUUCAACAAGCAUAACCAGCAAAACCAGUCCUCACUCUUCAUUCAACAAAAUAAACCUUUAAGUUCAUACCAGUACAAUGUAUAAUCCAAAGGAAACUUAGUUGAGAUGGACAUUAAUCAAAUCACUGGUUUAGUAUGGAGAUUGGUUUCAAACUUCCAGCAGUAAGUGGUAAGGCCUAUAUCUUAAAGCUAUUCUGUUAUCCUAAGAAACGCAUGGUUGAACAUGUUACUUUUCAUUAGCACAUAACUAGUUACUAAAAGAAGUGGAAAUGAAUACUUAUGUAACUAUCACAUGUCCACUAGUGUUGGAGUGAAUCCUUAGGAAAGAAGCUCAAGUUCAAAACAUGAGAGAAUUAUCACAUGUCGAGCAACCAAACUUUACCAAAGUAAUUUUGUGAGGAAGAAAUACUCGCGUUCAAGAACUUAAGGUCACCCAUCUACAGUAGAUGCUACAAUAUAAUCUUAUGUCAAAAUUCUAAAUGUUGCAUUGAUUUUAAUGUCAAGGCCGUAUAGCAACAUACAAUAUGCUUCGCACGAGGUCUUCAACAAGAGUACUUUUCUUGCUGCACAUCCAUACCUUAGUCCAAAAUAUUGGUUGCUUAUUUCCAGUGGUCCUCAUGUUGGUACUUUGUAAAGAGUGUGGGUUUCUCUCUCGUAUUUUCAUAUGUAAAAGAUAAGCAUAUGAAAUGAGAAGCAGGUAAACUGAUUUUAACAAAUCACAAUUGCACAUUGAUUUAUAAGCAAAAAAAAAAUAAGAACAAAAAAUUUGCAAAACAUUUAUGAGGAGAGCAAGAUACCGUAAUUGAAUAAAUUUGCCAUCUAAAGGUGCCUCGAAAGUUGUCCAAAAAUGCCCAGUGCUCCCUAUUUGAUAUAGAUAAGCAGAAAUGUUACUCCAAAUUUAAUAAAGUCAGACAGUCUGCAAUAAAAUUAUAUAGUUUUAGAUAAUAAUGAGAAAAGAAUAAAAUGUUGCUCCAAAUUUAGUCAACGCACCUUUACCAAAAGAAAAUUCACAGAAGCAAUUGAGAGGAUAAAUAUGAUACUUCCAAACAGAAAGAAAUACAGAAAGUCAGAGAAAUUCCACCUCCUUAGAUGUAAAGUACUAUUACAACUGCAAAACAUAUCAAACUCCAUGCAUAAGAUAGGCCCCCUACAUAAGAUGGAUAUAGUUCUACAGAUACCACAAUAACUACUAUAUGAAUAGGGUAAGAUUAGUUAGCUUCCCAUCACCUUCCUUCUCCUGCCUUUGAGGAACCCAAAUAUAAGAAUAUUAAACUUCUGCAUUACCGAAACCCCAAAUCAGUCUCCACCAUUCAGUCAAAAAAAUGAAGCAUUCCCGGAAGCAGCACAACUCACCCGAUCUUUCAGAAGAACAAGACACUUGAGUGAGAUAUCUGAGGCUUAGCCAAGCUUUCGAGCUUGAUGAAACCCUACCGAAUAGGGUGAACAACAAAUCAUACCGAAUAAAAAAAAGUGUGAUAAUUAAGAAUAAGGUUUACUUACUUUUUUCCUAAAAAUUGGUCCAUCCGAGCCUCCCAUCUCCCACACUUAUGCAAAGUCACUCUAUAUUUUAAGCUACCUCUAGGGAACUCGUCACUUUGUCGGGGAAGUACAUCCACACAUUCCUCCUUUGUUAAAUUGCUCAUCUGUUCAGCAACAUAUUACAAAAGAAUAUAAUCGAUCUUCCCUAGAUCCUCAAAAUCCCAAAAAAAGAAAAAUGAAUAGCUGGUUUUACUGUUGAAGACAAGUUAAAAACUGUUCAAAACUAGGAUGUAUGCCGGCGCGUUGCAGCUGGUUGUGUAAUAGAUAUGUGCCUGUUUUUACUGAUGAUUUCAUUGUUACACUACACAACUAAAAGAAACCCCCAAUUUCAUAUUAUAGAACUGGACUCGCACCUCUUCUCUUCCCACGCGCUGCUGCGGUCUUUUAUUUCGAACCAAUGACUUUAUAGUUUUCUGUUAGUGUUGAUCUGGAUGCUGUUGACUGGCACUGAAAAACUGGGUAGCAAGAUAAGGAAACAGUAAUGUAUCAUUAAACAAUGAAAUUCAAAGGAUGGCAAUAUUUAGAACAGUAACAUACGAAAUUUAGAAUUAAUGGCAAAUAAAAGAGGGAUGCUGAUAUUGCAAAAAGUUUAAGAUACAUAGUUGGGGAUACAGAGAUGCCAUGCGCCAGGGGUUUGGUGAAGGUACGGUUUAAAGUUCCCCUACUGAUUAUAGAGGUACUUUGAUAAUAACCAAGUUCCAACUACUAUUUGCAGCUCUUGCUUGUACAUAAAAGCAGAGAUGCAUGCAUACAGUAAAUCACAAUUCUCUUCCAAAUUCAUAAUCAGAUGAAAUAUAUCAACUGCAGUAUAAAAUCAGAUUAACCAAGUAUAUUCGUAGCUCUUCAUUAAUGAAAAGUAUUAAAAGGUAAUUAGAUGUUGAGUUCAUAACUAAGCCGGAUGUGCAAUAGAGUUAAAGAUAAGCAUGUGUGUACUGGAUCCAGUAUUUAUGACCAUUCUAUUAAUGACCUGUUCGUUUGGGGACAGAUGAGAGUCCAUUGAUGACUUUAAACAUCCCAUCAGGUGAACUUACUAUGUAAACACAACUUAUCAAGCUGCUCCUUCAGGGUCUCGAGAUCCUUCUCCAACAUCUCCAUCUCUCUCACCUUCCUUCUUUCUUGUCCUGUUAACAAAUAACAUAAAGUCAGAAGUGUACGAUAGAGAUAUUAUAAUGAAGAACUACAAAUGAACAUGUAAAUAAAGAAAUUUUUAUUGAAGCAGCAUACAACAAACAUCAAUCCUCCUAAAACUGUUCUAAAAGCACAUAUCAACCAUUCACUAUAUAAAAUUCAUAAGGAAUUGUGAAUUGUGGGUUCAGAGCAGAAUUGUUUACACAACUAACCAAUUGGUCAACAUGUACAAAUUAUCAAGCUGAGCAUAUCACAGAAAAUGGUACAGAGAACUACAGAAUGCAAACAUAUACAAUUCAGUAUGGUCCAUAAUCAGAUAAUCCAUGUAAUUUAGUUAUUGAUAGUAGCUUGGUCAGGUUCUAUCACAGCUACAAAAUUCCUUAGCCUAUAUUUUGAAAGUAGUACCAAGGCGCUCGACCUAGAACUACAGUGUUUUUCCAUUGAUAUCUUCAUGGUGACACUCAUGUAAAUUUUCAGAUGUUCCUUCACAUCCCAGAUUCUCAAAAAAAAGUAUAUUAAUGUGGGAGAGGAACAAAGAUAAAUGGAAGUAUGAAAAAAGAUACCAAGAAUAUAAUGGAUAAAUGAAACAGCAAACUCAUAAAUUCUCGCCUUGACCUCACUGUGUGACAGGAAGUUUCUUGAGUUAUGAAAUAUCAAUCUCAUGCCUUCAACCUAGAAAGAAAACAAAAACUACUUAAGCUUCUGUAUUGAUUUCACAAAAAGAUUCACAUUCUGUGUUGAUUUCACAAAACAGAUUCACACAUAGAGAAUGCCUCUUACCCUAAUGUGUAAUUAAAUGGAUAGGCCCACUUCUGAAUGGCAUUAUCAACUGGAAAUUGAAAUGCAUAGGAGACAUGAACAGAAAAAAAAGUUCCCACUAAUUGAGAACAAAGAGUAAGUACAGAACUGCUGAAUUGAGAACAAAGAGGUAUCAAUGCUGGUAGACAGUGACGAUUUGGAGUAAGUACAGAAUCUGGAAAAAAUACUGAAGCUGGGAAUUAUAUUGGCAAAUGAACACUAAUAAUUGAAAAGCUUAAACCUUUGGGUGAUUGGGUGGGAGAGGGAGAUGGGUUUUACCUGAGGAAGAUCUGAAAGUGAUUGUGCUUGGAGUGCUCUGCGGCUGCUGCAACUUACACCACCAUGGCUCUGCUUUAUGGUUUCUGAAAUUGUGGCGAGGUAUAGGUUUUAAAGGCGCUUCAAUGGGCCUCCCUCAUAUCUCUGAAGCUCAUUCAAAGGAUUUGGACUACCAUGUCGAAAAGAGCAGCGCUUUAAUCAAAACUCCCAAACUCCCAAGAGAGGUGAUCAGCGAAUAUUGCCCGAAAAUUAAACAAAUAAGGCUAAGCCCAUAAACUUGAAUUCAGCAAGAACGGAAGAAAACAUUCCCACCAAGCUUACAAAAAUCUCAAUUGAAACAGUUUACUUGACUAAAUUAUGGCUCCCUAUGCUUGAUCGAACACCUCCGGCAUUAAAAUCAAACCAAAAAAGAUAGGCACAGAAACCUGAAUUCAGAGGAGACAAAGCUUUACCGAAAACACCCAGAUCCGUCAGGCCACAAUCGCAUAGAAAAGGAAUCGAUCGGAAAAAGAAAACAAAAUAAAAAAACUACAACACAGGAAGACGCAAAUUACCAAUCAAUGAAAGUUGAGGAAGACGCAAAUUGAAGCAUAAGAUGAAGUGCUGCAUAAGAUGCAAAUUACCUGGAUCCAUAAAAAAAGUCAAGUUCCUGCACCCCUGCUUAAAUAAAAUAAAAAAUAAAAAAAAGAGCAAACACAUCGGUAGAAUCCAUUAUAAAGAAUACACCAGAAAAACUAUCUCUUCUAAUCAAAAUCCUCAAAACACACUUAAACCAAAUAAACUACCAAUAAACAAAUCUCAAAUGCAGAAACACACCAAGGCAGUGAAAAGACGUAUCCCUGAAUGAAAUCAAAUCAAAUCAGCAACAGAUCCUUACUUCAGAAACUGAUAUCUGCAUAUCCAAAAGUUCAUGUCUCAACCAUCUUUGAACAACCUGCGACAAAAACUAAUCACAAUUACUAAAUGGUAGUAAUAACAAUAUAGAGUAAAUUGCUAGAUUAAUCUGAACCGACAUUAUACGGUUAAAGAAAUUACCACCAAACAGAAGAGAAUCAAAACCAAACAACCCACAGUUAUUAUCCAAAAAGACAUCCUAAAUAUUCAUCAACUGUUCAUGAACACCUACUCUGUUUUCAUUGUCAUUUGAUGUAUCUCCAACAAUGAGUUCUUUCAUUUUCUAUGAAGAUUUGUUUGAUCACAUCGGAUUCUUGAAUUAAUUAAUGGUUCUUCAUCUCCAAAAUGCUAAAAAGAACACUUUUCUUUUUCUUCAUCAUUCUUCGUUCCACCAUCGAAUUGGUCCAGUAUUGUGUCUGCAUCUUUAUCUUGAAAAGCUCCUGAUGUUCUUUCAUUCUCCAAGUUCUAGAAAAAAAAAAAAAAAUCCAUUUGUUGAGGAUACUCGAUUUCCAUAUGCUGCAUACAUGUGCAGUGCAUCAUUCAUUUUAAAAUGCAUGAUCAAUCAAGCUCAGUGGGAAUACAACUGAGGACAUUGUAUCAUAAUCCACGCUGCAUAAUCUAAGGAAGAAGUUUGCAACAUUUUCUCAGUUGUCAUUUGCAGAUACCGUGAAAACAUUUGGCCAGUUGCUUAAAAAAUUGGCAAUUCACAUAUUCAUUCAACUGUAAAUUCGAUUCAUGUUUAAAAAAUUGUAAAUCUAAAUUUGUUGACAGAAUAGCUAACUAACUUACAUAACUGAUAUUAAACAUCAAACACCAUAAAAGCUUGAUAGAAACUAUUGAAAAAGAAUAAUUACGACAAAGAUUCUGUAUGCACUAAUUACGACAAAGUUCCAUUUGAUUUUGAUGACUUCACUUUUGGUGUAUAUAGUUUAUUCUCAUCACUAAAAUUUUCUGUUGCUGAAUUCAACUGGACCUUGCGACAUAAGCCAAUGUGUUUUUUCAAUAUUUUCAAAAAGCACAGAAGCAUGUUCAGUAAAUACCACUCGAGGAAUCUUGUUAUUCAUGGGUACAAAUUUCAAUUAAAUUUUUAGAGCUCUAACUUUGUAAUUUAUUAUCAGCCCGGAAACAGCAAAUUUGUUAUCAGCAAAUUGAGGAAAAUUGGUUCAUUUCUUACAUAACUUCAAGUCUUGACAGAGCACACAUAAAAAAAUUCCAAACCAAUCAAAAUAUAUUUGCGUCAUUACCUUAUCUUAUCCUCACUGCCAAAGAAGAUAAUUAAUAAGGAAUCAACAUUAUUCUGAUUAUGUUCAUUGAUUGAAGAUGAUAAUUGGAAUAGAAUAAUAACAGACUAAGACUUCAGUGUUCAGUGAUUUAAAAUGAUAAACAGACUUAAGACUUGAAAGAUUGAAGCUUCUAUGAUCGUGAGGCAUCAUUUCAAUAGAAAUAAUAUAAAUACUACAUUGCAAACAAAUUAAAAGCAAAACAAUAGGAAGAUGCAAUCUAGCAGCACAAAAGAGUUUCGUGCAUUACAAUCAUAGUUAGAAGAUAGAAGUUACAUUGUAAUAGAAGACAAAGUCAGAUAUAGUUGUAGUUUUUAACAUCAUACAAAAGAUAUAAGUUGCAGGUCACCAUAUAAUUCACCUCAUAAUACAUUACUGUUGUAUAAUUGUAAUGUAGGCAAGCCUCUUUUAACAUGAACAACUGGAAGAUGUUUAAUUACAUAAUGAAUAUAUUUUAUAUUGAAGUGAAAAAGGAAAGGCCAAUAACUCUCAUAUUUAGUAGUUGACUGUAUAAGGAAAUAAAAGAACAAUGAAGUAGUAUUUAAUAUUAAUUUGUUAAUAAGUCAAGCACUGUGAGAUUGAAAUUAGCACUAAACAAAUGACCGUUGCAUCCAAAUCUGGAAGAUGAUGACAGUGUAUUAAUCUGUGAAGCCUUCUUACCAAAUCAAAGAUCUCAGUUAUGUAAAAGAGCAAAAGAAAAAAGCUGAAUCAAUAGUGUGUAGUCCUGACUUCUAACCAUUGACAUGCUGUUAGUUCUAAUACAAAGGCAGUGAGCACAAACGGAUUAAGUUCCCCAAUAACUCUUGUUUCCAUAAUUUUGCUCACUAUUUAUUCCAAUCAGAUUUCAUCUCAAGUGCCAAACAUAAUCAUAAUAGUUUGAUAAAAAUAAAGAGAAAGUUGUCAUUCAAUGGUCAACAAUCAUGAUGAAGAUUACCACGUAACUAUGGAAAAAGGUCGGGUUUGAGCAGCAAGUGAAGAGAUAUCAGGAUGUUGGCAUUACCUUAUUUGCUUCUUUGUUCCUUCUACAACCGGAAGACGGUUACUGUGAUUAUCUUUCAUCUUCUUGAAAGCUUCGAGUAUCAAGUCUUCGAGUAUCUUCUUCAACUCCAUCUUUCUUUUUAGAAUUUUGGCAAUCUGCAGUUUUUCUGCAAUGGACCCUUCAAAGACAUAUGAAGGAAAUUAAUGAUACUUCAAAACUAAGUACUUAAACAAACAAUUAAACAGAGAUGAAGAAAAACAAAAGACAAAAGAGUUUUCCUACCUCGAAAUGGUGUUCCGUGUGGCAAAGAUUUACACGAAGAAAGCAAAAAAUUAAGUUAGGUCUGCAAAAUCAAGCAACACAUAACAGUCCCCUCACAGAGUUAUCCAGAAACAUUUACAAACUAAGGUUCAUUAUAAACAUUUACAAACAAUCCUCUUUGAUUAUCUUAGAAGUGCUCAUGAAUCAAGACCAAAUAUUAAAAAGGCAAUUACCAAAGCAAUAGGGUGAGACUGAGGCACCCAAUCUUCGUCAUUUAUCGCACUUCGAUCACGUUCUCUUUUUCUAGGGCUUGAUUACUACUUCUACUUCUCUAUUUCAUUACACUCUAUUUAGAAAUGGUAACAGAUCAACCGAAUCCAUAAAUAAAAUGUUCAAUACCAAAAUAAACUACAAACCUUUGAUGUAACUUGGGUCCGAUCUGAUUAGUUCCUUCACAAAACCAACUCUGGCUACGAUUGAAUAAGACCUUUACGAAAUCAAAACAAGAACAAUCAUCGUUGCAAAACUGUAGUAAAUAUCAACCACCAACCAAUGUGAUUCAAUGCCGUCAGUUUUCAUGUAGGUAGUUUUACCAAUUUUUACUGGGGAGAUUAAACAGUACAAAAGAAAUCAAGAACGUGUUCUAGGGUAGAGCAACUGAAUUUUAGUAGGAGUUGGUAACUUUUUUCUCUCCUUCAAACGUGGUCAUGAGUUUGUUUCUAAUUGUGAAAGGGAUUUCUGGAUUUAGAGUUUGUCUAUUUUAUCCUCUAUUUGUUAAACUCAGCUUCAUGCAAGAGGUUUUCAUGUAGGGGCAAUUAUGAGGAUAUCUGAAAAUUUAACCAUGACCAGUUCCAUAAGCUAAAUUGGCCAAUUAAUAGAGAUAACUGACAAUUUGAACUAAUAAACUCGUGUUAUGCACAUGAGCACUCAGCUUUCCUAAGUCAAACAGGAAAUUCCAAGUCAACUCAUUUCAUAACAAUUAGGAACAUCUAGGGUUUUCGACGGCUCUAUGUGUGGGUCUCUUCUUUAAGCUCUGAAAGAGGGCAUGGGAUUUGAUUUGAGGUGCUGGGAAGAAAUGAGGAGGAAGAACGUGAAGAUUAGGUUAUUUGAGUUUCUUUUUCUGUGUGCGGCUAGGUCUCCCCUCUUCCAAAUGAGAUGAUGCGUGUGUGGCUAGAGAUUUGAGGAUAUAAUGAAUGAUGUGGCAUCUUGUGAUUGGUUGAAGAGGGAAAAUGAAGUGAUGCCGGUGUGCACGUGAUGGUCUCCUUCCCAUUUUGCAUAAUUAAACAACUCAUUGAUUAAUUUGUAGUGCCGCACGUUUUGGGUGGGAGAAGUUAAUUAAGCUCUUAAGCUUAAUUAGUUAGUUAACUAAUCAAGCUUAAUUGCUUAACUAAGAUAACUACCAUCUCGUCUUUUUGCCAAAAACUCUUCUUUGCUCCAAGUUCGAGUCAUUUCUCUCAUUUCCGUAACUUCCGUAUAUUUCCUACAAAAUAAAUAAAAAUAGAUUAAUUACUAUGAGAAUUAGCUAACUCAUAGUGUUUAAGUAGUAAUUAAGUGUAUAAAAAUACACGUAAUUACACCCCCACACUUGAACUUUGUUUGUUCUCAAACAAAUUAAAUAAAACAUAAACCGAAAACUACUAACUUAAACACACAAAUGCAAAUUAGUGGUGCUAGCAAGUCUUUCCAACCAUAUCCUCGGGGAACUAAAUUAUGUAAAUGACAAUGAAUUGAUCAAGCAUAUGUAUAGGUCUCAAAAAUUUAUUAGGUAAUUAAUAUAUAACAUGUAAAAGAUGUUUAUGUUCUAGCCAUGUGUCAAACCAAUUUACGACAAGUAAGUACGACAUACUAAACUUGGAUUAACCGCUAAACUCACAAGGAUGCACUAAAUAUUUCCGCUCAAGUGUUUAGGGCUAAUUGUGUUUCACUUGAUAACAAUUUCGCAAAUUUGGUCUCUAUAGGCUUGCUCUUCUACCGCAUCUCCGCUAGGUAGCUUCACAACUUUCAAGAUUAUGGGGUAUUUUAUUUGGUUAAAAUGGGGUUAAGGGCAUGUAGCUAAUAUAAAUGAAGGAUUUGAAAAUAAUAAGUCCAAAGAAAUCGGUGAAGUAACUCUCUCUUGUAGAGAUAUUAGAAUUUUGCUUUCAAGUGCUAGCUCACCCUCUCUAUUCCCAAUAACAACCCACUAACAAGACUAUACAAUUUUUUUUUCUUCUACAUUUUCUUUUCUUUUCUUUUUGUCCCUCUAUUUUUUUUUCACAUUUUCUUUUCUAUACAAAAUCACCACCCCCACACUUAUUCUUUUGUAACCUCACACUAUUGAGUUUUUCUUUCUUUUCGAAGCACUCGAACAUAAAGUUACUCUCUCGAGUUGUUUCACCAACUACCAUGGAAGAGUAGGAUAAAAUGUAUAGGCUAGGUAGGAAUUUGUGGUGCUAAAGAAUAAAAAGGCUAAGUAUAUACAUAGGCUCAAAGUGGCAAUCUAAUGGUAUAUCAUUUCGGGCACAUGCUUCUUUGGCCAUGGUGGUUAUUACUCCUAAUGCCUCAAUCUUUUUCAUCUCGUCAUGAACUAGCAAGUUGCCUUGAAGGGUAUGAAGCAAGUUCUAGAGAGACCGUAAUCGCAAAAUUGGCACACAUGAAGAAAAAGUAAAUACGAACAAUGCAUAUUUAUCAAGAAGGCUUAAAAUCUCAAAAUAGGUAUGCAAGUCAUACAAGUCUAGAUAUGCUUUCCCUACUUGUCAAAACUAGCACUCAAGCAUACAAUCACAUGUCNNNNNNNNNNNNNNNNNNNNCACAAGGCCUUGACUUCGAUAAUGGAUGCCCCAUAAAAGCUCAAGGUGCUCAUGAAGAUCAACUUCAAAUAGAAUGUACAAAGCUCUCGAGCAUGAAGUCACACAAAAGGAGUAAAGAGACAAGAUCAUCCAUUAAGCUCUUACACUUUGCCACCUCCAACACAUCUCAAUAUUGCCCUAUUCAUGCUCUCCAAAGAUGAAAUGAAGUGCAUAGAAGUCCAACCAACCAAAUGAACAAAAGGUAGUGAGUGAAGCAAACUUUCAGCAAUGACCUUUUUCUCAUGAAAUGCUCAUAUCUCAAACUGAGAAUGUGAUAAAUAGAUGAGGCUUCCCUUAGUGGAAAGUAGACUCAGAGAGCUUUCUAACCAUAUGAAGUAGGCCACCUAUCUCCCAACGAGAUAAAAACUAAAGCCGUCAAAGUUGCCGGUUUGUCAUGAAGUUUGCUGCUGACCCUCAGUCACCAAAAAUGCAAUAUCUGAAGCUCCAGAGGUGCAAAGUGGGUGAGGCCAACUGGAGGAAAAAUUAGACUCAUGUAAUCACAUUGUGUUAAAUUUUCACUGACAAAUGAUCUCUGAGUCAAAAUUGGUUGGCCUCGAAACUCACUGAACUUUUCUGCAGAUUCCGCUGUGCCCUGUUUCUGCCCUCUGUCACUUGGAACAUAUUAUCUGUAGCUAGGGAAAUGAAAACUGAAAACUGUUUUACCAGCAUGCACUAGACAUCUGAAGGCACAUCUCUGAAAAAUUUCAGCUCAAAAUGACAUGAUAUGUAGAAGAAGUGCCUCUUCAAAGUCAUUGCACAGUAGCAGUCUCUGUUCUGAUCUCCAUGCUUUGACCAUUUAAUAACUACAGUUCCAGUGACUCAAAGAGGCUAAAAUUUGGAAACAACACAGUAGACACAUAGGGGUAAUACUCCAAAAUUUUUCAGCUCCAAAUAGCAUCCAUACGGAAAAAUAUGAUCCCCCAAAGUCGACUGAAAAUCUGGACAGAAACUGUUCACUUCCCCGUUCUUGCAUUCUUCACAAUUCCGAUUCCAAACACCUCCCAACCUCCCAAAAGUUACUAUAAAGUCUUAUUCAACACAAAAAGAAGCUAAUAAUAACAGGAAUGUUACCGAUGAUGUGCUGGGGUUGCCUCCCUAGCGAGCGCUUUGUUUAAGGACGUCGUUGCCGGUCCAUAAGAUGUGAGUUUCAUCAAGUUGGAUACUUCUCAAGUGCGACGACCCUAUGUUAGGGGCUAAGGGAACCCUUGACAUAUCAUAGAGGCAUGACCAGGAGCUACAAAAGAAUACUCCAGUUUGAGGCCAAAAGAGUAGCCUCUUAGCUUUCCUCUUCUCAAUUCUACUUCGAGGAGCCAUCCUUACCUUCUCCUUCAAGGUAGAUGUAGAAAUGGUGCUCAUAGGAACAAUAGGUGGUAGAGGCUCUUGGAAGUGAUGGGGAAGUUUGAUCACAAGAGCUCCAUUUCCUUUCCAAUCUAUUACCUCAUUGUAGAACCAUAGACCACUUAAAUGUGGAUUGAGAGNNNNNNNNNNNNNNNNNNNNUUUGAAAGGUACAUUAGGUUUCUUUUAUCAUCACUAAAGUGUUGUAUGUGGUCAGAUUAACCGCUUCAUUAUAAACAUAAUUGUUUUAAGAUAUGACGAAUAAGUCUAAAUAUCAUAUAACAUUCUAGGUUUAGGUUUUCGGUUCGUCGUUUACAUGACUUAUAUUUUUUAGGGUAGGGUCAUCAUCAUUCUCGUCAAACUAUUGUAUGUCACCGUGAGAGCGAGCGAGUGAUUUGCUUCAUUCGUGGGUGGUUUCUAUGUCCUCAUGUUAGCUUCAUCCGUCACUUUAGCAUUGGAGUGCAUUAUCUUCUCUCAUAUUUUUCUCAUAGCCUGUUGAAAACUUGUGAAUCGAGUUUUGCAUGCCUCAUCAUAAUUAUUCGUCUCCUUAUCAAAAGACGUCCUUGAGUAGCUUCAGGUCACUCUAAUGCAUCUCAUGCUUUUGGCAAAAUGGUUCAUGGUUGUACCCUAAAUGUCUCGAGUGAAUACUGGCCAAAUUUUACAAAGGUGAUGUGUUUAGAUGCACAUCUUAACAUGAUAUUUGAAUCUUUGAUGAUUCAAAUCAGAAAGAAUAUUUGUAGAAGAAGCUGGAAAAAAAAAUAUACAAAAGAAAAAUAUAUAUACUUUGGCGUAUUGCUAUUAACACACCCCAUCUAUUUUCAUAUCGACACAUGUUUAUUUUAUUUACAAACUUGUCACUUUAAUUUGAUUGAUUAUUGGUUAAUAGCAUCACCCUGAUACUACUUUUGAAAGGUACAUUUGGUUUUUUUGUCAUCAUGAAAGUGUUAUAUGUGGUCAAAUUAACAGUUUCAUAAUUAUAAUUGUUUUAAGAUAUGACGAAUGAGUCUAAAUAUCAUAUAACAUUCUAGGUUUAGGUCAUCAGUUUGUCGCUAACAUGACUUACACUUUUUUGGUUUUCAAUAUGAGGGUCAUCAUCAUUCUCGUCAAGCAAUUAUAUAUCGCCGUGAGAGGGAGUGAUUUGCUUCAUUCGCUGGUGAUUUCUAUGUCCUCAUGAUGGCUUCAUCUAUCAUUUAGCAUUGGAGUCCAUUGUUUUAUUUUCAUCUUCUCUCAUAUUUUUCUCAUUAUAGCCUGUUGAAAAAUUGAGUUGUCACUCCCCAAUUUUCGAAAGGAAAUUUUCAAAAUUUUUGGCAUGAUAUAACUUAAAAUAGUAUAAUCCCAAAACCUGCUUUCAACAAAAUUCAAGAAAAAUAAACUCAAGGCGAAAUGUAAAUUUACACACAACUCCAAAUUGAGUUAAAUAUUACAUUUCCUUGUUUACAUAAACUUGAAAGUCAAGAAAAUGAAACGCUCACAUGAGUUUAAUAUUGUCCAUCCCAAUGUAUAUAGAAAAAAUAAAUAUACAAAAAACAACCAAAACCCAACAAAAAAAAACCCUAGCCACUAGGUCUCCACCUCAACCCUGCUGAUCCUCACCUGCAGGUCUAACCCCUACACUAAGAAAUGGUGCACCGGGUUGUAAACAACAAACCUGGUAAGCUAAAAAGCUCGUAUGAGUAAACUCAAAAAUAACAAAACAUUUAUCACAUCCAAUAUUCCACAAGAGAGAUUUGAUCCAUAAUUAAAAACCACACAUCCAACACAUCACCCAAGAAAUGUACCCAUGAGUCCCAUAUAUUUAAUAAAAUACCCCUCAUGACCUACAACAACACUAUGUGUACCCAUGGGUCUCAGAUACCAUACAGUAUCUCCCAUGACCUACACUGACAGACGGACUAUAGUUCUAUUCCUAACCGCAACCAAUCACCCGGCCAAAGGCUUGAAACCCGGUUUGACUGUCUAAUAUCAAACACAAAAAUGAUAAAUAGCAUCUUAACCGCAACCAAUCACCAAAUUAAGGGCUUGGAACCCGGUUUGGCUAUUUAUCCAACAAUCAUAAUAUCACAACAUUAUCCUCACAACACAAUAUCACAUCAUUAUUCUCAACAACACAAUAUCACAUCAUGAAUUAUAUCCUACCACAUGAAUAUAUUUACAUGAACAAUUAUAGAUAUUCCACAAGAAUAAUCUAUCAAAAAUAAAGAAAAUUAUGAUCACAUGAAUCUCAAAAUAGCAUUUAAAGAAACUUGUUUUAUCUUACCUACGAGCCGUUGACGAUCAAGCUCAUAUAUUUUUAAAAUAAUUAAAAGCAUAUUAAUAAAUCUAACAUCAUCAUCAUUAUCAUCAUAUGACCAUAAUAAUAUUUGGUUUGAAAGUGAACCUUGGUGAGAUUUACUCACCUAGAUAUCCUGCUGCAAAACUCCCAACACAACGAAAGCAAGCCAAUCACAAAAUCACAAAUCACCUAAAAUCACACAAUUAAACACCUUAGAAACCAAAGUAGUAAAGGAUAACACAAUACCCUUAAACUAACCCUUAGCUCAAAGGGAGGACAACUUCCCAUUGUCGUUGAACUCAACGACACAAUAGAGCUGCCUCAACUCUUCAAAACCUAAACUCUAACCCAACCAAGCCAACACAAAUAAACUUAAGUCCUAACAUGCCAACCUUACUUAAAAUCUAGCCAUACUACCACUCAACAAGCUCACAGCAGCAAGGACUAGCUAACCACAGGAAACUAAGGCCGCAACUCAGCCGGACGCGACGCCACGCGCCGCCACGCGCGGCGGCGAGUGGCCCCCACGCGCCACCCCAAACUUCCGAAUUAGGAGAAACUCACAACAGCAAAGUUGAAGCUUGAAGCAAGGGGAACAACUUUCAUACCUGAGGUUUCAACCAAUUUUGGCCGGAACCGGCCGGAAACUACCCCGAACAGUGACCAGAAAAUUCAACUACAAAACCUGCAAAACCGGCCUCAAAACCUCAAAAACUUGCUUCAAUCCAUGCCUAGCCACAACUAGAAGGAGGAGAGGAUCAAAACUCACCGAGGUUUGCCUCUCGUCGCCGCCGUAUACGGCGGUUCCGACCGGUGGCACAACAGCCCCUUUUUGCCGGCCAAAACGUCGUUUCCGGUGUCCUACACCGAGCAGCAGCUGCCCAGCCUUGAAGAGGGCACUUGUGGGAGUCGAACGGGACCGGCGGCGGUCCAAAUGGCGGCCGGACGGCAGAGCUAGCUCCGGUAGAAGUUUGGUGUGCGGGUGAGUUCAGGAGAGGGAAAAGAGAGCAGAGAGGAAAGAGAGUGAAGUAAGUGGGGAGAGUGAGAAAAGAGAGAGCUGUUUAGUGUUAGGGUUUCCCAAAAUAACCCGCACACAUUUUUCUACUUAAACACUUUCCACACCCGGAACCUAAUUUCCUCUGACCAAAUUUUUCUCAUACGACAUCCGUUUUAGGCGUGCCGCAUGUCUACGAACUUGUAUCGACAAACUCUACAACUUUCAUGAAGAAAGUUUUCGAAGAUAACCUACGGAAAAUAAAGUCAACUUUUGGCCUCUUAAAAGUCAAAGCACUUUAAAUAAACUCCCGAAACUUCAAGUUCGCAUAAACCCAAGAAUUUUCAUAAAUAAUCCUUCAUUAAUUAAGGGAAUAAUACAAGGAAAAAUGAUAUGAAAAUCUAGGGUAUUACACGAGUUUUGCAUGCUUGAUCAGAAUUAUUAGUCUCCUUAUCAAAAGACGUCCUUGAGUAGCUUCAGGCUACUAGUCUAACGCAUCUCAUGCUUUUGGCAAAAUGGUUCAUGGUUGUACACUUUGUUUACACCCAAAUUAACAUUUUACCGAACAGUAAAUGUCUCGAGUGAAUACGGGCCAAAUCCGUGGCCUACGUCGCAUGUUAUCGACGAGCCUGAAAUAUUGGGUUUACAAGUGAUGGCCUACAACGAAAUCGUACGAGCUGAACGGUAAAGUUCGCAUGCGAGAUGGAGUUUGCAUGCAAAGAGACUUGCGAAGUUGCCAUGCGAGUUAGACAAGGCUUGCAUGCGAGGAGGUAGAGUUCGCAUAUGAGUUCGCAUAGAAGAAGGACUUCGCAUGUAAGGACUAGGAAACAUAAGUUAUCCAAAAUGACUGGUCGACUACGUUUAAUUGCUUGGUGGAGGACUUACGAAGUAGGUAUGCAUGCGAAAAGCUAGCAAUAUUUGCAUGCGAAGAGUUGGCUAUAGUUACAUGCGAAAAAGGAGAUCAUUAUCUUUGGAUUUGUAAUACAUGUUGCCAAGGUCUGAUCAUUAUCCCUCGUCUAUGUGUGAAAUAUAUGUGCAUGAAAAGGGCCUGGCUCGCGCGUGCGUUUAAUAUAUCGAACAUCGAAAUUAAGGGCAAUAUAUGUGCAUGCAAAAUAAUUUUGUGUAAAAUAUGCAAACAUAUAUUUUAAAGAUAGUCAUCGGGAAAGUUGUUAAAAAGUUUAUGUGUUGAACACAUAAUUAUAAAUUGAGCAACUCAUUAUAGUAAUUUGAUGAUACAGUUUGUAAUAAAAGAAUAAAAACUAAUGAUACAGUUUAUAAAUUGUGCAAAAUAAUAUAUGUGCAAUAUAUGUGCAUGCAAAAAUAUAAAAGAAUAAAAACUAAUGAUACAGUUUCAAAUAUAGCCCAUUUAUAAUAAAAGAAUAAAAACUCUUUAUAAUGAAAGAAUAAAAACUAAUGAUACAGUUUCAAUGUCAGCAACAUCAACAUGUUACCACAUUCGUACAUGUAUAAGGUCUUGCUUUUUCUUCAAGUUCCAGAGCUGUUGGUACCGAUUCCAUUCUGUAUUUGCAAUUGGUUAAUGGCUGUUCAUAGUUGUUAUUUGAAGGUAUCUUAGUGCAAAUGAUUGAUUUCUUUUCUUCCCGGUAAUCGUUGCUCCGUGCACUCCUGUUUUCCUUUUGCAUCUAACUGAAUUUAAUUACUCUUUCAAUUCCACAUUUUCUAUUUAUUCUGUGUCAUCAACUUUAUGUAUAUUUUGUUUUCAGAUUGGUUUACUUGCUUUGGGUUUCUAUUUGUGUUCUUAAUCUGUUCCUGAAUCAUCUCUUGCUUCCAUUUCCAAUGAAGGUUGUAUCGAUGACCUCUGUAAGAUAGGAACGCUUCAAUGCUUGGCCUAUAGAGUAAUAAAUCUUUUUCCAAAUUGGUAAACCCUAUAGAAAUCAAUGGCUAUAUAUGUAAUACAUCUUUUUCCAAAUUGGUUUGGUUUAAUUAAUGGAGACUAGCUUUCCUGAGAACUAUAAAUGUGCUAUAUAUAUUUGGUUCAAUCUGAGAACUAUAAAUUCACAAUUUUUAUGCAUUACUNNNNNNNNNNNNNNNNNNNNAGUGUAGUCUCUCACCUCACUUGCAUUUGAACUCUCAUAACCAAGCUCACUUUCUUGUACAUCACCAUCACUAUCAUCAUCUUUAAUUUGAAUUAAAGACUCAUGCUCAAGAUUGAUGUACACUUCUUCUCUUGGAAUAUGCUCCACUUGAUCAAAGAAAGGCUCUUUGCAAAUAUAAAGUGGUGCGAUGUUGCUCUUGAAGGAUGCUAGCUUUGACAUAAUCCAUGAUUGGACCGACACUCUCACAUGAUGCUUUAAAUUGAGCAAACAAUUAUGCAAUGGAUGAGUGUCUCCGCUCUCACACUUGAUCUUGAGGAGAUUGCUCAUAUCUCAUUUGGUAUUUCCAUCCAUGAUUCCAUCGUUCCAUAGCUCAAAUUAGUAAGAAAUAAGUACCUAUGGAAUCCCAAGAGUGACAUUAGUAACAAAAAAUUAAAAAGAAAGUAGAGAAAUUUUAUUAACACAUCCCUAAUUACUAGAUACACAUCUCAUUUUAAAUACACCACCUAUUGACUUUGUUAUUUUAACAUUCUAUUAGAUACACAUACCCAACCUUUCUACAAUACCCUCACUAAAUACACAAUCCAUUUACUAAAUACACGUACUUUUUUAGACCUGUUACUCAAUUUAUUCAAAAAAAGAAAAAGAAAAAAGAGAGGAUUAUAUAUAUAGCAUCAUCCCAAGUUCUAGUUUGGUGUCAGUUUGAACUACCUAGCAUGAGUGAAUAGUAGAAUCUAAAUUUCAAACUUCAAUUUGUACUAUCGAUAGUAAAUCCUUGAUAAUUUAAUAUUUGAUAAAUUAAUAACCUUGAUUAUAUAAUAUUUUUUAUCAGUCCCGAAAUAAAGAAUUAGCAAAAUUGUCGUCAAUAAAUUAACAAUCCCGAUUGAAUAAUAUUUUUUCCGGUCCCGACAUUAUUAAUUUAUAGAGGUUUAAAUUAUAGGGCUUGGUAUCUUCACAUACGUUGUUCUCGUAUAAAAGAAGAAAACUCUUAAGCGAGAUAUUUUAUUUCAACAAGUUUUCUUUACUUUUGAUAUGAAUGUCUCUUUUGGUAAUUUUACGUACCCACAAAGUCUUAUAUAAUUUGUAGAAAAAAAGAUAUGUGUAUCUAGCAUUUAGGGAUGUGUUAAUAAAAUUUCUCAAGAAAGUAAAAAAAUAAGCACACAAAACAUAACUAACUAACUGGAACAAUUUUUUUUUCUUUUUCCUUUUAUCAAAAAUAAACAAAACAUAAACAAAUAUGCUAAAGUGACCUAUGACCGAUUCACCAAGGGAUUAAGGCUAUUAAACCUUAAUCCCCGGCAACGACGCCAUUAAUUUGAAGAAAAUGAGAAAGCCAAGUCAGUGUCGUAUUCAUUCUUUUAUUUAUACGGUUCAGAAGACAAGCCAAGUUUAAUGAGAACUUCAAAUGGAGUGGUUUUAUUUAUACGAUUGGUGUGAGGACACGGCCAUGUAAAUGAUGUAAUUGAUAGUGAAGGUAACUUCACGAGAAUCAUGCUUGAAACUUGAAAGUAGGAGUCAUCAUGCUUGUUAAUAUUCGUUGUCUAAUUUUUGAGCUCUGAUCCCAAAAUCAAAAAAAAAAAGGCACGUGUGACACGAGCGGGAGUCAAAUUGAAUCGCAAAUAGAGACGUUGCUGGAUUGAGUUCGAUGGAUNNNNNNNNNNNNNNNNNNNNAAAACUUGUGAAUCGAGUUUUGCAUGCCUCAUCAUAAUUAUUCGUCUCCUUAUCAAAAGACGUCCUUGAGUAGCUUCAGGUCACUCUAAUGCAUCUCAUGCUUUUGGCAAAAUGGUUCAUGGUUGUACCCUAAAUGUCUCGAGUGAAUACUGGCCAAAUUUUACAAAGGUGAUGUGUUUAGAUGCACAUCUUAACAUGAUAUUUGAAUCUUUGAUGAUUCAAAUCAGAAAGAAUAUUUGUAGAAGAAGCUGGAAAAAAAAAACAUAACAAAAGAAAAAAUAUAUAUACUUUGGGGUAUUGCUAUUAACACACCUCAUCUAUUUUCAUAUCCACACAUUUUUAUUUUAUUUACAAACUUGCCACUUGAAUUUGAUUGAUUAUUGGUUAAUAGCAUCACCCUGAUACUACUUUUGAAAGGUACAUUUGGUUUUUUUGUCAUCAUGAAAGUGUUAUAUGUGGUCAAAUUAACAGUUUCAUAAUUACAAUUGUUUUAAGAUAUGACGAAUAAGUCUAAAUAUCGUAUAACAUUGUAGGUUUAGGUCAUCAGUUUGUCGCUAACAUGACUUACCCUUUUUAGGUUUUCAAUAAGAGGGUCAUCAUCAUUCUCGUCAAGCAAUUAUAUAUCGCCGUGAGAGCGAGUGAUUUGCUUCAUUCGCUGGUGAUUUCUAUGUCCUCGUGAUGGCUUCAUCUGUCACUUUAGCAUUGGAGUCCAUUGUUUUAUUUUCAUCUUCUCUCAUAUUUUUCUCAUUAUAGCCUGUUGAAAAAUCGAGUUUUACAUGCUUGAUCCGAAUUAUUAGUCUCCUUAUCAAAAGACGUCCUUAAGUAGCUUCAGGCUACUAGGGCAUCUCAUGCUUUUGGCAAAAUGGUUCAUGGUUGUACACUUUGUUUACACCCAAAUUAACAUUUUACCGAACAGUAAAUGUCUCGAGUGAAUACGGGCCAAAUCCGUGGUCUACGUCGCAUGUUAUCGACGAGCCCGAAAUAUUGGGUUUACAAGUGAUGGCCUACAGCGAAAUGGUACGAGUUGAACGGUAAAGUUCGCAUGCGAGAUGGAGUUUGCAUGCAAAGAGACUUGCGAAGUUGCCAUGCGAGUUCGACAAGGCUUGCAUGCGAGGAGGUAGAGUUCGCAUAUGAGUUCGCAUAGAAGAAGGACUUCACAUGUAAGGACUAGGAAACAUAAGUUAUCCAAAUUGACUGGUCGACUACGUUUAAUUGCUUGGUGGAGGACUUAUGAAGUAGGUAUGCAUGCGAAAAGCUAGCAAUAUUUGCAUGCGAAGAGUUGGCUAUAGUUACAUGCGAAAAAGGAGAUCAUUAUCUUUGGAUUUGUCAUUAACAUGUUGCCAAGGUCUGAUCAUUAUCCCUUGUAUAGGUGUGCAAUAUAUGUGCAUGAAAAGGGCCGGGCUCGCGCAUGCGUUUAAUAUAUCAAACAUCGAAAUUAAGGGCAAUAUAUGUGCAUGCAAAAUAAUUUUGUGUAAAAUGUGCAAACAUAUAUUUUAAAGAUAGUCAUUGGGAAAGUUGUUAAAAAGUUUGUGUUGAACACAUAAUUAUAAAUUGAGCAACUCAUUAUAGUAAUUUGAUGAUACAGUUUGUAAUAAAAAAAUAAAAACUAAUGAUACAGUUUAUAAAUUGUGCAAAAUAAUAUAUGUGCAUGCAAAAAUAUAAAAGAAUAAAAACUAAUGAUACCGUUUCAAAUAUAGCCCAUUUAUAAUAAAAGAAUAAAAACUCUUUAUAAUGAAAGAAUAAAAACUAAUGAUACAGUUUCAAUGUCAGCAACAUCAACAUGUUACCACAUCCGUACAUGUAUAAGGUCUUGCUUUUUCUUCAAGUUCCAGAGCUGUUGGUACCGAUUCCAUUCUGUAUUUGCAAUUGGUUAAUGGUUGUUCAUAGUUGUUAUUUGAAGGUAUCUUAGUGCAAAUGAUUGAUUUCUUUUCUUCCUGGUAAUCGUUGCUCCGUGCACUCCUGUUUUCCUUUUGCAUCUAACUGAAUUUAAUUACCUUUUUUUUUUUUUUUUGGUUACAGGAAGGGAUCAAAACAGACCCAAAACAAAGAAUUUAAUUACUCUUUCAAUUCCACAUUUUCUAUUUAUUCUGUGUCAUCAACUUUAUGUAUAUUUUGUUUUCAGAUUGGUUUACUUGCUUUGGGUUUCUAUUUGUGUUCUUAAUCUGUUCCUGAAUCAUCUCUUGCUUCCAUUUCCAAUGAAGGUUGUAUCGAUGACCUCUGUAAGAUAGGAACGCUUCAAUGCUUGGCCUAUAGAAAUCAAUGGCUAUAUAUGUAAUACAUCUUUUUCCAAAUUGGUUUGGUUUAAUUAUUGGAGACUAGCUUUCCUGAGAACUAUAAAUGUGCUAUAUAUAUUUGGUUUCAAUCUGAGAACUAUAAAUUCACAAUUUUUAUGCAUUACUUUUUCUGUAUUGUAGUAAUUUGAUAUCAGAGAGCACGAUGAAGAUGAUUCAGAAUUCUCCUUCAUUGGCGGAGUCCCCAAGAAGCUGUGGUGCCGAAUUUUCAUCGUCCAAUCCGUAGUUCCAAAAUGAAAAAUAGGUUUGUUUUGUGUGAUUGUAAUUCUGGAUUAAUGAGUAUUCGUACUGUAUGAGAUCUUAUUGGUUCAUCGAUAUGAGUUUUUUGUAUUUGGAUAAUGUAGUUUUUUUGCUGGAGAUGCUCUAAAUGUGUUUUGUUUUCAUUCGAGGUUCUCCGCUUAAAACUAUUGUAAAUGUAUUUUUAAUGUAUGCUCUCUCAUGAGAUAAACAAAAUUGAACUUUCGUGAUAUUGUGUUUCCUUCUGGCAUUUUGUUAUUAGGUUUUGGAUUGAUGACUAAGUUAUACAUUAUAAUUGUUCUAAAUGUUAGCUACCUAUAAAUGACUACCCUAUUUCUUUUUUAUUCUGUAGUCAUGAAACUAAUGUUUUUCUUUGGAUUUUUCAGGUAACAAGCUUUGAAGAGGGCAAAUGAGUUUUAGCAAGGUACACCGUUUCUAAUCAUAUUACGUCUUCAGUUCUUAAAAUGAAUUUUAGUUUUUUAAUUGAUAGUGCUUGCAUUUCAUCCACGAUGCUGCCAAGCAGAACCUGCAAGACCGCAGACUUCACUUCUUAAAUCACACCACAAGUGCAAAGCAGAGACCAGACAUAUGCAUUUGAAAAAAAGUGUGGAAACAAAUAUAUCAUCUCAAAAUAGGUAGACAAUAUAAACCUGACGAUGCUAAUUACGUGUUAAGCUGUUUUUGUUUUCAUAUUGGACUCUUAAUUGGCCCUUAUACCUUAUGACAAUGCUAAUGCAUUUGAUCAGCUUUUUCUAUACAACAAUGCAAACAUUCUAGAUUAUGACAUGAAAGUUUUGAAAAUGUUAUCCCCUCAAGGUAUGAGGUCCCUAUGUGGUUCAGAACUUAAGGGGGGCUCAUUUUGAUUUCAUACAGGUAGUAUAUGAAAAAUGUUUAACUUUGAUGUAUAUGUUCUUAGAUUGAUUUUCCAUUUCAAGUAGUAAACUAGCUCUGCCAAAAAAAAAAAGGUGUAUAUUAGCAGGAAUGUUUAUGUUUUCUUUUCUUUUUCUUCCAUCCUUCUAAUAUUUAUACCUUCUGACUUGGACUUUGUAUUUGUCAGCACGAUCUCAUUUGUAUUAACUAAUGCUAAUGUCAAAAUCUCGAAUACGCAGUAUUACAGUACCUAGUUGGUCUCAUAGCCAAGAUUUAUAGUUCUGCAUUGUUAUGUACCCGUUCAAUAUUUGUAGCCAAGGUUUAUAUCGUAUUUCUCUUCUUUUGCAUUUCAUUAGCUCAUAAGCCCUUCAUAUUGUACUACAUGGUCUAGGUCAAUAGGCCCUUCAAAUUGUCCUUGAUGCUACAAUACACAGGGAGGAUGUAUUUAAGUCUUUAACAGGGGAGGGGCAUACACUGGCAGUUUGGAACAUAGAUCUAUCCAAGUUAUAAACAGUUUUUUGGCACACAGAUCGAGCUGCAUCUACCUAAAAUGUUCAAUGAAUAUGUGUGAUGUGCAAUUUGUAGUUGAGAUGCUGUACUUGGGAGAAUCACUUGAGCAACUCUUACAAUUAGCUCUACGGAGGAAGUUUGUAAUGUUUUCUAAUAGUUUAUUAAUUAUUUGACCGGAGACAAUUACAUUUUUUGACUGUAUUGUUGCAUGUAACGUAAACUAAUGUUAAAAGCGAAAAAAUAUUAAACGCACGCGCGAGCCAGACCCUUUAUAAAUAAUAUAUUGCACACAUAGAAACUUUCCUUGUGAUAUCAAACAUAUAUUUUAAACUUUCCCGAUCACUAUCCUUGUGAUAUCAAACAUCGAAAUUUAGAGUUUUUGUAAUAUAACAAUAUUUCAUUUCCGUAAGGAGAAAUUUUAUUCACACGUACUAAAUUUCUUAAUGCACACCAUUAUUUUUUGGAGUCACCACGGCUGGAACUGCACAAGGGCUUAAACUUUCUCUGAUCAAGCCUUUCUUCAUUGCUCCCCCUAGCCCCUACAGUUAAGCAGCAAAAACCCAGCCUGCCUCAUCAGUAUAACCGUUUCUAAAGUUCUUGAGAAAAAAAAAGAAACCAACUGCUCCUCAAACUACUCAGACCUCAUUUAAAUCAAUAAUAAAGUAAAAUGAAAUUAGACAUAAAAAAAAAAUAUUUAAAUAAAUAAAAUCAGGACAUCACACAAAUGAUAACCCAUAACAAAAAGUUUUUGAAGCCCUAUUAUUCUUCUCCGUUUGUUUAUGAGAGUUCACACAAAAAAUGCAAGCAGAUGAUGGAAAUAUGAUAUAUUCAAAGAUGGACAAUAGGAAAUGCAUAAUUAGAUGUAAAUAUGGAUGUGAUUCUCAGUAUGCAAAUGUCAUCCAUUAACAUUCUACUACAUGAUCAUCACCAAACCUAUCAAAUUUGAAUGAAGCUAAAACACAUAUACAUACUCAUAAUCUGUAAAACUAUCCACAUAUGUUACAAUAUCUUUCCACUCCUUUCAUUUCUUUUUUAUUCAAAUCAAAAAACACUAAAUCAACAGAAGAAAAAAGUAACCUGAAUUACAGAGACCAUCCACAAAUAGGCACAGCAACAGCAACCAAAAUCUACCAGCAAAAUCAAAAAAUAAAUAGUUAGCCUUAAAAGUUUAUACAGUAUACAGUGAACAUAAGGAGACAAAAAUUUCUUAUCUAAUUUCUGAUAUACAUACUACCCCCUCACCUUCUAAAACAGGAAAAACCAUGAAUGAUGAUAAGCCAAUUGAGUAUGGUAACUCUGUAAAACACACCAUUCAAAUCAUAAAGCCAAUUGACCAGCUCACAUCCACAAACAUUAAAAAUGAAAUCGAGGGAAAAUUGAAAGGAUUACAAAGACCUCAAAAAGAGACGAAGUCACUAUCUUCCAGAGCAAACCAAAUCCAAAAACUAUCUAGUCCUCUUCACCAUAGUUUCAAUAGCUGAUACUGUAACGACAAUAAGAAAACCCAUAAUCAGAAUCCAAUUUAUACAAAACCCUAACUAAAAAUGGAACAGGAAAUUUGUUGAAGGUCGCCAUAUAAUCCAUAACAGCAUUCUUCCGCAAUUCGGUAGUAGAAUAGAAUGCAGCUGCUACAUAUAUAGACAAUUGUUUCCCCUCGAGCUAUAGAAUUACAAAAUGCAUAAUUAGGGUCAUAUAAGUAAUAGGCCAUUAACCAAUAAAUUUUCAGCCUGUAUCACUGUCAUUAUCUUGAUAUUCAGUUUGGAUAGUUUUUGACUAACCAUCUAUAUAGAAGCAUAUAGAGAAAUUAGAGUUACCUUUACCACCUUAAUGCGCCGUUUGCUUCCUGCGUGCAGUUUAUGCAUCUUAGAGCCUCAAAUGGUGCCUACUCCGCCAGAUGAAAACGACAAAUAGAAACAAAACUUCAUGAGAUUGAAGAAUUGAGUAGUAAGCAAAAUUGCAUACAAAUUAAAACAACCCAACCGCAUUUAAAUGACAUCACCAGAUCACACGUGUAAGUCUGUAACCAAAUAUAUCCGGUUCCUUCAGAAUGGAGAUAGGAAGAAAACUUGGAACUAAUUAACUUAAUGAAGACAAAAAAUUAUAAAUGUAAUCAAAUAUAUAGGAUUCCUUCAAAAUAUAUAAAAAUUAGAGCAAACUACUAAAGGUAGUAGAGUUUAAGAACACCCAGAGAAAAGUAAUUGAAGCAAAGUACCCAAACCGAUUCACUGGUUAAAUAGACGGUUGAAUCUGCAAUCAACGAUUCUGAUACCAAUCUUUUACUAUCUCUGGGUUUUAGUUUGCUCUGCUCCUCAAUCUGUGUGAGUUCCACAUAAAUUUAUCACCAAAGGUAGUAAAGGAAAAAGAAUCAUAUACCACAGAAUAGAAAUAAUUGAACAAUACCUUUUAUUACCAAAGACAGCCAAAUUGAAAAAACAGUAUCUUUCCUUCUUUCAUCACACAAUCCCCAAAGAAGUACCCUUUAAGCUUAAUUGAUUAUGAUCUUCUCUUUCUGCAGACCAGCACUAACAGAAAAAAAGAGUAGAUUAGAAACGCAACUAAAACAAACUCCGAUUAAUCUUAGUUUCAAAUUCUCACAUUGCAAAGCUGCACAAGUAAAAUAUAAAGAUGCAUUUGUUUUGAAAAUAAAUUAAAAGUGUACCUCAAAACUUCAUCCAAUCCCGCCCUCUUUCAUCAUUCAAAAUCUCAAUCUCACUUGCUCUGCAUCGAAUGGAAAAAAAAGUUAAAAGAAGAAGAGGAUUAUGUGAUAGAACUAAAAGAAAAGCAUGAGAAAUUAUGGACACUAAUCUGGGAUGCCUAAAUGGCUACACAUUUGCAGAUAACAAAAAAGGAAGCUGUUAUGCCCCUUGAUAGGUUAAUUGAUCAAUCAAUAAAGUUAAACAUGCACAAAAAAAUGCAAAUCGUUUCAGUUAGUUAACAAUCGAAAACAGUAUAGAUGGAACGAUAAACAAACUCAGGAUUAUAAAAUCACUUACUCAUAGUUUACAUUACUUUCUCCAUACCUUAAAUCAAAGAAAGAAGACAAUAUACAUAUAUGAUCCACAUAUUAAAAAUAUAAUAAUAAUAAAUAAAAAAAACUCUAUCAGAAAAAUGCAAAAUUAAUUUUACAUGCUUAGCCACACUCAAGCCUGAAUACCCCCUUUCAAGCUUCAUUUUCAGCCAAAACUAAACAGAUAUAUAUAUUUAUUUCAUUGGACAUGUUAAAAAUUCAAAUACUGAUAGUUCACAUGUGAGGUCCAUGCGCUGCUUUGGUAACUAAAGGGUUGGACCUCCGUGCAAGUCUCAAUUUGCAAACAGAUGGAGGAAUAAUUGAGUUUGGCCAAUCGAGAGACUGAUCAUUGUGAUCAAACGUGGAGGUUUGUCCGCGGUCAGCUCUUUCGUAGAGAACGUGGCUUUUGGUGUGUGGGAUUAUGUGGUCAAACGUGGGAUGAAAUUUGUCCGGAGAAAGGGUGUGCGCGACGUGUCAUUUGUCCAUGCGCGACGACAUUUGUCCGCGCACGAUGGCCAUGCGAGACCAAUUUGUCCGCGCACAAUGGCCAUUCUAGACCAAUUUGUCCACGCACAAUGGUCAUGCGAGACCAAUUUGUCCACGCACAAUUUGCCCGUGCGAACUGAAUUAUCCGGAAAUGCCCAUGCAAAAUGAUACAUGUUUGAAGAAAAAAAUAUAUGAUUUCACAUAUAAUGUGUUGUGCAAAUACAAUGUAUAAUUGAUUCACAACACUAACUGCACGAUAUAUUUCUUAAUUGAUAUUAGAGCUUAUCCACAAUAGUAAAUACCCAAUGUGUUUCCUUAUGGUCAUUAGAUUUGAUUCACCAUGUGCUUCCUUGAUGGUUAUUUUCUAACUAAAGACUAUUGCCAUUGUUCAUCACCAACACCUUUGAAAGAUGAUACCUGCAAAGAAAAGGGAAACACUACUAGAAACCAAUAACAGAUAACCAAAUUGAUGCUUGCAAGCUGCAACACACUAUACUUUAAAAUGACUUUCAUCAUCUGCUAAGGAAAAUGUCAUUAAUCUGUAAUAUCAGAACAUACAGAUACAGUUUAUGCAUCCAAUAAAUGGAAAUCCAGAUAAGGGUUGUACUUUUUCUGGUCUGACAGAGAAGGGUGGGAUGGUCAGGAACACCACCAUUUGGCACUUGAUUUGAUUAUGGGGUACUAUCAUCCAAUAUCAAAAGGCCAACACAAUAUCUUGUUAUGCCUAAUUGCUAUAUCAGUGAAGCUUGUAUUUUUAGUUCAAAGUUCAAACCACCUACCUAAUAUAACAAGUCAAUACUAAUUAGCAUAACAAAAUUUGCCAAGAAGCAAAUGCACCAAACCUAGCGCUUCUGCUGCUCUUUUCUGGCUCUCUUCGCUGUAAAGCUGUAAAUGCCAACAAGCAUGCUCAUAAGAAAUUCCCUCUGAUCCAUUUCAAGUGUUUAUCCAAGCCUUGAGCCACCAUCUCCAUCUCAGGCUGCACAGAAAAAACCAUCAUCAAGAAACUGAUCCCAAACGGAACAACAAAGUUAGGAAGGAAAGUCAAUUUCUCAUGAUGCAUGUGUACAUUGAUUAGAGGCCAGCCAGGUCAUUAAAAAUAUUAUAUCUAUAUAUAUAUAGCCACAGACUCGCAAUGUUUUUGAUUCAAAAAAGACUCGCAAUGUCGGUUUGAAGUAUUUACUCGGAUUGAGCAUAAGAUAAUUUUCUUAACUAGAAAAUGUAAAACAAAAACCAUUAAACAAAGAGAAAAUAUAUUCUUAAUAACACCGUAACAAAGGUAAAAAAAAUACAGGUGAAGAAUAUACUGAAAAACUAUAAAGCAAAUGCCCUAAGAAAAAUAGCUCUCAGACAAUAUAGGAACAUGAAUAGAGGCUGUUAGUGCUAUGAGUCAAAAAUUGUUGCUUUGUUGUGGUAAAGUUGUUUGAUGAAUUAUAGAGCACGUACCGAGGACUCCUCGGGAGGGAAAAUCCGCCAAACAAGGCAUAUCUUUGACAGUUCCACUACUGCUUCUGCGUGUUUACCUUGCAUCACUAAAGCUUGCAAUCAACAAGAAUAAAACAUUAAGUGCCAAAAAUUCACAGUUAUGUUUCCAACUGUACUCCAUGGUUUUUGGAGUACAUAAUUGAUAUAAUUUUCUAAAUUGAUUUUAGAGUUCUAGACCACUGACAUUGACUAACCCAACUCAGCCGUAUGACUACAAUUAGUGAUAGCCAACAUGAAAGGAACAAUCAAAUCUGAAAAACUGAAAACUCCAAAUACAAUAAACUUACCGUCUACGAAUCUGAUCCAGCCCUUCACCCACAAAAUUUCCAGGGAAGUUUUUCACAAAAAGUUCAACAUUCUCAAAAGGAUAGUGGAUUUAAGCACAAGGCAUGGAACCACUCAUGAACCAUUGUUCAAACGCAUGAAAAGAUAAUUAAACAAGUCAAACAUCUAUAUCAUUAGGCAGACAUCAGUGGUUGAGCAAAUUGGUUCACUACAGAAUACUCUUUAUAAAACAUGAAAAACCAUGAAUUCAUAAUUGGCGAUAUAUUGAAACUACUCCCCCACUUUAUAAAGCAGGAAAAACCAUGAAUGGAUGAUAAGCCAAUUAAGUAUGGUAACACAGUAAAACACACCAUUCAAACCAUAAAGCUGAGCCACAAAGAAACAAUAACAUUGUAGGCCAAGUUGAAAGAAAAGACGAUACAUUUUAGAAUAGCUGCAACGAGAAUAAGCAAGCCUGAAUCUAAAACUACAUAAAAACCAAAAUGUGCAAUUAAUCAAAAACAUAAUUAUCGAGGAAUCUGAAGAAAAUAGAAAACAACAUUGUAGAGAUAAGCCGGCUACCUGAAUUUGUUCCAGAUGAAAAAGUUGAGCUUCUUGGAUGGCAUAAGCUCCUUCAUCCAAGUAGUCCGGCUUUUGAACGAGGAAAAUAACAAUAGGGCAGGUAAUUAGAUCAGAAACAGUUCGGAUGUCAAAAGAAGAUCAAAAUUCAGAUUCACAAUAUAAAAAACGAAAUAACAAACUUAGGACCUGAAAAAAUAUAACCCCUUACAGCCUCACACACACAGAGCACCACCUUCAAUCUAAAAUCCAAUUCCAAAACACAUGCAGAACAACAAACCAAACAGUUAAAGUAAAAAGGAAGCGAAAUACUUAUCAAAGUUGAGGAAACAUUCGAGUGACUACAAUACUCAAACUCGUACUCCAUCAGUCAAACUUGUACUCAUUCUUCAGGUCAUCUCUUUACCUCAGGAUAAUCCACAAAACAUAUGCUUGAAUUAAUUUUGGUUUAAAGAAAGGAUUGCUGAUCUAAAAGUGAAAAUAAAAUUCAGUGUGAAAGACGAAUUCCUUACCAGAUUUAUAGGAUCUAAACGCGAUUGUCUUUCCACUAAGCUCCAGAGCUGCACAUUAAUCACCAAAAAGAAUUUUAAGCACAUUUAACAGCAAACUCUAAUAGGUUUUUUAACCUUUACAAUACUAAAAACAAAAGUAAAGAAGCAAUUGUCACCUUUCAAGCAGCAUUGCCCAGUACAAAAGAAAGGAAUAAAUUGCAAAACUGAUACAGCAAUAAUGAACUUGAAGAGCAUGACCAAGUUGAAAAAUCCAUGUUGAUAAUAAGUAUCAUUGCAGUAGGCAGCUAUUCAUAUAUUCAAGUGCAUCAAUCAUAUUGCAUCAAAUAAAGUAUUCCAAGCAACCAAUUUUAAUUAAAAUCCUUAUCAGACUGCGCUAAACAUAUAAUGAAAUCAGAAAUUACUCACAGCAUUGCAAGACUGAGGCAAUAGAUCAGUGACACCAAUUCCCCUGAUAUAUUGUUGUGCUCUAACCUCCUGCAAUAAUUUUCAUCAGUGGCAACAAUAUCAAAACGAAAACGUCAAGUCUCAGUACCUAAAUAUCCUAAACUUUGGACCACAAUUGACAUGGGCAGUUACAGUGAGAACAAAAAAUUUCACAGUUGGGAUAAAAUCAAGCUACCCAUAUAGAUGCAACAGCAUCUAUAUCAAACCUAAAACUCACUUUCCAAGCUUCACUUUUCAUAUCUAGUCGGUCCCAAUCCAAUUUAAGACCAGCUCUUUAUAUUCACAAACUUUCCAAAACAAACACCCAAUUUAUAACCAAUGCACAUUGCACUAUCAACGCCAUAUAUAAUCUGAACCCACAAAACCCACCAAAAAUUGAAAACACUUGCUUUGAAAGGAAUACACCUUAUAAACCCCAAUGUAAGUCUAAUUAAACACUUGCUUUGAAAGAAAACAUAUCAAUAAUUAUACCUGUGUAACCCGAAAACCCAGAAUUACCUUCCCUAUUCUUGCUGAUGAUACGCUGUAAAUUUCGUCAAGAUCAGAAAGAGAUCAAAAUAGAUUAGAAACAGUUCAAAUUUCAAAAAGAGAGCAAAGUAGAUCGAAAUUCAGAUUCACAAUUUAAAAAACGAGAUAAAAAAACUUAGGAGAAGUAAUCAUGGAAAAAUAUAACCCCCUUAUAGCCUCACACACAGAGCACCACCUUCAAUCUAAGAUCCAAUUCCAAAACACAUGCAGAAGAACAAACCAAAUACAUAUCAAAGUUAAGGAAACAUUCGAGUGAACCCAACGGUUCUCAAGUAAAAGUGGUGCACAAUUCCUAAAUGUCACACUUUCCUUGGCAUGACUUUAAUACAGAUACAGAGAAGUCAUGAAAAGAUUAAAGCUCUUCCCUUUUUUCUAUAUAUUGUUCGGUAACAUUGAUAAGUACUAUCAAAAUCGGGUUUACAGAUUGGGGCUUGGGGAAACAAAUUCAAACAAAUAGGAACUCCUCAAUAAGUUUGAAGCACAAUUCUCAAGCACGGAAACCAAUCUUCGUGCUUGGUUUUAUCUAACGGAUCAGAUAAAAACUGUAAAUAAACAUGAAAUGAGAGCCAAAAACCCAAACUAAGUGUAAACUUCAAAAAUUCAUUUCUCACCUGAAAUUGAACAAACAGGAGAAGCUUGACAAUCACAACUACCGAAAUCCUCUUUCUCUCUGUCACAAAAAAGCAGUCAAUCCAAAAUUCGAUACCCAUAUCUCAAAUUGCCAAUAAAUCGAAAACACAGAACCAAAUUUCAAAUUUACCAUGAAAAAAGAAAACCAUAUGAUAACCCAAAACCAAAACUGAAAUCAAACAAAGAAUUACCCAGACUGCUAUGCCAAUCGACCGGACAAGAACAACAGAAAAAGCAUUAAACUUUAAUAAGAGGAUGGUGAAAAACAGGAAAGGAGAUCAAAGCAAUUGAACUAGUAAUUACAUUCAUCAUCUUUAGUUUCCAGCCAGGUCCAGUUAUCUCUGCAAAUUUGUAUUUUGGUGGCACUCAAAACCAAAAAGAAGAAAGAAACAAAAAUCAUAUUGAUACUCAGAUUAAGCAAACAUGAAAAUUAAAUCAAGCAGAAGAAAGCAAAGUUUUCUUUCUUUGAAGCCACUAUAUAAUCGAUAAAGUUUUCUUUAUUUGAGUACAUUCCAUCUAAAGUUUGUAACUCUACCUGAAAAACUGCUUAAAAAUGAAACUCAAAUCAGCAAAAGCUAUAUAUUGGAAUUCGGUGCAAUCCAUCAUUGAGGUGCUUGACUGCAGAGCAGACAAACGCCGAAUCAGCACAAAUGAGGUAAUGGGAACGGUUAUCCUUCUUAAAAUGAUAAGCUCAAUCUCAAACAGUAUAAAAAACCACACAAACACGGAAUGAAAAAAUUUGAAAAUUCAAAAGCACUAAACUUAUCUAUUCGAUCUGAGCAGAGGAUUGGGAACUUGCCAAAUAUAUAGUCCCACGAAUCCAUCUUGGGGAAAUUAUAUUGCACUCUUUGCAUUCAAACACCAAAUUCUUGCCACAAAAAAAAUUCAAAUGAAAACACAAUAAAAAUUCAAAUGCAAACGCAAACGCAAAAGCCAAUAAAGUCAAGCAUAACAACGUCAAGAAUAUACCUGAGAAACUAACAAAUUGGAUCCCGCCCAAAAUCAACCAAACUCAACCAGGCAUGUUAACAAAUCCUCCAUAGAUUUUCACUCAAAGAUAUCUCAUCAGCUCUACACCGAAAAUGGAAAAAAAAAAAUAAUGGAUAGAACCAAAAGAAAAGGAUAAGAAAUACUGAGACAUUAAAACUGCUCAAAAUAUGGACAAAUAAGAACAAAAUGGUCUUCAAGGGUGGGAUAUUUUUUUUUACCAAGAUCAAAGGCCAAAGCGGCUUGAACUCUAUUUGAAUCACAUAACACAGUUAUGGGAACAAAUUAAACCCUGGACAAAGAGCAAUAUUAGAAUCUCGAAACAGAUCCGAAAAUAAAAAGCAUACAAAACAUGCACAAACCCAAAUACUAUUCUCUCUUUCCAUACCCAAAUACUAUUCUCUCUCACUUUAUCAAUGCUGGUCUCGCUUUGAAUUUUCUGCUAGUCUCAUCGACUCACGUUAUUGCUCGUUACAAAUCAUAUUCAGAUUAUAGAAAUAACCCAAUAGCACAAAGUGGAGAACUGUAAAGUACUCACCAGAGCUUGCAGCAGUUGUUGUGGGAUAUCAAUAACUAACCUGGAAAAUAUGCAUACAUGAUUUUCAAUGGGAACUGUGGCCAUAUGCAUAAAAUAUUUGAGCAGAAACUAUCUGAAUGGCAUUUCAUGUCAUCUGACCGUCAAUCUAGACCGUUAAAAAAAUGAGGUCUAAAUAGGGUCGAAAACAAAACAUACCGGAUAAUAAAAUGAGUGAUAAUUAAGAGAAAGGUUUACUUACUUUUUGCCUAAAAAUUUGCCCAUCCGAGGCUCCCAUCUCCCACACUUAUGCAAUGGCACUCCUCUAUAUUUUGAGCCGCCUCUAGGGAACCGGUACUUUGUGGGCAAAGUACAUGCACACAUUCCUCCUUUGUUAAAUUGCUCAUCCGUUCAGCAACAUAUUACAAAAGAAUAUAAUCAAUCUUCCCCAUAUCCAUAAAAUGACGAAAUAAAUAAAUAAAUAAUUGAAUAGCUGGUUUUACUGUUGAAGAUAAGUUAUAAAACUGUUCAUGAUAAGUUAUAAAACUUCAUUACCAAUAUGACAGAAAACAAAAACAUGAAUUUUCAAAACCUCGAUCCAAGGCUAUACUAACAAAGGCGCAUGUGUCACUAUAAGAAACACAUGCAAAAAAACCCUCAUUUAGUAAAAGAAACCUGCAUGGAAAAAGCUUGUGCAAGUUCAAGUUGUGGUAUAUCUAGUAUUUGUGUCAACUUAUUAAACUUGACCAUUACACGAAAUGUAUCUCUUAUUUUUAAAUGAAGAGCUUGUGUGUUGGGCUAACGCAUUGGUAUUAAAAGUAUCUCUGUUAAACUUGACCAUUACACCAAAUGUAUCCCCAAUUUAACAACAAAUGUAUCUCUUAUUUGCACAACGCAGUUCAAGAGAUUGACAAAUUGACCAAUGCGUUGGUUGAUUUGGUAAAAGAGUAGGUACACCAGAUUUGACAAAAUAUAAUUUCAGCGCAGAAAGAAAGAAAUACAGUUUUCUUUAUGUGAGUAUAUUGCAUGUAAACUGUAACCUGAUAAACUGCUGAAAAAUGAAAAUCAAAUCAGCAAGCUAUAUACUGGAAUUCGGUGCAAUCGAUCAUUGAGGUCCUAGCUACAGAACAGACAAACACCGAAUCAGCUCAAAUCAGGUAAUGGGAACGGUUAUCCUUCUUGAUGAUAAGCUCAAUCUCAAACAGUAUAAAACCACACAAAAACGGAAUGAAAAAUUUUGAAAAUUCAAAAGCACUCCACUUAUCUAUUCGAUCUGAGCAGAGGAUUGGGAACUUUCCCAAAUCUAUAGUCCCACGAAUCCAUCUUGGGGAAAAUUUAUCAUAUACACAAUAUUCAUGCUCCUCCUCCUCACAUCAAAAACCCAAUAUCACAACCCUAAACUCCCGCACCAUAGAACCCCAAAUCAGUCAUACAAACCUGAAGUCUUAUUUCGACAAAAAAAAAAAAAUGCAGAAUGAAAAAAUAAAAGCGAAAUUGAAGCCCUCCCCUUCAUCAAUUUGAAGAUGAAUAAAUACCUUUAUAAGGAGGCCACAUAUUUUUCUAUUGUUACAGCGUUUAUGAAGCAUAUUUUUCUAUUGUUACAGAGUUCAUGAGGCAUCUUCAUAAUUAGACGCUGGAAAACUUGUGCCUAUGUUUCCAGUACUUAAGUGCUGCUGAAUAAGAUGCUGCUGCUGCAAAUUCUUGGUCAUCAAAAGUGCCUGCAUAUACAUCAGAUCAAAUUAAUGUGCUGUUAAAAUUUACCGAGUAACCAACAAAUCUCAUAUUGGGUUGAAAAAAAAAUGCUAAAACAUAAUGAUAACUACUUGUUCUCUAUCCCAAAACUGACCCUGUAAACACUCCCAACUCCUCAAUUCCCUAAAUUUGCCGUCAUAAUUGAAGUUGUUUGUUGCUGUAAGUUCCCUCAAGGUAAAGAGCAUCCACGUCGGCUGCUUUUCUUUUUUUCCUUGUUUUUACCUAUACAACAAAUUACAAUCAUCAAAGCAUGCGGUUACUAAUAUUUUAUGACGAUCAAUUUGAAACUAUGUAUAACCUUCUAUUCUACAUAUCAAACAUCAAAGGCAUCGAAAGGUCAUACCUUCAUAUUCCAACGAAAACUAUUCCAUAGGUCUCCAGCCUUCUUCCAUUAAUUAACAAUACAUGUAUCUAAAGCCAAAGAAAAAUUGUUAGGACAAAAAAGAAAAUACAAAGAGAAACCAUAGAACUUUGGUUAUCUUAUUUUGAUCCUGUUGUAUUAUGAGACUUAUAAAUAACCUUAACAUUUUCUGACCAUAAUAGACCCAUCAAUAUAAUAGAACAGCUCUGAGUAAACACAAAAGGUUCCCAAAAAUACCUUUCAGUAGACCUAAUAAGGUCUCCACUCAAUUUUUCUUUAAAUUGAAUAAAAUAAAAUAGACCUCUUCCACCAUUCACAUUGCUGACAUUACCCUCCCAUCUACACACCAGAAAUGCAUACUUCAAAACUGAACUGAAUAAUUUCCAACAAUGACUAGGACACAAUUGCUUUCAACGGAACUCACAAUUAAUACAACUUCUCUAAUAAAAGUAAGUUCAUUUCAGUACCGCUAUUUUUCCCCAAUUUGUAAAUUUUGUUCUCAGGUCUGAUCUUAACUCCUUUCCUAAUUUAAUUCCAGGGAAAUAUAUGUAUCUAAAGCCUUACGACUGGUAAAUGUUCAAGUUCAUGGUUUAUGUAAUACACAUACAUAAAAAGAAGUUGCGCUCUUACGGCUGGUAUUUGUAGUAUUCCUCCUCCAUUCUGUGUGGCAUUAGCAGUACUUGGAGCACACAGUGUACCACAUGUAGUACAUGAGACAAACAUUUGCCCUGCUAUAAACACAUUAUAAGAGAACACAUUAGUUGGACCAAGUAAGGGUAGAAGAGAUUCAUAAAAAUCAGUAAUGCAUAGAGUGCAAGAUAUAAAUGAGUAUAUUAGUCUCUCUUUCUUUUGGUCUUCCUUAAAGGAAAAUAAAUCUUCAGUUCCAUUAUAUUUCAUGAUAUGGCAAAAUACAAAUCAGGGCAGUGCAGAAAUAAAUAUCUAUCAAAUCCUACUAACCAAAUUUUGAACCUUUGACUUAGUUCCCUCACACUGGUAAUCUGAUAUAGACCCUAAACAUAAUAGAAGUCAUUAUUUCUUUUCUUUUCUACAACUUCUGAAACUAUCACUUUGAUUAACUGAGCAUAACAACUUGGUAAACCAAACGACAAAUAGGUCAUCACCUACCUUGUGCAUAAGUUGGACCAAUUUGAUAAUUAACAAAGGAUAGUAAUUUUAAAUUAUGGAAUUUGGCGUAUUUCUGCUUGUGAUAGCUCCAAUGUUUCAAGCAACCACAAAUAUACUUGAGCUUGUUAAUAGACAGCAGCCCAUUCACAUUGAUCCCAGAAACUAGGAAANNNNNNNNNNNNNNNNNNNNAUCCGCCAAACAAGGCAUAUCUUUGACAGUUCCACUACUGCUUCUGCGUGUUUACCUUGCAUCACUAAAGCUUGCAAUCAACAAGAAUAAAACAUUAAGUGCCAAAAAUUCACAGUUAUGUUUCCAACUGUACUCCAUGGUUUUUGGAGUACAUAAUUGAAUAUAAUUUUCUAAAUUGAUUUUUAGAGUUCUAGACCACUGACAUUGACUAACCCAACUCAGCCGUAUGACUACAAUUAGUGAUAGCCAACAUGAAAGGAACAAUCAAAUCUGAAAAACUGAAAACUCCAAAUACAAUAAACUUACCGUCUACGAAUCUGAUCCAGCCCUUCAGCCACAAAAUUUCUAGGGAAGUUUUUCACAAAAAGUUCAACAUUCUCAAAAGGAUAGUGGAUUUAAGCACAAGGCAUGGAACCACUCAUGAACCAUUGUUCAAAGGCAUGAAAAGAUAAUUAAACAAGUCAAACAUCUAUAUCAUUAGGCAGACAUCAGUGGUUGAGAAAAUUGGUUCACUACAGAAUACUCUUUAUAAAACAUGAAAAACCAUGAAUUCAUAAUUGGCGAUAUAUUGAAACUACUCCCCCACUUUAUAAAGCAGGAAAAACCAUGAAUGGAUGAUAAGCCAAUUAAGUAUGGUAACGCAGUAAAACACACCAUUUAAACCAUAAAGCUGAGCCACAAAGAAACAAUAACAUUGUAGGCCAAGUUGAAAGAAACGACGAUACAUUUUAGAAUAGCUGCAAGGAGAAUAAGCAAGCCUGAAUCUAAAACUACAUAAAAACCAAAAUGUGCAAUUAAUCAAAAACAUAAUUAUCGAGGAAUCUGAAGAAAAUAGACAACAACAUUGUAGAGAUAAGCCGGCUACCUGAAUUUGUUCCAGAUGAAAAAGUUGAGCUUCUUGGAUGGCGUAAGCUCCUUCAUCCAAGUAGUCCGGCUUUUGAACGAGGAAAAUAACAAUAGGGCAGGUAAUUAGAUCAGAAACAGUUCGGAUGUCAAAAGAAGAUCAAAAUUCAGAUUCACAAUUUAAAAAACGAAACAACAAACUUAGGAGAAGUAAGCACACCUGAAAAAAUAUAACCCCCUUACAGCCUCACACACACACAGCACCACCUUCAAUCUAAAAUCCAAUUCCAAAACACAUGCAGAACAACAAACCAAACAGUUAAAGUAAAAAGGAAGUGAAAUACUUAUCAAAGUUAAGGAAACAUUCGAGUGACUACAAUACUCAAACUCGUACUCCAUCAGUCAAACUUGUACUCAUUCUUCAGUUCAUCUCUUUACCUUAGAAUAAUCCACAAAACACAAAACAGAUGCUUGAAUUAAUUUUGGUUUAAAGAAAGGAUUGCUGAUCUAAAAGUGAAUAAAAUUCAGUGUGAAAGACGAAUUCCUUACCAGAUUUAUAGGAUCUAAACGCGAUUGUCUUUUCACUAAACUCCAGAGCUGCACAUUAAUCACCAAAAAGAAUUUUAAGCACAUUUAACAGCAAACUCUAAUAGGUUUUUUAACCUUUACAAUACUAAAAACAAAAGUAAAGAAGCAAUCGUCACCUUUCCAGCAGCAUUGCCCAGUACAAAUGAAAGGAAUAAAUUGCAAAACUGAUACAGUAAUAAUGAACUUGCAGAGCAUGACCAAGUUGAAAAAUCCAUGUUGAUAAUAAGUAUCAUUCAAGUAGGCAGCUAUUCAUAUAUUCAAGUGCAUCAAUCAUAUUGCAUCAAAUAAAGUAUUCCAAGCAACCAAUUUUAAUUAAAAUCCUUAUCAGACUGCGCUAAACAUAUAAUGAAAUCAGAAAUUACUCACAGCAUUGCAAGACUGAGGCAAUAGAUCAGUGACACCAAUUCCCCUGAUAUAUUGUUGUGCUCUAACCUCCUGCAAUAAUUUUCAUCAGUGGCAACAAUAUCAAAACGAAAACGUCAAGUCUCAGUACCUAAAUAUCCUAAACUUUGGACCACAAUUGACAUGGGCAGUUACAGUGAGAACAAAAAAAUUUCACAGUUGGGAUAAAAUCAAGCUAUCCAUAUAGAUGCAACAGCAUCUAUAUCAAACCUAAAACUCACUUUCCAAGCUUCACUUUUCAUAUCUAGUCCGUCCCAAUCCAAUUUAAGACCAGCUCUUUAUAUUCACAAACUUUCCAAAACAAACACCCAAUUUAUAACCAAUGCACAUUGCACUAUCAACGCCAUAUAUAAUCUGAACCUACAAAAACCCACCAAAAAUUGAAAAGCAGCAUGCUUUAGUACAAUAACGAUUGGAUCGAAUACACCUUAUAAACCCCAAUUGGAUCAAAUUUGUAUUCUGGUGGCACUCAAAACCAAAAAGAAGAAAGAAAGAAACAAAAAUCAUAUUGAUACUCAGAUUAAGCAAACAUGAAAAUUAAAUCAAGCAAAAGAAAGCAAAGUUUUCUUUCUUUGAAGCCACUAUAAUCGAUACAGUUUUUCUUUAUUUGAGUUCCAUGUAAAGUUUGUAACUCUACCUGAAAAACUGCUAAAAAAUGAAACUCAAAUCAGCAAGCUAUAUACUGGAAUUCGGUGCAAUCCAUCAUUGAGGUGCUAGACUGCAGAACAGACAAAUGCCGAAUCAGCUCAAAUGAGGUAAUGGGAACCGGUUAUCCUUCUUGAAAUGAUAAGCUCAAUCUCAAACAGUAUAAAAAACCACACAAAAACGGAAUGAAAAAAUUUAGAAAAUUCAAAAGACACUAAACUUAUCUAUUCGAUCUGAGAAGAGGAUUGGGAACUUCCCAAAUAUAUAGUCCCACGAAUCCACCUUGGGGAAAUUUAUAUUGCACUCUUUGCAUUCAAACACCAAAUUUCAUGCCACCAAAAAAAUUACAAAUGCAAACGCAAAAAACCAAUAAAGUACAAGCAUAACAAUGUCAAGAAUAUACCUNNNNNNNNNNNNNNNNNNNNCCUCCUCCAUUCUGUGUGGCAUUAGCAGUACUUGGAGCACACAGUGUACCACAUGUAGUACAUGAGACAAACAUUUUGCCCUGCUAUAAACACAUUAUAAGAGAACACAUUAGUUGGACCAAGUAAGGGUAGAAGAGAUUCAUAAAAAUCAGUAAUGCAUAGAGUGCAAGAUAUAAAUGAGUAUAUUAGUCUCUCUUUCUUUUGGUCUUCCUUAAAGGAAAAUAAAUCUUCAGUUCCAUUAUAUUUCAUGAUAUGGCAAAAUACAAAUCAGGGCAGUGCAGAAAUAAAUAUCUAUCAAAUCCUACUAACCAAAUUUUGAACCUUUGACUGACUUCCCUCACACUGGUAAUCUGAUAUAGACCCUAAACAUAUUAGAAGUCAUUAUUUCUUUUCUUUUCUACAACUUCUGAAACUAUCACUUUGAUUAACUGAGCAUAACAACUUGGUAAACCAAAAGACAAAUAGGUCAUGACCUACCUGGUGCAUAAGCAUAUAUAAAUGUAGCUUGCUUUAGCCUAAGUUGGACCAAUUUGAUAAUUAACAAAGGAUAGUAAUUUUAAAUUAUGGAAUUUGGCGUAUUUCUGCUUGUGAUAGCUCCAAUGUUUCAAGCAACCACAAAUAUACUUGAGCUUGUUAAUAGACAGCAGCCCAUUCACACUGAUUAUUAGGUCGACCCAGAAACUAGGAAAGCAAAAAAGAAAAAAAGAAAGAAAAGAAAAAAAAAGAGUGACUAUAAAUUCCAUGAAAGCGCAUCUAACAAAAAGAAAAAUAUGGAAAAUCAUGAAAUCGGCUUAAUGAAUUUUUAAACUCUUUGUCACGCAGUAGCUUUGCUAAGUAGCUCUUUCAACCUCUUGCAAUUCCUUCAUUUAGAUUUGCUGGAUUUAGUAGCUCUUUCAACCUCUUCUUUGCUCUUUUUUUUUUUAUUGUGUAAACUGUGAUCCCAAGUGUCUUGGACAAAUCAAUCUGCAUAAUUCUGUGAAAGAUUAUAUAGUGAGAAUGAUGAAGUGGCUGAAGAAAAGUAUGUGGAAGAUGCAGGGUCAUUUAUCAUUCUUGCAGUUUUAACGUAUGUCAUACUGAGGAAAUCUUAUAAUGAUUUCCACAUCAGUUAGUUGCAAGAGGUUGGCCCUCUACAUCAGUCUUAUUUGUCUGAGAGUCGAAAUUAAACAAACGCGGCGCAGAUUGCAGUCUAGUAAAGCCUAGGGGUGACGAAGGCGCAGAAGCAAUCAAAUAGACAAGGAAAAAAAAAACAAGACAGAAGAAGGUUUGAGAUGAAAAGGUUGACCUUCUUGGAUGGCGUAAGCUCCUUAAUCCAAGUAGUCUGGCUUUCUAUCGAAGAAAGAGUUGACAACAAACAUCUUUGGAAGGAAAAUGAAUGCCUUUCUGUAGAAAAAGCUUGGGCUUUUCUAAAUCUCAGACACCGCUCACAAAACCUAUACAAUGAAAUAACAGUAGACAUGUGAGUUGAUCUUAUCAUGAUUGCUCAUAAAACCCCAUAUACAUAUAUAUAAACCAAUGUCAAUUUUGCAUUCCUUUUUUUUUUUUGGUAAGAAUGAGGCCAAAGGGGCCCGGAACAAAGAAACUACAACAAGAAACUAACCAGUACUACUGGUUCUAAAACUUCUACACCUAGCAACUCCCACAAUAUCAUCAAGGAGAGCUUCAGUAACAAUAGCAGGGGGCUCAUAGAGAUAACAGAUGCCUUGAGCAUUGAGAGUACUGUUCUUGGCCAGCAAAUCAGCAACCAUAUUCCGCUCACGGUGAACAUGCUUAACAUGGACUGAGGCAAAAUGUUGAAGCAUAGACCUGCAAUUUGUCCAAUGGUGCCCAGAGGGUGAUACUCACUAUCAUAAUUCUGCAGAAGAUUGAUGAGAACAGCAGAACCUGACUCCACUUCCAAAUUGGAAAUUUGCAUGUCUAAAGUCAAUUGAAUGCCAUAAAAAGACCCCAGGCCUCAGCUUGGAGCACGUCUCCAGAACCAAUGUUAAUCAUAAAGCCAUUCUUCCAACAACCACUUCCAUUUGUAACACCUCCAGCACCAAUGUCCCCAUUUCUUGAUCUUGAACCAUCCACAUUUAGCUUGUAAAACCCAUCAGCAGGCUUAAUCCAAGAGAGGUUUUUAACAUGUUUCAGCAGCUGCAUAUUAGGCUUAGCCAUAGCCUUAGUCCAAUCAGUAGCAUAACCGAGGAUGAUAUCAGCAGGAUUACAAGGAUAUUGGUACCUAUCAUCAAAAAUACUUUUGCACCUCCAUUUCCAUAUAAACCAGCAGCAGAAAACAAAGAAAACAUUCCAACUUAAAUUGUGAAUGUGAUAGCCAUUUUGCAUAAGAUUAGCAAAAAGCCAUCCAUCCCAAUCUAAAGUAAAGGUGGCCAACAUGUUUGUAGGAAUAUUAAAAGAGCUCCAGAUCAGCCUUGCCUUGGGACAAUCCCGAAAAAGAUGAAGCAUGGUUUCAGGAAUACCAACACAAUGCUUACAAGAAGAAUUACCAGUCAAUUCUAUGAGAUCUCUGCACAUUAGUUAAUAACUUACUCGAACAAACGUCCAUAGGAAAAUUUUCAGCUUUGGAGGGAUAUGCAUAGACCAAUUCUUCAUCCAUACAUACUUCUGGUAACCAGACUCAUCACAGAUUAGCUGAUAGGCAGAUUUAACAGAAAAGAUCCCAGAGGAAGUUUUUCCCCAAAUAAUCUUGUCCAGCAAAUCACCAAACAGCAAUAGGAAUAGUAGUAAUAACAUGCACCACAUCAGUAGGUAACUGAACCAUUAACAUAUCCACAUUCCACAUUCUUCCGAUCCAAAAAUCUUUCACAACAGCAUGUAAAUCAAUAACAUCAUGAUUCAAAGCAAGAUUUUUCAAUAUACCACAUGGGGACCAUUUAUCAGUCCAGAACUUAAUAGUGCAUCCAUUCACCAAGUCUGCACCAAACACAAUACCAGACCAUGUACUGGAGCACUUUGUUGGCUUCUUAUAGUUUUCCUGUAAAAUAGAAUCAGAAUGGAGGUAUUUUCUCUGGUAAAUUUCAUUCCAUAAACCCUUAUCAUUUUGUAUCAUUCUCCAACUAGCCUUUGCAAGCAUUGCCUUGUUCAUGUCAGUCGAUUUUUUAAUUCCUAGGCCACCAAAACAUUUUGGCCUACAAACCAUAUCCCAAUUAGUUAAGUGGACUUUCCUCUGUUGAUCAGUAUCACCCCACAAGAAAUUUCUAUUCAGUCUAUCCAAACUAUCACAAAUACUAAUGGGGAGUUUAGCAGUUUGCAUAGCAUAGACAGGGAUUGAAGAGGCCACAGAUUGGAUUAGAGUAAGUCUACCUGCCAUAUUCAAAGUUUUACUCUUCCAACUAGCAAGUCUAGAUUGCACCUUAUCCACCAAGUUGGCAUAAGCGGAAGCAGAAACUCUAGAGUGAAUAAGAGGCAUUCCAAGGUGUAUCCAAGGUCUGCAGUCAGGGGAGAGCCACAAAUUCUGCUGAUAUUUUGGCAAGAGAGGAUCUUACAUUUGGAGAGCAAUAAACCCAUGCAGACUGACCUGAGAGACUGCAAAAUAAGUUCAUAACCCCCUUCAUCACAGUAGCUUGAGUAGAACUAGCUUCAGAGAAAAGGAUCCAAUCAUCCGCAAAGAAAAGAUGAGAGCUACGAGGACCAGAAUGAGAAGAUUGAAUGGGUUUCCAAUGCCCCAUUUCAACAGCAUUCUGAAUAGAGUGGGAUAACUUUUCCAUGCAAAGAACAAAGCGGUAAGGAGAUAAAGGAUCUCCUUGCCUGAUACCUCUACUACCACUAAAAGAGUUAGAUAGCUCCCCAUUCACAAUGAUUUGGUAACUAGCAGUAGAGACACAACUCAUGAUUAUUUUCACAAAAUUUGUAGGAAGCUUUACCUCAUUCAAAACUUGCUCAAUCAAGUUCCAAUUAAGCUUAUCAUAAGCUUUUGAUAGGUCAACCUACCAGGCCACAAAACCUUUCACACCCUUGGAGUUUUUACACUUAUGCAAAAGUUCUUGAGCAAUCAUAAUGUUAUCAGAGAUAUGCCUACCAGGGACAAAGCUUACCUGAUUAGGACUAAUCCAUUUUCUAAGCAAGGGUCUCACUCUAUCCACAAAUAUCUUAGAGAUGAUCUUGUAAACAGUACAACAUAAGCUAAUAGGUCUAAAGAACUGCAUGUCCUGAGGAGAAGGGAACUUAGGAACAAGAGUGAUUAAAGUAUGAUUCAAACUAGGAGGAACAGAACCAGAAGAGAAAGCCUGAGUAACAACACUAAUUAUCUCAGCUGCACAUAAGUUCCAGUGUUGUUGAAAAAAGAGAGCAGGAAAACCAUCAACACCUGGAGCUUUAAAUUUACCAAUUCUAAAUAAAGCACUGUGAAUAUCAUGCUCAGUGAUAGGUCUGUUCAUUCCAGUAUCAGGGAUUUCAGGGAACAAAGAAGGAAUAAUCACCCUUAAAUCUUCAACAGGCUCAGCAGUAAAAAGUUUCCGAAAGAAAUCCACAGCAAUUUGUUGUAUUCCAGUCAUAUCAGUUGUCCAGACACCACUAGCAUCGUAAAGACCAUCUAUUUUAUUUCUUCUUCUCCUAACAAUAGUAGUUAGAUGAAAGAAUUUAGUAUUCCUGUCACCCUCUCUGAGCCAUUUAUCCCUUGAUUUUUGUUUCCAGAAGAUAGCCUCAGCAUCUCUAAUCUUUUCAUAAUCAGCAAUAAGCUUCUUCUCAAGAUCCUAAAGAAACAGGUUAUGCCCUCUUCCUAAGCAUUUCUGAAUACCACAAAUUCUUGCGUUAAGAAUUCUUUUCUGCUUAAAAAUAUUCCCAAAAACAUUUUUGUUCCAAUCACCAUGUCAAAGUAAUUCUCAUGGUUCAGCCACAUAGCUUGAAAUCUGAAUGGAGAAUUCUUUCUGGACCCUCUAAUACUAGGAAAAAAGUUUAAUCAAGAUGGGGCAAUGGUCAGAUUUCAUUCUAGCUAGGUGAAUCAGACACGCAUCAGGAACAAAAUCCUCCAAUCACUAUUGCAAAAGCUUCUAUCUAACCUCUCCUUAACAGCAUUGUUUGACCAAGUAUAAUCAGCACCUUGGUAUCCUAAGUCCACCAAACCAUUUCUAGAGACCCGAUCUCUCAUUCCUCCAAAUCUAUAAUGGUUAGAACCACCAAUUUUAUCAGCAUAAGAAAGUAACUCAUUGAAAUCACCCAAUAAAACCCAAGGAAGGACAAAUUUCUGAGAAAUAGAGUCAAAAUAACUCCACAAGCUGCUCCUAGAAGUAUUACAAGGGCUGGCAUACACACCAGUUAAAAGCCAAGGAGAGGAACCAAUCCAAGAAACUUUAACAGAAAUAGACUGAAAGUUUGAAUCCAUAAUAUCAAUAUCCACUUUGUUUUUAUUCCAUAGAAGCCAUAUUCCUCCAGAAAAACCAUUGGCUUCUCUCACAACAAAAUCAGUAAAACCAAGAGAGAGAAGGAAUUUUUUAGCACCUUCAAACUGAAUUCUAGGUUCACAGAUAAAUAAAAUGUCAACAUUGUUCAUCUUAACCAGGUCUUGGAUAGAAGACCUAAAUUUGUCACUACCAGCACCUCUAGAAUUCCAAAAAAGGAUGCGAUCCAUUAAUUCAAGAGGAAAGGGUAGGACAAGGUCCAAAUUAAGCAUUGACCAUCUCCUCCUCAAGAGAGGAAGAAAGGUUUUCAUCCACUGUCAAAUUACUAUUAUCAGUAAAGACUUUCUCAACAAAACAAGAGGAAUCCUGAUCAGGAUGUAAGGAAGUAUUACUCUCAACCAUAUGGUCAUCAGGGGGGCAAUGACCAAAAAUACCAGAAACUCUAGAGCUAAACACAUUAUCAGCAUUCUCAAGAGAAAGCUUUUCAGAAAUAGAAGAUUGGUGUUUAGCAGAGGGAAGGGUAGAAACUUUCACUUUUCUCUGAUACUUCAUAGCAGGCUUGGCAACAAUACCAGAAUGAACAUUUGACAGGUCAACCAAAGGCACUCUAGAAGUAGAAUUAUCAUUACCAGGAAAAGAAUUUUUUCCAGAAGAAGCAUUCAUAGUAGAGGGUUUAGACAUACCAGUAGCUGAGGGAGUAGCUUUAGAAGUAGAUGGAGCUUGCAUUUUCUUCUGCUUGUCUUUGAAGCUGGUCCAAAGUUUAACAAUAGGAGAAGCUGGAGGGUUUUUUGAAGAGUCAGCAAUGGUUCCAGGUUCAUUAGUAGCAUUGGCAAUUUCAUCGUGAAGGACAGAAAAUCUUGAGCCCUUGAUAGGACUUUUCACAGUACCUCCAUGCUUAGAGGCUUUCUUCGUAUUUCUGUAGUUCAUAAGCAUCCAGGUGCCCAUAUCGUCCUUAAUUACUGAGGGUGUCUCAUUGCGAGCCUCCAUCUCAUUAGUCAUCUCAACAUUUCCAGCAGAAUUAGAAGUAGCAGAAGAGCAAUUAGGGUCACCUGAGGAAGGAUUCACAGCAGGAGAGACAAUAAUAGAAGGACACUUAUCUUUGGAGUGACCAAAGCAACCACACUCAAAGCCAAUAAGUGCCUUCAUAAAUGACACUGUAGGCAACUGACUCCACUUCCACAAAAGGCUUAAGAGGUUUACCUAAAUCCACUUCAACACAGACUCUCGCAAACUUGCCAAUAGCUUGGCCUAAAGUGAUUGGAUCAACCUUAACAACAUCACCUAGGAUUUUGCCUAUUUUCUCAAUAGCAUAGGGUAUAAAAAAUUUAACAGGUAAACCACAUAUUCGAAUCCACAAUGCCAUUUUGCCAAUAACAUCAGUUUCAGGAUUAAAAUCUGAGCUCCAUUUCCUAACAAUCAAGGUCUGACCAGCGAUAAUCCAAGGCCCUCCACAUAAAACCUCAUUCAUGUCAUCUUCUAGAUUAAACUUGACAAUGAAAUAAUCAUUAGGCAAGUCCACAAGUUGCCAACCUCCUUUAGUCUGCCAUUUGCGUCUUAGACUCUUAAGAAUGAAAUCGAAAGUAUUUGUAGAGUUAGGCUUACCCAUAAGCUUGAUGAUGACAGAGCAGCGCCAUCCAAAAUCCAGUUUGUUAUGGACCUUCUCAGAGAAGCAAUCAUUCAAACCAUGCUUGCCUUGAGGGUAGCUGCAAUCAGCAUCAGAGAAAUUGAAGUCCUCCAUCAUCGUUGUUUGAAAUCGGUCAAUAGGAUUCUUGAUCAUAGAUGCGUAGCUCAGAGAGGGUAGAGACUGAGGAGGUUGAACACAGGAAGAAUCCAAUUCCUCCAUACGUAGAUUUUCUAGAUCUGAAGAAAUAUCAUUUCCAGAUUUGGUACGUUUGCGCUGUAACAUUGAAGUAUCAGAAACUCCGCCGCUUCCGAGUGGAAGGGCGGAGAACGUGAAGACCGACGUCGCCACCACUUCAGAAAAGAAGACUAAGGAAUUCGCCGGAAAACGAAGGAAGAAUUAGGCCAAUCGAUGCAACCAGUAGGGUUCUCUCUCUUUCGCUGGGCUCUCUAGGUCACAUAUUAACUAAUGCGCGCAGGUAUGCUAUGCAUUAUUACUUUGCGUUCCUUUUAUAGUGUAUGAAGCUACCCUCGAUUUUUCAAUUCAAGAAAAUGCCAGAGUAAAACUAAGAAAGUAGAUCCUUACACUGGUUGACUGUAAAAGAAACCAAUCGAUUGAUAUAACUAAAAACACAGAUUGCUGCUUUCCAUAUUACAUGCACAGUAAUAUAAUUAGAAGCGCUGAAGUAAAAAGUAAUUUAACAUAUACCUUUUCGGAGUUGAUAUGCCAAGAAGGACCCAAAAGUUCACACCUGCAAAACAGAUGCACAUUGAGAUUUUAUCUAAAACAGAAAUUGAAAACAGACUGAAAAUAAAUGAAGCCUAAAACUGUCUUCACAACGACAAAAAAAUGAUCUAUUAUGCCCCUGACUUAACUGUUCAAAUCAUGAAAGUCGAUCUUGAAGAACUAUUUCAUGAAGCAUCAUCAAGAAAAUACACUUUCAUGUCCAAUUCUAAGGUGCAUUUCAAUUCAAUGACAUAACAAUGUGCUCUACUGUUGAUAGUAUGCCAUGUUGGAUCAAAUGGCCGGUUGAGAGGCCGCAGAGAACCUCAAGUUCUUCCAUUGAAAAUUGAAACUCUCACAAAAUGUAAUAUAGUGUUUUCAUUAUAUGCAACCACCUAGCAUUUAGUUAGAAAGGAACCCCAGUUUUUGAAGGACGGAAGGAGGCGAACAAACUAAGAAAAAAAGGGAUGUAAUUACCCUAACGUCUGCUUGUUUCUUAUGUUCACCAAUUGGAGCCUUAUGUUCCCAAUCCAUGGCACCAGAUUUCAGAUUCUUCUUAAGGACAUUUCAUUACACCAAACCAAAUACUCGAUUACGCAAAAUUUCACAAAAAACACACCUAUUGUACGACCAAGAUCUUCGACCUAUAUCUACCCACCCAAUCAUCAUCAGUUCAAAUUAUAUGACCAUCUCAGUCAUUCAAACAAAGAAUGACUAUGCCCUUUAAAUAGGAAAUACUAAAACAUCUAUAUAUAGUUUCCAAUAUAUAAAGCCAAUGCCAAACCUUAAUCGAAGCCUUGAGUCUCCUCUCAAAUAUAUCAUUAUUUCUAUGGCGAAGUAUCAUGGUGCUUUACAGAUAAUUAGUUUCAUUAUCGUGUAUGCAUGAUCAGAAUAAGGAACAUACAAAAAUCAAGAUUAACUGGUUAGUAAUUUUCGGUCAGCAUUUUACUGGGCCUACCUAUAUUCUCUUCCAAGCUCGCAUAAGUAAGCAAAAUCAUUAAAUGAAUUUUGUAGAGCUUCUUGAUAAUAUGCAAGGUUUAUACUUUCUGAAGGAAUUUGUAAUCUAAGAAUACUAACUAACUAUCAAGUAGGUGUUUAGGCAUUCAUUUGUAUAGUGGGCAGUAUAGUGAAAAUCAAUUUCUUUUUAAAUCUGCAAAUAGUAUACCUUCGCUCACAUUUCCAAAUAAUAUAUGAAAUGCAGGGCUCACAUUGUGCAUCUCACACAGAAGGCAUGUAAAUUGCAGUCUAUGAAUUGGAUAUACCUUUGAGGCAGACCACUUUUAAACACUUCUUUUCAAGCAACAGCUUGUACCUGAAGCAACGCAUAUAGAAAAAAGAACAUAAGCAUAAGACCAUAGACAAUUAUAAGGGCACUUUAACAGUUAAGAAAAAUUAACAAUAUCAUUUCCAUAGGGUUUUUACAUCUGAUGAAACUUCUACCCUAAGAUUGGGUAAUGUAAAUCAUAUACAGAAAAGCUGAAAACUAAAUAACUCAAUGCAACGAACCAGGUUCUUUUUUUUCACUUCUUGUUUUUCACGGACAGUUUUUUCUUUUCACUUUUAUGACACAUAGAAAUGAGUCUAUUCCUAUAUAACCCCUUAAAAUACAAUGAUUGAUAUAAUAGGCCAAUAUUAUACUAAUUAGCAAGAAAAAAAAGAAGGAUGAUAAAAAGAAAACAGAUCCAAAACAGUUUAUCCAAUAUAGAAUAGGUACAGGUUAUACUUAUUUGAUUGGGAAAGGAAAAAAAAAUGAAAGUAUCUUGACCAAAGAAAUGAAGAAUCAAUGCAGACCCUCUAUUCAUUACUAUCAAUAUAAUAAACUAAUUGAGUUCACAUCAAGACUUAUAUCUAAUUGGAGUCUUUAUUAGACUAACGCAUACUUUAUAAAAGCAAAAUUGGAACUUAAAUCAGAUAAAAAAAAAAGAACAGACUUCUAACAAGACUCAUCUUUACUGCACCCUUGUCACCAAUCUGUCCAAGCUAUAGUCUUUGCUUGAGCCACACAGCUUCCCCAAAAGUACCAACCUGAGUACACAAACAUGAAUUAGAUUUAAGGAAUAUUUAAAAACCCAAUAAAAAACUUUCUGAUACCCCAAGAAUCUACACACCGUGAGCCAUGAGAACACACCAUAUCUAGCUGCCAGUAACACUCUUCACCUGAGCAAUUCGCUAGGAAUCAUGAAGGACAACACCAAUUUUAGAUGCUAAAAUUAAUAAGAAAAGUAUUUUAGCAAUUCCAUAAGAAAUUUUAAAUAUUUUACUCCACAUAUUAACUCACCUUUAUCUAACACAAAGGAUUGAAACCAUCAAGAUUGUGAUUGCUUUUGUUAAAUAAAAAAUCAGUGAGCUGCAUGCAACUUCAAUGAUAAAAUAUGGUGCUCUAAAUUACAUAGUUUUAGAUAAUAAUGAGAAAAGAAUAGUUACUCUAAAUUUAGUCACGCACCUUUACCAAAAGAAAAUUCACAGAAGUAAUUGAGAGGAUAAAUAUGAUACUUCCAGACAGAAAGAAAUACAGAAAGUGCAUUUCUCAUGAGCUUGGUUUGGUCUGCUUCGAUAAUCCUCCUGCUCAUGCUGCCCAGGCUUUCCUGGAUGAUUUGAGUUCUGUUUCUAAGGCCAGAAGAACUGGCAAUUACUUUAGCAUUUAGUUUCUUUCUUCCUUUUUGCUGUGCCUUUUAGGCACCCAUUGUAACAAAAAAAAAAAAAAAAUUAACAGAAACUACAGAGAAAUUCCACCUCCUCAGAAGUAAAGUACUAUUAUAACUGUAAAACAUAUCAGGCUCGAUGCAGAUACGAUAGGUAUGUCAAUGAAAUCAAAAAGCCAACAAUGGACAUCCGGUUGCCUUUCAAAUGAAAAUUUGCCCUCAAAAUGAGCUAUUGACGUAAAUAUUGCGAAACAAUGGUAAGAACAGGUAAAUUUCCUCGGAAGUUUCUCCAUGGAGAAUUGGACACAUCCGGGGAAAAACAAAAGGGUAUAUAAGAAAGAUAAUAUUUGUUUAGAGUUUUUACACGUUUAGUACGUGAUUGAUGGUAUACAUGUCACUUUGAUGCAGUAGACAACAUACGGACAUGAAACAUUAUUGAAUCCCGAACUCAGACCCAAGCUUUUUUUAAAACAGAGACAGGAACAUGACCAAAACACAAACAAAAAAUCAUAAUCAAUUUCAAAUUGAAAUGCAAAAGUCCAAAACCCGCUAUGUUUAAACGCACCAACCUUGCAAUCAGUUUAUCAUUUACUAUAUCAUUGAGCAUGUCUUUUACAAUUGAUUCAUUCUCCUAAUGGUUCAAAAAAUCAUGUGAACGUCAUAUUUUGAACAAAACAUUAGUAGCCAUAGUCGAGCUCAAUCUUCGAUAGUGCUUGUCUUUGUAUGUUUAACAGUUGUCGUGCAGAAAUGAAACUUUAGCUCAUAAUCAAAGCAAUAUAUAUUUUUUCAUGAUCAUAAUUAGGAAAAUGCAUAUGUGAAGAUUAAAUGUCNNNNNNNNNNNNNNNNNNNNNNNNNNNNNNNNNNNNNNNNNNNNNNNNNNNNNNNNNNNNNNNNNNNNNNNNNNNNNNNNNNNNNNNNNNNNNNNNNNNNNNNNNNNNNNNNNNNNNNNNNNNNNNNNNNNNNNNNNNNNNNNNNNNNNNNNNNNNNNNNNNNNNNNNNNNNNNNNNNNNNNNNNNNNNNNNNNNNNNNNNNNNNNNNNNNNNNNNNNNNNNNNNNNNNNNNNNNNNNNNNNNNNNNNNNNNNNNNNNNNNNNNNNNNNNNNNNNNNNNNNAAAAAAAGAAAGCUAAAACAUAUUGAUAAACUACCUGUUCUCUAUCCCAAAACUGACCUUGUAAACACUGCCAGCUCCUCAAUUCCCUAAAUUUGCUGUCAUAAUUGAAGUUGUUUGUUGCUGUAAGUUCCUUCAAGGUAAAGAGCAUCCAUGUUGGCUGCUUUUUUUCUUUUUCUUUUUUUCUUGUUUUUACCUAUACAACAGAUUACAACCAUCAAAGCAUGUGGUUACUAAUAUUUUAUGACGAUCAAUUUGAAACUAUGUAUAACCUUCUCUUCUACAUAUCAAACAUCAAAGGCAUCAAUAGGUCAUACCUUCAUAUUCCAACGAAAACUAUUCCAUAGGUCUCCAGCCUUCUUCCAUUAAUCAACAAUAUAUGUAUCUAAAGCCAAAGAAAAAUUGUUAGGACAAAAAAGAAAAUAUAAAGAGAAACCAUAGAACUUUGAUCAUAUUAUUUUGAUCCUGUUGUGUUACGAGUGUUCUAAAUAACCUCAACAUUUUCUGACCAUAGUAGACCCCUCAAUAUAACAGAAUAGCUCUGAGUAAACACAAAAGGUUCCCAAAAAUACCUUUCAGUAUAAGGUCUCCACUCUCAAUUUUUCUUUAAAUUGAAUAAAAUAAAAGAGACCUCUUCCACCAUUAACAUUGCUGACAUUACCCUCCCAUCUACACACCAGAAAUGCUUACUUCAAAACUGAACUGAAUAAUUUCCAACAAUGACUAUGACACAAUUGCUUUCAAUGGAACUCACAAUUAAUAUAUCUUCUGUAAUAAAAGGAAGUUCAUUUCAGUACCGCUAUUUUCCCCCAAUCUGUAAAUGUUGUUCUCAGGUGUGAUCUUAACUCCUUUCCUAAUUUAAUUCCAGGGAAACAUAUGUAUCCUGCCAGAAAAAAUGUUCAAGUUCACGGUUUAUGUAAUACACAUAAAGAAGUUGCGCUCUUACGACAAGUAUUUGUAGUAUUUCCUCCUCCAUUCUGUGUGGCAUUAGCAGUUCUUAGAGCACACAGUGUACCACAUGUAGUACAUGAGACUGAUAUUUGGCCUGCUAUAAAACACAUUAUAAGAGAACACAGUAGUUGGACCAAGUAAGGGUAGAAGAGAUUCAUAAAAAUCAGUAAUGCAUAGAGUGCAAGAUAUAAAUGAGUAUAUUAGUCUCUCUUUCUUUUGGUCUUCCUUAAAGGAAAAUAAAUCUUCAGUUCCAUUAUAUUUCAUGAUAUGGCAAAAUUCAAAUCAGGGCAGUGCAGAAAUAAAUAUCUAUCAAUCCUACUAACCAAAUUUUGAACCUUUGACUUAGUUCCCUCACACUGGUAAUCUGAUAUAGACCCUAAACAUAUUAGAAGUCAUUAUUUCUUUUCUUUUCUACAACUUCUGAAACUAUCACUUUGAGUAAAUGAGCAUAACAACUCGGUAAACCAAAAGACAAAUAGGUCAUCACCUACCUUGUGCAUAAGCAUAUAUAAAUGUAGCUUGUUUUAGCCUAAGUUGGACCAAUUUGAUAAUUAACAAAGGACAGUGAUUUUAAAUUAUGGAAUGUGUUGACCUCUUCUUUGACACACCGAUAGUGCUCAGAGAUGCAAAAUGUCUGAUCUUCUACCAUGGCACCUUCUAUACCCUUUAUUUCUUCUCCAGUGCCUUCAUGAUCUGCAGCACAUUAUUUUUGCUAAUAGAUAUACGAUGAAACAUGUAUGUGAAUUCUUAAUACAUGAUAAAUCCCCACAAUAUGCAGCAGACUUCACUGCCCAAAUCAUGAAAGUCGAUCAUGAAGAACUAUUUCAUGAAGCAUCAUCAGGAAAAUACACUUUCAUGUCCAAUUCUACUGUGCAUUUCAAUUCAAUGACAUAACGGUGUGCACUCCUGUUGAUGGUAGGCCAUGUUCGAUCAAAUGGCCGGUUGAGAGGCCGCAGAGAACCUCAAAUUCUUCCAUUGAAAAUUGAAACUCUGGCACCUAGUAUUUAGUUACCUACUAUAUGACAGAAAGGAACCCCAGUUUGUUGAAGGACAGAAGGAGGCGAACAAACUAAGAAAAAAAGGGGAUGUAAUUACCCUAACGUCUGAUUGUUUCUUAUGUUCACCAAUUGGAGCCUUAUGUUCCCAAUCCAUGGCACCAGAUUUCAGAUUCUCAAGGACAUUUCAUUACACUAAACCAAAUACUUGAUUACGCAAAAUUUCACAAAAGAUUUCACAAAAUUUCUAUGGCGAGGUAUCAUGGUGCUUUACAGAUAAUUAGUUUCAUUAUCCUGUAUGCAUGAUCAGAACAAGGAACAUACAAAAAUCAAGAUUAACUGGUUAGUAAUUUUCGGUCAGCAUUUUACUGGGCCUACCUAUAUUCUCUUCCAAGCUCACAUAAGUAAGCAAAAUCAUUAAAUGAGUUUUGUAGAGCUUUUUGAUAAUAUGUAAGGUUUAUACUUUCUGAAGGAAUUUGUAAUCUAAGAAUACCAACUAACUAUCAAGUAGGUGUUUAGGCAUUCAUUUGUAUGUUGGGCGGUAUAGUGAAAAUCAACUUCGCUCACAUUUCCAAAUAAUAUAUGAAAUGCAGGGCUCACAUUGUGCAUCUCACACAGAAGGCAUGUAAAUAAAAAAUGAAUUAUAUAGAGGACUUCAGUGUUAAGCCAACAGAAUGAAGACAGAAAAAAACCAUCUGAAGUUCUAAUGCAUUUAAAAAAAAAAUAAAAAAAAAGUAAUUCGUGAACAAAAGGAAAUAGAGAUAACAAUAAUAUCUACCAUUGAUAUGCAAGACCUACACUUAUAAUUAUAGACUUUUCAGCUGUGCAAUUUACAAUGUAUAUUGACAGCAUGAUUGAAGUGAGGGAACCUUACCAAUCUGGAUCUGUCUUAAACUCUUCAUCAAAGUCAUAUUCAACGCACUGUGUGCUGCAAAAUCCAGUAACCACUGAAGAUGAAAGAAAUGCAACUGUAAAAAUCAGCAGAGUUGUAGAGUUUAGUGCAUAUAUAAAUGAUAUGCACAUUAAUCAUCCAAAUAUUAGUACCAAUUAAGAGCGAUCGGAACCCUAAAAACAUCAACUACACAUAAAAGCAUAGAGAUAUUCAUUGUAAUUGUAAGCUAAAAAAUAUUAAUCAUUCGAUAAUGAAGAGCGAAUCAAAUAUAUAGAAACUGACCAUAUUACAUAUUUUUCUCAUAAAGAUAGUUUUUAGUUGCGUGGAUAUUAACCAAAUGCAGUUAUAGAUCAAAUAUUCAUAAAUAUUAUGCUGACCUUCAAUUCCACUUUCUACUUUGAUUCCAAGGCCUCGUACCAUAUGGAAGCACCAACUGUUUAUAAGGUAUAUGAAGCCUUGAAAACGCAUACUUGAUUUCUCAUUAUACAAAGCCGAUCUCGAUUUUCUCAAGACGUGGUUGUUUCAGAAUCCAAAGCAAACCCAGCAUAAACUUCAUAACCGAAAAAAAAAAAAACAAUGAAAAAGAGUUUUGAUGCUGAAGAUACAUAUCAAAGUCUCCCAAAACAAAAUAAAUAAGAGCAAUUCCUACAAAAUGAUAUAUCCAGAUGCACAAACCCAAGAAAAAAAAAAAAAAGUUUACCUUGUGCAUUCAAAUAGCCAAAAAAUCGAAUCAAAAGAGAUAACUACCAUAUUAAGCGAUUCCUACUAGCUAUACUCAGCCUUGGACAAACCAUAGUGGUUUUCCACUGGUAUUCAUCCAGGAGGUCCUUACUUUUUCACCUAAAAACGGUCACAGACCAUCAAGCAAUCUAGUAAUCCUCUUGUUGUUUUCAAUGAAAAUACACGUACGGCUUAAUAAGCAGAGAGGAUUGCAUAAGAUACACAAUGUUGUCAUGGAAGGCUGCAAUUAUCAAUAUCUAAGUAAUUUUAAAUUGUUUCUCCAAUCGACCUGCCAAGAGGUAUGAAAUACAAAAAGGGGUUUAAUACCAAUUAGCCGAAUUCAACAUCAUAUAUUACAUGGCGAGCUCUCACCUUGACAACACUGUGUAAAAGCAGGAAUUGAAGUCACAGGAGGUUGAUCCUCUACAUCAGUCCUAUUAGCCUGAAAAUCAAAAUUAAGCAAGUUCAGGUUACAGUCGAGUAAAGCCUAGGGGUCUCGAAGGCACUCCACGAUCUGAAAAUUGUCAGCAGAAGCAAUUAAAAAAAAAAACAGAAAGAAGAUAGAGAUAAGCCGGCUACCUGAAUUUGUUCCAGAUGAAAAAGUUGAGCGUCAUGGACGGCGUAAGCUCCUUCAUCCAAGUAGUCCGGCAUUUGAACAAGGAAAAUAACAAUAUGGUAGGUAAUUAGAUCAGAAACAGUUCGGAUAUCAAAAAGAGAGCAAAGACGAUCAAAAUUCAGAUUCACAAUAUAAAAAACGAAAUAACAAACUUAGGAGAAAUAAGCACACCUGAAAAAAUAUACCCCCCUUACAGCCUCACAAACACAGAGCACCAACUUCAAUCUAAAAUCCAAUUCCUAAACACAUGCAGAACAACAAACCAAACAGUUAAAGUAAAAAGGAAGCGAAAUACUUAUCAAAGUUAAGGAAACAUUCGAGUGACUACAAUACUCAAACUCGUACUCCAUCAGUCAAACUUGUACUCAUUCUUCAGUUCAUCUCUUUACCUCAGGAUAAUCCACAAAACAGAAGCUUGAACUAAUCUUGGUUUAAAGAAAGGAUUGCUGAUCUAAAAGUGAAAAUAAAUUCAGUGUGAAAGACGAAUUCCUUACCAGAUUUAUAGGAUCUAAACGCGAUCGUCUUUCCAGAGCUGCACAUUAAUCACCAAAAAGAAUUUUAAGCACAUUUAACAGCAAACUCUAAUAGGUUUUUUAACCUUUACAACACUUAAACAAAAAAGUAAAGAAGCAAUCAUCACCUUCCUUGUACAAAUGAAAGGAAUAAAUUGCAAAACCGAUACAGCAAUAAUGAACUCGAAGAGCAUGACCAAGUUGAAAAAUCCAAGUUGAUAAUAAGUAUCAUUUCAGUAGGCAACUAUUCAUAUAUUCAAGUGCAUCAAUCAUAUUGCAUCAAAUAAUGUAUUCUAAGCAACCAAUUUUGAUUAAAAUCCUUAUCAGACUGCGCUAAACAUAUAAUAAAAUCAGAAAUUACUCGCAGCAUUGCAAGACUGAGGCAAUAGAUCAGUGACACCAAUUCCCCAGAUAUAUGUUGUGCUCUAACCUCCUGCAAUAAUUUUCAUCAGCGGCAACAAUAUCAAAACGAAAACGUCAAGUCUCGGUACCUAAAUAUCCUAAACUUUGGACCCCAAUUGACAUGGGCACUUACAGUGAGAAGUCACGAAAAGGUUAAAGCUCUUCCCUUUUUUCUAUUUUCCUUUUGCUGAUUGGUUUGAUCCGAAUUGAGAUAUUGUUCGGUAUCAUUGAUAAGUACUAUCAAAAUCGGGUUUACAGACUUGGGCUUGGGGAAACAAAUUCAAACAAAUAGGAACUAAGUUUGAAGCACAAUUCGCACAAUUCUCAAGCACGAAAACCAAUCUUCUAAAACUCUAAUGGAUCAGAUAAAAACUGUAAAUAAACAUGACUUGAGAGUCAAAAACCCAAGUCAAAACUUCAAAAAUUCAUUUUUCACAUGAAAUUGAACAAACAGGAGAAGCGUUAGAAAUCUGGGUCGAAAAUCAGACGCUGACAAUCACAGCUACCGAAAUCCUCUUUCUCUCUGUCACAAAAACGCGGUCUCAAUCCAAAAUUCGAUACCCAUAUCUCAAAUUGCCAAUAAAUGGAAAACACAGAACAAAUUUCGAAUUUACCAUGAAAAAAGAAAACCAAAUGAUAACCUAAAACCAAAACUGAAAUCAAACAAAGAAUUACCCAGACCGCUAUGCCAAUCGACCGGACAAGAACAACAGAAAAAGCAUUACACUUUAAUAAGAGGAUUGUGAAAAACAGGAAAAGAGAUCAAAGCAAUUGAACUAGUAAUUACAUUCAGCAUCGUUAGUUCCCAGCCAGGUCCAGUUAUCUCAUUUUGUAUUCUGGUGGCACUCGGAAGCAAACAGAAGAAAGAAAGAAAAAUCAUAUUGAUACUCAGAUUAAGCAAACAUGAAAAUUAAAUCAAGCAGAUGAAAGCAAAGUUUUCUUUCUUUGAAGCCACUAUAUAAUCGAUACAAUUUUCUUUAUUUGAGUACAAUGCAUGUAAAGUUUGUAACUCUUACCUGAAAAACUGCUUAAAAAUGAAACUCAAAUCAGCAAGCUAUAUACUGGAAUUCGGUGCAAUCGAUUAUUGAGGUGCUAGACUGCAGCAGAGGCAAAACCCGAAUCAGCUCAAAUCAAGGAAACAGAAAACCAGUCAAAAAUAACAAUGUGCAUCACAUUCUUCAUCAGAUAAAACAUGCUGUUAUGUUUGAAAAGAUAGUGACCGCCGAAGAUCAAAGCAAUUGAGCUAGUACUUACAUUCACCAUCUUUAGUUUCCUGCCAGGUCCAGUUAUCUCUCCAAUUUAGUUCGGGUGGCACUCGAUAGCAAAAAGAAGAAAGAAACGAAAAUCAGAGUGAAACUCAGAAAGAAAGAAAUACAAUUUUCUUUAUUUGAGUAUAUUGCACGUAAACUGUAACUUUACCUGGCAAACUGCUAAAAAAUGAAAAUCAAAUCAGCAAGCUAUAUACUGGAAGUCGGUGCAAUCAAUCAUUGAGGUCCUAGACUGCAGAACAGACAAACACCGAAUCAGCUCAAAUCAGGUAAUGGGAACGGUUAUCCUUCUUGAAAUGAUAAGCUCAAUCUCAAACAGUAUAAAAACCACACAAAAACGGAAUGAAAAAAUUUGAAAUACUGAGACAUGUUAACAUGUUAACAAAUCCUCCAAAAAUUGGAUCCCGUCCAAAAUCAACCAAACUCGACCGGGCACAUGUUAACAAAUCCUCCAUAGAUUUUCACUCAAAGAUAACUCAUCUGCUCUACACCAACAAUAAAAAAAAAUAUGGAUAGAACCAAAAGAAAAGGAUAAGAAAUACCGAGACAUUAGAGUUGCUCAAAAUAUGGACAAAUAAGAACAAAAUGGUCUUCAAUAGCGGGUUGUAUAGCAGAUAUACUGCUAAACUUAGUAUUAUAAAGUUCAUAACAGAUAUAAGGCAAUGAUGAAAGCCAGGUUCAGCUAACGACAUGACUUUCAGAUAUAAGGCAAUUUGAUUAUGAAAUGAAAACCUAAAUAGUUAAGUGCAGUCAUCAAGAUAAUCUUCCCAAUAGUUGAAAUCUGGAAACCGCGAGAUAGAAGAUGAAGUGAUUCACAACACCGUUAGUUGUUACCUGGUCGUAAGUACUGACUCCAAUACUCAAACUCGUACUCCUUCAGUCAAACUUGUACUCAUUCUUUAGUACAUUUCUUUACCUCAUGAUAAUCCAAAAAACAGAUACUUGAAUUAAUUUUGGUUUAACGAAAGGAUUGCUUAUCUAAAAGUGAAAACAAAAUUCAGUUUGAAAGACGCAUUCCUUACCAGAUUUAUAAGAUCUAAACCCGAUUGUCUUUCCACUAAGAUCCAGAGCUGCACAUUAAUCACCAAAUAGAAUUUUAAGCACAGAUAAAGGCAAACUCUAAUUAGGUUUUUUUUUUUUUUUUAACCUUUACAAUACUAAAGACAAAAGUAAAGAAGCAAUCAACCAGCAGCAUUGACAACCUGUACAAAUAAAAGGAAUAAAUUGCAAAACUGAUACAGCGAUACUGAAAUUGAAGAUCAUGACCUAGUUGAAAAAUCCAUGUUGAUAUGUAACACUAGGAAAAUUGCCCGUGCUGUGUUUCGAUGCCUUAUCCAAUAUUGCAUCUAGAAAUGUAGCAACAGAAUUACCCUGUUCAAAGAUUACAAGUAACAAUCAGACAAGAGAUGUAUACCUGGUCAAGCGUGCAACAUUUCUUUAUUAAAGGGCCGACAGGGCAGGCAUCACUUAGUUGUUCGUUUAGAUCCUUCAAUUCCCUUUCUAACUCUGAUAUCCCUUCAGAGUCCUGUUGAUCCAGAAUAACAAAUCAGUUAUUAAAGCUUCGUCAUAACAAAAGUAUCACUUUCUCCUACAAGCUAGCCCAAUAAGAACGGUGAAUAAAUAAAGCACAUUGAACAUGCACAUUACCGACAAAUUAAAUCAUUUUAGCUUGCAAUUUUGCAUAUCACAAAACAUGUUCUACCAAAAAAAAGUUACCUCUUUAACUGAAACUGGGGUAAUUGACCUUAUGUGAGAUGAAAUUGGUAGAAUAUUCAGUUCAUCACCCAUAACCACACAUGCUUUGCACGAUGCAAGUGAUAAUAAGAAACGCACAUUAAAACAGCCUGUAGCCUGGGAAUGGGAUUCGGUUUGAAACCUGUCAUGGACAUCCUGAAAUCAAGAAGCUCACAUAUGAGUACUACAGAUAUCUUUCACUUGAAAACUGCUGUGAAGAGCAGCUAUGACAUAAAUACUGAAUGUAUAGCACGGCAGUGCUACAACAGUUAACAAGUAAAUUUUUCAGAUAGAAAGAAAAUAACAAGCCUAAACAGUACGUCGCUAUGCUUAACUAUAGUGUCUCUGAGAGCUGUAGCAGUAGAAGAAUAGAUUCAUACCAUACCAUGGUGUAUAAGUUGGUGAGUGAGGUCAAAGAACGAAGCAACAGUAUGAUUAGUCCGCCACCCUCCACCGUCUCUGGAACCAUUUCUGAUUCUGCACUCCCUCCCUAAUGUUCCUUUCUCUAUGUCUCUCUAAUAAACCCCUCCCUAUUCAAAACCAAAAUGAAAAGUCAGCCAAUAUAUUCACAGCGGAAAAAAAAAUCACCUAAAUCUGAAAAAUGGACAUGAAGAAUAUGAAAGUAGUAACAGGAUUUUACUCGAUAAAUGAUUUGAAGACUAAUUACAAUUAUUUAAUAUAAAAGUCACCUGGAUUACUAUUUGUUACAUACAAAUCGGAACUGUAAAAGUAGUUUGAUCUAUGAAAAAUAGAAAAUAAUAUUAUUAAGAGAUGAUAAAGAACUAAUAGCAAAAUGAAAAAUAAACUUUAAAAGAAUCAAAGUGACCUGCAAACCCGGAAGAACAAUCAAAGUCAAGCCUCAGAUGCUGAUGCCCUUGCCACAAACAGUGUUAAUCAUGAACUUGGUUUCAUUGCUUUUGACCAUCCUCCCAACCAUGCCGCACAAGCCUUUCUGGAUGACAUUGCUAUUGUUUCUAGAGCUAGGAUGAGCUCUUCCUCUAAUUUUUAGUCUGUUUGUUUUUUCUGCUUUUUGACCAACGUAACAAAAAAAAGAAAGUCAAGCCGCAGAUACCUCACUCAAUCUUAGACGUAAAAUACUUGAGUAUCCAUUCUUUCACUCUUUCUAUUCUAUUGCAAAUCCACAGAGACAUUGAAAUGUGAAUGAAUUUGGCUAGAAAACAUAUCUUGUUUGCAUAUAUCGGAUGUAAAUUGUUUUUGGCCAUGCACAGCAAUCAAAUCUGCAACUAAAUAUUUUUGCUCAGAACUGUCAUCAUUAACAUUCAACGGGUACAUUUUUGGAUUUUCAAUCAAUUUUAGAUGCGUUGCAUGCAUUUUAUCUAUGUGUACAUAUUUCUGAUGAACAGCUAAAUCCUAAUGUGAGUUAUCAAAAGGUCUGCAAUCACACCCAAUGUGAAAAGUAAAAUAAACAGAACACAGACCUUCAAUACGGAAUUAAGUCCCAGCAACCUUCACCGAACCUGCAAAUAAAAAAAAUAAAAAAUAAAAAGUAUUCGCAAGACCCAAUCCAAAAUCCAACUGGUCAUGUGAAUAAAUAAUAGCACACUCAAACUCACAUAUCAAAAAAGGACUUCAUCCAUACAGUACUCAUUUAAUCACGUUGCAUACAACAUUGCAAUCCUAAAUUCUUAACCUCAUAAAAGCUGCAAACCCUCCUAUCGUAUCUAAAGAUGGAAAAAUCUGUCUGCAUUAUAAUAUAGCAGCAAUCCUUCUUAACAAUGCAUGGAGCUUCUCCAUUUAGAAGGCAAAAGAUCAACCAUUUUUGCAGCUCAUCAUCAGAAUUUUAUUUUAUUUUUACAUGUACAAAGUCUUUGAAGCCCUAUUAUUCUUCUCUGUUUAUUUCUGUUCUAAUUCACACAAAUAAUGCAAGCAGAUGAUGGAAAUAUGAUAUAUUCAAAGAUGGACAACAGGAAAUGCAUAAUUAGAUGUAAAUAUGGAUGUGAUUCUCAGUAUGCAAAUGUCAUCCAUUAACAUUCUAUUACAUGAUCAUCAACCUCUAUAGCAAAAAAAACAGUUUAUCAAACCUGACCAACUAAGCUUCGAUUUGAACAGCUGCUUGCUAACUGACUCUAUGUUCUUUUACACUCCAAUAGGCGUAAUGUGAAUCAUUUCUAGAAAAUAAACAGUUAGCCUUAAAGGUUAUAGUUUAUACAGUGAACAUAAGGAGACAAAAAUUUCUUAUCUAAUUUUUUAUAGACAUACUACCCCCUCACCUUCUAAAACAGGAAAAACCAUGAAUGAUGAUAAGCUAAUUGAGUACGGUAGCACUGUAAAACACACCAUUCAAAUCAUAAAGCUGAGCCACAAAGCCACACAGCAGAGCUCUUCAUUAAUUAGCAUGAACAAAAGAGAGAAGAAAACGAAAGGAAAAUCAACUUCAAAGAAAAACAAAAUCCGAACCCCAACUGAAAAGCAAAGAAAACAAGGACCAGCUCAAAUCCACAAACAUUAAAAAUGAUAUUGAGGGAAAAUUGAAAGGAUUACCAAGACCUCAAAAAGAGACGAAGUCACUAUCUUCCGGAGCCAACCAAAUCCAAAACCUCUCUAGUCCUCUUCACCAUAGUUUUAAUAGUUGAUACUGUAACGACAAUAAGAAAACCCAUAAUCAGAAUCCAAUUUAUACAAAACCCUAAGUAAAAAUGGAACAGCGAAUUUGUUGAAGGUCGCCAUAAAAUCCAUAACAGCAUUCUUCCGCAAUUCAGUAGUAGAAUAGAAUGCAGCUGCUACAUAUAUAAACAUUGUUUCCCCUCAAGCUAUAGAAUUACGAAAUGCAUAAUUAGGUUAAUACAAGUAAUUGGCCAUUAACCAAUAAAUUUUCAGCCUGUGUCACUAUCAUUAUCUUGAUAUUCAGUUUGGAUAGUUUUUGACUAACCAUCUAUAUAGAAGCAUAUAGAGAAAUUAGAGUUACCUUUACCACCUUAAUGCAACGUUUGCUUCCUGCGUGUAGUUUAUGCAUCUUAGAGCCUCAAAUGGUGCCUACUCCGCCACAUAAAAACGAAAAAUAGAAACAAAACUUCAUGAGAUUGAAGAACUGAGUAGUAAGCAAAAUUGCAUACAAAUUAAAACAACCCAACGGCAUUUAAUUGAGAUCACCAGAUCACACCUGCAAGUCUGUAACCAAAUAUAUAAGGUUCCUUCAAAAUGGAGAUAGGAAGAAAACCUGGAACUAACUUAAUGAGGCCACAAAAUCAUAAAUGUAAUCAAAUAUAUAGGAUUCCUGGUAGCUUAAUCUUCGAUAGUGCUUGUCUUUGUAUGUUUAACAGUUGUUGGGCAGAAAUGAAACUGUUUAGCUCAUAAUCAAAGCGAUAUAUAUUUUUUCAUGAUCAUAAUUAGGAAAAUGCAUACGCGAAGAUUAAAUGUCUAGUAUUUAUUCAGCUAAGUGUAGGCAUUAUUUUUUAAAGAGACAAAAAAAAAUGAACUAUAGUUUUCUCCCAGCCUUGCAAACGUUUAUUUAAAUCUGCAGACUUGAAAAGUUUAAUAGAACUUAUUUAACUUAAAAAGAUAAUUAGCCAGGUAAAAGCAUUUAAAACCAUAGGAUAACAAUGCCUACACUUAUACCUUUAGGAGUGGAACCAAUUUAAACUCCAUGAGAUCUUAAUCAUUCAGUUGUACCUUUUUACAAAACAAUCAAAAAAAAAAAAACAAUUCAUGAUACAAACAUCAAGAUCAACUGGUUAGUAUUUUUACUCAAGCUACCUAAAUUUUCUUCCAAGUAGGCAUAAGAGGGCAAAUAAUUAAAUGAGUUUUGUUGAGAUAUUUUGAUAAUAUGAGGUUUGUAUUUUUUGUAAGAAUUUGUAAUCUAUUAAAGCUGACUAACUAUUAUGUUGAAGUUUAUGCAUUCAUCUGUAUGUUGGGUAGUAUAGUAAAGUUGACCCUGUUUUAGGGAAGAAAGAAACACAAAUUUCACAUUCCCAGAUAAUAUAUGAGAUGCAGGGAUUUCAAAAUUUAAUGUCACUAUACAAAUAGAAAUUUUACACAACUUUAGAAAAGAAACAAACCUGAGUAAAAAGAAAAACCCAGAAAAAGAAAAAUGGAGGACUGCAAACAAAGGAAUAGCAGUGGAGAACUGAGACCAAUAAACCUUUACAUGAAAUCUGCAAAUAAUAAACAGAAAACGAUGAGAUUCUGCAACUAAUCGCUAUAAUUUUACAACAUUGUAAUUUACCCUCUCACUCACUACCAUCAUAACAGAACACAAAUAUAAACUUUCCAUAAAAAAUUUCACAGUUGGGAUAAAAUCAAGCUAUCCAUAUGGAUGCAACAACAUGUAUAUCAAACCUAAAACUCACUUUCCAAGCAUCAGUUUUCAUAUCUAGUCAGUCCCAUUAAUCCAGUUAAUACCAGCUCUCUAUAUUCACAACCUUCCCAAAGCAAACACCCAAAUUAUAACCAAUGCACAUUGCACUUCAGAUUAGUACUGUAUUUGUUCUUAAUUGAGCUCACAUCAAUACUUAUAUCUAAUUGAAGUCUUUAUUAGACUAACGCAUACUUUAUAAAAGCAAAAUUGGAACUUAAAUCAUAUAAAAAUUAUAAAAAAAGAAGUUCUAACAAUACUUAUCUUUCUGCUGGGUGGUUUUUGUAACUGAAGAUUCUGCUGGCCUUUUCUGCAAGCAGGAGUGAUGAAGAUCAAAAUUCUACCACUACCCAGAUUUUGCGAUCACUGGAAGCUGAUGAAGUGGCGCGAAAACGAAAGAAGAAUAAUGAUAGUGAGCGGAAGAAUAAAGACAGGGAAAGAAAGGUGUCGAGAUAUCUGGAAGAUUCAGAGGCGGCAAGAGAGAGAUGCCCAAAAAGUUCUGAUAUCUAAACCCUAGCAAGAUGCCCGCACGUUGCAGCGGGACUUUGGCGUAUUUCUGCUUGUGAUAGCUCCAAUGUUUCAAGCAACCACAAAUAUACUUGAGCUUGUUAAUAGACAGCAGCCCAUUCACAUUGUUUAUUAGGUCGGCCCAGAAACUAAGAAAGCAAAAAAGAAAAAAGGAGUGACAAUACAUUCCAUGAAAGCGCAUCUAACAAAAAGAAAAAUAUGGAAAAUCAUGAAAUCCGAUGAAUGAAUUUUUAACCUCUUUGUCACGCGGUAGCUUUGCUAAGUAGCUCUUUCAACCUCUUGCAAUUCCUUCAUUUAGAAUUGCUGGAUUUAGUAGCUCUUUCAACCUCUUCUUUGUUUUUUUUUAUGUGUAAGCUGUGCUCCCAAGUGUCUUGGACAAAUCAAUCUGCAUAAUUAUGNNNNNNNNNNNNNNNNNNNNAUUCUUGCGGUUUUUAAUGUAUGUCAUACUUAGGAAAUCUUAUAAUGAUUUCCACAUCAGUUAGUUGCAAGUGGUUGGUCCUCUACAUCAGUCCUAUUUGUCUGAGAGUCAAAAUUAAACAAACGCAGAUUACAGUCUAGUAAAGCCUAGGGGUGACGAAGGCGCAGAAGCAAUCAAAUAGAUAGGGAAAAAAAAAACAAAAGAAAAUAGAGUUAAGCGCACUACCUGAAUUUUUUUGAGAUGAAAAGGUUGACCUUCUUAGAUGGCGUAAGCUCCUUAAUCCAAGUAGUCUGGCUUUCUAUCGAAGAAAGAGUUGACAGCAAACAUCUUUGGAAGGAAAAUGAAUGCCUUUCUGAAGCUGAAGCUUGGGCUUUUCUAAAUCUCAGACACUGCUCACAAAACCUAUACAAUGAAAUAACAGUAGACAUGUGAGUUGAUCUUAUCAUGAUUGCUCAUAAAACCCCACAUAUAUAUAUAUAUAUACACAGUUGAGAUCAGAGACGAACGUCCGCACGCCCUUAAAGUGCGGACGUCCCUCCGUUCUCCACCGUACGGCUCCGACGACGGCGCGCCUCCACCCUAGCGUGAGAGAAAGUGAUCAAGGACGCUGCUGGAGGCCGCUAAGGUGGAGGCGCACCGUCGUCGGAGCCGGACGGUGGCGAACGGAGGGACAUCCGCACUUUAAGGACGGUACGGAUGUCCUUUUUGGAACGGCUCCGUAUAUAUAUAUAAAUAUAUAUAUAAACCAAUGUCAAUUUUGCAUUCCUUUUAAACUGUAUGAACCUACCCUCGAUUUUUCAAUUCAAGAAAAUGCCAGAGUAAAACUAUAAGAAAGUAGAUCCUUACACUGGUUGACUGUAAAAGAAACCAAUCGAUUGAUAUAACUAAAAACACAGAUUGCUGCUUUCCAUAUUACAUGCACAGUAAUAUAAUUAGAAGCGCUGAAGUAAAAAGUAAUGUAAUUAAUAUACCUUUUCAGAGUUGAUAUGCCAAGAAGGAUCCAAAAGUUUACACCUGCAAAAAGGAUGCACAUUGAGAUUUUAUCUAAAACAGAAAUUGAAAACAGACUGAAAAUAAAUGAAGCCUAAAAUUGUCUUCAACACAACAAAAAAUUGAUCUAUUAUGCUAUUAUGCCCAUGACUUCACUGUCCAAAUCAAGAAAGUCGAUCAUGAAGAACUAUUUCAUGAAGCAUCACUGUGCAUUUCAAUUCAAUGACAUAACGAUGUGCACUACUCUUGAUAGUAGGCCAUGUUGAAUCAAAUGGCCGGUUGAGAGGCCACAGAGAAACUCAAAUUCUUACAUUGAAAACUGAAACUCUGGCACAAAAUGUAAUAGUGUUUUCAUUAUAUGCAACCACCUAGUAUUUAGUUACCUACUAAAUGACAGAAAGGAACCCCAGUAGUUUUGUGAAGGACGGAAGGAGGCGAACAAACUAAGAAAAAAAGGGGAUGUAAUUACCCUAACGUCUGAUUGUUUCUUAUGUUCACCAAUUGGAGCCUUAUGUUCCCAAUCCAUGGCACCAGAUUUCAGAUUCUCAAGGACAUUUCUUUACACCAACCCAAAUACUCGAUUACGCAAAAUUUCACAAAAAACACACCUUUUGUUCGACCAAGAUUUUCGACCCAUUUCUACCCACCCAAUCAUCAUCAGUCCAAAUUAUAUGACCAUCUCAGUCAUUCAAACAAAGAAUGACUAUGCCCUUUAAAUAGGAAAUACUAAAACAUCUUUAUAUAGUUUCCAAUAUAUAAAGCCAAUGCCAAACCUUAAUCAAAGCCUUGAGUCUCCUCUCAAAUAUAUCAUUAUUUCUAUGGCGAGGUAUCAUGGUGCUUUACAGAUAAUUAGUUUCAUUAUCCUGUAUGCAUGACCAGAAUAAGGAACAUACAAAAAUCAAGAUUAACUGGUUAGUAAUUUUCGGUCAGCAUUUUACUGGGCCUACCUAUAUUCUCUUCCAAGCUCGCAUAAGUAAGCAAAAUCAUUAAAUGAGUUUUGUAGAGCUUUUUGAUAAUAUGUAAGGUUUAUACUUUCUGAAGGAAUUUGUAAUCUAAGAAUACUAACUAACUAUCAAGUAGGUGUUUAGGCAUUCAUUUGUAUAGUGGGCGGUAUAGUGAAAAUCAAAUUCUUUUUAAAUCUGCAAAUAGUAUACCUUCCCUCACAUUUCCAAAUAAUAUAUGAAAUGCAAGGCUCACAUUGUGCAUCUCACACAGAAUGCAUGUAAAUUGCAGUCUAUGAAUUGGAUAUACCUGUGACGCAGACCACUUUUAAACACUUCAUUUCAAGCAACACCAACUUGUACCUGAAGCAACACAUAUAGAAAAAGAACAUAAGCAUAAGACCAUAGACAACUAUAAGCGCACUUUAACAGUUAAGAAAAAUUAACAAUAUCAUUUCCAUAGGGUUUUUACAUCUGCUGAAACUUCUACCCUAAGAUCGGGUAAUGUAAGUCAUAUACAGAAAAGCUGAAAACUAAAUAACUCAAUGCAACAAAGCAGGUUCUUUUUUUUCACUUCUUGUUUUUCGCGGACAGUUUUUUCUUUUCACUUUUAUGACACAGAGAAAUGAGACUAUUCCUAUGCAACCCCUUAAAAUAAAAUUAUUCAUAUAAUAGGCCAAUAUUAUACUAAUUAGCAAGAGAAAAAGAAAGAUGAUAAAAAGAAAACAGAUCCAAAAUUCAAUGCAGAACCUCAAUUCAUUACCAUCAAUAUAAUAAACUAAUUGAGCUCACAUCAAUACUUAUAUCUAAUUGAUGUCUUUAUUAGACUAACGCAUACUUUAUAAAAGCAAAAUUGGAACUUAAAUCAGAUAAAAAAAAGAACACAGUUCUAACAAUACUCAUCUUUACUGCACCCUUGUCACUAAUCUGUCCAAGCUCUAGUCUUUGCUUGAGCCACACAGCUUCCCCAAAAGUACCAACCUGAGUAUACAAACACGAAUUACAUUUAAGGGAAUAUUUAAAAACCCAAUAAAAAACUUUCUGAUACCCAAGAAUCUACAAACCGCGAGCCUUGAGAACACACCAUAUCUAGCUGCCAGUAACACUCUUCACCUGAGCAAUUCCCUAGGAAUCAUGAAGAACAACACCAAUUUUAGAUACUAAAAUUAAUAAGAAAAGUAUUUUAACAAUUCCAUAAUAAAUUUUAAAUAUUUUACUCCACAUAUUCUUUCUCACAAACUCACCUUGAUCUAACACAAAGGAUUGAAACCUUCAAGAUUGUGAUUGCUUUUGUUUAAUAAAAAAUCAGUGAGCUGCAUGCAACUUCAAUGAUAAAAUAUGGUGAUCUAAAUUACAUAGUUUUAGAUAAUAAUGGGAAAAGAAUAAAAUGUUACUCUAAAUUUAGUCAACGCACCUUUACCAAAAGAAAAUUCACAGAAGCAAUUCAGAGGAUAAAUAUGAUCCUUCCAUACAGAAAGAAAUAAAGAAACUGCAUUUCUCAUGAGCUUGGUUUGAUCUGCUUCGAUAAUCCUCCUGCUCAUGCUGCCCAGGCUUUCCUGGAUGAAGUGAGUUCUGUUUCUAAGGCCAGGAAAACUGGCAAUUGCUUUAGCAUUUAGUUUCUUCUUUUGUAACCAAAAAAAAAAAAUGAGCCAACAAUAGACAUCCCGUUGGCUUUCAAAUGAAAAUUUGCCCACAAAAUGAGCUAUUGACGUAUAUAAGAAAAGAUAAUAUUUGUUUAGAGUUUUUACACGUUUAGUAUGUGAUUGAUGAUAUGCAUGUCACUUUGAUGCAGUAGACAACAUACGGACAUGAAAUAUUAUUGAAUCCCGAACUCAUACCCAAGCUUUUUUUAAAACAGAGACAGGAACAUGACCAAAACACAAACAAAAAAUCAUAAUCAAUUUCAAAUUGAAAUGCAGAGGUCCAAAACCCGCUAUGUUUAAAUGCACCAACCUUGUAAUCAGUUUAUCAUUUACUAUAUCAUUGAGCAUGACUUUUACAAUUGAUUCAUUCUCCUAAUGGUUCAAAAAAUCAUGUGAACGUCAUAUUUGUUCAAAACAUUAGUAGCUCAUAAUCAAAGCGAUAUAUAUUUUUUCAUGAUCAUAAUUAGGAAAAUGCACAUGCGAAGAUUAAAGGUCUAGUAUUUAUUCAGCUAAGUGUAGGCAUUGUUUUUCUAAGAGACAAAAAAAAACAAAAAUGAACUAUAGUUUUCCCCCAGCCUUGCAAACUUUCAUUUAAAUCUGUAGACUAGAAAAGUUUAAUACAACUUAUUUAACAUAAAAAGAUAAUUAGCCAGGUAAAAGCAUUUAAAACCAUACGCUAACAAUGCCUACGUUUGAAUAGAUAGUGACUACCGAAGAUCAAAGCAAUUGAGCUGGUACUUAUAUUCACCAUCUUUAGAUUCCAGCCAGGUCCGGUUAUCUCUCCAAUUUAGUAUUCGGGUGACACUCGAUAGCAAAAAGAAGAAAGUAAGAAACAAAAAUCAGAUUGAAACUCAAAAAGAAAGAAAUACAGUUUUCUUUAUUUGAGUAUAUUACAUGUAAACUGUAACUUUACCUCAUAAACUGCUAAAAAAUGAAAACCAAAUCAGCAAGCUAUAUACUGGAAUCGAUCAUUGAGGUCCUAGACAGCAGAACAGACAAACGCCGAAUUAGUUCAAAUCAGGUAAUGGGAACGGUUAUCCAUCUUGAAAUGAUAAGCUCAAUCUCAAACAGUAUAAAAACCACACAAAANNNNNNNNNNNNNNNNNNNNUUCAAGAUUGUGAUUGCUUUUGUUUAAUAAAAAAUCAGUGAGCUGCAUGCAACUUCAAUGAUAAAUUAUGGUGAUCUAAAUUACAUAGUUUUAGAUAAUAAUGGGAAAAGAAUAAAAUGUUACUCUAAAUUUAGUCAACGCACCUUUACCAAAAGAAAAUUCACAGAAGCAAUUGAGAGGAUAAAUAUGAUACUUCCAUACAGAAAGAAAUAAAGAAAGUGCAUUUCUCAUGAGCUUGGUUUGGUCUGCUUAGAUAAUCCUCCUGCUCAUGCUGCCCAGGCUUUCCUGGAUGAUUUGAGUUCUGUUUCUAAGGCCAGAAGAACUGGCAAUUACUUUAGCAGUUAGUUUCUUUUUUUGUAACCAAAAAAAAAAAGAAAUACAGAAACUCAGAGAAAUUCCACCUCCUCAGAAGUACUAUUACAACUGUAAAACAUAUCAGGCUCCAUGCAGAUACGAUAGGUAUGUCAAGGAAAUCAAAAGCCAACAAUGGACAUCCCGUUGGCUUUCAAAUGAAAAUUUGCCCACAAAAUGAGUUAUUGACGUAUAUAAGAAAGAUAAUAUUUGUUUAGAGAUUUUACACGUUUAGUAUGUGAUUGAUGGUAUGCAUGUCACUUUGAUGCAGUAGACAACAUACGGACAUGAAAUAUUAUUGAAUCCCGAACUCAGACCCAAGCUUUUUUUAAAACAGAGACAGGAAGAUGACCAAAACACAAACAAAAAAUCAUAAAUUUCAAAUUUAAAUGCAGAAGUCCAAAACCCGCUAUGUUUAAACGCACCAACCUUGUAAUCAGUUUAUCAUUUACUAUAUCAUUGAGCAUGACUUUUACAAUUGAUUCAUUCUCCUAAUGGUUCAAAAAAUCAUGUGAAACGUCAUAUUUGUUCAAAACAUUAGUAGCCAUAGUCGAGCCCAAUCUUCGAUAGUGCUUAUCUUUGUAUGUUUAACAGUUGUCAUGCAGAAAUGAAACUGUUUAGCUCAUAAUCAAAGCGAUAUAUAUUUUUUCAUGAUCAUAAUUAGGAAAAUGCACAUGCGAAGAUUAAAUGUCUAGUAUUUAUUCAGCUAAGUGUAGGCAUUGUUUUUUUAAAAGUACAAAAAAAAAAAAAUAGAACUAUAGUUUUCUUCCAGCCUUGCAAACUUUCAUUUAAAUCUGUAGACUUGAAAAGUUUAAUAGAACUUAUUUAACAUAAAAAGAUAAUUAGCCAGGUAAAAGCAUUUAAAACCAUAGGAUAACAAUGCCUACGUUUGAAUAGAUAGUGACUGCCGAAGAUCAAAGCAAUUGAGCUAGUACUUACAUUCACCAUCUUUAGUUUCCAGCCAGGUCCAGUUAUCUCUCCAAUUUAGUAUUCGGGUGGCACUCGAUAGCAAAAAGAAGAAAGAAAGAAACAAACAAACAAAAAUCAGAUUGAAACUCAGAAAGAAAGAAAUACAGUUUUCAUUAUUUGAGUAUAUUGCAUGUAAACUGUAACUUUACCUCAUAAACCGCUAAAAAAUGAAAACCAAAUCAGCAAGCUAUAAACUGGAAUCGAUCAUUGCAGUCCUAGACAGCAGAACAGACAAACGCCGAAUCAGUUCAAAUCAGGUAAUGGGAACGGUUAUCCAUCUUCAAAUGAUAAGCUCAAUCUCAAACAGUAUAAAAACCACACAAAAACGGAAUGAAAAAAUUUGAAAAUUCAAAAGCACUCAACUUAUCUAUUCGAUCUGAGCAGAGGAUUGGGAACUUCCCAAAUCUAUAGUCCGACGAAUCCAUCCGGGGGAAAACUUAUAUUGCACUCUUUGCAUUCAAACACAUGCCACCAAAAAAAAUUCAAAUGAAAACACAAUAAAAAUUCAAAUGCAAACGCAAAAGCCAAUAAAGUCAAGCAUAACAACAUCAAGAAUAUACCUGAGAAACUAACAAAUUGGAUCCCACCCAAAAUCAAACAAACUCGACCAGGCACAUGUUAACAAAUCCUCCAUAGAUUUUCACUCAAAGAUAUCUCAUCGGCUCUACACCGAAAAUGAAAAAAAAAUAUAUAUGGAUGGAACCAAAAGAAAAUGAUAAGAAAUUGCUCAAUUUCAAAAAGCAAGCCAGUUAUGUGCUAUGACAUAGGAAUAUUACAGAGAAGUUAAAAACAAAAAUAUCUCGGAUAAACCUGAAGUCUAAAGCUUUACCGGCAAAAUCAUACCAGAAAUGAACACAACCAUCAAAUAUAAGUAGCAAUCGUAAAAGCUUCAAUGGACCAACCAGNNNNNNNNNNNNNNNNNNNNACGAUCAAAGACGAAAGCGGCUUGAACUCUAUUUAAAUCACAUAACACAGUUAUGGGAACAAAUUAAACCCUGGACAAGGAGCAAUAUUAGAAUCUCGAAACAGAUCUAAAAAUCAAAAGCAUACAAAACAUGCACAAACCCAAAUACUAUUAUCUCUUUCACUUUAUCAAUGCUAGUCUCACUUUGAAUUUUCUGCUAGUCUCAUUGACUCACGUUAUUGCUCGUUACAAAUCAUAUUCAAAUUAUAGAAAUAACCCAAUAGCACAAAGUGGAGAACUGUAAAGUACUCACCAGAGCUUGCAGCAGUUGUAGCUGCGAUAUCAAUAACUAACCUGGAAAAUAUGCAUACAUGAUUUUCAAUGGGAUCUGUGGCCAUAUGCAUAAAUAUUUGAGCAGAAACUAUCUCAACGGCAUUUCAUGUCAUCUAACCGUAAAUCUAGACCGUUAAAAAAAUGAGGUCACAAUAGGGUCGAAAACAAAACAUACCGGAUAAAAAAGAGUGAUAAUUAAGAGAAAGGUUUACUUACUUUCUGCCUAAAAAUUGGCCCAUCCGAGUUUUGAGCCGCCUCUAGGGAACCGGUACUUUGUGGGCAAAGUACAUAUACACAUUUCUUUGUUAAAUUGCUCAUCCGUUCAGCAACAUAUUACAAAAGAAUAUAAUCAAUCUUCCCCAUAUCCACAAAAUGACCAAAAAAAUAAAUAAAUAAUUGAAUAGCUGGUUUUACUGUUGAAGAUAAGUAAUAAAACUGUUCAUGAUAAGUUAUAAAACUUCAUUACCAAUAUGACAGAAAACAAAAACAUGAAUAACAAAGGCGCAUGUGUCACUAUCAGCAACACAUGCAAAAAACCCUCAUUUUGUAAAAGAAACCUGCAUGGAAAAAGCUUGUGCAAGUUCAAGUUGUGGUAUAUCUAGUAUUUGUGUCAAUUUAUUAAACUUGACCGUUACACCAAAUGUAUCUCUUAUUUUUAAAUGAAGAGCUUGUGUGUUGGGCUAACGCAUUGGUAUUAAAAGUAUCUCUAUUAAACUUUGACCAUUACACCAAAUGUAUCUCUAUUAAACUUGACCAUUACACCAAAUGUAUCCCCAAUUUAACAAAUGUAUCUCUUACUUGCACAACGCAGUUCAAGAGAUUGACAAAUUGACCAAUGCGGAGUUUGAUUUGGUAAAAGAGUAGGUACACCAGAUUUGACAAAAUAUAAUUUCAACUCAGAAAGAAAGAAAUACAGUUUUCAUUAUGUGAGUAUAUUACAUGUAAACUGUAACUUUACCUGAUAAACUGCUGAAAAAUGAAAAUCAAAUAAGCAAGCUAUAUACUGGAAUUCGGUGCAAUCGAUCAUUGAGGUCCUAGACUGUAGAACAGACAAACGCCGAAUCUGCUCAAAUCAGGUAAUGGGAACGGUUAUCCUUCUUGAAAUGAUAAGCUCAAUCUCAAACAGUAUAGAAACCACACAAAAAUGGAAUGAAAAAAUUUGAAAAUUCAAAAGCACUCAACUUAUCUAUUCCAUNNNNNNNNNNNNNNNNNNNNNNNNNNNNNNNNNNNNNNNNNNNNNNNNNNNNNNNNNNNNNNNNNNNNNNNNNNNNNNNNNNNNNNNNNNNNNNNNNNNNNNNNNNNNNNNNNNNNNNNNNNNNNNNNNNAGCAUAGUAAGGCAUUCAGCACCUGUUGACCAAUGAGAAGGUUUUCUCGUUUGAUAUCUCAAUGAAUUACGUGCUUUCCAUGACAGUAUAUAAGGGAUGGGGCCAAUGAUGCAACAUACUGCAAAUACCUCAUACGAAAAAAAAUCAGAAUUUCUAUUCUAUAAACAACUGAAAGAGAAUGAAUUCGACACCACAAAAAAACUUACGGUGGCUGCACGUCUUUCACUAAAGUAUUUACACUUCUGGAGUUCCUCUUGUAGUUCACCUUUGGCGGCAUAUUCCAAUAUCAAAUAAACUCGUUUCUGCAAUAAUUAAAAUUCCACUACAAGGGUGAGUGACUCUGUACCAUAGUGGUUCCAUUAACUAGGAGACGUUCAAUUUGGUGCAAACAUAAACCACCUAUGAGCACUAUACCUGAUCAUAAAAGUAGCCAUAAAGACGUAGAAUAUUGGGAUGGCGAAGAUGACUUUGUAUUUCAACUUCCCGACGAAACUGAUGCUCAACCUGAGAUUGUUGCAACUGGCUCUUGAAGAGGACUUUGAGUGCCACUAUGUGAUUGCUCUGUUUCAGGCAUAGAUACAAAUCAAGAACUGUGUAUACACACCACUAAAAGCAGGUAAACAGAGAGAUACAACACCACGAUGAUGCAUAGCAAACACUCAUUUCCAACUUAAAAUUGCAAAAGGACACUCCACAUCAUUUGAUAAUAAAGCACAUUGUCGAAUCAAGAUCCUCCUAGUUAUAACUCCUUCCCAUACAUCUUUAGUCACAACUCUUGCACCCGCCAAAUCUGCCAUCAGAGAAGCAUUCAGGAACAUCUAGUCAUGAUAUCUGCAAAUUCCGAAGGUGAUUAUGAGUUCUCCUUUGAGCAAAAAACAGGCAAAUUAGGGCCAUUAAGAACAUCAUCAAUACAUGGUUGAUAGUGGGCAUGUUAGAUUAACACAGAAGACAGUCUCAUACAACAUGAAAACAAAAUCAAUAUAUUAGGUCUUAUUAUGAUCAUAUUAAAAUACAUGCUUUGCACUAGAUACAUAUGCAACGCAGUACUCUCUAACCGGAGCGCACAUGCUGUGAUGUCUCAAAUUCUGGCUCCUUUGGUCUUGUUAAGGUGAGUUUAGGCUUCAUCUGAAUAAUAGAAACAACAUCAACCUCUAUAGCAAAAAAAAAUUUAUUAAACCUGACCAAAUAAAUAUAUAUGUGUAAAGAAGUGAAAGAACUUUAAGCAGGGUGAAGCUCCUUUACGUGUGAGAGAGAACCAUUAGCAUGCGGCAGCGGCAAGUCUCUGGUACUUGAUUGGAACCUGUUCAUCAUUUCUGCCAUUGAAACAAAUGGUGUUGCAGGUUCCCGAACAUCAAUCUGUAGAUUGGGAAAGGAUCAACUACUCAAUUCUGAUAUUGCAUAACAACAUGGAGUGCAAAAGAGGGAUGAAAAGCACAAACCGUCCUGUCCUCUUUUUGAGUUUUAAUAGCAGUUGAAAAAUGUGUGGCACUGGUAUGACCCAGUUUUGACUUGUGGAGGAAUGUUUGGGGUUUGGGAUUAAGAGUCUGCAUUUUAAGGGCACACAAGGAAAAACAGUCAUGGGAAAUGUCUAGAAAUAAUCUUCACCAAACGACAACAAAGAGGCUUCUAGAUGUGAGUCAACACAAAUUACAGAACUAAAAGUAACCUGUCUAGAUCUUCCAGCAUCCAACUUCUGCCGUGAUUCUCCUGAGCUAACAUGGAUGUGCCAGUUGCAUUUUUCACGUUCUCUUCUCUGUAAGUUUCAGUCAAAUAUACAAUUAGGACAUAGCACUGGCGUAUAAUGAAUUCAAGAGAUACCAGAUAAAGUGAAGCACGCCAACCUUUUCAUAGUAUACUGUUUAACAUGUGAAGAGUGCAAGUGACUUUUUCCCUUAGUCCCUGAUGGGUUUCUGACCAUACUUGAUAUCUUUUUAGCUGUCUGGUGGUUUUGGAAUCACUUAGAAGAUCUCCCUUCUUGAAAUGCAUAGGAGACAUGAACAGAAAAAAAAGUUACCCACUGAUUGAGAACAAAGAGCAAGUACAGAACUGCUGAAUUGAGAACAAAGAGGUAUCAAUGCUGGUAGACAGUGACAGUUUGGAGUAAGUACAGAAUCUGGAAAAAAUACUGAAGCUGGGAAUUAUAUUGGCAAAUGAACACUAAUAAUUGAAAAGCUUAAACCUUUGGGUGAUUGGGAGGGAGAGGGAGAUGGGUUUUACCUGAGGAAGAUCUGAAAGUGAUUGUGCUUGGAGUGCUCUGCGGCUGCUGCAACUUACACCACAAUGGCUCUGCUUUAUGGUUUCUGAAAUUGUGGCGAGGUAUAGGUUUUAAAGGCGCUUCAAUGGGCCUCCCUCAUAUCUCUGAAGCUCAUUCAAAGGAUUUGGACUACCAUGUCGAUAAGAGCAGCGCUUUAAUCAAAACUCCCAAACUCCCAAGAGAGGUGAUCAGCGAAUAUUGCCCAAAAAUUAAACAAAUAAGGCUAAGCCCAUAAACUUGAAUUCAGCAAGAACAGAAGAAAACAUUCCCACCAAGCUUACAAAAAUCUCAAUUGAAACAGUUUACUUGACUAAAUUAUGGCUCCCUAUGCUUGAUCGAACACCUCCGGCANNNNNNNNNNNNNNNNNNNNCAAAAAAAAAAAAGACAAACACAUCGGUAGAAUCCAUUAUAAAGAAUACACCAGAAAAACUAUCUCUUCUAAUCAAAAUCCUCAAAACACACUUAAACCAAAUAAACUACCAAUAAACAAAUCUCAAAUGCAGAAACACACCAAGGCAGUGAAAAGAUGUAUCCCUGAAUGAAAUCAAAUCAAAUCAGCAACAGAUCCUUACUUCAGAAACUGAUAUCUGCAUAUCCAAAAGUUCAUGUCUCAACCAUCUUUGAACAACCUGCAACAAAAACUAAUCACAAUUACUAAAUGGUAGUAAUAACAAUAUAGAGUAAAUUGCUAGUAAUAACAAUAUAGAGUAAUAACUAAUCACAUAUACGGUUAAAGAAAUUACCACCAAACAGAAGAGAAUCAAAACCAAACAACCCACAAUUAUUAUCCAAAAGGACAUCCUAAAUAUUCAUCAACUGUUCAUGAACACCUACUCUGUUUUCAUUGUCAUUUGAUGUAUCUCCAACAAUGAGUUCUUUCAUUUUCUAUGAAGAUUUGUUUGAUCACUUCGGAUUCUUGAAUUAAUUAAUGGUUCUUCAUCUCCAAAAUGCUAAAAAGAACACUGUUCUAUUUCUUCAUCAUUGUUCGUUCCACCGUCGAAUUGGUCCAGUAUUGUGUCUGCAUCUUUAUCUUGAAAGGCAUGUCAAUCCACUGUUUCCACAAUUGCUAUCUUCUUGGCGAAAACAUGCUCCUGAUGUUCUUUCAUUCUCCAAGUUCUGAAAAAGAAAAAAAAAUCCAUUUGUUGAGGAUAUUCGAUUUCCAUAUGCUGCGUACAUGUGCAGUGCAUCAUUCAUUUUAAAAUGCAUGAUCAAUCAAGCUCAGUGGGAAUACAACUGAGGACAUUGUAUCAUAAUCCACUGUUUCCAUAAUUUUCCUCACUAUUUAUUCCAAUCAGAUUUCAUCCCACGUGCCAAACAUAAUCAUAAUAGUUUGAUAAAAAUAAAGAGAAAGUUGUCAUUCAAUGGUCAACAAUCAUGAUGAAGAUUACCACGUAACUAUGGAAAAAGGUCGGGUUUGAGCAGCAAGUGAAGAGAUAUCAGGAUGUUGGCAUUACCUCAUUUGCUUCUUUGUUACUUCUACAACCGGAAGACGGUUACUGUGAUUAUCUUUCAUCUUCUUGAAAGCUUCCAGUAUCAAGUCUUCACUGUGGACACUAAUAACCUGGCUAAGAAAGCAAAGGAAUAUUAAAAUUGGGACACCAAAUUUACCAUCAAUCAAGCUUAGUAGUCAGGAAGACUUACCUCAUCAGAGGACAUAAAACGAAGUCCCAUGCGGCAACGCAGUCGAACUAAUCCUAACUUUGCAUUGCUUCAAACCAUGAGUAAUGUAGUUAUUUAUAGUGGCUCGGCCACGUUCUAUCACAGCUACAUUCCUCAGCAUAUAUUUUGGAAGUAGUAGCAAGACGCUCAAUAUUUGAGAUGGCUUCCCAAAUAUUUUGCCUCUGUAAUAGAACAACAAUGUCAGUCAGUCAUUCACACAUGCAUUNNNNNNNNNNNNNNNNNNNNNNNNNNNNNNNNNNNNNNNNNNNNNNNNNNNNNNNNNNNNNNNNNNNNNNNNNNNNNNNNNNNNNNNNNNNNNNNNNNNNNNNNNNNNNNNNNNNNNNNNNNNNNNNNNNNNNNNNNNNNNNNNNNNNNNNNNNNNNNNNNNNNNNNNNNNNNNNNNNNNNNNNNNNNNNNNNNNNNNNNNNNNNNNNNNNNNNNNNNNNNNNNNNNNNNNNNNNNNNNNNNNNNNNNNNNNNNNNNNNNNNNNNNNNNNNNNNNNNNNNNNNNNNNNNNNNNNNNNNNNNNNNNNNNNNNNNNNNNNNNNNNNNNNNNNNNNNNNNNNNNNNNNNNNNNNNNNNNNNNNNNNNNNNNNNNNNNNNNNNNNNNNNNNNNNNNNNNNNNNNNNNNNNNNNNNNNNNNNNNNNNNNNNNNNNNNNNNNNNNNNNNNNNNNNNNNNNNNNNNNNNNNNNNNNNNNNNNNNNNNNNNNNNNNNNNNNNNNNNNNNNNNNNNNNNNNNNNNNNNNNNNNNNNNNNNNNNNNNNNNNNNNNNNNNNNNNNNNNNNNNNNNNNNNNNNNNNNNNNNNNNNNNNNNNNNNNNNNNNNNNNNNNNNNNNNNNNNNNNNNNNNNNNNNNNNNNNNNNNNNNNNNNNNNNNNNNNNNNNNNNNNNNNNNNNNNNNNNNNNNNNNNNNNNNNNNNNNNNNNNNNNNNNNNNNNNNNNNNNNNNNNNNNNNNNNNNNNNNNNNNNNNNNNNNNNNNNNNNNNNNNNNNNNNNNNNNNNNNNNNNNNNNNNNNNNNNNNNNNNNNNNNNNNNNNNNNNNNNNNNNNNNNNGUUCAGUAGAAACAAUUCAGUACCUGAAAGAAGUCAAGGGAAGCUGGAUGCUUUUAGGGAGUAUAUGACGCAUGUCGGAGACCCAAUAAGCCGCCAUUGACGGCUUUCCGUCUUCCGCAAUUAGAAUCUCAUAUUUACCCAAGUCCUAAUCUCAUAUGUAAGUAGAAAUAUAAACAACUUGCAGAGGAUCAACUCUCUUUUCUCCUUCUCUGCAGUUAGUCGGAGUCUGCCUUUCUCUCCCUCUCUCAGUCUCACCCGGCCUCUCACUCAUCUCCUAAAAUCAAGAAAAACGAACUCAAAUAAACCCAACAUUGAGAUUCAAGAGAAACAAAAUCGAACUACCACUCACCGAAACAAAAAACCACCAAAAGAUGCAGAAUCAAAAUCGAUGCUCUCGAAACUUCAGGAUAGAGCAGAACGAAGAGAUGAAAUGCGAGAGGGAAGAGAACAGAAAUUGAAAUUGAAAACGAUAACAGAAAUUGAAAACUUACCAAGAAGGAGAACGAAACGAUUCAACUCCGAUUAACACUGUUCUCUGAUCUCCUCUUCCUCUCUUCCUCUCUCUUCCAAAUCGCCUCUUUCUCUCUCUCCCUACGAUUUCUCUGAUCACCUCUUCCUCUCUCCUUCUCUCUUCCCAAUCGCCUCUUUCUCUCUCUCCCUACGAUUGAAAACCAAGCUUUCCGCAUCCACCCCCUCUCUCCGCUGCUGCUCUUCUCUCUCGCCUGUGGCAAGUCGCGAGAAGACUCGCGAAAGGGCAAAGGAAGAAAAAGUACAGGAAGAAAAAGCCCAAGCCCGAGCGACAUGCAGCCCAAGCCCGAGCGAGACUGCACUGUUCUGAAUCAUUUUAUGCAUUAAAAGUUUGGAAACAUUAAGACUGUGAAAAAGAUAGAUACAUCCAAAACAAAACAAAAAACUAACAGGGACAUAAAUACUUUAUUCUAGCUUGUGAGAAGUAAAAGAAAAGAUGAAAUACUGAACAUUUAUAUAAAACCAUUUAGUUUAUCUAAUUGGAUAAAAAAUAAAUAAAUAAAUAAAAAGUGUACCACACCAAACAAAAACAUUAUCAAAACCGAUCAACAUGACAAAAUCCCCUAAUAGAAAGAAAGAGAGAGACUUACAGUUGCUUCAUUCUGGCAAUAACUACAGGAAAGAUAUGAACUCAGCAAGUCAUGCGUUGUACGUGAACACAUAAAGCUCAAAUUAGCAGCUGAAUUCUUCAAAAGAGAAUAAAUAUGAAGAAACUGACCAAAUUCAUUUUCACCUGACUGCACAGCUGACCAAAUGGGUUUGCAAUGAAACUCAAUGUGAUGAUGAUGGCAUUUUUCCCCUAAAUUAGAAUUAGGUGAUCAUUCUCUUUCUCUCCUCCUCCGUCAGUUGUCCCCGAAAACCAAAGUAAGUAGAGAAAGAAGAGAUUAAACAAAUUUGAGAGAAAAUUGAAAGCCAAUUACCCUUAACAGAAGCAAAACUCGAAUCAACAAUUCAAUGUAAAUCGGUACAAUCGCUAAUCGAGGUCUCCUACUGCAGCAUGGAGAAAACCUGAAUCAGUUCAAAUCAAGGGAAACAAAAAAACCCAAUCAAAAAUUCGAAUAACCCAAUCAACUUUUGAGAAGGAGACUAUCGAAAUGAGAAGAAGAAAGAGGAAAGAGCACACCCUCUCCACCCAUGGUUGAGACGAAGGAGACCGGACUUGCCGCAGAAAGUAGCUAGAGUUUUCUAUGGGUUUAGUGUAUUUUCAGAAGAGCGAGAGUCAGAGAACAACGUACAUCCUCUGAAAAGAGGAAUUUGCACGGCAGUCAAGGGCUCUUGGAGGAUAUCCAUUUCCAUCUAUCUCUGGAAGUUUCGGGAGAGCGCAAGAAGACGCAGAAGAUAAGAAAUAACACGCGGCAAGAGCCAAGAGACCAGCGAAUAUCAAGGCCCAACACCAGGCGCAUCACUGUUCAGAAUGCGAACAGUAAGGCGGCGCCAGCGCCUAUAAUAGAUAGUUAAAUAUCCAACACGCUUCUGUGCACAUUUUGCAGCCUUAACCUGUUACAAGGACCGAUAUGGAGAUGAAUAUAUAAGCCAUGUUGCUGUGCCAGCUUGAUGAACUUGAUCACAUCAUAUCUAUCCUCAAAAAUACUAACAUUUUGAAAGCUGUUCAUGAGUAUAAAUGCAUAUAUAUCUUGAGGGAAAAGUAGAAUUUAAUGUCCUUUGUACGUAAUUACAGAGAAGAUCUGUUUGAUGAACCUCUGCAUGUAAUUAAUGUCCUUUGUAUCAAAAUACCAAUUUUACUAAUUCAAAAUCAGAAAUGAAAAUUCAUUCUUUGAAGUAUAAUCCACGUGCAUCUGCAUUGAUCACAGUUUUCACAUAAACACUCUUAUCUCUAUAAAGGAGAAGUCUUUUUAUGCACAGUAUGUUUUUGUACAUUAAUUAUUUACCUAGAAGACUAAACCCACAUAGACAUAGAAAAGGUAGCAAAUCACCUAUACAAAAUCUGGAAUCAACUAAUACAAACAAUUUUGGCCAAAUCUUUUUUUCAUUGUUACAAAAAAAAUAAAUUAAAGCAGAAGUCCCCAAAGAUUCCCAACUAAAUGAAUAAUAUAGAAUUGUUUGAAAUCUUGAAUGUAGAAGAAGUAGCACAUACCUAUGAACCUCCUCCCUAUUCAAACACCAGAAUGAAAAAAGUCAGCGAAAUAUAUUCAGUGGAAAAAAAAAUUCAAAGAUCUAAAAGAUUCAUGUACAUGCAUAUAACUAUCUGAUUGGGAAAUCGGUACUAAUAGUUAGAAAGGUGAAGACGAAUGGUAUAACUAUCAGACUGAUAUUGAUCGACACCAAAAUUUUAGUGCUGACGGAACCUAAAUUGACCCAAAACCUCAUUAUCUUGAUGCUUGAUUGAAACCCAAACUCGCAACCACAGUGAUCAGCGAAAUCGAACACCUUCUGCAUUAAUCACCCAAAAAUCGACCAAAGGAGAUGAGCGACCAUAUUGAGCGACUCAUAAACCCAUAAUUCAAGAUCCAAAUCAAAAAAAUAAAAUUUCAAAGGAUGAUGCUUACCUUAGGAAACCUGAAUUCACCCAAAACGGUUACCUUAGUUUGAUCUCCACUCUCUUUCAGACUCUCUCCUCUGUUGUGACUUGUGUCGAAACCAAGACGUAGAAAAGAAAGAAAACGAAACGAAAGCCAGGGAAGAGACGCACGGAGACGGUAGACACACACGUGGAAGUAAAUAGCUAACACCUGUCAUGCCAGAAUUGUAACUCGGCGGAGAACGGAAGGGCAAAAACGGCAGCCCAACGUUCCCUUAGAAAUAGUAGGUCGGCCCCAGGCCGCAUAAUAAUAUAGUAAAUUGAAAAACAAAAAUGAAAGGAAUUGAAAACCCAUUACCCAUAGACACCAUAGACAUCUUCUUCUUUCGCAGCUUCAAAACCACUCACAACUGAUUCAAAAACCUCAGUAAAGGUUUGAAUUUGAUUAUCCAACCCAGCCAAAUCCUGCAUAAAAUAUGAGGAAAACAUGACCAAUCUUACCAAACCGGAAAAUCCGAAACUCAUUUGCACCACCAAAGCUGCAUGUGCCAGAUAAGAAGCUUACCUUGAGCCGAAUCCCUCAAAAGAUCUUACACUACAUACCUGAACUCUAUAAUAGUAUAAUUAUCCUAACACAUAAUUACAACAAAAUAGGAACCCACAACACUAAGAUGUCGUAUUGGGCUCACCCCUCCUUUUUUUCCCAAAUUCAGACCUCCUAUUUUUCCUUCAUGAAAACCCAGAAAACUAAACUUUUUAUAAGUCGUAUCAUAGGAAGUGAGAAAGGGAAGAAAAUGAGAAAAGCAACUUACCGAAACAAAAUACCAUAUGUAGAACUCACCAAGACGCAUGCCAAUACACCAAUAACGUACCUGAAACUCUUUGUUCAUCAAACCCAUUAAACCCAAUAAUGUUCCACAUGAAAAAGUUGAGCUUCUUGGAUGGCGUAAGCAGCUCCUUCAUCCAAGUAGUCCGGCAUUUGAAAGAGGAAAAUAACAAUAGGACAGGUAAUUAGAUCAGAAACAGUUCGAAUAUCAAAAAGAGAGCAAAGAAGAUCAAAAUUUAGAUUCACAAUAUAAAAAACGAAAUAACAAACUUAGGAGAAGUAAGCACACCUGAAAAAAUAUAACCCCCUUACAGCCUUACACACACAGAGCACCACCUUCGAUCUAAAAUCCAAUUCCAAAACACAUGCAGAACAACAAACCAAACAGUUAAAGUAAAAAGGAAGCGAAAUACUUAUCAAAGUUAAGGAAACAUUCGAGUGACUACAAUACUCAAACUCGUACUCCAUCGGUCAAACUUGUACUCAUUCUUCCGUUUAUCUCUUUACCUCAGGAUAAUCAACAAAACAGAUGUUGGAAUUGAUUUUGGUUUAAAGAAAGGAUUGCUGAUCUAAAAGUGAAAAUAAAUUUCACUGUGAAAGACGAAUUCCUUACCAGAUUUAAAGGUUAAUCGAUCAAUCAAUAAAGUUAAACAUGCACAUAAAAAAUGCAAAUCGUUUCUGUUAGUUAACAAUUGAAAACAGUAUACAUGGCACAAUAAACAAACUCGGGAUUAUAAAAUCACUUAUUCAUAGUUUACAUUACUUUCUCCACACCUUAAAUCAAAGAAAGAAGACAAUAUACAGAUAUGAUCGACAUAUUAAAAAAAAAGAAUGCAAAAUUAAUUUUACAUGCUCAGCCACACUCAUGCCUGAAUACCCCCCUUUCGAUCUUCAUUUUCACCGAAAAAUGCAUACCAUCAACUUAGGAAAAAAAUAAUUCCAAAGAACCCAACAAACUUAGAUUGACUAAAGAAUCCAAGAAAAAGCAGCCGGAAUGAAACAAACAUAGUAAAGUGGGAGAUAAGAGUAUCAGCCUUUAACAACAGAAGCAGGUUCACAAGGUCUCUUCUUAAUGGUUGCAGGAGUGACAGCAAGUACUUCAUGCUCAGCUGGAGCAUCCUGACCUUGUAGAGAUGGAACUUAACCCUCAGCAGUUGAGCCAUUCUCCUCACCCAAGCGAGAUCUUCUCCUCUCAAUGGCCUACACUGAGUGCACGUUUGGUACCCAGUACUGGGUUAGACCUCCUUAAUUCUUAAGACUGUCCUGGACUAGUGUGGACUGCCUUAAAUUGUACUAAUACUGGGCAACGUUUGGUGUUGCAUGGGAUUAGGAAAAAAAGUUCUAAAUUAGAGAAGUCUCAUGUUUGGUGAUGCAUUGGACUGGACUACUCUAACAUAACAAUCUAAACAAUCUUAGUCUAACAAUCUAAACAAUCUAACAUCUAACAAUCUUGGUCAUUGAAAUUUUGACAUGAAAUCGAAAAAAAAAAAAAAUUGACAUUAACUACACAGAACAAGUACCUCAAAUAUGGAUAUGCCCUUAACAACUUAUAGAAACAUGUGAAAGAAAUAUGCAGAAUCCAAAAGAGAGAAAGAAACCUGUGAAAGAAAUAUGCAAAAUCUCCUAAAGAACAUAGAAGCUGAGUUGAAGAUUCUAAAGAAGAAAACCGGAAGCUUUUACACAAAAAAAAAAUCAGUUUACCUGCUAUGGACUUCAGGCAAAUUGUACCUGAAACCUUAGUUGAUUAAACAGUAGGAAACCAAGCAACAUUGUCUGUUAAACAAAGGAUCUAAACAUCUUUGAUACCACUACAGCUCUAUAAAUUUUAUCAAUCCAUAGCAGUAACUGUUUUACCACCAGUAUCUAUAGACCAAACCACACUUCCACGCUACCCUUAUCAUCAAACACAAACACAAACUUAUUUGCAGUCCACACUAUCUUCGUGUUGUCCAUGUGCAUAACACAAAGAAUGAAUAAAGUGACAUCUUGAGUGGUGACAAAGCCAAAAGCAAAAUCAGAUUGAUUAGACAAGAGAAACAGCCCAUCAUUAUCAAUCCAAUUAAUCUGAGCCCCUUCAAAACCCGGACUAAGUUUCCCAAAAUUUCUAACACUAGCCAGGCAGGUUUCCGAGGAGAGAACAGACAACAAUAUGAAGCCUAUGACAUGAAUCAAGUUCCAACCUCCCAUGGCUACUCUAAGAACCAGAAUUGAGGUAAGAUUUUGACAAUUCAAAAUUUCAAAUAUUGAAGAAGACAACACAGCCAACCAAAUAGACUAGAAUUCUUCACAUCAGAAAAAGGGACACAAAGAAAAGGAGGGUGUGAAAAAAGAAAAAGAAUGAGGUGGCCAAUCACAGGAUCAAGGUUCAGUAACUGAAUCUACACAAUUUCUAGCAUAAACAUAACCACAAAGCUUCUUGAACAAAAAGGUCCAUUACCAAAAGGAAGCACAGCAGAAGAGAUUUGGAAGCUGAAUUGAGAAAGAGGAGAAGAGAAAUAAUUAGCAGAGAUGAAAAAGAAGAGAACUUUGACUCGCUUAGAAUCAAGAUGAGAACAAAUAUGUGAACAAAGAAGCUUUCAACGGUUCAACACAUGUAUCCAUCAGAUCAUAAGCAAAGCUUUCCACAUUUUAAUAAUUUCAACAACAUUUUCACCUUACCAUUGACAUCUAAUAUCAAUUUCAAUCACAUAAUCUAAUCAUGACAUCUAGUGUAAUCAUGCAUUUUCUCUCAAACCAAACAAGAACUUAGACAAAAAAAGAACACAAGCACUGUUGAAUAAACAUCAAACAUAUUAUUCAAAUUCAAAUGGUACCAUUGUCGAUUAUCUAAAGCAAUUCGGUGAUCUCGUCUUUGCCUCAAUUUCAACAUCAGUAACACAAGGAUUGUACAAGCAGACACAUUCUCUAAAUGCCACAGUUCCAACAACAAGAUCAACAACAGAUUUCUUCCAUCCAUAUCUAAAAGUAAAAAAAUUGAAUCAACCAACAAUUCACAAGAAUGACAAAUUUAUAAAUACAAGACAGGGAACAAUUCACCACGAUCAAUCUCUUUGUUUUUUUGCUUAAGACGAUUGACUAUGGAUCGAAUAGAGAAAAACUGAUUAUCAAAGAGAGAGAGGAAGAAAUAGAUGGACGUACCUGCUGACGAAUCCGGGAAGAAGAUGGCGGCAAGCUUGGCCUUGGAGGUGUCGACGGCCUCGUGGUCGGGGCGGGGGCGUUGAGGACGGAGCGGAUCUGGGAGACGUCAGAGACGGCGCGGGUCAGAGAGGAGGUGAAGAAUGGAAUCGUCUAUGAAAUCAGAGAGGAGAAAAGUUGUGGAGCAGAGAUUCUUUUCGGGGUGGAAGUGGAACAGAGGAGGUGAAGAAGAAGAGAGAAGAGUUGUGGAGGAGGCGAUGCGAACUGAGAGAGGUUAGUGAGGUCUUAGCUAAGGGCCUCUAAUCGGAAUACCCACGCUAAGCCCUGCUAAGGAGGCGAAAUCAGAAAACAGGUCCAAGUUAAGCCCAUUAAUAUUAGUACCGAGAGAGACCAAACAUGGGAUUAGCCUUGUUUCACUCCUUAUUUAACACUGGCUUAGAUAAUACCGGGUACCAAACGUACCCAGAAAGUACAGUGUAAGGCUCAUAUUAACCAUAUGCUAUCGAUACAUAGUGGCUGAUAAUAAAUCAUUUUAUAAGAAUAAAUAAGAGGAGCUAGUUUCACAACUGACAACAGAAAACCUAAAGGUAUGUUUCAUUAACAUGGUAUAACUAUGAACCAAUUAAUAGAGUUGAAACAUAAACCUUCACCAAGUUUUUCACAUGUCCGUCCCUUUGGAAAUUAAGUAAAGGCUAGACGAAGGAAUGUCAAUAAAGAGAGGCAUAACAUUGAAAGAGUGAACUUUACUGAAAAAUAGUAUUUCUUAUUUAAGAACACUAAAACCAGCAGUAGAAGCAGGUUUGAUAAUGAAGGUGUGUGGUUAUGAACCAAAUGACACUAGUUGUUUCACAACUCAAGAAGACAGCAAAGAGAGGAACACUUAAAUAUCUAACCCACUAACGUCGAGACACACACACACAGACAUAUAAAUCAAUCACAAAAUCAAUACAAGGAAACUCAUUGAUCAAUAACCCAAUCAAACAAAGAAAAGACGAGGGUAACACGAAUCACUGAAAUUAUAAACACGUCUACUUGGUAAUAAACCCAAUAAUGUACCUGAAACUGUUUGUUCAACAAACCCAUUAAAGCCAAUAAUGAUACUGAGACCAUGGAAAACAAGUGAGACUCUUUGUUCAUCAAAACAAGCAAACAACAUAGACAAUGUGACAUGAACCGCUACAGGUACAAGCAAACAAAAUAAAGACCCAUUUAUAUAUACACUGCAAAAUGGAUUCAAUGAAAAUUUUCAUGAAACAAACCAACCAUUCAAUAUAUUACAGCAAAUAAAUAGCCAAGAGACCCAAUCACUGAAAAUAAAGAGCACUGAAAGCCUAAUAUCCAAUCAAAAAAUUUGGGGAUUUAGGAUUUUGGCCAUCCCCUGAAAUUCUUUGAAGCCCUAAAACUAAUGAAACAAAGUGAUCCUCACCUAGUAAUCGCAGUUAUAUCAUGCAGAGGGGUUCUUGGGUACCAAGAAGGCAACACGCUGUUCGAUCUCUGUCCCCUUCUCCGGCUAAGACGUCCACGUCCACGUCCACGCUCGAUUCCGGUUCCCGGAGUCCUCAAACUGCUCGGUGCCACUCCACCGCCUGUCCCCCAAAUCCCUAGGGGCCGCUGGGUCACCGAAGUUGCCGCCGCCCGCUCCGCCUCUGAGCGAAGGCCUCGGCGAUGUCGAACGGCCUCACCAAUCGGAAUCGCGUCUCAGCCGGCAUGUUGAUCGAUCUGAAAACGGGAAAAUCAAACCAAGAUUAGCACUCAAAUUUCAAAGAAAAGAACAUUCCCGAUCAAAACUAGGGUUAACUCAAACCGCCGGAGACAAAAACCGUCACCGAAAAAUUGAAAACUGAACGGCGACUCAGACCGAUCUGAGCGAAGAAGAAGCAAAUAUUUGAUUUACCUGAAUUAGUGUUAGGAUCUGAGACCUAACGCGAGAGAAAGGAGAGAAGGGAAGAAGAGAAUUGGGGAAGAAGAAACUAAAUUGCAUUCAUAAAACAACUAAUUAUGCUUAAUUAACACAAGAGGGUUUGGUGGUGCCUCGAAUUCGAAGAGAAGGGGAGGAAGGAGAAAAGGAGAGCUCCAUGUUGAAAGGACCACGACACACACUUGGAUAGGCCUUUUAAACAGACGGUGUCGUUUGGACGAAACAAAAAAGAAGAUAGAAAGAUUGGUGAUGCGGGGGAUCGAACCCCUUACCUCUCCCACACAUUUUUUUACUCCUAUGAUGUUGUUUUUUUUUUUUUUUUAAGAGGACCACAUCAUUGUGAACCAACUACACAGAGGAAUCAAAAUUUUCAAAAAUCUUGUAAAAUAGGAUAUGAUCGGAAUAGUGAAAUACAACUAAUGUUUUAAAAAAACACAAACUUCCGGUAAUGUCUGGACCCCGAUAAACGCGGUCAACCCUAAUUACAUUUAGACACUCCUACGGAGAGCCUAACCACCGGAGGGUCAAUUUAACAAAAAAAAAUUCAUGGGGUUCCUAAAGCUCAGCUUUAGGUUCGAAAAAGGAGAAAAAUAGGGUUUCGCACGAUGCCGGUCAACCGCGUUUUAGGUAAAAAAUGAUGUUGAAUUAAGGUUGACCGAUUCGAUGGGGAACGUAACAAAUGGUUGAUUUUUUUCAAUAGACCUAUUUAAUUAGCAUUAUUACAUCAGACGGUGGAAUUUUUAUUUUACAUAUUUAUGACCUCGGAUCGCCUCGUGUCUACUAAAGCGAUACAACUUGUUUAAUAUGUUACUAGAAAGGCCUCGCUCGCGUAUGCGCUUGUUUGUUUUUGUUAAAUAUAUUAACCAUGUACAUAAUCUUCACUCUUUAACUAUGUUGUGCUUUAAAUGUCGUUUAGGAGUGUGUUAUUUGUAAUUGUUACUGCAUGCAAACAUUAGUGAAAAAAAAAAAAAAAAUUACACUCGAGGCCUUUGUGUCUCAUCCUUUGAAGCCAUGUAUCAAAUCAUGCAUUCAACAUAGAUUUGUCCAUGAGAACUUGUACAUCAAAUAGUGGACAAUGGUCAUCAGUCAUCACUACCUUGUAAUACUCUUUUUUGUACGUCCUCCCCUUUAAAAGAAGUAGUUUCUGGUGUUGCUUAUAGGCUUCCAUAUAUGAGAGAGCGGAGAGCUGAAAUAUAAACAUGAUGAUUAUUUGAGUGAAAGCCUACCCAAAAAAAAAAAAAAGGAAUUGGAAAAUCUUCCACAUCCAUGAAAUGGAUCCCAUUACCCAAUGAAAACAAAGACCGGUGAUAUCAAUAAUAGGUAAGAAGUAUCCAAAUAAAAGAGAAUUUAAAAAAAUAAAUAAAUAAAAACUCAAUGUCAAAUUUUGACAAACUCUAAGUAUAUUAUAGAUCACUUCCUUCUUAACAGUUUUUCAUUACGGGGUUGUUGUUUUUUUCUUCUUGUUCAUUCUCCCUGUUUUAUUAUUAAGAAAAAACAUUUAGUUUUCAAAAAACAUUAAGCAGAUACAAAAACAAAGACACAAAACUGAACGAUACAUCCUUAAUCCAAACUUAGACGUUUCAAUUCAUUGAAGCUUCUAUGAACCUUUAACUUCCCGUUGAUGUCAUGAUUUCACACAUUUCUAAUGAGACACUUUGAUUUUCCUUCUUAUCUUCUUCAACUCCAUCUUUCUUUUUAGAAUUUUAGCAACCUGCAGUUUUAGAACGUGAAGAAAUGAGGUGAUUUGAGUUUCUUUUUAUGUGUGCGGCUAGGUCUCCCCUCUUCCAAAUGAGGUGAUGCGUGUGUGGCUGGAGACUUGAGGAUAGAAUGAAUGAUGUGGCAUCUUGUGAUUGGUUGAAGAGGGAAAAUGAAGUGAUGCUGGUGUGCACGUGAUGGUCUCCUUCCCAUUUUGCAUAAUUAAACAACUCAUUGAUUAAUUUGUAAUACUGCACGUUUUGGGUGGGAGAAGUUAAUUAAGCUUUAAGCUUAAUUAGUUAGUUAACUAAUCAAGCUUAAUUGUUUAACUAAGAUAACUACCAUCUCGUCUUUUUGCAGAAAACUCUUCUUCGCUCCAAUUUCAAGUCAUUUCUCUCAUUUCCGUAACUUCCGUAUAUUUUCUACAAAAUAAAUAAAAAUGGAUUAAUUACAUUAUGAUUACUAUGAGAAUUAGCUAACUCAUAGUGUUUAAGUAGUAAUUAAGUGUAUAAAAAUACACGUAAUUAAACCCCCACACUUGAACUUUGUUUGUCCUCAAACAAAUUAAAUAAAACAUAAACCGAAAACUACUAACUUAAACACACAAAUGCAAAUUAGUGGUGCUAGCAAGUCUUUCCCACCAUAUCCUCCGGGAACUAAAUUAUGUAAAUGACAAUGAAUUGAUCAAGCAUAUGUAUAGGUCUCAAAAAUUUAUUAGGUAAUUAAUAUAGGAUUAAAUUCAGUUUGCCCCCUCCUACUUUAGGUCAAUAAUCAGUUUAGUCCCAUAUCUUUUUUUUAAUAACGUUGGUCCUUGAAGUUCUAUUUCACAUCAGUUUAGUCUAAUUUUUGAAUUGCUCUCCUUACUAUGACAUCAUGCGCUGAGUUGUCUGCGACACAAGGGCUCAAUUUCUAAUUUAAAAAGGCAGAAUAGUCAUUUUAUCAUAUUAUGGUCUUCAAAUAAUUCAAAAUUAACAGAAAUGAUUUUGAGAGAAAAACACAGUGAUGCACAGUACCUGCCGACCAAAAAUAAUCUUUGCUCUUUGCUACGCCACAAUACCCACCUCCUCUUCCUCCCCACACCCACAUCUCCAAUCCCACCAGAGCCCAACUCGACGACACCGUUCGUUGUCGGGACGCAGACCAUGGUCUGAAGCCCGAACACCUGACCUUGGCGGGCACGCUCGCAAGAAGAGGCGGCGAAGCGGUCCGGCCCGGCGACCCAGACCGGGUUGGAAUGGAAGAAGUCCUGACCCGGCAGCCCGUCGCCGUUGACGAAAUUCUGGGUCAUGGAAACGAGGAAGAACCAUUAUGUGUAAGUGACCUCUUGAUCGACGAGGGCGUCGUCGACGGAGGUGUCAGCGCCGGAAGUCAAGGAGUUCAAGUCCCUGAGAACUUUCUUGCGGUACUCUUGCUCGACCAGAGACGUCGUCGUUUUGGGCUUCGUUUUUACUUUGUCCCUCUCGUCCUUGUAGAACCCCUCGCCCCAGCCGAGCACGGAGGCGCCCGACAUGUCGUACGACGACUGCCAGGAGAUGGCGUAGGUCCAGCUCUCCCUGGCGCCCUCGAUCAAGGCAUGUAGCCACUGCAUAAGGGUCUCUUGGUUGAACUGCGCCGAUACCGGAGUCGGCGCCUGCGCCGGGGGGCGGGGGUAGUCCGACAUGGAAGCCAAAGACUGGGGCUGGUGAAGCGGGUGGGCGGCGGGAUGGGGUCGGCUGGGCGGCCCAGAAGGAGGUGAGAUCGAAGUUACUUAUGAAGGCCUCCAUGAGGGAGGCGUUGUCGUCUAUCCAGAGAUUCAUGGUGGGUGGUAUCCGGUAGUCCGUCAUGUGAAUGAUGUGAUGAAACACAACGUUUGGGUUAUGGUGGGAUUGGAGAAGUGGGUGUGGGGAGGAAGAGGAGGUGGGUAUUGUGGCGUAGCAAAGAGCAAAGAUUAUUUUUGGUCGGCAGGUACUGUGCAUCACUGUGUUUUUCUCUCAAAAUCAUUUCUGUUAAUUUUAAAUUAUUUGAAGACUAUAAUAUGAUCAAAUGACUAUUCUGCCCUUUUAAGUCAGAAAUUGGGCCCUUGUGUCGCGGAUAACUCAGCGCAUAACGUCAUGGUAAGGAGGGCAAUUCAAAAAUUAGACUAAACUGAUGUGAAAUAGAACUUCAAGGACCAACGUUAUUAAAAAAAAAGAUAUGAGACCAAACUGAUUAUUGACCUAAAGUACGAGGGGGCAAACUGAAUUUAAUCCAUGAUUAAUAUAUAACAUGUAAAAGAUGUUUAUGUGCUAGCCAUGUGUCAAACCAAUUUACGACAAGUAAGUACGACAUACUAAACUUGGAUUAACCGCUAAACUCACAAGGAUGCACUAAAUAUUUCGGCUCAAGUGUUUAGGGCUAAUUGUGUUUCACUUAAUAACAAUUUCGCAAAUUAGGUCUCUAUAGGCUUGCUCUUCUACCGCAUCUCCGCUAGGUAGCUUCACAACUUUCAAGAUCAUGGGGUAUUUUAUUUGGUUAUAAUGGGGUUAAGAGCAUGUGGCUAAUAUAAAUGAAGGAUAUGAAAAUAAUAAGUCCAAAGAAAUAGGUGAAGUAACUCUCUCUUGUAGAGAUAUUAGAAUUUUGCUUUCAAGUGCUAGCUCACCCACUCCAUUCCCAAUAGCAACCCACUAACAAGACUAUACAAUAUUUUUUUCUUCUACAUUUUUUCUUUCUUUUCUUUUUGUCUCUCUAUUUUUNNNNNNNNNNNNNNNNNNNNACAAGGGAUUGUAGUGUAGGACCUCAAGCUUCGUAUCCUCUUCACUAAACAAGGACUCAUCCUCCACAUAAGACAAGGCAUCCUCCUCUUCGGAAUCAUCUUCAAGUAGCUCUCCACUAUUAGGAAGCCUACAUUUCCAAUAUUCCACCCAUUCCGUAGAAGAGUAGUCUCUCACCUCACUUGCAUUUGAACUCUCAUAACCAAGCUCACUUUCUUGUACAUCACCAUCACUAUCAUCAUCUUUAAUUUGAAUUAAAGACUCAUGCUCAAGAUUGAUGUACACUUAUUCUCUUGGAAUAUGCUCCACUUAUCAAAGAAAGGCUCUUGCAAAUAUAAAGUGGUGCGAUGUUGCUCUUGAAGGAUGCUAGCUUUGACAUAAUCCAUGAUUGGACCGACACUCUCACAUGAUGCUAUAAAUUGAGCAAACAAUUCUUCAAUGGAUGAGUGUGGAGGCUCUCACACUUGAUCUUGAGGAGAUUGCUCAUAUCUCAUUUGGUAUUUCCAUCCAUGAUUCUAUCGUUCCAUAGCUCAAAUUAGUAAGAAUAAAGUACCUAUGGAAUCCCAAGAGUGACAUUAGUAACAAAAAUUUAAAAAGAAAGUAAGAAAAUAAGCACACAAAACAUAACUAACUAACUAGAACAAUUUUUUUUCUUUUUCCUUUUAUCAAAAAUAAACAAAACAAAAACAAAUAUGCUAAAGUGACCUAUGACUGAUUCACCAAGGGAUUAAGGCUAUUAAACCAUAAUCCCCGGCAACAGCGCCAUUUAAUUUGAAGAAAAUGAGAAAGCCAAGUCAGAGUUGUAUUCAUUCUUUUAUUUAUACGGUUCAGAAGACAAGCCAGGUUUAAUGAGAACUUCAAAUGGAGUGGCUUUAUUUAUACGAUUGGUGUUGAGGACGCGGCCAUGUAAAUGAUGUAAUUGAUAGUGAAGGUGCUGGUGAAGGUAACUUCACGAGAAUCAUGCUUGAAACUUGAAAGUAGGAGUCAUCAUGCUUGUUAAUAUUCGUUGUCUAAUUUUUGAGCUCUGAUCCCAAAAUAAAAAAAUUAAAAAAAAUGGCACGUGUGACAUGAGCGGGAAUAAAAUUGAAUCGCAAAUAGAGACGUUGCUGGAUUGACUUCGAUGGAUGAUCACGGUUUCUACGACGUAAUGGGAUCGAAGACUACACGUGUCAUUUUAAGGGUGAAAAAGAAAAUGAGUGGGGAGUAGGAUUCUGACAAGUGUGUUUUUUACAAUAUUUUAGGUUAUGCAAGUUGAUUAGGCUAAUUAUUAGCUAGCUGAAUGCCACGUGGAGAGUGUCCAAUUUUACAAAGGUGAUGUGUUUAGAGUCGAUGCACAUCUUAACCUGAUCUUUAAUGAUUCAAAUCAGAAAGAAUAUUUGUAGAAGAAGCUAGAAAAAAAAACAAAUAACAAAAGAAAAAAAUAAUAUAUACUUUUGUAAAGGUAACAUUAGGUUUUCUUUUGUUCAUCACUAAAGUAGUUGUAUGUGGUUAGAUUAACAGCUUCAUUAUAAACAUAGUUGUUUUAAGAUGUGACGAAUAAGUCUAAAUAUCAUAUAACAUUCUAGGUUUAGGUUUUUGGUUCGUCGUUUACAUGACUUACAUUUUUUAGGGUAGGGUCAUUAAUUCUCGUCAAACUAUUGUAUGUCACCGUGAGAGCGAGUGAUUUGCUUCAUUCGCUGGUGGUUUCUAUGUCCUCAUGUUAGCUUCAUCUGUCACUUUAGCAUUGGAGUCCAUUAUCUUCUCUCAUAUUUUUCUCAUUAUAGCCUGUUGAAAACUUGUGAAUUGAGUUUUGCAUGCCUCACCAUAAUUAUUCGUCUCAUUAUAGCCUGUUGAAAACUUGAAAGAAGCUGCAGCAAGGGGUUUCCAAGAGGGUUUCUGAAAAUGAAACCGCCUGCCGCAUAGCUACUCUUCACAGAUCCAUCAAAAUUUAAUUUAACCCAAUCACUAGGGGGUGGAGACCACCUUAUCAGAUAUCAUUCUCAUAGUUUGAUAAGUACUCCUGACUGUGCAAAGAUUGGCCGAAUUCUGGAGGUGGCUCAUUGCAGCAGCAAGAGUCGAUCUAGGAUUAGGCUGUUUGCCCCGAAAAAUGGUAUCGUUUCUGGUUUUCCAAACCUGCCAACAGAUAGUGAUUAAUUUCUCAAAUAAACUUGCGUCAUAAGGAUUUUCAAUGAACCAAUUAUGAAUAACUUUAAAAAAGCCUUCAUUCCAGCUAAUAGGGGGUGACAUGUUGGAGUUGGUCCCCAAAGGUCUUUUGUGAACCUGCAAUAUCCAAACAGAUGAUCAGUAGUUUCAUUAUCCUGAUUGCAUAAAGCACAAGAAUUAUCAUGCACUAUACCGAAUCGAGAAAGUCUAUCUUGGGUUUUCAGUCUUCCUCUAAGGAGAAGCCAGCCAAAGAAUUUAAUUUUUGGCUGGAGGUUCAGGGCCCAAAGCUUUUUGAUCAGCUCGAUCUGUUUAUGUUUUUGACAAUCCUGUAGUUGUAGCCAAGUAGCCGACUUUAUAGUAAACUUCACAUGCUGAGCAGUGCCCCAAACGCACUCAUCUGCAGAGGGAUUAGUGGGAAUAGGCACCCCAAGAAUUUCCUUCACAAUGUUCUCAUCAAGAAAACUCCUCAGCUUUACAGUGUUCCAGCCAUUUUCAUUAAAGUAAUCGCUCACUAGCUCAUCUAAGUUAAUGUUAUUCCUAAGAUGGGUAGGAAUAAGUUCGACAAGAGGAUGAUCAAAGACCCAGUUAAAACAGCAAAAGUUAAUUGACUUACCAUCACCUACAAUCCAUCGCAUACCUUUAAUGAUUAGGUCCCUUGUGUCCAGAAUACCAUUCCAAGCCAUUGAGUUUCUUUGCUUCUUUUUGGCCUGGAAAAAAGAACAUUUCCCGAGAUAUUUCUUCUGCAUGACCUGCUCCCACCAAUUGUUUCUAUCAGUAAUUACUUUCCAGGCAAGUUUUGCAAUUGCAGCCUUAUUAAAGAAAUCGGCUGGUCUAACACCUAGACCACCUAGAGCUUUAGGUUUACAUAUAUCUUUCCAAGCCACAGGAGUUUGUUUCAUAUCUGAACCCCACAAGAAAUUUCUUCCUUGUUUGUCAAUUUCAUUGGUCAAGUUCUUGGGGCACCGAAAAAGGACAUUACAUGGUUCGGCAUACCAGAAAUGUUUGCUUUGAUAAGGGUAAGUUUACCUGCCCUCGAGAGGGUGCUUUGUUUCCACCCUGAGAGUUAUUAGAAAUUCUCUGCAAGAGUUCCUUGGCAUUAACAGGGUCUUUCCACCACACAACAUUGUGAAUGCCUAAAUAUUUACCAAUAGUUCUUUUCUGUUGGAUAUUAAUAAUAUUCGUAAUUUCAUUCCUAAUGCUGUGAUUAACUUUUGAGGAAAAGAAAAGUGAAGAUUUAUGGAAGUUAAUCUUCUGACUUGAAGCAGCAGAGAAAGCAUCCAAAACUUUGCAUAUGUUCCUGGUAGCAUUUUUAGUGGUCUUUGCAAAAAUUAAACAAUCAUCAGCAAACAUCAAGUUUGAGAUUCUGAAACCAAGAGGGGAAGAAAGAAUUCCCACCUGGGCUUUACUGUUCACUGCCAAAGAGUUAAACCGUUUGAUUAAAGGUUCCAUUGCUAAAAUGAAAAUAUAAGGGGACAAGGGGUCACCUUGUCUUAUACCUCUUGAAGGUUGGAACCAGCCCUGAGGAGAGCCAUUGAGAAUAAUAGAGAAGGAAACAGAUUUAAUGCAAUGCAUAACUAACUCAAUCCAAUCAUAGUGAAAGCCAAAUCUCAAAAGACAAGCUUUAAUAUUAAGACCAAUCAAGUAAAUCAUAAGCUUUUUCAAGGUCUAGUUUGACUGCCAUGGCUCCAUUCCUUCCUAAUCUUCUUUGAAAAUCUGAGAAGAUUUCAUGUGCAAUCAAGAUGUUAUCCUAUAGCCCUUCCUGGUGCAAAAGCACCAUGGUUUUUCGAUAUACAUUUUCCUAAAAGAGGUCUUAAUCUUUUGAUCAAAAUUUUGGUAAUGAUUUUAUAAGAGACAUUGCAAAGGCUAAUAGGUCUGAAAUCAUUUACCUUAGAGGGAUUUUCUACCUUGGGAAUCAAGGCAAUAUUGGUAUGGUUCAAGUGUCUGAUUAGAUCUCCAUUGGUAAAGCAAGCUUUAAUCAUUGGUAUCACAGUGUCUCUUGUCUCCUUCCAGCAACUUUGAAAGAACAUUGCAUGCAGACCAUCAGGUCCGGGUGCUUUAAGCGCUCCAAUAGAGUUAACUGCUUACAGAAUUUCAUCAUCCGUGACCUGUUUCAAAAGAGCAUUAUUAUCCUCAGCUGUGAUUUCAGAGUUAAUAAUAGAUAUAAAAUCCAUAAUACUAGUUGCACUUGGAGGUGAAUCCUGGUGAAAUCUUUUCUUGAAGUCCUGUCCAAGAAUAUGAGCAAUAUCCUCCUCAUUCGAAGUCCAAUUUCCUUCUCUAUCUUGUAGCUUAGAAAUAUGGUUAACCUUCCUGUGAAUGUUUGCUUGAGCUUGAAAAAAUUUGGUGUUUCUGUCCCCUAGUUUAAGCCAAUUUGCUUUAGCUUUUUGUGCCCAAAAAACUUCCUCUUGUUUCCAGAUUUCAUGUAGGCUAACACGAACUUGAGCAUCUCUCUGCUUAAGAUAAAUGGAGCUUGGGUUGUUCAUGAGUUGUAAUUGGAUCUCAUCACUUUCCUUGUUCAGUUCCUCCAUUCUUUUGAAAAGGCUGCCAAAUUCUGAUUUUUUCCAAGAUCUGGCAACAUUAGAAAACUGGCCUGCAAUGGUAAUAAAAUUCAACAUAGGGUUAUUAUUAAAAUUUUGGGACCAAACUUUUUUCACUAAAGGGGCAAAGUUUGGAUGGGAAAUCCAAAUAGCUUCAAACUUGAAGGAUUUAGUAGUAUUCCUUCUGGGUGAAUCUAGAGAGAGGCAGAUGGGACCAUGGUCCAAAGUAAUAAUCGGUAGAUUUUCCAAUUUCGCAUUUGGAAAAUCAUUAUGAAAACUAGUAUUAACAAUGGCUCUGUCUAAUCUUUCAAAAAUCACCGAGUCAUCUACAUGCUUAUUUGUCCAAGUAAAAGGUAAACCAGAAGCCACUAGAGACACCAAACCAUUGUUGUUCAAGAAAUCGCAAAAAUUUAGCAUAAACUUCGUUACACCACCAAUACCCCCAAGUUUUUCCUCAGGGGACAUAUUGAAGUCACCCAUUAACACCCAACAAGAGUUAUUAGUUGGGCUGAGCAUAGAAAUUUCAUUCCAUAAGGCAGCUUGGUGUUCCUUUUUUGGAUAGGCAUAAUCAAAGGUAAAUAAGCAAGAUUUAUUUUCUCUGAGGUUAGUAACAUUGCAAUGUAUAAAUCUUUUGUGAGUAGAGAUAAUUUGGAUAGACACAGAUUUUGAAUUCCACAGCAAGGUCAUACCUCCACACUGUCCAACAGAAGGAACAGAAAUAGACUGAUCAAAAGGCAACUUCCUGGUUUUAUUUAAAGUAGUAGCCGAUGAUCUAGUAUCAAUGACACAUAAAACCUCAAUUUCAAAACAAGAAGUAUAAAAGAGUGCUUGUGCUUCAAAACCAUCCCAAGCACUCCCUCGGCUGUUCCAAGACAUUACUUUCAUUUUUUGUCCAAGCUUAGCAGAAAAAGCACUGCCAUCAUCUUCGGCAGAUUCAUACAUGAGAGUAUCAAUGAAGGUUGUAUCGAUGACCUCUGUAAGAUAGGAAUGCUUCAAUGCUUGGCCUAUAGAAAUCAAUGGCUAUAUUUUUCCAAAUUGGUUUGGUUUAAUUAAUAGAGACUAGCCUUCCUGAGAACUAUAAAUGUGCUAUAUUUGGUUUCAAUCUGAGAACUAUAAAUUCACAAUUUUUAUGCAUUACUUUUUCUGUAUUGUAGUAAUUUGAUAUCAGAGAGCAUGAUGAAGAUGAUUCAGAAUUCUCCUUCAUUGGCGGAGUCCCCAAGAAGCUGUGGUGCCGAAUUUUCAUCGUCCAAUCCGUAGUUCCAAAAUGAAAAAUAGGUUUGUUUUGUGUGAUUGUAAUUCUGGAUUAAUGAGUAUUCGUACUGUAUGAAAUCUUAUUGGUUCAUUGAUAUGAGUUUUUUGUAUUUGGAUAAUGUAGUUUUUUUGCUGGAGAUGCUCUUAAUGUGUUUUGUUUUCAUUCGAGGUUCUCCGCUUAAAAUCUUUUAUUCAUUCGAUGGAAGCUAUUGUUGGAUAUUCUCCAGAUAAAAGUCAGAAUAUGAUUCUUAUGGGUGGUUUAAGAAAACAUGAUUUGCGCAUAUAGUCGGAAAUAUUUCUCAUUAUUAUAGCGGAUCUUUAAAAAAAAAGAUACCUAAAACUAACAUCAUAUAACCCAAUUGAGACAUUGUAGAAUAAGCUAAACCCUUCAUUUAAUCAAUGUUAUUGUUAACUUGUACAGUUCACACUCUUUGGCUCUACCUAAAAUUAUCUAGUACUAGAUCUUUCACAACGAGAUCCAUUUAUACAGUAACGGUAUUUAAUUAUGAAGAUUGGCUGAAGGGUGGUUAUUGGAUCAUUUACCAACCUGAGUCUGAUAGACUCUAUCAUUUAUUUUAUAGAAAAUGAUAUCCCAAUACCAUAGAUAGUUGUAAAACACAGAAAAACCAACAUUCAACAAAUUUAAACAAAUAAGGACAUAAGCCCAAGCCCACAAGGCAUAGUCCCACGCCUUGUCAGCAAUUUUUAAGUAAAAUACUUAAAAAACCAAUCUUUUCUAAAAAAACUACAAAACUGCCAUGACUAAAAAUAUCUUCUCUCUCUGAUCUGUCAUACUCUCUCUCUCUCUGCACACCACACAACGCCGAUCGAAUCCGCCGUAAUUGCUAGAUCGACCUCAUCGAUCGUCUCCGCCGCCUGCUAGAUCGACUCAGCCACCUGCACCUCGCCGAUCGACUCCGCCGCAGCUAGAUCGACGCCGCUGUUAUGAGCUAGGGUUCCGAUUGGGACGAUAUUCCCGAUUUGUGUCCUCAGGUGAGAUUGGGAAUCGACAUGUUGAUAAGGAAUGCGAAUUCGUUCCGAUCUUGAAGCUAGGGAACUAAUCAAAGCUCAGAGAAAUGGACGUGGACUCCUCGAUGGCGCCGGAGGCCGAUCACGAUCCGGCUGUACAGAACCAGAGCACGACGGCGGUGGAUGGGGGAGAACAGCUAGGAGAACAACAGCCUCAGUCUCCGGCUUCCCCGGCGGCGCAACAGCUUCAGUCUCCGGCGUCGCCGCAGUAGACUCCGGUGGCCGGACCGAGGCAUGCCCCGACGUACUCGGUGGUCAAUGCGAUUUUAGAGAAGAAGGAGGAUGGGCCGGGGCUGAGGUGUGGCCACACGUUGACUGCGGUCGCCGCUGUUGGCGAGGAGGGCAGUCCUGGAUACAUUGGACCCCGGCUGAUUCUGUUCGGCGGUGCCACCGCCCUUUAGGGCAAUUCUGCGGCUUCUGGGACUCCAUCGUCAGCUGGAAGUGCCGGAAUAAGUAUGUUGUUAUCUUNNNNNNNNNNNNNNNNNNNNUUUCAGCAAUGACCUUUUCUCAUGAAAUGCUCAUAUCUCAAACUGAGAAUGUGAUAAAUAGAUGAGGCUUCCCUUAGUGGAAAGUAGACUCAUAGAGCUUUCUAACCAUAUGAAGUAGGCCACCUAUCUCCCAACGAGAUAAAAACUAAAGCCGGUCAAAGUUGCCGGUUAGUCAUGAAGUUUGCUGCUGACCCUCAGUCACCAAAAAUGCAAUAUCUGAAGCUCCAGGGGUGAAAAGUGGGUGAGGCCAACUGGAGGAAAAAGUAGACUCACGUAAUCACAUUGUGUUAAAUUUUUACUGACAAAUGAUCUCUGAGUCAAAAUUGGUUGGCCUCGAAACUCACUGAACUGUUCUGCAGAUUCCGCUGUGCCCUGUUUCUGCCCUUUGUUACUUGGAACAUAAUAUCAGUAGCUAGGGAAAUGAAAACUGAAAACUGUUUUACCAGCAUCCACUAGACAUCUGAAGGCACAUCUCUGAAAAAUUUCAGCUCAAAAUGACAUGAUAUGUAGAAGAAGUGCCUCUUCAAAGUCAUUGCACAGUAGCAGUCUCUGUUCUGAUCUCCAUGCUUUGACCAUUUAAUAACUACAGUUCCAGUGACUCAAAGAGGCUGAAAUUUGGAAACAACACAGUAGACAAAUAGGGGUAAUACUCCAAAUAUUUUCAGCUCCAAAUAGCAUCCAUAUGGAAAAAUAUGAUCCCCCAAAGUCGACUGAAAAUCUGGACAGAAACUGUUCGCUUCCCCAUUCUUGCAUUCUUCACAAUUCCGAUUCCAAACACCUCCCAACCUCCCAAAAGUUACUAUAAAGUCUUAUUCAACACAAAAAGAAGAUAAUAAAAACAGGAAUGUUACCGAUGAUGUGCUAGGGUUGCCUCCCUAGCGAGCACUUUGUUUAAGGAUGUCGUUGCCGGUCCAUAAGAUGUGAGUUUCGUCAAGUUGGAUACUUCUCAAGUGCGACCACCCUAUUGUUAGGGGCUAAGGGACCCCUUGACAUAUCAUAGAGGCAUGACCAGGAGCUACAAAAGAAUACUCCAAUUUGAGGCCAAAAGAGUAGCCUCUUAGCUUUCCUCUUCUCAAUUCUACUUUGAGGAGCCAUCCUUACCUUCUCCUUCAAGAUAGAUGUAGAAAUGGUGCUCAUAGGAACAAUAGGUGGUAGAGGCUCUUGGAAGUGAUGGGGAAGUUUGAUCACAAGAGCUCCAUUUCCUUUCCAAUCUAUUACCUCAUUGUAGAACCAUAGACCACUUAAAGGUGGAUUGAGAGGUAAGAUCACCUCAAGCUCAAUCUUCUCAUUAAGUACAAAUAUGCUCAAGGUUCUACAAUUCACCUUGGGAAGCUCAUGAUGGAUCUCCAUGGGUGUGGGAGGAGAGAAAGUCCUAGACUCUUCAACAUCUUUAUCAUCACAAGGCACCAAAGAACCCUCCUCCUCUUUGGGAACAUCACCCUCAAUGAAUAAAGGAUUGNNNNNNNNNNNNNNNNNNNNNNNNNNNNNNNNNNNNNNNNNNNNNNNNNNNNNNNNNNNNNNNNNNNNNNNNNNNNNNNNNNNNNNNNNNNNNNNNNNNNNNNNNNNNNNNNNNNNNNNNNNNNNNNNNNNNNNNNNNNNNNNNNNNNNNNNNNNNNNNNNNNNNNNNNNNNNNNNNNNNNNNNNNNNNNNNNNNNNNNNNNNNNNNNNNNNNNNNNNNNNNNNNNNNNNNNNNNNNNNNNNNNNNNNNNNNNNNNNNNNNNNNNNNNNNNNNNNNNNNNNNNNNNNNNNNNNNNNNNNNNNNNNNNNNNNNNNNNNNNNNNNNNNNNNNNNNNNNNNNNNNNNNNNNNNNNNNNNNNNNNNNNNNNNNNNNNNNNNNNNNNNNNNNNNNNNNNNNNNNNNNNNNNNNNNNNNNNNNNNNNNNNNNNNNNNNNNNNNNNNNNNNNNNNNNNNNNNNNNNNNNNNNNNNNNNNNNNNNNNNNNNNNNNNNNNNNNNNNNNNNNNNNNNNNNNNNNNNNNNNNNNNNNNNNNNNNNNNNNNNNNNNAUAACACAUGGCAUGCAGAAAAAGAUUGUCCUUAAUUGUUAAAAACUGUCCUUAGUUGUUUAACAACAACACAAGUGGAUUUAUUUGUGUUUCAAAUCUUUUUGGAGGAUGUAUAUGUGAUUUGCUAUUUAUUUUAUAUUUCUUCAAUGUAAGUAAGGUAAAAAAAGGCGAAUUCCAUUAUAGAGCCGUAUGCAAUGCGCAAAAGAUGCCUGUACGGUUGUUCAAUUAUAUCUUUUUUGAUUUUUAUUAUUCUUUAUCUAUUCACCUUUCACUUUCAUCAUGAAAGAUAGAAGAAACAUUUUUUGUGUUAUAUCAUAUAUUAUAUCAUUAGGGUAGCCAUUCCGCCCAUUUCGUCGAGAUAAACAAGUCGUAUUCUGUCAUAACUCGUUCCGGCCAAGAAAAAAAACACAGCACCAAUAAAUAUGUGAGAAAUUAUUUGUAAAAUUGUCCCAUUGAGCCCUGUAUCGCUUAUAGAACCAAUUCCUAUAAUUAUGAACCCAUAUGAGAUACUAAAGAAUAGGCUAUUCUUUUUUUAAUCAGAUAAGAAGGGCAGUACAACCCGGAACAAAAUGAGGAUAAUGUAUUGGCAAGAAUGUUAGACCAUAAAGAAGCUAUCAUAUCCCAUUUAAGUUGUGUCACACCCCAAUUUUCGAAGGAUAAAUUUCAAAAAUUUGGGUAUGAUAUAACUCACAAAUCUUAAUAUCCUAAAACCUGCUCAACAACUUCCAAACUAAAUUCAAAUACUGGAAAUGUAAAUGUCAACAAUUCAUCAACCGAGUUAAACAUUACAUCUCCUUAAUUACAUCAACUUCAAAAGUCUAAUAAUAAUAAAGUCGCUCACAUGAGCUUAAAAACAAACUGCCAUAAUAAAAUAAAAUAAAAUUCACAGAAACUAAAAUCCUGCCACUAUGCCUCCGCCUCAACCCUGCUAAUCAUCACCUGUAGGUCUAACCUCUACACCAUGAAUUGGUGCACCGGGUUGUAAACAACAAACCCAGUAAGCUAAAAAGCCGGUAUGAGUAACUCUAAAAAAUAACUCAACCUAACAUCACAUAGAAUAAUACGGAAAUUUUCCCAUAUUUAUAUGCACAAGACAUAGUAUUCCCACAAGAAUAACCUAUCAAGAACCAAAAAUAUUAUAAUUUCAUGAACCUUAAAAAUAAUCAUAUAAUAGGAAAACUUGUUUUAUCUUACCUAUAAGCCGUUUGCGAUCAAGCUCAUAUAUUUUAAAACAACAAAAAAUAAAAUUUUUAAAUUAAAAACAUCAUAAUCAUCAACAAUUGCAUCAUUAAAAUUCAUCAUCAUUUUAUCAUUAUAAACCUUAUCAUCAUCAUCCUCUUAAUUAUCAUAAUCAUCAUCACAAUAACCAUAAAUAAUUGGUCUAAAUAUGAACUUUGGUGAGAUUUACUCACCUAAAUAUUCCCGUUGCGUCUUCACAAUAAACUCAAGAGCCAAGCUCAAAUCAAUUCCACAAGCUACCUAAUUAACACAAUUGAUAGCCUUUAAUUAGCACCUUCAGAUUAAAGGAUAACAAAACACCCUCAAACUAACCUUAGCCCAAAAGAGGACAACCUGUCACACCCCAAUUUUCGAAAGAUAAAUUUCAAAAAUUUUGGCAUGAUAUAUCCUAAAAUAUUAAAAUCCCAAAACCUGUUUCAACAAAAAUCAAGGAAAAUAAACUCAAUGCGUAAUGUAAAUUUACACACAACACCAAAUUGAGUUAAAUUACAAUUCCUUUUUUACAUAACUUGAGAACAAGAAAAAGAAACUCUCACAUGAGUUUAAUAAAUCAUAACCCAGUGUAUAUAAAAAGAAUAUACAAUGAACAACCAAAACCCAACAAAAAAAACCCUGCCACUAAGCCUCCACCUCAACCCUGCUGAUCCUCACCUGCAGGUGUAACCCCUACACCAAGAAAUGGUGCACCGGGUUGUAAACAACAAACCCGGUAAGCUAAAAAGCUCGUAUGAGUAAACUAAAAAACAACACAACAUUUAAUCACAUCCAAUAUUCACAAGAGAGAUUGGAUCAAUAAUUAAAAACCACACAUCUAACACAUUACCCAAGAAAUGUACCCAUGAGUCCCAGAUAUUUAAUAAAAUACCCCUCAUGACCUACAACAACACUAUGUGUACCCAUGAGUCCCAGAUACUAUACAGUAUCUCCCAUGACCUACACUGACAGACGGACUAGAGCUCUAUUCCUAACAGCAACCAAUCACCCGGCCAAAGGCUUGGAACCCGGUUUGACUGUCUAAUAUCAAACACAAAAAUGAUAAAUAGCAUCUUAACCGCAACCAAUCACCCAAAAAGGGCUUGGAACCCGGUUUGGCUAUUUAUCAAACAAUCAUAAUAAAUUUCACAACCUUAUCCUCAACAACACUAUCACAAUUAUUAUUCUCAACAACAUAAUAUAUAUCACAUCAUUAUUCUCAACAUCACAAUAUAAAGAAGACUUGUUUUUAUCUUACCUAUGAGCCGUUGGCAAUCAAGCUCAUAUAUUUUUUUAAAACAAUUAAAAGCAUAAUAUUAAAACCAACAUCAUCAUCAUUAUUAUUAUCAUUAGGUUCAAAUGUGAACCUUGGUGAGAUUUACUCACCUAGAUAGCCCGCUGCGUUUCCGCAAAACACAAGAGCAAGCCAACUCACAAUUUCACAAAUCACCUAAAAUAACACACAUAUUAACCUUAGUAACAAACACAACAAGGAUCAAAGUACUCUUAACUUAAAGGUUGCCCCCAAGAAGGGAAAUCCUUCCUCCAAGACCUCCCAAGGUCAUUGAACACUUAACAACAACCAAACUACCUUCAAGAUCAAACUUUCUAAGUUUUCGAUCUAAUGAACACAAUUAAACUUAAGUCCUAGCAUGCCAACCUUGCUUAAAAUAUAGCCAUACUACUACUCAACAAGCUCACAGCAGCAAGGACUAGCUAACCAUAGGAAACUAAGGCCGCCACUCAGCCGGACGCGCAGCCACAGGCGGCGGCGAGUGGGCCCCACGCGCCUCCCUAAACUUCCGAAUUUGAGAAAACUCCUAACAACAAAGUUGAAGCUUGAAGCAAGGGGAACAACUUUCAUACCUGAGACUUCGACCAAAAAUGGCCGAAACCGGCCGGAAACCGUCCCGAACAGUGACCAGAAAAUCAAUGACAAAAUCUGCAAAACCGGCCUCAAAACCUUAAAAACUUGCUUCAAUCUAUGCCUAAACACUACCAGGGGAAGGAGAGGAUCAAGACUCACCUAAGGAUGUACCUCGUCGCCGCCGUAUACGGCAGCUCCGACCGUGGCACAACAGCCCUUUUUCCGACUACUAAGCUUCGGUUCCGGCGUGCUACACCGAGCAGCAGCUGCCCAGCCUUGGAGAGGACGCUUGUGGGAGCCGAACGGGACCGGUGGAGGUCCAAACGGUGGCCGGACGGCGGAGCUAGCUCCGGCAGAAAUUUGGUCCUCGGGGGAGCUCGGGAGAGGAAGAGAGGGAAGGAAAAGAAGAGAGAAAAAAAAAGAGUGAGGAGAGAGAUAGAGAGAGUGCUGUUUUUAGUGUUAGGGUUUCCAAAAAUAACCCACACACAUUUUCCUACUUAAACACUUUCCACACCUGGAACCUAACUUCCUUUGACCACAACUUUCUCUCCCAACUUCCGAUUUAAGCGUGCCGCGUGUCUACGAACUCGUAACGACUAAAUAAGGCUGCCUCCAAUCCUCAAAACCUAAACUCAAACCUCACACAAGCCUAAGCUUAAGCUUAAACUUAAUGUCCUAACAUGAAAUCUUUGCUCACAACCUAGAAUUUUCACCUCUCAACAUGCUCACCACAGCAAGAGCUAGCUAACCACAGCAAACUAAAGCCAUAAACAAUGCCGGAUGUGCUGCCACGUGCCGCCACAGCAGCGGCGAGUGAGCCCCACGCUCCUCCACCAACCUCAAAAUUUGGGGAAACUCACAACAGCAAAGUUGUAGAUUGAAGCAAGGUGAACAACUUUAAUACUUGAGGUUUCAACCAGUUCAGCUGGAAAACGCUUCGAAACACCACCCCACAACCAAACUUCGAAUCUGCAAAAACCAGCGCCCAACUUCUAUUUUUAGGUCACCAAAGAGGCAUAAACAACUCUAGGCAAAGGAGGAGAGCAAGACUUACCAAGCCUCAACCAAAUUCGCCGUCGGAAGAAGAAAAUCCGGCGAUGUAGACCGGAGCUUCACCAGCCCAGUGCUCCUCCUCUAGCUCCAGGCACGGCGUCGCACCACUACAGGAGGGAAGAGAGUGGCCGUGCGAUCCAAAAGAGACCAGUGGCGGCCGAAACGGUGGCCGGACGGCGGACUUCCGGCCGGCGAAAUUCCUGGCAUGCGUGAGGCGUCGGGAGCUCGGGAGAGAGGAGAGAGAAAGUGAAACUGAUUUUUAGGGUUUCUAAAAAUAACCCACAACACUUUUUUACUUACACACUUUCCCAAAUCUGGAAACUAACUUUCUCUGACCAUAACUUUCUCAUACAAAGUCCGUUUUACGCGUGCCACGUGUCUACAAACUCAUAUCGUCGUGCUCUACAACUUUUGUUAAGGAAGUUUCUCGAGAAACCCAACAGAUUAAAAAGUCAACUCUUGACCCUUCAAAAUAACGUAUUUCUAACAAAGAAAUCUCUCGAACACCUCCGCUCUUCCUUCGAACCUCAAAACACACUAACUUCUAACUCAAAAAUUCUCAAAUAAUAUUAGAAACUAAUAUUAAUAUUCCAAGGUAUUACAAGUUGGGCCAGUCUCUUAAAUGUAUUUUUAAUGUAUGCUCUCUCAUGAAAUAAACAAAAUUGAACUUUCGUGAUAUUGUCUUUCCUUCUGGCAUUUUGUUAUUAGGUUUUGGAUUGAUGACUAAGUUAUACAUUAUAAUUGUUCUAAAUGUUAGCUACCUAUAAAUGACUACCCUAUUUCUUUUUUAUUCUGUAGUCAUGAAACUAAUGUUUUUCUUUGGAUUUUUCAGGUAACAAUAACUUUGGGUUGUUGGAAGACUUUGAAGAGGGCAAAUGAGUUUUAGCAAGGUACACCGUUUCUAAUCAUAUUACAUCUUCAGUUCUUAAAAUAAAUUUUAGUUUUUUAAUGAUAGUGCUUGCAUUUCAUCCACGAUGCUGCCAAGCAGAACUUGCAAGACUGCAGACUUCAUUUCUUAAAUCACACCACAAGUGCAAAGCAGAGACCACAUACAUAUGCAUUUGAAAAAAAGUGUGGAAACAAAUAUAUCUCAAAAUAGGUAGACAAUAUAAACCUGACAAUGCUAAUUACGUGUUAACCUUGUUUUUUUUUUUCAUAUUGGACUCUUAAUUGGCCCUUAUACCUUAUGACAAUGCUAAUGCAUUUGAUCAGCUUUUUCUAUACAACAAUGCAGGCAUUCUAGAUUAUGACAUGAAUGUUUUGAAAAUGUUAUCCCCUCAAAGUAUGAGGUCCCGAUGUGGCUCAGAACUUAUGUUUAACUUUGAUGUAUAUGUUCUUAGAUUGAUUUUCCAUUUCAAGUAGUAAACUAGCUCUGCCAAAAAAAAAGGUAAUAUAUUAGGAGGAAUGUUUAUGCUUUCUUUUCUUUUUCUUCCAUCCUUCUAAUAUUUAUACAUUCUGACUUGGACUUUCUAUUUAUCAGCACGAUCUCAUUUGUAUUAACUAAUGCUAAUGUCAAAAUCUCAAACACGCAAUAUUACAGUACCUACUUGGUCUCAUAGCCAAGAUUUAUAGCUCUGCAUCGUUAUGUACCCGUUCAAUAUUUGUAGCCAAGGUUUAUAUCAUAUUUCUCUUCUUUUGCAUUUCAUUAGCUCAUAAGCCCUUCAUAUUGUACUACAUAGUCUAGGUCAAUAGGCCCUUCAAAUUGUCCUUGAUGCUACAAAACACAAGGAGGAUGUAUUUAAGUCUUUAACCCGGGGCAUACACUUGCAGUUUGGAACAUAGAUCUAUUCAAGUUAUAAACAGUUGGCACACAAAUCGAGCUGCAUCUACCUAAAAUGUUCAAUGAAUAUGUGUGAUGUGCAAUUUGUAGUUGAGAUGCUGNNNNNNNNNNNNNNNNNNNNUACUUAUUUGAUUAGAAAAGGAAAAAAAAAAAGAAAGUAUCUUGGCCAAAGAAAUGAAGAUUCAAUGCAGAAACCUCAAUUCAUUACUAUCAAUAUAAUAAACUAACAUCUGAACAUUAUGUUUGUUCAUUCCUUUCAAUACACGCAGCAUUUUUCUAUCACCGUCAUGAAACUCCUACAAUAUUGAUUACUAAAGAAUUUGCAAAUCAGUAUCAUUCUUCUUAACAGAGUUACAACAGCUGUAGUUAGACCAAACAAUAUGAACUCACUCAUAUAUCUAUUUCUUCAAACCCCCAAUUUGCAAUUGCCUUAGAAAAAUUGCCCAAAUCGAUAAAAGUAUACCUGUUCAAAACCAAAACCACUCACGCUGAAUCUUGAGGUUUCAGUACCUCAGAAGAAAAACUCUACAAACAGUAGGAAAAGUUUGGAAAGAUCAAUGUUACUGUAGUCAUUAUUACAUUAUAGUUAAGUACGUAAUGUUAGCAGAUUAAUGACAAGUAGUUAUAUAUACAAUUCUCUCUUGGUUUUCGAAAGCCCUCUUUUUCAGUUUAUAACGAUCCCAGGCUUUUGGUUAUUCAAAGCCACUGUGAGUUCCUAUUGUUAUAUCAACACCACAUUUGUAAGUCAUACUUAAAAUGAAAACAGCAGUAAAAUGAUGACAAAUUUUGUAAUCACUCAACAGCAUCAAUAUUUGCAGUACUAACCUGAAAACAAAAACUUCCCCUUUUUUUCUGUCUUUUUUUUCGAAUUCAGACUUCCUUUCUUUUUCUCUAUAGAAACCGAGAUAAUAAAAUUUGUAUUAGUUGUAAUUCAAGGAAAUUGUUGUUGUUCACAUCGAUGUAAGAGAAUAAACAAACUUUAUAUACUUGCAGAUGCAAACCUACCAGAUAUGUGAAACAGAAAGAUGUCAUUGCUGAAUUUCAAAUCCUUAUCUUACUCUAUUUGACGUUGCACAUUUCAGCAAAAUAAGAUGUAGCGAAGAAGUUACUUUAUAAACAAAGACAUGAUGAGACCGAAAACAGAAUUAGGACAUGCACUUUGAUGUAAAGUUAAUCAUGAAAAGAUUCUGCUGUGACACAAUUUCUAGACUAGACCCACAUGCACCAAAAACAUGACAAACCCAGAAGCCAACAGAGUGAGAUUUGAGGGCAAGCAUACCGGGAAGCUAAACAUAAUCGCAACUUCAAGCCUAACCUUUUCAAUUUUAAAAGAUCCUGCAUUCUAAAAUGGACCAAACCAUUAUCAAAACAUUCAGAAUUCUAUAUAGGCUAUACAGUGUCUAGGAACAUUCACAAUUAUUAAAACCAAUGAGGAGGUUAUACCUAUUGUUACAGCUAAUUCCUUCGCUUUACAUCAUCUUUAAAUACCUACAAAUCGUAAGAUUGAAAACAUGAACAAACAUAAAGCAAUUAUAGUAGAACAAAAUAUGAAAAGUAAUCAACUACAUCCAUCAAACUGUAAAACAUGAUAGCCAUACCUUCAUACCUUCCCAAUCAAUGACCAAUAUCCCAAAGCCAUAGCCGAGGAUAAUCCAAACCCCUGAAACGUAAAUUGUGAUAUCAAUUGAAAUCCAAUGAAAAAGUGAAACCAAAGUACACAAAACNNNNNNNNNNNNNNNNNNNNUCUACGGAGGAAGUUUGUAAUGUUUUCUAAUAGUUCUUAUUAAUUAUUUGACCGGAGACAAAUACAUUUUUUGACUGUAUUGUUGCAUGUAACGUAAACUAAUGUUAAAAGCGAAAAAAUAUUAAACGCACGCGUGAGCUAGACCCUUUCUAAAUAAUAUAUUGCACACAUAGAAACUUUCUUUGUGAUAUCAAACAUAUAUUUUAAACUUUCCCGAUGACUAUCCUUGUGAUAUCAAACAUCGAAAUUUAGAGUUUUUGUAAUAUCUCAAUAUUUCAUUUCCGUAAGGAGAAAUUUUAUUCACACGUACUAAAUUUCUUAAUGCACACCAUUAUUUUUUGGAGUCACCACGGCUGGAACUGCACAAGGGCUUAAACUUUCUCUGAUCAAGCCUUUCUUCAUUGCUCCCCCUAGCCCCUGCAGUUAAGCAGCAAAAACCCAGCCUUCCUCAUCAGUAUACCCGUUUCUAAAGUUCUUAGAAAAAAAAAAAAAACCGACUGCUCCUCAAACUACUCAGACCUCAUUUAAAUCAAUAAUAAAGUAAAAUGACAUUAGACAUAAAAAAUAAUAUUUAAAUAAAUAAAAUCGGGACAUCACACAAAUGAUAACCCAUAACAAACAUUGAAAUCAAACAAAGAAUUACCCAGAUUGCUACGCCAAUUGACUGCACAUGAACAACAGAAAAGCAUUGCACUAUAAUAAGAGGAUGGUGAAAAACAGGAAAGAAGAUUGAAGCAAUUGAGCUAGUACUUACAUUCACCAUAUUUAGUUUCCAGCCAGGUCCAGUUAUCUCUCUAAUUUUGUAUUCUGGUGGCACUCGAGAGCAAAAAGAAGAAAGAAAGAAAAAUCAGAUUGAAACUCAGAUUAAGCAAAGAUGAAAAUUAAAUCAAGCAGAUGAAAGCUAAAGUUUUUUUUUUUUUUUUUGAAGCCACUCUACAAUUGAUACAAUUUUCUUUAUUUCGGUACAUUGCAGGUAAAAACUGUAACUUGACCUGAAAAACUGCUUAAAAAUGAAACUCAAAUUAGCAAGCUAUGUACUGGAAUUCGGUACAAUCACUAAGCCUUGGCAAUGUGCUUUAUGUUGAAUGCUCUUGAUAAUUAUUAUUAUGUAGAACCACACAUUAUAUUUAAGUGCGCAUGUAAAAUAAGCAAAAUGCACAGGACUAAUGUGGGUUAAACAGUAAUACCUCAACCAUGAGAACACCAGGCAUAAAGUUCUCAUUGAUUGUCACAUCUUAAUAAGCAACAGUUGAAACCCCUGGGUUGUACUCGAUCUCUCUAUCCACCAAAAGAAAUGGAAACCUGUAAAACACCCAAAAGCCAAAAUGAUCAAAACUUUAGAAACAAUCACUAAAUUUUACUAGGCCUACCUAUAUUCUCUUCCAAGCUCACAUAAGUAAGUAAAAUCAUUAAAUGAGUUUUGUAGAGCAUUUUGAUAAUAUGUAAGGUUUAUACUUUCUGAAGGAAUUUGUAAUCUAAGAAUACUAACUAACUAUCAAGUAGGUGUUUAGGCAUUCAUUUGUAUGUUGGGCGGUAUAGUGAAAAUCAACUUCUUUUUAAAUCUGCAAAUAGUAUACCUUCACUCACAUUUCCAAAUAAUAGAUGAAAUGCAGGGCUCACAUUGUGCAUCUCACACAUAUGGCAUGUAAAUUGCAGUCUAUGAAUUGGAUAUACCUGUGACGCAGACCACUUUUCAACACUUCUUUUCAAGCAACAACAGCUUGUACCUGAAGCAACGCAUAUAGAAAAAGCACAUAAGCGUAAGAGCAUAGGCAACUAUAAGCGCACUUUAACAGUUAAGAAAAAUUAACAAUAUCAUUUCCAUAGGGUUUUCAUCUGAUGAAACUUCUACCCUAAGAUUGGGUAAUGUAAAUCAUAUACAGAAAAGCUGAAAACUGAAUAACUCAAUNNNNNNNNNNNNNNNNNNNNAACAGCUCUUCACUAAAGCAUGAACAAAAGCGAAGAAGAACGCAAUCGACUAAAAAAGAAAAAACAAAAUCGGACCACCAACUAAGAAGGAAAUCCAAGAAAAAUUCGAACCAAACAGAACCUAAAAGAAAAAAAAAAUUUGAACAGUGAAUUGGUGAUAGCUAUACCGAUUUGCAGGCACCGAUAUGAUUCAACAAAACCACUUCAAACCGCAGCAAUCUGUCAUCCCAAAUCGAAAACCAAUCACCCGAAUCGGUCUGGUAAUAAGGAUGAUCAAGAGAAGAGAAUAAUUGUGAUCGAUGAACAAAAGGAAAGAUAAUAGACGAACCAAAAAGAAAGAGAAAAGAAAUUUACAAUAGAUAAAAGAAGGCUUACUCCGCUCUACUCAACUCUCGUUUCCUAUACUAUAUCGAAACAGAACAAGGGAGAGGUGGAGAGGUGGAGGCUCGGCUUAACAGAAUUAGGUGGAGAGAAGAAGAUUGGGCAAGAGAGAGUAUGAAGAAAGUUCGCGAACACAUCACUCUGUUUGUGCUAUGUCAUGGGGGGCUAAACGCUGCUCUCUUUUCUCUCUCAAUUUUUUUGGGUCGAUUUUCUCUCAAAUUCUCUAGGAUCUUCUUUUCUCUCUCUGCGUUUCUGGAAACUGAGUAAAACAGAGCAAAAUGCACUAAACCUUGGAAUUCAGUCCUUCAAUGAAGUUCUGAUAUUUCAAAAAUGCACAGACAGAUAGUUCUCUCUCCAAUUUUGUAUUCUGGUGGCACUCAGAUAGCAAAAAGAAAGAAAAAUCAGAUUGAAACUCAGAUUAAGAAAACAUGAAAAUUAAAUCUAGCAGAUGAAAGCAAAGUUCUUUUUUUUUUUUGAAGCCACUAUCAUAUACUGGAAUUCGAUGCAAUCGAUCAUUGAGGUCCUAGACUACAGCACAAACAAUAACCCGAAUCAGCUCAAAUCAAGGAAACAAAAUACCCAGUCAAAAAUCACAAUCUGCAUCACAUACAUUCUUCAUCAGCAUACACGAAAAUCAAACCCAAAACUGCAUGCACAAAAGUCAGAUAUGUUAAUCAUUCAAUUUAAUUCAAUCUUAUUAGUGUUAAACAUGCAUCGACAUCAAAUAAAAAAAAUGAAAUUGAAACCUGGAAACGAAUAAUGAAGCCGUCCUUUUUAUCGAUGUGAAUUACCCAGACUGCUAAGCCAAUUGACCAGACAUGAACAACAGAAAAAGCAAUUCACUUUAAUAAGAGGAUGGUGAAAAACAGGAAAUAAGAUCGAAGCAAUUGAGCUAGUACUUACAUUCACCAUAUUUAGUUUCCAGCCAGGUCCCGUUAUCUCUCCAAUUUUGUAUUCAGGUGGCACUCAAUAGCAAAAAGAAGAAAGAAAAAGAAAUUAAUAUAUAAUCUUGUACAUACAUGAUUGAUAUAUAAUCUUCUAAAACGAUUAUACAAAAAUUAGGAAGUUCUACACACCUUUGUGCAUUCAUAUCUACCUCAGUUCUGAUUGCUUCCAAAGAGUGUCAUCAGCACCCAUAUGAGACUUGAGUACUCUGUCAGUAUCUAGUUGCCUGCUCCCAUGUGUUGCCUGAACCAAAAGAUGCAUUCACCUGGCUAGUCCACCCACCACCCCCAGCUGUGGACAACUAUAUAUCUGCAUACACAUUUGAUGAAUUUAGAAACAUGAGAUACGCACAAACACACAAGCAUGAAGAGAUCAUGAACAAUCAAACCAAAAUUAUUGACAUGUUAACCUUUGCAAAAUAUAAAACGUAGAACAGUUGUUAAGAUUGAUUAUAACAUGAAGUUGACAAAAAGAUAACUGAAAUAAAAAAGAGAUAACCUUUCUCAUGAAAGCCAAAGAAACGAAUGUCUAUAAUUUCUUGACCACUAUACAAAACUUUGUGAGCCAAAAGCUAAAAUGACUAAUGAAAGGAUAUAGUUGGGGCAAGAAAAUUCAGCUCUCUUUAUGGCAAUUGUAGGGUGGAGGUCAAAAAGAAGAUUGAUCUCUGUGUUAAAUUGUUUCUCCAAUCGUGCUGCCAAGAGGUAUGAAAUACAAAAAGGGGUUUAGGACCAACAAGCUCAAUUUCAUAUAUUACAUGGCGGGCUCUCACGUUGACAACACCGGAUGAAAGAAGGAAUUUAAGUCGCAGGAGGUUGAUCCUCAACAUCAGUCCUAUUAGCCUGAAAACUGAAAUUAAGCAAACUCAGGUUACAGUCGAUUAAAGCGUAGGGGCCUCAAAGGUGCUCCGCAAUCGGAAGAUGUCAGCAGAAGCAAUCAAAAAAAGAAAAAAAAUAACAAGAUAGAGAUAAGAGGGCUACCUGAAACUGUUCCAGCUUCUUGGAUGGUGUAAGCUCCUUCAUCCAAGUAGUACGGCUUUUGAUCAAGGAAAAUAAGUAAUUAUCAUCAGCAACAAAUCACAAUCACACAACCGAGACCAAAACAGACACCAAACCAAAAAAGAAACAAAUCACCUAUAGUUGAAAUCUGGAAACCGUAAGGUAGAAGAUCAAGUGAUUCAUCAUCUGCCAACAAAUCACAAUCACACAACUGAGACCUAAACAGAUACCAAACCGGAAAAAAUAAAAAGUAGAAACAAAUCCACCAAUAGUUGAAAUCUGGAAACCGCGAGGAAGAAGAUGAAGUGAUUCAGAACACCGCUGGCUGUUAGGUGUUACCUGAUCGUGAGUACUGACUGUAAUACUCAAACUCGUACUCCAUCAGUCAAACUUGUACUCAUUCUUCAGUUCAUCUCUUUACAUCAGGAUAAUCCACAAAACAGAUACUUGAAUUAAUUUUGGCUUAAAGUAAGAGUGCUGAUCUAAAAGUGAAUACAAUAUUUAGUGUGAAAGACGAAUUCCUUACCAGAUUUAUAGGAUCUAAACCAGAUUGUCUUUCCACAGGUUCCAGAGCUGCACAUUUACCUCAGGAUAAUCCACAAAACACAUACUUGAAUUAAUUUUGGCUUAAAGUAAGAGUGCUGAUCUAAAAGUGAAUACAAAAUUCAGUGUAAGAGAUGAAUUCCUUACCAGAUUUAUAGGAUGUAAACCAGAUUGUCUUUCCACAGGCUCCAGAGCUGCACAUUAAUCACCAGAAAGAAUUUUAAGCACAUUUAAUAGUAAACUCCAACAGUUUUUUUUAACCUUAACAAUACUAAAAGCAAAAGUAAACAAGCAAUCAUAUGAUGAACCUUAAAAACAAAGGAACCCAUGCUUUUAAGGCCUCUUGCUGUGACUGAACCCCUGCAACAUUGAUACCAUGUACAAAUGAAAGGAAUAUAUUACAAAACUGAUACAGCAAUACUGAACUUGAAGACCAUGACCAAGUUGAAAAAUCCAUGUUGAUAUGUAUCAUUUCAGUUGGGAUAAAAUCAAGCUAUCCAUAUCCAUAUAGAUGCAACAGCAUGUAUAUCAAACCUAAAACUCACUUUCCAAGCAUCAGUUUUCAUAUCUAGUCAGUCCCAUUAAUCCAAUUAAUACCAGCUCUCUAUAUUCACAACCUUCCCAAAGCAAACACCCAAAUUAUAAUCAAUGCACAUUGCACUUCAGAUUAGUACUGUAUCUGUUCUUAAUUGAGCUUACAUCAAUACUGAUAUCUGAUUGAAGUCUUUAUUAGACUAACACAUACUUUAUAAAAGCAAAAUUGGAACUUAAAUCAGAUAAAACAAAAACAGAGUUCUAACAAUACUCAUCUUUACUGCACCCGUGUCACCAAUCUGUCCAAGCUCUAGUCUUUGCUUGAGCCACACAGCUUCCCCAGAAGUACCAACCUGAGUAUACAAACACCAAUUACAUCUAAGGGAAUAUUUAGAAACUCGAUAAAAAACUUUCUGAUACCCCAAGAAUCUACACACCGCGAGCCAACACACGAUAUCUAGCUGCCAGUAACACUUCACCUGAGCAAUUCCCUAGGAAUCAUGAAGGACAACAACAAUUUUAGAUGCUAAAAUUAAUAAAUUUUAGCAAUUCCAUAAGAAAUUUUAAAUAUUUUACUGCAUAUAUUCUUUCUCACAAACUCACCUUGAUCUAACACAAAGGAUUGAAACCUUCAAGAUUGUGAUUGCUUUUGUUAAAUCAAAAAUCAGUGAGCUGCAUGCAACUUCAAUGAUAAAAUAUGGUGAUCUAAAUUGUUGUAUAAUUUGAAAUCACUUGUAAUAUACAAAAUCUGAUAGUUAUAGUUGAUCAAUUUCAAGUUGCAUGCAACCAUAUCAACUUUAUAGCUGAUAUCCUUGACCUUUACUUAGGUGCACUUGAUGUCUCUGUUGAUUUUUGAUGAGAACAUGAAAUUCUCAUUAAGCCACAAACGGGCAAAGAAAAACAGAAGAAACGCUGAAAAGAAAAACACGAGCACUGGAAACAACCAAGCUAGGCUAGCAAAACUAAGCAAAACAACACAAAGAACACAGAAAACACAGCAGAACUUUAUAUUGUUUUAUUCUUAUGCAGAUUGUAUAGAAUUUUCAAUAUGGUCAUAUUCUAGUCUACAACGCCCAAUUCCCUAUUUGGUUAUAUGAUAUAAUCAUGCCUAACUGACAUGGACUUGACAAGAAUUACAGAAUGAUAUUAGAAGGAAUAGUUCAUAGACAACUAACCGUAUAAAGUCGGUAACCAUUCAUCUCCUGACGGACAAAAUACACAAGACUCUGUGGCCAAGUUGAUCCACUGGUCAAGCACAUUAGAUGGCUUUUGUAGAGUGGCUUGAUCAAUAGGGACAGAAGGGGCAAACCGUUCAAUCUCAAGUCUCUUUGCAUUCUGAACAAGGAACCUAUAGGCAUUGUGCCAUGGGAGAAAUAUGUCCUUGACCUGAAAUUAACCAAAGGUAAAAGUACCACUGGAUCAAUUCAAAGAACAAAGAUCAACAAACAGCACUCCAAUAUGAAAACAAUAAUACCGGAAUAGAUGAAUGACACUCAGAACACAAUAAACUCCUUCCUUCUUGAAACGUAAUGGUUGCGCGCGCACAACAAGGAGUUAAUUAGGUAUAAUUGUACUGCAUCUUGCACAACAGAAAUUUGAUUAGACAUGAUUUUUGUGAAAUAUAUCAUCUUCCCACCAUUUGACAAAGAAACCAGGAAGAGAAAAGGCACAGAAACUAUAAUACGAACCGUCAGUUACAAUAAACACAUACAGCUACGUACUGAUCGAUAACAUCAAUUGGUGGAGGAAAAUUUUUCAGACUUUCUCAUUUUUUUUCCAUCCUCAGCAAGUACAAGUCCAUUGCAAAUGAGAUUCUGCAAGGCAGGUUUGCCAAAUAAUGCAGUAGAUAACACCAUAAGUGUGUGAAACCUGCAUACUCAGAAGGAAACAAUGAGGCCUAGCUUAGACAUUGGAAACUUGUGCCCAAGUUAGGAUAACAGCUGACACAAAGGAAUCUAAUCCUACAAUAGGCAGCCGACAGUCAUUAUAUUAAUUAAAAAGAAAAAGAAACAACUUAUGAACAGGCAAAAGGGUUUUCCUAUUAGUUACCAAAAUAAACUCCCUAUUAUGUUUCCAACUGUACAUCAUAUUUUUUGGAGUCUUCAUCUAACACUCGAAUUCAUGUUAGUUCGAGGGCCUGAAGCUUGGGAAGGGCAAUCUACAUUAGAUAUCUGUGAACCUUUCUGAGGGUAGAUCCUUCUCCCUUCAUAAGUCUGCCAAUGAAUCUGGAGAAUGGUAUCAAAACUAAUAAAAGAAAUAUAGAGGAAGAACAGAGGACAAAUGUUUGUCUAGUGAUGAAAUCAGAUGUUGUAGAUGAAAAAUAAGUAGCUGAUUUAUCAUACCUGAAAAAUUUAAAGAUAAACAGUUGUUCAGUUCCUGAAACACCUAUAAUUUCAGUUAACCCCUAAUGAAUUGUGAAAGGAGGCUGACCUGAGAGUCGUUCCAAUACCUUAAGUCAGAAUUAUUUGACAAUGAUAGAAUAUCUUACAUCAAAAAAGAAAAAAAAAAAAAAAAAAAAAACCAAAACUGAACUCAGCAUAAACCAAAAGGUCUGAUCAAUCAAAGAUCAUAACGAAGAAAAAGAAAAUUGAGGGAAAAGAGCAAAAGUGGUUUUCAGGGAAUGUAACAUGACUGCAGACUCUCUUGCCAAGACAAGCAUUGAUCAUGCUCCGGAUCAUAUCACCUUUGAGAAUCCUCCCGUUCAUGCUAUUGCUGCCUAUUUAGAUGAUUUGGAUGGUAUUGCUAGAUCAAGAAAGUCUGGGAACUCUGCAGAGUGGAACAAUGGAAAGAAAGGGCUAGUAAAAAAAAAAAAAAAAAACCGACAGUGCCCCACAAGUCUCAUAUACAGAACUUGAAAUUUAUACAUUAGAGUUUGAGGGAAAAGAAAUAAGGCUAUAGGUGAGCAGAAAAGUAUCCUAACUAAAGUGUAUUAGCAUAUAAAUAGUUCCAUAAAGAAAUUUUUGUUGAAAAUUAACUGUCCCAAACGAAUUCCUAAACCCAUCAUGAAAGUGAAAGCUACAUCUAAUUGCAUUAGGGACCUGCAAAUAAGACAUUUUUUCUAUUUCUGUAACCUGAUACUACAACUACCUCCCAGUAAAUAGAUUAGAAUGUCUCUUUUCUCGUCAAUCGCCUUGCUUAACUGUUUCCAAAUAUCUACCCUUCACAUAUGCACUUGCUUCCCAAGAAAUAGUAUCUCUAUACAGUUCCGUCACCAUCUGGGUCAAUGGCUUAGCACCAAAUAUAUACAAACUUGCACCAGAUUAACUGGCCCGUAACUAGAAAAAUUUCAAACGUUUAAUGAAUUGUUUUGUAGCCCUAAGAAUAAUUCCCCAAUUAUAGAAUUCUGGCAGUUCCGUCUAUAUUUUUUUCGAACACUAGCACAGAAAAGUACCCGGACCUUAUGACUUAUAUUUGUCAGAAGUAAAACUAUUUUCGCUUAGAAAGGCCUCUUUAAUUACCUUAAUUUGACUUGUUUGAUGUGUUGUCGAGUUGAGUUCAUCAAACCCCAAUUCACUUUCUCUAACAUGAUCCUACUAGAUACAUGCUAGAGAAAGAGGAUGGAAAAGAAACCUCAUGGUCGAAACAAGAAUCUUGAGCCCAAUGGUAAUCAUAGCCAAAGCUUACCAUACGCAAAAUAUAACUGUCUCAGACAAGAAAAAGAGAUGUAAGGAUUACAUAUAAUAUACCUGUACACAAAACCAAAAUGCAACAUGUGUCGUUGCUCAUAUCUUGUUUGCUUAAUUUCAACUUUCUGAACCUAUUUUACCAACGCAGUCAGUGAAAUCAGUAAAAAUUUGCAGAUGUGCAAUGGACCUAGAAAUUUAUUAUUAAAUUGUACAAGUUAUUAUCAGCAAAAAGUGGACAUAGGGGACUAUCUGAAACACUGUUAUAGUUGAGAUGGACAUUAAUCAAAUCACAAGUUUAGUAUGGAGAUUGGUUUCAAACUUCCAGCAGUAAGUGGUAAGGCCUAUAUCUUAAAGCUAUUCUGUUAUCCUAAGAUACGCAAGGCUGAACAUGUUACUUUUCAUUAGUACAUAACUAGUUGCUAAAAGAAGUGGAAAUGAAUACUUACUUAACUAUCACAUGUCCAUUAGUGUUGGAGUGAAUCCUUAAGGAAAGAGGCUCAAGUUCAAAAUAUGAGAGAAUUAUCACAUGUCGAGCAACCAAACUUUACCAAAGUACUUUUGUUAGGAAGAUAUACUCGCGUUCAAGAACUCAAGGUCACCCAUUUAGAGAAGAUGCUACAAUAUAAUCUUAUGUCAAAAUUCUUACUAUUGGAUUGAUUUUAAUGUAAAGGCCAUAUAGCAACACAUACGAUAUGCUUCGCACGAGGUCUUCAACAAGAGUACUUUUCUUGCUGCGCAUCCAUACCUUAGUCCGAAAUAUUGGUUGCUUAUUUCCAGUGGCCCUCAUGUUGGUAUUUUGUGAAGAGUGUGGGUUUCUCUCUCGUAUUUUCAUAUGUAAAAGAUAUGCACAUGAAAUGAGAAGCAGGUAAACUGAUUUUAACAAAUCAGAACUGCACAUUGAUUUAUAAGCAAAAAAAAUAAGAAUAAAAAAUUUGCAAAACAUUCGAGGAGAGCAAGAUACCGAAAUUGAAUAAAUUUGCCACCUAAAGGUGCCCCGAAAGUUGUCCAAAAAUGCCCAGUGCUCCCUACUAGAAAUAGAUAAGCAGAAAUGUUACUCCAAAUUUAGUAAAUCAGACACCCAACAAUAAAAUUAUAUAGUUUUAGAAAAUAAUGAGAAAAGAAUAAAAUGUUACUCUAAAUUUAGUCAACGCACCUUUACCAAAAGAAAAUUCACAGAAGCAACUGAGAGGAUAAAUAUGAUACUUCCAGACAAAAAGAAAUACAGAAAGUCAGAGAAAUUCCACCUCCUUAUUACAACUGUAAAACAUAUCCGGCUUCAUGUAGAUACGAUAGGUAUGUCAAGGAAAUCAAAAGCCAACAAUGGACAUCCCAUUGGCUUUCAAAUGAAAAUAUGCCCUCAAAAUGAGGUAUUGACGUAAAUAUUGCGAAAGCAAUGGUAAGAACAGGUAAAUUUCCUCGGAAGUUUCUCCAUGGAGAAUCGGACGCAUCCUGUGAAAAACAAAAGGGUAUAUAAGAAAGAUAAUAUUUGUUUAGUGUUUUUACACGUUUAGUACAUGGUAUGCAUGUCACUUUGAUGCAGUACAUAACAUACGGACAUGAAACAUUUUUCAGCCAAGAUGUCUUUAUUGACAAUGCAGACAUUGAAACAACAAAAUAUGCUAAUGAAAUCUGUGAUUUGAUCAAAGUUGUUUCUGUUCCUUUUUGUUUUCUUCUUCUUUCCUAUUAAUUUUGAAAAUAAUUGACCAAUUCAAACGUUCAGGAAACUUAGUUGGUGAUUUGGUAUAACAUCACACUUAGGUGCACUUGAUGUCUCUGUUUUAUUCUUAUGCAGAUUGUAAAGAAUUUCAAUAUGGUCAUAUUCUAGUCUACACAACUAAAUUCCCUAUUUGGUUAUAUGAUAUAAUCAUGCCCACCUGACAUGGACUUGACAAUAAUUACAUAAUGCUAUCAGAAGGAAUAGUUCAUAGACAGCUAACCGUACAAACUCGAAAACCAAUCAUCUCCUGACAGACAAAAUACACAAGACUCUACUUUGUGUGGCCGAGUUGAUCCAUUGGUCAAGCACAUUAGAUGACUUUUGUAGAGUGGCUUGAUCAAUAGAGACAAAAGCAGCAAACCCUCCAAUCUCAAGUCUCUUUGCAUUCUGGGCAAGGAAUACGUCUAGAAUGCAAAGAGACUUGAGAUUGUACCAUGGAAGUAAUACGUCCUUGACCUGAAAUUGACCAAAGAUAAAAGUACCACCGGAUCAAUUCAAAGAACAAAGAUCAACGAACAACACUCCAACAUGAAAAUAAUACAGGAAUAGAUAAAACACACUUAGAACACAAUAAACUCCUUCCUUCUUGAAAUGUAAUGAAACAACAGGAGAGUUAAUUAGGUAUAAAUCGUACUGCAUCUUGCACAACAAAAAUCUGAUCAGACAUGAUACUGAAACUGUAAUACGAACAGCGAGUUACAAUAAACACAACAGCUGCAUACUUAUCUAUAACAUCAAUUGGUGGAGGAUAAUUUUUCAGACUUUUUGCUCGUUUUUGCUUUCCAUCGUCAUCAAGUACAUGUCCAUUGCAAAUGAGAUUCUGAAAGACAGGUUUGCCAAAUAAUGCAGUAGAUAACUAAGAGUAUUAGCAUAUAAAUAGUUCCUUAAAAAGAAUUUUGUUGAAAUUUAACUGUCCCAAAUGAAUCCUUAAACCCUAUAUGACACCAUGAAAGUGAAAGCUACAUCUAAUUGAAUUAGGGACUUGCAGAUAGAAAGGCAACCUUAUACUACAACUGCCUCCCAGUAAACAGAUUUGAAGGGCAAUGUCUCUUUUCUCAUCAAUCUCCUUGCUUACCACAGAAGCUGUUUCCAAAUGUCCACCCUUCACAUAUGCACCUUCACAUAUGCACCUGCUUCCCAAGAAAUAGCAUCUCCCGACAGUUCCGUCACCAUCAGGGUCAAUGGCUUAGCACCAAAUAUAUAUAAACAUGCAUCAGACUAAUUGGCCUGUAAUUAGAAUAAUUUCUGACUUUUGAUGUAAUUAGAAUAAUUUCAAACUUCACCUGUACGGCCCUUUAACCUCUUGUGAUUGCACCUCACAUAAAUAUUUGUCAAGUUGUCGAGAAACUUCAAAAGAUAUGGAACCACCUCUAAAGUAUUGUAUACAAGAAUUAGAAUCAGAAGUGGAUUGUUUUAACUGAAACAGAGAUGUUUUACUCAUAAACAAUGGAACUCAAAUAUAAUGCAAAACUGACAAGCUUUAACAAGAGAACAUAUAAACCACACAACCAAACUGCUUUUGGAAACCUCAAAAACCAGUUCCAAAAAGAAAUCUCAAAUAGAAUGCGAAUGAACUAGACUAAGAACUAGACUAAAAGAAAACUCAAUUUUAAUGACAUUAAGUAAAUAAGUCAUUAAGUAAUUUUGACAAACAAAAAGAAACAAAAGAUUUAAAUGACAUUAUAUUUGAAUUUAUGAAAUUCCAGGGAAUCCUCAUCUAAGUAUUAAGUACUGAUUAAUUCUAAGUAAGCUCCCUCAGAAAGCUUAAAUAUCUAUCAAAACCCCACCCUGACUCUAAAAUAACUUCUAGUUAGGUACAAAAAAUUUCCAGCACCAGUUAUAUAGCCUUGUUUCAUUGCACUCAAAAACUAUUAAGGAUGCAGAUAAAUGGAAACAUACAGACUCGUUAAAAACAAAACAUUGCUUCACUCAUAGCAGCCUUUGUAUUAGUAAAUGCAUAUACAUUAGGAAUUCAUAUAUUCUGCACUACAUAUGUUCUGCAUUAGAAUAUAAGAGAUUUUUUUUUUUUUUGUCGAAAUCCCCUUUUCCCAGAAAUAUGAAGCUACCCUUGAUCUAAGGUUCUGCUAUAUACAGAUUCUCGUAAAAAUUAAGGAUUCAAAGAUAAUAAAUGUAAUUCUGCAACUGAGAUUCCAAAAGCACACCAUCAAUGAAUAACACCAAUCAAAAUUCAAGGUAUGCAAUUCAAUAACCACCUAUAAAUCACUAACAGUAAAAAUUAAUAAAACAAAUCAACGAAAGCACAAAAAAAGGAUGUGAAAUCCACACCACACCCCAAAUUAUAAUCCACACACCCACUUUCCAUUUUCAGUAAUCAUUUUCAUAUGAAGACAAAAUUUAAAUCACUAAGGACAAAAUUUAAGUUACUAAAAAUAGAAAGUGGGUGUGUGCAUUACAAUUUGGGUUGUGUGAAUUUCACUUCCCCACAAAAAAAUUGAAAUCCCUAACAGAUAAGGACCAAUACCCACAAUUUCCGUUUUAUGGACUUUGGAUAAGCCAACAGUUCGCGUCCUUAUUUUGCUGAUCGAUCUCAAUGGCCCCAACACCUUACUCUUCAUGUAGAGUGAGAUUCAUGUCGAUCUAAAAUUCCAAACCAAGCCUGAAUCUAGAACCACAUAAAAACCAAAAUGUGCAACUAAUCAAAAACAAAAUUAUUGAGGAAUCUUAGGCUAAUUAAUGAGAACAACAAAAAGUUAAGCACACCAAAAUUAAUUAGUGAUGGCAUGAAAUUUAGAAAGAAACUGUAACCAAAAAAAAGAAAGAAAGAAAUUAAGUCACAGUUAAUGUACUGCAACAACAUUGGAUACAUAGUUGAACAUUAAGAAUUUAUGAUCCAUUAGAAAUGCAUACGACUUGCAGAUUAUGAAUCUCUAAUGCAAGACUGGUUUUUAUUUAAAAGUAUGAAAAAGGCUAGCCUAGUGAUAGCUUGGUUCCAUAGGGUUACAUCAUCAAUACGUCAAAAAACGCCAAAUUGAGGACCGCGGCUAUAUGGAAUAGUGAUAUGAUCUAUAUUGUGCCGGUGAAGAUCAAUAACCUGUUAGAAUCAACAGAAAAUAUUCAACUCAUUUGCAGUAACAAAAAAUAUCAAGAGAAAACUACAAUCUUUUUCCUUUUGUUAUAUAGGCCCCCUACAUAAGAUAGGCUCCCUACAUAAGAUAGGCCCCCUACAUAAGAUGGAUAUAGUUCUACAGAUACAGGACCAAUAUCUACUAUAUGAAUAAGGUAAGAUUAGUUAGCUUCCCAUCACCUUCCUUCCUUCUCCUGCCUUUGACAAACCCAAAUAUAAGAAUAUUAAACUUCUGCAUUACCGAAACCCCAAAUCAGUCUCCAUCAUUCAGUCACAGAACACAGAAAAGAAAAAAGAAAAAAAAAUGAAGCAAUCCCGGAACCAGCACAACUCACCUGAUCUUUCAGAUGAUCAAGAGACUUGAGUGAGGUAUCUGAGGCUUAGCGAGGCUUCCAAGCUUCAUGAAACCCUACCGAAUAGGGUCAACAACAAAUCAUACCGAUUAAAAAAAAAGUGUGAUAAUUAAGAAUAAGGUUUACUUGCUUUUUGCCUAAAAAUUGGUCCAUCCGAGCCUCCCAUCUCCCACACUUACGCAAAGUCGCUCUAUAUUUUGAGCUACCUCUAGGGAACCCAUCACUUUGUCGGGAAAGUACAUCCACACAUUCCUCCUUUGUUAAAUUGCUCAUCUGUUCAGCAACAUAUUACAAAAGAAUAUAAUCGAUCUUACCCACAUCCUCAAAAUCCCAAAAACAAAAACACCAAAAAAUGUAUAGCGGGUUUUACUGUUGAAGACAAGUUAAAAACUGUUCAAAACUAGGAUGUAUGCCCGCGCGUUGCAGCGGGUUAUGUAAUAGAUAUGUGCAGCCGGUUCGACGAAAAAUAGUAUAUAGUUAAAUUUCCUGUCAUAUUGUCACUACACAGAGUUGUAAGAUGGAGAGUAAGAGACAAAAACAAAAUCGUUGUGAACAGAAGACAAAGUCCCUGAACUCAUAUUCUCUAUAGAAACAGGACAAAGGUGAUGCUUGCUAAUUCACACCUUUCAUACACACAAUGGUAAAUUAGCUAAAGUUGCAUAUGCAUUAAUUCAAAGUAGUACAGUAUCUCACAUCCUUUUGCAGUCCAAUUGCAGGUGUGAAAAAGAACUUACAUUCAUGUAAAUAAAUGACAUAUCAGGUAUAUCACACACCAAAUUGAAUCAUAACAUUGAAAUUGCUAAUAUGGAGGUUUGGAUAUUAUUAACAACAAUGAUAUAAGAAAAUGCAAAAAGCGGAUUGCAGUUGGGAAUGAUAUUAACAAUGUUAGGAAAAACCAAAAAGGACCAAAUGUUCAGAGAUUGAUCAUUUUAAUCUACUUGCUGAGAUAAUCCAAUAGGUUAAUUACCUCAGCGGUUUUUAAUUACCUAAGCUGUCAGUACGCCUUUCCCUAUUGACAAAUAAAAUCAGGCAGUCAGCUACUGUCAUUCCUACUGUCGAAAUUUGCAGGCACAUUUCUUUCUUUUGUAGGCUUACCAACUAAAAAUGAUUAAUUGGUGAUAGGAUGAUAGGAAGACAAAAGAUGUGGAUACUCAUACUCAGAAGUUCAAAAUUUAGGAUCUAGAAAAUUUACCUUUGCAAUUGUGAAACUUUUUGAAGGAUCAGAAUUUUUUUUUCUUCUGUUCUUUUCUAAACCCCGCAAACAAAUAUUAAAGAAUAUAGUGGAUUUAAGUGUUCAGCCAACAUUAUUCAACCCAAUAAAAGUCCACCAAAGUGACCGUUAUAAAAGGGAGGACCAAAAAUACAUAAUUUGCAGCAAACUUUCUAUAAAAUUGAGUAUGAUUUCACCUAGUCUCCUGAAAACAAACCAUCAAAAUAUGACCUAACAGAGUUUGAAAGUUAAUCAUAGAUUAUUAACAUGCCCAUAACUAAAGGAUUUGCCAUACAAAAAAAUUCCCAGAAUUUGAAAAUAUCCCUAGCUCAACUACCUCUACUGCUUACUCAACUACCUGUUCAACUGUUCAGAGUGCUUGCCUGACAAAGCUCAAAUCAAAGCAUAUAGGAUGGAACAUUAUUCACAAAAUAAAAGUAUAAAUUCACACUAACGGUUCCUCAAAGUCUGAAAAAGUAUAUAACCAUACAUGCCAUUUGAGAAUAUGGUUUUUCCUAAAAACCUAUCUAGCACUAAAUCUUCAAUGCAGUUGAAUUUUUCAAAAGUAAAAAAUAAGCAGUUGAAGAACAAAAUUACCUAUAGCUUUCGUCUGGAAACAUUAACAAUUUGGUAUCUGGUACAUAACAUGGAGUUAAAUUAGAUUCAGAAACCAUACCACACAGUAACACUCGUAGUUUAGCAACCCAGAGUGCUAAUUUAUAGCUCAAUAAAAAAAUAAUCAGUAACAGUAAAAGGUAGUACCUUCCUUUGCUUAUUCCAUCUUCAAUUAGAUCUUUGCUGAGACCUAAGAGCACACGAGUGUUUAGAGAAGUCCUUCUGAAAAAUCGAUUACUUCUAAGAUAUCUGAAGACGUGAAAAAGCAUUGCAUAUUAAACCAUGAUACACCAAAGCCAAUCACACGAACUUUCAAUCCAUUAGACGCAACUGGAAAAAUAAAAUCACUUGAAUUGAAAAUGUAUUACGCAUAUCCAUCUUCUUAUUUCCCAGCUCCAAAUCCAAAUAUAUAUAUCGAUGUGAAUUACCCAGACUGCUAUGCCAAUUGACCGGACAUGAACAACAGAAAAAGCAAUUCACUUUAAUAAGGAGGAUGGUGAAAAACAAGAAAUAAGAUCGAAGCAAUUGAGCUAGUACUUACAUUCACCAUAAUUAGUUUCCAGCCAGGUCCCGUUAUCCCUCCAAUUUUGUAUUUAGGUGGCACUCAAUAGCAAAAAGAAGAUAGAAAAAGAAAUUAAUAUAUAAACUUGUACAUACAUGAUUGAUAUAUAAUCUUCUAAAACAAUUAUACAAAAAUUGGGAAGUUCUACACACCUUUGUCCAUUCAUAUCUACCUCGGUUCUGAUUGCUUCCAAAGAGUCAUCAGCACCCAUAUGAGACUUACUACUCUGUCAGUAUCUAGUUGCCUGCUCCCAUGUGUUGCCUGAACCACAAGAUGCAUUCACUUGGCUAGUCCACCUACCGCCCCCAGCUGUGGACAACUAUAUAUCUGCAUACACAUUUGAUGAAUUUAGAAACAUGAGAUCAUGAAGAGAUACACACAAACACACAAGCACGAAGAGAUCAUGAACAAUCAAACCAAAAUUAUUAACAUGUUAACCUUCGUAAAAUAUAAAACGUAGAACAGUUGUUAAGAUUGAUUAUAACAUGAAGUUGACAAAAAGAUAACUGAAAUAAAAAAGAGAUUUCCUUUCUCAUGAAAGCCAAAGAACGAAUGUCUAUAAUUUUGUGAGCCAGAAGUAUAAUUCUAAAGGAAAGCUAAAACGACUAAUGAAAGGAUAUAGUUGGGGCAAGAAAAUUCAGCUAUCUUUUAUGGCAAUUGUAGGGUGCAGGUCAGAAAGAAGAUUGAUCUCUGUGUUAAAUUGUUUCUCCAAUCGUGCUGCCAAGAGGUAUGAAAUACAAAAAGGGGAACAAGCUCAAUUUCAUAUAUUACAUGGCGGGCUCUCAAGUUGACAACACCGGAUGAAAGAAGGAAUUGAAGUCGCAGGAGGUUGAUCCUCAACAUCAGUCCUAUUAGCCUGAAAACCGAAAUUAAGCAAACUCAGGUUACAGUCGAUUAAAGCGUAGGGGUCUCAAAGGUGCUCCGCAAUCGGAAGAUUGUCAGCAGAAGCAAUCAAAAAAAGAAAAAAUAACAAGAAGAUAAAGAUAAGAGGGCUACCUGAGAUUGUUCCAGCUUCUUGGAUGGCGUAAGCUCCUUCAUCCAAGUAGUACGGCUUUUGAUCAAGGAAAAUAACGAUAGGGCAGGUAAUUAUCAUCAACAACAAAUCACAAUCACACAACCGAGACCAAAACAGACACCAAACCAAAAAAGAAACAAAUCACCUAUAGUUGAAAUCUGGAAACUGCAAGGUAGAUGAUCAAGUGAUUCAUCAUCUGCCAACAAAUCACAAUCACACAACUGAGAUCCAAACAGAUACCAAACCGAAAAAAAAAUAAAAAGUAGAAACAAAUCCACCAAUAGUUGAAAUCUGGAAACUGCGAGGAAGAAGAUGAAGUGAUUCAGAACACCGCUGGCUGUUAGGUGUUACCUGAUCGUGAGUACUGACUAUAAUACUCAAACUUGUACUCCAUCAGUCAAACUUGUACUCAUUCUUCAGUUCAUCUCUUUACCUCAGGAUAAUCCACGUUACAGAUACUUGAAUUAAUUUUGGCUUAAAGUAAGAGUGCUGAUCUAAAAGUGAAAACAAAAUUCAGUGUGAAAGACGAAUUCCUUCCCAGGUUUAUAGGAUCUAAACCAGAUUGUCUUUCCACAGGCUCCAGAGCUGCACAUUAAUCACCAGAAAGAAUUUUAAGCACAUUUAACAGUAAACUCUAAUAGUUUUUUUAACCUUAACAAUACUAAAAACAACAGUAAAGAAGCAAUCAUAUCAUGAACCUUAAAACAAGGAACCGAUGCUUUUAAGGCCUCUUGCUGUGACCGAACCCCUGCAACAUUGAUACCAUGUACAAAUGAAAGGAAUAUAUUGCAAAACUGAUACAGCAAUACUGAACUUGAAGACCAUGACCAAGUUGAAAAAUCCAAUUUGAUAUGUAUCAUUUCAGUAGGCAACUAUUCAUAUAUUCAAGUGCAUCUUCACAACCCAAUUCUCUAUUUGGUAAUAUGAUAUAAUCAUGCCCGACUGAAAUAGACUUGGCAAGAAUUACAGAAUGCUAUCAGAAAGAAUAGUUCAUAGACAGCUAACCGUGUAAAGUCGGUAACCAUUAAUCUCUACACAAGACUGUGUGUGGCCAAGUUGAUCCACUGGUCAAGCACAGUAGAUGAAUUUUGUAGAGUGGCUUGAUCAAUAGGGACAAAAGGGGAAAUCUCUUCAAUUUCAAGUCUCUUUGCACUCUGGACGAGGAACCUAUAGGCAUUGUACCACGUCCUUGACCUGAAAUUAACCAAAGAUAAAAGUACCACUGGAUCAAUUCAAAGAACAAUGAUCAACAAACAGCACCCUAACAUGAAUAGAUAUAUAACACCUAUUUUUGUCAAAUAUAUCAUCUUCCCACCAUUUGACAAAGAAACCAAGAAAGGUAAAGGCACUUAAACUAUAAUACAAACAGUCAGUUACGAUAAACACACAGCUACAUACUGAUCGAUAAAAUCAUUUUUUUUCCAUCUGAGCAAGUACAAGUCCAUUGCAAAUGAGAUUCUGAAAGGGAGGAUUGCCAGAUAAUGCAGUAGAUAACACCAUAAGUGUAGAACCGGGAUCAUAAUCGGAGGGAAGCAAUGAGGCCUAGCUUAGACAUUAGAAACUUGUGCCCAAGUUAGGACAAAAGCUGACACAAAGGAAUCUAAUCCUACAAUAGGCAGCCGACAGUCAUUAUAUUAAUUAAAAAGAAAAAGAAACAACUUACGAACAGGCAAAAGGGUUUUUCUAUUAGUUACCAAAAUAAACUCCCUAUUAUGUUUCCAACUGUACUUCAUAGUUUUCAGUUUUCAUCUAACACUAGAAUCCAUGUGGAAAGAAGUAUCAUUGCCACACAUGUACAUACAUAAUUGAUAUAUAUAUAUAUAUACUAGAAAUUAUACCGGUGCCUUGCUACGGGAUUUAUUUGCCAAAACUAAACGGAUACUUUUUUUUUCAUUGGACAUGUUAAAAGUUCAAAUACUGAUGGUUCACGUGAUGAUCUUGGCCUACCCAUUUGGAUAGGAUAGGCACAGAUUGUGAACAGCAACACUAAGAACCACCACAAUUCAGAUAAUAGAUGAAACUGCAUCCAGGAACCCAGAAAGAGAGGUCGAGUGCCUAGAAUCUUGUACAGAAGUAAAAAAAAGAGAUUAACUUUCUCAUGAAAGCCAAAGAACAAUGUCUAUAAUCCAAUGACCACUAUACAAAAAUUUGUGAGCCAGAAGCAUAAUUCUAAAUGAAAGCUAAACAAACUAAUGAAAGUAUAUAGUUGGCGAAAGAAAAUUCAGCUGCCUUUAUGACAAUUGUAUGGUGGAGGUGAGAAAGAAUUUUGAUCUCUGUGUUAAAUUGUUUCUCCAAUCGACCUGCCAAGAGGUAUGAAAUACAAAAAGGGGUUUAAUACCAAUUAGCUGAAUUCAAAAUCAUAUAUACAUGGCGGGCUCUCACCUUGACAACACCGUGUAAAAGCAGGAAUUGAAGUCACAGGAGGUUGAUCCUCUACGUCAGUCCUAUUAGCCUGAAAAUCAAAAUUACACAAGUUCAGGUUACAGUCGAGUAAAGCCUAGGGGUCUCGAAGGCGCUCCACAAUCUGAAGAUUGUCAGCAGAAGCAAUCAAAAAGAAAAAAAAAACAGAAAGAAGAUAGAGAUAAGCCGGCUACCUGAGUUUUUUCCACAUGAAAUAGUUGAGCUUCUUGGAUGGCGUAAGCUCCUUCAUCCAAGUAGUACGGUUUUGAACGAGGACAAUAACAAUAGGGCAGGUGAUUAAAAAAUAUAGAAAAGAGAGCAAAGAAUACCAAAAUUCAGAUUCACAAUAUAAAAAACGAAAUAACAAACUUAGGAGAAGUAAGCACACCUAAAAAAAUAUAACCCCCUUGCACACAGAGCACCACCUUCAAUCUAAAAUCCAAUUCCAAAACACAUGCAGAACAACAAACCAAACAUUCAGUAGGCAAGCGAAAUACUUAUCAAAGUUAAGGAAACAUUCGAGUGACUACAAUACUCAAACUCGUACUCCAUCAGUCAAACUUGUCAAAGUAAAAAGGAAGCGAAAUACUUAUCAAAGUUAAGGAAACAUUUGAGUGACUAGUGACUACAAUACUCAAACUCGUACUCCAUCGGUCAAACUUGUACUCAUUCUUCAGUUCAUCUCUUUACCUCUGGAUAAUCCACAAAACAGAUGCUUGCAUUAAUUUUGGUUUAAAGAAAGGAUUGCUGAUCUAAAAUUGAAAAUAAAAUUCAGUGUGAAAGAUGAAUUCCUUACCAGAUUUAUACGAUCUAAACGCGAUUGUCUUUCCACUAAGCUCCAGAGCUGCACAUUAAUCACCAAAAAGAAUUUUAAGCACAUUUAACACCAAACUCUAAUAGUUUUUUUAACCUUUACAAUACUAAAAACAAAAGUAAAGAAGCAAUCAUCACCUUCCCAGCAGCAUUGCCUUGUACGAAGAAAGGAAUAGAUUGCAAAACCGAGACAGCAAUAAUGAACUUAAAGAGCAUGACCAAGUUGAAAAAUCCAUGUUGAUAAGUAUCAUUUCAGUAGGCAAUUAUUCAUAUAUCAAGUGCAUCAAUCAUAUUGCAUCAAAUAAAGUAUUCCAAGCAACCAAUUUUGAUUAAAAUCCUUAUCAGACUACGCUAAACAUAUAAUGAAAUCAGAAUUUACUCACAGCAUUGCAAGACUGAGGCAAUAGAUCAGUGACACCAAUUCCCCUGAUAUAUUGUUGUGCUCAGUGGCAACAAUAUCAAAACGAAAACGUCAAAAGUCUCAGUACCUAAAUAUCGUAAACUUCGGACCACAAUUGACAUGGGCACUUACACUGAGAACAAAUUCUGCAGCUGAUAAGUUCUUGAGGAAUCAAAAAUUUCACAAUCAAGCUAUGCAUAUAGAUGCAACAGCAUCUAUAUCAAACCUAAAACUCACUUUCCAAGCUUCACUUUUCAUAUCUAGUCGGUCCCAAUCCAAUUUAAUACCAGCUCUUUAUAUUCACAAACUUUCCAAAACAAAUACCCAAUUUAUAACCAAUGCACAUUGCACUAUCAACGCCAUAUAUAAUCUGAACCCACAAAAACCCACCAAAAAUUGAAAAGCAGCAUGCUUUAGUACAAUAACGAUUGGAUCAAAUACACCUUAUAAACCCCAACGUAAUUCUAAUUAAACACUUGCUUUGAAAGAAAACAUAUCAAUAAUUAUACCUAUAACCCAAAAAACCAGAAUUACCUUCCCUAUUCUUGCUGAUGAUACGCUGCAAAUUUCGUCAAGAUUGGAAAGAGAUCAACAUGGAUCAGAAACAGUUCAAAUUUCAAAAAAAGAGCAACGAAGAUCGAAAUUCAGAUUCACAGGAAGUAAGCAAUGAUGGAAAAAUAUAACCCCCUUAUAGCCUCACACACAGAGCACCACCUUCAAUCCAAGAUCCAAUUCCAAAACACAUGCAGAACUACAAACCAAACAGUUAAAAAGUAAAAGGUAGGAAGCAAAAAUACUUAUCAAAGUUAAGGAAACAUUCGAGUGAACCCAACCGUUCUUAAGUAAAACUGUUGCACAAUUCCUAAAUGUCACUUUCCUUGGCAUGCCUUUAAUAAAGAUACAGAGAAGUCAUGAAAAGGUUAAAGCUCUUCCCUUUUUUCUAUUUUCCUUUUGCUGAUUGGUUUGAUCCGAAUUGAGAUAUUGUUCGGUAUCAUUGAUAAGUACUAUCAAAAUCGGGUUUACAUACAAAUAGGGGCUUGGGGAAACAAAUUCAAACAAAUAGGAACUUCUCACUAAGUUUUAAGGACAAUUCUCACGCACGAAAACCAAUCUUUUAAAACUCUAAUGGAUCAGAUAAAAACUGUAAAUAAACAUGACUUGAGAGCCAAAAACCCAAACUAAGUGUAAACUUCAAAAAUUCAUUUCUCACCUGAAAUUGAACAAAUAGGAGAAGCUUUAGAAAUCUGGCUCGAAAAUCAAAUCAGACGCUGACAAUCACAGCUACUGAAAUCCUCUUGAUCUAACAAUCACAGCUACUGAAAUCCUCUUGAUCUCAGUCACAAAAAAGCGGUCUCAAUCCAAAAUUCGAUACCCAUAUCUCAAAUUGCCAAUAAAACGAAAACCUUGAAUCAAAAUCAAAUUCAUCAGUAAAAAAAAAAAAAAAGAUAACCCAAAACCAAAACUGAAAUCAAACAAAAAAUUACACAAACCAAAACGCAUUACACUUUAAUAAGAGGAUGGUGAAAAACAGGAAAGGAAAUCAAAGCAAUUGAGGUAGUAAUUACAUUCACCAUCUUUAGUUUCCAGCCAGGUCCAGUUAUCUCUGCAAUUUUGUAUUCUGGUGGCACUUGAAAGCGAAAAGAAGAAAGAAAGAAAGAAAAAUCAUAUUGAUACUCAGAUUAAGCAAACAUGAAAAUUAAAUCAAGCAGAUGAAAGCAAAGUUUUCUCUCUUUGAAGCCGCUAUAUAAUCGAUACAGUUUUCUUUAUUUGAGUACAUUGCAUGUAAAGUUUGUUACUUUACCUGAAAAACUGCUUAAAAAUGAAACUCAAAUUAGCAAGCUACAUACUGGAAUUUGGUGCAAUCCUUCAUUGAGGUGCUAGACUGCAACACAGACAAAACCUGAAUCAACUUGAUCAAGGAAACAGAAAACCCAGUCAAAAAAACAAUGUGCAUCACAUUCUUCAUCAGAUAAAACAUGUUGUUAUGUUUGAAAAGAUAGUGACUGCCAAAGAUCAAAGCAAUUGAGCAAGUACUUACAUUCACCAUCUUUAGUUUCCAGCCAGGUCCAGUUAUCUCUCCAAUUAGUAUUCGGGGGUACUCGAUAGCAACAAGAAGAAAGAAAGAAAGAAACGAAAAUCAGAUUGAAACUCAGAAAGAAAGAAAGAAACACAGUUUCCUUUAUUUGAGUACAUUGCAUGUUAAGUUUGUAACUUUACCUGAUAAACUGCUAAAAAUUAAAAAUCAAAUCAGCAAGCUAUAUACUGGAAUUCGGUGCAAUCGAUCAGUGAGGACCUAGACUGUUCUACCUAGACUGCAGAACAGACAAACGCCGAAUCAGCUCAAAUCAGGUAAUGGGAAGGGUUAUCCUUCUUGAAAUGAUAAGCUCAAUCUCAAACAGUAUAGAAACCACACAAAAACGGAAUGAAAAAAUUUGAAAAUUCAAAAGCACUCAACUUAUCUAUUCGAUCUGAGCAGAGAAUUGGGAACUUCCUAAAUCUAUAGUCCCACGAAUCCAUCUUGGGGAAAAUUUAUAUUGCACUCUUAGCAUUCAAACACCAAAUUUCAUGCCAACACAAAAAAAAUUCAAAUGAAAACACAAUAAAAAUUCAAAUGCAAACGCAAAAGCCAAUAAAGUCAAGCAUAAUAACAUCAAGAACAUACCUGAGAAACUAACAAAUUGGAUCCCGCCCAAAAUCAACCAAACUCAACCAAGCACAUGUUAACAAAUCCUCCACAGAUUUUCACUCAAAGAUAUCUCAUCGGCUCUACACCGAAAACGAAAAAAAAAAAUAAUGGAUAAAACCAAAACAAAAGGAUAAGAAAUACCGAGACAUUAGAGCACAUAAGAGCACUGGUUUUCAAAACACUAUCUCUUGUCUUUUAACAUACCCAUCUGAGGAGGGAGGUAAUCAAGAGUGCCACACAUGGUCCGCCUGCGAUUGAAUGUGUGUACUGACCACCCAAAAUCUGCUAUCUUGAGUUCACCUUGACAUUAGAAAUCUACAUUGACAUGAAUAGCAACAAAUAUGCAUCAAUAAGUCAUAAAAAGGAAACAUAUAACAGCAUAGUAAGGCAUUCAGCACCUGUUGACCAAUGAGAAGGUUUUCUCGUUUGAUAUCUCGAUGAAUUACGUGCUUUCCAUGACAGUAUAUAAGGGCUCAGGCCAAUGAUGCAACAUACUGCAAAUACCUCAUACGAAAAAAACAUCAGAAUUUCUAUUCUAUAAACAACUGAAAGAGAAUGAAUUAGACACCACAAAAAAACUUACGAUGGCUGCACGUCUUUCACUAAAGUAUUUACACUUUUGGAGUUCCUUGUAUAGUUCACCUUUGGCGGCAUAUUCCAAUAUCAAAUAAACUCGUUUCUGCAAUUAAAAUUCCACUACAAGGGUGAGUGACUCUGUACCAUAGUGGUUCCAUUAAUUAGGAGACGUUCAAUUUGGUGCAAACAUAAAGCACCUAUGAGCACUAUACCUGAUCAUAAAAGUAGCCAUAAAGACAUAGAAUAUUGGGAUGGCGAAGAUGACUUUGUAUUUCAACUUCCGGGGAAGCUGAUGCUCAACCUGAGAUUGUUGCAACUGGCUCUUGAAGAGGACUUUGAGUGCCACUAUGUGAUUGCUCUGUUUCAGGCAUAGAUACAGAUCAAGAACUGUGUAUACACACCACUAAAAGCAGGUAAACAGAGAGAUACAACACCACGAUGAUGCAUAGCAAACACUCAUUUCCAACUUAAAAUUGCAAAAGGAGAUUCCACAUCAUUUGAUAAUAAAGCACAUUGUCGAAUCAAGAUCCUCCUUAGUUAUAACUCUUUCCAAUACAUCUUUAGACAACUCUUGCAACCGCCUAAUCAGCCAUCAGAGAAGCAUUCAGGAACAUCUAGUCAUGAUAUCUGCAAAUUCCGAAAGUGAUUAUGAGUUCUCCUUUGAGCAAAAAACAGGCAAAUUAGGAACAUUAAGAACAUCAUCAAUACAUGGUUGAUAGUGGGCAUGUUAGAUUAACACAGAAGAUAGUCUCAUACAACACGAAAACAAAAGCAAUAUAUUAGGUCUUAUUAUGAUUAUAUUAAAAUACAUGCUUUGCGCUAGAUACAUAUGCAAUGCAAAAGAUCUAAUAGUAUGAUUUGCAAGAAACACAGUUUAAUAGAUACCACCAAGUCUAAUAGUAUGUUUUCCAAAUAAAAAGUAAUGGACACAGGGGAUAUCUAUCUUAGCCUGAAUUAGAGAUUGGAUACACAUUUGGGAUAUUUGAGAGGGAAGUGAAGGCUUUUAGAAGAGCACUAAGAGAUAGUGUAACACCUAAACGAAUAUGCUCCUUGAAUACCUAUGAACCUCAGUUCGUUCAAAAUCUCAGGAAAUCAACGGAAACAGGAGAACAAAGUUCUUGGUUUGCAAGCAGGAACUGAAGAAAUAAAAGAAACCUACCAUCAAACUCACAAACAAACAAUGAAUCUAAUUCUCUAAUCACAAUAAUGAUCAGAGCAUUCAUAAAAAAAGCUACAUUACUAUGAAGCCUUUUACUAUUCAAAGCCCAGAUCUUAAAAAAGGACAUGAAGAAUAAGGAAGUAGUGACAGGAUAGCUGAUUUUGGAGUACUAUGAAGCCUAAUUACAUUUUUAUAAUACAAAGAACAAAAGUUACCUGGAUUACUAUUUGUUACAUACAAAUUAGAACAAUAAAGAAUAGUUUGAUCUAUGAAAAACAGAGAAUAUUAUUAUUAAGAGAUGAUAAAGAACAAAUAGCAAAAUGAAAAAUAAAAUUUAAAAGAAUAAACUGAGUAACAUAUGAAGAUGGAAAAGAAUAAAGAAUGAGUUUAUAAGAGAAAGAAUGACAAUAAUGUAUUACAGUGCAACACUUUCUUGCAGUUCUCAAAAUGCGCUCUCUUGGAUUCUGAAUCAGUUAUACAAUGUAGGACCUCACUCUCACCAUCUGUUAAAAAAGAAAAAGGGAAAAAAAAGGGACUUCAGACAAUAACAAAAUAGAAUUACUACAAAAUCCACAGCAAUUUAUACAGAUCCCCUGAAAUCAAAUUAAGUAGAGUACUCUACUCCAAUUGCCACGCCAAAAAAAUGAAACUGAAAUGAAGUAGCUAUUUUCAUGUGUAUAUUAAUUCCUAGUUUGACACUCCUCAAUGUACAUACCACACGUUACACAGCUCUUCAAAUUCCAUUUGCUCUAAUCCCUGUUAGGCUACCUUCCCUAGAAAAUUUGCAGUUCACCUAAACCGCAUAUACCUAUGGUAAACUGAACACCGGAGCAUCACGUAUGCCUAUGCCAACCUAAACGACACCAUAUGCACAACUCUGUUAGCAGAGUCAACCAUUUACAUCGUAAAAGGUAAAAGAAAAAUGUUCACUUCUACCUUUUCACUCUCAAGCUCUCUCAAGCUCUUUCCUCAGUCCUCUCAACGAAUCUUCAAGUCCUCUCACUCAUUAUGAAGAGCGGGCAUGUCUGUCUUGACAUAGAUCAUUAUAGCCCCUACGAAUUUGUUCACUUCUUUUUAUUUACUCUAUUAACUGAAGAUGACCUAUACAUAUUUGAAAUAUUUGAAUCACUGUUAUAUUAUUAAAAGGAUUUUGAAAUUAAAGAUCAAAACAUUUGAACUGAAGCAUUAACCAUACCUCCAUUACCUUGAGAACUGAUGAAUUGGAAAUCACCCAAAAGAAACCAGAACCAAGCAUCAACAGUAGACCAUAGUGAUUACUAAACCAAACCUCAAAAAAGACGACCAGCAGAAAACCUAGAAUCAAAAUCAAAUUCACCAGUAAAAAACAAAAGAUAACCCAAAACCGAAACUGAAAUCAAACAAAGAAUCUAUGCCAAUCGACCCGACAAGAACAACCGAAAACGCAUUACACUUUAAUAAGAGGAUGGUGAAAAACAGAAAAGGAGAACAAAGCAAUUGAGCUUGUAACUACAUUCACCAUCUUUAGUUUCCGGCCACGUCCAGUUAUCUGUGCAAUUCUGUAUUCUGGUGGCACUCAAAAGCUAAAAGAAGAAAGAAAGAAAGGAAAAUCAUAUUGAUACUCAGAUUAAGCAAACAUGAAAAUUAAAUCAAGGAGAUGAAAGUAAAGUUUUCUUUCUUGGAAGCCCCUAUAUAAUCGAUACAGUUUUCUUUAUUUGAGUCCAUUGCAUGUAAAGUUUUACCUGAAAAACUGCUUAAAAAUGAAACUCAAAUCAGCAAGCUACAUACUGGAAUUCGGUGCAAUCGAUCAUUGAAGUACUAUACUGCAGCACAGACAAAACCCGAAUCAGCUCAAAUCAAGGAAACAGAUAACUGUGCAUCACAUUCUUCAUCAGAUAAAACAUGUUAUGUUUGAAAAGAUAGUGACUGCCGAAGAUCAAAGCAAUAGAGUUAGUACUUGCAUUCACCAUCUUUAGUUUCCAGCCAGGUCCAGUUAUCUCUCCAAUUUAGUUAGUAAUCGGGUGGUACUCGAUAACAAAAAGAAGAAAGAAAGAAAGAAACGAAAAUCAGAUUGAAACUCAGAAAGAAAGAAAUACAGUUUUCUUUAUUUGAGUAUAUAACAUGUAAAUUGUAACUUUACCUGAUAAACUGCUAAAAAAUGAAAAUCAAAUCAGCAAGCUAUAUAAUGAAAUUCGGUGCAAUCGAUCAUUGACGUCCUAGACUGCACAACAGACAAACGCCGAAUCACAGGUAAUGGGAACGGUCACCCUUCUUGAAAUGAUAAGCUCAAUCUCAAACAGUAUAAAAAUCACACAAAAACGGAAUAAAAAAAUUUUGAAAAUUCAAAAGCACUCAACUUAUCUAUUUGAUCUGAGCCGAGGAUUGCGAACUUCCCAAAUCUAUAGUCCCACGAAUCCAUCUUGGGGAAAAUUUAUAUUGCACUCUUUGCAUUCAAACACCAAAUUUCAUGCCACCAAUUUAGACAAGAAUGCAAUUUAAAAGAAAAAUGCUAGCAAUUAGACAGAAUUAAAUAAAGAAAAGCAAAUAUACAGAACCACUUACCCAUAUUUCUCUUCUCCUGUCUCAGCCCAAAAUAUGUUAACGAAUAUUCCAGUCUCUUCCUCACAGCAAAACACAACAACCCUGAAUCCGCCAUGUUCGGCCUCUCUUACAAAGAAUAUCUGUUUGAUGAACCUCUGCAUGUAAUUAAUGUCCUUUGUAUCAAAAUACCAAUUUUACAAAUUCAAAAUCAGAAACGAAAAUUCAUUCUUUGAAGUAUAAUCCACGUGCAUCUGCAUUGAUCACAGUUUUCACAGAAAUACUCGUCUCUAUAAAGGAGAAGCCUUUUUAUGCACAGUACGUUUUUGUACAUUAAUUGUUUACCUAAAAGACUAAACCCACAUACACAUAGAAAAGGUAGCAAAUCACCUAUACAAAAUCUGGAAUCAACUAAUACAAACAAUUUUGGCCAAAUCUUUUUUUCAUUGUUACAAAAAAAUAAAUUAAAACAGAAGUCCCCAAAGAUUCCCAACUAAAUGAAUAAUAUAGAAUUGUUUGAAAUCUUGAAUGUAGAAGAAGUAGCACAUACCUAUGAACCUCAACACCAUCAAAACUUCAAGCAAACUACAUAAACAGCAAAACCAAAUUCUUUGUUUUCGAGCAGGAACUUAAAAAGGAAUAAGAAAAAAAAAAGAACUACCAUGAAACUCACAAAUAAACAAUCUUACCAAAUAAUAAUAAAGUAUUAAUCAAAAGCUAGNNNNNNNNNNNNNNNNNNNNAAAAAAAAAUUACAAAGAUACUAAAAAAUUCAUGUACAUGCAUAUAACUAUCAGAUUGGGAAAUCAGUACUAAUAGUUAGAAAGGUGAAGACGAAUGGUACUAAUAGUUAGAAAGGAGAAGACAAAUGGUAUAACUAUCAUACUGAUAUUGAUCGACACCAAAAAUUUUAGUGCUGACGAAACCUAAAUUGACCCAAAACCUCAUUAUCUUGAUACUUGAUUGAAACCCAAACUCGCAACAACAGUGAUCAGCGAAAUCAAACACCUUCUGCAUUAAUCACCAAAAAAUCGGACCAAAGGAGAUAAGCGACCAUAUUGAGCGACUCAUAAACCCAUAAUUCAAGAUCCAAAUAAAAAAAAAUAAAAUUUCAAAGGAUGAUGCUUACCUUAGGAAACCUGAAUUCACCCAAAACGGUUAUCUCAGUUUGAUCUCCUCUCUCUGAUCUCCACUCUCUUUCAGACUUUUUCUCCUCUGUUGUGACUUGGGCCGAAACCAAGACGUAGAAAAGAAAGAAAAAGAACGAAAGCCAGGGAAGAGACACACGGAGACGGUAGACACACAUGUGGAAGUAAAUAGCUAACACCUGUCAUGCCAGAAUUGUAAAUAAGCGGAGAACGGAAGGGCAAAAAUGGCAGCCCAACGUUCCCUUAGAAACAGUAGGUCGGCCCCAGGCCGCAUAAUAAUAUAGUAAAUUGAAAAACAAAAAUGAAUGGAAUUGAAAACCCAUUACCCAUACACAUCUUCUUUCGCAGCUUCAAAACCACUCACAACUGAUUCGAAAACCUCAGUAAAGGUUUGAAAUUGAUUAUCCAACCCAGCCAAAUCCUGCAUAAAAUAUGAGGAAAACAUGACACAUCUUACCAUACCGGAAAAUCCAAAACUCAUUUGCACCACCAAAGUUGCAUGUGCCACAUAAGAAGCUUACCAUGAGCCGAAUCCCUCAAAGAUCUUACACUACAUACCUGAACACUAUAAUAGUAUAAUUAUCCUAACACAUAAUUACAACAAAAUAGGAACCCACAGCACUAAGUUGUCGUAUUGGGCUCACCCCUCCUUUUUUUCCCAAAUUCAGACCUCUUUUUCCUUCAUGAAAACCCAGAAAACUAAACUUUUUUUAAGUCAUAUCAUAGGAAGUACGAAACGGAAGAAAAUGAGAAAAGCAACUUACCGAAAAAAAAUACCAUAUGUAGAACUCACCAAGACGCAUGCCAAUACACCAAUAAUGUACCUGAAACUCUUUGUUCAACAAACCCAUUAAACCCAAUAAUGAACCUAUUCUUGCAGCAGUUGUUGCACCAGAGCUUGCAGCAGAGUUGUUGCUGGGAUAUCAAUAACUAACCUGGAAAAUAUGCAUACAUGAUUUUCAAUGGGAACUGUGGCCAUAUGCAUAUAAUAUUUGAGCAGAAACUAUCUCAUCGGCAUUUCAUGUCAUCUGACCGUCAAUCUACACCGUUAAAAAAAUGAGGUCUAAAAAGGGUCUACAACAAAACAUACCGGAUAAUAAAAUGAGUGAUAAUUAAGAGAAAGGUUUACCUACUUUUUGCCUAAAAAUUGGCCCAUCUGAGUCUCCCAUCUCCCACACCUAUGCAAUGGCACUCCUCAAUAUUUUGAGCCGCCUCUAAGGAUUCUUCAUUCAAAAUCUCAAUCUCACCUGCUCUGCAUCGAAUAGAAAAAAAAAAAAAAGUUAAAAGAAGAGGAUUAUGUGAUAGAACUAAAAGAAAAGCAUGAGAAAUUAUGGACACUGUAAUAAUCUGAGAUGCCUAAAUGGGUACACAUUUGCAGAUAACAAAAGCCGAAACUGUUAUGCCCCUUUAUAAGUUAAUCCAUCAAUCAAUAAAGUUAAACAUGCACAAAAAAAUGCAAAUCGUUUCACGUAGUUAACAAUCUAAAACAGUAUAGAUGGCACGAUAAACAAACUCGGGAUUAUAAAAUCACUUACUCAUAGUUUACAUUACUUUCUCAAUAACUUAAAUCAAAGAAAGAAGACAAUAUACAGAUAUGACCGACGUAUUAAAAAAAUAAUAAUAAAUAAAAAAACUCAAAAAAAAUCUCAUGAGAAAAAUGCAAAAUUAAUUUUACAUGCUCAGCCACACUGAAGCCUGAAUACCCCCUUUGGAGCUUCAUUUUCACCGAAAAAUGCAUACCAUCAACUUAGGAAAAAAAUAAUUCCAAAGAACCCAACAAACUUAGAUUGAUUAACGGGAUCCAAGAAAAAGCAGCCGGAAAGAAACAAAACAUAGUAUAGUGGGACAUAAGAGUAUCAGCCAAAACUAAACAGAUACAUUUUUUUUUCAUUGAACAUGUUAAAAGUUCAAAUACUGAUAGUUCACAUGAUGAUCUUGGCCAACCCAUUUGGAUAGGAUAGGCACAGAUUCUAAACAGCAGCACUAAGAACCACCACAAUUGAGAUAAUAGAUGAAACUGCAUCCAGGAACCCAGAAAGCGAGGUAGAGUGCCUAGAAUCUUGUACAGAAAUAAAAAAGAGAUUACCUUUCCCAUGAAAGCCAAAGAACGAUGUCUAUAAUUCAUUGACCACUAUACAAAAAUUUGUGAGCCAAAAGCAUAAUUCUAAAUGAAAGCUAAACAAACUAAUGAAAGUAUAUAGUUGGCGAAAGAAAAUUCAGCUACCUUUAUGACAAUUGUAGGGUGGAGGUGAGAGAGAAGAUUGAUCUCUGUGUUAAAUUGUUUCUCCAAUCGAGCUGCAAAGAGGUAUGAUAUAAAAAAGGGGUAUAAUACCAAUUAGCCGAAUUCAAAAUCAUAUAUUACAUGGCGGGCUCUCACCUUUACAACACCGUGUAAAAGCAGGCAUUGAAGUCACACGAGGUUGAUCCUCUACAUCAGUCCUAUUAGCCUGAAAAUCGAAAUUACGCAAGUUCAGGUUACAGUCGAGUGAAGCCUAGGGGUCUCCAAGGCGCUCCACAAUCUGAAGAUUGUCAGCAGAAGCAAUCAAAAAGAAAAACAAAACAGAAAGAAGAUAGAGAUAAGCCGGCUACCUGAAUUUGUUCCACAUGAAAAAGUUGAGCUUCUUGGAUGGCAUAAGCUCCUUCAUCCAAGUAGUCCGGCAUUUGAACGAGGAAAAUAACAAUAGAGCAGGUAAUUAGAUCAGAAACAGUUCGGAUAUCAAAAAGAGAGCAAAGAAGAUCAAAAUUCAGAUUCACAAUAUAAAAAACGAAAUAACAAACUUAGGAGAAGUAAGCACACCUGAAAAAAUAUAACCCCCUUACAGCCUCACACACAGAGCACCACCUUCAAUCUAAAAUCCAAUUCCAAAACACUGCAGAACAACAAACCAACCAGUUAAAGUAAAAGGCAAGCAAAAUACUUAUCAAAGUUAAGGAAACAUUCGAGUGACUACAAUACUCAAACUCGUACUUCAUCGGUCAAACUUGUACUCAUUCUUCAGUUCAUCUCUUUACCUCAGGAUAAUCCACAAAACAGAUGCUGGAAUUAGUUUGGGUUUAAAGAAAGGAUUGCUGAUCUAAAAGUGAAAAUAAAAUUCAGUGUGAAAGACGAAUUCCUUACCAAAUUUAUAGGAUCUGAACGCGAUUGUCUUUCCACUAAGCUCCCUGCACAUUAAUCACCAAAAAGAAUUUUAAGCACAUUUAACACCAAACUCUAAUAGUUUUUUCAAACCUUUACAAUACUAAAAACAAAAGUCAAGAAGCAAUCAUCACCUUCCCAGCAGCAUUGCCCUGUACAAAUGAAAGUUAAAAGUAAAAGGUAGGAAGCAAAAAUACUUAUCAAAGUUAAGGCAACAUUCAAGUGAACCCAACAGUUCUUAAGUAAAACUGUUGCACAAUUCUUAAAUGUCACACUUUCCUUGGCAUGACUUUAAUACAGACACAGAGAAGUCAGGUUAAAGCUCUUCCCUUUUUUCUAUUUUCCUUUUGCUGAUUGGUUUGAUCCGAAUUGAGAUAUUGUUCGGUCUCAUUGAUAAGUACUAUCAAAAUUGGGUUUACAGACGGGGGCUUGGGGAAACAAAUUCAAACAAAGAGGAAAUUCUCACUAAGUUUGAAGCACAAUUCUCAAGCACGAAAACCAAUCUUUUAAAACACUAAUGGAUCAUAUAAAAACUGUAAAUAAACAUGACUUGGGAGCCAAAAACCCAAACUGUGUAAACUUCAAAAAUUCAAUUCUAACCUGAAAUUGAACAAACAGGAGAAGCUUUAGAAAUCUAGCUCGAAAAUCACAGCUACUGAAAUCCUCUUUCUCUCUAUCACAAAAAAGCGGUCUCAAUCCAAAAUUUGAUACCCAUAUCUCAAAUUGCCAAUAAAUCGAAAACCCAGAAUCAAAAUCAAAUUCAUCGGUUAAAAAAAAAAAAAACAAUAACCAAAAACCAAAACUGAAAUCAAACAAAGAAUUACCUAGACUGCUAUGCCAAUCGACCGAACAAGAACAAGAACAACAGAAAAAGCAUUACACUUUAAUAAAAGGAUGGUGAAAAACAGGAAAGGAGAUCAAAGCAAUUGAGCUAGUAAUUAUAUUCACCAUCUAUAGUUUCCAGCCAGGUCCAGUUAUCUCUCCAAUUAGUAUUCGGGGGAUAGCAAAAAGAGGAAAGAAAGAAAGAAACGAAAUUCAGAAUGAAACUCAGAAAGAAAGAAACGCAGUUUUCUUUAUUUGAGUACAUUGCAUGUAAAGUUUGUAACUUUACCUGAUAAACUGCUAAUAAAUGAAAAUCAAAUCAGCAAGAUAUAUACUGGAAUUCGGUGCAAUCGAUCAUUAAGGUCCUAGACUGCAUAACAGACAAACGCCGAAUCAGCUCAAAUCAGGUAAUGCGAACGGUUAUCCUUCUUGAAAUGAUAAGCUCAAUCUCAAACAGUAUAGAAACCACACAAAAACGGAAUGAAAAAAAUUGAAAAUUCAAAAGCACUCAACUUAUCUAUUUGAUUUGAGCUGAGGAUUGCGAACUUCCCAAAUCUAUAGUCCCACGAAUCCAUCUUGAGGAAAAUUUAUAUUGCACUCUUUGCAUUCAAACACCAAAUUUCAUGCCAACACACAAAAAAUUCAAAUGAAAACACAAUAAAAAUUCAAAUGCAAACGCAAAAGCCAAUAAAGUCAAGCAUAACAACAUCAAGAACAUACCUGAGAAACUAACAAAUUGGAUCCCACCCAAAAUCAACCAAACUUGACCAGGCACAUGUUAACAAAUCCUCCAUAGAUUUUCACUCAAAGAUAUCUCAUCGGCUCUACACAGAAAAUUUUUAAAAAAAAUAUGGAUGGAACCAAAAGAAAAGGAUAAGAAAUACUGAGACAUUAGAGCACAUAAAAGCACUAGUUUUCAAAACACUAUCUCUUGUCUUUAGACAUAAAGAUGAAUUUACCAAUCACAACAUCGACAUAUUUUCUGAGAUUUUCACAAAGCAAAUUAAUUCACCCAUAUAUGUGUCUUAUUAAAAGAUUACCGACUAAAAGUAUUUUCUGGACAAAAACUUAAACUUAGUGAAUAUCUUGUACAUAGUCCAUCCCAAAGAGUGAUUAAAAUGUAAAAUGAAAUGAACCUGUGCAAUUAUUCUACAACUUCAAUUUGCUCUAAAAGGUCUUUUGCGACCUGAAAUCACCACGAAAAAUCAAAUCAAUAUGAGAAAAAGUAAAGAGAGCAUAAAAUGGGAUAUUUUUGUCUGUGGAUCAAAGUUCACAUUACCUAUUUCAUUUACCUGCCCAUUUUAGCUUAAAUGAUUCAGAUUAAAUUUUUAUGAUUGGAAAGGAAUGAGGAAAUUGAAAUUCAAUAGAAUCUGUGAUUUUAUGUGCAUAUGAUAUCAGGAACAUAUAUACCAAUUCCUACAACAUAUAUACAUGGGAUAAGUGUACACCAUAAUUUGUCUGCAACAAUAUUGCUUUUCCAAAUUGAGAUAUUCUCCUUAAUUAUGUCCCAGAAAAUUUUGUCUGCUGUUAAAUUUAUUCCACAAUAAGAUCAAAUUUCACAUACAUCAUCAAUUAAGAUUCUCACGCUAUCGCCAAAAUUGUAAUCACAUCCGGACAAUUGAAAAAAAAAAAACAAGAACAGCUCUGUUUGGCUACUCAGGGAAAAAAUGCAGCGAAAAAAAAGGGGAUCAACCUAACAAAAGGUGCAAGCUUAGAACCAACAUAUACCAAUUGAAAACGAAGAGAAUGGAGUCUACCGAAUCCAGCGUUAGUAUCAAUUAUGGAGUGAGCAGGGAGUGAAAACGGAAUCAUUACCUGACCUUCAAAAUCGGCCUUCAGUUUCAAGUUCCGGUCCUCAAGAGUAAGCCUCACCUGAAAAACCAACAUGCAUCCACUAAUAACUCAGACACUUAUUUUAUUAAUUUUACCAAUUGUGUAGUUUAUUUUCUCUGAAAGUUUAGCUGAUAGCACAAUUGUGUUCACCAUUCUCCAAUUGUAAGCAAUUACUCAAUCCAGAAAACAAAACAAUCAAAAACUAUAAAAACAAAAUGAGAUUUCUAGCAAAGUCAAGUCCGGGAGAGCCAAGAUUUUGUUUACCAUCGAAGAGAGGAGUCAGAGGACCAGUUCUUCCCAUUUCCUUAAAGACGAACUGAAAAAAAAAAUAAAAAAUUGUGCUCAAGCUUCCUGUUUCUUCUUUCUUUCUUUUUAUUCCAGUUUUGAGUUGAUCUCUGAUUCUACAGGAAAACUCAUAAAACUAACAUAAGGUAGCAUGCUAUUUUGAGGAAUUGAUCAGUAUCUUACUAAAACACACAAAAAUUAAUACAAGUAUAAGCAAACAGCACAGAGAAUGUGACAUGAAUCAAUACAGGUAUAAGCAAACAAAAGUGAGACCCAUUCAAAAACACACUGCAAAAUGAAUGCAACGAAAGUUUCAUGAAACAAACCAACCAUUCAAUGAUAGCCGUGCUGGUUUAAUAAUCUAAUGUAAAUAAAAAAGAGACCAAUCAGCCAGGAAAUCAAAUUUCUUGUGCAAUUUACGGAUCAAACAACACAGAACCAGGAGGCAACAAUCGAAUCACUGAAAUUAAAGAGCACUAAAAGACUAAUAAUCAGAGACCCAUUUCAAUUGGCAACACAUUAUCUUACCAAAAUUUGGGGAUAUAGGGUUUAUGGCCCAUCCCCUGAAAUUUUUUGAAGCCCUAAAACUAAUCAAACACAGAACUCAGAGAAAGUGAUCCUCACCCUAGUAAUCGCAGUUAUAUCACCGAGAGGGGUUCUUGGGUACCAAGAAGGCAACACACUGUUCGAUCUCUGUCCCCUUCUCCGGCUAGAACCUCCGACCGGCGGCGUAUUCUCUCUGGCUGGAGUCAUCAUCCCAAACGCACUACGUCGACGCCCGAUUCCGGUUCCCGGAGUCCUCAAACUGCUCGGUGCCACUCCACCGCCUGUCCCCCAAACGCACUACGUCCACGCCCGAUUAGGGUUUGGUAUUAAGGUGGAGACGGCGUUGUUGUUGUUUCGUCCACGCCCAAUUCAGGACAUGGUUAUCUGGAUGAAAAUGAAAAAGAGACGAGGGUUGUGCGAGCCUGCGAGGUGUGUAUUUUAGGCCCCGAGCACUGUGAUGGUAGAGAGAGACGAAAAUGAAAAAGAGACACGAGCAGAGCUGUUUAUGAAGGAGCGGUUAAAUGGGGGGUCUUACUGAAUUUAGGAAAAUUAAUACUUUUUAAAAAUUGAAACAUUCAAAAAUUAAAAUAAACGGGGCUACGUGGUACGUAAUAGCACACCUAUUAACGGUGAUCGAUGUUCUACAGGCAUAAUCGGUUACCAGGAUAUAACGAAGUAAAAUAAAAAAAUUAAUACUCUGUUUUCCCAAAAUUAAUCAAGUCUCAAUGCUUCCCAUUAUUAACUUUAAUACUCUGCUUCCCAUUUCAUACUUUCACAAGCCCUUUAUUUUUAUUACUAAUAAAAUUGAGAAACCAAAAACAGUAUUUUGGUUGAUAAAUUCUCAACAAACCCAAAACAAAGGAAACGUUUCCAUGUGUAAUUCGUUAACAAUAUAUUGUUUUUUGUUAACCAUAUCUCACCGUUGUCGAAUAGUGCUCUAACCUUAUAAUGUUGAAAAUUCGGUUUAGUCAUGAGUGUUGACUGAUUAUUUGAUAUUGAAAUAAUCCCGUGAUGUUGAAAUGUGAAAUAUAUCUACCUUUGUUUUAUGGUGGUAGAGAAAGCAAAGGUAGAGACGGGGGUGAUGGGUUUUCCAAGAAAGAGGGGUCAUGGAAGACAACUAAAGAAUAAAGAGUAUCAAAAGUUCUUGUAUGCACCAACAUGCAUGUGAACCAUCAAUCAUUAGCCAAUCAUAAUCAUUCAUUUAAUACCGUCAACUAAUGACACUAACAUCAAUAUUAAUUCUGUUAAAAAUAAUUGAAGCAAAAAAAAACCAUCAAUAUGGUAAAAAUAUGUAAGACUAGAGUAAAUAUUUAAUGGAUAAUAAAAAAAUUUGUUACAACCAGAAUUUUUUUUCAUUUGUUCUGAAGAAGUGAAGAACAACUCAACCAAUUUCAUCAUCUUCUCUUCCUUCUGAUCUGCUCCUAAACAACCAAUUGAUAUCGUGGAAAUUUUCCAACUCGAUCACUAAACCAAUGAUCUGCUUCUCUUCCCUUUGAUCUGCUCCUAAAUCAAAUCCCUUAUUUACUUUUUUAACACUUCAGUUUUCCAUCAAUCACAUCCUUAAUCUACUCCCAUAAACCCCAAUCCCCAUUCUUCCCACAACCUCAUUUCGAUCACUACAUUCUAACUUUCAAGCUAUGCAGCUUCGGCUUUCAGCCGUUCAAUACUUCAACCCAUGGAAACCCAGUAGCGUGAAGACCCAAAAAGGCUACGGCUUCUUCGAGAGACUUUUGAUGGUUUGAGAUCCAAAAACUCUAAACUCAAAACUUGUUUAUUCGAUUAACACGAAUUCUAGCUUUGAGUCGAAAUUUUCUAGGUCGGCGAUGAACUUCUUAGUUGGGGAGAUGGAGGGUUGAAACUUGAAACGGUGGAAAGGUUUUGGCUUUUACUGUUGUUCGACUUUUGGUAUUUGUUUGACUACAAACGACUAGCUAACGUUCUGUUAAGCCACGUGAAUUGCACACCCCUGGUUCAAGUACACCAUGGUGCACUGAAUCUGCUCCGCAAAGAGUAUACUUGGAAAAUGAAGCAGUCUUUUUUAAUACUGAUGAUGAUGUGGGAUGCUAGAGUGCGGCUAUUGAGACCUCCAAAUUUGCUCAGUGUACCUCUCAUUCUCUCUACACCUCCAUUUUACUUUUAAAUACAAACAUUUUCUCAUUAGACCUCCUUUCAAAUUCCUGAAAUAGCCUUGUUUUUGUAAUUCACAUAUAUAUUAAUAUAUUACUCAUUACACCUCUUAUUCACUCACUAUACCUCCAAUUCUUUUUUUUCUUUUUGCAUGCGAACAUCCAUUCCCGACCUUGAUUUCUUAAUUUUCUUUAUUUUUUGUAUUUUUUUAUUUUGCAUAAAAUGUCACUAGAUAUUCAUUUUUUGAUCAAAUUAUAAGAAAUAAUUUUCAAUGACAUCAAUUUUCGAGAAAAGUUCAUUCGAAUCAUAAAGAAUACUAUUCUCUUAAAUAUUAAAAAAAACAAGGAUUGUGUCUCAAAUUUUAUUUAUCGAUCAUCAAAUGAAUGUUCUUACAUGAACUAUUCUAUAUUUUUAUUACUUUUGUAUUUCUAUUUUACAUAUACUAUUUUUUUGUAAGUUUAUAUUUUUGUUUUUAUACUCAUGAUGAUAAAUUAUUUUAAUAAUUGAUAGAUCAUAAUUUGUAAAAAUAUUUACUUUUUUAUAAUAAUUGAUAGAUCAUAAUUUUUGUAAAAAAUUUCACUUUGUAUAUGCAUGUGACAUGUAUGAUAAUAUAAAUAUAUAAAUACUUUAAUAAGUAUGUGAUAAAACUAGAAAAUAAAAAUCAAUAAGGAAAAUAAUAAUAUGCAAUCCAUUAUGACAUUAUUAUUGAAUUAGAAAGUUUAGAGAUAAUAAAUGUAAUAUUACUUUUUGUUUAAUCAGUGUCCUUAAUAGUCAUUGUGUAAGAGGAUAAAUAUGUUAUUUAAUAAUUCAUAAUAAAGUGAGGUCAAGUGAGAAAAUUUAGAGGUCUCAAUAGCCGCACUCGGGAUGCUAAUGCGGUACUUUCUUUCUUAUUUGAACUUUUAUUGUAUUAGGGUUUCCCAAAAACAUUUUCUUUUGCGUUAACACCUCUUAAUGAGUUGAUGUGGUGCUAUUUUUAUACUUUAUCUUCAUAUCAAUAAUGUGUUUCUUUAUCUAUAAAAGUAAAUAAAUAAAUAAAUAAUUGAAUAGCUGAUUUUACUAUUGAAGAUAAGUUAUAAAAUUGUUCAUGAUAAGUUCACAGAAAACCACUAUUGAAAAAAAAACUCAGCUUUCUUAAGACAAGAAUUGAAGAACUCAAGUCAGUACUCACUUGUUUCAAGUCAUCUUCAAUGUCAUCAUUUAUGUCAGCCUCUACUCCCCUGAACUUGAUCGCAGCUCUAUCAUACACUGCAGAAAAUAAUUUAUAAUAAGUAACCAACUAAUCAUUAAAAUUCCUACAUGUUUUUGGCUCACAUUUUCUUUGAGAAAUUUUUUGUUUGUUUCCCUAGAAAAUAUAAGAUUUUUUAUGGCAAGCAAAAUAGUACUCACCAAGCAGCUGCAUGUGUUUAGGGUAUGCUGUGUUAAAUCAAACUAUAGGGUGUCCAAAACUAAAAAAAAAAAAAAAAACUUAUCAGAAAGACCAAUUUAUUUGCAAAGACAAAACAAGUGUCAUUUUGUCAAUUCAUACUUGCAUUCAUAGAAAAAGAGGUACUGAAGCUUUAAAGUGGCAUAUUUCAAUUCAUAGUUGGUGGUAUACUGAUAUACAUACUACUCUCUCACCUUAUAAAACAGGAAAAACCAUGAAUGAUGAUAAGACAAUUAAGUAUGGUAAUACUGUAAACACACACUAUUCAAACCAUAAAGUUGAGCCACAAAGAAACAUUAACAUUGUAGGUAAAGUUGAAAAAAAAGACCUACAUUUUAGAAUAGCUGCAAAGAGAAUAAGCAAACCUGAAUCUAGAACUACAUAAAAACAAAAAUGUGCAAUUAAUCAAAAACAUAAUUAUUGAGGAAUAUAAAGCAAAUAGACAACAACAUUGUUACAAAAAUUGAAGAAAAAAAAAGAAAAAAAAGGCAGACACCCAUACACCCAUCUUGAGGAAAAAAAAUUAAUAUCAACUAAACAUUUACUCUGACUCGGAAUAUACUCCUUUAUUUUUCUGCACUAUAAAGCAAAUGAAAAUAUCAAACACACUAUGACCACAGUUUGAUCUAAUUGAACGAACCCAAAAGAUUGAAAUCCUUGAUCUAACUAGAAAAAUAUAAAAAUCUAAGCAAAUACAGAUAUGACAAAAUAUGAUUUUUUCACUCACCUUGAUCCAACACAAAGGAUUGAAACCUUUAGAGCUAAUACUGGCAUUCAUCACCAUUGCUAGUUUCCAGCCAGCUCCAAUUAUCUCUUCAAUUUUAUGAUUGUUUUUGGUAAAUCGAAAAUCAGUGACCUGCGCACAACUUCAAUGAUAAAAACUAGUGAUUUAAAUCGUUGUGUUUGGCCCUUACACACAAAAUCUGAUAGUUAUAGUUGAUCAAUUUCAAAUUGCAUGCCACUUUAUAAAAGAAAUCAUCAAAAUUUUGCAGAACCACAAAUGUAAAGACAUUAGUUUUAUUUCAAAUAACAUUGCAAAGUUGAAAGAAAAGAUUGUAACUACAAAACAUAUAAACAGCUUAUGGAGUAACCUCUAUGAAUUUUUUUUAAGCUUCGAUUUGAACAGCUGCUUGCUAACCAACUCUAUGUUCUUUUACACUCCAAUAGGCGUAAUGUGAAUCAUUUCUAGAAUCCUUGUGUCAUUGUAAUUCCAGAAAGAAAAUCUUGGUUUUCUGAGCUUCUUGAAUACAGGAUUGAAGACCAGACUGCAUUUUUCAAACGUCAAUGAGACUUUCAGAAGAAAAAAAGAAAGGGCCUGAGUAUUGUGUUUGAUAUGACAUAUUUUGAAAAGUUACCUAUCAAUGACAAAGAGACCCAUAACUUACAUUCAAUAAGUAUGAAAUUCUAGGGGAAUCCUCAUCCAAGUAGACUGAAUUACUGAUUGAUUCUAAAAUAAGCUCCUUGAGACAACUUAAAUAUCCAUCAAAACCCUACUCUCACUCUAAAAUAACUUCUAGUAGGUAAAAAAAAUUUCCGGCACCAUUAUAUAGCCUUGUUUCAUUACUUUCAAAACUGUUAGAGAUGCAGAUAGAAGGAAACAUACAGAUAGAUGCAACCGCAGUAUGUAUAUCAAACCUAAAACUCACUUUCCUUCAGUCUUCAUAUUUAGUCAGUCCCAAUCCAUUAAUAACAUUUCCAAAGCACCAAAUUGCACUAUCAAUCAAAUCCAUAUAUAACUUGACACCACCAAAAUACACACUUUAUAAACCCCAACAUAAUAAAUUCUAAUUAAACAAUGAGCAUGAAAGAAAACAUUAAAUCAAUAAUUAUACCCAUAAUUGGCUUCUGCCAUUCAAAAUCAGCAUCCUCAAAACAAGAUCAAAUUUUGAUUACUAGAUAAAAACCCUAAAUCCAACCACAGCCGAAAUCUCAACCCCCAAUUAUCCUUAACGAUUUCCCAAUUUCCCAAUUUCCCAAUUCCCAAUCCCAAACCCUAUUUGACAGAGAUCAUCCACAAAUAGGCACAACAACAACAACCAAAAUCUGCCAGCAAAAUCAGAAAAUAAAUAGUUAGCCUUAAAGUUUAUAUAGUGAACAUAAGGAGACAAAAAAUUCUUAUCUAAUGAAAUAUAAAUCAUAAAAAAAUUGAAACAAUCUAAUAAACUUUUCAUAAAACUCUAACCACAGUUUCAACUAACCGAAUAUUACAGUAAAUUUAUUUGCGAACAUGUUGGACCAAUAAAAAAGAAUCCAAAACAAACCCGCCACCUGAACAUAACAGAAUACCAUAAAAUUCAUAAUUGAAUAGAAACAAUGAAAAUGAGUUCUGAUGUUGAAGAUGCAUAACAAAGUCUCCCAAAAUAAAUAAAUAAAAAGAGCAAUUCCUAUAAUAAAGCAUAUCUUCAUCAACUCUAGUACACCAUCAUUAACUCAACUAUAAAGCAAUAUUGAGAAAACUGUUUUCUAAGCAAAAUAUUAGAAACAUGAUUGAAUUGAAGUUUUAGCCGUCAAUUUAAUCCACAAGACCACAUUGGAAACAGAUUAUUCGUAUGUAAAGACUGCAACUGCAAAACAUAUUAACAUAUUAACAGACACAGUUAAGGAGUUACCUCUAUGGAUCAAAACAAAACGAUAUAACUGGUUUUAAUGACGUUAUCUUUGAAUUUAUGAAAUGUCAUUAUGAAAUUCCAGGGAAUCCUCAUCGAAGUAAGACUGAAUUAUUGUUUGAUUCUAAAUAAGCUCCAUGAGACAGCUUAAAUAUCCAUCAAAACCCCACCCUGACUGUAAAGUAACUUCCAGUAGGUUCCGACACCAGUUAUAUAGCCUUGUUUCAUUGCUUCCAAAACUAUUAAGAAUGCAAAUAAAAGGAAACAUACAGAUUCAUUAAUAACAAAACAUUGCUUCACUCAACCUUUGUAUUAGCAAAUGCAUAUACAUUAGGAAGUCAGAUGUUAUGCGCUACAACUGAAGCUGCCCAUAUGUUCUGCACCAUAACUCAUGUUCUGCAUUAGAAUGUAAGAGAAUUUUUUUAAUUUUUUUUAUUGAAGCUACCCAACCUUUGUAUUAGCAAAUGCAUAUACAUUAGGAAGUCAUAUGUUCUGCACCAUAACUCAUGUUCUACAUUAGAAUGUAAGAGAAUUUUUGUUGUCAUACCCAGCAAUAUGAAGUUACCCUUGAUCGAAGGUUAUGCUAAAUACAGAUUCUCGUAAAAAAAUUAAAGAUUCAAAGAUAAUAAAUGUUUCUUAACAACGGGUAAUACUGGAUUUUACAGGUAAUUUCACAACUAAGAUUCCAAAAACACACAAAUCAAUGAACACCAACCAAAAUUCAAGCUACAAACUCCAUAAAAUCCCAGAACAAAACUGAGCCUGCAAUUCCAUAACCACUUGAAAAUCACUAACAUUAAAAAUUAAAAAUAUAACAAAUCAACCAAAGCACAAAAAGUUGAAAUCACAAACAGAUAAGAAAGGCCAAUACCAACAAUUUUUGAUUUGGUUUUAAUUCAGUGAUAUUAACAGUCUUUUUUGGUAAUUUGGUUUCCCAUGAUGAAAACCCAAGAUUUAAUUUUAGAGAUUUUAGAGGGAAAACGGUUCUGAUAAGAAUUAGAAGGUUAUUUUUGUCAUUAUAUCUUUUUUUGUGGGCCAAAUGCUGGCCACAUCAGCAAACAGACGGCACCACCAUGAUAGAAAUUGAACUCCAGCCUUUCUUUUAUAUCAAAAUCAAAAUUUGGGUAUCACAUUGGUAGUUUUUAAAGUCUGAGUAUCAUUUUGACAGUGUCACACACACAAGUUGAGAUUUCGGCGCUGCAUUUUAUUCCUUAAAUAAUGACUUCAAUUAUUUAGCGUGUGAAAAAAAGAAAAAAGAGAAAAGGAAGGUGCUGACUGGCAGAAUGCAAGGCGCACUUUCAAAUUAGGUUGUGUUUUGUCUUUUUCUUGGUUAUGUUUUUUGCUUCAUCUGAAGAAAACGUGAAGAACCCCGUUAGACAAGUAUGGUCGAUCGGAAUGAGGAGUCGUUGCCGCAGCUGAAGAAAUCACGAACUAUAACCGGCGACGAGGCAACCCCAAUCUUCCCGGGCCCACUGUUCCCAGCGGUUCGACGCAACGCUUCGGACCAGCGCGACUUCUCGGAGCGUGACUGGGUCUUUCCGUCGUUCGUGCUUCCGCAGAAUCCUUCGAAACGAAGCAGCAGCAACAAGCACCGCGCCGCCUCCUCCUCCGAUGCAUCCGUCACCUCGCCUCAGCUUGCUGCUGCUGCUGAGAGUAAGAAAAUUAAGUUGGUGACCCCGAGCGAGUUGACUCGCCCGAGUUCGCGGACCCGGACUCGAGAUUUGAAACCUUUUUCUUUGUUGUUAUUUUUGGUAAUGGAUCCUCUAGCCAUCUUUCUUUCAUUAUUGAUUUCGAUGCAUUUAGAUCUCUCAAUUAAAAAGGAAAAUUUACAAGCACAAAAGAAAUGCCUUUUUUUAGUUUGAUAUCAUCCCACUAGUUUCCAAUAUUAUUGUAACUUAGCCUACAGACUAGACAUGAUUGUGUAUUUGUACUUGCUGCAUUUGUGCUCUUGGGACACAACGGUUCAUAAUAUGAAAUGAUAAUGGAGAAAUACAAGCAUGACUGUAUUUAGGGUUGAAUAUUGGGAACUGUUGCCAUUGUCCUACUUUUAAAUCCUUUCAUGGCUCAAUGGUGAGCAAAUUUACUGGACAGAAAUUUAAAUUCAUGUCUGGUCUAUUUCCCUGUAUUUGAUCAAUUGCAUUUAACUUCUGUUCUUGCAGCUCACUUUCAUUUGUAUAUUAUCUGUACCUUAUGCAGUUUAUCUGCGGCAAAGAGUUGCAAAGCUUGAGGUAUGUCUCAUGGUUUGAACAACUCCUAAGUUUCCCAUUUAAAUUCUUCUUUUGACAAGCUAUAUUACAUUAACCUAACACUACAUUGUGAUGCUUUCAGGAAAUUUGUAUGGAUAAAAAUAUUGGUACAUAUGGCAAUAUUGAGGCUUCGCUGUCUGAUAACAAUCCGACAAUUUUGAGUUUUCCUAAUGCCGAAAGAAGAACUGUUGUUUUGUAUUCUGUGGUCUUUACCCUAGCCAUGCCAAUUGUGUUGUACAAACAUCUUGAUUAUUUUUCCCAUUUGACGAGCCUUUCAAGAAAGAAGAAUAACAAAGAGGAGGUUCCCUUGAAGAAGAGGAUAGCCUAUAUGGUGGAUGUGUGCUUUUCUGUAUAUCCAUAUGCCAAACUACUGGCACUUCUCUUCGCAACAAUAUUACUAAUAGGGUUUGGUGGAUUGGCAUUGUAUGCUGUCAAUAAAAAUAGCUUUGCUGAAGCCCUCUGGCUUUCAUGGACUUUCGUUGCCGAUUCUGGAAACCAUGCUGAUACAGAGGGCAUUGGGCCAAGGAUAGUUUCUGUCUCUAUCAGUUCAGGAGGCAUGCUGAUAUUUGCCAUGAUGCUUGGGCUUGUUUCUGAUGCUAUAUCAGAGAAGGUUGACUCACUAAGGAAAGGGAAGAGCGAAGUCAUUGAAAGGAACCACAUACUCAUUCUUGGAUGGAGUGAUAAACUGGUAAGUUUGAGACAUUCAUGCCCAGAUCAAAGUGCUGAGGAAGACCAUUAUGGAGACUUAAAUCUAUCUGCUGCUCUUUUUUUUUGUAUUUGUUUCCUGUUUUUCUUUUCUUUUCUAUAUCCCAUCUUAUUUCAUAAUGAUGACAAAAAGAAACAAAGUAAUAAAAAAAAUUGAGAUUAAUAUAUUCAAAGCGAGAGAAGAAAUGAGUGGCUAUUCAAGCAAGAUGACAAAGAUUUGAGAAAAGUUUCAUAUUAGCUUUCCUACAGUUUACAGAAUUAGGAUUUCUAAAUAUUAUUUUUUCAUAAUUGUUGUUCAAUAUAUUAAUACAGUCUUAGAAAAUAUAUUUUAGUGUUCUAACAAAAGUGGCCUAUCUAUAAUGGCUAUAAUGGAAAAUUUAAUGAUAGUGACUAUAGUGAAAGAUGGUGAUUAAGUUUAGUGAUAAAGGUGGUGUUUUUAAUAGUUCAGUGACGAAAGUGUCAGAUUUGUCAUAGUUGAGUGACCAUAUGACACAGGAGUGUUAGAAGCUUUAACUUGGCUGUAUUAUACAAUGAAUUACAGCUACUCACAUUAAUCAAUCUAGCUGAAGACUCUAAACCAUAGUUAUCUAGUCAAAUAGUGCUGGUGGUGGGUAGUGUGAGAAUUAAUUGGUUUGUCUUCUGUUAUUGGUUUGUUUUUGUUUGUUUCUAGGAGUUUCAGUUUCCCAGCAAGUCUCAGUUGAUAUUUACUAGUCUUCGGGAAGGUACAUAGGUUGGGAGGUUUUUCCAGGAGUCCUAUUAUAUUUUAGACUCCUUUGUAUUAAAGAAGUCAGUUUUUGGAGAGAAUAUCAGAAUAGACGUUUCCUGGAGAAACCUUCUUUCUUACUCUGUAUCUCGUUGGUUCUUAGACCAUUGAGUGGUGAGUUCUUUUGAUUUCUUGACAGACACUUAGUUGGUGAAAUUUCUGUCUCCUAGUGUUGGUUGGGAAUAGGUUCUUGUUUAUCUUUUAAUCUGCUGUUCCGGUAUCACCAUAUGUGAUUUUUAGCCUAUAAGAUCUAAGUUUUAGUUCUGUAUUUAUCUUUACAUGGUUUAACAAACAACUCUUGGUUUAACAAAUACAAUUCCUAUAUUUGUUCCAUUAAAAUAUUAGCAUGGAGUUCCCUUGAUUGCUCUUCUGUUCUCAGUUUAGUUGUAAAACAUGGUCUCUAACGGAGCUUUUAUUAAGGACUCAUACUUAAAAGUAAAAGUGAAAACUAAAACGUAAUUUUACUGCAGGGUUCGCUUCUCAAGCAGCUUGCUAUAGCAAACAAGAGUGUUGGUGGUGGUGUUGUUGUUGUACUUGCUGAAAGAGACAAGGAGGAAAUGGAGAUUGAUAUUGCAAAACUUGAAUUUGACUUCAUGGGUACGUCUGUUAUAUGCAGAAGUGGCAGUCCUCUUAUUUUUGCUGACCUAAAGAAGGUAUAUUGGGGAGAUUUGAUAUAUGCUCAUGUACCCCUACUACUUCUACUUCUGUUUCUUGUCUUGUCUGAGUGUCCAGUAUACCCUCUCUCAAAAAACAAAAACAAAAAAUUCUAUAGCCGUUCUUCCGACUACUUGUAGAUUUUAUUGGGACGGCAUUAUCAACGGUUGUUGUCAGAAGUGCCUCCUAAUUUUUCAGUCAUUUUUUUUUUUGCUCNNNNNNNNNNNNNNNNNNNNNNNNNNNNNNNNNNNNNNNNNNNNNNNNNNNNNNNNNNNNNNNUCUUCUCUCUCUCUCUCUCUCUCUCUCUCUCUCUCUCUCUCCCACUUGUCUGUUUUUCUAAAUGCAUUCCUUUUCAUUUUCUUGUUCUUGAUUAGAUCUCAAGAAACUAUAUCUUGCUAUUCAGAUUAGCUUUGUUUUCUCAUUUCCAGGUCUCAGUUUCAAAGGCGCGUGCUAUCAUUGUAUUGGCAUCAGAUGAAAACGCAGAUCAGGUUAAUUCCAUUGUGAAUGCCCUCUUACAUUACCCCUUGUAGAAACUUUAGUCACAUGUGGUGUUCAUAUUUCAGAGUGAUGCACGUGCUCUGAGGGUUGUUCUCAGCCUCACUGGGGUGAAAGAGGGUUUAAGGGGACAUGUUGUUGUAGAGAUGAGUGACCUUGAUAAUGAGCCUCUGGUGAAGCUUGUUGGAGGAGAACUCAUUGAAACUGUAGUGGCACAUGAUGUGAUUGGGCGGUUAAUGAUACAGUGUGCUCUACAGCCUGGUCUUGCGCAGGUAUUGUUGUUAUCUAUACUUCUUAAAGGACCUGGUAAUCGUAGAAAUGACUAAUAAGAGUAGAUUUGACUGUAGGUAAAAAGUUUGUUUCCCUAAGUUCUAUAGAUGUGAUUUCUUUCUGAUUGAAGUAAACUUGCAUAGUAACAGAGUUCGGUGGUGUGACCGAGGUGGAAUGGGGUAGGGUUGGAUACGCUGGUUAAGUUGGGCCACUUUUUGUGCCAGGGAUUACAUGGUCCCAUAUAUAAGCAGGGUGGGACCUAUAUGGUUGUGCAAACUUCUGUUUUCCCAGCUUAACAAUACAGGGUUUGGGAAGGUCCUAAAACCUACAUUGAUAUAGGUGCUCCGAAUUCUAGCUUUAUCGUAGGAAAAAAUUGAAAGAUUUAAAUAAAAAUGAAAUCUAAGACUUAAAUAUUCCUUCCGUAUGUUUGAACUAGUCUGAUGUUAUUAUUGCACUUUGCUAUUCAUUUUCCCAGACUGUUAUGAUUACCUCACAUUAAAUGCUAAUUCUUAUAGCCAAAACUUUGAAGCAAGGCGUCAUCUAUCAUUCUCAUUGAAAAUUAAGAUCUACUUUCAAACAAAAGAUAAGAAACCCCAAGUCACCUAGCACCACCAAGUACAGAGUGGGGAGGCUUCCCGUAGUCUCCUUUCUUCUAUUUUUCUGUUCCGUUCUCCUUUGGUUAAAUCUUUUGUAGUCAAUGCCAAGUCCCUUGUGCUGACUUUAUCUGAUCCCUCAUCACAUCUUUUUCCCUUAUCAGUGAGGUCGGUCCUUCCCCCAAUACCCUCUCUAAAAUAUAUGUUUAUCCCCGAUUAGAAAAAAAUUCACUCUUAUAUGCCCACUUGCUUUUGGCAAUCUUCAUCUGAUUCUUGUGUGGUUAAGAGUUUGUUGGGUUCACUAUUAUUUGCUCAGUCUGCAAUUUCUUCUUGGUUGGUGAGAGGCAGUGGGUUCUAGUACGGCUUCAGUUUGGCGGUACUCUCAUGCUUUAGGUUUAUAAAUUCUUCUAGAUUUUUGAUCAUUUUGAUUCUGUGGGCUUGGCCAGGGAUCAUAUUUUGGUUCGCUGGUGGCUUUGUAAUUUUAGUGCGGCUUUUAUCCACUUUGCUAUCGCGGGUUUGCCCUUCUUGGCCUGUUGCUUUUGCUGUGUUGUUGAGUUUGGCAUCUUUUCUAAUUAUCUUGAUGUAAGUUAAAGUUACACUGUAAGUUAUUGAGUUUAUUAAAAAAAAAUAUUAUUAAAGGAAGGGAGUUCUGGGAAAAGUCUUAUGGUAUUUCUCAUCAUACUUUUAGCAGGAUCUUUUAUUAAAUAGGCAUCCUCAGUUUUCUCCUUUGCAAAACUAGUCUUCAUAAAGAAAAUAAUUUCUGACUUGUCACAAUGAGAAUUAACAUUAGGAGAUUAGGAUUCCAUUGAGGGAUUCCAUUCUUGACGUCAUCUAGGUUCCACUCCUCAAUGUACUUGAAUGAUUAAAAAUGUCAACCUUUUUACUUUUCAUUCAUGUAUCAGCAAUGCUAACCGUACCUAAAUAUAAAAUUAUAUAGAAUUGAAUUGCAGUCCUACUCAACAUUUGAUAAAUCCUGGACUAGUAUGAUGAUAAUGAAAUGGUUAUAAAGUUUCCUAUGAAUUUUUAGCAAAUUAGGUCGGAGAAAGGGGUUCCUCUUCGCUGUUCCUGUUACAUGCACACGUUGUUUGUAUGUAGAUUGCUGUUAAACUCAGUGAAAUUUGUCCUUUAAUACUGUUUCAAGGAUAGGAUGCCUAUGUGUUUUAGAGUUGCACACAAUACAUGCACAACCACAACCAGAUACUUGUUUAAUCCGUCUUUCUCUUGAUCCGUCUUUCUCUUGUCAUUUCUCCACCAUUAUACUGUAUAAUAUCUGUUUUUCAAUUCUGGAAAACCAUUUGUACAAGACUUUCUUUGGUAUGAAUAUAGAUAUUAUUGCUAAUGCAUUAUUUUUCUGUGGUAAGAUAUGGGAGGAUAUAUUGGGAUUUGAGAAUGCUGAGUUUUACAUCAAGAGGUGGCCUCAGUUGGAUGGUCUUCGUUUUGAAAAUGUGCUUAUUUCAUUUCCUGAUGCAAUUCCCUGUGGGAUCAAGGUGGCCGCAGAUGGUGGAAAGAUAAACUUAAAUCCAGAUGAUAAAUAUGUUAUAAAAGAAGGGGACGAAGUUCUUGUUAUAGCUGAAGAUGACGACACUUAUGCUCCAUCUGCCAUUCCAGAGGUUAUUGAUCUCUUCUCUAUGUAGCAUCAUGAAGUAGAAAAUCUAUAUUUGCUUGUAGCAACCAUAUCAUAUAACUAGAACAUAAAAUUGUGAGGACCUUUGGCAAGAUUCAGCCGAAAUCAUGCAAUAGUCGUGUGGGAAACUGUUGAACAAUUUAUCAUUAGAUUUUGGUAGCCCACUCACAUCCAUGCAAUGGUUCAGUGGGCUGUAACUGAAUAGUAGGUUGCUGUGACAGCAUGGUUGUGGGUCAAGAUAGUGGGCUGUUACUAGAAUCGUGGUGGUUGGUGACCAUGAAUGGUAGUUGUUUUUUUUUUUUUCUUUUUUUUUCUUUUCUUCUCUCUCUCUCUCUCUCUCUCUCUCUCUCUCUCUUCUUUUUCUUUUCUUGUGUUUCAAAACAAUUGGAGAGGUAAAGAAAUGAUAAAAGGUACUAAGGUAGUGCAUAGAGGAUCUGUAUAGUUGAAAGGAAAAUGUUCAUUGGUCCCAGUGUGAGUUAAGAAACAUAAAUAGUAAAAAAAAAAUAUAAUAUUCAAAGACUGGAUAAUAAAGUUGGAAGGUAACCUUUGUGGCGUAGUCAAUUGUUACAUGAAAGUGCCACAUUGUUCCUCCAAAAACAGGUUUGACACGUUCUGAUGGCAGGGUUGGAGAUGCUAUUUUGCUGUGAUUAAUGCUUAGAGAUUUAAUAUUUCAAACUAUAGCAUCUUUCUUUUCUGCUUCUAUCUCUGUAUGAGUAUAGCUAUAACCCACUAUGUUGCUCAGUCAUAAUUACUUGGUAUACACAUGCUGGUUAAAUUUACGGCACAGUUUCUGGUUGUCAGUAAAUCAUAUAUGGACUGUGUCCAUGUAUUCUGUUAUAUUUCUUAUGGAAUCAAUAAUUGUCUUACAGUAAUACUAAUAGUGUAUCUAUAGUUACUCAUUUGCUGCAAGAAAUCAACAUUGUAUUAUGACUAGUAUCCUUUAGUCCUUUCUAAGUAAAGAGAAUAUACUUUUAUUUUCCUAUUGAACAUACCUGAGUGUUGUUGUCCUUUCGGCAGGUAUGUGCUGGCCUUUGUCCAAACACUGUUGAACCUCCCAAAUACCCUGAGAAGAUAUUGUUCUGUGGCUGGCGUCGUGACAUAGACGAUAUGAUACUGGUAACUCAAUUAAUCCAUAUUUUCCUUUCCCUACAUUAGCUAUACCUGAGGAACAAAAUAGUUUUGGUUUAUGUGGGACGAGAAACAAGUUAACUAUCCUAAGAGUGACAGGAAAUCUGUUUCCUCUGAAAUCCUUGGAUUCUUUGUGAUCCUCUCUCUCUCUCNNNNNNNNNNNNNNNNNNNNCUCUCUCUCUCUCUCUCUCUCUCUCUCUCUCUCUCUCUCUCUCUCAAACAAGGCAACCUUGGUGAAUAUUAAAUGAUACAAAAAUAAAAUAAAAGGUCAUCAAGUGGAAAGUCGGAUUCCAGUCAUUCCACGAAUAACUCAGGUUUCAAAACUCUUGACUUGAUUUGUUGAUAUUCCAUUCUUCAGGUUCUAGAGGCAUUCUUGCCUCUAGGUUCGGAACUUUGGAUGUUUAAUGAGGUUCCAGAAAAAGAAAGAGAGAAGAAACUUACAGAUGGUGGACUUGAGAUUUCUCGAUUGGAGAACAUAAAACUCGUUCACAGAGAAGGAAAUGCUGUGAUAAGACGGCAUCUAGAGAGUCUUCCCUUGGAGACUUUUGAUUCUGUAUGUACCAAUCCACUCCUCAUAUUUCAGAAUUUGGUUACCACCUGCAUAAUGUUUUCAGCUGGAGCUCAACUGUUAAUUGUAGCACUCAUCAUGCCACUUGUUUCCUUGACCAUUGACACUGAUUCAAAUAUAAUAGCAUGCUAUGCCUCUAGACAUAAAUGAGUCAAUUUCAAAGUUUCCUUAAGACUACUUUUUAUCUGAUAGCUAACUCUAAGCCGACAGAUAUUAAUUCUUGCAGAUGAAUCACUAGAGGACUCUGUUGUGCAUUCUGACUCUAGAUCCCUUGCCACUCUUCUCCUUAUACGAGAUAUACAGGUAACUGUAAUUGCUGCAUCCUACAAGACAUGUCACGCGAUAAAAUAAAAGGCUUACAUAAUUGCUUAUCAAAACCUGUGAUAAUAUCUUGCUUGUUCUAGAGUGCAGUCCUUUAGAAAGGGGAAACAUGUUUGGGCCCACACUAUAGUUGGUCGAAUGAUGCAAACGAUCCAUUAAUAAGUUCCCUUAAGGAAUCACCCUUGGAUUUUUAAUUUUUAGUUUUUUACUGUAGUUUUUUAAAUAUUUUGAAAUGUGAUGUGUUGGUAAGUAAUCAUCUAAUUCAUCUUCUAUUGCGUGCCAAGAGGUCAUAAAAAGGGGUGGAUGGUUAUCCUACCACUUCCACUCGUACAGUGUCUGAGUUUUUUCACUCCUGUUUGCUUGAUCAAUCACCAAUAAAAAAAAGUUUAUUGCUCCUGCUUGCUUAAUGAAUCCCUAUAAAAAAACUGUUGAAGCAUUAAUGCAUUAUCAUAAUAUUGAUAAAGUUUGAUUACUAAACAAUGAUAUUCUUUUGUUUUGGAUUGUAGUCAAAGCGUCUUCCUUACAAAGAAACAAAGCCAACUUCCUUACGGUUAUCUGCAUUUUCGCAUAGCUCUUGGAUUUGUGAAAUGCAGCAAGCUUCUGACAAAUCGAUAAUAAUAAGUGAAAUUCUGGAUUCUAGGACUAGAAACCUGGUCUCUGUUUCCAGAAUCAGUGAUUAUGUGCUGUCAAAUGAACUUGUUAGUAUGGCUCUGGCAAUGGUUGCUGAAGAUAAGCAGAUAAAUCGUGUUCUUGAAGAGCUAUUUGCGGAGGAGGUACUCUCCAGUCUUUCUGGAAUUGAUUUUAUACGAACAUGCUGUGGUAGUUUAUAUGUGCAUUAGGAAAACAGAAAAAACAAAUGAGGACGCAGUGUAAGUUUUGUAGGCUUUGGAUAGAUCAAUAUGGACAAGUUGAAAUUAAGAACUGAAACUUUAUAGGCUUGGAUUAUUGUGGUUGAAUGCAGGGGAACGAGAUGUGCAUAAAACCGGCUGAACUCUAUUUAUACGACCAGGAAGAGCUCUGCUUUUAUGAUAUAAUGCUUAGGGGUCGUCAAAGGCGGGAAGUUGUGAUUGGAUUUCGCCUUGCAAAUACAGAGAGGGCCAUAAUCAACCCAUCACAGAAAUCAGCAGUACGGAAAUGGUCUCACGAUGAUGUUUUUGUGGUCAUCUCCAUAAGUGAAUGAAAUGUCAUUUUUCGCAUGUAUUAAAUGGAGUACGGGUGUCAUCUGGACCUACCUGUUUGUCACUUCCCAACUUGAUACAGCAACUGAUUUAAUGAAUUCAAGGGUCUAGUCAUUGGCUUACUAUACUGGAAACGAAUGUUCUGGAUUCAUGGGGGAAGAGAUUUGUCGUUGUGCAGUGCCUGUUCAUAUUGAACAACAUGGUGUCAUCUCCCACUCGAGUUCUUUGUAGAUAGUCAGAAUGUCUAGUUGCUUAUAUGGAAAAGGGAUAUCUGCAUUGUAACUUAAAAUCAGAAUAUCUAGUUGCUUAUAUGGUGCAACCUGCAAGCAAUCCUUGUAGUUGAACAAUUCUGUCUAGCAUGACAGAUUGACAGAUUCUGUAUCUGUCAAUUUGUAUCGACAGCAUGUUCGUAUCGACAGCAUGUUGUUAACUAAGAUUUUUUUUUUUUUAAGGUAAGAAUGAGGCCAAAGGCCCAGAACAAAGAAACUACAAAUAGAAACUAACCAGUACUACUGGUUCUAAAACUUCCACACCUAACAACUCCCACAAUAUCAUCAAGGAGAGCUUAGCAGGGGGCUCAUGGAGAUAACAGAUGACUUGAGCAUUGAGAGUACUGUUCUUGGCCAGCAAAUCAACAACCAUAUUCCGCUCACGGUGAACAUGCUUAACAUGGACUGAGGCAAAAUGUUGAAGCAUAGACCUGCAAUUUGCCACAAUGGUGCCCAGAGGGUGAUACUCACUCUCAUAAUUUUGCAGAAGAUUGAUGAGAACAGCAGAAUCUGACUCCACUUUGGAAAUCUGACCAGCAAUAAUCCAAGGCCCUCCACAUAAAACCUCAUUCAUGUCAUCUUCUAGAUUAAACUUGACAAUGAAAUAAUAAUUAGGCAAGUCCACAAGUUGCCAACCUCCUUUAGUCUGCCAUUUGCGUCUUCUUAAGAAUGAAAUCAAAAGUAUUUGUAGAGUUAGGCCAUCCAAAAUCCAGUUUGUUAUGGACCUUCUCAGAAAAGCAGACCUUCAAACCAUGCUUGCCUUGAGAGUAGCAUCAUAGAAAUUGAAGUCCUCCAUCAUCGUUGUUUGAAAUCGGUCAACAAGAUUCUUGAGCAUAGAUGCGUAGCUCAGAGAUGGUAGAGACUGAGGAGGUUGAACACAGCAAGAAUCCAAUUCCUCCGUACGUAAAUUUUCUAGAUCUGAAGAAAUAUCGUUUCCAGAUUUGGUACGUUUGCGCUGUAACAUUGAAGUAUCAGAAACUCUGCCGCUUCCGAGUGGAAGGGCAGAGAACAUGAAGACCGACGUCGCCACCACUUCAGAAAAGAAGACCAAGGAAUUCGCUGGAAAACGAAGGAAGAAUUAGGCCAAUCGAUGCAAUCAGUAGGGUUCUCUCUGUUUCGCUGGGCUCUCGAACAAGGACGAGAUGUUAACUAAGAUUUUUGUAACAAUCAACACCUAAUUUAUAUUUUUUAACAAUUCUGUCAUUUAAAAUGAUGAUUGUGAUAGUCUGCUCUAGAUAAUUGAGAGUUUAUGAAAAAUCAGUUAAAUUAUUUAAGUUGAUUAUUUGAUGAUGAUAAUAAUAAUAAUAAUAAUAAUAAUAAUAAUAGAAAAAGAAGAAGACAAAAACUACGGUUGCAGUUUUACAAAAGCGGAGAUGGGUUUGAUUAUCUGUGAGUAUAUCGGUAUAGCCAAGAAUAAGAGCAACGCGCACUCAAUACUUUUUUUUUUGGAUACAUGGGGCCAAAGGCCCAAACAAAGGAACAACAGAUGUUGAGGAUGAAAAUCUGGUUAGGGGCUAAAAAGGAAUGCGCACAGAGAGAUCCAUGCAAAUUGGGAUUUAUCCGUCAAGAGAUUGUUCACUAGACCUACGAAGCGAACAAAGAGGUUGAGGGAAUGUCCGGAUUGCUCCGGACAAUUGCCCUCUAACGCUCAAGUUAGACAUCUUAGUAGACAAUUUGUAACUCAAAAUGGGGGAAUGAGUUAGUUACCUUUAUUUGUGAGGCUAGAUGCCUAUUUAUAGAGGUUGAGCGAGGUAGAUUAUCUUCAUGGCUGUUGACAGCCUGGCACGAAAGGAAUCUUCUAGAAGCGUGCAUAGAAUCGAGGCGCACACGUGCGUCCACGUGUCCGGUUGGGAUGCGUUCUGGGGUAAGUUUAUGAUAUGAGAACGCACACGCAAGGCUAAUUAAAGCGCUUGGCAUUGGUUCCCUCCACAAGUCCCCCAAAUUCCCAGGUAAGGAUAAUGACUUGGUUGGAGAUAAUACAGAUGCAGCAAUAUAUUAUACAAUAAUACUAUUACAAAAAAAUUAAAAUAAAAUAAAAAAACAGAACAACAUAUUUCAGAGCAAAAAUAUUGAGGAAUGUACAACAAACAAUGAGCAAUAUUGUAGCCAAAUUUGAAAAGGAAAAAAAAAAAACUUUACCCAGCAUUUGAUAUUAUUGAUGUUGAGGAGAAGCUAAAUAUGAACUGAACCCUCAGGGCUAACCCAAAACUGAAUCCUUGAUUUCCUGCAAAACAAAGCAAAUGGAAAUAUCAAGCAAACCAAACAUCCAACACAUUAGACUGUAGAAAAAGAAUCCAAUUCAUUUCAAAUCAAUACGCACGUCAUUACCUAUGUUCAUCAAUCAUGAACAACUCAUAGUACAAAUACAUACCCUUAAUGAAUGCAAUCAAGGCUAUAAUAUUGAAUGCUACCGAUAUGGAAUAAUUAUAUUUACAUAAUUGACUUCCAAAAAAAAAAGGUUCUUCAUAGGAAAGCACAUGUUCUUGCAUUAAACUUUAAAAUGAGAGUGUCCCAUCUUGUUUCUAGUACACAUGAGGCAUUGGAGGUGAGGCAACCUGCAUCCAAAUUUUAGUAAAGCAGAGUUAGAAUAUGAACCCAAUUUUCAUCAAGUUCAUGCUCAUAUUCCAUCAGCCAAAAUGAAUUACACAUAUCUUAAAACACCCAACAGACUAAAAUGCAGUACAGAUGUACAGAGUGUCAAACACAAAGCAAGAGGGCAUCUGAUAUUCAUAAGUUCAUAAGUGCAUUCUAAAGACAUCAUAAAAUGCAUCAUUCAGGGUUAGUUUUGUAUAAAGAUCCAAACUUUAACACAUACAAAUGGAUUCUAACAAAAAAAGUUUACAUUAGCCUAAAAGGAAAAAACAUGAAAAAGGAGUUGUGAUAACAACAUCUGGUGGACAUCAAUGAAGUAAGCUGAAACAUCAAUAUGCAGCUUAAAUUUUAGAAGCUUAUGAAAUACAACAUUAGUAAGUGUAACCUGUCAGGGAAAAACCUUGAGAAGUCAUCACAUGUGGGACUAUCUCUAGCCAGGUUGUUAUGAGACACAUUCUGCAAGAAAUCAAUUUCAUGUUAGAAAAACUGAAUAAUACAUGGGCAAUCUUAUAUCAGACAGCGCUAAACAUAAAUUGAAAUCAAAAUAUUCAGAAACAAUUACUCACAGCAUUGCAAGACUAAGGCAAGAGAUCAGUGACAUCAAUUCCCUUGAUAUUUUGUUGUGCUCUAACAACCUGCAAUAAUUUUCAUCAGUGGCAACAUUAUCAAAACGAAAAUGUCAAGUCUCAGUACGUAAAUAUCCUAAACUUUGGAGCACAAUAUACACUAUGUGUCCCCGCGCGCUGCCGCUGGUUAAGAUCGACAAUUCAUAUAACAGUAAUAAUACACAAAAAUAUAAGCAGUACGUACUAAGUAGUUGUUGUUGUGAUAUCAAUGUCUGUUACAGUAGAUUAAAUCUUUGCCCAUCACAAAUGGAUGUUAAAAUACACAAUAUAGAUAAAAGGUAGAUAACUGUACUCUACAUCUUCAGAAUCCAACACCGCUGUAAUUAUGUACAAAAUUCUGGAGCUUUUUCGCGAUGGGUCUUCAUAUUUUGGUUUCUGAAUCGCAUUCCUCUUGUGAGUUAUGAUACUGAUAUUAUAUAUUUUUCUUUCCUUGGCUGUUCAAAAUUUGGACACCAAUUCAUUUUUAUUGACUCAUCAGAUCAAACCAAAAUUGUUGCAAGUUUGGGCAAUAGUUCUAUCAUGUUCAGACAAGAAUCAUGGUGUCAUCCUAUUACUAGAAGCCACAAGAACUCAUAGAAAGCAUCCUGAAGUGUAUGCCCUAUUGAAGGUUGUCACGUCCCAGCUCAAACUAAUAGCAAACAAUACAAAUUCGAAUGGGUAAAGGACAUGAAAGUACGAACUUCAGAGCCUCUUUACCUCGACUUUCGUCGUUGAUCGAUCAAGCAAUAGCCACAGCGCAGCUCGCGCCGUCUAGGCUGUUCAAUAGCCACCAAUACAACGAUCCGAGGUGACCGUCAAGGCGGUUCAAACGAAACGGAAGAUCAUGUCAGGCCGGUGCAUCCGGGUUCUUCAAUCGGGUCACGAGCCCUGAUACUUGCAUUUCAUGAUUCAGAAGGGAAGAACUUGCCUCACAUCUCGAAUUCAAUUCAAAUAUCUGGGUUGAUAAUUCAGACUUCAAAGGAAUCAGAAAAAAGAAAGGGAGAGAUUCUCCUCCCCCCGUGCUUAUCCUUUCCUCUUUUCUUAUAUAAACCCAAAUGGACGUUUUAGAUUAAACGGUGGAGGUGUAUAGACCAGAUUGAACCAUGCUUAUUUUAUUUUUAUUUUCUUUCUCUAAUAUAUCUAUAAUUAAAUCAUAGUACACAUGAUUUCACUUAAAGGAGGAUCUUACAUCAUCUAAAAUCACGAAAAGUUACUCUCGAGCACAAUUUAGAUUCUGAGAUCGUCAAAUGCUCCUCAAGCAGUCUCAACUGAGCUAGACUAAUAUAUAGUUUAUGUUACUAACUAAUGUCGGGAUGUUAUAUACUCACCCCCUUAAAGAAAAUUUCAUCCUCGAAAUUUAUAACGGGUUGGUAACAAAUUAACAAACAUAUAAUCGGAUAUUAGCGAAUAAUACGUCUACAUUUAACAAGCAAGCAUAUUGGUUUUAACAUAUUGUGCAUUUAGUACUUUGCUGCAAGACACAACAGUUGUAAACAAAAAGAAAAUUAAACAAAAACGAAAUAAAGUCUCAAUUCGUAUCACAAUGUCACGUGGAGUUUUUCUCGAUUCAUAACUCUCAAGGUUGAACACAUACACAUCACACGAUAAUUCAGAAUUUGUCAUGAGAUAGGAUUGAGUCUCUUUCGAACUUCAAAGUUACAUAUCAACACUUUCUACUCCACAUCUCAUAAGUUCGUACCUUAUUCACAACAUAUAUGAUCGAGUACAUACACAUCAUCACACAAUUUUAACGAAUCAAAAUCUAAACAAAAGUGAGAUCACAUCUCCACAUAACAUAUCACAGAUCAGAAAUCUGUCUAGUUCGCAGUUGAUCAUGCAAAAUUUCAAACUUCAAACACUUGCACAUAUCCUCUUCUUCUUUUUUUCUUUGUCUUUUUUUAACUCAAACAAGGGAAGAACAUUUUCACAAAGUACUGAUAGGAACACUCACAUCCAUAUCCUUAUUCUCAACUGAAAAAGGGAGAGCCAUUUCAUGAAAUAUAGAUCAAAACACAUAUACACGUCCCUAUUCAAAACUGAACAAGGGAGUGCCAUUAACAAAGUACGGAUCGAAACACAUAUACACGUCCAUGUUCACAACUGAGUAAAGGAGUGUCAUUUCAGAAUACUGAUCGAAACACAUAUACACAUCCCUAUUCACAACUGAAAAAGGGAGUGUCAUUUCACAUAAUGCAUAUCAGAAACAUACCACAUCAUUCCCCUGUGGAUGAGGCCCACACUAACCCCUGUGGCCGAGGUCCACACUCUUCCCUUGUGGAUAGGGUCCACACUAACCCCUGUGGCCGAGGUCCACACUCUUCCCUUGUGGAUAGGGCCCACACUAACCUCUGUGGCCGAGGUCCACACUCUUCCCUUGUGGAUAGGGUCCACACUAACCCUGUGGCCGAGGAAUACAAAAAGAUCUCAUAACAGAAACGACAUAUAUACCACAAAUAUAUUCAUCAACAAGCAUCUAACUUCAGAAUUUGGUCACGAUUAAUCCACACUCCAUAGAAAUUCACCAUAAUCUCUAAAUCAGUAGUACACAUAUAGAAGUUCAUGAGCACAAAGUUUCAAACCAAUUCUGAAUUUUAAUUCCCACUCAAAUUCGAAUUCAAACCGGUGCACUACAUAACAAGAACACAAUUUCAGAACAGAGCACUCAACCUCAGAAAAUCAUCACAAUUCACCUACCCUAUCAAAUAAUACCAAACUUUCCAGAUCAAAAGUUCACAUAUAGAAGAACAUGAUUACAAAGUUUCAGACCAAAUAGAGUCCUAAAUCCUGAUCAAAUUUAGACUCAAAACUGCUACACUGCAAAUAUCAAUACAAUUUUCAGCAUCAAGCACUUAGCUUUGGAAAAUCAACAUAAUUUAUCUACCUUACCAAAUAACACCAAACUUUACAGAUCAGUGGUACACAUAAAGAAAAACAACUCCACAAAAUUUCAAACCAAACCAAAUCCUGAAGCCCAAUCAAAUUCGAAUUCGAAACAGUAACACUACAUAACACAACUACAAAUUCUGAACGGAGCACUUAAAUUCAGAAAAUCACCACAACUCAUCUAUUUUAUCAAAACACACCAAAAUUUCCAGAUCAAUAGUAAUCACAUGGAAGAAUAAGGGUACAAAAUUUCAAGUCAAACGGAAUCCUGAAUCCUAACCAAAGUCAAGCUCCAAAACAGUUCAGACAAUAUAUUGAACAUAUACUAAUCUUUCUAUUCUAAUCCUUGAGUUUACUCUCUCUUUUCUAACCCAAAAACUUCAGACCGAAAACUACUUCAGAUAUAUGCAAAGACACACUUCAAGUUUAGAAGACUUCAAUCUAUUGUCUAUCAGCAUAAAUUCCAAAAGAUUUAAGCCAAACUAAUUUGUAAUAAACUUACCUGAAGAAAAUGAUUGCAGCUUCAGCUAUUUCUAAGACGAGACAAGACGUAUGAUAUGAAACCUCCCUUUCUUGCAUCUUCUUUUCCCUUCUAUGGUUCUCAGUGAUCACAUGUAGUUACAUAAAUGAAUAAAUAUGAUAAUCAAUGAUACCAGAUUGACAUCACCUUACAUUAACCAACACAUUCUCUCUAAAAUAUGGUUACUAACUUUUUGAAGCCCUUAAACUUAUUUUCCAAAACAUACACAGCUAUACAUACGCACAUAUAGUUGGUGAGUAAAAAGGCAGACAUAAAAAUUUAUAUCUGAAGCUAUAGAAUAAUAAUCUGAUAUACUAGAAUAUGUAUAUGAGUCCUUUAAGCUAGCAGCCCUUUCAUACUUCUAUUUUCCCUUGCAUGAUCCAACAUUCCAACCUCUCAAAUCAACAAACCGAUUCUCUUUCAUAGCACUAAUCUGCCUUCAAAAUAAUAAGCAAGUUACCGAUCAUCACUCAUUCAAUUAAUCCCACUGAGUAACACAUCGUUCAUAAAACCCAAAAACACAAGAGUGCCACUUUCAAAUUUGAACAAAGAAAAGAAAAGCCUCAAAAUUCCCCAAAAGAAAAAAUCAAUGCGCUAAGCCAUCACCAUGAAGAAAAAGAAAAAUAGAAGAUCAUAAACCAAAUAUACAAACACAGCGACUCACCCUCAUCUUCUCCAACACCACAUGCAACUAAGAAACAUCAAACACCAACUUGUAAUCAAAACCACUUAAAAGUCUAGACCUUGACCGAUCACAAUUCACAAUAAUCAGUAUCAAGCUCUUACGAUCAUGAAAUUGAAAGUCCAAUCCGUUCCUCCCCAACAAUUUAUACCCUGGCAAUCAUAUCCCUGCUCUGAUACCAUUUGUCACAUCCCAGCCCAAACUAAUAGCAAACAAUACAAAUUCGAAUGGGUAAAGGACAUGAAAGUACGAACUUCGGAGCCUCUUUACCUCGGCUUUCGUCGUUGAUCGAUCAAGCAAUAGCCACAGCGCAGCUCGCACCGUCUAGGCUGUUCAAUAGCCACCAAUACAACGAUCCGAGGUGACCGUCAAGGCGGUUCAAACGAAACGGAAGAUCAUGUCAGGCCGGUGCAUCCGGGUUCUUCAAUCGGGUCACGAGCCCUGAUACUUGCAUUUCAUGAUUCAGAAGGGAAGAACUUGCCUCACAUCUCGAAUUCAAUUCAAAUAUCUGGGUUGAUAAUUCAGACUUCAAAGGAAUCAGAAAAAAGAAAGGGAGAGAUUCUCCUCCCCCCGUGCUUAUCCUUUCCUCUUUUCUUGUAUAAACCCAAAUGGACGUUUUAGAUUAAACGGUGGAGGUGUAUGGACCAGAUUGAACCAUGCUUAUUUUAUUUUUAUUUUCUUUCUCUAAUAUUUUUAUCAUUAAAUCAUAAUACACGAUGGAGACAUGAAUUCACUUUAAAACAAGGAUCUUACAUUAUCUAAGAGCAUCUCCAGUAAUAGAGUUAAAUUUAUUACUAAAUUUGUCAACAUUUAGAUUUAAAAUAGUAAUUUUUGAACUUUUGCUCCAGCAGUAUUACUAAAUUAUAUACAUUAGCUAAGUUUUAGUUAAUUGUCUCCCAAAAAUUGAUAAUUUAUCAAUUUUCUCUAUCAACUUCUUAAGUAUACUGCUGGAGCAAAGAUUCAUUUAAAAAUUGAUAAAUCUCUAAUUUUUUUCAAUUUAUCAAUGCUGCUGGAGAUGCUCUAAAAUCAUGAAAGCACAUUUUAAAUUCUGAGAUCGUCAAAUGCUCCUCAAGCAGUCUCAACUUAGCUAGACGAAUAUAUAGUUUAUGUUACUAACUAAUGUCAGGAUGUUAUAAAGGUAAUUGAACACACAAUUUUUUCCUACGUCUCUCUAAUUAAUCUUAUCUUUCCACCAAGAACCAUUGAUUUAUCAUUACGUUAAAUUUAUUUAUUUUUUGUGAAAUUUCUAUCCUAAUUGUUGUUAUUUAUUACAUAUUGGACAUGUAAUUCACUGGUUUGUAUACACAAGGAGUUUCUGGGUUUCGGCUCUUCUCAACUCUCAGUCUCAUCAUGGGCAUCUGCUUUUGUUUUAAUUUUUGAGGAAGACUGUAUAUUUAGAUUCAUUAGUAGCAUUGCCUUUGGGACAGUUGGUUAAGUAGGUUUUUUGUUCUAGUCAUGAUCUAUUUUUUUGAGGAGAAAGUCAUGAUCUAUUAUAAAUUGAGAGAUUUAUGAAUAAUUUUGGUGUUAAACAAGAGUCCGGAUUGUGUUUUUACUGUUUUAUGAUGAAGUGUUAAAUUUAUUCACCAACUGUGACGGUUUGUGUGUCUAAGACCAUCUCCCAUCAUAGGCUAAAAAGCCAAAUUUAGCCUAUAGUUACUCCCACCAUAAGCCAAAUUACAAUUCCCAAGGUAAAAAAUUUAGCUUGAGCUAUUUUGUAAGCCAAAUUUGGCUUAUGAAAUUUGUAGGCUAAAACUAAGUAUUAUUUUAUUCAAACUUUAGAUUUUGUUCUUCUAAUUUCACUAGCAUCUAAAUUGAAAAUUCGUUACUAACAAAAUUUUAUACCAUUGUGACGAUCUCGACGAGAUAUUUCAUAUGAGUCCCAUAUCGAAUAUAUUUAUAUAAAAAAAAAUUUCAUGAUUAAUUAUUGAAUUAAACAAAUAAAUGAUAAAAUAAAAAUAAAUUGAUUUAUCUAAGGAUUUAGCUUACUGUAGGAGUGCUUCUUUAGGCCAAAAUACUAUUAAUUUGGCUAAAAAUUUUGCUUAUAGUGAGUUAUGGUGAGAGAAUUUAGUAAGUUAAAAACAGAUUUUAUAGAAUAUUCUUAUUUUGUAAGCUAAAUUUAGCUUAAAAUUUGGCUUACAGCUCUAGGUGUGUAAUUGCCUGCAUGGAUACCCAUUCAAAAAUUUGAUUUUUUUUUUUUUUUAAUUUCUAUGGAGUCACCAUUCAGUUCAAGGACCCACAAUUAUUUACUCACCAAAAAACCGAUAGUGACUUUGUUUGGUUAGCCAAGCCAGCGAAAGGGACCAACAGCAAUAUUAGUCACUAAAGCCGUGUCUAUUAAUUAUCCCCACUAAUCAAUUGUGUCCUUUGAUCCAACACACACCAUUUUUAAUAGCCCACUUCUAUGGUAGUGAAAACUGACAUCCUUGGAUAAAAAAAUAAAAAUAAUAAAAAAAAUAAAAUCUUACCAAAACAACUUUAAAUAAUAUAUUAAAGGUAUUAAACGAUUUACAGAAAAAAAUAAACAUAUUAUUAGGGGUAAUAAAUAUUGAGAAAUCCAUUAAUAAAGUUUAUAAAAGGUAACUCAUAAGCCACAAACAUGAAGCACGUACAGUAAACCUUGUAUUUCUUACCACAACCACGUACAGUAACUCAAAAGCCACAAACAUGAAGCACCACGAGUACCUCUCCCUCCUCCUCCUCUUCCUGCUCUUUCUUCACGUGGACGACAAAACGGGCCUUCUUGCCUUCAACUCAGGCAUCACGACUCAACGGUAACGACGGCGGACGAGACUAUUGUUGUUGUUUCGGCUUCGGCGUAGAGUCGACGGCAACGACGGUAAUAACAGAGUAAUCGACGUCGUGGAUGACGAUGUUAUUGGUGACGUAGACGUCGGGACGCGAGAGUUGGUCUUGAAGAGGCUGAGAUCAGCAUAAGUGAGGUGCUGAGGGACGACGUGAUAAGGCAAGAAGAUCUGGUUGGCGAUGGGAAGGCACGAAACGGCAGCGUUUUCAGACAUGUGUGGUGUCGUGUUAAUUUCUUGCGUUUAGAUUGAUUUUCUUUAUUUGCACCCCGAGUAAAUAUACCUGACCAACAAAAAGCAGUUACCUGAUAUUAAUCAUAAUCAUAGUAUGAAUGUGGUAAGAUCCAAGACUAAAAUUUCGACAAUCGAUGAUAUUUUGAUUCUCUAACAAAUAGAUUUUUCAAAGAAAAUAUUGAGAAAUAUUGAUAGGGGCAAAAUUUUGAAAGGAAAGUAAAAAUUAUGUGAAAAUAUAUACACUGGUUUUUUGAUACUUAUAUACUAAAAUGUUCUUCAUGCUAACCAAAUAUCACUUCAGUAGAGUUGGUUGGGGGAGUUUGAACAUGGGGUUGCUACGGUUUGAUUCCCCUCACAUGCGCUUUGACUUUUAUUCCAAUUUUUCACAUAUGGGCCGAGUUGAUGUGAGUUGGGUCGAACUAAUGAUAUAAUCUUGUGUGUUUCGGCAAAAUAUCGAAAUUUUCUCACGAUAUUCAGUUGAUAAGCAAAGAUAAUAUCGGAUGAUGAGAAAAACGAUAUUCUCGGCGAAAUAUCGCUGAAAAUCCCGAUUUUAAAGACCAUGGGUAAGAUCCGGAUCAAGCUCGAGGGGGUCCAGAUCGAGAUGCAUACUUGUGCCAGUUGUGUGUUGUGAGGGAUGGGGAUGGAAUAUUUAUAUUUAAGAAAGAACACGGUGAAACACGGAUAUGUUUUAUUCAGUACUUCUCAACAACCAACCAGUCUCUGAAUCCGAGAAACAGAACCAAAUUCGAAAACAAACAAGAUUGUCUCGAAAAAGGAAGUAGAAAGAAGGGUGUUGCACAGGCAGCCUAAUUGAACCAAAUACAAAUUCAAAUGCAAAUUCAAAGGGAACCACAAACGGACCCAGCAACAGCUUAAUCAGCUAGCUACGAGGGGGGGGGGGGGGGGUGGAGGGAGGGAGUACAUUACAUUACAUGCAUUGGAUAUAAGAGAUGGAUGGGUGUGGGCGGAUGAUGAAACAUAUGAUUUUUGAGUAACACAAAUGAAUUAGUAGCCUGCAGGCUUGUAGGCGAUGAAACUGAUGCACUGAACUUGACGGACAUUGUCGAAUCCGAUGAUACGGAUGAAAGCAUUUGGAUAAGCCUUCUUGGCCUCCUCGAGCUCCUUCAACACUUGGGAAGCGUCGGUGCAUCCGAACAUGGGCAACUUCCACAUGGUCCAGUAGCGGCCGUCGUAGUAUCCCGGUGACUUGUGGUUCUCACGGUACACGAAUCCUUUCUAUAUAUACACAAUUACAGUUACAGAGCACCACCGGUACCAAUAAUCAGUAGUUAAACAAGUACAAUUAAUUUAACUUGAGUAAAAAUUAUAUUAGUGAAAAAAUAACUAAUUAAUACCUCCAACUCAAAUUCCAAGCAGGGAACCCAUUUGUUGCGGAGAAGGAAAUCAACUUCCUUGGCCAAGGACUCGGAAGUAAGCGGUGGAAGGUAGGACAGCGUCUCGAACUUCUUCAAACCAACUGGAGGCCACACCUAUACAGAAUAUAUAAUCGGAGUCGAUCAAUUAGUAAGGUAGGAUACCUAGCAAGUAAUUAAGCUUCACGCUAGUAAGUGGAAAUUAAACUAUAUAUAUACGAUGGUGAAUUAAUUCACCUGCAUGCAUUGCACUCUUCCGCCAUUGCUUGGGAGUGAGGUAAUAUCACUGUUGGUCUUUCUGGUGAUGGGGAAAGCUGAGGCAGACUUGAGGCCAGUGAAUGGCGCAACCAUGCUGGCUUGUGCCGGGGAGGCGGCGGUGGCGACUGCGGCAGCCGAUGAUGAGAACAUGGAGGAGGCCAUUACUGCUUUAUGCUUUUGUAUAGCUGAGCUCUAGCCCUCUUCUUUCUUCUCGAGUGGUCGAGUUGAGGAAACACGCUAUACCUAGCUUCGUAUAUAUAAUGGUAUGAUCCACCACAACCACAUCCGACCACCCCAGUUCAAUUGACUCUAUUCAAGACGAAUUGUGGACCGUCAGAUCCUUUAUGUGAUGACAUUACGCUUUAUCGACCACAUAAGGCAAGAAAGUUUUGAUUUCUAGCCUUAUCAUCGUUACUCACCACAACGACCAUGCCACGUGGAUCCGUAUUAUCUUAUCUAAUCCAGGGCGGAACGUGAAUGAGUGAUGGUCAUUGGCUAAAGUUUGUUUCAGUCGUUAGAGAGGGCAAAGGGGUAUUGUCCUCACUUUCUAUUCCUUAUUUCGAAAACACACGCACUCGUCUCGCCUACAGCCUCUCAAUCCAAAACAGUAAACUUCUCGUUAACUUUUAGCCUAGGUCUGCCAUCAACCAACUAACCUUUAUGAUAUUACGGCCGAUGCGACAAACAAUAUAUAUUACCUUUUAAGUAAUUAUUUUUAAGUGAUCUGAUCACUUACCUUUUUUUUUUUUUUUUGGUAGAACUUGAUCACUUACAAUUCUUCUCUUAGCACAUAACUUAAAAUACAUAAAAUGGCUUAGUCAAAAAAAAAAAAAAAUACAUAAAAUGUAUAGAACUCAUAUGGAAUAACAUAUAGGCCCCAACAUGUGUAGUUAAGAGUUAUUUAAGGUGAUGAUGGCGCUUUAUUUGUUAUACGAGAUCAAAAUGGUACUUCCUUAAUGGUUUGUUCACGGAAGUAUUUCUAUCCAUGUUAUUGAAUCUUCUUUGUUGAAUGAUGGUUUAAAACAGUAGCGGAGCCAGAUAUUCAAAUGUACUGGGGCACAAAAGUAAAAUAAUACAAAAAAAAAUCUUAUAAUAUAACAAUGUAUUCGUUAUUCAUGAAUUGAUAAUCGAUAUAGAUUUAAACUAUGUUUUUAUUUUAUUUUAAUUGAGUUUUCAAUCACGAAUGAAUAACACGAGUGAUGAAGCUAAAACAUUAUAGGUGAGAACCUUUAGAAAUUAAAAAAAGAAAAAAAUAGCUAUAUAUAUAUAUACAUACACACAUGACUAUUCCAAUGAGGAAUUACUAUUUUUGUUCAUUUCUAAGGAUAGACCUACACCAUUUGAUGUGUUUUUUAAUGAGUUUGGAUAAUUGAGAUUAAAACAAAAAGUUUAACAUUUUAUAUCAAACAUAGAAUUUGAAGUUUAUUCAUUAUGUAUCCUAAAAAUAAACACGACUUGAGGGCGUACGAACCCGCCCAUCUGUCCUUGCCAAAAUAAGUUUUCUCUAUUAUUUUGAAGGACAUUUGACCAUUACCAACUAAUUUUAUGAGCUUAUUGCCCAUUCCAAUAAUAACAUUUUACUCAUUGCCAAUUUGAACAAAUCUGAAAGAAAAAGACAAUAUUAUCCUACGUAAAUAUCAACUAUUAACUCUCUCUCCACCGGCAACCUCAUCUUUGCCUCCACCUUCUUCGACGACCUCGUCCUCGCCUCCGCCAGAGCAACAUGGUGGUGUCGUCCAGACGGGAGCCGGAUGCUGAGUCCUCGCCGUUGGAUCUGAACCAUGCUCACGAUACCACUAGCGGCACCGCCGGAUUCGGAUAUUUGAUGAGUUCUUCUUCCUGCGCAUCACCAGAUUUCGCCGGUUAGAGCCGUCAUCGGUGUGAUUCGACCGGACUGAACUAGCAUGUACGUGAUUCGAUGGCAGAGUGACUCAGACUCGUCCACAGUGGUCGAUCUAAACCAGCAGGUACGUGAUUCGACCGAGGAAGGAGGAUUCGACCUCGACCUUAACCUGACUCCUCUGACAGAUCUCACCUGAUUUUUGGUUUUAGAGGAUCCGAAGGAGGGUUCGAAAGAUGAUUAGGAAACUUCUUUUUUUCUUUUUAAUUUUUUUUUUUGUUUUACCUAGGGGCUAGUAAUCGUUUUGUUUACUAGAGGCCAAUAAUACGUUUUUACUAGAGCCAAUAAUUUUUGUUAAUGUGUUUUAUUUUCUCUUGGAGGUAGUGAUUGUGUAGAUAUGGUCAAAUUGUUUAGUUUUGAAAAAUAUGGAGGGUAACAUAUCAAUUUAGAGUAAAUUACAUAGUAGCACAUGACCAAAUUUACAAACACAAAAAACCCACUUUCAAUAAUUUUUAUAUAAUAAAAGACAUAAGCCCAAGCCUACCACCAACUAAGCCCAGACCUGACUUCAAAUUUCACUCUAAGAAGACGAAAAACCUAAUCGUACAACAAAAUUACGAAAUAUGCCAUUGAGUCUAAGACUUGAUUUCAGAUCUCUCUCUCUCUCNNNNNNNNNNNNNNNNNNNNUAUAAAUUGAACAAUGAUAAUCAAAAAUUUCUAACAAAAAUUAGACGAAAUAAUAUGUAAAAAGAGGUACCAAAUAGUAAAUAUAGAUUAAUUAUAUUAAAUAAUGAAAUAUUUCAUAAAUUAAGGGUAUUUUAGGUAGUUUGGGAUGUGUAUUAAGUAUAAUACUGAAAUGAAAAACUUGAUAUGUGGUGUAUUAAGUAAGGGGUGUGUAUUAAGAUAUUAGGGGUGUGUAUUUAAAAUUUCUCUAAAAGAAAUUUAGUUCCUUAAGAAAAAAUAGUUAUUAAUUAAAACAAACAAUGAAACCCAGUACCAUUUGGUGUAGUGACAUAAUUUUUUUCUUUUAGUAAGUGAAAAGAUUAUGAGUUCGACUCACACAAUUUGUAAUUUACUUAAUAAAAAAAAACAAUCAAUGAAAAGAAUGAAAUUUAUUAGAUAAAGAAGGAAUAGGACAAGAUGCGUUGGGUUGCCGAUUUGAGAGAAAGUUGUUUUGCUGACUUAGAGUCCCUCUCGCUUUAUUUCAAAAUUCAAACCAUGUUUGGGGAUCUGAUUUCCUCUCGGUUAUGUACAGAAAAAGUGAGAGAGAGAGAGAUGAGAGCCCCAAUUCUAAUUGUUUGUCGGAUCCUCAGUAAUUUGAUGGAGGAUUGGAGAUCGUCGUUGCUCGGGAUCGUUUCUCGAUCAUUCUCAAUUCCAUGUAAGAAGUGGCUCUCUCUGUUCCUUGUCAAUUUGUGUUUCGUGAAUUUGAGCAUGGAAUUACAAUCCAAUUAGGGGGUGCUCUCUCUGUUGUUUGUUUUGCCUUAGAUCUACAAUCAGAUAAUUGUUUUCCGAGAAUUAGUUUUGGUUGUGGCCUUGAAAAAAGAGAGGGGUUUGUUGCCUCGCUUGUUUCACUAUCACAUAAAGAGAAGGGUUUACCCUUUGAUCUGUUGUUUGCGACCUCAAAUUGUCAUUGCCUUUUCGAUGCCCAUCUGUUGCAAUGUCCUAAGAAUUUACCUGAGAUUGUUCCCUUUUAAGUUCAUGCAUGUUAAAUGUUGCUGAAGGGCUUUCUAAUCUAGAAUGUUGAGUUGGUCAUAAACUUGCGUCUUGUCUUUCCUUGAAUUUAUAUGAAUGUGAGCAUGAAAUUACAAUUAAAAUAUUGGUGCUCCCUCUUUUUGUGGGGUUGAAGUACCAGUUUUCAUGAUUGGUAUUCCCUCUGCAUGAGAAUUGGUGGUGUCCACUUCAUGAUUACUAUGUUUCCUUUGAUUUAUGAGUUGUCUUCGAUUAAUUGGUGGUACCCAGUUCAUGAUUAUGUUGUCUAAGAGAUUAUUAUUGUGGCCUUGAAAGUAACAAUUGAUCCCUAAAGAAAGGGUAUUAAGAGAGAUUGUUGGAAAGAGAGAUUAUUGUUGCAUUUCAAAGUUCAUGAUUUUGCACUUUGAUUUAUGAGUUGCCUUUGGUUAAUUGGAAAAAGAGAUAGUUGUUGCCUUUCAAAGUUCAUGAUUAGCGAAUCUUACCUAAGUAUUUGUUAUCUGAGCUCGCAAAUUUCUAAUGCAAUGAGCUCGUAAAGAGAGAUUGUCGUUGCCUCUUAAUCUCUUAAAGUAUAAUUCUGCACUUUGAAACUUGAGUUAGUUGAACCAUUCAAGGCUAAUAUUUUUGUAAAGAAUUGAGACACCCAUUUCCCCACACCAUAGUAGGUAAAUUCUCAACGUUUUUCAGUUUAUUUUUUCUUUUUCCAUCAAUGAAAUGCCCAAAAGUUAAGGUUUCUGUAAAGAAUUGAAUAUUACAUCUUCUCGAUUUUGACUCUAGCAUUCAAUUUUUUCUUUUUGCAGAUGAAUUGGAAAUGAGAAAAUUGGUAUUCAUGGUGGUUAGAUUCGUGUUUGAGAUAAUGAUUCUCUUGUCCGUUGUCCCCAAUAGUCCUCUAAGAUGUAAGAAUGGUUUACCAUUUGAAAAGUUCACUUGGUAGUUGUACAUAUGUCAACCUUUUGAUUUGUCGCUGCUUAUACAAUCAAAGUAAUGAGCUAUGACCAAGCUAGAAAGAGAUAUUAAAAUUGUCAUGGCCUUUUCAAUGCCCAUAUGUUGCCAUUUCCAAAGAAUUUACCUGAGAUUGUUCCCUUUUAAGUUGUGGUAUUGCAUGGCUUUUUAAUAUGGAAUGAUGUAUUUUUUAUUAUAUUCAUCUGUCUACUUUGGGCAGUUCAUGAAUUUGCGUCUUGUCUUUGCUUGAAUCUUUAUGAAUAUGAGCAUGAAAUUACAAUCAAAAUAUUGGUGCUCUUUCUUUUCUUGGGAUUGAAGUACCAGUUUGAAGAUUGACGCUCCCUCUUUUUUAAGGGUUGAAGUACCAGUUUUCAAGAUUGGUAUUCUCUCUGCCUUGAUUCUCUGGUGUUGCCCUGAAUGGCCCGAUAUAUUACCAAAGAAUUACUUCAAAUUGUUGCCUGAGAAUUGGGGGUGCCCAGUUCAUGAUUAUGUUGCCUGAGCAGUUAUUGUUGCCCAUCAAAGUUCAUGAUUCUGCACUUUGAAACUUGAGGCUACACUUACAAUCUUUUACUUACAUGUCUUCUGCCUUGAUUCUCUAGUGUUGGCCCGAUAUUAUGACCUAGUAAUUGUUGCAUGAGAAUCGGUGGUGCCCAGUUCAUGAUUUUGUUGCCUUCGAUUAACAUGUUACCUUCUAUUCUAUUUGAGUUGCCUUAAAUUAGUAUGUUGUCUUCGAUUACUAUAGUUUCUUCGAUUUAUGAGUUGCCUUCGAUUGACUGGUGAUACCCAGUUCAUGAUCUGUUGCCUGAGAGAUUAUUGUUGCCUUGAUGUAAUGAUUGAUCCCUAAAAAAAGGGUAUAAAGAGAGAUUGUUGGAAUGAGAGAUUAUUGUUGCCUCUAAUAUUGUUACCUUUGAGAUUGUUGCCUUUCAAAGUUCCUGAUUGGCGAAUCUGACCUGAGUAUUGGUCAUUUGAGCCGCAUAUUCUAAUGCAGUGAGCUCGCAAAGAGUGGUUUUUGUUGUUUUUCAAAGUUCAUUAUUCUGCUCUGUAUUAAUAUAUGUUAUCUUGUAUUAUUUUAUUCUAUUGUCUCGGAUAGAGAUUAUUGUUGCCUUGAAAAGAGAGCGAGAGUUUGCUGCCUUGCUCGUUUCAGUCAUCUCACAUAAAUGUGUUACCGUUUAAAGGGUCUAAUAUAUUUUUGCCAUUUAUUUCAUGUUUUGCAAAUCAUUCAGACCAUGGUGGCCUUGAUCCCUCAUUUUCGGAUAUGUUGCCUUGUCCCAAGAAUUAAAUUGUUAACAUUUUGCAAAUUCGAAACUGUCUUUGGUAUCAAACCAUUCAUGAAUUUGCGGUUGUCUUUGCUUGAAUCUAUAUGAAUCUGAGCAUGAAAUUACAAUCAAAAUAAUGGUGUUAAUUUCAUCUUUUCCUGGCGUUGAAGUACCAGAUUUGAAGAUUGGUGCUCCCUCUUUUUUAGGGGUUGAAGUACCAAUUUGAAGAUCUGUGUUCCCUCCUUAUUUUUUUUUCUUGUUGUCUGCUACAACAUAUGUCUCUCUCCUUGUGAAUGUGCCUUGGCUAGACAUCACUGAACGCCUUCAUUAUGGAAAUACAAUUAUCAAAAAGGUUCUCUUGGAUUCCAAGUUCAUGAUUCUGCACCUGGAAUCUUGAAUUGGUAUGGAAAGAGAGAACUCAUUGAGGCUGCACUUACAUGUUUUUAUUUGCAUGUCUUCUUCUUUGAUUCUCUGGUGUUGCCUUCAUAUUUUCACCAAUAAUUGUCGCAUGAAAAUUGGUGGGGCCCGGUUCAUAAUUUUGUUGCCUUUGAUUAAUAUGUUACCUUCUAUUCUAAUUGAGUUGCCUUGGAUUAAUAUGUUGCCUUCAAUUACUGUGUACCCUUCGAUUACUAUGUUUCCUUCGAUUCAUGAGUUGCCUUUGAUUAAUAUGUUGUCUAUGAUUUAUGAGUUGCCUUCAAUUAACUGGCGAGGCCCAGUUCAUGAUUCUGUUGCCUUGAAAGUUUAUGCUCUUACUAUUAAAAAUAACAAUUGAUUGCUAAAAAAUAGGUUAUUAAGAGAUUGUUGGAAAAAGAGAUUAUUGUUACUUCGAAGAUUGUUGCCUUUCAAAGUCCCUGAUUGUUGAAUUUGACCUGAGUAUUUGGUCAUGAACUCUCAAAUUUCUGAUGCAGUAGCAAAGAGAGAUUAUUGUUUCCUUUCAAAGUUCAUGAUUAGCGAAUUUGAUUUGAGUAUUAGUCAUUUGAGCUUCCAAAUUUUUAAUGUAGUGAGCUUUAGCAAAGAGAGAUAUUGUUGCUUUUCAAAAGUUCAUGAUUCUGCACUUUGAUUUAUGAGUUGCCUUCGGUUAUUUGGUGGUGUCUCUUUCAUGAUUCGGUUGCGGUGUUGCCUAAGAGAUUAUUAUUGUUGCCUUGAAAGUUCAUGCUCUUAUUGUUAGAAAGUAACAAUUGAUCUCUUAAAAAAGGGUAUCAAGAGAGAUUGUUGGAAAGAAAGAUUAUUGUUGCCUCUAAGAUUUUUGCCUUUCAAAGUUUGUGAUUAUCGAAUGUGACCUAAGUAUUGGUCAUUUGAGCUUGCAAAUUUCUGAUGCAGUUGGCUAGCAAAGAUAGAUUAUUGUUGCCCAUUUAAGUUCAUGAUUCUGCAUUUUGAAACUUGAGUCAGUAUUGAACCAUUCAAGGGCUGGCUUUCCAACGAGAACUCAUUGAGGCUAUAGCCUCUGAGAUUGUUGCCUUGUAAUUCUCUAAGAUCUCCUUUAUUGCCAACUAAGUUUGAUAACAAAUGCAAUUUUCUCAGGUUUAUACAUAGUUCUCAUUUCCGUUUUGUAAAUGAUUAAUUAUAUCUUUUAGAAUCUGCAGAAAUGCAUUUUCUUUGUUUGAAAAUGCUACAGUACUAGGCUUCAUAAGCUUUGAAGACCCCUUUGUGCAUGCUGCACAAGCCUUUCUUGAUGAUUUGAGUUCGCUAGAAGAUCUGCUUCAUGCUUUAAUAUUUAGCUGUUGGCUUUUUGUUUGAGCUCGUUUGAGCUCCGUUUGUAACCCAAAAAAAAUGCUACAGUACUAAAAGACUGAUACAAAAGAUGCUUUGUGUGGGGAAUUGCUCCAAAAUACCAGUAUAUGGCACAAUCAUGUGCGUUGAUCAUGCACCUAGUUCACAAAUAUGAUUUUGUUGUUACCCACAUUGUCGAUGCAGUUGCUGGUGUUGAGAAGAAGUAUGCAGAUGAGAGCCUAGCUAAUUUUCUUAUCAGAGAGAUUGGGAGGACAAAUCCAAAAGAGUACAUCAAGGAUACAAUUGAGGCUGAAAAAGAUUAAUUACAAAAGACCCCCAGAAUUAUGGGGUCACUUUCAUUUUGGUAUCUAAUUAUUAAAAUCUUGCGUUUACAUGCCCGAAGUUCUCCCCAUUAGACAAGUUAAUACUUCCGUCAGUUACCUGUCAGUUUGGGGCGUUUUCUGCUAACGUGGCUUGCCUAGGACCCAAACAGCUGUUAGUUUCUAGGUGGAAUUGAGGGAUAUUUUAGUCUAACUCUAUUUUACUCUGCCUAAAAAGGCAGUAAAAGGUGGAGGCAGAAUUACGCAACUGAAACGAUUUGUGAUUUCUAUCGCUGAUUACCCCUGAUCCACAACUGAAACAAUGCCGGAUUAAGCAACUCUAGGUUUGAGUGGGUACUCCGAUUUGUGAUUUCCAUGGCUUCGCACAACUAGAAUAGGCCUCCCCAUAGCCCCUCUACUGUAAGCCCUAACUUCUUUUGUAUGAAAUUACGUUUUUGUGAUGAAGUAGACGAAGCCCUAAUUUGGGGUUGUGAGAAAUUGGGGGGAAUGAUAGGAAGUGAAGGAUGAUAGUGAUUGUGUGUUUGAUUUUACUUGGGUGGUUAUGGGUUUUGUUAUAUGCGGCACGAAUCAGUGUAGAAAAUGAGGAAACGGGUUUUUCAUCUUGGGUUGUGGGGUUUGUUUGUUUGGUCACAUUUGUGAUUGUAUUUCAUUUCUUUCAAAGCUGAGAAAGAGAGUGGUUUUCCAUUUGUUUGUGUUGGGAUUGAUGGUUUGCAUUGACAAAGUGACAUACUGAGCUGCACUAAAUCAUCUGUGUUAAUGUUAAUUUUGGUUUUGAAGAAGAAGAUUGGUGUUCACGAGGUUCAUUGGACAAGAAGAGGAAGUUAACAAGAAAAACAGACAGCCAGAGUAGCAUGGGGCGACCACGGCUGCCAUUUAAGUAAAAUAGAGUAAUUUAGAGUUAGACCAAAAUAUCCCUCAAUUCCACUUGGAAACUGACAGUUGUGGGUCCUAAGCAAGCCAUGUCAGCAGAAAACGCCUCAAAUUGACGAGGUAACUGACGGAAGUAUUAACUUGUCUAACGGGGAGAACUUCGGGUAUGUAAAUGUAAGAUUUUAAUAAUUAGGUACCAAAAUAAGAGUGACCCCAUAGUUUAGGGAGUCUUUUGUAAUUAAUCCGGCUGAAAAUGUACCUCUUUUGGUGGAACUUUCUGAUCGGUUACCAAAGUUGAUGUCUGUAAAUAUUGGUCUUCUUGUCCCACAUUUUGGUGGGGAAUCUUAUAAAAUAAGAAAUGCUCUUGUUGGGGUCUUGGGAAAGUUGGUCGCAAAGGCUUUCAAAGAUGCUGAGGGUGAAGUCGAUUCUAAAUCUGUUCGUAUUCGAACCAAGCAAGCCAUGUUGGAAAUUUUGCUUGAGCGGUGUCCAGAUGUAUCAGCUUAUACCCGGAGUCGGGUUCUUCAAAUUUGGGCUGAACUAUGUGAUGAACUUUGUGUUUCAAUUGGGUUGUGGAAUGAGCUGGCUGAAGUUGCUGCUGGGAGGUUAGAGGAUAAGAGUGCAAUGGUCAGAAAAUCAGCGCUAAAACUACUUAUCACGAUGUUGCAGCACAACCCAUUUGGCCCACAACUUCGAAUAGCUUAUUUGAAGCAACCCUACAGCAGUACAAGAAGAAGCUGAAAGAGCUUGAACCAGAGACUCCCUCAGAAAAUGAUAUGAACAGAUUACCAUCUUUCAAUAAUACAUCGGGGAAUAAUGAGGUUGAUGACGUAACUGCAGGGUUGACUAUGGUGCAGCAGGAUAGCUUACCUGAUAGUUACUUGCCUGAGAUGGAAGAAGAUCUAGUUCAGAAAGACGGGUCUGUCCCAGAUGUUGUGAACUUAGAACAGACCAGGGCUUUGGUAGCUUCACUUGAGGCUGGACUGAGAUUUUCAAAGUUUAUAUCUGCUACAAUUCCAACACUUGCUCAGAUGAUGGCAUCAUCUUCUGCCACUGACGUUGAGAACACAAUAAAUUUGUUAAUGAGAUGCCGGCUGUUUCAUAUUGAUUCCUCAGAAGCAUGUCUUCAUAAGAUGUUGCCACUGGUACGUAUUGCUCAUGCCCUAGGAAAUGCUUUAUAAUUUCAAUUCCGUCAAGAACUUUUCUUCUCUGUUAAUUCUUGAGCACCUGGUCUGGGCAUGAUUUUUCUGUUUGUACAUGUUGCUUAUAAUGUCCUAAAUGUGUCUUGGCUUUUGUAGGUAUUUUCUCAGGACAAAUCCAUCUAUGAAGCUGUGGAAAAUGACUUCAUUACAAUUUACAUAAAGAAAAACCCCGUAGAAACGGCCAAGAAUCUUAUAAAUCUUGCGAUAGAAUCAGAUAUUGGAGAUCUAGCUGCCCUUGGGUAUAUAGUUGGUGCCUUGGUGUCCAAAGGCAACAUAUCCAGUGCUGCGAGUGAUUACUUUAAAUCUAUGAAAUUUGUUUGAAGAUAUUUCCUUUGCAUGCCAAAAGCAACAAGAAUCUCUGUAUGGUUUUCAGCUUUCAAAAGUGAGGGUACACUGUAGAUAUAAAGUCAACUCUAAAGUUGAGGCAAUUGUCCAUUUCUGGGAAAGUGAACAAGUGCAUAUUGAAAAGAUAAUGAGCAACCAUGAUAUUGAUUUUAGAAUACGAUUUAUGUUUCUUUUUGGUAUAUUUGGUNNNNNNNNNNNNNNNNNNNNAGUAGCAGUAGUAGCGGAUAUGUUGAAGGGUAGUUUGGUAAAAUAUAAUGACAGAUGGCAUGUGGGUAUUAAAUUGUCCUAAUUUGUUAAUUUUUGUCCUUAAAUGUAUAAGAUAAUGAGUAAAGGAUGUAUUUGUAAACUGAAACUUAGUUAGUAACUAAUAUGUAAUUUACUAUUUAACUUACCCAUAAAAUCUUAAUAGAAACAUAAAAUAAUAGAUGUGUGUAUUAAGAGAUUAGGAGUGUCUAUUUAAAAUUUCUCUUUCUUUUAUUAUUGUAAAGAUAACCAUUUGCACAAAAACAUGGUUUCCAAAAUCCAUUUCAAUAAACUUAUUUGUGUCCAAAUACAUAAAUAUUUAUUAAAGUCAAAAUAAAAUAAUAUUUUUAAGACAUUUUUACCCUUAGUUCUUAUACAUGCUUAGAGAGAAAAAGUGUAUGAGAGGCAGUAAGACUUUAUCGGAAGCUCUUUGGAUAUCCUGACACCAUCGUCGAACUCCGGUCACUAGUUGCUGGAAUCUUGUCGAUUGCCACCAGAAUCUCGCCUAUCACCAGAGUUUGGUGCCGGAAGCUUAUCGAACUUUUUUAAAUGUCAUCAGAUCUUGCCAAAACAGUACCCUCUCUAAAAGUUUAUUGAGGGGCAGUAAGAUUGAAAAUUUAUUAGAGGACAAAAACUUGAAAUCUCAUCGAAACAUCCCGAAAUAAUUUAUAAAAUCUAAUAGACGGUUAAUUAGAGGGCGAUUAUUGGUGACAGUAAAUGUUGAGAAGUAUUUUACUACCCUAAUAAAAAAAUUAUUAAGCGACAAUAAAGACAAAAUUUUACUAAAAUAUCUCCAAAUAAUUUAUAAAAAAUAAUAAACCAUUUAUUGAAGGAAAUAAAUGUUCAGAGACUUCUUAUUACCCCUAAUAAAUGUUUAUUGACCUCAAUAAAUUGAUUAGUAAAUUACAUAUUAGUUACUAACUAAGUUUCAGUUUACAAAUACAUCCUUUACUCAUUAUCUUAUACAUUUAAGGACAAAAAUUAACAAAUUAGGACAAUUUAAUACCCACAUGCCAUCUGUCAUUAUAUUUUUACCAAACUACCCUUCAACAUAUCCGCUACUACUGCUACUGUCGACAUGUGCUACUGUCGACGAAAAUGUGCUACUGCCAAAGUAGGAAUGUGCUACUGCCGGUGCUAUUACAAUUUUUUCCAGCAAUUCUUCGGAACCAAACAAAGCUGCUACUGUGGCGAUGCGAAAUCUUAUGCUACUGACCACUGAAUAGCUGGUGCUACUACCAAAUGUACAGUAGCAUCACUCAUACUCAUCCAGAUCUAGGAUUUUGAAGCUAAUCAAAAUCAUAAUCAAUUGCUACAAAACUAAAGCACAUAGCAAAACAGAAGCUAGCCCUCCAGUUCCACACAACCCAAUACCAAUUGAAGCUUCAAUUUCCACAAUACCAAAACACCGCAAUAAACGAAGAAAAAGCACAAACCAGUUGUUGUAGUCAGAAUCGAAGAACCACUGAGGGAACCAAACGGAGGAAUGCAUAGAGAUCAAGCGAGCUAUCGUUGGAUUGCGCAGUGGAACUCGUCGGCCUCAGAAUGGAUGGGAUCGAGCUUUGGUUCAGUAGCAGUCGUCGUGGUCGUCGACCAUCUGCAUCGGNNNNNNNNNNNNNNNNNNNNCCCGCAGAUAUCAGCGUGAUGGGAUUUCUUUUGCUUCAACAUUAGUGGAACUACUGCAGCUCAAAGUUAUGGGGCAUUAUCUAUCCUUUGCAUGCUGGGGCGGAACUACAGUCCAGCCUGACGAGGUUUUGACCCUUGUCAGCUUUUCUGCAGAUACGGUGAUAUUAGGAAAUCUUUAAUCAACUAAUGGUAUAUAUAGGUGUGUUUUUAUAGUGAACCCCCCUCAAAUCCUUUCGAAAACAAAGAAACCCACCGACCCCAUGUUACAGAAACAAUAAGAUAAUGAAUCCCUAGCUAUUCACUUGAUUAUCAUCAUCUUUAUAAUAAAAAAUAAUAUAAAUAAUGAUAAAUUUAGAAAAAAGUACUAUAAUAUUUAUUAGAAACUCAAAGUUAAAGUAAAAUUUAAUAAGAAUAUUUAAUGUCAUUAAGUGAUUACUCUCGUAAUGAAUUACAGCGUUCUACUUUUAUUUGCUGGGAUUUGCAAUCCCUACUUGAGUAUCUCUAUACAGAUGACUAUUUAUAAGUGGUUUACGACUAAAUGAAAAAUGAAAAACGUCUGAAAAUUCUGAACUCAGUGAAUUUUAUCUUUAGAUAAUUUAGGUCUGAUUAUUAAUAUUUAUAAUAUUUAUUGUCACUAGAGAUAUUAUCAUUAUUUUCGUAAAAAUGAUCGUUUCUAAGUAAUAUCAAGAAUACGACUAUAUUUACCAGUUAUACCUUAGUUGUUAUAAUUUGUAGUAAAACACGUUGUAUUAUAAGUAAUUAUCUCAAUCACAACAAAAUUUACAUAAAGUAAGGUAUUAAUUACUAGAUAAAGGAUUUUAUUACACAAACAACGUAUUUACUAUAUGUACAUCAGUUUUACUAUUAUUACGACAAUUUGUUGUCAGAUUGGUAAAAUAGUUCUCGACUUGUAAUUAGAAAAAUUACUACAAAUACAAGCUUGAUUACUACUUUUUCAACAGUUUGUCGACUUAUGAAUCGACAUUAAGAAUUUCAUAAAGAACUACUAUGAAAUUGACAUUAAUUACUACUUUCACCUCAAUUUUAGUUAAGGGAAAAUGCCCAUUUAGUACUAAUUGUCACCCUUCAUUGCCCAUUCCAAUGUAAAUCUUUUAUAUAAGCCCAUUUGAAUGAAAAUAAACUUUUUUUGUGCCCAAAUGGUCAAAUCUUUACUAAAGUCUUAACAAACUAUAUUAUUUUAAAACUAUUUUGCCCCUACCUCUUCAACAUGAAAAACUUGGCCGGAACCUCGAACUCCGGUCACCGGCCACCGGAAUCCGGUCACCGAAUUUUCCCACCGGAAUCCGAUCACCGGAAUUUCCUCGCCGGACUCCGGUCACCGGAAUUUCCCCGACCGUAGGACUCUGGUCACCAGAAUUUCCCCGGUAACCAGUUACUGACCCCCAAUAACCAGCUACUGACACCUAGUAAUUAGUUACUGACUAGUUACUGACACCUAGUAACUAGUUACUAACCCCAAAUAACUAGUUACUGACCAGUUACUGACCACCAGUAACUGAGUUACUUUGGUCAUCGGCCGCCGGAACUGAGUUACUGACCCCUAAUAACUGAGUAAUGAUUCCUUAAAAGGCUAUUGACCUUAGGUAACUCAAUUACUAACCCCUAGUUAGUAAUUGAGUUACUAACCCCUAGUUAGUAAUUGAGUUACCGACCCUCAAUAAUCGAUUAGUGACCCCCAGUAAUCGAUUACUACCUUUAUGAAAACUACAAAGUACGCACUUAUUUGUCAUGCUUCCCCACAAGGAUCUAACUCUCUAUGAAUCUAUAUCUCAAGCAGAAGCCCACGUCCACCUUGCAGAUUAGUAGCUCCGGCCAGCAAGCCCAAACACACCAAUAGAACCCCAAAAAAAAAAAAAACCUUAACCAGCGCCGGUAGCACCAGAGCAGGGGACAGCCUUGUCGAUUACAGUGACGGACAUGUCCGACCCGAUUAGAAACUGUCGGGCUGUGGUCAACCCGAUUAUUCCAGCUCCGAUGAUCAAGACAUUGAAUGUUUGGGAUGCGGAUACCGGUUCCGAAACCGAAGAGCGAGCGGGUUCGGAUCGGGUUGCGGAGGCAGAGAAUGAAAUCGGUUUCGAUUUGAAUUUGGAGUUUGAUUGAGAGGCGAAGUGGCGGAAGGAGUGGAAGUAAUUCCGGGAAGAGAAUACGGCGUCGUUUGUGUGAGGGUUUGGGUGUGAGAGAAAGGUGGAAGCUGAAGCCAUUAUUGGGGCUUUGAGGGUUGACUUGCCCAUAUUGAAACUUUGAAUACCAUUUGAACCUGGCGGCAGGUUUGCCUAUUAGACUAGCUGAGAGAAAGAGAGUCGUCAAGGUUGUGUCUGUCGUCGAAGAAAGGAGAGAGAGAGAGAGAGAGAAGGAAANNNNNNNNNNNNNNNNNNNNNNNNNNNNNNNNNNNNNNNNANAGAGAGAGAGGAAAACGAGGAAAACGAGAUCGGGAAUAAGAGGAGGAGAAAGAGAUAAGAUUUGUGUGGUUUAGUUAUACAAGGUAAUAACGUUUUUUUUUAAAAAUUAUUGGAAUGGGCACAAGGAUAAGACUUUAAUUGAAAUAGGCUUUAGUUUUCAAAUAUUUGGAUAUUUGAGCAUUUUCCCUUUAGUUAAACGAUAUAAAAAUGUCGUCACAUAACUUAAAACUUCUUAAAGAACAUGAUUUACGAUUUAUAAAUAUCCUUAUUACGUCAUAAUGGUCUUAACCACAAUUUACUCAUAUUAAUAACAUUUUACUUGUAUAAUAUAUACAUAUAUAUAUAUUUUCUUUUUUUAAAAGAAAAUCAAUUUGCUCUCUCUGCGACUCAUCUUCCCCGAUGAGCAAUGACCAUAAUUAGGAAUGGAACAAGUAGAAUCCAAGUCUAGAAUAGGAAUGAAACGCACCCCACGCACGUAGAAUUGGGAAUUUGGGUCGCUGCUAGAGUUUCAAGACUGGUGGCCGCCAUGGCCAAAUUUCGUGCCAAGCUCCUGUUUAUCAGCCGAUUCCGGCUUGGACUUGGUGGGUGCCUUACCGAUCGGGGGAUUUAGGGAAUCUCAAGUUUCGCUCAAGAUAGAGGCUGGGUUCUCGAACCGAUAUUUCUACAAACCUCUGCGCGAAAAGGAUGAGCCAGUGUACUGGGUUUUUGAGAUUGGUGUACCGGAUAUUCUAGAUGACGUCCUCGAAGUUCUUUACCUCGCAAAUUGGGAGUCACAAUCCACAACUAUUUCCGUCAGGCUGGAGAAGAUUCGAGGUCAGAAUUCUUCCUUUACUCUUCACGAAAUUAACUGGGUUCAGGUACGUUUCUACCUUGAUCUUCUUAAUUAUGACUUCUCUUUUUUAGUUAUUUGUCUCUUUAGAAAUUCAAUAGCAUACUCUACUGUGCGUUGGGUUUUCUGGAGUGUGUUUGAUAGGUGGCACUGUCAUACGUCUCCACUCUUGGAAAAUUCGUAUCUUAUUAUCUUGUGUGAGUUUGAGUUUAAAAAUUGGGUGGUUAUUAGAUGUGAAAUCACAACUGUUGAGGACAAGACCAAAACAAUGAUGCAUCUGUUAGUUGAUUCAUAUGUACUUUACUGUUGGAACCAAAUUGGAGGUCGGCAGUGCCUCCUCAUUGGACUUCCUUUUGAUUCUAAACAAGUUUGAUGUGUUUGAGGAUUGAUGUGUUUGAGGAGAAGGAGAACGGGUACCACUUACUCAGUGUGACUGGUUUGAUGAUUUUCAUCCAGUGAUUAGCCGUCAUCUGUCCAACGGGAACAACAGCAGCAACAACAUUAAUAGUAGCCCCUCAUUGGGUCAUCUUGCAGCUUACUACAUUGGAGUAAAGUUCAAGAGGCUAUAUUCUUCCCUAACUGGAAAGAAACUGUACGUUUCUCUGGUAAAAGGAUUGCAGCCUAAUAGUGUAGAUGCAGCUCUUAAAUAUUCAAGGGAGAUUUUAAAAUGGGAUGAAGAGAGAGGCAACUUCAGCUUUGUUUAUUCUGCCUACAGCACUGAGGCAAGCUCGUAUUCACAUUAACGUCAAAUUGAGAACGCUUGUAAAUCAGUUUGUAUUGUCGUGGGAGACUAAGCAAAUCCACUGUAAAUGUAAUGGUAUAUGUGUAUAUGAACAAUAGAAAGAUUGUUCCUUUCACCAGACCAGUCCUUGCUGGUUCAAGAUAUGAAAGAUCAAUAGAUCAUUAUUUUACACAACUAAGCAUGUGAAGCAACUACAAUUACUAUAAUCUAAGCAAAACCUAACUCUCUUCAUUCUCUUUUUUUCUUGUUCUUUGAGCCACGAGGUCGACCACAACCCCUUUUGGCAUGUACUUGGGUCUUGGCAUGUACUUGGGUUGUAUGCAAGACUUUAUCAUUAUCGCUUUGUGCUAUGUCUUCUUGUUUUCUCUUCCUUUUCUUGGCUGGUUUCGUGGUCUUGUCUUCUUCUUCUUCUUCUCAUCCUCUGCCUUGGAUGCAUUCUCAAAAUCUUCCAUGAAUUUUAUAGUAUAAAUGCCGCAAUCAAACCAACCUGAACAAAGUGACUUUCCCUGGUGUGAUUGUAUUCAGUCUCUUGGAGUUCUUUCUAACACCAAAACCCAUGACCUUUGCGUAAGCGUAGUAAAAAGACUCGGCAUCCUCCAUAGUCUUAAACUUCUGCCCUUUAAUGUCUUCUGUAGACAACUUAUCAUAUUGAACUCCCUUGUAUUCCAUCUCAUUACCAUCACUUUGUUUAAAAGCUGAAGGUUUGCGCAGUCCAUCCAUGCCUGUAAAAGAAAAUGAAAACAAAAAUAUAUUAAGCCCCUUUAAAGCUUAAUAAGACACUAGCACAGAUUAAGCAUUGAGAAAACUCUCGUACUAAAAGCUGCAUAAAUGAACGGGCUUCUUCAUUGAUCUGUUUCUAACAACUGGGUGGGGUAGGAGGAAAGAAAGGCAACAAUUAGAGUGCCAACUCAAUAUGUUAUGUCUCCCUAAAUAUUCAGCAAACAAGAUUUGUACUUCUUUCAUUGCUCAGAUAAAAAUAAACAAAUAACUAUACGGAGCAUGGGAUUCUAUUUGGCAAGACAAGCCCAAACACAAGUCUGAGAUUUUAUUUUGUAUGUAUCAUGAAAGGAAUAAGGAAAAUAUCUAAUAGGUAAUGGCAACUAAUAUCCACUACCCAGAUUCUAACAAGGCAUACAGUAAAUAGACCCUCACUCUGCACUAAAAUUGGACUGUGUGGACGGAAUCCUAAUUUUCAAACAGGCAGCUAAUAUUCAUUUCAUUUCAUUCCUUAUCUUCCAAAUCCAACUAAAGUAAAAGGAGACGUAUACAAGUAUACACUCACCAUAAAAUAAAGAAACUGAAACAGAGAUGGAUAUUGGCAGCGUUGAAAAAUACCAAGAAAAUAAUGAAUCAGCACCAGUAAAUCGCAGUAAAUUAGAGGACAAAGAAAAGAAAUGAUACCACAAAUGAAUACAGAAUAUUGAUCAUACAGACAAUCUACUUGAGAUCGGAUUUUCUACAGCAAAGAAGUUGUAAAUGCGUCAAAAAAUGAAUAAUAAGUUCUCAGAGUGACAAGCCAAUUGAACUUUAACAAGCUACCUCCCUUCUAAAUGGGCAUCCUCAACAGAAAACAGUCACAGAUCAACACUUGCACCACAAUCUUAAUAUGCAAACAACAGACAAUUCAACCCAAAUAUUCACCUUAAUGUUGGCCCCUGAGUCGAUUACAUACAGAAAUUCUCGUAGAACAUUGUACCAUUUAGUCUUUCAGUCAUGAGUGUAAUGACAAAGCUAACAGUUUUGAGUGUUUUGAUUGCUUCCAGAAACUUGUCCUUGUAACUUUAUCAAAGCCAUUGUUCCUCCCUAUUAUUCUAAUCUCAAUCUCAAUAUAAAUCAGUUUCUCCAAACAAGCUUGAAGAGCUGGAGCACCCAUGUUAUGAAAAAUCUCAUUCAAUGAUGCAGGCCACAGAUAUAUACAUGAUGAUGAUUCAUAAAACAAAUGUGAAGCCAUUGGUGGCAUUUGAUAAAGUCAUAUACAUCACUAACUGAAGCAUUUGAUCGAACAGGUGGUGGGCAUCAAAUUUUAAGCAUUUUGAUCAACAUAUUAUCAAUAACACACCGAGUAACACACCAAGACCAGUGGAAUCAGUACAAGUAACACACCAAAUUAUCAAUUAAAUACCCACAGCAUGAUCUAGCAGCUUUCUGAUAGCAAAAACCCAUACCCAAUUAUCAUCGAACUAAACAUCAAACUGAUUCUAAACAAAAACCCAAACACCCAACAACUAAUUCAUACCUUAAACUCUUCAAAUUGAGGAGAAUCUUCUGAGGUGGAGAACUAGAGAUGAAUGGAUAAAUGGAUGAAAGAGGUGAAAGCUGCUUGGAGUACCCUCCCAAAAGGAAAAAGAUGUGUCUGUCAGGUUUGGUUCUUCAUAGUUGGGUUGGGCGGGUUCGACCAGAAAUGCUAUGCUUACACACAAGACUACCCCUCUUCCCGAAAGCUUCGUGAGGACUACUUUACGACGACGGACGACUAACCCAAAUCGUAGUGGGUUUACUGCACAAGGCCCUGCAGAGGAAAAGCUUUAUCUCAGCGAAUAGAAGAUGCUCUCCUCUUCUCUUCACCCUAGGUUUUAAUAGGUGCAAAUCGAUCUGUUUAAUGAGUUAGGUUUUUUAAAUUCUGUUUUUAUUUUUUAUUAUAUUUUAUAUAUAUAAAUUAUAAAAUUAUAUGCUACCCGGUAAACAAGUUACCCUAGAAUUUCCCUUAACAAAUAGCAAGUGUUUUUCGUUAUGCGGUUCCUGAUGUAAUAUGCAAAUAAUCGUAUCAAUAAAAUGAAAGAAGAGUAUGAAGAUUGAAAUCUUUCUACCAUUUUGGUAACCUUAGAAUUAGAAAAGACCAUGCCAAGCAGACAUAUAGAAUUUUCCCUAACAAAUAGCAAGUGUUUUUCGUUAUGCGGUUCCUGAUGUAAUAUGCAAAUAAUCGUAUCAAUAAAAUGAAAGAAGAGUAUGAAGAUUGAAAUCUUUCUACCAUUUUGGUAACCUUAGAAUUAGAAAAGACCAUGCCAAGCAGACAUAUAGAUCAUGAAUGGACUCAUAUGAUUUCGUAAAAUGCAUGUAUAGUAUGUUCUCUGCGGUAUUCAUUUCAAUCUACAAGUGUAUUUCUCAGGUAGUAUUAUUAUAGUUUGAUCCUGAAUUUCUGUAAAAGCGAGACACUUAAUUGUGCAAAAUAACACAUUAUAAAAGAGUACUUAUAUUAUAUUCUACUUUUGAAAAGUUAAGAAAACAGAUUUUAGUGGGUCUUCACUUAAUUGUGUCGGUCUUUCUUUUCAAUCCAUCAAACUACAAUGACCAUUUUGUUUUUUGCAUGAAUAAUACAUAGCCCGCUGCUUGAAAAUGGUUUUGUUUUUUUUUUUUUUUUUUGUAAGCAGUUGUUUGUUAGUUGCUGAUGCACAAAAAGACUAGAAAAGUAUUAUGGUUACUGGCUCUAGAGCAAUUGAAGUCACUGGUCAUGUACCUGCAAUGAAUAGAAAUAUUCUGUACUGAUUCAAAUGUUUUAGCUGUUCUUUUGCCUCUUGCAGCAAUUGAGCAUAUGAUGUUUUAGAUUGUUAAGAAUUGAAAUCUAUGACAUGUAAUUUACAAAACCCCUAUGAGAUUUGUUAUUUUCAUGCAAGGAUCGAAAAUGAAUAUAUGUAUGUUUAGGCUACAUUUCAUCUUAGCUAUCCAAGCAUUAUGAUGAGAAAAUUAUUAUAUGGUCCAUAUAUCUUUCCUUUGUUGAUAAUAACACAUUUGUCAUUAUGAAAUAGCCACUGUUACAAAUUCUAGGAUAAUGAUCCAUGCUUGAGAAGAAAAGUUGGUCCUUUCCAUAGUAGUAGCUAGAACAGAAAUAAGAGGAUCCUUUCACUGGGAACGCUAGGACUACUAGAAUUAACCAAAAUCCACAGAACAACAUCUACUAAAGGGUGUCCAAAGUACACAAUAGCCAUCCAUAUGAUCCACUAUGUAGCCACCCAUGUCAUGACAGUGACAAUUUUUUCUGGUUUCCCUUUCAGCAUAGAGCACUAAGGCUGAAAUGGUGCCUGGGUUUCCAACUUAAAGGUUGCUAGUCAUGUCAGGUGCUAGCGCCACUUUUAGAAAUUACUCUAUAGCUGUACACGGAAUCAAAUUUGCUGGUUGGCAAAUUUGAUUCCAUUGUAUACAAGCUCUUGGGGAACUUCACCACAAGAUAUGUCUAUAUUUUGAAGUUGCGUCUUUUCAGUAUCUAUUUAUCAAAUAUGUAACAUUAUGAAAAAUCACACAUUAUAUGUAUAUCAUCUCUCUCUGUAUAUAUAUUUCUCUAAUUUGAAUUGCAUGAACAAUGUAAUCCUAUCUUUUUUUUGUUUUCUGUAUUUUUACCCUGUUAGAACAUAUCGUUUCUUGCAGCCUAAAAUCCUGCUUAUGAAACAAAUUUUUAUAGUAAUGAGAAAUUUAUCUUCCACGGAAGUGUAGACUACAAAUAUCAUCUUAUCCAAAUUUUAAGAAUAAGAAUGUGAAUCUUAGCAAAAAUUAUUGAAAUGAAAAAGGUACAAAUGAAGUUAACCUUGUAUACUGAAUUAACUUAUUGUCGGCUCCUCGGCUCCUUUUUUUUUCUUUUCUUUAUUCAACUCUGUUUUUGCAUAGAGAGCUUCUAUUUAUACCUCCAAAAACACCAUUUAGACCUCUUGCUAAAUGGACCUCCAAUUUACUUUUAAAAAAAUUAAAAUGAUAUCUACACCUCAAUUUUCCCAAAACGACCAAAAUUUGGGAUUCUUCUCCCCGAACCAUGUCUUUUCCCCUCCACCAAACUCAGUGUUAGGGUUUCACAAAAUUUCUUUUUCCUUUCGGUCCGACUGCGAUUCCGUCGACAUUGCCGCCAGACGGGAGCUUGAGGGUGUCCAGUCGGUGGUCAUGCCCCUGACGGCUGGUGGUGGUGGAGCGAAGGAGAUUGUUUACUGAUAGGGUGAAUUAAGAUGCUGUUGCUGUCUGUUGUUUGUCUGAGAGGUUGGUCUGGCAAGGGUUGGCGGAGGACAUGCGUCGUCGUUCGAGCGUGUAGGCGGUGAGGCGGAUGGGUUGGUGGUGCCAUUUUGAAAGGUAGAUCGAGAUUUUGCUCGACCUAGAUCGACUUUGAUCUGAGUUAUCUUUCUCGGCAUCUGUCUGCUUGAAGGUUAUGAAUGGUUGUGCCUCCUCUGUGUGUGACGAUUGCGGCGGAGCCCUCUAGAUGGCGCGCGACUCAGUUAGCUGGUCGGCUGAUCGGUGGACAGUCGCAGGGAGGCUGCUUUUGGGUCGGGACAUGACGUGGAUGGUUUUUGAGUUCCAAUGAAUGGGGUUGGGUUUGCACACUAUGAGCCCAGUUUGGGUCAGUUUAGUUUUUUUUGUUUUGUUUUUGUUUUGGUGUUGUUUGCCGUUCCUCUUUUUGGGCAAAGGUACGGUGUUGGUUUUGGUUGGUGUUGUUGGUGGUUUUGGUAGGUCCAUGUUACUAUCGGUGUUAACGACGGUGUUUUCUUGUUGUCAAUGUAAUAGGGAGGUUGCUUAUAUGUUGUCGGCAUUGGUAUAUAGUGUUUGGUGAGGUUGUUUAUUCUUGAGGUUGAGAGUAGGAGUAUGUUACAUUUGGACCCUCUUCGGUUCAUUGUAACCGCUGGUAUGUGGGUAAGACGAAGUGUGAAGAUUUGUUUUCCACCACCGAAAUCUCUCAUGGUUGUAAAGGUUUUUCUCCAAAAAAAAAAAUCAAUAAAACCCUUUUUCUUUUAAAAGAUUUUGGGUAUCUGUCAACCAUAUAUUGUUUUCAAAAUCCAUCCAAUUAGUUCAAACAUACUAUUAGUUAUAUUGAGCCAAACUUGUUUGUUCAGGCACAAUAACAAUUAACAAAUAAAUAACUCUCCAAGUUCCUCAAGCUCAUCUUACAACAAAUGCGUCUAAACGAAAUUUAAAAAGAAACUGACAGAGAAGAAAAGCUAAUAAACAAAAAAAAAGAAUAUAGGGUUUACAUUUGGAGAAGAAAAUAAAGAAACAAACCUAUUAAAGAAAUGAUAAAUGGUCCAAAUAAUGUCUCAUAUUUUAGAAAUGUAAAUGUUUGAUAUCAGUAUCUUACUUUCUUAUCCUGACUCAAGUUUGGUAUCCGGAACCAUUUGGUUUGUUAAAAAAUUAAUACUUUUGUCUUUUCAUUAAACUUUUUUUUUCCUACCCUAUCUCCAUCUCUUUCUCUCUCUUCAACUCAUGAUGAAACACUCUGUUCCAAUUUGUCUUCGGUCUUUGCUCCUCAAUAUCUUGGUCUCAAAAUCCAUGUCAGUAAAUUAUAUAAUGCUCAAAACCAUAUACAGAUCUUGGGCUGUUCAUCUGGGUUGGUUAAGCCCCAAAGUCCCAAACUGCUAGAACCACUUGUUGUAGGCUCUCCUUCAUUUCUUCCCUCUCCACCAAACCAUUUUCAUAUUCUUUUGCUCCUUUCGAGAGCACUUGAUGAAAUACCAUUUGAUUCUCUGUCAUUCUCAUGAAUGGUAGUUACUUUAACAUUGUAUAUUGAAGAUGUGAAGGCUAAGAAACCUAGGUUAUCCAGAAUAUGUUGUAUAAGCAUUUAAUAUUUGUUCUCUUAUUGAAUUCUGCAUAGCGCCAAGUGAAUCAGCGACAGUUGAUGUGCAUAAUUUGAGCAGUUGAAAAGGAUGGUUCUACCUGUUUUCUAGCUGCGUGACAAAUCGAUUUCUCAUGUAGAGAACCAAAUUGUAAUAACAUGAACUAUUCAAAGAUCAAGAGGCCCUUCCAUCCUAGAAUCCGUAGUCCACACUCUUCCCCUUGCAGCACUCAUCACCAAUCCGAUUGUCAUACUGAAUUUCACCACCGCCAUAUAUAUAUAAACGUUAUGAAGCGGACGUCCGUACUGCACUUAAAGUACGGACGUCCCUCCGUUCUCCACCAGACGGCUCCGACAACGACGCACCUCCACCUGAGCGGACACCAGAGGCAUCCCUGAUCACUUUCUCUUGCCGGCGAGUCCGCCGAAUACCAGUUUGCAGCCAAGAUUAAUCUUGUCUGAAGUUUUGGGUCGAGGUUGCUGUCCAGACCUUCAAAUCGAUCUUGUCGGCAAGUGAAAGUGAUCGGGGAUGCCUCUGGUGUCUGCUCGGGUGGAGGCGCGCCGUCGUCGGAGCCAUCCGGUGGAGAACGAAGGGAUGUCCGCACUUUAAGCCCAGUGCGGACGUCAGCUUCAGAACGAGCCUAUAUAUAUACAACCUCGACCAGGGGGCGCACGUCCUUGAAAUAACUAAAGUGCGAACGAACUGAUCUGAGCCGUCGAUCACUUUAAAUGAAAAGCAACGGUGUACGAUUAGUUUCUCUAAAACCCAAAGCGGGUCAAGACAUGACCCGACUCUUCACGUACUCUUCAGUUUCUCUCUCUCCUUCUCUCAACAAUCUGGGCUCAAACUUCUAAUUUCUCCUCCCAAUAUCCAUGCAAUCCAAUCUAUGUCUUCUCUCCAUUGAUGAUUAAACUCGUAUUAGCUAGGUUGCACGAGUCGCCAUUGAAGCUUUCGUUUUCUUUCUUUCUGUUUCAAUAUUGCAGUUCUGUGGUACAUAUAGCUAGCCCUUGGGGAUUUCACGCCAAAAGUUGGAGAUUUGGAACCAUAUAAACUCACAUAGAUCGGUAUGGAUUCUGGAUUUCUUUUUAUAUGUGUGAUUUUCAAUCACAAAAUUUAGGGUUUUACCAUAUUUGGGAUUUUUCUUUGAGGAAAUUUUUCAAAUGGUGCCCCAAGUUAAGCUCAUUCAUCAUUUUGACAUCUCAAUUUUGAAAACUAUGAUAAUGGUACCUCAACAUUUAAACCCGAUCUAACAUUAGUUCACUUCGUGAUUAACACCGUUAAGUUGAACUUUAUCCAUGGGCAAAAUUGUCUUUUCAUAUUUUCCCUCCCCAAAUCUUUUCCCUCCACAAACAUUUCUCUCCAGAAUAAUGUCUUUUUUCCGAUCAGUAUCAGAAUUUGUGGUGAGCCAUAUGUCAGCUGCAUACAAAAAUUAGAGACAUUUAGAAAUUAUAAUACACCAUUGGUCAUUAAUAUCCAUCAUUAAAAGCAGCUUUUGCAACCCACCAGGGAGAGAAAAAAUCAACAUUGAUUAAAGUGCAUUUUGUAUCAAGGACAAAAGUUCAUGAACUAUGUUGCACGGACACGGACAUAGAGCUCUUAUCUAUUACAAUACUAUUUAAUCCCAUAUAACAAACAUGCUCUAAGGGUAGUGCAACAGGUUCUCUCUCUAAAUUUGGGGAGGAACUGGGGAUAGCUCAAAUCCAGAGGCUACUGUUAGGUUACUUGUGAGGAGUUCUUGUAAGCAUACCGAGUCUGCUUCUAGAUUUUAGGCUUUGUAGUCAGCUGAAUGUGGUGUAAAGUUGAGCUGUCAACUUGCAAAAAUUUGCAACUGUUGAUAUAUAUAUAUAUACACACACACACACAUGGAUUGAAUAUGUUGAUAUGAUUAACAAGGACGCAUCUUCAAUGCUCUUUCAGAUUAUGACACAGUAUAAUGACUGAAUGUGUUCAACGCCAUCAUUGACAUAAACUCUGGUCGAAUUUCAUCAGGAUUUUACCAUAGUAAAACACCACAACCUCAAACCCUCUCCGAGGAAAAAAGGUAGAAAGUCAAAUAUGACAUAAACAACAGUUGCAUAUAUGAACAUAGGACAUACAAGCACAGUAAGAUACAUGAUUUUAGUUCAAGCAGUGAUAGCUGCUAAACAGCUUAUACUGGCUGAUAUCGUCCCUGAGCUUGCAGUACUUGAAGCUCAAUGGUUCCCAAUAGACUUCUUACAACUACAAUGUAUGCCAUUCUUUGAACUACCUUACUUUCCACACUAUCAAAGCUCCAAAAGAUUACUCGGUCACACCAAGUACCAAAAAAGCAUAAGAAAUGACUUCAAGAUCUGUUAAAAGCACGACCAUACUGCACAAAACUACUUAAAGUACAUUUACAAUCUAAUUCAACUAGCUAUGGCUGCUGUUAAUCAUGCAUUACCUGAUAUCUUCUUCAGCUUGUAGUACUUAGAGUUGGAGUAGCCAUCUGCAUUGUUCCCAAUUUCCUCCUAAAACUACCGGUUCUCUUCCUAGAAUAUACAAGGUUACAACUACUUGGAGUUGGAGUAGCCAUCUGCAUUGUUCCCAAUUUCCUCCUAAAACUACCGGUUCUCUUCCUAGAAUAUACCAGGUUACAGCUGAGCCGGUUCUUAUCUUCCAAAGGCAGAAUACACUUGGGUAAAUCAGAAAAAGGGACUACCGCGUUGGAUUUGGGAUCCAACCAGGCAAUAGGAGUAGCAUUAGAAACAAAUUCAGCAGAAUCCAAAUCUACCUGAGUCUCUUGACUCUCCUCUGCCUCUGGUGGCAUACAUCUUGGCCAAUCCAAAUCUCUGAUCAGUGCAUCUACAGUGAUGUUUCUGUUAUCAUCAAUUACCUGAGUCUCUUGACUCUCCUCUGCCUCUGGUGGCAUACAUCUUGCCCAAUCCAAAUCUCUGAUCAGUGCAUCUACAGUGAUGUUUCUGUUAUCAUCAAUUACCUUCACCACCAGCUCUUCCCACACAUCUCUAAUCGGACACGUCCACUCCUUGAUAUUCUCCUCAAACCCCUCUGUGACCCGCACGUCAUACCAAAUCUGUUUCAGGGACACACCAGCAAUGAAACAUUCUUGCUUGUAUUUCUCUAUCAGCUCAAGAAACACCCACACCCCACGCUGCUGCCAACUGUCUGUAGCCUCAUCCCAGUCCUGCGUAAUUCGCAGCUUAUCAAUUCCAGUCUUGAGCUCAUCCCCCAAAUCCGGAAAGAAGAUCAUCCUCUCCUCUGCAAUCACAAUGCACAUCAAUCUCAAGACCUAUACCCAACAAAACAUCGAUUUUAAAGAAACAUAUACAUACUAAAUUCAUGUUUCACAAUACAUUAUUCCACUAAUCAAUAGUCAUUCUAUAAAUCAAGGUACAUGCAUGUAAACGAACAAUCAAAGACAAUGUUGAAAACAAAACCUGAACCAUCAUUAUGAUCGAAGAUGACACCUUCGCACCAAGCUUCAUCAAGAAAAUAAUCAACACAGAGACCAUACUCAAGUUUAGAUUUUGAUAACUCAAGCUUGGGCGGAAAAGGCCUUAUACUCCCCCGAUAGCAACUCCGGUCCACAUUGCCGGAAUCAAGGCCAUCCAGAAUGGGUGAAACGGGAACGACAUCAACAACACUAGUGCCAUCAUCGUUCUGAAAAUUAUGGUACUUGACGUGACGACGUCGUUUGCAGUCGAUGGAAAUCACAGUCCCCGGGUGCCAGGAACCCUGAAACCCUUCUUCUUCACUCCUCAUUUCGACUUUGGCAUUACUGACAAGCUUUCUUUGGGUACGCUGCUUCCUCUUCCUAGAUUCCAACGCCGCCAUUGAAAUUGAGAGCCACGGUUUAAAGUGGGGAAGUGGAAUUUAAUCCAAAAUGAGUAACUGGGACAGUGUCGCUACUCGCUAGGGUUUGAGCUUUGGGGGUUUUGAUUUGGAAGAACCAGAGGAAGAGAUGGAUAAGGGUGCGGUGGUCCUUUUCUUUUUUGGGGUUACACUCGACCUAAAAGCCAUGUUAUAAAAGGCGCCGGGCGCUAGGCGGGCGGUAACCCACGGCCUAGAGUCUGGACAGCCUAGGCGAGGAUUAGGCGGGGACUAGGCGAUUUGUAUUUUUUUAGAUUUAUUAAUUAAAAAUAUAUAUUUUAUACAAUUUAAUAUUUGAAAACGGUCAAAUAUAGAUAAAUUAUUCAACAUAAUCUAGUCAUACUCGUUUAUAAAAUAAAUUAUAACUAAAAUUUAGCAUAACUUCCCGUAAAAGUGAGCAACAACAACAAUAAACAUAUACACUUCUAAUUUUAAACACACAAUUAACUCUUAUACUCUCAUACUCCCCACAAUAUAACAAUCCCAUCACAAAAAGAAAACAAAAUUAGCCGAAGAGCUUAGCAGCCUAGGCGGGCAAGGCGGCGUCUAGGCGGGCUAGGCGGCAUUUAGGCGAGCUAGGCGGCCGCCUAAUAGCCCACAGCCUGGCACAAAGGCCUAGAAGAAAAGCGAGGCGGCUUGUUGCAGCCUAAAACCUAAGCGGGGACUAGGCGGUCCUAGGCGGGGCCUUUUAGAAGCUUGCCUAAAAGGCAAUACAAAAUAAACAAAAUUUUUCUGUACUGUACCAACUCACAAUUUAUUACGCACACGGAGGUUUUGUUUUUUUAACACACAGAUGUCUAGUUACACCCCUGUGCUGAAAUUUUUAUACACGAUAUUUUCAUCUUUACCCAUAUUAUUUUGGCCCAAUUACAUAGAAGUCCAGUUUGAGACAUUUUCUUCCAAAUAGGUCCACUCAAAUAUUUUUAUCCACAUAAGUCCACCCAAGCUUAAGUAGAGUCUUAUAUUAGGUAUUGAAGUUCAACAAAAUUACAGACUGCCAUCCAACAAAAAAAAUUAGAUUUUCUCUCUUAUAUUUACAAAAAUGCCACUAAUGUAAAAAGUCAACAACCUCAAAUGGUCUCCGGCUGACCUCCGGCGAGGUCUCCGGCAAACUUUUCGGCUUGACUCCAACGAAUUUUCGACCGACCAUAAGUGAGGAUUCUAAUGACCACAAAAAUUACUACCAUUGACAACAAAAUAUACUAUCGCCGGCAAAGAAAAGUACUACCACUAACAACAAAAGAUACUACCGAUAACAAAAAAAGUUACUGCCACCAAUAAAGAUACUACCGAUAACAAAAAAAUAUACUGCCACCAAUAAAGAAAACUACUACCACCAAUAAAGAAAGCUACUACCGAUAGCAACAAAAACUACUAUUACCAGCAAAGAAAGCUACUACCAGUUACAACAAAAGAUAUUACCGCCAGCAACAAAAGAUACUACCGCCGAUAAAGAAAGUUACUACCACUGACAACAAAAGAUACUACCGAUAGCAAAAAAAGCUACUGCCACAAGCAAAAAAAGCUACUACCGAUAGCAAAAACUACUAUCACCAGCAAAGAAAGCUACUACCACUUACAACAAAAGAUACUACCGCCAGCAACAAGAGUUACUACCGCCAGUAAAGAAAUCUACUUUCACUGACAACGAAAAAUACUACUGUCAGCAAAAAAAGAUACUACUGCCAACAACCAAAGCUACUACCGCCACCAACCAAAGCUACUACCGCCACCAACCAAAGAUACUACCGCCAUCAACAAAAACUAUUACCACCAACAAUAAAAUCUACUCAUAUGAGAUUGAGAAAGAUACUAACAUAGACAUAGAAAGAUACUAUCCAAUGUAAAAAAGAUACUACCAUUAUUUCUAAAAGAUAUUUUUCGUUAUUACAAUAAUUGUUCUUCACAAAAGAUACCGCAACAAUUAUAGAUUACUACUACAAUACUUGACGCGGCUCACCUUCACUCUCUGCAACAAUUAUUUACAAAGCUACUUAUAUGGUUGUGAAAAGCUACUACUAUAGUUUGGGAAUCCUACUACAAUAGUUGUUUAAAACUAAUGUCAAUUUUAAACCCAUUCAAACCGCUCUCACAAUAUUAUCCAAUGAAUGCUUCAUAUCAAUAAAGAACAUAAAAAUCUCAUCAAUAUACAUGCACCUCGCAUAUGGUUGUGUGUCCAUGGGUAGGUCACUGCAAAUUCAUAAUAAAGGAAAAACAAUAAGCUUCUAAUAUCAAUCAUAACCGAAUGACAAUAUCUAUUGCAAUCAUAAUAAGGUGCACAGAGUGAGAAAGCUACUAACACAAAUUGGAACAAACACCAGUAUGUAUAGAUACUACCUUAGGCACAUAAAGAUACUAUCAUAGUAGUAGAAAAAUACGACAACAAUUAUAGAAAGCUACUAUUGUGAUACGAAAAGUUAAUGUAGCCUUCUAAAAUGAUAUAAUUGUACAAAACUACUUCUGUCGUUAUAAAAAACUACUACCGUAGUUACAGAAAUCUACUAUAGCAGUAAUAUAAAGCUACUCUUUUUGAACUCUCACAAGCUUCACCUCCACUUGAUUUCCUGCAAUUCGAAUCAAAAUCACAAUCCGUCAACACAUGCGAAUCACACACAUAUCUCGCGUUUGGAUUUACAGAAUCGUAGAGAGAAACAAAAAUUGAAAGAAAGAACUGCGUUACCUUUGUGAGAUCUGAAGAAUUAGAAGCAGAUUGAGAUUGAUUUGACUCCGACGAUCUUGACGUCGAGAGGUCGCAACUCCAGACAGCAAGGAUGAUUAUCUGCGCGCCACCACGUAAUCAAACAGUGUGGUCCUUCAACACCUUUGUCAAAGUUCUGCACAUCACCGACGAAUCACCUUUGUCGUCACAGUCUCAAACUCAUACGAGAAGGUGCGGAGAAGAAGACGACGAGGCUGAUUGGAGAAGGUGCGGCCGGCGAGGACAAGGGGCUGAUCGGAGGAUCGGAAGAGGUAGAGGAAAGUCCACGCGCAUCCGGCAGAUCUACUAAGGCGCAUAAAUCUCUGCUUCAGUAGAGGAGGCGUGUGAGCGCGUCCGGCGAACAUGAGAUUCCAACGGCGGCAGGUGUCGAGCAGGAGGCGGACGACAUCGUCAGAGUUGGUUGGACCUUGUAGAUCCGGCUGCGCGUUGAGGAGAUGCAAUCAAGGCUAAACCGGAAGUCGCGUCGAGACGGCGGCGCCUUCAUCAUGGCGGCGUCGGAAUCGAAGCGGAAGAACGGGGAGAGAGAGAGAGAGAGUACUUUUUAAUUUUUUUUUUUUAAAAAGAGAGACUUAUUUUUUAGAAGGGAGAGGAUCAAACUUGGUGUAAAAGAGAGAAGGAUAUUUUGGGUACAUCAUAAAAGUAAAGUGACAGAUUUAGCCUUAAAAGUGGACUUGUAUGGGUAAAAAUGUUAAGAUGGACUCACGUGGACUUUUUAUACACGAUAUUUUCAUCUUUACCCAUAUUACUUUUCUGAAUACACCUCCACUAUGCCAAACAAUAACAUCUCUCUCUCUCAUCUGAACCCAAGCCUACAUUGCACGGAAACACGAAAACAUACGCGUUUCCCGUUUCUGAAACGUUUCGGAAACGAAACACACGGAAACACGACAGAAACGCGUUUCUCCUUCUUUGGAAACUCGGUGGAGUAAUUCUCCUGGAAACGUGGGGAAAACUUGAUAUUUUACCCUAACAAAAGGGAUUAGGUCGUGUUCGCUGCUCUGUCUCGUCUUCGUGUUCGUCUGCUCCGUCUCCUCUUCGUGUUCGCUGCUCCGUCUCGUCUUCGUGUUCGUUUGCUCUUCGUCUUCAUCUUGUCUUCAUAUCCUCUUCGUGUUGGACUGCAAAAUUGAAUCAAUCAUGUUGUAGCAGAGCCUUCUUCAGCAUCUCGAAGGCUUCGCUCACCUCUUCCUCCACUGCAGAGCCUUCUUCAGCAUCAAUUUUGGGUUUCGCCUCUACCUUCUCUCCUUCCUCCACUGUAGUGCCUUUUUAAGACCGAAUUUUGACAAGUUUCACUUAUGUCAUGCUUCUAUUAAUUGGUAUUGAUAGUUCUCUUUGCGAUUCAGUAAGUUUUUUCUUAGAAUGGUUAUGGAUUGUUGUCUUGUUGAUGCCUUAUAGAAUGGUUAUGGUUUGUUAGGUUGUAAGAGUUGCUAAUUACUAUGCAUUGUUGAUGCCUUAUAGAUGUGGAACAGUUGAAGUUCUUAGGAGCUAGUUGAUUGGUAUGGACAGUUGAUGCCUUUUCUGGAAGUCACUUAGCUGUUCAAUUAUUAGCUAGAAUCUAUCUAUUUCUUAUUAAAAGCUGGAACAAUAGGGAGGGAGGAAGAGAUGAGAGGAAUUGAUAAGCAUGUUGUCUCUGUCCUGUUUGCUGCUGCUGUUUGAUUACCUUGUUGGUGUGCAUACCCUGUUUGCUGCUGCUAUUUGAUUACCUUGUUGAUUUAGGAACACUAUGCUAAGAGGGACACCUCCUGUUAGGGCAAGUGCAAGUGCAAGUGCAAGUGCAAGUGCAAGUGCUAAUGCAAGUGUUAAUGCCGGUACUAGCAAUGAUUCCAAUGAAGCGGUUGGUCCCGAAAUUGAGAUGAUAGAUGGUAGAGCACCAUUGUGGAAAUAUGUUAAGAAGAUUGAAAAGUGCGGGACUUGUGGAGGAAGUUGCAGGUGGUAGUGUAACUUCUGUCAGUUGUAUUAUAAUGGGUCUCACACUAGAGUGCGACAAUAUCUAUUGAAGGAAGGAGGAGUGGGGGUUAUCGUUUGUAAAAAAGUUAACCCCCAUGUAUUUGCUCAGAUUACUAAAUUGGUGAAGGAUUGCAAGGAGAGAAUAGCAAAUAGAGAAGCAAGACAAGUUCCUUUGCCAUCAUCAACAAAAGGGAGUUCAGCAGCUCGUGGCAGCUCUUCUUUUGUGAGUUAUGGUGACUACACAAGAGCACCAACAACAGCAGCUGAAGGGAAGAAAAGAAGGGCAGUAGGUGGUGCUAUUGAAAAGUCAUUCCAAAACGAAUCAAGGGAAGAAUGUAAUGGUGAGAUUGCUAGGAUGUUUUACACCAGUGGUUUAUCCUUCAAUCUAGCAAGAAAUCCACACUAUCGGAACUCUUAUUUUAGAGUUUCUACUCUUUCGGGCUAUGUUCCACCGGGUUAUAAUGCUAUAAGAACAACACUCCUUGCUAAUGAAAGGAAGAAUCUUGAGAAUCAAUUGAUGCCAUUGAAGUUUGCAUGGAGAGAUAAGGGUGUGAGCAUUUGUAGUGAUGGUUGGUCCGAUGCACAAAGAAGACCCUUGAUUAAUGUGAUAGCUGUUUGUGAGAGUGGUCCAAUGAUGUUGAAAGCUGUAAAUUGUGAAGGAGAAUACAAGGAUCAUCAAUUGAUUGCCAACUUGUUUAUUGAUUCUAUUAAGCAAGUUAGUUAUGAAAAUGUAGUGCAAGUAGUGACCGACAAUGCUCAUGUUUGUUCAAAGGUCGGUGCUUUGAUAGCAAGUAAGUAUCCUACUAUCUUUUAGACUCCAUGUGUUGUUCAUACUUUGAAUCUUGCUCUUAAGAAUAUUUGCACACCUUCUCAACCUUUAAACAAUGUGGAUGUGUAUGUUGAAUGUUGUUGGAUACAACCGGUUGUGGAGGAUGUUAUGUUUAUUAAGAAUUUCAUUAUGAAUCAUGGAAUGAGAUUAGUUAUGUUUAGUGAUCAUUGUAAUUUGAAGUUGCUUUCGGUUGCUCUCACAAAGUUUGCAUCUACAUUUAUUAUGCUCAAGAGGUUUAAGACGAUCAAAAAUGGUUUGCAACAAAUGGUGAUUAGUACAAAGUGGGAUGAUUAUAGAGAAAAUGAUUAUAGGAAGGCGGGUAGGGUGAAAGAAAUGUUGUUGGAUGACUUAAUGUGGGAUAACAUUGAUCAUAUUCUUUCUUUUACCGAGCCUAUCUAUGAGAUGAUUAAGAAGGCGGAUACAGAUAAGCCUUGUCUUCAUUUAGUGUAUGAAUGGUGGGAUAGUAUGAUGGAGCAAGUGAAGAAGGCUAUUUAUAGGAAAGAAAUGAAGCAAAUUUAUGAAAAAUCUUCAUUUUGGGAUGCGGUGCAUAAAAUUCUAUUGUCUCAUUGGAGCAAAGACAAUACACCCCUCCAUUGCUUGGCACAUUCUUUGAAUCCCAAGUAAGUACAACACCUACCACUAGUAAAUAAUUUCAUUAUAAUUUGCUUAUUUCAUAAUUAUUUGAUCUCGAACAAAUCUUAUAGAAAUUAAUAAAUUAUGCAUAUUUAUAUUUAGUUUGGAAUGGCUUGAUGAAGAUUCCCAUCGGGUUGCUCCUCACAAGGAUUUAGAUGUUACAAGGGAAAAGAAAAAUUGUUUUCUUCGAUACUUUACCAAUGAGGAUGAUAGAAGAAAUGCUAACAUAGAGUAUGAUAAUUUUUCUGUGUAUGCAAGGGUUUGGAAGUGGAGAUGUGAUGAAAGAUAGGUUAUAUUAGAGCCACUAACAUGGUGGGUGAUUCAUGGAUCUUCGACACCAAUUCUCCAAACCAUAGUCUUUAAAGUGUUAAGUCAACCUUCUUCUUUCUCAUGUUGUGAAAAGAAUUGGAGUACUUACAAUUUCAUUCACUCUUUGAAGAGGAACAAGUUAGCACCACAAAGAGUGGAAGAUUUGGUAUUUGUGCCACUACCACAAAAAAACAUCAGACCACGGCCAAAAAACAUCAUCUGAUUGUUCAGAUUACCGUUGUCUUUUUGCCUGCCAUCUGAUAUAUUGUAGAAACGUCGUCUAACUACUGUCGACAGCCAUGGAAUGUCGAUAGCGUACCGACAUAUUUUGUGUCGUGUGACAUACAAUCACAUCACGGUUUUACAGAAUAACAGUUAUGUGAUCACUAGUCAUACCACGCUUGUUCUGAGAACUGAUAUCUAAUAUGGACUCACAAGUCGGUUUUAAUGAAAAUUUUCAGUUUAAUUUAUUUCCAGUUAUAUAUAUAUUUUAUUAUAUCUUUUUUCAUAAUCCAGUUUCAUAUUUAGAAUAAAAAUAAUUUCAAUAAAAAUAAAUAUUCAAUACACAUUAAUUUCAAUAAAAGCAAAGAGAAAAAAUGUAUUCCCAUCUUCUUUUAUUCCUUUCUCAAAUCAUCAUUACAAUAUCUAUACUGGAGAACAAUUUUUAAAACAUUACAUAAUACAAGCAACUACAUAAGGGUGAGCCUUCUAUAAUGACAAAUUUGAACUUGCAGAAGAAGAAUUGUAACAGAUGAUUAACCUUCAAUCUUCUACUCUGAAUAUUCUACAAAUGCAGUGCAUAGCUAUGAGAACGAAUGUGCUGCAACUUUGUAAGCAGCCAUUUCGAGUGCACCUCAUCACCAAACUCGUACAUAGAAGGAAUCCCGAAACGACAGUUCUUAAAGAAUACUGGAUAUUGGCAGCAUGGCAUCCUUUCUUAUAGAUGCAUUCACUGGGAGGGAACCAUUUCAGUAAUCAAAUCAAUCUCACUCUAGAUCACCACCACAUCUUAAACUAAAAUGUAGCAUCACUCUGACGUUUGAAAUCAAAUGCAUCUACUUGAAACAGAGUUUCUGCAAUGACGAUCAUGUAAUUCCAAUCAAUAAAUAGUAUAUGCAACUUUGUGUUUCCAUGCAACAAAACGCUUCAGUUGCCAAAAGAAAAAAAUCAAAUGCACAAGAAAUUAGAUAAGUCAUUUUGGUGACAUUAGAGCACAAGAACUAAAAUGCACAAGGAAGCUUUGACAUACCAAAACAACAUUUACAUAUGACAUAUACAUUAUUCAUAGUCAGAUAAACAUGCAACAAAUAGAUAUACAAAGUAAAGUGCAUGACUGGUAAUGUUAAGUCUGUUAAUAUAGACCUUACCCAAGAAAGCUUAUCGGCUCUUUAUUUUACCAGAAAUGAGAACAGGUAUAGUGGUGUUCUUUUCACUUAAUUUGUUUAAAAACCUGAAAGCAUUAUGUCAUUGUAAAUAACAAGGCUAGGUAAAGAAACUAGAACACAAUCAUGGACUAACUAAAACAAAUGAACACUCACGACAAAAGCUAGGAAUUCAUUACAAUAAAUUAGAAGAAUUGUAAACUGUAAUCUUUGAGGGAUUCAAACCCAAGAACAACGUCAUGUGAUUUCCUUGAAAGUGCUAAGAGGAAGUAGAUUAUACAAUGAAACUAAAAUGCAACAGUUAAGCAACAUUGGUAACUUAAAAUUAUAUAUGAAGACAACUUAAAAUGCAACAGACAAGUUGCCAUUGAGCUAUUUAAAUCUUAAUAGGAAAACAAAAAGACAACUUAACAUAUGCACCAAAUUGAAGUGACAGGCACAAAUUACUGAACUAACCAGCGAAUUCCGGUAGCAAUUCUUUCAUUGAGCCAAAGCAUCUUCACUCAGAAAUCCUUGAAGAAAAACAAAACAUCUCAUAAUCAAAUACAAUUAUGAAUAACAAAGCAUCUCAUGGUCACCCAGAUAUUAUUGCCUCUCCCAGAUGGGUGCUUAAAUGGCUUGAGAGCCUAUUCAUUUCAAUUUGAAUAAGAAGAUAGAUGUUUGAGAACCUAUAACCAAUUAAAAGAAUAGAACAGAACAGAACAUAACAUCAUAUACAAAACACAAUAAGAGAAACUCUUCUCUACUAGCACUUGCAAGGUACCAGAUAGAGUAUCAUGCACGUGAGAAUCAAUCACCUAAAAUGCUGGAGAAGUUAGACUUGAGAGCAUCACAUAGUAGAAGCAAGCACAGAAAGACCUACUCUUUAAGUCUGUUAUCAAGAAAUAAGGAGGUCACUGCUUUAGCUUUCCAAAUUGUUCCAUAAUUUUCAAUCCUAAACUUAAAGAUCCAGUUUCACUUAAAAUUCAAAGCUUCUAAAUAUUCACUAGUAACAAAUUACCUACAACACACAAAUCCUAACUUUCUUACUUCUUCAUUAUACCACCAACAGCAACUUCAAGCUACUAAAAGGACACUGACCGGAAAAAUAAGCCUAAAACAUAUCCAUGCUAAGGAACUCCAACCAUUUUCAAAGUUUAACUAAAGAAAGCAUACUGUUUGUAAGGAACAUCUGAAAGCCCCAUAAGACAUCAAGAGACCCCUUGCAUCUGUCCCUCUUCCCAUCAAUGAAAAGCAAAGUAGCAGACAUGAACGUCCACCCAAUCACAAAGUUGAAUACCCCUUCAAACAUCUGAUUCAAACUUACAUCCCAUUCAAAUCCACAUACUUCAAUUGGCAGUUAAAUGUAACCAAAUCUACUUACCAAAAUUAAUAAAAUAUAACUGAGGCAUCAAUAAAAUUAAUACCAACUACUCUUCCAUAAAGUUAAACCACAGAAAUGAUCAAGAACACAGUAAACAGAACUUCACUACCAAAAUACAUAAUCAACUUGAUUUGAUCAUACCAGAGUAGAGGCAACACAAAGAAGAAAUCCAAAGAGAGGCCCAGAAGAGAAUUUCUUUGUUUCUGAACCUAUAGCCCACACUGGGUCUCACUGCAGUAUUAGGAAACCCAAAAUCAUUAAUAGCCAUAUAUGAAUUUUGCUCAUUCAUUUUAAGAAAGAAAAAGAACCCAGAAAAUAUUUGAAGUACAAUUACAUACAGGAGCAUAAAGAAGGAGAAAUGAAAGGAGUCCAGUAGAUAUGAAGCAAACCUCAUGUGUUUACAGAACUGCAACACUUCUCUCUUUGGGGUAAGUCAUAUUACAUACAAAGCACUUGAUGUUAGUUAUCUUUCUCAUUGGUUAAAGGCAAUGCAAACGUUGUACCCAAUAUAGUAAUCAGUUAAAAGAUAGUGCAAACUAAUUAAAUCAAGUUAUAUACUAAUCAAAUUUCCAGAACAUCUUAGUAGAGGAUGACCUCACUGUCCACCUCCCUUGGAGCUUGGCCUGUGCUAGACUCAUCAUAGUUCCACUUGGGAAGUUUUGAGGGGUCACUUACUGGUCCUGGCAACAUCUUCACACACCCAAAAACUAUUAUUAUUCUCUCAAUCAAUUAACCAUACCAGAAUAGAAUAACAAUGAGAAACUGCAGAGAAGUUACUAACCCUUGAUUUGCAGAUAAGUUACAAAGAGAAACAACAAAGAACUAGCUGGAAUAUAUGCAAGCCAAGUAGCUGAUUGGAGAGUUCUCCAACAACUUCUUACAAUAGGAACUGAUCGAGUAGCAAUUAUCAACUCUGUUUUCUUGAUCGGUGACAAGAAGUCAACAAGAAAUCAGUUGAUAAGAUAGAAAACAACAUAAGCUGAACCCAAGUCUCUAUUAGUGCUAUCAUUUCCACAAUAUGGCUGAUUAUUGACUUGACUUGGUAGAGAUCCUCGGUCAAUUUAUUUAGUAAGACAGAGCUUUCGUUUCAGAAACUUCUCACAGAGAACCUUGUUGACUUGUGACAAAGAGAGACUGCAGAUAAGUUACUAACCCUUGAUUUGCUUCUGAGGUCCAUGCCAGAUCUAGCAAUCCUGUGUACAAAAACACAUUAUGAGCUUCUCUAUAGACUCUCUCUAUCUCUCUCCCAACCUCACAGAAAGACGCACUAUAGCCUAUAGGCUGACCUGACUGAUCCGUGGAGAUUCCUUUGUGAAACCUAUAGGCUGCUCCCACGUUGGUGUGAAUCCAUUGAACAACCCAACACAAAAGAAGAAACAGUUAGAAAUCCCUAAACUAAAAACCCUAGAAAUUUCAAUUGAGAUUAAAUUGGGGACAUUUACCUUUGGGAGAAUAUCAGCUUUGAAGCUAGCUAGACUACGGUGAAGGGGUUCUUCGUAUGAGAAUAUGAGUUUUGAGAAGACGGAUCAGAUGCCUUGGGAUCUCCUAGGCUGCCCUUGGAACUUGCCGAACUCAUUAUCGGAGAUUAAAUUCGAAACCGUAGGGAUGAAAUCCAAGUGGGGUUGGCUCGCCGACAGCUUCGUCGUCGUCGUCAUCUCCGACGAGGUAGAGAGAGUAGAUGUGGGUUGAGAGAGAGAAAAAAACGAGGCUGUGGGUGAGCAUCUGUUUUUUGUUUUGGUCUAGCGAAUAUGUCGAGAGAGGUGAGGCCGUCGGUUACCUAGCUGCUUAGGUUUUUUUUUUUUUUUUUUUUUUUUUCUAAGUGUUGGGGGAAAGUUUAAGUUUGGGCUGAAAUGUGAGAAAUUUUUAAAUUUUAUGGGCUGACGUGGUCCUCCGAUCCAAUCAAAUUUAGACAUGUGAAUUUUUACAACUAAAAUAUAAACAAAUAUUUUCUAUUUUUUGUGAAAUAACAUUCAUGGGUAUUUAGCAAGUUCAAACUAGGGUCUAGGGUAUAGGGUUUAAAGUUAGAGUUUAGGGUAUAGGGUUUAGGGUUUAGGGUUUGGGGUUUAGGGCUUAGGGUUUAGUAUUAAAAAAACAACAAAAAACCUAAAAUGGUCUUUGACAAAAUAGCUGAAAUAAUUUUUCGUAAAGAAAAUCUGCAUGUUUAAAUUUGAUUAGAAAGUAGGACCACGUCAGACGGUCACGUGGUCCUCCCGUAGCACUGAAAAAUUUCUCCUGAAAUGUUGGGGGAGGGGUUCGGCAUGUUGAUAUUUAAGCCAAGCGGCAAUUAGGUUUCAUUCAUUUUGACAACCAAUCACACAACAUUUAAACUAUAAAUGUGGUCUAAUGCCCAAAAUUUAAGGUUUUGACAUUCCCUCCAUCAAGUUUCGUGUUUCCCCUACAAGUUUGGGGUUGAAUUGUGAGGAGAUGUCAGAGGAAAAUGAUGGGGAUAGGGUUUUGCUGAAAAUACAUCCACUCACACCACAGUUUUUUAACGAAUCGUGGUAUCACUCCUACAUGUUGGACACCAUUCAAUGUGGGAAACCUGGCACUCAAAUUUUUACACUUUCACAAGACAAUUUUUUAGAAAACUGACAUCUAAAAAGUUAAAAAUCAAUCAUACGAAGGGUUAUCAUUAUACGUCGUCUGAUAGACGUUGGUUAAAGCGGUUUUUGUGGUAGUGUGCAUACCAAUCUUCGCCUUUUAGCUAGGCAAUGCCCAACUUACAACAAAGGUGCAACUCAUAAGUGGGAUAUUGGAGGUGAUGACUUUGAUUCAUUGGAAGACUCUAAUGUUGGAAGGCUUGAGAUUGCCAACCUUUCACUUGAUGAGCCAUUGUUGGAGUCGGUCUUGUUUGAAGAUGAUGAGUUUGAAGAGGAAAACAUUCAGGAGGAUGAUGUUGUUGAAGCUUAAUUUGACUUAUUUGUAUUUUAAUUUGAGUAUUUGAAUAUGGAUCUUUUCUCAAACAUUUGUUUGGUUUGGAUUUGGAUUGACUAUGUGAUGAAGAAUCUUUGUUAUUUGUAUUGUAAUUGAUUAUGCAUGCUUGUUUGGAUUUAGAUUGAUGUUUUUUAGUAAGAAACUAUUUUUUGAUGUUAUUUUUUUAAUUAUAUUUAUUAUAAUAAAUAUUAUAUUUAGUUUAAUUUUGACGUUUCGAUUAUGCAUGCACAUUUCGUAUCGGACUAUAUUUGAUUUUGAUGUUUCCGCGUAUCGGAUCAUAAUAGAAACGGAAACUUCCGUGCAACAUAAACCCAAGGUAUUUUGAGAAGCUCUCUCUCUCUCUCUCNNNNNNNNNNNNNNNNNNNNCUCUCUCUCUCUCUCUCUCUCUCUCUCUCUCUCUCUCUCUCUCUCUCUCUCUCUCUCUCUCUCUCUCUCUCUCUCUCUCUCUCUCUCUCGUCUGAAUUCAAGGUAUUUUAAGAAGCUAGCAAGCCCUUGGGUUUGUCUUAGGUUUUGAUUGUUGGGAAUUGAUGAGCAUUGAUUAAGUUCUCUCUGGGCGAAAUAAAACCAAUUUUUUGUACGUGCAUAAUUAUAUAACCCAGAACUUUGAUCGUGUUAACAAACUUAAUAUCAGAAACAACAAUAAAAUUUAAAUUGAAUAUUUACUGUUAAACAUACCGAAAUGCUCCACCCAAAUUAUUGACUUUUUAUUCGCCUAGCAGAACAGUAGCAUGACAAGAACAAGACCACGAGAGAAAAUAAUUGCCAUGGAUGGGUGAUAUUUCAGUAUGUGAUGAGAAAGCAACAACACAAUAGCCAUGGAAAUUGGGUUUUUUUGUUUUUUGUAUGUAAGGGUAUAGUUGAGAUAAAUUUUUUUCAAAAUUUAAGAGAGGUACACGCAGCAAAUUCGGAGGUGUUAGCAGAACCUCCCAAUCACAUAUACCCCAUUCAAAAGGAUUUGAAACACAAUUACAUCAAUCUACAUUUGUUUCAAACAAAUAAAGACAAUUUCUAACAAAUAAGAACAGAUUGUUUUAAGCUUGUCAUGUGUCAUGUUUAAUUUACCAAACUGACCUUAGACAAAUUAAAUGCAAUUAAAUCAGACCCCACCAUGUCUUACUUUAGUUGCUAUUGCACUUGCUGGUAUGUUACUGCUAUUGUCAUGGUUUAAUUAGCUGCUAUUAUAUUUACUGGGUAAUUAGUUGUUAUUGCACUCUUUAAAUAGCUGAUACUACACUUGCUAGAAUGUUACUGCUAUUGUCUGCUGUCAUGGUUUAAAUAGAUGCUACUGCACUAUAGCGGUGUAAUUAGUUGCUACUGCAUUUGCUGGAAAGUUAACUGCUACUACACUAAUAUUCUUCAAAUCCUGCUACUACCAUCUCGCUAGAAUUUAGCUGCUACUAAACUUGUACUCGUCAUGUUCUUCUACUACACUGAUACUCUUCCAAUCCUGCUACUACACUGAUACUCUUCCAAUCCUGCUACUACAUUGUUAUUCUUCUAAUACUGCUACACUGGUACUCUUCCAAUCCCGUUACAACAUUAGCAAGAAAUUCAGUUGACGGUACUACAUCCUUCCUGGCCAUCUAUAAUAAAUACGCAACAACAUCAUCAAUCACAUAAUCUCUCCAAUCCUUCACCAUUAUCCUCCAAACCAAGCGCAGUAGCAACAACACUGUUUUACUUUGUCUUUCAGCACCAUUAUAAUCAACAUUUAUGACAUGAACAACUCAUUUCUCAAUUAAUCUAAAUCACUAAAGGCAGCUCUUAUUACCUUGCUCUUUCCCGCAAAUCAUAACACUGAAGAACUUAUGCGUUAUAGACUUAUAGUAGCCUUUAUUACAGAGUAGUCGCAACACUUCUGGGGACCACCAACUCCAACAUCGCACUUGAUCAGACAAUAGUGGUUCGAAACCAUGAUUACAAAUCUCUUACAGCGAUUGUAGGGCUCCGGGUGGAUUCGACUGCUCCUAUCGGACCAAUUGACGACUGGAAAGCGUGGCCGCUGGAGAUCUACAGACGGUGGCCAACAAGAACGACAUUGUUAGCUUGGAUUGGGGUUCUUAAGGUAUGGGAUUGGAUUUGGGCUUUUGGGCCUCGGUUUGGGCUUAUUCCUUUAUGCGGGUCUUUUGGUGGACCUGAGCCAAACCUUGUCCUGAAAUUGUCUACUCCGUCUCACAUGACAUCCUUGAGAUUUGAUCGAGGAUAGGCUAUCUCUAAUAAUAAGGGCAAGGAGGUAGUUUAAUUUCCUUGUAUCUUACCUAGACAUCUGAUGGAAGACUAUUCUUGUUUAAAUCUCGAUUUUACUUAGUUGUACACCAAUUGAAGUCCGUAGGCAACGACUAUUUCCGCUACAUGAGAUUUAGAUAGAAAUAGUUGGAAGUUAGAUGUGAUAGGCUUAAUUGAGUGGAUUAUGUAAAGGGGUCUGGUUCAAGGGACACUCUUUUUAACACAAAUUUUGACACCGAUUGUGAGCCAUUGGAUUUUAAAAUGCUCAACGGUCCAAAUUUAUUAUCUGAAUGAUGUCAGCACAACACCAAGUGAUGUCAAAAUUACAUGUCAUUUUAUAUUUCUAAUCUCAUAGUAAACUUUUCUUCAAAGCAAAAUUAAAAUCUGAAAAAUAAAAAUCAACAAAACCAUAAAAAAAACAAGGGUGCGGCUAUUGUCAGCCCACCAAAUGCUUAGUUUACCCUACAUUAAAAUUUUACACAAAAUAUUCUAAUAUUAAACCCCACAAUCAAGCAUUUUUGUGAAAAAAUAAAAUAGAACUAAAAUCUAUUAAUGUGAAACGACAACAAUUCUCUAUACUGCAUAUAUCUCUCAAAUCAUAUUUGAUAGUCGCUUCAAUCUUCAAAGGGGUGGUCAUCAUUGUGGUGAGAUUUUUAUUUUUUAUAUAUUUUUAUAUUUGUGGCUUCCUUUUUGAUAAACAGAGGACCAGCCACACAUUGAUAUAUAUAUAUAUAUAUACACACACACACACAGAGGAUGUGAAGCAGACGUCCGCACUCCGGCUUAAAGUGCGGACGUCAUCUGUUCUCCGCCGUCUCACACCGGCGACGGCUUCUCUCCUUCCCAGACGACAGCACAGGCUUCCAGGACGGUUUCUCUCCUUCCAAGACUAGUCGACGACAAGUUUUCCGGCCGGAUUGAAGCUCUGGACGGAAAACACCAUGAUUGAUCAAGGUUGGCCGGAAAACUUGUCGCCGGCCAGUCCUGGAAGGAGAGAAGCCGUCCUGGAAGCCUGUGUUGUCGUCCGGGAAUGAGAGAAGCCGUCGCCGGCUUGAGACGGCGGAGAACGGACGACGUUCGCACUUUAAGCCGGAGUGCGGACGUCCGCUCCACAUCCGGCCUAUAUAUAUNNNNNNNNNNNNNNNNNNNNNNNNNNNNNNNNNNNNNNNNNNNNNNNNNNNNNNNNNNNNNNNNNNNNNNNNNNNNNNNNNNNNNNNNNNNNNNNNNNNNNNNNNNNNNNNNNNNNNNNNNNNNNNNNNNNNNNNNNNNNNNNNNNNNNNNNNNNNNUAUAUAUAUAUAUAUAUAUAUAUAUAUAUAUACAGCCCUUCUCGGCUGCAGACGUCCGCACCAAAGUUUUUGGUGCGGAUUUCCAUUUUUGCACCACUUCCCGAUAGAAUUUCCUCAAACUUCCUUCUAGACAUAUUUAGAUUAUCUUGUGUAGAUCAUCUCUGCAAAAUUUCAGCCAAUUUGGUGAUCGUUAAGGCCCUCAAAAUGGAAAAACAAAUGGAGAUGAUGAACCGGACAGAAUUUAGUCCAUCAGAUUUGUUUUUCGAUUUUGAGGGCCUUAAUGAUCACCAAAUUGUCUGAAAUUUUGCAGAGAUGAUCUACACAAGAUGAUCUAGAUAUGUCUAGAAUGAAGUUUGAGGAAAUUCGAUCGGGAAGUGGUGUAAAAAUGGAAAUCCGUGCCAAAACUUUGGUGCGGACGUCCGCACCUGAGAAUUCAUGUGUGUGUGUGUGUAUAUAUAUAUAUAUCAAAAGGAAAAACCUCAAGAAAGAGAUCGAGGAAAUCAUAGGAUGGUUGAGAAAGUUGGAGGUAUGCGUAAAAUAUAUCAAUGAAAUUGUAAUUAUUCUUAGAUUCAUCUCUUUUAUAUUUUUUUCUUGAGAAAAGUAAAUCUCUUUUAUAAUUUGAAGUUAAAAGAAAGAAGAAAAAUAAAAAACAGAUUUUCUCAAACUGUUAAGGGUAAAAUUGGAACUCUAAGAGCAUAAAAUAAGACGUAGGGUGAACUGAGCAUUUGGUGAGGUGGAAAUAGCUGCACCCAAAAAGAAAAGGGAAGAAUAAAGCAAUAAGAAUGACUAUUGUUCUUAGGGUAUACAUGAUCAAAAGAGAAAAAAAACGAAAAAAGAAAAAAAACAGCAAAGAACCCAAAGACGUCAAUUGCCAGAAGCUAGAAACAUCGUCUUUUAAUUUCAAGUUGUCAUCCUAUUUUCCAGCCAUUCUCCCAAUUACUUUGCUAAUUGGAACUAAACAAUUCCACAAAUACUAGGUGGCAUUCAAAAUUCUAGAAUCAUGCAUAUUGAUCAUGAAUUCGACAUCAGUGGUAUCUAUGCUAAUUGCUCAUUGAUUUGUCACGUCUCAUCAAGGGAGAAUAUGUACAUGAAGAUGACAAAACCAAUUCAGAGAUUGAGAAUGGAAUCCCAAGGUGUGAUAAGGGAAGCUAUCGUGAUAAGCUAGAAUGCCAACCAACUCAGGGUGAAGGCACAAAUUACUUUUGUCUUUUGACACGGAGCGGAUUCAGUGCACCUUGGUGCACUUAAACCAUACUAACAGAUAUAGACGACGUUAGUCACACCCAACAAAAACGAGCCACGGUAAAAACCAAGGAAUUGAUUGCUCUCUCCUGCUUCCCAUUUAUCAAUCUCACCCCAACCAGACCUGACCUGAUUAACCAUCACCCAUACGUCUACAACCCAUCAUCGAUCGACUUGCUGAUGUCCUAGAAAUUAUCGAUCUUGUUCAUCUUGUGGAUGGAGGAUCAAAUUUUCCAAUCCCACUCUGACCGAAAGUGAACCCUCUCAUUAUCUCAAAUGUUGACUUUCUCGUUGGCGGCAUCGUUCGCGAAACAUAGUCGGAAUUUUGGGUUUCUUACAUCUGAGUUCAAAAAGCCAAGUCCCUCGACGGCAGCAUCAUAGAACCAAGUCCCUCGACAUCUGAGUUCAUAUGCAAACUCUAGUCAGUAAUAACUAAAGAAACCCAGCAAAUUUGAGUUUCAAGAGCCGAUAUUUAUCUUGGCUUGUGGCUAUAUCUCGGACAUGGGAGAACUGGGUUCGGAAUCAGAUUUGACUAAAAGAAGCUUAGAGGAUGAGAAAACGAAGAGAAAGGAGAUGAGAAUGAGCUUAUUGCCUUUUGCUGCAUGUAAUCGCCAUGGUUUGAUGAGGUGGGUUAAGUCUGGGCUUUUCUUCAUUCAGCUAAAGCAUUGCGACGGAUCUGCGACGUGGUUGGAUAUGGAAUCGAAGGAUUUUGGAUCAGGUUGUCGUGCGGGUCGGUCAGUCAGGUGAGACCUGGCCGAGGGUGGUGGCGUCUCUUGACCGUUCAUGGGAGUUUUGGAGUCAUAGAGUCAUGAAAGGAAAGGGAGAGAUGACAGAGAUGAUGUGGUCGUUUUGUACUGGUUGAUUAACUAGCUUUUUCUAUUUCUUUUUAGUUUACAUUUUCAUUUUGUAUUUAUUGAUACAAUUAAGUUUGUUUCUCUUUCUAUUUUAGUUACCUUUUUAUUCGUUCAUUUAAUUAUGUAGUUCUAUAGUAAUUUUUUUUAAUAGGGUAGUUCUAUAGUAUUGUAAAGCGUAUGGUUGAUUUUUUAUCGAUAUAUUAAUUUGUUUUUUCCAUAUAUAUUAAAGGCAUAUCAAUAUAAACUGUAUCAAGAAUGUUCCGUCUAUUUGAGUAUUAGGUCUAGUCGUCUAGAUAAAAUUCUAAAACUUAUUUUUCUGAAGUGAUGUUAAUAAAAUCAUUCAAAAUUUGAUUUUUAAAGAGUUUGCGACCACAUGCUUGAAUGCCCAAGCUUCAACUAUUAUGUAAGAAAUUUACAACUUAGGAGCUCCUGCCUCUAAAUUUAAUUACUCUUUGGAAAUUUUAAUAGAUAAAAACCAAGAGAUAUAAAUAGAUGUUUGGUUGAUCACAUUGAUCUGGCUCAAAUCGAGAAUGAAUGUGGCUAAAGUUUGUACAUACCAUUUUAACCAACUCCUUUUGCGUCGAUCACGUUGAUAUACAAUAAAUCCAGACAUUAGCGUAGAUAGAAGAACAAUCCGUACUAUAUAUUAAAUCUAAAAAUGGAUAAAUUUGAUAGAAAUUUGAGUAUUUAUUGUUUAGUGAAAGUUUUAUUUGUAAACAUAUCAAUCAAUAUACGGGUUGCAUGAAAAAAUAAAUAAAUUAGACCACAAAGAAUUUAUUCAAUGCUAAUAGAAAAGAAACUGGAAACAUAGACAUUGUGCAAUACCCACACCACCACAAGUUAAGCGUUCUGUAAUAGGUACAAUAUUUUAAAUGAAUCGUCGACGAUCCGUCGUCUUUAUAGUUACGGUGUUAAGGUUGAUCGUGCGGACGAACAUUUCAUUAAAGACAGUUAUUUGUUUUAAAUAUAAUAAAAAAUAAUAAUAAUAAUCCCUCUUUGCGUUUCUGGAAACCAAAAAGGAAAUAAAAAGUCUCAUUAAAAAAAGACUUAAUUGUGUAUCAAAAAAAAACAAAUAAAUAAAAAAUAAUAAAAGUCGAUCAAUUAUCAAUAACCUCUCCCAUUGAUAUUGGAAUUAAUUGCCCAUGUAAUAUUUAUUGUAGCUUUACCUAUUUUUACCAUGUUGAUUGGAUUUUUUUUUGUCUUAAUUAUUUAACGGUGUUAGCAUCGAUGUUAGUGUUAUACAAUUGACUGCAUUAAAUGAAUAAUUGUGAUUGGUCAGUGGCUAUUGGUUCACUUGUACCUUGAUGCACUGAAGAACUUUCGCUUUUGGCAUCAUUGCGUUUAGGGUUUAGUGUUUUCCUUGAGUUAUUUCUUCUUCUCUUCUUCUUCCUAUUUUUCUCUUUCGGAGUUUUGUUGAUUUUGAUUUUUCAGAUUUUAAUUUUGCUUCGAAUAAAAGUUUACUUUUAGAUUAGAAAUAUAAAAUGGCAUGUAAUUUCUACAUCACUUGGUGUUGUCCUGACAUCAUUCAAACAAUAAAUAUGGAUCGUUCAGCAUUUUAAAAUCUAAUGGCUCACAAUCUGUGUCAAAAUUUAUGUUAAAAAGAGUGUCACUUGAACCAGACCGGUAAAGAGGGCUACCUAUCAAUUUGUUAUUGCUUGUUGCCAAUUAGACAUUUUGGUCGUGAGUAGACAAGUUAAUGUAAGCGACAUAUUGUUGUGGACAAGUUAAUAAAAUUGUCUAUUUAAAAACAAAAAAACAAAAACAAAAAAAACAAACAAAUAGAGAAAUGCGAGAUACACAAAAUCUAACUAUUAUUGGGUUCGACUUUCCAUGCUCUGAGCUAAAAUAUGAAGCUGGCGAUGGACUUCUACAAACCGACUUGAAGGCGAUCACAAACUGUCUCCAAGCUCGGCAUGGGUUAAACACGUACUAAAUACAGAAUAUGAAAUAACUUGUCCAGAGUCCAGACUAGUCCAACUAGAUAUACUGACUCUAAUGCCCUAAUAUACUAACAAUAACACACAUGAACCUGCUGGUUGCCAUUGCUGAAUGGCCUGCAAAAAAAGACGCAGCCUUUGAGCAGUAUCCGGCUUCUUCUACUCUAUUAAGGGAAGAAUGGUGUCCAUGCAGGAGGAAACUGAAAAGUCAGAACAUCCCUUGUAACUUGUACGAAAAAAUGACAGAGUUGCAAAGGGAAGGAUCAUGUAUAGGUGGUAUAUGAUCAUUUUGAAAUUGAAAGAGCUCGAUCCAAUAGGAGGAGAAAUAAGAGGUGGGCUAAUAGUGAUUAGAAGAUAUGAGAAAGACAUAGGUACGUGUGAAAAGUGAUUAGGGGAGAAAAGUUGGUAGUUUGGUGUUGUCGGUGGCAAAGGCAGAAGAGAAGGGAAUUUUCAAUCUUGAUCUUUCCAAAAGAAAGGCUGCAUAGGAUAAGAAGAUGAAGCAGAACAAGAGUUGUCAUCCUGUUGCGGAAAGUCAUGCCGAUUCGAAUUAUUGGCGGUAAAACCGUUAUGAUCAUGAGAUGGCAGCACAAGAUUGUUGGAAGUCAUGUCCAACUCUAAAUCAUCCCAGACAGGACUACCAGGACCCCAACCUUGUGGAAUUGCAUUCAGCCAAGCCUCUGCCAUUUCUCCCCAAACCAUUUCUUGUGUUGGGGCAUCUGACAUGAUCCCUCCUCUUUCUCCAUGAUUUUCAACCUCAAGUUGAUGGCUAGUGUCAUCGUCUUCCUGGGGCUGUGCAUAUGGCGCUGGUGGAGGUGCAACUGUUUCGUUAUCUGAAAUUGGAACCUGUAACUGUAAAUCAAGGUUUUUCAGCUGCUGCAUACCUUGGGACCUCAAUGGCUUUGAAACUUGUUGAAUCGGCGCAGCUGCUGAAACAGCUGCAGCAUUAUCAUUAUGUUUCUCUUUGUUGAGGAAAAGCUCAGGGAAAUUAAGCCUAGCAUUCUCUCCUCUCAACUUGAAGGCCUCGCGGUCAUAAGCCAUGGCAGCAUCUUCAGCUGUGUCGAAGGUGCCGAGCCAGAGGCGAGUUCUGUUUCGAGGAAGACGAAUUUCAGCUACCCAUUUGCCCCAAUGCCUUUGCCUUACUCCCCUGUAAAGCUUACUGGUACUUAUAGGCAUUGCUGGUGGCCUAAUACCACCACUACUAUUAGCACCUCCAAACCUGUUCAUCAUCAUCAUCAUCCUUCCUCUUGGACUCAAAUUCAAAGCAUCACUCCAAUACUGAAGCAUUUGCUGUUGCUGGUGUUGCUGCCAAGAUAUCAUGUGUUGCUGCUGCGAAGCAAAUGAUAUCAUUUGCUGCUGAUUUUGUUGUUGCUGCUGCUCCACAACGUGUGUAUUUGGCGGGAACUGAUUAGGCUGCAGACCUGUGCUAUGAAAUUGGCGGGGAAAUUGGAUAGGUUGCUGCUGCUGCUGCUGAGGCAGAGACCCAUCAAAAGCAAAAGGAAAGACUAUUCUUGAAGAAAGAGGACAACAAGAAGUGAUUGUUGAUGUGUCUGAUGAACUACGAGGAGGAGGAGGAGGAGAUGGGAUUUGAAAUUCAGGGGAAAAAGCAGAGGAUCGGUGCUGAUGGCUACGUUCAGGGCUCUUGAUCUUCUUAAGAGGUCUAUUUGAUACUGGAGCUUCAUCAAAAACCGGCUUCCAUUGAUGCCCCUCCAACAGAAAAUCAUGUUCCUUGCCUUUGUCAAGGUCACAAUCUUUGCUUGUUUCCAUCUGAGUUUCAAAGUUUGAUUCACCACUCCUUUUUGCUGCGGCCAUGCUUUAUGUUCGUUUUCUCACUUUCUCCAAAGCCAAAGAAGAUUCAAUCGAAUUUGAGGUAUUGAACAAAACAAAGGAAACUCGAAAAAGAGACCAAAAUUCUAUACUCUACCCAGAUACAAGAGUUGGUUAACCAAUAGAAAAAAGAAUCUGGGUUUCACUUUGAAUAUCUAAUCCCGUCGAAUCCAAAACAGCAUCGUGUUCCAAAACAUAAAAUGCAUCUGAAAUAUUUUGACGAACACAAGGAGAGAAUGCAAGAGUUCGGGUUUGAAUUUGAAGUCUUUAGGUGGCAGAGCAGCAGAGAUGUUUCUGGAAGAAAAAGAAAAAAAAGUUGAGAGCGGAGGGGUUGAUCGAGAAACAGAGGUGAGGAGACGUGGGGUUUAUAAGAAUGCAUAUAAAGAGAGGAGAGAAUAUGUUGGGAUUGGUCGGCUUUCUUCGGGCCCUACACGGUUCAUUGUAGCUUUCCAUUUGCAACUUCCACCACCCAUUUUGUUUCUUUCUCGCAACCCAAGUCUGCAUGACACAAAAAACAUGAUUUUGUAUGAUUACGUGGAUUACUUGCAUAACAUUUUUAAAGAGUUAAAAAAGAAAAAGAAAACGUAUUUAAAAUUGGCCUCUCACCGUCCAAGUUUCCUAAAGACAAAACUAUAUGAUUAGUGGUAGGUGAUUACGAUUGAAAUGGUAUACGAAAAAACAAAAAGAUGCAGAGGUUAUAUAUUGGAAAGAAACAAGUCAACAACGGUUUAUGCUAUGCAAGUAAUCCACGUAAUAAUGGUCAGUCACACCCCCGGCCCUUUCGGUGGAAGCAAUAGAAAAUAGGUCUUGUUCCACAAGUCAACAAACCAUACAAACAUAAAUCCCUAAAACAAUUAGACGACUUCAAUUUUGGUCGGUCAGAAUCGGCACGUGUCGGUGGUCCACUCCUCACCUAUUCAUUUUCUUUUCUCAUUCUUGUUUAUCAACAACAUUAACAUUAUGUUCAAAUCCACCACGGAACAACAAAGAGGUUCUGAAAUAUCUUAAAUCUCAUCGUCAUCUUAAAAACAAAGAUAUUUUGGAAGCAAAGAAACAGGAGAUGAAGUAAUGACGAUAGAAGCAUUACCAAUAAAUGCGGAGGGCGGUAGUACUACAAAGCCUUCAUUUAGAGAUUUUAGAACAUGUUUACUAACCUGAAAUAGAAUUAAGAGUGGUAUAAUUGAUUUCAGAAUGGGUGAAUUCCGGCCUUUACUAACAUGUCAAGGUAUUUGAAUAGAUGUGGGUCCCACUUACUUAUCAUAAAUUGAUUUUUUAAUGAAACCCCUUAUUUGAUACCCAAGGGGGAAGAUAGGUAUCAAAAUCAAGGUAAUAAAAUCAACUUUUUCUCUCCAAAAUAUCCUCAUAUAAUUAUAAUAUUUCUAAAUUACCCAACCCUAAAAAUAUAUAUUAUAUUUAUGGUUACAUCUCAUCUAUAUGAGAGUUUAACGUGUGGAAGAAUCGACCAAACUAGGUCACGAAGAGGUAGGUAAGAGCGUUUUCGUGUGAUAAGUGACGAUAGAUUAGGGUUGACCGCAUCGAUCAAGUUCCAAACGUUGCCGAAUUGAGUUGAAUUUUAUACCAUAGCCAUGUUUUACUAUAAUGAUCAUAUCAGACGGUGGAAUUUUCAUUUUAUGAAUUUUAGUCAUCGGAAUCACAACGUGCCUACUAAUAGGCUAUAACUUGUUUAAUAUGUUAUAUGCAAGUGUACAACUUUGUAAACCAAAUAUAGAGAGGAAACAAAAUUUACAAAAAUCUCGUAAAAUAAGAUGUAAGCGGAAUGGUGAAAUACGGCUAUGGUUGAAAAAUUCUAUAUUUCAGGUAAUGUUUAGGUCUCGAUAAAAGCGGUCAACCCUUUUUACGCUUAAUCUUCCCUAGGGGAGCCCUAUCAACGAGAGGUAAACAUUUCCAAAUUUUUACAUGUGUGGUUACAUCUCAUCUAUAUGAGAGUUUAACGUGUGGAAGAAUCGACUAAAUUAGGUCACAAAGAGGUAGGUAAGACCGUUUACGUGUGAUAAGUGACGAUAGAUUAGGGUUGACCGCUUCGAUCGAGCCCCGAACGUUGCUGAAUCGAAUUGAAUUUUAUACCAUAGCCCUGUUUAUUAUAAUGAUCAUAUCAGACGGUGAAAUUUUCAUUUUGUGAAUUUUAGUCAUCGGAAUCACAACGUGCCUACUAAUGGGUUAUAACUUGUUUAGUAGGUUAUAUGUAGAUAUACAACUUUAUAGACCAACUAUAUAGAGAAAGCAAAAUUUUUAAAAAUCUCGUGAAAUAAGAUGUGAUCGAAAUAGUGAAAUACAACUAUGGUUGAAAAAUCACGUAUUUCGAGUAACGUCUGGAUCCCGAUAAAAACGGUCAACUUUUUUUUUACAGUUAAUCUUUUCUAUCGGGAGCCCUAUCUUCGAGAAGUAAAUCCAUAAAUUAACGUCACUUAUCACACGAAUACUGUAACGCCCCGUAUAUAACCUUACCUAUUUACCGGGUGUUUCUUCAAGUUACUGAGAAAUUUAACCGUACUCGGUAACUUAGUAGUUAACACUUGAGUUUAUUUUUAAGUUUUUCUCGAAAUGUAAAAUUCUUAUUAUAAGGCCCCGAUAUCGUUGUGCGCGUCAACACGAGUUCACCGAUGUCUUCUACGAAUUUUUGAAAUUUCGGAUAAUUUUAGAUUAUCAUUCAUGAUUUUUAGUUUUACCAUUUAAUCUGUCAAAUCUGGGCCGUUAAUUUUUUAGGUAAAAGGGUUGAAACCCUAAUCCCUUCCCAUUCGGAAUAGAGAGAGGGAGAGAGACUGAGGAGGAGAGCGACGGCGCCCCGGUCCCCGUCCAGGCGCGCCUCCGCCGCCGUGAGGCCGUCGCUGGACGAUUGGCGACCACCGUUCAGCUCGUCUCUCUCUCCUCUACCUCCUCCUAACUGUCGAUUGACAUGCAUCCACCACCUUCUUAAGAUCGAAAAUCCAAACCCUAACCUCCAAAUUCAAAUUCCGGCCAAAUCCCUUCUCCCCCGGCUAGUUCAAGCUUCUAGAAGGUAAUUUCACUUUUCCCUCUUCGUUUUCCAUCCCCGUUGAGCUUCGAUUUUCAGAAAUAGAGCCCUAAUCCGAAUUUCCUUUUUGGGUUCGAGGUUUGGUUUCCGGCAAGGGGUUGCGUUCUUGGGGUUUCGGUGAAUCUAUCGAACUCAGGCGAGCCUAGCAACGUUUGAUGGGUGCCCACUAUGCGCCUUGAAGGAGGCUUGGAGGCAGCUGUUACUGUUUCGGAGGGAGGCAGUGGCUUUGGGUGAUUGGCCGAGUGUCUUUAAUCUUGACUUUGUUCUCAGCGACUCUCCGAUUUGGUUUUAGCUCUACAUUCACGUUUUGAAUAGAUUGGAGGUAAGGGUUAUGAAUUGAACUGCACCUUUUGUUAGGUUGAUCCCCUCUUUUUUUGCUGCAUUUUUUUCCUGAGUAGCCAUACAGAGUUUUUCCUCUUCUCUUAUGUUGUUCUUUGUUUUUUUUAAUUGUCUGGAUGUGAUUACAAUUUUGGCGUUAUAGCGUGAGAAUCUUAAUUGAUGAUGUAUGUGAAAUUUGAUCUUAUUGUGGAAUAAAUUUAAUAGCAGACAAUUUUCUGGGACAUAAUUAAGGAGAAUAUCUCAAUUUGGAAAACCAAUAUUGUUGCAGACAAAUUAUGGUGUACACUUAUCCCAUAUAUAUAUGUUGUAAGAAUUGGUAUAUAUGUUCCUGAUAUCAUAUCCAUAUAAAAUCACAGAUUCUAUAUUGAAUUUCAAUUUCCUCAUUCCUUUCCAAUCAUAAAAAUUCUUAUGCUCUCUUUACUUUUUCUCAUAUUGAUUUGAUUUUUUGUGGUGAUUUCAGGUCGCAAUAGACCUUUUAGAGCAAAUUGAAGUUGUAGAAUAAUUGCACAGGUUCAUUUCGUUUUACAUUUUAAUCACUCUUUGGGAUGGACUAUGUACAAGAUAUUCAUUAAGUUUAAUUUUUUGUCCAGAAAAUGCUAUUAGUCGGUAAUCUUUUAAUAAGACACAUAUAUGGGUGAAUUAAUUUGCUUUGUGAAAAUCUCAGAAAAUAUGUCGAUGUUGUGAUUGGUAAAUUCAUCUUUAUGUCAACAGUUAAUAUGUGAUAUUAUGUGUGUCGCAGGCCACUUUUGCUAGCAAUAGGCUGCCUUGCAUUGCAUAUAAGGGCAGGUAUGCUCAUUGUUCCUUUCACUUUUACUGUUGUUCAUGUCCGGUGAUUAACACAGCAGUCUGGGCAAUUCUUUGUUUCAAUUUUCAAUUAUGGUUACGGCCUUAUGGGUUAUCAUUUGGUUUUUUUCUUUCAUGGUGAAUCUGAAGUUUGGUUGUGGGUUUCCGAAUUUUGGCAUUUUGAGAUAUGGGUAUCGAAUUUUGGAGUGAGACUGAGAAAGUGGAUUUGGUAGCUGUGAUUGUUGGCUUCUGAUUUUGCAGCCAGAUUUCUAAAGUUUAAAUUUAGUCUGAGUAAUUGGCUUCAACCCACAUUUAUUUACAUAUAUAUAUAUAUAUUUUUUUCUGAUCGGUUAAAGUUUUAGAAGAUUGGUUUUGUGCUUGAGAUAUAUGUAUGAUUUUUUAAGAUCAACUUAUUAUCAGUAUGUUCACUGUUUCAUGGAACAUAAGUAUGGAGCAUUAUUUUCAGCUUUAUUUGUUGCAGCCUUCUCACUAAUAUUAUGAGAGCAAGAUGCAAUUAUGUUUCUACGAAGCUUGCUGAAAAACAGUCCAGAACCGAUGGCUAUAUUCAAGAUCAACUUUGAGGAGAAAAAGGCUAAUGAUGAAGAAAGAGUUGGCUGCAAGAAUCGGUUAGGUGCAUGUAUUGUGUCACUAUUGUACCUCUAGAGAAAGAUAAAACAGAUUCAGACAUCUUCCACCAAUGGCAUUUGUGAAGGAACCCGUUUCAGAACUUAAAUUUUUUAUCUAUUGUAGUAUGGGUUUGCGAGUGUUAUUUAAUUUUUUUAUCUAUUGUAGCAUGGAUUUGCGAGUGUUAUGAUUUAUCAGACCAUAAGAUUCUCUAUGUUGCAUCAAGAACAAUAGUUAACCUCACACACAUACAACACACUUCCGCCACGUGCUGGAAGGCUAGUAGUUUAUUAAACAAGUCGUUAUACCACAUUAGAAGCGGAAGACUAUUGUGGUGGAUGUCGGUUGACAAUCACUUGGAUUUUUCGUUUUUCAAUUUGAUUUCAAUUUGAAUCACUUGGGUUUUUUUCUCCUCUUCUAGUACUUGGCUGACAAAGAAAUGGAGCCGUAAUGAAGAGAAGUAAACAACAAAAUUACACUGCAGCAAUACUACUCGUCAAGUGGCUCUGUUAAACUAAGUUGAGCAGCUAGAACUAAGAUAAAAAAACUCCUAUACUUCUUAGUUUAACGUUCAUGCACAACUAAGCAGUACCCUUGUUUUGUUCAGUACCUGAAAUUACACAAAACAAACUAAUCAUGAUAAGGCAAGGAAACAAAAUAAUUGACAAAUUCAGUAAGCAAUUUUAUACACAGUUUUUCAGCACAAACAUAGAUGGUUCAACAACACAGAACAUAUGACAAAACGCCGAAAAAGAGGCUAAUCAUACAUAGGCUGGACUCUAAAACAAAUAGCAUUCAAUCUUAUUCACAACACAAGAUCACAAGUCCACACAUCAUACGUCAUAUGACAAAGUUUUCCACAAGUCGUGCUUUAUUCACAAUCUGAGCACAUUUACAUAUCCCUUUUCACAACUAAAAAGGGAAGAAUCAUACUUUUCGAAACAAACAGAUGAACAUCCCUAUUCACAACUGAAUAAGGGAGUGUUAUCUCACAUAGUAUUUAUCAGAACAAACGAAUACACAUCCCACUUUUCACAACUGAAAUGGGAGAGCCAUUUCACAAACACUUAUCGGAACAAACGCAUAUCCCCCUUCACAACUGAAAAGGGAAAACCACGUUGUUCACCCGUGUGGCCGAGGUGUACAUUCCAGAACUCAACCUAAUAUAGAGAAGGUACUGAAUGUAACAGUAUUUGAAAUUACAUUUGAAAUUUUUAUAAGUCUUCCAAGUUUCUUAUCAUCAACUUUGGAAAUGGCCAUCACAGUAAACAAAUAUGGCAUCUAAAAAGGUAACAGAACUAUAAAUGAUAGAUCUAAAAUCAGGCAGCAUGAGCAAAGUGGAACUACAGAAUUUAUAAUAUUUAUUACCUCUUUAGUCUCUUUGCACAGGCUUCUUUGUAAAGCUCCUUCAAGGUACUCUCUUUAGGUUGCUGCAAACUUCACUUUGGUGGAGCUUGGUGAUAUGGUGUCUUGCUCUGCAGCUGUUGCAGCUCAGUUGGUUCACAAUCUGCAUACCAAUACAAUUAAUUGAAGCAAAAUUCACUAUUCAGUAUUUGUUCAAUCAGAAAACACAGAAUACAUAAUCAAUCGAACAAAUACUGAAUAUCAAAAACAAAACAGCAUAAAAACAAAUAAGACAGUUCCUGGAAAAUGCAAAGUAACUGCAUCUAUUGAUUCACUACCAAACGGAAAUUUACAGACAAGAAAAUGCAAAGUAACUGCAUCUAUUGAUUCACUAUGAGAGGGUAUUAUUUACAUAAUUGAGUGAUGCACAUAAAGCAUAAGAAAAGAUUAAUCAUCAACAAACAAGACCACAAGUUUCCAGCCGCCUGGAGUGAAUAAGAGCAACUGCUUAUACCAAAUUGGUACUAAGAUUUUCCACUAGAAUUUCAGUACCAAACAGAAAACAUUAAACAUCAGACUCAAUGAUCAUCAUCAAACUGUUUACUAAUUCAGUCAUGCACAUCAAGAAUCACAAACGAUGAAUCAUCAACAAAAAACAAAAACCAUAAGUUUCCAGCUGCCUGGAGAAAAUAAGACCGAUCUACGUUCGCAACUUCUUAAACCAUUUUGGUACUAAGAUUUUCCACUAGAAUUAAACAUCAGACUCAAUGAUCAUCAUCAAACACGCUCCCAAUCAGUGACCGCAAUUAUAUUUAUCACAUCACAAUCGUGCAAAUCAAAUCACAGUUUCUAUACACAAUUUCAAUUAUAGUUUCACACUAAUAACAAACUAACCUUGUACGAAUCAGGUAUGCCGAUGGUAAAUGAGGGCAGAUGCUUCACCAAAUGCUUCAGAAUAACUAAGGUACCUAACAUUAGAUAAAUGAAAACAGAACCGGGCAGGAAAGUUUUAAGUCUCUUAUGUUGAUCACAGGACACAAAUUGCUACACAAUUAUAAUUCUUUUUUGGUGCAGCUGUGGAACAGAUAUCAUGAUGCAGCAGCCAUAUCAGUUGCAUCUAACUAUCAUAUACAACUCAGAAAGAUGUUUGAAAGAUUUAUGGUGAAAUUUCCAUUUUGUUCAAAGGACUUCAUGUUAGUAGAUAUUAGCUUUAUUUCAAUGCAAACAUGUUUGCAACAUGACCUUGCAACAUAUCCUGAACAAGAUCAAAAUUUUCCUCUAACCCUAAUCAAACUUAGUUUCAAGAUUAACAGACAGUUUAAGGAUGCAUAACAACUUCUAUAUUCAACUUCUUUGAAAAGAGUGGCAGAAUUGCUUGGGGAAGAUUAAUUCUUAGUGCCUCUCAAGUAAAACUGUAAUGUAACCAACUGAUGGAACCAGCUACUCUAGAAACAUGUAAAGAUGACAUUUCUACAUGCAAUUGAUGCAAAGAUAUGUAUCUGGUGGAUAUGAAAUCAUAUACUCAAAUGAUAUGCAGAAAAUUGAUUUUGCAUACAGAAGUGGCUAACAUUUAAAAACCCAGUAUGAGUAUUAACUGAAAUUUCUAAAGCUUAUUCAUGCUUGUUCAUGCUUAGUUGUUUAUUAGUUCAAAUAUGUAAUUGAACUGGUAAUCAUGUAUUCCUUAAUCCAACAAUGCGAAUUUAUCUAAACUAGCCUAGGGAUUACUCUCUCAUGUUUGAUAGGGUAUUUCCAAAACUUGAGAUGCCAACUGAAAAAGACACAAUGCUGAAAAAAGGUGCAGGCUUUAAAUAAUAAUAUCGGAUCACUUUGCCUGAUAUGUUUAUUAAUCCUGGAGAACAAAUAAAGCAUCCAUCUUCGACAGUAGGUGAAGAUAGUCUACCAGUACUAUUCUUGUCAAAUCAAAGAAUUCAAAAUAAACCGAACCUAACAAUUCAUUAUUCUGUGGGGAUAUUCUACUGUGGGAUGCCAAAUGCUGAAGAUGCUAUUACUUGAGACCAGUCACAAGACAGAGACACGCUUUGAAUCCCACAAGGAGUACUUUUAAAACUAGGAACUUAGACAAAGAUGACAGCUAUCCUUUUGUAAUCAUUCUGAUUAUCCAUAGACGAAAAUGAUCAUAUAUGUACAUUGAUAGUAGCUCAGAAAAAUGUAAAUGUAAUUAUGUACCAUAUGUAUAAAGAGACGGGGUUUCAGUAGAACAUGAGAAAAAGGUUAAAAAUUGAUGAUCUCCAACUAUUUAUUUCCAAAAGUUCAUACACAAAGUAUUAUGUUGAUUGCCUAAGAUAGUACCCAAAUCACAUAAUCAAGACAUAUCCUACUACAGCUCUUAACCAUUUUAUCUUGCAGAAAAUCCCAUAAUCUUCAGAAAGCUUGCUGCAACCAGCAAUCUAUGAGAUCCACAUUUCUUUUUGUUACUUCAAAGCAUGUAAGCCAACAAUGCAACAGCAUGGCGAAUCAUGCAAGGACAAAUACUAGAAAAAAAAAAAAAUAAAAAAGUUUUAGGAAGAAAUCUCAGGAACUCCUAACUAACCAAAAUUAUCUCAACUGAUAUGUCAUUAGUUGUUCUGAAAGUGAGACAGUUCAGAAAAAGCAUGAAAUUGCAGAUGGCUAAUCCAAUACCAGUAUGAACAACCCCAGUUCAGAGCUACCUCAAGUAAACCCAAAAAACACAACAAACUCUAUUCUACAAAAUGGGAUAACUUUCCUCAUGAGGAAUCUACGUUGGAGCAGCAAAACAGCAAUCAUUAUAAGUCCAAGACAUAAAUAUAUGAGGUUCUUAACAAACAGCAAUCAUUAUAAUCCAAAACAUGAUACAGAGAGAUGCUACGCAUAACUUAGAGACAAUGACUAAUUUAAGGAACUAUCGAUUUCAUGCACGUUAAGAGUUUCACAGGAGCAAAUUAUAUCAAAAGUACAAAGCAUGUUAUCAAAUUAUAACAAAACAAAUUAUAACAAAAGUACAAAGCAUAUAGCACUUGGGUCAGUCAUUGUCUAAUAUAUGGAAUGGUACAUAGCGUGUUCCUCAGUCAUUGUCUAACUAAAGGAGGGUUAUCAAUGAAUCAAAAGGGAUGACUGAGAAAGAGAGAGAAUUUAACCCAGACCAGAUUGUAAAAGCAUAAUCUCAUAAUAAAGCUUUAAACCUUUAACACAAUCCUUAACAAGCAAAUCAGACACUAAAAACUCCAUGUUACCUGAGAUCUUCAAUUCAGUAGAUGAUGGUGUGUUCCUCAGUCGCAUUCCCAGGCCUCGACACCAAAACACAGGCCACUAGUCCUGCAUUUUCAAAAACACAGGCAGACGUAGUGUUAUAUAAAUAUCUUGUAGGCUAUAAGUAUUGACCUGAUAGGACUUAAAUCAUGACUCUUGCUGAAAUUGAACUAAAUCUAUAAGAUGCUGUCACUGCAUCUGGUAAAGUAAUAGGUAAAAAAACAGUUAGAAACUCAUAAUGCAACUGCAACAAUAGGCCAGGCCAACGUAGGGGAAUUUAAGAAACCAACUACCCAUGUACAUGUGAGCAUAAUUCACAAUGGCAUUACAAUAACUAAUUAAACAAAGAAGAAUACUGCAUCCAAGCACAUACCCGGGAUCCAGACAAGCCAAAGCUAUUAGCUUGUGUAAUUGAUGUGUGUUGUGCAAAUCAACUGGAAGUAGCUUAUAGCGGUCACUGAGCCCUUAUCCUCUCUACAAAAGUAAGAAAAAUUGCUAAAAUGAUGUUCUCAGAGGAGUUCAAAUAGUUAAAUGUGUACAACUACUGAGAUAAAUAUCCCUUUAGUCCUUCAUAGUUCAUACAGAGUUGGCAACAACAUUAGAUCAACCCAGCAUUCUCACCCAUUACUUGAAUAUACCGAAUUCACCACACUAGUUAAAAACUCACACUCUACUUAUUGCAAAAUUGUACGAAAACCACAAACAAGAUGAGCAUUAGUAAAGUUUGAAGUAUUUUGUGUGUUUUAAUCAGUAACAGUACAACCCCUAAGCAUCUAGUGUGCUCGAAGAAGCCGAUUCAACCCUGUCAAACUGAUCCAAUUACCCACCAGAAACAAACCCAAUAAAAGGAUUCAGCUUGUUGAAGAAGAGAGAUGAAAGUAGACCCAAACAGAGAGAAGAGAUGAAAUUGUACCUGAGAUCUUCAAUUCAGCAUAUGAUGGUGUGUUCCUCAGUCGCAUUCCCAGGCCUCAACACCAAAACGACGGCGACUGAACACCACCGAGUCAACUCGGCCUUUGAAGUCGGUGGCCCGUCAACCCGAUCAGGCAAAUUGAACUCGAUCACCAAACUUCAAGAAACGAAAAUCAAUUCCUAACUCAAGAAACGAAAAUGGAUCACCACCCACCUCUCUCUCCUAACUUCAGAUCUUUUUUGACAAAUCCUACCAAACUGAAGCUUCUUCAACACACCAAACCACUAUUCCCCAAUUAAAUCGAGCUACCCACCUCCAUAUCGUCGUCGCGGAGGGAGAAUUACCGAGAGUUAUGCACAACACGCGCUAAAAGCUUCUCCACCCGCUGCUUGACACGUGCUCCAGACAGCCGCAGUACUCAAGGUACUGCGUACAUUCCAGAACACACCAUACAAUGCAUACCAUUCAUUAAUCAUCUGUGCAAUGUAUCCAACUAAGAACAGCAGUAUGAUGAAAAUACCAAGCUUAGUCCUGUCACUGGCUGAAAAUUCCUUCUCCAAGAGAACCAAACAAGUUGCAAAUAAACCUACUUCACUGGAAACCGAGAUGAUCUCAACCAACUGAACCUUUUUCUUGAUAAACAUGCGGCUUCUUAAGAACGAGGAAGAAAAGUUGAAAAGAGGUUAUGCACAGUAAGGUAAUUGAAGGAGUUCUUGAAUUCCAUCUUUCCAUGUAGAGACCAGCCAUGAUCCCAACAGAAACCCUUUUCAAACAUUCUAAUAGUGUGUACGUAGUAUAUUCCGAGUAUACCAAACAGUUUCUGGAUAAAAGGUGCUUCUGCAUCUUCUGUUUCAUCAUCAGAGUCAAUAAUACGCUCACCUUGCUUGCGAGCAUUGCCCUCAGAAAUCUAAGAGAGCAUGUAUUUUGGAGGGCCUCUCAGAUCUUCAAAGAGAGGGCCAAAUAUAAUUAGAUAUACAGAGCUUGGUUUUUCUUUCCAUGUCCACUGACCUCUUUUUCCUGGACCCAGUGUCGCUCGGACAAUCUCUUGAAACCAUAGAAAUUUCUCUCCUUCUUGAUGUACUUCCUUGUAUUGAAGUAACUUCCCAAAUGUAAUGCCGACUGAGAGGAAAAGGAACAAGACAGCAAAAAAGAUGUGAUAGCCAACAACAGACAGCCAACUAUAACUCCAGAUGACGCUCCUCCUAGAACAAUGGAAGUAAGAAUUAUUACUUCCCAAAAGUCAUGAAAAGAAAGCAAGCAAGACAAUAUAGAGUUAUAGACACAAGUUCCCAUAUGCUAGACUAUCUGGACAUUAGUUCCAACAAUGCACGUCUUUACCAAAGCAUGAGAACUAGAAAAGGUUAAAAAUGUUUGGGAAGUACCUUUAACUAGUGCAGAGGAGGCCUCACAAAUACAAGGUAGUGCAAGAAUUACAAGAAAUAUCUCAAAUCUUGGGAAUGCGAGUGCUCCAUAACCACUCUGUCUCUCAGAAUUUUUCUUCCUCAGUUUCAGAAUGAAUAGGAGUAAAAUAUGUACUAGGAGCAAGCUACCACUACAGAAACAUGGUUCUAUCAAAAUUCCUCCACCUACAGAAACACAAUAAUUUUUAUUAGUCAAAAUGAAUAAAAGAUAUGUAUGUAGUUGUCAUUUGGAUGAUUAUUAGGCCAUUUUGCAAUGCCUAUAUAUAGAUAUGUAUGUAUAAGUGAUGCAUCCAGUUAACUUACCUGUUAGAGUUAUAAGAACCGGAGAGAUACUCGGCUUCAGGUUUAAAAUUUUCACCCUCCAACUGCAGAAUGCAACCACCAUAAGUAUAUACAAUUAUUUUAUACUAAUAUGAAGCAACUAAUUACAACUUUAAAAAGAAAAAAAAACACAUUUAUCACCUCAAAGAACGGUCUGUAUGCUAUUGGAGUAACUGGAAACCCAUAUACUGAAGUAACCUUAUCAGAACUCUCUUCUUCUAGUUGCUUGCUUUUGAAAAUUUCUGAAUCAUAACCUUCAGUAGUGUAGGACUUCGAGCAUACAGACUUGAGGUAUAAGGACUUCAGUGGUAUAAGGACUUGAGGCUUGGAAGCUCUUCCCAGAUUCCCAUGGGAGAUUGAAGUAAGGAAUACUCCAUUGUAAACCCCUUGAAAAUUCAUACAAUCAAUUGGCAAUGUAACUGCCAACCAUCUAGAGAGUGCAAAGAUUUGUAUAUGACAAGCAAUUCUCUGGAAAAGGGCAAACAGAGGACAGUUAAUUUUACAGUUGUUUAAAUUUGUCCAGAAAAGUUAGUGCUCAAAUGAUGCCACAGACCGGUCACUGUAUACAAGGUCUUCAAAUGUUUCAAAACGAAAAAUAUGUUUUCUAGAUACCUAAUCUACACUGUCUUAGGUCCUCCAAUCAUUAAUUUGACUAAGCAUGAAACCAAAAAGCUUUGGUGCCUUACAAAAAGAUUUCUUGCUGGAUGAGAUGCCAAAGAAGAUGCUCUCCUAAAUGUCCAUAGGGAUUUGGAGGCUUGCAGUUGAAAAGAGCAGUCACAAAUGUAGAUUGCAGAGAAGAUAUCAUGGGCACUGUAUCUGUAAAUUAGCCAUAUUUUACAUCAUUAAAUAACUGGGAAAAGAAACAGACAAACAUCCACACCUUUAGAUGAAAAUCCUUCAAAUUCACAAACUAUACACUUGCCAAUGCUGAUUAAAACUAAGUAGAAAAGGAAAUCCUUACAGUGUGAUACUUGAAGAACAUUUGAUGCUAGGUUUUUGUUUCCAGCAACAUCCCCAGAUAAGUUUUCAGGAACAUUAACCGAAACAAUAUCAUUAAUUGCUUCUAUAUUGACAGUGUUACAUACUCCUACUUAUUUCAUGAAAGCUGUAGAAUAGUAAAGAUUCUCUUAGGAUGUACAUUAAUAAAGGUAUAUAUUCUUCGGUGCCUCUGUAAAUGUCCUCCUGAGAGGACUAAAGAGGAGUUGAAACCAAAUACUGGCUUCAUGAACUUUAUUAAUAUGGGCAACCUAGGUUUAAAUAUCUGAGAAGUGUGUACGAGAAGCGGAUAAUGUACCUAGGUUAAUCCUUAGGAAAAAUGAAGGAAAAAGUUAUAGAUUGUUAAGGUGGGUUGAGGUAAUGGCACUUAUGUUUGGAGUACAAGAUCAAGGACCACAUAACUUUGGUAUAAAAAGUUAGUGGGCUCGGAAUACUUUUAUUAGUAGGGAGCCCUUCUAGUGAGGUUAACACUACUUAAAAAGCCCUUCUAGUAUUCAAAACACUACUUAAAAAGUUAGUGAUGUUUAUCAGUGGGCUGUCACUUUGGUAUUUAUAGUAUUGAUUUGUAUCGCAGGGCCGAAAUAGGUUAACCAUACGCUCAGAUUUUUGUAGAAGAGGUAAUGGAAAUUAUGGAAUUGGUUGAGUUAGACAGUCUCAAGGAUGCUCUAGUCGGACUACCUGGAAUUAUAGGGUUGUCAAGGAUGCUCUGUCUUUUAAUAAACACAGUAUAAACCCAAAGCAUCAAAAUCCUUCACUCUCCUCCUCGGCGUUCUAGCUGCUCAAGUUCCAUGUCCAACUAAUGACGUAAACUAGCUACUUAUGAUACUUCACACCUUCAUAAUUCUUCCCCAUUAAAAAUUCCCAAAACCUAGAAAAAUCAAAAACUUUCCUCAAACAUAUAUAAAACUCCAAAAACAGAAACCCCCACCGACCAGAAUCCUUUUUCUCUAUGUUUAAUUCAACUUUUCUCAAAAUCUUAUUUCUCUCUGCUUCACCUCUUCUUCUUCUCCGGUCCUCGCUCCCACUAAUACAUACAUUUAUCAAUGGCCAAAGAGAAGCAACAUAAAAGAGAAAAGAAGCUAAAUUUAUUUUUAAGGUUGCUAUAGUUUAGGUUUUGGGUUUUAUUUUUAUUUAUUAUUAUUUUUUAAAUUAACAAUUAAUGACUUGGCGUGUCGGAAAAGUCAACAUUUUCUGACACGCCGAUACGUGUCAGAGGCGAGUCGGCGUGUCGGACACUUUGACACUCCACUGGUAUGAAGUGUCAGUGCAACAUAGAUCCUCACUAAUUCUAGGACUUGGUCUCGAAUACUGAUUGUGAACUAUCCAAGAAGGGUACACUUCUCUUCGGGAUAGUAAAUAAAGCAAAAUCUCCUUUAUUACAUUUUCCCUUAUUACUAACCCCUUGAACAGGAGAACUUGAAAACCUAGGUAUGAUCUGCUUCUACAAAUAACAUGAUGCCUGAUUGACUGCUGUAUGAGGAGGUAAGCCGCUAGCCAGGACGACAUACCAGUCAUUGAUAGUGUAAAGAACUUGAACAUUUAGAUGCUCUGUGCACACUUUAAUCAGUCCAUCCCUCAAAACUUUUCAACUAACAACAGAACUUUGGAUCCCAGAACUUUCAACCAUAGAUCCAAACUUUGUAUAUUUUAAAAUAGACGGAAAAGCCACAUAACUGAAUAUAUAAACCAACUUUCUCUAAAUUCAGGGAUCAUAUCUUAUCAGCUAGAAUAACCUUUAGAACUAACCUUGUAUAAUUGAGUAACACGAAACCAGAACCCAGCAGAGCAACAUAUAAAGUAGCAGGAAAUCAGAAUGCAGCUGCUGAAAGUAAAAAUCAGAAUCCUAGUGUUCCUUACUUUUGCUAACCAUACUAUUAAUACCAGAAUCUAAAUGCUUCAACAUAGAACCUGAAUCUUUCUAGAAUUCAAAUUUGGCAUUUUUUCAGAUUCUAGCUUUCAUCAAACUGAAUGUCCGAAUUGUGGACUAAAUUCACUACUGCAGUGCACAGUAUACAACAAAACAAAAGGGCCGGAUGCUCACAUUAGCAAAAACUAUAUGGGACGGUCGAUAAGACAUGUCUUACUUAGACGCUAUUCAACAAGUAAUCCAACAAAUAAAGGAAUAGAAGGGCAUAAAUAUAGGCAAAUGUUUUCAUGCACAGCUAGUUAGGAGUUCUGAAUACAAACGGGUGAAAUCCAAUCCAUAGCAUAAUGAACUACAAUGUUGUGUGCAUAAACAUUUAAAGAUCAUUGUUAGUAAGGUAAUAUAAAGUGACAAAAAGGUCUAUGGUAAUGCCAAAGCUGAGAAAAAAUUGACUAUUUGUGACAGCAAAACUCAGAUUUGUGAAAAAUUGGUUCUUAUGAUCGUUGUAUGAAGACAAACAGGAAUAACAAGUUUUUCCUACAUUUGUUUCACUCGAUCUCUUUCCUCAAAUCCUAACCCCAGUUCUGGAAGGCCAAUUUUCCCUUGAAAGAUGCUCAAUAAUUCAGGUACUUGCUCUUUAUACUUGUCCACAAACCUAUGCAAGAAGUGGUCUUUCCUUCCCAUUAAUGCGGUGCCAACUAAAGAAAAUUGUCCCUCCCUUAUUAAGCCCUUCAACAGCAGAACUCUAAUAACUGACCACCUAGGUAUGAUCCACUUCUCCAAACUAUAAAUUAGAAUACUGGGAUAUUUAGCCACAUCAGCCGGCUGCAAACCAAUUUCGUUCACAAGAAAAUCCAUUUUACUUGAAACGUUCUUCUCAGAGACGGUUAUAAAGAUGGGAUUCUUACUAAAUGCCAACAAUAUAUCAUCUUCAGUCCAUCCACACUUUCUAUAAAACUCCUUCUUCUGUGCCAACUUUUCAUCCAUCACAGAAAUUACAUACAGUGCUUUCAAAAACCCAAAGCUUGAAGGUGAAAAUCCCAUGCUGAUGACCUUGUUGACAUUUCCAUUAAACUCAUCGGCAUCGGUUGACGUUGUAACCAGAGUCUCAGGCCUACACAGAUUGAGUGUGGAUUCCGGCACUUUUAGUGACCUCAGAAAUGAAACAUUGUGGGAAACAUUGCUCAGUAUUUUGGCCUUAAACAUCCUAUGGGAUUUCAUAAUGAAACAAGGGACCUUUCCAUCAGGGGUACCUAUAGUCUUGAUGAUAUCAUAACAAGGUCUGAUAUUAUUCUCUAAGCUCAUCUUCAAGACAAUUGGGUUACCGCAAAGGGCCUGAAUGAGAUCAGUGCCUGUAAUUCCAACAGAGCCAAAGAACUCGAGUUUCGGCAAAAGGGUCUUCUCAGCAUUGACUACGAGCAGCUCUGGGAGUUUCUUGACAAUUUCGGAGAUGUGGGUAUCCCCAAAUCCAUGGUCCUUGAAAAGCUUAACAACAGAGUCUGGUUUUUCUGGGGAGUCAAACUGUACCCUCUGCUUCUUGAACAAAGAGAGAGCAAGUUCUGGGGAUAACCCACAUGAGUUUAUAAGGUAUGAAACUGUAAAAGAGCAAUCUUUUUCAUCUUGGGUAUUUCCUAACAAUGAUUUAGAUGUGUAUAAUCUUGUAAAAUGAAGAUAGGUAGUUAAAUUAACAGCAUUCCUACUGGGAAAUAGUAACUGCAAUCAUCUACAGCAAAAACCGAGCAUAGUUGGAGCACACAGUCUAUCAGAGGCAAAGUAUUUGAAAGCAAAGAAGAAGCAACUCACCGAAACACUUGCUGUUGAUCAAUUGAAUUGAUCACUUCCUUCUUCAAAUUCGGAUCCUAGGGUUUUCUGUAUCUUCAUCGAUUUGGGGUUUUAGGGUUUUUGAAGCUCAGCUCAGUAAAGUAGGAAGGCCAGCAGUAGUAAUUAUGUGUGCAAGUGAAAUAUAUGGCUUUAUACUCGAGAGUAAAUUUAACUAAAUAGUAAGAAGUAAAGGAGUGAUACGGGGACAUCAAAACUUUUUAACAAAAACGAAUACCAAAUGAUGUGGCACUACCCACGUCAACACUUUAAUUUUGAUAUAUUGAUAACAUGGAUUUUGUGACCUUAGCUUAUUGAUGACAUGAAUUUUCUAUUAAACAAAUUUAAAAAAUUAAAAUCCUCAAUUUUUCCAUCUCAAACCCUAAUUCAUUAAUCUCACGAACUUUUCAGAUCAUUGUUUUUCACAUAAAAUGUAGAGAAUAAAGAAAUUGAGACUGUCAUACUACCAUGAAAUCAUCUACAAAUAACAUCAACUCAACAAGCUUCAAAAAUCUUUGGAAACAAUAAUUUGAUUUGCAGCUCACUGGGUUUUGGUUCAAUCUGUAUGUAAUCAUCAUAAAAUGGUGUUUCGAUGUUAACAAUUAUCACAUGCCUACGAACAUGCCCUAAAAUGCAUAUAUACACUGAUACACACACACAUUCACAUUUCCCCAUCAUUCAAAUAUGGUAGUUUGGUUUUGCAAUAAUGGUUAGAGAGAUUGAGAUUGUAAUUUUUUUCAUGACACGAGUAUGGUGUAGGCGGAGGCAAGCAUCAGUAAAAUGGUGAAGAGACUGAAUAUCUAAUUUGUAAUUUUCAAUUUACAACAAAUGUGAUACAUAUUUAAAAAUAAAAAUAAUCAAAAUUCACCUCACCAAUAUUAAUUUAAUGUCAAAUGUUGACAUGGCGGUUGCCACAUCAUUUGGGAUCCAAUUUUUGUAUAAACAUUUCGGAUCUCAAGCAUUUUCCUUAAUUUUGUAGGUCUGUUUGACUCUGGAUUUUGAAGUUUGAACUUUGAAGCUUUAUAGACAUUUGAAUCGACAUGAUAUAACCGUAAAAUUGUGUAGUUGGCUUAUAUGAUAAUUAUUCUUUAUAAUCGGUAGACUUUGUGGUUUGUGGUAAAACUUGAAGGCAUGGUUAUCUUUGUUCAUUCUAGGCCAUGGCUGCCGACACAUUUUUAUAAUUCUUGAGACAUGACCCAACCAUGUGAGAUAGACCACCACUGUAUACAUUAUAUAAGGCAUUGCUUUAUUGAUUAUACAAACAUACAUAAUGCUCUAUGCCUCUCCCCCUGAACGUUUGGAGUUGGAACGUUCGAGUCAGAAGACAAACUCAUCAAUGCUCUCGUGUAUCCAUCAUUCAUAUCUUAUCCUUCCUUCUCUACAAAUAAAAUAACAUAGGAUUCCCUUAUCAAAUAAUGCAUAGCGAGUGAUCAAAUAAUGCAUCGCGCGUGCAGGAAGGUUAGUAUAAAAUGAUAUAAAUAUUGUAUCAAUUACACGACGAGGUGAAAAUAGAGGGGAGAAAANNNNNNNNNNNNNNNNNNNNAAUUCUUGACACAUUGCAAUAUUUUGCAUGUGGGUGACCCGACCAUGUGAGAUAGACCACCAUUGUAUACAUUAUAUAGGGCGUUGCUUUAUUGAUCAUACAUACAUACAUAAUGCUUUAUGCCUCUCCCCCUAAACAUUUGGAGUCGGAACGUUCGAGUCAGAAGACAAACUCAUCAAUGCUCUCGUGCAUCCAUCAUUCAUAUCAUAUCCCUCCUUCCCUGCAAAUCAAAUAAUAUAGGAUUUCCUUAUAUACUCUUUCCACCACACAAACACAAACACAAACACAGGAUAUAUUUUUCUGGUUUGCCUUUUGCGAUCAUUGCCUCAUCAAGCCGGAACAAACCUUAUUGUUCUUUAAAAGAACAAUCGUGAUUUUAUCUUUUUUCUAUAUACAUCUUUCCACACACCAAACGAGGGUAUUUUUUUUGGGACAAUUCUUACUAAUCUUGAUUUUAAGAAUUUUAUUUCUACCAACAAAAUCAGAUUGUAAAAUUCUCAAAAUUCAGCUUAAAUAAUAAAAAAACAGUUAUACAUUUAAUAAAUUAAAUAAACUACAAUAUGGUUUAUUAUGAAAUUAAAAAAAUCUAUGACCGGAUUCCCCAGACCCAUGAUGUUGGCCGAACUCCGACGACUUUUGACCAGAUUUCAGUCUACCAUUGACCGGGCUCCAACGACCUUUUACCAGAUUCCGACAAUCAUUGGCCGAACUCCGAUGUACCUUUGACCGUUGACCGGACUUCGGCGAUAAGGGUUCUAUAGGGGGCAAUAGGGGUAUGUCGGGGUAUGUCGGGGGGUCUAUUAGGGCAAUAAAAAGUAAUAGAUCGGACUUCAACGACCUUCAACCGGAUUCCAGCUACCUUUGCCCCCAAUAGAACCCUUAUUGUCGGAGUCUGGUCAACGGUCACCAGGUCUAUUGUGGAGACUAUUGAGGGUAGUAUGGGAUCUAUUGGGUGUAAUAGAGGUCUGUCGAGAGGGUCUAUUAAGGGUAAUAGAUGUCUAUUAGAGGCAAUUGGGGUGUUUAUUGGGAGCAGUAGGCGGUGUGUUAUAGGCUAUUUAUAGGAGUAGGGGGUCUAUAGAGGGUAGUAGGGUUCGUCGAGGGGUCUAUUGAGGGCAAUAUAAAGUUUGUCUGGGAAUCUAUUGGGGCAGUAAGGGGUCUAUUAGGAAUAGUAAGGAUCUAUUAGGGAUAGUAGGGGUCUAUUGGGGGUAAUAGGAGGUCACUGAACUCCAUCUUACUUUAUCGACCACACAUAUCAUUAAUAAAUAAUACUAAUUUAAGUCCAAGGUGAUAGUGGCCUACAAAUAUAAACGCAUGAGGCUUGCCAUGCACCAUCCAUCUUAGUCUAACAAUUAAAUUCUAGAAAACUACUUGAUACAAAUAAUUUGUGUGAGCUUCAUUUGCUAGCUUCAUGAAAUGCCUGAGCAAGUUGAUCCGGCUCUGUUUUGAUACAAGAUAGUGUUCUCCGUUACUUAUUUCUAAUACCACAUACGUCUUCACUACUUAUAAUUGCGUGAAGUGCCAAUGUAGUUAUGCAAAUAACUGGACGUGAGUGCAUUUUUAACCAGUUUGUUGGUUUGUUUUUAUGUGGAGAAUUCUCAUUAAGUUUCAAAUCUCUGCAAUUUUCAUUUGUGGCCGUAUUACAUAUUUACAUUGCAAGCCAUGAUAUCCUAAUAAUCAAAAGAGUUAAAAAAAAAAAAUGGCACCAACUCUCUCAUCCCAAUAUGACUUUGCACAACAAACAUAUGUCUCAGCCCAUUCUCUUCUUGAGUGGUACAAACAGAGCCAAACCCCAUCCCACCGUCAACCCAUCAACACCGGCCUAAUCAAAUCAUGCGCCUAGUCACAGUCACCACACCACCAACCACAUCCAAAUUUGAGUACACUUUCUUAAUGUACUUGAUCAUCUCAAUUUGAUAAAUAGAGUUCCCAUGUGAGCUAUCCAACUCCACCACAUCAAUCCCAGCCUUCGCCAACUCCUUCAACCUCUACUUACUUGACUGUCUCGUCCCAAUCGCCGCCUCGACCAACCAUAACUCUUCGAGCCCAACCGACCCAGCCCCCCGUACUUGCUAAGUGCUUAAGUUGAAUUGCUAUGAGCUUGAAGGUAGAGGUAGCCGGAGUUGGAUUGGGUGUUAGCGGCUGAGAAGAGGGUUGCACAUGAAGUGACGACGGAGGUGGAAUAGAGAGAGAGAGAGAGAGAGAGAGAGAGAGAGAAGAGAGAGAGAGAGAGAGAGAGAGAGAGAGAGAGAGAGAGAGUAGUAGUAGUAGAGNNNNNNNNNNNNNNNNNNNNNNNNNNNNNNNNNNNNNNNNNNNNNNNNNNNNNNNNNNNNNNNNNNNNNNNNNNNNNNNNNNNNNNNNNNNNNNNNNNNNNNNNNNNNNNNNNNNNNNNNNNNNNNNNNNNNNNNNNNNNNNNNNNNNNNNNNNNNNNNNNNNNNNNNNNNNNNNNNNNNNNNNNNNNNNNNNNNNNNNNNNNNNNNNNNNNNNNNNNNNNNNNNNNNNNNNNNNNNNNNNNNNNNNNNNNNNNNNNNNNNNNNNNNNNNNNNNNNNNNNNNNNNNNNNNNNNNNNNNNNNNNNNNNNNNNNNNNNNNNNNNNNNNNNNNNNNNNNNNNNNNNNNNNNNNNNNNNNNNNNNNNNNNNNNNNNNNNNNNNNNNNNNNNNNNNNNNNNNNNNNNNNNNNNNNNNNNNNNNNNNNNNNNNNNNNNNNNNNNNNNNNNNNNNNNNNNNNNNNNNNNNNNNNNNNNNNNNNNNNNNNNNNNNNNNNNNNNNNNNNNNNNNNNNNNNNNNNNNNNNNNNNNNNNNNNNNNNNNNNNNNNNNNNNNNNNNNNNNNNNNNNNNNNNNNNNNNNNNNNNNNNNNNNNNNNNNNNNNNNNNNNNNNNNNNNNNNNNNNNNNNNNNNNNNNNNNNNNNNNNNNNNNNNNNNNNNNNNNNNNNNNNNNNNNNNNNNNNNNNNNNNNNNNNNNNNNNNNNNNNNNNNNNNNNNNNNNNNNNNNNNNNNNNNNNNNNNNNNNNNNNNNNNNNNNNNNNNNNNNNNNNNNNNNNNNNNNNNNNNNNNNNNNNNNNNNNNNNNNNNNNNNNNNNNNNNNNNNNNNNNNNNNNNNNNNNNNNNNNNNNNNNNNNNNNNNNNNNNNNNNNNNNNNNNNNNNNNNNNNNNNNNNNNNNNNNNNNNNNNNNNNNNNNNNNNNNNNNNNNNNNNNNNNNNNNNNNNNNNNNNNNNNNNNNNNNNNNNNNNNNNNNNNNNNNNNNNNNNNNNNNNNNNNNNNNNNNNNNNNNNNNNNNNNNNNNNNNNNNNNNNNUUCAUAUAAUUAACGCCUGGAGUUGGAUCUCUCUUUUUUUUUAAGUGGAUUUUUAACUUUGGAGUGAAAGACUUGGUAGGGGGAGAGUUGUGGCUGAAUCCCCUUUCUCUUCCUUCAGUUGGAGCUUUUUGGUUUCAUCCAACACUCUUCCGUUUGACAUCACUGAUCCCGACAUGACUCAGCGUGACAUGGCGAGACGACAAAUCUCAAAAACUUAAGAUCUGACAUAACUUGGACAUGACAAAUUAUACUAAAAGCAUGAAAUAAAAAAUUAUGAUAUAAAUUUUGUUUUGUUUUUGUUUUCUUUGCGUCAGAACACCCAUGCAACCACUCUCUUUAUUUUUGACCCAAUCCUUCUCUAUGACCCCCGCGGGCCAAAUGGGGAGAAAACCCGUAGGUUUCUCGCCCUUGCCCCCCAUAUGCCCGUUCUUAAUUACUCUCCGUCUCUAUCUGACUAAACUCACCCAAAUCCUAUCCACCUCUUUGGAAACCAAUCCACUUCUUCUUCUUCACUCUCAAUUCAAAUUUCAGUUUCAAUUUCAAAAGUCUCUCUCACCACAAGCUUCUCUCUCUUUUGUAUGCAAUCUUCUCCUUCAAGCCCUGAUUGGAGAUCAAUGUUGCUCCUAGGCUCUGGCCACCAGGUUGACUGUGUUUGUUUGCAUUGGCCCGUCAAGACACUACGACUUUAGUGACCUGAACUCGCCGCUCGACCUGAGGACUCGAUCUGACAAGGACCUAAGCUCGGGUUUGCAGAGCCACUCGUCACUCAAGUGCUUAAAUAAUUUGCUGAUGAGCGUUCGUAUGAAUCUCUGCGUUGAUGUGCUGUGUUAGAAUGAUGAGGUGGCAUGUCAUUCAAAGUGUCGAGGCCGUGUUUGAAAAGUCAAGAUUUUGAACACUCCACAUGGCGUUUCGGAAGUCGUGUCCGGCCGUUUCAGCAUGUCAGGAAGUGUCAGACAGUUCGACUCUCCAUCAUCUGGCGUGUCCGUGCAACAUAUCAUUCGACCGUUGAACCACACCUCUAUCAGCCAGUCGAGCCCGAUCGUCUUCAAUAGCGUCGAACCCCAAUACCUGACCAUUGUGACCACGCAUUAUCACCAUGCCCAAGUGGUUCCCACCAGGACCCUAAAACAAAUUGAUCCUGGAGAAAAAUUAAGGAGGCCUCUAUAGGUAUAUUGACUAUUUCUAUUUAACACAAGAUCUCCUAAUCUCAUCAAGACAAGAAGAUGGCGACUUGGAAUCAACAAGAAUUGAAGAUUUGCAUGAUAUCAAAGGUAUUUCAUUGGUGUGUUUCUCUCAAGGUAAUAAGAUUUGAAUAUCUUUAUCAUUAUGGUAAGUUGAUCUCUCUACAUUAUAUUCAGGAAAUUGAGUAAAUACUUUGAUUUGCUCUUACUUCUAUAUCUGGUGUCUUGGAAGAUUGUUUUGAUUGAUCGUGUGCUGUAACUAAUUUGAUAAAGUGAUUUCAAUUAAGGAUGUGAAAUAUGAUCUCUGAGUGUUUGAUUCUAGUGAACUGAUAUGCAAGGAUAUUAAUAUGAGAUGUGUGAUUGCAAGUUUAAGGAAACAAUCAAUUUGGCCUAGGCAAAUUGAUGAUUGACUUAUGAUGAGAUUCUCAAAUUGAUCUUGUCACUAAUGCAAUAGUUGAGGGGAGAAUUUUAUUCUCUAUAAAAACCCUCGGCUAUAGACUAUAAAUGUCAAUCUUUUUGUAUGUAUUGAGAAAAAACUUUGAUAUCAUUGUAUCUGAGUUGAAAUUGUUCAUGCUCUUGUUACAAACUGCUUGUGUGAGUUUUUAUUACAAACUAAGUCUCUCUCUCUCUCUCUCUCUCUCUCUUACUUGCACCAGGUUGCAAUUGAGAUUGAAGAAGCUAAAGACUGUUUGGAGAAUAAGUUGUUGGUUGUGUUAAAGAACCAAGCAAACCAGGUUGUGCAAAGAACUUUGAAAGUUGGUUGUGUGGAGAACCAAAGCUUUUGGUUGUAAGAGAGAACGUGAAGAUAAAUAUGAUAGUGGGAUAGUAUCAGUUGAUUGAUAUUCAGUUUCUCUUUGUAGAGAUACAUGAAUUAGAUCUUGAGUGUGUAGAUUGAAAGGUGUAAACACAUAUGUGCUUAGUUCCUUGUGUAGUUGUGUUAAGAACUACCAAUCUUUGUAAACUCUGAUUAAAGAUUAGUGGAAUAAUCUUACCUGCAGUCUUUUCCCUCAAAGAGGUUUUUGCACCAGGUCUUUGAAGAAUUCUUGUGUUGAUUUACUUGCUUCUAUACAUUCAUUUUAGUAUCUUUAGCCUCCACACGCUGAAAUCAUGUUCCCUCAAAAAUUUAAGGUGGUUGCAGACACGACCACUGAAUGACGGCUAGCCUCACCCGUAACAGAACGCUAGCAGGUUUUUUUCAUCCAUGAGAAUCAAGCACUUAUCAUUGUUUUAGUUUUAUUGGCUUGUUUAAGAUUUUGAGGACAAGAUGAUCUUUUUUUCAUGGUAAUAAUGUGUUGUUUGUUAUAUAUAUGACCGAUCAAAAGUAUGGAUCAAAUUAUAGAUAAAAAAAUAAUAAUAAUAUAAAAAAAAAAUAAUUUCAGUUUACCCCUCUUGAGAUUUGGAGUUAAUAUCGUUUCACUCUCCAUACUUUUAAUUUUGAAAAUUUACCCCCUAAAGUUCCAAUUUUUAUAAGUCAAACACAAUUGUUAAAAUUUCUUCAAAUUUGGAGGUUAAAUAAUAGUAUGAAAUCUUAGAAAAAAUAUCCUAAAAGGCGAUUUAUGUUAUUAUAAAACUAUUUUAGCCCUUUUAGUGAGUUAUGAAGUCAAAAUUAACGUUUGAAUUAGACAAAAUUUCAGCAAUUAGGCAUGAUUUAUGAAAAUUGAAAACUUUAGGUGGUAAAUUUUCAAAAUUAAAAGCCUGAGGAGUGAAACUAAAAUUAAUCAAAAAGAAAAACAUAGGUACACGUUGCAUUCGAUGGCACGCGCUCUCUCUCCGUUUUUGGAGAGGGCUAUAAAUACAAUACAAUACAACGACCACGCUACAAUUCAAAGAAAGAGCCAACAUUGGAAGAAGCUAAUUAAUAUACUGCGAUCCCCCAACGGCUGUUUUCUUUAAAAAAAAAAACCAAAAACCAAAAACAAAAUAUAACAAACAAAGAGGAGACGAUGACAAUUUCUCCUUUGGCGUCGUCGACAUGGGGGGAUGGAUCCCUUUGCCCUUUAACAGAAGUAGCUAAUAGGUUAGAAAUUGAGGCGAGAGGUGUAAGUGGCUUUGGGAGACCAGUUGCUUGGAAUGACAUCCCGGGCGGUGAGGCUUCUUGCAGUUGAUAGUGUGGUUAUCUUGACUGAGAAUGGCCCUCUCAAAGGUCCUCCUCCUUCGAUGCACCAACUUGCUCCCCAGACAUGCCUCAUCGCUACCCACUCACUAGAGCUUGCCUGCCAUUCAACCAUAUAUCGAUCGUGGUAUAUAUAUAUAUAUAUAUAUAUAUAUAUAUAUAUAAAUAAAUAAAUAAUUCCAUUCGAAUGAAAUAAAAUUAGUUACUUAAUUCUCUUUGUCUGUUUCGUUUGUGCUUUUAAAAAAUAAAAAAUAAAAAAUAAAAAAUUAGUUACUUAAUUAAGCAUAUAUGGCCUGGUACGUACUUGUCUUAUAUGCAUUGCUCCGACGUCUCCAUCUCCAUCCUCAAACUCAACCAGGAGUGAGAGCCAAUAGUUGGUUGAACCUUCAUUCACAUGGAAGGCCACCUGCUUCCCGGGAUAUUUACAUGGUGUUCUAUAUAUACAUAUAGAGGAAGAUAUAUAACAACAUCAACAUCGCGCGUGGAAGGGGCCGGGCAUGGAAAUUGAGAAAGUCGAUCCGAAACGACAAAACAUGACCGUUAGAGGAGGAAAUGGCAACACACACAGUAAACAAACAAAAAGGAAAUUACCGUCGGUAUAGAACGGAGAGUUCGCCUCGGUUUCUGAGGAGGGCAUGCUCUCCGGCAAUAGCCAUGCGGCCAAAGGCUGCGCCACUGAGGUCGAAGUGGGUCCGCCCACCUGAGCAGUAGCCACCAGGGCACUCGUCGGUGACGAUUAUGGUGACGGCUCGCCUGGAGCAAAUGGAUUUGUCCAAACACUUGACUUUGUAACACGCGCCGCAACCCUCUCCGUUGUUGAACAGCACCGGGCUGACAGCGCCCACUCUCGCUCUCAAAGGCUUCACGUCGACUAAGGAACCGUACCCACAUGCGCCGCCGUCACUGCCGUCACCUUCGGGGCUCCCAUACCAGGUGGCUGUGGCGGGAAGCCAAUGCGAUGAUGAUGAGCUGCUGCUGCUUUGAUGAGCUGCUGAAACCAUUAUUGCUGCUGCUAGCAUUAAGAAAAGCCCAAAUCCACGCCGCGGAAGGAAGAGGAGCUGCAUUAUUAUAUAUUUUUACUAUGUGGAAUUGGCGGAAGCGGCAGCACCGGCCGGUGUGAAGAGAUCUGCCGCUGCCGACACCACGAGCAAGAGAAGAGAGUGAGAGAGAGAGAGAGAGAGAGAGAGAGAGAGAGAGAGAGAGAGAGUACGUAANNNNNNNNNNNNNNNNNNNNGGCUUCAAGAAGGGUUUAAUUCGGGGAGUGGACUGGUCGAGUGUUAUGUAUAGUGUGCACAAGUUUAAUAAUGCAAUGUUUACACCACUACCACGGAAUGUUAGUUUAUUUUAGUAGAGAGAGAGAGAGUGCCCCACCGACGACGGUUAAGGCGUUAAAUGCGCAUGCUGAUAUCCCGCAAGUACGCACAGUAUCUGUUGGGUGUUUUGGUCAUUCCGGUGCUUGAUACCGUUAAGGCUGCACGUGAUCUCGCUCAGUGGCCCAGACUUGACCAACGUAAUAAUGUGACAGCUGCUUUCUUUUGUCGACUUGUUAGGUCACUUGUGUGUUAAUUUUUUUUUUUAUUUACUUACUAAAAUGUCUAUUUUUGUUUAUUAUUGACAUGUCUCAUCAAAUAAUUUAGUUUUAUUCUUGAUAACAAAAUAUACAUGUGUCAAUAAUAAAGAAAAAAUAUACAUUUUAAUGGGUGAAUAAUUAUUGUUGGUAAAUUUUUAGCCGUAUUUUUCAUCUUAUGUAUGUAUGACGAGUCUAAUUUCAGUCUUACUUAAUGGAUUUUGGGAUAGCUAGAUCGCAAAUAAGAGGUAUAAUUGUAUUCUACCGUACUAUACUAUAAAGCUUAAAUACACCGCAUGGAAGAAACAAAGAGUGACCUAGUGCCUCUUUCUCGGGUAGUUAAAAGCAGGAACAACUUUUGGAAGAGACAUGUGUGAAUCCAUUGAGCAUUACAGCAUCAUUAGCACAAAGAAGAUAUAUUAAGAACAUGUCAUGGCCCCUUCAGUUGUGGCCUUGUGGGUGUGAAUGAGUAUCUGAUUCAUACUUUCUAGAAAGGACCCAGUUUUCUUACUUUUACCUUUCUUUUCUAACCCCCUUUCUUAUUCUUUGUGGUUUAGGACCUGAUUGUUGUAGGUGCUUUGCUUUUUAAGGGUGUACUUGGGUCGUGUUGAAAUCCAGGUGUGGGCACAUGCAGAUCCAGCUUUACAGAAGCAAAGCAGACACCAAGUUUUCCAAAGGUACAAACCACUGCCUAACAAACAAAUUCUGAUAUGAAUAUGAUAGCAGCUGUAGCUAUGUAUGCGUCAAGUUCAUUGGGGCAUACACUGAUCAAUCCAAUAAUAAUUUGUCCAUCAAACACUACCAGCCUAACAAGUCGUUAAUGAAACAAACAACCAGCCCCCAUGUGGGAUUUCUGAAUUUUGUUACACUCAAAUACUUCCCCCAUAAAUGGGAUUGAAUCCCUUCUUCCCCGUCAAUGAUGCAAAACAAUAUAAGCAAAAUACAGAUACUGAUUCUUGACCAUAACAAUCGUGCAAAGCUAACAGCCAUGAAGAAAAAUAAAAUCUUCAGUUUCAAAUGAACAAGCUGGCUGAAAACCAGACUAUUAAUAGUUGAGAGUUGCACAUAAAAAUUGCUACAUACAAAAGUCAACUAGGUAUGUAAUUAAACAGAGUUCAAGUAUAUACUCUAUGCUGCGUGCGUGCGUGUGUGUGUGUGUGUGUGUGUGUGUGUGUGUGUGUGUGUGUGUGUGUGUGUGUGUAUUAAUAUAUAAAACAUUCUAUAGUGUUAAGUUAACACUGAUGAAUUGAUGUCCUAAAUAUUUCAUUAGCUUUGAUUGCGUAUACAGUGACAGAGUUUAAAUUUGUACUUGUUCUAAACUGUAGUUCCACGUUCCAUCUGUCGUAAGUGAAUGAAUGUUAAGCCUCUGAUACUGACUUGUCCUACAAACAUCAGAUGGAGAUGACAACGCUCUUAUUUUGCCUUCGCAAGAGCACCAAAUAGGGGCAACUCCAUACAAACCAUUCUACCUGUUUAUCUGAUUUAGAAAUGAGGGGGGAAAAAAAACAAAGCAGAAAGAAUUAAUAACAGAAUAACAGUCCCACUUACAUUGUAAACUCAAAUUAGCAAUCGAAAACUGUGACAGCCGCCAAAUGAGAGAUACGGUUCAUCUCAGGUCGAUAAAUGUGGAAUCCUAUGUUGCCAAAUAUCUGGACUAGAUUCAAAAGAACCAUGGCAGUUGCCAAAGUAUGAUUUAGGAACUAAUGAUCACCCAUCCAUACAUGGUUUCACUAAUUAACAGUGGCAACCUUAGAUAUAGUAUAUAACUAUAUAUUGGUUGACAUUUGACAAGCAAAGUAAGAUUAUCUAGGUGUACAGUAUAUGUGUUAUACAAGUACGAGAAUUUCUUAUUAUACUCCAUGGUCUGAUUCGGACCGAUGACUGUCGGUCUAUUAUACAACAAUCAGACAUCUAAUUUUCUCUCCUUUUCAGUUACUCUAAAGAAAGUAGUAUCUAAAAAUGAAUGAAGAAGAUAAAAAUCAGAAUAAGAAAACAGUGGAAAAGGUACGAGUUUGAAUUGAUUGAAUCUUGAGAAUGGCCUUUGAUGAACACAUGCCCUGAACACUGACUAUUAAAAGGAUUUUAAGAAUUUUACCUUCUUGUUGAUCCUUGUAUGCCAAGCAUCUGACCCAUAGAUAGGGUCACCAAUGACAUAAGGAGGUGGGUGAUUCAGGAGUGAAACCCUCUCGGGAACAUAAUCAUCAUCACUAUCAUAAUCAUGAUGUGGCCCAAAAGCUUUGAGUAUCAUUGCCAAUAGAAGGGUUAGUCCCUGCAAAGAGAAGACAAUGGAUGAUCAACAGAAAGUAGACAUAAAAAAUACAAAAGUAAACUUCAGCCUAUACAAUACAAUCAGCCAUGGAUUUUACAAAAUAGACAUGAGAGAAGAAAAGUAAUACAAAUGGAUUAGCCAUGCUGCACGAACCAGGAAUUCCAGAAAUAGACAUGAUCAUUUCAUUUUUGAAAUCAGUACAAACUUCCUAUUCCAUUACAGACUAAGCAUCAAUCAAACAAGGGAAUAAAAUCAGAGAACAUCCGGAAAUCACACUUUUAGAGUUCUUAACAAAGUUACCAAAGUGACGGAGGUAAAGAAUCAAAGAAACAUGCACUACUGAAGCUAAAGACUAAAUUUCUACGUAGCCUCUUGAUAUUUAAUAAAGAUUAGUAAAAAGAAGUCUUCUUUCUAUUUUUUUUAUUUUUAAUGAUAGAUACUUCAUUCAAAGCCACAGAACUAGGCAGAAACAAACAUUGCAGAAGGAAGAAAUACAGCAAAGCUACUGAGUACAAGGUAAAUAAACAAAAUAAACAAAAACACAGUAGGUAGAGGAAAUGGGGACUAGCUAGGUCCUGAGAGGCCGUCAUUCCACAAAACAGAUAGUACAGAGGUUAGGGGCCUUUCAGUCCAUUCCUGGGAGCACAUCUCUUUUGAUUGCCUGGGAACCAACGAGGUUAGCAUAACAGGGACACAACCUAUCUUUUGCUAGCAAAACCAAUGCUUGGAAGGAAUUACAAUCAUGGACAGGGUAAGCCCAAAGUUUAUGCGCAUCUGUAUAUGAGAUUGAAUGUAUAGUGUAGUUCUCUCAGUGAGCGACAUUAUUAUUCCACUUCAAAAGGUAAGGCAAUGAUCUAGAUGCAUUUUCUAAGUCCCAACUCACAGAUCAUCCACAAAAAGGAGUUCAAUGCUUUCAAUAAUCUAUCUGCACCUCCAUUAAUCCAGCUUCUCCACUUGUCUUUUCGCCCCUCUUUUUUUUGUAGUUUUGAAUGAAACCUAGCAACUUGGAGCUGGUUCCCCAGCUUGGUACCCGUUGCAGAUAGGCAAGAUAAAAGUAGCAAACCAAUCUGUCAUGUCUCAACAUAUGGAAAAUAUGUGGCCUCCGUUGGUGGAUGGAAAAUCUCUUAAAUUAGUUUAUGGAUGGAAAAUCUCUUAAAUUGAUUGAGUGACCUCCAUUUUCUCAUUCAGAAACCUAGGGGUGCAAUCUUUCUGACAAAGGGAUGCAGAUCAAAAAAUAUGGUUGGGUACAUUAUGGCAAUUACUUCCUCCUAUUUACAUGAUACAUCAGUAUUUAAUUAGUUGGGAUUUUAAAGCAAACUUACAAGUAUAACACUAGAAUCGACUCAUUCCUAAAGGUUCUCUUCUAUCUCAAUCCAUGUAUACAUUUGAUCUCAUUCAAUGUGAGCAACUUCUUGAUGCACGUAUAUUUGAGUUUCCACCAUCUUUAUGUUAUUCCCUCACUACAGGUGAGAGUGUCAAUACUAUAGUUGGCUUUGAGGUCCAUCAAUCUCAUCAUCAGUUGUGUUGGCAUUACAUAUGCCAUUUACUUUUUACCUAUCUGGUUGUUCGUCUCUAGAGCUAUCCCUACGGCACUACAACACAAAGCCUUCUGCUUACUAGAAAGCUCUUAGAUUGAUCCUGACUUUUGUAAUGACACAAAUCCAAAGCAACAGUUACACCCACUAGAUUGCUGCAACAUAGUACUGUGUCAUGGUUCAGCUACUUCUGUGAUUAUGGCUUUUGUUGUUACUUUUCCAUACUUAUGUUAUCUCUCGACACCAACACCUAUGCCUUGCAAUAAGGAACAAUUAAAGUUUGGAUUUUCUUAUGAAAGGCCUAAAAAGGCUCUUGUAUGAGGAAGCACAUCAAAUUCAAAACUCAAACCCACUUUCAUGUUCUUCAAAACUAACCCAAGCUUCAUUUUAUUUUCUUUUUCUUUUUCUUUUGUACAAUUCCUUUAUUUAUAACUAAGUUUUUUAAAAAAAACUCAAAAGUGUGUUUGGGUUUAAAAAAGCAAUCCCAAACAAGCCCCAAGUAUCUUCUUCUUUUUUUUGUUGAAUAAAGCCCCAAGUAUCUUAAGAGUUAAGACUUCACUAAACUAAUAACUAGAACCUCUUGUAAGGCACUGGCACCUCUAUUUUCCACCUCUUCGCAGCUAGUUCGCUGACUUUCUCACAAUGCCAUGUACCGCCAAUCACAUUUUUGUUUCAUCUUAUCCAACCCCCAAUGUCAAAGCCUAUCACAUGGUACACUGGUUGAGGACUGCUGAGAGCCUCUUAAUAGUUUGAAUUAGAUUCCAUAAAAUGUUGACUCUUACAUUUUUUAUGAGACAUACGUGUCACAUUUCCGAUGAUUAAUCGCCCCCAGCCAACUAAUUGUUUCUGCUUUCUACUUUUGUAGUGUAAAGAAAAUAGUCAGUUCACUGAAUAGCUAAACAUACAGUAAAACCUUUAUAAAUUUAAUAAUGUCAGGACCGGUAAAAUUUAUUAAUUUAGCGAGGUAUUAAUUAAUCGAUAAAUUAAUAAAAUAUUAAUUUAUUGAUUAUUUAAUAACUUAUAUUAAUCUAUCCAAAUAUUAUUUAUUUCUUAGAUAUAGUUUUAUUUUUUCAACAAAAAUAAUAUUGUUGUACAUUGUUCAAUGUACUAUGUUGUCGAAUUUAUUACGUAUACAUUAUUUAAUAGGCUACUUUAUUUGAUGUGCUACAUUAUUCAACGUACUAUGUAAGUUCGAUGUACUAUAUUAGUUCAUUUGAUGAACAUUAAAUAAACAAAACCAUAUUUAAAUAAACAAAAACUAUAUGAAUUCUCAUCUCAAAUGAGUAAAAAAAAUCAAUGAUGACGGAUGAAAUGGGUAAAGCAUUGUGCGAGUACAAAAAUGAUAAUCCAGGUAGCACUCAAGCAUUUGCAACUGUGGGUUUUAGAAAAGACCGACUUGCAAGUGAGUCAAGGGAUAAUAUCAAAUACGAUCAAGCGAUCUUCGGAUUAUCUCUCAACUGCUCUAUCAAGUCUUUAUCAAGAAGAAACAAGCCACAUUUGACUCACUCUUUAUCAAGUCUUCAUAAAUGAAGAAUUAAUUCUAUGUAUUAAGGAACCCUUUAUAUAUUCAUUGGGGUCUAUGUGAAUUCUCGCAUUUGUAUUAUCUUAUAAAUGUAGCGAAUUAUUAAUUUAGCACGUUGUCCCCGACUCGGGGCCGGCAAAAAUUAUUAUUUUAUCGAGGUUAUUAAUUAAUCGAGUAUCAAUUUAGUUUUGCUGUAGUUAUCUACAUAUUGGUACAUACUUAUUAGUGAUUACCAUGCUAGUGAUUUUGCUGACUAGUAAUACAAUAUAUUAUAAACUUCUUUCUUUUACUAGUCUUGGAAAGAUAAAUCAACACACAAGGAAAACUUGCACAAAUACACAAGCAUGCAAAAAUGUGUUCCUACACCCUUUAGAGAGAGAGAGAGAGAGAGAGACCUGUACGCAUAUAACUGACAAGCUAAUCCAUUUGCAGAUGUCCAAGUUUGACAUUACAAAUGUUUUGAAUUGAUCAAAUUUCCCAGUUGGAUCAUCCGGAAAGUCCUGGUUAAUAAUUCAAUACCAUCAAAACAACAGGCAAGUGUUUAACAUGCUUCUUAUGAAUUCAUUUGAUUGAUUAAACAAGAUAAGAGUAAUCUAUAAAUAAAUACCUCUUCCCAGUCAUGGUUUAAGUAUAUAUCAGCAGUCACUCCAGCUUCAAGCAUGAGGAGUAAAAAGAGGAACAGCAUGUACUGUAAACAAAACAUUUUUGUUAUAUGAUUUUAUUAAGGAAUGUUAAAAAGUGCAGCCCUGUGUGAAAACAUUCUUAGAAAGGAGUGUUCUCUGUACAAUUUUGUAGUCAAAGUUUCAAACAAAACAAAACAUCUAGAUUUAAGAAAGUGGAAGAUCUAGACUUGCCACUGUAGCAUAAAAUGCACCAAACUAAGAGACAGAUACAAUUGUAGCUUGCACAAACAUAAAUGUCACCACUAAGGGUUGCAAACUUAGCAGAUAAAUGAGAAGCAACAAGUCUAAGGGCUGCAACAACUAGGCAUUCUUCCAUAAUGGAAGCUCUGAAAAAUAUUUAGAGUGGAUUAAUUUUCCUGCACUCUCUACUAGAAAAGUAGGCACUGCAGUAGGUAGUGCAGUGUAUUUUUUGAAGUGUAUUUUUUUUUUUUUCUAUAAUAUAUAACUGGCUUUCUCAAAAUUUCUGCUUGAUGCAUCUUGGGGCAUUUGCACACCUGACAAAAUUAAAUUUGAGAGAAAAUAAAAGCUAUAUAAAUAGUCAACUGUAAUUACACAAAAGUGAAGGCACACCAAUUGUAAUAAGAUACAAUACAUCUCACUGUGAAUGAAACGUCCACACAUGUACAAGUUAAUCAACAACGACACAAAUUUUGCAAGCCAUGAAAGAAAUUGACCUCACUGAAUAAAUAGAUAAAUGAAGAUAUAAGAAAAAAGAGGGAUACCAAAUAAAGGCAACAACCAUUUGCAGUGUCUGCAGCAAUAUGUCCUGAACAUGUGAUGACACACAGAGUAACCCCAAGGCCAAGAAAAAUGUAUAUGAACCUGCAGUUCAUGCAAAGAGAAAAGUAGCACUUUUAAACCAAAACUGAGAAAAAUAUAAAAAUCAGGAACCCAUACAAAAUAAAAACUGAACACAUCAUUCACCAGAAAUCAUAAAUUCUUAAUCCUGUAAACAUCCCAGCAUGCGGCAUGCCUGUUUCUUCUUAUUUCAUACAACAACUCGUGUAUCAACAAAAAAUUCAAUGUAAACCAAAUCCACUCCAAUAAAUCAGAGCCAAGAGAGAACCAAAUCAUAACCAGGUGGUGUUUUUUUAGCAUUUGAAAGUACAACAUAGCUCCAUCUUUAACUUUCUUUUCUUAAGUAUGUUUUCAUGAUAAAACGGUCCCAUGCACCUAUGGAUAUUUCCAUAAUGAGGAUCCCUUUAGGCGCACUUUGCCGGGUUCAUAUGUAUUGGUUGGCUACAAACAAAUUAGCUUUGAAGCCCCACUCUAAGAUCCUCAGUCUGCUUUCAUCUUUCAAAUUCAGAUAGAUAAAGCCUAGACAGAACAGAUAUGCGUAAAACUCUGAAAUAGCUGUUCAGAGAAAAGGCUGCAUUGCAUUCAGCACAACCCAAAAUCCAAAAUUGUAAUAGAGCCCGAGAGUGGAAUUUCAAGAAAGAAAAGAGAGGAUGAUACCAAGGUAUAGUUGGAGAAUCAGAGUCUUCAAAUGGCAAGUAACCGAUGCACUUCUGCCAGGCUCUAAUCAACCACAAGGAGUACAAGAUCAUGGCCAGCCCAACCAUCCCAUUCACCGAGUUCACCAACUUUAAUAUUGAUUGUACGCAGCUCCUCGCCAUCGCAGCCAUCCCUACAUCAAUUUUUGCAGGCAAAAACCCUAUUUAAACCGGAGUCGCUAUACCUAGAUUUAUAUUCGUACUUCAGUUUUCCUCAUCUAUCCCCAUUUUACGUGUUUCACUUUCACGUGAUAUUUUACCCAAUUUUAAUCCCUAUAAAUCAUCUCUAACAAUUUAUAUUCUCUAUGUUUUGAAGUUCGCGUAUGUUAGUUUCAUUUUAAGAUGAAUGAUGGUUAUUUCGUUAAUUUUCAGAUCGCCGUAUCAGCCGUCUAAUUUGAAGUCGACAUUUGUUCAGUCUUUGGUUUUAUUUUAAUCUGAAUGGUUUUUAGAGUCACGAUUUUUCAUCUAAAUGGUCAUUCCUUCAAUUUUCUCAGUUAAAUUGCUGACGUGACCGUUAAAAAUUACAAUGUUUUUAAAGAUCAUUUUUAACGAUCACGUCAGUAUUCUAACAUAAAAAAUUGAUAGAAAUAUCAUUUGGAUGAAAAAUCGGGACUUUAAGAACCAUUCAGAUUAAAAUAAAACCACAAGGACUAAACAAAUUUUAAUUCAAUUGAGAAAGAAUGACUAUUUAGAAGAAAAAUUGUGACUUUAAGGAUCAUUCAGAAUAAAAUGAAACCACAAGGACUGAAUAAAUAUCGACUUCAAACCAAAAAGACUAUACAGUAUUUAACUCUUCAAAUUUUAAGUCAUCCAAACCUAUAAUUAUUUAUAUAAGUUUUGCAUCUCCAACCCAUGAAGGUAAAAUCCAAACCUAUUUAAUAAUUAUAUAUCAUCAUUUAAUCACACAUGGAGUGCCACUCAAUUGUUUAAUCAUAUCAUAUCAUACAUAACUAUUUUAUAUUAAUAAAAUCUGACACUGUCUCACAUCCACGAGAAAUUUUUAAAUGCUACGGAAGGACCACGUGGCAGUCUAACGUGGUCCUACGUUCCAAUCAAAUUUAGAUAUGUGGAUUUUUUACAACUAAAAUAUAAACAAAUAUUUUCUAUUUUUUGUGAAAUGACAUUCAUGGGUAUUUAGCAAGUUCAAACUAGGGUCUAGGGUAUAUGGUUUAAAGUUUAGGGUUAGAGUUUAGGGUUUAGGGUAUAGGGUAUAAGGUUUAGGGUUUAGGGUUUGGGGUUUAGGGCUUAGGGUUUAGUAUUAAAAAACAACAGAAAACCUAAAAUGGUUUUUGACAAAAUAGCUGAAAUAAUUUUUCGUGAAGAAAAUCUACAUGUCUAAAUUUGAUUGGAAAGUAGGACCACGUCAGACUGUCACGUAGUCCUCCAGUAGCACUGAAAAAUUUCUCCACAUCCACUCACGUCACCCUCAUAAAUUAUAAGUUUAUUCCUAUUUGGUUGAGUCAAAAUAUGAUACAUUUUAGGUAAAUCGUAUUUUAGCUCAACUUAGAUAGUGGGUUAUAGAUGAGAAUUUAUAAAUCUUAAACCUAUUAUAAAUUUUAGACCCAGGGUUGAAGAUUGCCUAAUCGUGUCAUAAAUUUUAACCGCCCUUAGAUUGAUGGGAUUGAUUCGAAAUAAAAUGUCUUUGCAUGGUCACAUGGUUGCCAAAGCACUUGCUAGAGUGGAACCCUCACUCAAGUUCGAGCCCAACCGUUACAAGUCCCAAUUGAUAGGUUGUUGACCACUGAAGACCUACUGGACCCAUAGGACAACGGUGACGCAUACGAAGAGGCCUGACUAUUGGAUGCAUGUGGGCUUAUACGCAUUGGCGGAGCUAGGAUUUUAAGUUUAUUGGGGCACAAUCUAUACGUAACAACAUAAAAUUUAUAUAUGUAGUGAAGUGGAUACAUUGGGUCCCACGACAUAAAUUUCAUGAUAUGGACCCCCACGUUAUGAGUUCGAAUGCUGAUGUUGCUCAAUGUUAUUGCUGAUUUAUAAACGUGGCCAGUAGAGGGGCUGAAAUGCCUCGUUGUCUAUCGGUCAACCAGCAGAUUAGUCCUUAGGCCUAUGAAGCCUUUGGGAUAGCGCGAACAAUCCAAAAGGAGUGUGUGAAAAAAAAUUACAUUUGUUAAAAUGGUUUUCUUCGAUAACAAAAGAUAAGUUACAGAGAAAAACCCUUCAAACAACUUAAUUAAGUUUAGUUAAUGAGCCAAAUUAUAAAGCAUAUAGAGCCACAUAAAGAAUUGUGUUGGACAAACUACUGAUUGGAAUAAGAUAUCUUAUAUCAACCAAUAUCUAUUAAAAUUGAUACUUUUAUCGAUUUGGUCACACAUUAUAAUGACGAGAAAUUUUAAAUACACACCCCUAAUCUCUUAAUACACACCUCUAUUAUUUUAUGUUUCUAUUGAGAUUUUAUAGGUAAGCUAAAUGAUCAAAACAAACAUCUAUUAUUAAAAAAAAAAAAAUCGCGCUAGAAGUAUUCUUUUCAAUCUUCUACCCUAAAAUCGUCGAAAGCACGUUUUCUCCCCUAACCCCAACUCUUCUCCACAAUUCAUUUGGGUUGUCUUUUUUAUUUUAUUUUAUCUGUAUCAGCUUUAUUUUGAUCUUGCAUAUCAUAUUGUCAUGUACUAUAUCUUUAUCAUGACAUGUUUUAUCAAAUAACUAGCUAGCUAUGUUUAGUAGCUACUGUACUUCUACAGUUCUACUAACUUGUGAAUUCUGAAAACUUGUAUUGGUGAUUUGGAGUUGGGAUAUAACAAUAAUCAUUUGAUUAUAAAUUGAACGAUGAUAGCCAAAAAUUUCUAGCAAAAAUUAGACGAAAUAAUAUGUAAAAAGAGGCACUAAAUAGUACAUAUAUAUUAAUUAUAUUAAAUAAUAGAAUAUUUCAUAAAUUAAAGGCAUUUUAGGCAGUUUGGGAUGUGUAUUAAGUAUAAUACUGAAAUGAAAAACUUGAUAGGUGGUGUAUUAAGCAAGGGGUGUGUAUUUAAAAUUUCUCUAUAAUCACGUUUUAACCAUAUGACAUAGAGAAAUUUUAUUAACAUAUCCAUAAAUGCUAAAUACACAUCUUUUUUUUGUGUGACUAAUUUCAGUUUACCCCCAUCAAUUUACGUCGAUCAUUAUGUUCAUCCAUUUUCUUUCAAUUUUAUCAAAAACACUCAUCGACUUCCACUUUUCAUUAGUCGUGUCCAAACAUCUGUUUUCCAUCCAAUUUUCCCGUCAUGUGAUGACUUGCAUUAAGAAGAAAACCAAAUUUAAAGUCGUUGGGCCCACAGAAAAAGGGUAAAAUAGAAAAAUUGCAUUCAACCCCACCAAAAUCACUAAGGUUAGGGGGUUGUGAUGAGAAUGGAGAUGUGUAUCGAUAUGAGAGGGAAAUGGUCAGAAAUGUCAUUUUUCGGGAUUUGACUUUGAAUUAAAUUCAGUUUACCCCAUUGCGGUUUAGAGGUGAAUUCAUGUUAGUCCCUAAACUUUCAAUUUCAUCAGAUUUACCGCUCUUGUUUUUCGGGUAAUUUAGCUUCUCAACCCCCAAAACGUCAUUACACGUCAUCAAAUUUCAACGUCCAAAUUGGACAAAGCAUGAGUGAUAAGAGACUGUAGAUAGAAAAACAAGAGCUCGGGAGGUAAUCUGAUGAAAUUGAAAGUUUAGGGACUAACAUGAAUUCACCUCUAAACUACAAUAGGGUAAACUAAAUUUAAUUCUUUGACUUUCUUAUUGAUGCCACGUCAUCAUUUAACAGAGGAAUUAGAUGGAGAACGGAGGUUUUGAACACAGCUGAUGAAAAUUGAGAGUCGAGGGGUAUUUUUGAUGAAAUUGAAAGAAGAAUAACUAAGAUAAUGAUCGACCUAAAGUUUUACCACACAAAAAAAUACAUUCAUAUCAAAAGUAAAGAAACAGUUGAAAUCAAAUAGAAUUGAAAUUUGUUUAGUCCUUGUGGUUUGAAGUCGACAUCUGUUCAGUCCUUGUGGUUUUAUUUUAAUCUGAAUGGUCCUUAAAGUCACGAUUUGUCAUUUAAAUUGUCUUUCCAUCAAUUUUUUCUGUUAGCAUAUUGAUGUGGCCGUUAAAAACAUUGUAAUUUUUAGCGGUCACAUCAACAAUUUUUAACAGCCACGUUUGAGUCACUUUGUAUGGAGGUCUCCCAUUCUCAACAAUAUGCACCAAAAUCUUAGGAAUUUAUUUAUACCCAUUAUGAUCCAUAAUGUAAGUCUUGUGUAUCCAACAAUCCAAAAUCACAAGAAAACAUAAACAGAACUUCUAAUAUAGUAAUAUCAAACUAUGUAUGUGUAUCAAUCCAAAUCCAUAUUAAAAAAAUCCAAGAAUUAAAAUUCUAUUUCACGUCAAAUUGCUUGUGUAGAGUGAUCAGAUUUAAGCAAUCUCAUUUAUGCUUCGUUCUUCAUUGACUUGUUACAUAAAGCCAACCUUCAACCAUAAAAUUAUCAUCAAGGAGGAGCGAAGAGAUACUUUACCUCAGUGGAAGCAUGAGAGCAAUUUUGGCAGAGAGAAUAUGAGUAAUUUUGGCAGACGUGCGUAAAGAGUUGGAGGAAGUCGGGAAGAUAUACGUGCACGUUAAGAGGACGAUAUUUUUGCAGUUGGUUUGUCUUUGUGAUGAUGCUAAUCAACUGAACCAAGGAAGAAAAAAUCGAUAUUUUUGGCGAAAUUUCGUCGAAAAUAUCGUUUUUUUCACUCAGCGAAACAAUUUUCUCCCCUUAGAUUUUUUAGUCCGAAAUUAUCGAUAUAUCGCGAUAUUUUCGAUAUUUCGACGAAACUUUGAAAUCCCCAGAAAAUUACUCGCCCAAACCGAAUUUUGAAAGUUUGAAUGGAUGUGGUGUGUCAGUGUGGUCCUCAGCCGAACCUUUUGACUUUGGCAAUACUUUGACUGGUUUGCACUUUUGCACAGCAAAAUAAUUUUUGGCAGCUAAGGGAUUCGAACCUUGGUUGUUGGGUUGGUAUAAGGUUAACACCUUAACCAACUCUACUAACCAUCCAAGUUGUUUAUUUUACUAUCUUUAUAAUACAUAUUGGUUUUUUCUUUUUCCGAAUCUGAAAAGUAAAAAAAUUAGGUAAAUGUCUAAUCCCCAACNNNNNNNNNNNNNNNNNNNNNNNNNNNNNNNNNNNNNNNNNNNNNNNNNNNNNNNNNNNNNNNNNNNNNNNNNNNNNNNNNNNNNNNNNNNNNNNNNNNNNNNNNNNNNNNNNNNNNNNNNNNNNNNNNNNNNNNNNNNNNNNNNNNNNNNNNNNNNNNNNNNNNNNNNNNNNNNNNNNNNNNNNNNNNNNNNNNNNNNNNNNNNNNNNNNNNNNNNNNNNNNNNNNNNNNNNNNNNNNNNNNNNNNNNNNNNNNNNNNNNNNNNNNNNNNNNNNNNNNNNNNNNNNNNNNNNNNNNNNNNNNNNNNNNNNNNNNNNNNNNNNNNNNNNNNNNNNNNNNNNNNNNNNNNNNNNNNNNNNNNNNNNNNNNNNNNNNNNNNNNNNNNNNNNNNNNNNNNNNNNNNNNNNNNNNNNNNNNNNNNNNNNNNNNNNNNNNNNNNNNNNNNNNNNNNNNNNNNNNNNNNNNNNNNNNNNNNNNNNNNNNNNNNNNNNNNNNNNNNNNNNNNNNNNNNNNNNNNNNNNNNNNNNNNNNNNNNNNNNNNCAAGGUUUUUCAUUUCAAAUAUAGUACAUAAUAUAGAAACAAACAUCUCUUAAAGUUUGGUUAAAAAAUUUCAUGUUUUUCUUCAAAUUUCCGUCAAUUUUCUCAUUUUUUUUACCGCAAUCGAUAUUUCCCCCCAAAUUUCCGUCGAAAUUUCCAUAUUUUGAAGGGUCGAAAUUUUCUUCGAACUACUACUGUUUUGAAAUUUAAAAUUUUAUCUGCCUAAGCCCUAAUCCCUUCCCAUCCUUUUUUAUCGGAUUCUAAAAACGAAAACCAUUUUUUUUAUCAAAUUUUGUCAUUUUUACCCUUCUUUUAUAUACUUCUGAUUUGCAAGAUGAAUUUUAGGUAAGGGCAUUCACAGAGUUUUCUGAAAAUUUAACCAUUUUCCAUAAACCAAAUUGGCUUAAUUAAUACUGAUGAUGGUAACAGCGUCAUUGAAGAGAGUCAGGUGAAACAAUCCGCAGUGAACUGAAUGAAGGAUGAAAAACUGGUGGCUAUAAAACUUGGUGCAGACUGUAGAGAUUGAGGAAAGACGGCGAGAAUGAUAGAGUUACAGUGCCGUCUGAAACUGGGUUAUCCAAUCCCACCGAAAAAUUCAUCCGUUGGGGAUUUUACGUCAAAACUCAAACCCCCAUCUCCAUCUCCUAGUGCUUUACUCCUCUGUACGAACUUCAACUCCAGCUUAACCUCUAAACGACAUUCUUUCAAGUGCUUUUGUAACAAAACCGAAAACACCCAACAAGUCUCUUCCUCUUCUCAGGUACUUACAUGUUUCUCUCAUAUUUUGUAACUCUCUUCAUUAACAUGUAAUGAGAUUACUUUGUGAAUUUAAACUAUAGGGCUUCUCAGCACUGGCGGCAGAUAGUCCAUGGGAUAAUGCAACUUUGUGGAGCACUCUGGCUUUAUAUAUCUUCAGUUUGCACAUUCCUCUUAGUUUUGGAGGUUUGUCUGUGGUUGCUCAUGUAUUGCAUCAGCCUAUUCUUGAUCCACAGAUUGAGGUGAGCUCAUUUCAUUUAACAUGUGAUCACAAUUGAGCACAACUGGAUUUGUACAACAUUUGAUUUUUUAUUAAUCGAAAACUGUUAUCCCAUUAGGGAUUACAUUGAACUGAGGCUAAUGAACCACCAUUUAAUCAAAUCAAGUAGCUCAUCCAAGCCCUUGUUUGCACUAGCAUGAUCUAUUUUUUUUGGUUAAGACACUUAAGACUCAAAUUGAACAAGCAACCGUAUAGUAUCAAGUAACAUGGCAUUGUGUCCUGUGCCCCCUGGGAUGUUGGUUUGACAGAUGACUUUCUUCGUAAUGAAGGAUUCUGUUAUAUCACUGUUGCUCAAUUUGAAUAGAUUAUGUGUGGACUGUGGAGUGUGUACUGGUGGCUGGUGGAACUCUUUGCAAUUCUCAAUUUGGUAUUAAUUUUUUUUUUAAUCUUAUUUUGGUGGCGCAGGCAAUAUCAUUGCUUGGAGCUCAGAUUCUAGAGCUCAUUGCAGCAGUGAUUCUUCUGCAAAGCACUGCUAAGCCCCAGUAUAAGUUUUCAAAUUUCUUCAAACCCAGCAAAUUGUCAAAAGAGAGGAGCUGGCUGUUGGCAUCAGCUGUAGGAUUUGGGUUUCUCUUAGUGUUGGUUAUCCUUACUUCUUUCCUCGCUGAUAGAUUCAUUGGUCCCAAGGUUGGUAUCUUGAAUCUGUCUGCCUUUUUUUUUCUUUAUUCUUUAUUCCCUUUUCAUUUAAGAUUUAAUGAACCAAACGAGACCAAACUUACUUGAACAAAAGGAAAACACAUGAUACUGCCUUCUUUUUAUCUUUCCAGAACAGUACUUCAUGCUUUAGUAAUAUUGGAAGACAAGUGAGGCAUCAUCAGUUUUUACAAAAUAAAUAAAAUAAAGAAAGAAUAUAGGAUGAUGAUAGUAUCAUACCAAUGAAAGAAAUAAUUAUAUAGCUAUACAAAUAAGGUAAUGGUUUUGAGAAUAAUCCAAGCAAUCUGAUGAAGAAUAUCAGCACUAUGUAUGACUGAUUUUAGAAAGGAGGUCCUUGGCUGAUGGACUUAAUUAGCGAUGGUGUUCCAGAUUAGUUGCACUCCUUUCUCUUCCUUUGGAAAUUGUCCACUGGGUAUAGAAAUGGACAAGGUUUUGUUGAGGCCACUACUUGGCACCUCAUUUUCAUUUGCAAAUAUUUUGUAAAUUGAAAUUCCAUAUGAUUUUACAAAAAAUUGUUUUAGAUGUAAUAGUAUGUUUUUCAGUAUUUCUUUUUAUGUGCUGAUUUCAGGACCUUUCGAGUUUGUCACUGUUAACAUGUUAAGGGCAAUUGGCUCUGGUUACAUUUCAACUAUUUUUUCGUCAUUUAGUUUAAGUAGAAGUGCUUGUAAGAUUCAAAUAAGCGAUUUCACUACCAAAUUAAAUUUUCUUAGAACUGCUUCAGACAAGAAGUAAAAUAGAUUUUGAAUGGACCUAAGAAGAAAUGAAGAGCAGGGUGGACAUAUGAUUCCCAAGGUACUGGACUUUUUCAGGAUGAAAUCUAGGCUUAAAUAUAGACAGUGUUACUGAUGUUGUUCUCUGGUUUAAUCUUCAAGUCUCUUUUGAUAAGACUUAUUCUGUCAAAGAAUUAUUCCCUUAAUUCCAAACUAAUUGCUUUUAGAAAGGCUGAAAGGGUAUGUGCUGAGAAAUCAUGCCGAUUAACGCAUGUACUUUGUUCUCAGCUAAUCCUCAUUAUCAUUAAUGAACAACGUAAAAAUAUGAAGCUAUUGCUAUGUGUCAAAAGCAUUGUGCAUCUGAAAUUUUCGUGCUUUAUUAAUGAAGCUUUUUUUUUGCUUUGAUAAGCUUCUUUGAAGCUAUUAUUCAUUAAUGCGUAUUAUAUAAUUUUGGUAGUCUACAACAACCUUUUCUAAUUUGUUUUUCUGAAGUUUAUGUUAGUAUUUUCUUGAAAUAUAUAUAUAUAUAUGUACAGACUUUCUUAGGUAAUGAUGUCCUUAUUUAUUUUUACUGUGCGGAUUUCCACUUUAGACCAAUUUUUCGUUCGAAUUUUCACAUCUCCACCAUCUAGUCUUUAGAUACUAAUGUAUAGACCAUCUCUACAAAAUUUCAGCCAAUUUGGUUAUCAUUAAGUCACUCAAAACUGUGUUUUUCUGUUAUAAAAAUGAACGGUUCAAGUUCGACAGAAUUAUGUUCAUCCAUUGGUUUAAUCAAGUUUGAGUGCCUUAAUGAUAACCAAAUUGGUUGAAAUUUUGCAGAGAUGAUCUAUACAUUAAUAUCUAAAGACUAGACGGUGGAGAUGUUAAAAUUCGAUUGAAAAGUGAGUCUAAAGUAGAAAUCCGCACCGUAAGAAUAAAUAAGGACGUGUGUAGCAGAGAAAGCCUGAUGUGUGUGUGUGUGUAUUUACACAAAUCAUUUUUUUUCUUGGCUGAGGUCCUGAAUCAAGAAAUUUAUUUUACACUACUUGGUUGCAGGAUUUAAACAACUCCAUGCUGAAGGAAAUCCUGGUAAACAGCAACAUCUCAAGAGCUGCAUGUGUCUUUGUAUACUGCGUUACCACUCCCCUGCUGGAAGAGACUGUUUACCGAGGAUUUUUAUUGGCAUCAAUUUCAUCCACCAUGAAAUGGCAGUCAGCUGUUUUUAUAAGCUCAACUAUAUUUAGUGCAGCUCACUUCUCUGGUGAGAAUUUCCUACAAUUGUUCAUUAUUGGAUGUGUCCUUGGAUGCUCUUAUUGUUGGACUGGAAACUUGAGAUCCUCCAUUUUAAUACAUUCCUUGUACAACGUCAUGACCCUAAUGAUAACAUACUUAUCCUAAGCUCACAUCUAAGUCUCCUUGACAGUUUUGUUAUGUAUCUUGAUUGUGAACCUUCUUUUGUCUCAGGUAAUUGACUACACUAGGCCUCACAUGUGUUUUUAAUCACUUAUUUAAUGUUUAGAAUGGCUUUAAAUGGCAAAAGUUAAUCAUAUAUUAGAUCCUGUAAAGUUUCAGUGACAGAACAGACCCAAAAGAAGAAGAAAAAGAAGCCUAAUCUCUACUUUUGUAUAUUUGAUCAGUAGAAGACUAGAACUUGUUUCAUUCUCUAACAAGAUAAGACAUAUUGCAUAUCCUUGAAGCAGAUCUUGUGUUAUUUGGUUAUCAUUGAUGCCAAGUCUUCAAGUCUUUCUGUUUGUUUCUCUGGCCAAUAGUCAUGAAUUUUGUUUCAGGUACUCUUCCAGGAUUGUCCAUCUUUUUCAGAGUAAGAGAACAUGCAUAAUGUAGUCCAAGCUUAUGGCAUAAACAUUUUUACUUUGCUCAUGACAUCCAGUUAUUCUGAAUCUGUAAAUGUCGUAUAUGUUCUAGUUUGAUUUAGGUGAUGUAGCGGUUGCGGCUUUUUGUUAGUUACGGGAGAAAGCAAACGGUAGAGCUUUUAGUCACACCGUGAAUCCGAAAGCAACCUAUUCCCUUGAGUUUGAAGCUGGUAUGACUGUUGUUUCCCACCUGCCUUUGAUUUAGGUGCAAGUCACCCAGUUUGGUUUCCAGGAUCAGUAACACAUAAUAAUACAGCAACUCUCAUUUGACUGGUGGUUGCACAUCAAGGGGUGCUGACAAGUUGUUGUCAAGGAAGAAGCCAUAAGCCACCACUUGUGUGCGGCACUAUUUGUUAGAAAAGAGAGAUUGGUAGAAAACUAGAACUGGCAUUUGGAUUGGAAUAGGAUUCCAUUUUGCCUUAAUGUGCCAAAAGAUUCUUAUUUUGAACCAGAGAGAGAGAUGGAAUCCUAUUCCUAGAAAAUAGAAAUAGCAGCUGCUGCUACCAUGGCAUCCUAGUUUUGGAGUCUUUAUAUCGUCAGUGAUCAGUCUCUUCCUCUUCCUCUGCAAGUGUUACUUUUGUAGCAACCUCUUCCUCUUUGGCUAAUCAUAACCAAUUAAGAAGAAGAAGAAUCCAGAAAGAAAAGGGAAAGGGAAAGGGAAAGGGAAAGAGAAAGAGAGACCCACGGUGACAUGACAAUAAGCAAGUGGAAAGACAGCUAAUGCUUAUUCCGCAAUCAACGUCGGCAAAGGAAAGCCUAGCCUAUCCUCGUUGGAUGGCCGCCACGUGCGCCCAAUGAGUCAGCCUUUCCUCGUUGGAUGACCACCACGUGUGCCCAAUGAGUCAUUUGAUGGGAGCAUUUCCUCUCCAUGACCGCCACGUGUCAGUCGGUCACUUGUAUGUGUUUAUUUAUACGUGAACACCCCAGACACCUCCAUCUGUUCGUCUAGUUCUAGUCUUCUCUUGUCUCUGUGUUGGUUUGAAAGAAAGAAAAGAAAAGAAAGGAAAGCUUAAGAGGAUCGAGGAAUCAAUGGGCGGGUUUGAGCAUCAAGUGAGGAAGAGGGCCUAUGAGCUCAAGAACAUGGUCAAGAAGGGUGUCAGGGUCGUGGGGAAUUCAUGCAAGAAAGGCUGGUUUAAGGUCAAGCACAUCAGGCGCUAGCCAUGCCACCCCUUUACCUUUCACAUCUCUGUCUCUACCUGCUUAAUUUCUUGAAUCGUUUUUAUUUCAGUUUUGAUUGUAUCAUUCUACUUUGAAGUUUCUUUUACAUUCGGUUCUUGUAUUGCUUUGAUAUUCGUACGUACGUAGUACCUGUGUUCAUAUAUAUAUAGAUAAACCUUCUCUUGCUGUUGUCCAAAUUAAGUUGUGCCUUCGGAAUUGAACCGGUUCUCGAUCACAAAAGUGAUCACUGAUCAGAUCCCUGUUAUUGGCUUUUAUAUCCAUCUUCUUGCAACUGGUUUAUAUUCACAUCUCUUACAGGCUUACAGGCGCCAAUACAACUCUGAUUCACCAACUUUUGAGUAAUAGGCAGGCUCUGUUUAGGUUUUGGAUUGCCCAACAUGUACAGCUCUUAAUUAUUGGUUUUUUGCUUGAUAAAAUUCCAAGAAAUAGAGUCAUAUUUGAUUCAUCUGGCUGAGCAGCGUGUUCUGUAACCGUCUUUUGUUAAAGGACCAGAGCAGAUGAAUCUCAGCCUUCUUCUAUAAGCUUCCUGUUAACAGGCUAGAUCCAGAUGCCGACAUGAUUUUGUGUUUUUAUCUUCUUCCUGUGUACGGAGACUCUAUCAGAUAAUUUUUUGUACAUUGAAAUGGCAAAAAUUGAACUCCAGAAGUCUGCCUUUUCUUUUUCUUUUUCUUUUUGUUGCAUGUCCUCAGUUAGAUGACUGAAAAAUUCUGCUCACGGGCAGAAGCACAGGCUGUCAAUUGGUGAGCUGCUGUAUUUGCCUCCAACAAAUCAUGAACUAAUGAACUAAACGAGAAACUCAUUAAUAUAGUCUACCCGAACUAGUGUUCUUCCUACUUAGUGAACGCAGAUAUGGCAAACAUUAUUGAAAUUGACAUGAAUAAUUAAAAAGUUCUUGGCAAUGAAAUUGAGACGAGAAAGGGAAACAUGUCUUAAGCGGUUAUGCCAAAGAUCAGUGGAGGAGGUGGUGAGGUUGCAGGCUGGUUUGUUGAUGAGGUUUGGAGAAGGGUCGGUGGAGGAUCUCUUCAUCGCUAAAGCCACCAAGUAGUAUAAACCGUCACGCUCCUUACCUAAACCAAUCAUCCUCGUCGUAGCUAAAGUCUGCAAAACACAUCAAUAAGAAAAAAAAGGUCAUGAAACAAUGUAAGCCUCUAGUUAGCGGACUAACAAACAUUAAAUCCACCUUAAGGUAGGCAUACAUAGCACAUCAUGUAAAUAAUAUGCAGAAUUUAAAGGAAAUGAUCCCUUCGCAAUAAUAUGGGAGGUAGUGAACAAUUCUUUGCUCCAGAUGAAAAUAAUUUUGAGGACGAAGGAAUAUGGUCUGUUGCACCACUAUCAAUGAUCCAGCGAUUACGGGAGGUGUAUUGUAUAUGGAAUUAGUGAAAGUUUUAAAGAAGUCUAUGGAAUUUGAAAGUCUAGGUGUAUUCAAUACAGACUUUUAAAAAUCAAUCAAAGUCUGGGUGUAUUCAACUAGAUUUUAAAAAAUCAUUAUGAAUUCCACUAAAGUUUAAAGGUAUUCAAUUAAAAGAUUUUUUAAAAUGAUUAAAAGUUCAGAUGUAUUCAAAAUAUUAUUCAUACUUAUGAAAUUAAUAACUCAUGGAUAAUGAACUACACAUUUGUUACACAAGACAGGCCAGCAUACUUACCAACAUAUACGCAAAGCGCCGCACCUCUCUAACCCUAGGGAGAGAGCGAACUCACAGAGACAAAUCGCGCCUGUCCGGCUGCGCCACGCCGCCAGCGACGGUCUCUGACCUUGCAGGUGUACGCGAGGUUCGGCCGGACGGGUUAAGCUAAGUCCUUGGCUCGGAGAUGCUUGGGUAGGCUCUUCCUUUCCUCUAUGGCUGAAGAUUUCAACCGCCCCGGGAACGAGUGAAAGUGGAGAUUGGAGGACGUUUUAGAGUAGGCAAGGCUUGAUCGAAGAUAGGAGGGUCUCGACAUCAGGCAAUCUCUGUCUGAUCUCUUGGUCGGGCAAGGUUUUGUAGGUUUGAUGUUGGAUACUUUAAUCUCGUUUCACUUUGUGAUUUCUCCUAGAAUGAAGCGGCGACUGGUGGCUGUUGACGGUCGUCGGCAGGUUUGGACGGCGACGGGACGAGUUGCAGGUCCGGCUUCAGGGUGGCGAGAGGGCGGUGGCGGGGUUGAGAUCUGGGCUGGUAGAACUGGUUUUGCCCCAUCUAAUCAGAUCUGGGCUUGGACUCAAAAUGGGCUGAAGUUGGGCUAGGGCUUCCUUUCGGGCCCUAGUUUGCUUUCUUCUAUGUUAAUUACUUUCCUUAGUUUUUUUCUAAUUUCUAAGCCCAUAUUUUGGGCCUCUAUGGUUUUAAAUUAGUUUUACUAGUUUAUUUCCAACUAAUCCCUAUGUAGGUUUCUAGGAACUAAGUAGGUUUUGAUGCUUGCAGAUUAUGAUAUGUCUUUUACAUCUAGAUAGUGAACACUUUCUGUCAUACCGCGAUUGAGCGUCUUGGCGACAGAAGUUUUCAAGCAAAAUUAUCUCUAUGUAGGGCUAGAUUAUAGCUUCCUAGGCUCAUCGUCGAUGAGCGACAAUGUUCAAUGUAAUAGCACGUGAAUCACCUCAAUUCGUUUGGGUUUGUAUCGGUGUCAUUCUAGCUGCGACUAUUAAUACAAUGGGUUUUAAGCCCACCUUUGCGUCAAAAAAAAAUAACUCAUGGAUAAUUGUAGACUUUGUAGUGUAAAUUACACACACCAAACUCUAAUAUUUUUCCAUCCACUAGAGCAAAGAUUUGGAAAAGUCUACGACAAACUUUUUCUUUACAUGUGAAUAGGUUGAUUCUACGAUACAUCUUCUUUUUUUUUUAAAUAAUAUUUUGUGCUAUCAACGUUCUAUUCUACUUAUUCUUUUCAAUGUUUUUUGAAUGUUAAUAUUUUGUUGUCUUUCAAUUGUAAUGCUUGGAACCCUCGAUAACCUAAAUAUUAUCUACUAACUCUUGAUAUUAGAACCACAUGAUCAUAUAAUAAUAUUUGCGUACAUGAAUUAAACUUGUGAACAUCUAAUGUCCCAUUUUAGAACAUGUGUCUUUGGUUUACAUACAAAUAUGCGUGUUAUUAAGUUAAUAUAAUCUUUUUCGUUACCUAUGUUUAUGUAUUUCAAUCAAAUAUUAUAACUGUAUGCAUCGAAAUUAGAUAGAUGAGCACUAAACUUAUAAUCAGUGUUAUUAUGUGUUUGUCAUUGUAUCUUUAUUUUUAUUUUUUCUUUCCUGUAACUCUGUAAAUAUUGAGAAAUCUACAGAAGUCAUUCAUAUGAAAUCUAUAGAUUUCAGAAAUCAGUGAAAGUCUAUGAACUUUUCAAAGAGUCUGUAGACUUUUCAAAGAGUCUGUAGACUUUUCAAAAAGUCAGUUGAUUAAAAUAAGUCUGUAUGAAUCUAAAUACAAUACACCCCCCUACAUGAGAUUUUAGACAAACCUGGUGGAGUUUUCUGUUUAGUUGAGGCUACAUUGGCUCGAGUAUUGGUACCUCCAUUUUUAACAUUCAGAAUAGACACAAGCUGUUGAAGCUGCUCUUCGGAAAUUCCAGACACCAUAGACUUAAAAUCUUCCUUGGACAAUCCUUCAGAUACUUUAUUGGCGACAUAAUUAUGAUCAUGAUUCCCAGCUAAUAUUUAUUUAUUCAAAUGCUCCUUUGGGUGACCUGGAGGAUAACCAAUUAAUUUGUAACAAGUUUCAACAAAAUGUCCCUUGUCCCCAUAGUGUGCACAUUCCAGAACGCCCUCUGAAAGGACAUGAACGACGUUAAGCCUGAUUGGGACAUCGUCCAUCUUGAGAGUUGUAAGAACAAUCAGAUCGUCCAUCUUGUGAAUUGUAGGAGCGAUCAGACCGCUCGGCCACUUGAUUGGGAUGUCGACCAUAUUGGUUAGGUCGAUUGUUUCGGACAGCCAUAGCAGCACUUGUGCUAGAGUCUGCAACCUGUGUGGCACUAAGCAACCUCUGUUUUUCCUCUUGGCAAAGAUAUCCAUAAGCCUAACGAACUGAUGGGAGAGGACUCAUCAGAAGAAUUUGCCCACACACUGCAUUAUAGGAAUCAUUUAAACCCAUCAGAAAUCUGUGUUAGGAAAACCAAUCUGCUGCUUCAAAACAAGCAAUCAGUUUCUAGGAUAACCCUUGUGUGCAUGUUUGUUUGUUUGUUAAGACAAAGGCCCAGUUUGAGAGGGUUGUGAUUAAUUUUUAAAGGAAAAUGAUUCUUAGCCUUUUUUUUAUUGAAAAAUACUUUAUUGAACCAGACUGUCAAACAUCAAUAAGAAUUACAUCAGAAGGCUUCUCAAAAAAGAAACCCAGGACUAGCUUCUACUAUGAGCAACAAUAACUUCAUGAAGCCAUGGGGGCCCUGAUUCAUAACAAAACAUAGACUGAACCAUCUUCAAAGCAUGUCGAGCAAGAGUAUGAGCAAUCUUGUUUUGGCGCUUACGCACAUGUUUCUAGGAUACCCAUUCAAACUCUGCCUUCAUCCUACGAACUGCAUCCAUAAUUCCUCCAAUAUCGCUCAAAUCAAGUACAUUCCUGCCAAUUGCAUUGAUCACAUUGACCGCAUCUCCUGCAAUCGCCAACUCUGUUACCCCCAUUUGUAUACACAAUUUCAUCCCAUGCCAAAGUGCUAAAGCUUCGAUGAUAUGGGGUUUGAGAACAGCUUCCAUAGGCACUGAAAUGACUCCCAUCAGCCUUAAUAAAGCUUAAGAUUUAUGUCACCUAGACACAUCGCCAAUUAAAAAGAUUAUGUCAUGUCAUUCUUAAGCAAAAAAUACAAUCUUAUCUUUCCAAACCCAAUGGCUCUAGAUUAUUUUGUCUUUUUUUUAAAUCAGAUUAUUAAUUUUGUCUUUUUAUUAAGAGAAAAAUAUUGAUUUGUCUUGCUUUUAUAAUUAAAAAAUAUAUAUUUUUUGCAUUUUCUUCUCAUCACUAUCAUGCUUAGAUUAAACGUAACAUAUAAUGUGAAAAUACGUAUAUUUCUGAGAAUAUACUUGUUCAAAAACACGAAUUCUUAUGAUACACACACACACACACAUAUAAUUUGUCCAAGAAAAAACAAUUUGGUCCAGGAUUUUUUACUAUAUAUAUAUAAUUCACCCAAAAUAAAGUAUAUAUAUAUAUAUACGUAAUCAUCCCAAAAAAAUUCGAUACAGAUUUUUCUAUUCUUUAUUUUAUUUUAAAAAUUCGAUGCAAGAUAUGCAUGGCUUAUAUAUAGAUAUCAUAAUUUUAAACUGCAAAAAUAAAAUAUUAAAAUGGAACCAAAUUUCGAUUCACAAAGAUAGAAGGAAAUUUACGAAAUUGAUUUAUGAUAUAAAAGCCUAAUUUGAUAUGAUUAUUAACUUGGUCAUUAUUAUUAAUAAAUUAACUUAACUUAGUAUAUACGGAUCUAUAUUAAAAGGGUAAGAAAAUAUUUCAUAUUAGUACGUAGCAUCCAUUAAUUAUUAAGGUUAAGGUUGUAUUUUUACCUAAGAAUGAAGUGACAUGAUUUAUUAAAUUGGUGAUGUGUCUAUGUGACAUGACAUUCCACAUAGGAUUAAGACUAUAAAUAUUAGGUCUUAUUAAGGCCCUCUAGCACUACCCAUUUUUAAAUCAACUUUAGAUAUGUUGUGAGAAUAAUCAACUGUGAAAUUAACUAAUUGAUUGUUUGGUAAAUUGUGCUUUUAAAAGUGUUGCGAGUACAAAAACAGUUGGAAAUAACUUUUGUUGGUCAUAACUUCUUCACACAGACAUUGUUUUGUGUGUGAUGCAUGCCCACGAAUUUGUAUUGCUGAGCUCUACAACAUCUGUGAGGAGAGGUUUAAGAAAACCAUAACCGAUGAAAGUCAACUUUUGAGCAUUUGAAAAGGACACGUUUUUGAUAAUUUAAAUCUCCAAAAUACUUGAUCUUCAAAACGAUUAAGUAAAAAUUUCGAAAUGUGAAUUUCCACCACUCAACCUUUUAUUAAUUUUGAAAAAAUAGGAAAAAUUAAUAUUCGGAAUGGGGUCACUACAAUGUUUUACAAAGAUAAUGAUACUUAAGUAUUAGAAAAAUUUGUGCCAUAGAGCAACGACGACUCUUGGUUGCUACUUGCGUGGGGGUAUCGACAUCAUUCCUUCAGAAUCAGAGGCUUGGGUUAGGUUUCGUUCUUUGGCAGCGGAGAUCAAGUUUGUAGAGGCAAACAUUCGACAUCCUCUUGGCAGCUCAAAGGAGGAGUCGAGGCGUUUCGAAUUUCCAAGCAAACGUAACUGUGUAGUGGUAUCGAGAACGUUGAAGCAAACGUGCAUGUAUCAAAUCUCGUUCUUAACUGGGUAGAGGUACAAGAAGAGACUUAGGAGGCGGUCACGGCGAUGCGAAUCCUUUCGAUAAGGUUGCAGGAGGUUCUUAGCGGGGCCUGGAAGGGAUGGGUGUCUAGGGGGCCGUCAGAUUGAAUUGGCGACGGUAGCAGUUCCGGCAACCCUAGCCUGGAUUUGGUUUCAAUUGGGUUUGAUAGUGGUUGGGGUGCUUGUGGGUUGGGCCUUUGGCUUCAACCUAUUGCCAUCUUCUUUCUGUUAUUGGGCUCUUUUGGACUGUGAUCUAGCUUAAUGUUGGGACUCUAUGACAAGAUCCCUACAUCACCAAAUCGAGGAGUGAAUCCUUUUUUUGUUGGAAAGGUACACCUGAUUGGUCUUAAGCCUUGAUUCACUGAGCUGGGUACUUUGGUUUGGUUAUGUAGGUUACUUGCUUUCUAGGCCAAAAUAAGUCCCAAUUUGAACAUUAGUUUUAGAGACAUGUUUCAUAAGAAGCUUUUUGUAUAUGAACUUGUCCUCGAACAUCUUCGGGUUUGACCUAGUAUGGUUGUAUAAUUAAUAGAUGGGUUGUACGCCCUGUAGAGUAACAUCCAUUUCCUUCCAAAAAAAAAGUACUAGAAAAAUUGAAGGAUGCACAAUCAAAUUGAACUUAAGAAACAAAACUCUUUUGAUGUUGAUUUUUUUUUUCCUUUUAAAUGUUGAGGCUGAUUUUCUGGGAUCGGAUUUGCUCUUUUCUCUUUACAUUGAGUCCAGUCUCUCCUUCUAAAUGAAGCUAUUUGUAAUUCUAUCAUGUCAUUUUCACACCCCAAUUUUCGAAGGAUAAAUUUUCAAAAAUUUGGGCAUGAUAAAACUCAAAAUCUUAAUAUCCCACAACCUGCUCAACAAUUUCCAAAUUAAAAACAAAUACUGGAAAUGUAAAUGUUGAUAGACUCAUCAACCGAGUUAAACAUUUAAUCUCUUUAAUUACAUCAACUUCCAAAAGUCUAGAAAUAAACUACUUCGCUCACAUGAGCUUAAAACAACUACCAUAAAAUACAAAUAAAUGUAUAUCGUCAAAAACCCAGCUCCUAAGCCACUGCCUCAACUCUGCUGAUCAUCACCUGUAGGUCUAACCCCUACACCAUGAAUUGGUGCACCGGGUUGUAAACAACAAACCCGGUAAUAAGCUAAAAAGCUCGUAUGAGUAACUCCCAAAAUAAUAACCCAACAAUCCCAACAUCACAUAUAAAUUAAAAUUGGUAAUUCCUGCAUUAGCAACUUAGUUCAGGAAUCGCCUAAAAGCAAGAGAAUUCAAAAGAAACAAUUAAGAAAACACAAUAAUUUAAAAUCACUCAAAAUCAUAAAUGAAUCAUAUAAAUAAACAUAGUUCAAGAAUUCUAUUAAAAUCACACAAUUAAGAUUUAAGAAUCUCCUGCGGAUAUGCAUAGUUCAGGAGAUACUCAAAGCAAGAAAUUUAAACAACAUAUAAAAACAUCACACAAACAUUUCUCUACUCUUACUUAUGAGUUCGCUAACACUUAGUCAUCCCUCAUAAGUAACCAAACAAAUACGUACUCAUGGGUUUGUCAACACGUAGUCAACCCCCAUGAAGUACCGACAGACAGAAUAGAGCUCUAUACUGACCGUAACCAAUCACCCGGCCAAGGCUUGGUUCCCGGUCCACCACGAAGGCUCCUAAUCUAAGAAUCACCACUAAGACACACACAUACACAACUAAUGCACACAAUCACCACUAAGGCACACAUUCAAAUACUCUCCCAUCAUAACACUUAUCAAAUCACAAAAUAUAAUAUAAUCAUAACCGUAACCAAUCACCCGAUUAAAGGCUUGGAACCCAGUUUGACUAUUUAAACAACAACACAAGAGCACUUCAUAAAUUAUAUCUUUCCACCUAGAUAUAUGUAUAUAACAAAAACAUAGAUAUUCCCACCACAAUAAUAUAACAACAACCAUAUUUCAACAUCACAAAAUCACAUGAUCGGAAGUCCUUUUGAAAGAUUUUAUUUUACUAGAAAACAUAUUUUCACUUACCCAUGAGCCGUUAACGAUCAAGCUCAUUUAUUUAUUUUUAAAACAAAAAUCAUUUUCAUUUAAGGACAACUUCACAACUAACAAUAAUAAAAUUAUAAAAUAAACUCGGUUCCUUAUGAACCCAUGUGAGAUUUACUCACAAUAUAACAAUAGCAUCGUAAUCAUCACAUCAUCAACAUUUCCAUCAACAUCAUCAUCAUCAUCAUUAAUCUCAUCAUCAUCAAAAUUGUCAUCAUAACAAUUAUCAUCAUCAUCAUCAUCAAAAUCAACAUCACAAUCAUCAUCAUAAUCAUCAUCAAAAUCAACAUCAUAAUCAUCAUCAUAAUAAUUAUAAAUAUUUGGUCCCAAAAUGGACCUUGGUGAGAUGUUACUCACCUCAAAUCCAGCUGCGUCUUCGCACGCACAACACAAGCAUAUAGCUCAAAACCAAACUCUACAAGUCAUCCAAUUAACAAAAACGUUAACCUUAGUAACUAAUAAAAUACGACUUCUACACUUGUUUUCAUAAGCUCAACCACCUCGCAAUAACUUAAACAAGCUAAACAAGUCAACCAACAACACUAACACUAUCAGACAGGUUGCCACAGGCCGCCGCAGACAGCGGCGUGUGGGCCCCACACACCCCCGAAGAACUUCACCAAACCCUAACAUGCUCAAGCAACUCUACAACCUAAAAUCUACAUGCUCAUGUGCUCGUAUCGAUGAGCACCACCAAACAAGGACUACAGACCUCCCAAACCCUUGCCAGAUGCGCCGUAACGCGCCACCACCGACGGCAGCGAGUGGGUCCCACGCGCCACCCCAAAACUUCUGAAAUAGGGCAAACUCCCAACACAAAACUUGUAGAUUGAAGAGAGGGGAGCAUCUUUUAUACCUGAGGUUUCACCUUAAUCGGCCGGAGCACGCCGGAAAACUCGCCGGAAGGUGGAAAUCCACCACCGUAACUCUACACCGUGAGUCGUGCUAGGAGACUACCAGAAAACAAACCAGGGCACCAAGGAGUGUCUAUCCCGACCGGUUCCAAGCUGCGUCGCCGCCGUCGGAGGGGAGAAUUCCGGUCGGGUUGCAAACCGGGUCGCCGCCCUCAUUUUUGGCGCUCGAUUAGCGUCGAUCUGCCCGAGUCGUCCUCACUCACCAACACAGGGAGGGUUGCGCCGAGGAGAGAAAGAUUUUCCGACCGGUGCCAUCGUCUGGGUCGGCCGGAGUCGGCCGAAAAAGUCGGGUCGGGUCGGGUCGGCUGGGGUUUUGGAUUCUCUCGGGGUCGGGGAGAGAGAAGGAGAGGGGGAGGAUUUGGGUUUCUGAAAAAAGUGAGGACUCAAAAGAAAACUUUCCUAUUUAACCCAAAAUUCCCGUAAAGCCACGAACUUCCGCUGACCAUAACUUUGUCAUACGAAGUCUGUUUUACGCGUGCAACGUGUCUACGAACUCGUAUCGUCAUGCUCUACAACUUUCGUGAAGGAAGUUUCUCGAGAAACCCAACGGAUUAGAAACUCAACUCUUGACCCUUCAGAACCAUAAAACCGUUUCAGGUAAAAUAAGCAUCCGAACGUUUCCGCUCUUCCUUUGAACCUCAAAACACUCUAACUUCUAACUCAUAAAUUCCCAAAUAAUAGUAGAAACUAAUAUUAAAUUUCCGGGGUAUUACAGUCAUCAUCUCAAUCACCUUUGGAGUAGAGAUUGUGCACCCUAUAGUUGUGCUAUCUCAUUUGUAGAUCGUUUGCGCUGUGUGCAAUUUUUUUUUCUCUAUGUUUUUCCAUAUUUUAUUUUACUGACUUCUUUGAUAACAACAUUAUUAACCUUCUUUCAUGUUUUCAAGUUUAAUUGAACAAUAUAUCUUUUAAGUCAAAAGAAAACAUAAACCGUUUACUCGUUCAAUAACAUCAAACAAUGUACGACUAGCCAUGAGUUUGCUAACUUUCACUGAAAUUUUUUAUUUGUUUGAUGAUAUUGGAUAAGUAAACGAUUUCUGUUUUUCUUUAAUUUUUUAUCGAGAUAAUCUUUAGAGAUUGAAUUGUUUUAGAUCAUAUACAUUGCCCAAUAUAUAGAAAUAACAUAAAGUUUGGAUACAGGUUUGGAUGUAACUAUUUUCCAAUUCCGAACAAGCGAAUGGGCCUUCUUCAAUCCAAACUUGAAAUGCACGAAACAAAAGCACAUUUCAAGUGCCUUCGAAACUCUUCCACAAUGGCUCUUCGAAACUUUUUUGGAUCAAUCCAUAUACCUUUUCUUAAAAAAAAUAAAAAAAAUAAAAAAAAAAGCACGAAGGGGCAAUCCAGACCGUUGACAGUUUAGACCUUAUCUGAAAUGGAACACACCUAAAACUAACUAAAGGCACAUUUCGUGGGUCGAAUACGAAUAUGCCACUGGUCCAACUCUUACGGUAGUCUGCGAAGCCGAGUAUUGUAACUCGGCCUAGACAAUGUUUAGGUUAAAAGGCCGAGCCGAAAAUGAUUAAUCUGAAAAUUGAAUUCUGACCAAAUUAUCGACGGUUUCCCCAAACACCUACGGCGGCGAGUUUCUGUUGAAAUGGAGAUGGCUAUGGAGGAGUCGUGCUCUCAUUCGCUUCUCUUCCUUGCUCGCCACGCCCUUCAAUCUGACGGACGAACUCCUCGCUUUCUGAAGAAUCCUAUACAGAGUACGCCGCCAAUAUCUAGUUGUUGGAUUUUCCAAGCUUGUUUCUAGAUUUACCUCGUUUUAUAUCUUGUCGCCCAAAGUUGUAAUUAGAGGGUUCGAAACGGACUUGGUGUUUUAGAUUCUGGUGAAUUUGUCUUUAUUUUGCUGAUAUUUGUGAACAACAUAGGUCUUUAAAUUUCUAGGGAUUUGGGGUUUUAAGGUGAAUUGUCUUUGAAUUUGAGUAUCUAAGGUUUCAAGUGGUUCUUGAAUGUUCUCUGGCAACGCACACAAAUAUUGGUCGGUGGAACUUUUAAUCUUUUGUUAGGUAUUUGAAUGGCGGGGAGGUGGGACGUUGGGGUUCCCAAGACUAAUGCUUGUAGUCUUCGAGAGCAAGCAACAAGAACAAUUCUUCGCAAUGUGAGGUCACAAGGGCACUCAUAUGUUGAGGUCCGAGAAGAUGGGAAAAAGUUCAUUUUCUUCUGUACUCUGUGUCUUGCCCCAUGCUAUAGUGAUAAGGUGCUCUUUGAUCAUCUCAAGGGUAAUCUUCACAAUGAAAGAUUAGCCGCUGCUAAGGUUACUCUUUUACGACCAAAUCCUUGGCCUUUCAAUGAUGGCGUGGUUUUCUUUAAUAAUUCAUAUGAGACUGAUAAAGGGGUAGUGACUCCGGAUGACAAUAAAUGUAGGAUGUUGGAGUCUCAUGACAAUGAGAACAAUCUUGCUAUUGUCAAAUAUGGUGGAAAUCUGAAAACCAAUGGCUAUGAUCAUUGUGGUGUUGAUGGGCUUGAGUGUAAUGAGUAUAUCGAUUUGCAAGGGUUGCAGUCAAAUGUUGGAGAUUCAACUGCUGAUGGAGCAAAGUCCUCUGUGGUGAUCCCUGGUAUUGUGGUUAGGGAUGAAAUUACUGAUUUAGAAGUGAGAGAGGUGGGUUUGGGAGAAAUUGCUGCAAGGUUCCUUGGGAAAGAUGGUAUUGGUAGAAUAUGGUGUGAAUGGUUGGGAGUAAAAUCUAUAGACAGUGAGGAUUUAUGCAAUGUUCCUGAGCACGAUUUCGCUGUUGUUACCUUCAGUUAUAAUAUUGAUUUGGGUAGAAAAGGUUUACUUGAUGAUGUAAGGAUGUUGCUCUCAUCCAGCCCUACAAUAGAAUCAGGGAAUGGUGAAGGCACCGGUUGUAAGAGAAAGAAAUCCUUCUCUGACCCUGAGGAUAUCAGCGAUUCUCUAAGUAAUCAGUACGAGUCAUUUGGGGAAGAUUCCUCUGCUUCCAGUGGUACAGCAUCUAGGUUGCUUCUAGACCAUUAUGAUGAUCAGUUACUGAAUACAAGAUUUAUAUUGAACAAAUCUAUAAGGCGAGAGCUCAGACGGCAACAGCGUUUAGCGUCAGGAAGAAUGUGUGACAUCUGUCAACAGAGGAUGCUUCCUGGGAAAGAUGUAGCAACUCUCAUGAAUCUGAAGACUGGAAAGCUUGCUUGCAGUAGUCGAAAUGUGAACGGGGUGAGAGUCCUACACAUCUUACAUCCUUUUGCUUUUGACCAUACCAAUGUUUUGUAAUCGGCACCUUCUUCUUCUUCUUUUUUUUUCUUUCUAAUUCAUGUUCCAAAUUACAUUCUGUCCAUGUAUCUGGAUUAGCAAGUAAUGCACAUAUUUUAAUUUAUUUUUACAUGCAGGCUUUUCACGUGUUCCAUACUUCUUGCCUUAUACACUGGAUACUUCUGUGUGAAGUUGAGGUAAUCACAAAUCAGAAUACUGGUUCAAAAGCGAGGAGAAGGUCUAGGAGGAAAACUGCGGCCAAGUGCAAUGGAAAAGAUGCUCAGUUGAAAUCUUUGAGCCCACAAAUUUAUUCUGUAUUCUGCCCAGAGUGCCAGGGUACUGGUAUUGUUGUUGAUGGAGAUGACCUGGAGAAACCGAAUCUUCCUCUGUCUCAGGUUUGCUCUUUGCAGACAGUUUUGACCUGAGUCUUUGUUAUCAAAUUAUGCUCUCCCUUUUCUUUUCUUUUUUCCUUUUCCUUUCACCAUUUUCCUCUUCUUCUUUUUUUCUUCCUUUUUUUCUUUUUGGAUACAAGGGGGCCAAAAGACCCAAACAAAGAAAAGAGCAGAAACUAGAUAGCUCUAGCUACGUUCCUAAACUUAGCAGUAUCACACAAGUCAUCAAGAGCAGCAUUAACAACUUGUGUGUACAUAUCACACUAGGUUGCUGAAAAUAUUGUUUCACAAUUUUCCUCUUUAAGUGGAGAGAAAUAUAAAGAAAACGUGUUUCCCAAUGAAGCACACAAGAUUUGUGAAGAGUGUGCAUAUAUUUUUCUUCCUUUUUUUUUCUUUGGUUGUUUUCUUUUUCCCUUAUAAUACAAUAAUUGUGAAGCUUUAUAAGAUAAAAUCUUUUUCAAAUCUUCUUAUAUGAAAGAAAGAGGUAGGCAGGUCAAAACCGUCGUUAGUUGCUUCUAACUGUGGUGUAUAUGUUAAUGUCAGAUGUUCAGGUAUAAGAUAAAGGUGAGUGAUGCACGUCGAGCAUGGAUGAAGAGUCCUGAGAUGUUGCAGAAUUGCUCGACUGGUUUUCAUUUCCCCUCCCUAAAUGCAGCAGGAAUCCAGGUUUUUUGAGGGAUUGCUAUUUUCCCAUUAUAAAUGAGACUAACAAUCAUCAUUCCCGAUUAACAUUUACUUCUUUACUUGGUCUAGGAAAAGGUGAAAACACUAAAGUUGCUGCGUUUCUAUAGAGCACAUGAAUAGAGAGGUGGCUUCAAGAAUACAAGGGAGCCUGCAACUGUGUUUAGCUGGCGUAGCAUGUGUAUUUCACACAGGUUAUGUAUAUGUGGUGUACAUUGCUGGCCUGGCAUAUGUCUACUUAAGACUGAUUUCAUUCCAUGAAUUAAUGGCAAUAACGAUUUGUAAUUAUAUUGUAAAUAACUAAAUACCUUAUCAGAUAGAUUAUUGCUAUGCUCUUGAACCUGACUCGAUUGUCACCUGUGACAAUAUUUCUGGUUCAUCCUUUUCUCUUCACGUGGUUCUACAUUUUAAUUAUCAUUCCUUCCAUUGGGGUUGGUCUAGUCUGGUGUGAUGCGUUUUAGUCAGUGAAACGAGGCAGGUUUAGGCCAUCUUCAGUAAAGGAGAGCUAUAUCGGGAUCGGGAUCAGGGCUAAAUUUUUUAAAUUCUUGAACAAGUGAACAAAUAGAGAAAUUGUAUUCACACAUACCAGAUUUAUUAAUAUUAAAUACACAUCUUUAUUUUUUAAAAUUUUGAUGAAGAUUAUAUACACAUCUUUAAUGCAAUUUUGUCCCUUUGAUGAAGAUGAACAAAUAAACAAAAAGAAUGUAAAAACAAAAAUUAUAUACAAAUCUACAACUCUAAAAAUCCUACAGUAUGUAAACUUCCUAGUGAUAUCAAAUUUUCAUACUAUUUCGAUUGAUUGAAAAUCUUAAAGUUUUUUUUUGUCUGUAGAAAUCUUAAAGGUUAUUUGAAUAAAUUUAAAAAAAUAUAUAUCGUCAAUCACUUUGUCUCCAUUGAUUGUUUGUUAAACUUCAUUUGCUUACCAAUUCGAUUUGAUUUUAGUUGAAUUAGUAGUAUUGAUCAUAAAAAGACAAAAUUUAAGUUACAAAAAAAAAAUAGGUGUGUGGAUUUCACAACCCAAUAAUUAAUGUCAACUAAAUUUUGUAAUGUUAUGCAUAUUCAAUUAAAUUUUUAGAUACCAUUGGAUUACAAGAGUUAAUUGACAUGGACCAUUGGAUAUGCUUUUUGGCAUGAGGCACAUGGGUUGCUUUAAAAUAAGGGAUGUGAAAUCCACACCAUUUUUCAUUUUUUAGUUAACACAUUAAUAAAAAGACAAAACUUAAGUCGGUAAAAGACAAAAUUUAAGUUUACAAAAAAGAAAAAUAGUAUGUGGAUUUUAAUUUAGAGUGUGUGGAUUUUACAACCCUAAAAUAAUGUUAAUUGAUGUUGUUGUUCUAUAGGUCCCACAAGAGCUAAAGGGUUGGCUAUUUUCAGCCUUCUCCACCACCCUUGAGCCGUAAUAGCUCUUUUGACCUAAGAGCUAAAGGGUUUGCUGUUUUCAGCCCUCUCUUUAGCUAUGAAUGUGGACAACCUUCCUCCAUAUCAACAAAUCAAGUUGAAAUUCAUCACAAUUUAUUAUUUAAUUUAGAGUGUGUGAAUUUCACAACUCUAAAAUAAUGUUAAUUGGUGUUAUUGUUCUAUGGGUCCCACAAGAGCUAAAAGGUUGGUUAUUUUCAGCCCUCUCUACCACCCUUCAGCCGUAAUAGCUCUUUUGACCUAAGAGCUAAAGGGUUGGCUGUUUUCAGCCCUCUCUUUAGCUAUGAAUGUGGCAACCUUACUCCAUAUCAACAAACCAAGUUGAAAUUCAUCGCAAUUCAUUAUUUUGGCUCAACAAUUGGUGAAGAAUACCAAAAACGAAGCACAGAAGCUGCAUCACAAGUUCCCGAACCUAAAACCAAAUAAGUCUAUCGUAAGUUGAAAAUAUGGAAAAUGGAACAAAAUAUGCAGGAUUUGAAUAUGUAGAUUCAAUCCUUUGUCAAAAUUUCCCGAACCUAAAACCAAAUAAGUCUAUCGUAAGUUGAAAAUAUGGAAAAUGGAACAAAAUAUGCAGGAUUUGAAUAUGUAGAUUCAAUCCUUUGUCAAAAUUAAAACAACAGACAAAAGAACAUAAGAUUUACUAACAACAAUGUAAACCUCCCUCGAAACGUCAUUGCGAGACUUUUAAAAUAGUCCACACUAAAUCAAAUCUAUUAUAGAGUAAGAAUGAUUAAAGAUCUAUCUAAUGCUAUUCAACACAAUCACUUUACAAGUAUUCCAAACUAACUUGAUUCCAAACUGUUAACCCUAUUCUAACUCUCCUUAAAUCUAAGUUGCACACAAGAAGGAACUAAACACGUCUUCAAUGCUUUCCGAUCUCAAUUACUAUAAGAAUGACAGAUGCAAUGAUACAAGCAUAUAAUAUGACAAUGAGUAUUCACAAAUAGUAUGCAGACAACAACAUGCAUAUAUGAAUAUUUUGACUCAAUAAGACUCUGUAUUUUGGUAGAGUAAUUUCAUGUCUAUAUAUAGGGAGAUAUAGCGUCCUCUCAAAUCGAUCACCAUUGAUCACUGAUUGGGAUAAACAUGAAAACUAAUUUUGAAAACAGAAUCAGAUAUAUUUUCAUGUGAUAGGCGUUACGAAACUGGUACGUUCUCAAUUAACCCAGCAUUAUAGUAUAGAAUAAGCGGGGUAUCGUUCAAGUCGGGGACUAAGGGCUAACCUGCAAACAAUGAUCAAAAGAGUAAAUAAUUAUCAAUAUACAAAUGUAAACGUAAUACAAAAGGGUGGGGGGGGGGGGGGGGGAGGGAUUUGUUUGCUUGUUCUAAGUUCCUACUAAAAAGUAAAGCAAAACGAAAAAUAAAAUAUAUACAAGUGUGAUUCUUCCACAUACAUCAACCAACAAUUUCAGAUACAACAAACAGGACAACAUGCUUCAAGUCACACGACCAAUCUUAUUGUGAUAUCAGAAACAAAUUCGAAAUGCAAGCCUAAAGAGGUCAUGCAUCCCAUUAACUCCACUUACUUUAUCUCUUAAGUAUAGAGAAGUCUAGAACCUAAGAUAUUUCAUGUAAAGGCUGCUAUAGAUAUUCAGCGUCGACUUAGCAUACCCGUCUACCUAAACAUGAAUCAUUAAGAGCUAUAGAAUUCUGAUGUUGAACAUGCUCAAGUUUACAUAAUGCUGCUUAACUUGUAAACAUGUAACACAUAGUCUCGACUAUUAUUACAUAACCUUUACUACUUAAAUUCUGCCUAAAACUAUUAGGUGAAUUAGUUCGGAAACCUAGCAACACUAACCUGUAUAUUAGAGUUUUAGUGAAAACACAACUAUGCAUUUAAUGAAAUCACAAAGCAUAAAAUUGAUCAUAUGCAAUCACAAACCAGUCGAAACAUGCUUGAAUUUAUUCUGAAAAUUAACCUAUUCAUGUUCUUAACAACCAACCAUUCCAACUUUGAAAUCCAAUAACAGAAAACAAAGACUAAUAACAAGAUAGAAGAAACAAGCCAUGAGUUACACUUUAUGAAUCUUUAAGGAAGCUUGACAUGUUCGAAGGGUCAAACACGCUUAAUACUUCUCAGCGGCCUUCUGGAGAAGUCAUACAAAAGUGUCGGCUUGGAUUGCUUCUUGGUUGGAUAGAGCUGUCGAAAGGAGAAGGAAGGCUAACGUUGUUUCCUGAUUUUUGUGUGAAAGAAUAGAUGAUUGAGAAGUACAAAAGAAGAGAUGUUUACCUCUUUGUGCUCAUGAUGACUCUAUAACAACAAAACAUGUCAGAAAUGACAUUAUUACGGAAAUAACGUAGCCAAAUAGGAUAGGAAAUACAUUAAAAUCAUAACAUAUUAUGCGUCUAUCAUCAUGACAAAUAAAUCUAAUAAGUAUAACACACUUUUUCAAAACAAUAUGAUGAUAGUGAAUGAAUGAAUAUAAUUAUCAAUCAUAUUAGAACUUCUUUCCGUACGCAUUUGCAUAUCAGAAUAUAUGGAGUUUAAUUCCAAUAUUAAUACCAAUCAAAUCAGAACUAAUAAGGAAAAUCAACCAGAUAUUCAAGCACAUAAAACCUAUUACACAAAACACACGCCCUAAAUGGAAUGAAUAUCACCUGCAAUAAAACUCGUUUAGCAAAGUAUCAAGAAAUGAAUGAUAUCCAAUUUAUUGAGAGUUUAUUUUUUUAUAGGAAUGACAACACAUGAAUAUUAGGCCUACAAUCUCCCUCUUUGGCAUUCUUAUACAAAACACCUUAUCCAAAUCACAAAACCUGAAACAUUCUUAACAAACAACCAAGUGAGAAGAAAGAGAAACAAAUGAUGAAAAUACUUUCAAAGUCACACAUGAUCAGAGCAUAUUCUAAAUAACAUAUCCUAAGCACAACACUAUUCCCCUUUUUGUUUAGGAAUGACAAAAGGACACCAAAAAGAGUAUGAUCAAAGUCAUGUAAAUAAGAGCUGUAUAACUCAAGAGCCUAUGUAAUAGGAAUAACACAAGUGAGCAAGAGUGAGUAGCGGUUUCACUAUUCAAGAUGAAUCACCCAAGCUAAAAUAUAAUCUAGGUAUUAAUUUUCCCCUUAAGAAUCAUAUAUAUGAAAAAUGCAAAGAAUGAAAUGCAAACACACAAUGACUGGGAAGUGUUCCAUGAAUUAUAUGAAGAGGAAAAACAAAACAUUUAACCGAGGUACAAGACAUAGCUUUACACAUACACAUAUAAAAUAGACAAACUCAAUUUUCAUGCUUGACUCAAUUGACACAGCAUUCUAAGCAAGAAGCAUAUGUUGAUCAAUCAUGUAUCUUAUGUGAAAUAAGUGAACAAUCUUUUUUAUGGGGUGAUAUAUCUCAAGCUUUCAACAACUAGCAUAAGAAAUAAUAUUUCACAACCUUCUUAUAACUCCCGUGUGGGCACUUCACUUUUAUUUUUCUUUUUGGCCUUUCACACUAUCUUUAACUUUUGAAUUUUCAACCCAUGUAGCAAGUACAAUAUCAGUAGCUCCUAAGCUAGUUGUCUUUAGGGUACUAGGUGUAACAAGGAAACCCUUAAAGACAUUUACUGGAGCCAAAUUCUUGAAACCACCGGGGUGGUCAAGUCAUUCCAUUUUCUUUCUUAGGGAAAACUAAGGUGUGUUAAUGCAUGACAUGCAUCAACUUUGUCCUCAAGUUAAAAGAACCAGUCCUCAAAAUUGUAAUAUGAGUCCUUAAAGUUGUAAAAUUUUAAUUAUAAUUAGUCCUCUAGUGGUAAAAUGUGUUCUUAACUAAAGUGGUAAUUUAGUCCUCAAAGUUGCAUUAAGGAGUCAUAUUUCCACUUUAAGGUUUAAUAUUACUACUUUUAAUGACUCAUUGGUAACUAAGAAUAAUUACAACUUUAAAGACUCGUUUACAACUUUAAGGACUAAUAUUAUCAUUUUGAGAACUCAUUUUACAACUUUAGAAUAAAACUUAUGCACAUGCAUUAACACAUUUUAGAAUUUUGUCCUUCUUCCCAUAAUCUUAUAUCGUUCACCACGACCAAGACAUGUUUACUUUAAAAAUAGUCUAACCAUGCUCCAUAUAAUCAUAAAUUGAUAUUUUUCUUUUCAUGGAGAAAUAGAGAAAUCAAGUAUAACGGAAACACAUCAAGAUAUUCUCAUACCACCAUAGCAAAAGAGAGAGUGUGCACGUGAAAUUUUUCCAGGGCAACAAUGAUUAUUUUAGCAUGCUUAAAAUUAGCAAAUAAUGUCAACCAGUAUCAAAACCUGCAAACAAGUUUAUCCAUCUUAUACAGAUAAAGUCAUGGCAACUAACUAGAUAAUAUCAAUUCAACUCACUCUUUUAGACAAUUUAGGAUUGAAACCCAGCAUGCAAUCCUCAGGAAAUAUGGAUUUUUUUUUUCUUUUGAUGCAGAAGAUUAAAAAAAAAACAAAUGCACCUAAGCUAUCAUGAGAUUCAUACAAUGAAUGCAUGUCAGAUGCAUCAAACAAAAUGAGAACAUUUAUACUUCAAGCACACACCAAUAGUGAUUUUGAGUGAUUCAUCAACAUGACUUGAUCUAAAAAGGGAUAGUAAUAAGUAGUAUCAAUAGUUUUAGGCAAUCAAGAUUAUCAAUACUACCAGAAAAACAAUUACUUGUACCCUUUCUCACCCAGAUUUGCUUAUGUUUCGAAUUCUUUUCUUUAGGGAUUGAAAUAAGCUUUGCAAUCCUCUGUAUCAACUUCAAAUGUUCUUUCAGUGCAGCUUGCAACAAAACUGUUGGACUAAGAUUUCUUAUUUCCUUGUGCUUUUAAGAGUCCCUGCGAAGCAAAUAGCAUUUUGGACGUAUAUGCACCAAUUUUCCACAAUGAUGACAAGUAAGAAUAAAAGAUUUUGAGGAUUUUCCAUACCUAAGCUGUCACAACCCAGGACCCAUUCCGCCGUAACACGAUAUUGUUCGCUUUGGGCCCACCGGCCCUCACGGUUUUGUUUCCGGCAGCUCAGGAGCAGCUUCCCAGUAGGUCACCCAUCCUGGGAUUGCUCUUGCAUCAACAUGCUUAACCUCGGAGUACCCAUCCCAUCCGAAGCCGCUGAGCCACCAAAAGGCCUCGUGUUAGAUUGGAGGUGGGCAUGUACAUAUACAGCACAUAACCCCUCUCCGUUUGGCCGAUGUGGGAUAUUACAAUCCACCCCCCCGUGGGAGUCCGACGCCCUCGUCGGCACACUCGCACCACACGGCAGAGUGGCUCUGAUACCAUUUGUCACAACCCAGGAACCCAUUCCGCCGUAACACGAUAUUGUUCGCUUUGGGCCCACCGGCCCUCACGGUUUUGUUUCCGGCAGCUCAGGAGCAGCUUCCCAGUAGGUCACCCAUCCUGGGAUUGCUCUUGCAUCAACAUGCUUAACCUCGGAGUACCCAUCCCCUCCGUUCGCCGCCGGACCGGUCUCGUUCGGUCGGUCUCCCUCCCAGCAACAUUUCUAGACCGGUGACAGCUCCCCUAGCGCCGCCGUGAGUGAGCGGUGCCGCCCGAAAGAACCGACUGCCCCGAGCUUCCCUUCGCCGGAACUUCCUCCUCCGGCCACCAAUCCGGGCAAGCUUGGUACGGUUUUGUAGCCCUCCUCCCGUGCAACAACCCCUCCAAGCAGCUCCCUCCCUCUUGAGCUAGGUAAGGAGAAAUGUGGAGUUGAAAUUUCUAGGCUUUUAAGUUAUUUUCGUUCGAUUAGCCUAGUUAGGCUUGGAAUUGGGUGAUGUGUUGGUCAUGAAAGUUGUAGAGGAGAUUGAGAGGAAGAUUCUGUUAAAAUUUGGUAGCAUUUGCAGGUCGCCGGAGUUGGUCGCCGGCCGCCGCUGCCGGCGGAGCCGCUGCUGUUUUGGGAAAUUUUGUGGUUUUUGAUGUAGAAUAUUAAGAGGAUAUUUUUGAGGUGAUUUGUGGAAUUUUUGGAUGAGAUUUGGAUAGGUUUGUGAAUUUCCNNNNNNNNNNNNNNNNNNNNNNNNNNNNNNNNNNNNNNNNNNNNNNNNNNNNNNNNNNNNNNNNNNNNNNNNNNNNNNNNNNNNNNNNNNNNNNNNNNNNNNNNNNNNNNNNNNNNNNNNNNNNNNNNNNNNNNNNNNNNNNNNNNNNNNNNNNNNNNNNNNNNNNNNNNNNNNNNNNNNNNNNNNNNNNNNNNNNNNNNNNNNNNNNNNNNNNNNNNNNNNNNNNNNNNNNNNNNNNNNNNNNNNNNNNNNNNNNNNNNNNNNNNNNNNNNNNNNNNNNNNNNNNNNNNNNNNNNNNNNNNNNNNNNNNNNNNNNNNNNNNNNNNNNNNNNNNNNNNNNNNNNNNNNNNNNNNNNNNNNNNNNNNNNNNNNNNNNNNNNNNNNNNNNNNNNNNNNNNNNNNNNNNNNNNNNNNNNNNNNNNNNNNNNNNNNNNNNNNNNNNNNNNNNNNNNNNNNNNNNNNNNNNNNNNNNNNNNNNNNNNNNNNNNNNNNNNNNNNNNNNNNNNNNNNNNNNNNNNNNNNNNNNNNNNNNNNNNNNNNNNNNNNNNNNNNNNNNNNNNNNNNNNNNNNNNNNNNNNNNNNNNNNNNNNNNNNNNNNNNNNNNNNNNNNNNNNNNNNNNNNNNNNNNNNNNNNNNNNNNNNNNNNNNNNNNNNNNNNNNNNNNNNNNNNNNNNNNNNNNNNNNNNNNNNNNNNNNNNNNNNNNNNNNNNNNNNNNNNNNNNNNNNNNNNNNNNNNNNNNNNNNNNNNNNNNNNNNNNNNNNNNNNNNNNNNNNNNNNNNNNNNNNNNNNNNNNNNNNNNNNNNNNNNNNNNNNNNNNNNNNNNNNNNNNNNNNNNNNNNNNNNNNNNNNNNNNNNNNNNNNNNNNNNNNNNNNNNNNNNNNNNNNNNNNNNNNNNNNNNNNNNNNNNNNNNNNNNNNNNNNNNNNNNNNNNNNNNNNNNNNNNNNNNNNNNNNNNNNNNNNNNNNNNNNNNNNNNNNNNNNNNNNNNNNNNNNNNNNNNNNNNNNNNNNNNNNNNNNNNNNNNNNNNNNNNNNNNNNNNNNNNNNNNNNNNNNNNNNNNNNNNNNNNNNNNNNNNNNNNNNNNNNNNNNNNNNNNNNNNNNNNNNNNNNNNNNNNNNNNNNNNNNNNNNNNNNNNNNNNNNNNNNNNNNNNNNNNNNNNNNNNNNNNNNNNNNNNNNNNNNNNNNNNNNNNNNNNNNNNNNNNNNNNNNNNNNNNNNNNNNNNNNNNNNNNNNNNNNNNNNNNNNNNNNNNNNNNNNNNNNNNNNNNNNNNNNNNNNNNNNNNNNNNNNNNNNNNNNNNNNNNNNNNNNNNNNNNNNNNNNNNNNNNNNNNNNNNNNNNNNNNNNNNNNNNNNNNNNNNNNNNNNNNNNNNNNNNNNNNNNNNNNNNNNNNNNNNNNNNNNNNNNNNNNNNNNNNNNNNNNNNNNNNNNNNNNNNNNNNNNNNNNNNNNNNNNNNNNNNNNNNNNNNNNNNNNNNNNNNNNNNNNNNNNNNNNNNNNNNNNNNNNNNNNNNNNNNNNNNNNNNNNNNNNNNNNNNNNNNNNNNNNNNNNNNNNNNNNNNNNNNNNNNNNNNNNNNNNNNNNNNNNNNNNNNNNNNNNNNNNNNNNNNNNNNNNNNNNNNNNNNNNNNNNNNNNNNNNNNNNNNNNNNNNNNNNNNNNNNNNNNNNNNNNNNNNNNNNNNNNNNNNNNNNNNNNNNNNNNNNNNNNNNNNNNNNNNNNNNNNNNNNNNNNNNNNNNNNNNNNNNNNNNNNNNNNNNNNNNNNNNNNNNNNNNNNNNNNNNNNNNNNNNNNNNNNNNNNNNNNNNNNNNNNNNNNNNNNNNNNNNNNNNNNNNNNNNNNNNNNNNNNNNNNNNNNNNNNNNNNNNNNNNNNNNNNNNNNNNNNNNNNNNNNNNNNNNNNNNNNNNNNNNNNNNNNNNNNNNNNNNNNNNNNNNNNNNNNNNNNNNNNNNNNNNNNNNNNNNNNNNNNNNNNNNNNNNNNNNNNNNNNNNNNNNNNNNNNNNNNNNNNNNNNNNNNNNNNNNNNNNNNNNNNNNNNNNNNNNNNNNNNNNNNNNNNNNNNNNNNNNNNNNNNNNNNNNNNNNNNNNNNNNNNNNNNNNNNNNNNNNNNNNNNNNNNNNNNNNNNNNNNNNNNNNNNNNNNNNNNNNNNNNNNNNNNNNNNNNNNNNNNNNNNNNNNNNNNNNNNNNNNNNNNNNNNNNNNNNNNNNNNNNNNNNNNNNNNNNNNNNNNNNNNNNNNNNNNNNNNNNNNNNNNNNNNNNNNNNNNNNNNNNNNNNNNNNNNNNNNNNNNNNNNNNNNNNNNNNNNNNNNNNNNNNNNNNNNNNNNNNNNNNNNNNNNNNNNNNNNNNNNNNNNNNNNNNNNNNNNNNNNNNNNNNNNNNNNNNNNNNNNNNNNNNNNNNNNNNNNNNNNNNNNNNNNNNNNNNNNNNNNNNNNNNNNNNNNNNNNNNNNNNNNNNNNNNNNNNNNNNNNNNNNNNNNNNNNNNNNNNNNNNNNNNNNNNNNNNNNNNNNNNNNNNNNNNNNNNNNNNNNNNNNNNNNNNNNNNNNNNNNNNNNNNNNNNNNNNNNNNNNNNNNNNNNNNNNNNNNNNNNNNNNNNNNNNNNNNNNNNNNNNNNNNNNNNNNNNNNNNNNNNNNNNNNNNNNNNNNNNNNNNNNNNNNNNNNNNNNNNNNNNNNNNNNNNNNNNNNNNNNNNNNNNNNNNNNNNNNNNNNNNNNNNNNNNNNNNNNNNNNNNNNNNNNNNNNNNNNNNNNNNNNNNNNNNNNNNNNNNNNNNNNNNNNNNNNNNNNNNNNNNNNNNNNNNNNNNNNNNNNNNNNNNNNNNNNNNNNNNNNNNNNNNNNNNNNNNNNNNNNNNNNNNNNNNNNNNNNNNNNNNNNNNNNNNNNNNNNNNNNNNNNNNNNNNNNNNNNNNNNNNNNNNNNNNNNNNNNNNNNNNNNNNNNNNNNNNNNNNNNNNNNNNNNNNNNNNNNNNNNNNNNNNNNNNNNNNNNNNNNNNNNNNNNNNNNNNNNNNNNNNNNNNNNNNNNNNNNNNNNNNNNNNNNNNNNNNNNNNNNNNNNNNNNNNNNNNNNNNNNNNNNNNNNNNNNNNNNNNNNNNNNNNNNNNNNNNNNNNNNNNNNNNNNNNNNNNNNNNNNNNNNNNNNNNNNNNNNNNNNNNNNNNNNNNNNNNNNNNNNNNNNNNNNNNNNNNNNNNNNNNNNNNNNNNNNNNNNNNNNNNNNNNNNNNNNNNNNNNNNNNNNNNNNNNNNNNNNNNNNNNNNNNNNNNNNNNNNNNNNNNNNNNNNNNNNNNNNNNNNNNNNNNNNNNNNNNNNNNNNNNNNNNNNNNNNNNNNNNNNNNNNNNNNNNNNNNNNNNNNNNNNNNNNNNNNNNNNNNNNNNNNNNNNNNNNNNNNNNNNNNNNNNNNNNNNNNNNNNNNNNNNNNNNNNNNNNNNNNNNNNNNNNNNNNNNNNNNNNNNNNNNNNNNNNNNNNNNNNNNNNNNNNNNNNNNNNNNNNNNNNNNNNNNNNNNNNNNNNNNNNNNNNNNNNNNNNNNNNNNNNNNNNNNNNNNNNNNNNNNNNNNNNNNNNNNNNNNNNNNNNNNNNNNNNNNNNNNNNNNNNNNNNNNNNNNNNNNNNNNNNNNNNNNNNNNNNNNNNNNNNNNNNNNNNNNNNNNNNNNNNNNNNNNNNNNNNNNNNNNNNNNNNNNNNNNNNNNNNNNNNNNNNNNNNNNNNNNNNNNNNNNNNNNNNNNNNNNNNNNNNNNNNNNNNNNNNNNNNNNNNNNNNNNNNNNNNNNNNNNNNNNNNNNNNNNNNNNNNNNNNNNNNNNNNNNNNNNNNNNNNNNNNNNNNNNNNNNNNNNNNNNNNNNNNNNNNNNNNNNNNNNNNNNNNNNNNNNNNNNNNNNNNNNNNNNNNNNNNNNNNNNNNNNNNNNNNNNNNNNNNNNNNNNNNNNNNNNNNNNNNNNNNNNNNNNNNNNNNNNNNNNNNNNNNNNNNNNNNNNNNNNNNNNNNNNNNNNNNNNNNNNNNNNNNNNNNNNNNNNNNNNNNNNNNNNNNNNNNNNNNNNNNNNNNNNNNNNNNNNNNNNNNNNNNNNNNNNNNNNNNNNNNNNNNNNNNNNNNNNNNNNNNNNNNNNNNNNNNNNNNNNNNNNNNNNNNNNNNNNNNNNNNNNNNNNNNNNNNNNNNNNNNNNNNNNNNNNNNNNNNNNNNNNNNNNNNNNNNNNNNNNNNNNNNNNNNNNNNNNNNNNNNNNNNNNNNNNNNNNNNNNNNNNNNNNNNNNNNNNNNNNNNNNNNNNNNNNNNNNNNNNNNNNNNNNNNNNNNNNNNNNNNNNNNNNNNNNNNNNNNNNNNNNNNNNNNNNNNNNNNNNNNNNNNNNNNNNNNNNNNNNNNNNNNNNNNNNNNNNNNNNNNNNNNNNNNNNNNNNNNNNNNNNNNNNNNNNNNNNNNNNNNNNNNNNNNNNNNNNNNNNNNNNNNNNNNNNNNNNNNNNNNNNNNNNNNNNNNNNNNNNNNNNNNNNNNNNNNNNNNNNNNNNNNNNNNNNNNNNNNNNNNNNNNNNNNNNNNNNNNNNNNNNNNNNNNNNNNNNNNNNNNNNNNNNNNNNNNNNNNNNNNNNNNNNNNNNNNNNNNNNNNNNNNNNNNNNNNNNNNNNNNNNNNNNNNNNNNNNNNNNNNNNNNNNNNNNNNNNNNNNNNNNNNNNNNNNNNNNNNNNNNNNNNNNNNNNNNNNNNNNNNNNNNNNNNNNNNNNNNNNNNNNNNNNNNNNNNNNNNNNNNNNNNNNNNNNNNNNNNNNNNNNNNNNNNNNNNNNNNNNNNNNNNNNNNNNNNNNNNNNNNNNNNNNNNNNNNNNNNNNNNNNNNNNNNNNNNNNNNNNNNNNNNNNNNNNNNNNNNNNNNNNNNNNNNNNNNNNNNNNNNNNNNNNNNNNNNNNNNNNNNNNNNNNNNNNNNNNNNNNNNNNNNNNNNNNNNNNNNNNNNNNNNNNNNNNNNNNNNNNNNNNNNNNNNNNNNNNNNNNNNNNNNNNNNNNNNNNNNNNNNNNNNNNNNNNNNNNNNNNNNNNNNNNNNNNNNNNNNNNNNNNNNNNNNNNNNNNNNNNNNNNNNNNNNNNNNNNNNNNNNNNNNNNNNNNNNNNNNNNNNNNNNNNNNNNNNNNNNNNNNNNNNNNNNNNNNNNNNNNNNNNNNNNNNNNNNNNNNNNNNNNNNNNNNNNNNNNNNNNNNNNNNNNNNNNNNNNNNNNNNNNNNNNNNNNNNNNNNNNNNNNNNNNNNNNNNNNNNNNNNNNNNNNNNNNNNNNNNNNNNNNNNNNNNNNNNNNNNNNNNNNNNNNNNNNNNNNNNNNNNNNNNNNNNNNNNNNNNNNNNNNNNNNNNNNNNNNNNNNNNNNNNNNNNNNNNNNNNNNNNNNNNNNNNNNNNNNNNNNNNNNNNNNNNNNNNNNNNNNNNNNNNNNNNNNNNNNNNNNNNNNNNNNNNNNNNNNNNNNNNNNNNNNNNNNNNNNNNNNNNNNNNNNNNNNNNNNNNNNNNNNNNNNNNNNNNNNNNNNNNNNNNNNNNNNNNNNNNNNNNNNNNNNNNNNNNNNNNNNNNNNNNNNNNNNNNNNNNNNNNNNNNNNNNNNNNNNUGUCCACCUUGAUGGCGUAGUGUAGCACCGCAUUAAGGCGUGACGUGAGCGUUGGACGCGAACGUAGUAGCCCUAUAUAGACCCAUGAAUUUAUAUAGGGAGUAUGGACGAGUGUAAAUACAUACAUAUAUUAUAGAGUCUGAGAGGCUCGAUAUUUUAUGAGAUAAAAGUUUAUCGCUUGCGGCAUGCAUUCGAUUUUUCCUUAGAAAUUAAUUUGGGGAAACAUAAAUAUUUUAUUUAUUAUUUUAUUUUUGUCCACUCACUCUGACGUUAUUAAAUGUUUUCCCCUGGGCCCUUCGUUUUAAAUUGCCCAGUCUGCAGAGUUCGGGUUGGAUCUAGUAGGAGACGAGGCAUAGUCACCCGCAUUUCUGCCAGUUUUCGCCAGUAGGUUACCUGUUCAACCUACUCGUGUUUUCUUGCUUCCGCUUGUGUUUAGUAGCUCUGAAUACUUUAGAAUUUUUGUAUAUUAUGGGAUGUUCAGAAGUGUUAAAUUAAGAGUGUAAUAUAAAAUUUUUCGAGUUAGGGUUGUCCAUCUGCAAGGGAGAUUUUCUUAAUCUUUUCAGUAAAUUUUCCUUGGAGGUGGUCCCCGCACGACUUACUCUGGGUUUCAGGGUGAAAUUCGGGGUGGGUCGUGUCAUAAGCUGGCGCACAGGUGUGCAAUUCAGAGCUUGGCUGGCAAUUGGGAUCUCCUCUCCUUGGUUGUGGCUUGGGCCUUGUUAGACCUAGCCUGGGGUGGUAAUAAUUAUUUUACUGUUUUAUUUAUUUACUUGUCAUAGCAGCCUGACUAGUUUCUAGAUCAGGCAAUCUUUCUGCUACAAUUUAUCAAUAUGUAAUUACCAACAUAAAUUCCCAAAAUACCAGAUCAAGAACCCUAGAUAUUUGCAUAUUCAUAUUUAUGUACAAUUAUCAGUUUAGAUACCAAAUUCUUAUACAAUUACGAAGCAAAAUCACAAGCAAAGUAAGGUUUCUACAUUUACCCAGUUAAAAAAUCCCAAAAUUUCUAGUAAUUUUGUAGUUGAUCAUCCUCAAUUUCUCAGUUCCUUGAUGAAAUCUCACCGUAUUGCCUUAAGUGAAUUGCCUUAGAGCAAUUGCACCCAUGAAUGGAAGACAAUUGCUGAUUUGCCAAUCAAAUUGGUACUGCUUAUCCACUAUUCAUAUAAAAUUGACAAUUGCCUCUCUAUUGUCAAUGUACCAAUUGAAGGCAAUUUGCCUGCUAAUCUACUAUUCACUUUUGAAAUUUGAAUAAAUCAUUAUUUCAAAAGGUAAAAUUUAUAAUUUGUUAAUUAAUAAUGAGAUUGAUCGGACACAUGGUUAAAUGCGCCCAUGAAUCGCUUUAUUGAAUUUGCUCAUGGUCAUGCCAAUUGUAAUGAGAUACCCUUAUGGUUGGAAGAAAAUUGGGAGGAAAUGGAUAAUAAAUUGAUGGAAGAAGAAGAUGGGAAGGUAAAACUUUAGAAAAUAUUGGUAUAAAUUAUAUGGAGUAAGGUAUUCAAUUAUAUAAUUUUUAGAAAGAAACAAAUUCAGAUUUUUUUUAAUCCAAAAAAUUGUUAACCAUUGGUAUUUAAUUAUAGCCAUUAAAUCUCAAUCUGAAGGCUAUAAUCAGUCAAUCAUAAAACUUGUAGGUUGAAAACAUGUGAAAGCAGAGGCGGAGCCCACAAAUUGGUUGGGCAAAAUGAUGGGCAAAAAUCAGCAAAGGAAUUACCCAAGCAAUUAAUAUUCACCUCGGGUCCACGAAUUGGUCAUGCAAUUUAUUAUCGGUGCAUUAAUGUUUUGGUUGAAUGUUGGUGGGUCCUAUCAAUUGGUCACCCAAUGACCCAAUCAGCUCACCGGUGCAAUUGCUCUUAGAUGAAGGCCGACGAAGUGAGUCAGACAACGAUGCCUAAAGUCCAACGACGUUUUCAAGUCAUCGUAUCUGAUUCGAUUCGAUGUGGAUUUGAUUCUUUGAGGUCACCAUUAAGAGACGAUAGUUAAGCUUUUAGGUUUUAGUUUAACUUUGUGCUUGUGUCUACAAUAAUAAUGUCUACUGAAUAGAAAUAACCAAUAGAAGGUUGUUAAUGUAAUUUCCUAUUUCUUUAAAAAUUAUUAGAGGAAAUUUUUGUGUUUUUUUUUUUUAAAUGGACACCAAGUAACAUACUCGGGCUUUCAUGUUGUAGGUUAUUCAGGUUUUGACAGGCUGGAACUGGACCAGCUGUUAACUGGGACCAAACCAGACCAGACCUGUAAAAAGCUAACCGUGAGAAAACCCAGCCCAGACCAGCCGAUUUAGGUCGGUUCUGCCGGGUUUUUUCUUUUAUGUGGUGUUAUGCCCAAUCCUAGAUCAGUAGAUCUAUCAUACGCAUGCGACCCUCGACAUAAAUUUAGGCAACCGCUCAUCUGGUUUAAUCCGCAUAUAUUUCACACAUAUACUCAAUUAAUUUACAUGUAUACCAUGAGCAACUAAAAACUUUGCUCAAAACAAAAUUAGGCACAACAAGAAGCAACAAAACAGAAAUAAACACAUUCUGUUGAGUGACUUAUCAGCCUGCAUUACAUGCCUUCUCACCCUCGGACUAGUGCUGCCAGUAAGAUUAUACGAAUUCGGGUAAGUGUAAACAUUUGUUAUCGAGUUACCAAACACCCUAGCAUACACCAUUUCACCAAACAUGCCGACCAUCGGAUUGAAGACUUGUGUUGAUGUAUCACCAGGACUAUGCAUUGGUGAAGCUGCUGUAUAGCUACCUCCUAAAGGGCUGUUUAUUUGGGAUUGAUAAGGAUGACUUCGCUGAAUACUAUAAGGGCUGGUACUUGGGGUUCGUGGUGUGUCAACCGCGCAAGGAGCGAGAGGUCUUUUUGGAAUGACUAUACCAAGAUGGGGAGGCUUGCCUUUAGAUGGCUUUGUGGGCUUUGUUGUUUGACCACGACCAUAAAGUGGGACUAGAGAGGAUUCAGAGACUUCAGUUUUGCAAACAGGGCACUGUGGCUGUUUUUGGUCCUCUUGGCUUUCCGAAGAAGGGGUCUGGAAUUGAAUCCACUUGUAUAUGCAAGGCCAGCAGUAUAAAUGACCACAGAGGGUAACCACCGGAUCGCGCACAGAGUCUAAGCAAAUGCUGCAGUCGAAGUUAGCACAUGACUUGUUUUCAGUAUCUGGGACUUCAGAAACAGGAUUCCAUUUUCCGAAGGAACAUUUAGCGUCUCCACUGGAAUUAGACUGGACCACAGCAUCUUCAAAGUAUUGCUCUGUUGCCAUCUUAACGGCUUGGGAUAGAUGAUUCUUGAGUUGCUUAAAUCUGAAACAUGGUAAAGAAAAAAGGGUAAAAUUAACGUAACAUGAUGGAGGGAUCUAUACCACAUUCAAAGUAAACAAACAGAACCGACACCAAAAUAUUAUACAAAGGCAUAAUUGCCAAUUUGCUACCCUAGAAUUCACCUUGGUGUCAAUUUGCUACCCUAGUUUUUAUUUCUGCCAAUUUGCUACCCUAGAAUUCACCUUGGUGUCAAUUUGCUACCCUAACUUUUAUUUCUGCCAAUUUGCUACCCUUAUGUCAAACUUUUGACUCUAGAUAAUCAAUAUUAACCGAUUUGACAUCAAUGUUUGGACGGAGAAAUAGAUCAAUUUAUAUGACAAAAGACAGUAAAUUGGCUAAUUUUAGAAACCUAGGGUAGCAAUUUGGCAGAAAUAAAAGCUAAGGUAGCAAAUCGGCUAAUUUUGUGAAACUAGGGUAGCAAAUUGGCAGAAAUAAAAACUAGGGUAGCAAAUUGACACUUAGGUGAAUCCUAGGGUAGCAAAUUGGCAAUUAAGCCUUAUACAAAAGUUAAACAAAAAAAUAGAUGAGAUGAUUAGAUUUAUCAAUUAUAAUCUGUCCUUCUAGGAAGACUAGAACAAGGUUUUCCAUUCUCGAUCUAACGGGGAUACUGGCCCCCAAGUAAGUUUUUGAAACUAUUGAAUAUCAAGCUUGGACUACAAAUAUUAAUUUUGCAAUCAAACUUGUUACAAUCAGAAAAUCCCCACUCAAGUCUAUUUCAGAUGAAUCUAAGGACGCUUGACAGAUAUGGAUUAGGUGAGAAUUAGGCAGAGCAAGUUACAAAAGUUUAUAUGUUCAACUUCCAAAACAUGCGUCUUGCAGUGUCAAAAGGAUAGAAACCUAAAAGUAUUACUUCUUCUUCUAGAAGACCAUCAAAUAUGAAAUAUACACUCUAAAAGACAUCCAGUCAGCAUCAAAUUGAAAAUCAUACACUCUUUCACCUUAUUUAGUUUUUACUUUUGCAAAACGAACAUUAAGACUACAAUUCAAUCAUCAUAUAAAAGGAGACACCAGAAACUGCAAUAAUUUUGAGCAAGAUGUGCGACAUCGUUCGUUCCAAGAACACCAAAAACCCGACCCUCUUCGAUUCUCAGAAUCCAAGAUUCCCGAAACCAAGAUACGAAGGAAGAAAGCCCAGCCAAAGGGCAAUAUUCAAAUACAUCAAAAAAAAAACUAAAAAAGACAUAUGGGUGUGAGCUAGAGAAAAAGUUGAUGUUGAAUGCAUACCAGUAAGAGUAGAGAAGUGGGUGUUGGCUUUUCUUUGAGGAGGCGCAAAUAAGAGCGUUAUGGCAGAAGCUUCAAUGGCGGAGCAGGAGAAGGAGAGCGCUGAGAAGGGAAGAGAAGGGAAGGAAGGAAAGUAUGAGAGGAAAGAGGAACGGGGUAGCAAUAUAUAUAGAGACAAAACAUAUCACGUCUCGGAAGAAUAGAAUUUGUUAUUAAAUUUCAUAGAAAUGAUAAAUCCAGGAGCCACUUUGCUUCUCUUGUAGUCUUCUUUGAUUCAUGAUAAGUUUCAAUGCCACCCUCGAUACGUGGCAUCCAUCAUCGAUCAAAAGUCACUUAAUUUCAAUCCAUGUUUCAUUCUCACAAAACAAAAACAAACAAAAAAACAAAAAAAUCGAUCAAAAAUAGAAGAAGAGAGAAAUAAAAAUUAAAAAAAAAAAAAGGUUAAUCCAUGUUCUCUUAGUUUUAGAAAUUUUACCUUCAGAAUUUUUCAACUUCGUCAACAGUGUCCAUUGAUAAGAUUUCGUCCAAUUUAGACAUUAAAGGUUAACAUGAAUCUUUAACAAACUUAAAAUGAGUAUUUGGUUGUAAAAUAAUUGGAAACAAAUCACCUAUACCCAAAUUGUAUGUGCCCAAUAUGUGUCAUCAAUUAAAAUCUGACACAUAGAAUUCCACUUGAUACAAAACUAACAGAAGUCUAACUCUGUUAUAUUUGUAAAUUCAAUUUUUUAUUAAAGAAAAAUAAUUUCUCCAAAUCUCCACGUUCUUCUCUUCUUCCCUUCUACUUUUCUUCUUCAUUGAAUCGUCUGGGAUCUUUUUUCUAAGAUCUUCUUUUUGACUCUAACUGCGAUCAAAACCUUAAAAUAUUUUGAACUGAUAUUUGAUAACACCGAAAUCUCUUUAAUAUUCUUUUAGUUUGUUAAUCAGACAAAGUAGUAAGAAUCUGGGUUCCCAUCCUUGGUUAAUCCGGAAGAAUGAAACAUCACCAAGCGAAUCCUAAAUUCAGAACAAAGUAAUGAAAACAAACAGUGGAAUCAAGAAUGCCAUUUUCUAAUUCACAUCAAACAUACACAGAUUCAGAGAACAUGAAACAAACCCAUAAACAAAUUGUGUCUUCUCUGAUGCCAUAGAAAUCACAAGGAGCAGUUGAUCACAUUGACAAUAGCAAGAGUAAAAUCAAAUUUCCAGACAACCCAAGUGAGAAUAAUACGUAAUAAUCAAAACCCAUACACCGAAUUGACGAAAACAAACGAUCUUGAUAGCUGAAAUUGCAAUCAAUGUAGGAAAAUGAAAGACUACAGAGAAGAACCCAGAUCUCAAUCGAUGUUAAGAGAAGAAGUGCAGAACAGGGAAGAAGAGGAGAGGAGGAAGAAGAAAAGACGUGAAGAUUGGGAGAAUUUUCUUCUUUUUAUUUUUUUAAAGAUUUAAAUGAGGUUAACAAAGUUAGGACUUCUGUUAGUUUUGUAUCAAGUGGAAUUCCAUGUGUCAGAUUUUAAUUGAUGGCACAUAUUGGGCACAUGCAACUUGGGUACAGCUGAUUUGCUUCCAAAAUAAUUGUUUUAGCCCAUAAAAGUCAAAAUUAAUGUUUAAGAGAAAUUUUAAAUACACACCCUUAAUAUCUUAAUACACACCCCUUACUUAAUACACUACCUAUUAAGUUUUUCAUUUCAGUAUUAUACUUAAUACACAUCCCAAACUGUCUAAAAUACCCUUAAUUUAUGAAAUAUUCCGUUAUUUAAUAUAAUUAAUAUAUAUUUACUAUUUGGUACCUCUUUUUACAUAUUAUUUCGUCUAAUUUUUGCUAGAAAUUUUUGGUUAUCAUCGUUCAAUUUAUAAUCAAAUGAUUAUUGUUAUAUCUCAACUCUAAAUCAUCAAUACAGGUUUUCAAAAUUCACAAGAGCACAACUGUAGAAGUACAGUAGCUAUUAAACAUAGAUAGCUAGUUAUUCGAUAAAACAUGUCAUGAUAAAGAUGCAGUAUUUGACAAUAUGAUAUGCAAAAUCAAACUAAAGAUCAAACUAAAGCUGAUAAAGAUGUAGUACUUGNNNNNNNNNNNNNNNNNNNNUGUGUAUUAAGAGAUUAGGGGUGUGUAUUUAAAAUUUCUCUAUUAAUUUUUGAGUGAUCAUCGAUGCAUAUAGUUGAGUUUGCAAUUACUCUUAAUAGUUGACCUUCUAUUCCAUUAAAAAAAACCUUGACCUUUUUUCUUUUUCGGGGUUGACAACUUGACAUACUUCACAAGCAUAUACAUGCCACACAUUCGGGAGGAGCAACUCAAAGACGUUUACAUUUAGUUUGUUAAUGUAUUAAUUCAUGGAGAAAUUUUAAAUACACACCCUUAAUAUCUUAAUACACACCCCUUACUUAAUACACUACCUAUUAAGUUUUUCAUUUCAGUAUUAUACUUAAUACACAUCCCAAACUGUCUAAAAUGCCCUUAAUUUAUGAAAUAUUCCGUUAUUUAAUAUAAUUAAUAUAUAUUUACUAUUUGGUACCUCUUUUUACAUAUUAUUUCGUCUAAUUUUUGCUAGAAAUUUUUGGUUAUCAUCGUUCAAUUUAUAAUCAAAUGAUUAUUGUUAUAUCUCAACUCUAAAUCAUCAAUACAGGUUUUCAAAAUUCACAAGAGCACAACUGUAGAAGUACAGUAGCUAUUAAACAUAGAUAGCUAGUUAUUCGAUAAAACAUGUCAUGAUAAAGAUGCAGUAUUUGACAAUAUGAUAUGCAAAAUCAAACUAAAGAUCAAACUAAAGCUGAUAAAGAUGUAGUACUUGACAAUAUGAUCUAUAAGAUCAAAUUAAAGCUGAUACGGAUACAAAAAAAAAAAAAGAANNNNNNNNNNNNNNNNNNNNNNNNNNNNNNNNNNNNNNNNNNNNNNNNNNNNNNNNNNNNNNNNNNNNNNNNNNNNNNNNNNNNNNNNNNNNNNNNNNNNNNNNNNNNNNNNNNNNNNNNNNNNNNNNNNNNNNNNNNNNNNNNNNNNNNNNNNNNNNNNNNNNNNNNNNNNNNNNNNNNNNNNNNNNNNNNNNNNNNNNNNNNNNNNNNNNNNNNNNNNGAUCUUACAGAUCAUAUUGUCAAGUACUACAUCUUUAUCAGCUUUAGUUUGAUCUUUAGUUUGAUUUUGCAUAUCAUAUUGUCAAAUACUGCAUCUUUAUCAUGACAUGUUUUAUCGAAUAACUAGCUAUCUAUGUUUAAUAGCUACUGUACUUCUACAGUUGUGCUCUUGUGAAUUUUGAAAACCUGUAUUGAUGAUUUAGAGUUGAGAUAUAACAAUAAUCAUUUGAUUAUAAAUUGAACGAUGAUAACCAAAAAUUUCUAGCAAAAAUUAGACGAAAUAAUAUGUAAAAAGAGGUACCAAAUAGUAAAUAUAUAUUAAUUAUAUUAAAUAACGGAAUAUUUCAUAAAUUAAGGGCAUUUUAGACAGUUUGGGAUGUGUAUUAAGUAUAAUACUGAAAUGAAAAACUUAAUAAGUAGUGUAUUAAGUAAAGAGUGUAUAUUAAGAUAUUAAAGGUGUGUAUUUAAAAUUUCUCAACCGUUAAAGAUGGUCCUACCAACCAUUUUGUUCUUCAUACUUUCCCAUCAUUCUGCACGUAUUUUUAUAAAUUUAAAGUUUACAGAUUUAGUUACAAUAUGGAGAACUCGUCCAGCUGAAAAGAUGCAUGCAUGACCAUCUGACAAGUGUCCCCGGUGAUCACAGGAAAGCAUAAAGCAAAUGAAAUAUGUCUUAAUACGUGUGAUGCAAUGACUCCAAGCAACAAGUCAACAAAAUAAUCUUCUAGAAACACUAGAGGAGGGAACCCAGAAAGAAAGGUCAACCAGAAGAAAAGAAUAGGUCUUACCCCCUAUAUAAAAAACAAAGCUUCUAGAAGAAAAGGUUGCCACUACUAGUAGCAUUGUGAUGGCACGGGUGUGACUGAGUGGGGGAUUGAAAGGAGACAAUUAUUAAUGGGCAGUGACAACAUGUCGACAUCCAUCCAUCCAUCCAUUUUCGUUGGAUGCGGGCUUGGUGUCUGCUACGCAAUAAUUCUCGGGAUUCCCAUCACUACCCCCACCUUCGUCUUCCGCUACUAACAUACUUUUCUUCCUCACGAUAUUACAAGUUUACAACAAUCAUUCUUCAUAUUAUUUUCUAAAUAGAAAUAAUAAUUGAGAAUUAAUAAAAAGGAGCAUCUUUACUCGGUCAUUUCUUAAGUCAAAUUUUACUAAAAAUAAUUUUACUUUUUUUUUUCUUUUUAGAGAAAGAGAUGUUACUCCCGCGAAAUAACUCAUUCAUUAAUACGAUUUUAUAAGAUCAAACUAAAAGGUCAUAAGUGACCCUCAUUUACAUUCACUACUCGAUUGACUGUACGAAUACUCAAAUAAUCACCCUAGACCAUCUUUCACCAUAGGCUUAAGUACUCAAAUUUAGCCUAUAAUUACUCUCAUCAUAAGCCAAAUUACAAUUUUCAAAGUAAAAAAUUUAGCUUAAGCUAUUUUGUAAGCCAAAUUUAACUUAUGGAGUUGGUAGGCUAAAAUUAAGUAUUAUUUUAUUCAACUUUAGAUUUUGUUCUUCUAAUUUACACUAACAUCUAAUUUAAAAAUUCGUUACUAACAAAAUUUUAUACCAUCAUGACGAUCUCAACGAGAUCUUUCAUAUGUGCCCCAUAUAGAAUGUAUUCAUAUAAAAGCUUUUUCAUGAUUACUUAUUGAAUUAAACAAAUAAAUGAUAAAUUAAAAAGAAAUGGCUUUACCUAAGGAUUUACUUUACGGUGGGAAUGCUUCUUAGACCAAAAUACUAUUCAUUUAUCUAAAGAUUUAGCUUAUGGUAGGAGAAUUUGAUAAGUUAAAAAUAGAUUAUAUAGAAUAUUCUUAUUUUGUAAGCUAAAUUUACAAAAAAUAAAAUAAAAUAAAAAAAUAAUCUUUUAACGGAAACUAGAGUCCAAAAAGGUGGACAAUCAACAAAAAAAAAACCAAAAGACAUGUUGCAAUAUGCGGAGGCAUCAACCACUAUGACUGUUGCCUUCAUUGGUUACGAAAGGACGUGCAACAACAAGAUAAAAUAAACUUGCUAAUUAAUUUCUGUAACAAAUACUAGAUACAAACGGUGUAUAUACCUUGUAGGUUGAAAAUUCUUCUACGUAAUAAGGUGUAAGUGAAUCGAGCAACUAAUAUGUAAUAUUUUGAUCCGGUCAUCCAUGUCGUAUUAUCAUGCAUGUAUUUUAAUACCGUUCACAAAAUUAAAACCCAAAACACAUGAGGUGAGAACCUGAGGUCGAAUAAAAAGUACUUUUAUUAUGAGCGCUUAAUUUGAUCGGAUUAAAAAUGAAAACAAAAAUAAUAAAUUUUAGAGUCUCUAGUCUUCACUGGAUCUUCGCAUGCGGACGAUUUGAAGACUUGCACAUUAAUAAUGUAAGUGUACCUUGUAUUCGCUCGGUUAGUAGACCACAAGAUUACAUGUCUUUUCCCUUGGCGUUAGGCCUAGUCAACUCAUUAGCAGCCUUCUUAACAGAAGUCACAUCUAACAGACUCGGUUAUGGCCUAGAAAUCACUCCAUUGAGCCCAUAAGAUUCUGGCGUAAACCACGAGUCGCCCGAUCCCAGCCUCCCGAUUGAUAUAUACACUGUAGCGUAGAUCAAACGCAUGUCAAUUUCGAAGAAGUUAAGCAGUUAAGAGUAUGAUCCGACAAACAAAUAAUGCAGACUAGUUUAUGAUUUAAGGCCGGAGCACUGCAGCUGUAACUUGCAACAUACACAUAAACUAAAACUGGGUCUUGAUCGAGUCGGUCUCUAUUUUACGUUAUCCAUCUAAACGCACGCAUCAACUUGCAUCUUCAAUCAAAGCCAUCUCUAUACAUUGGGACAUAUUCUCUGUACCUAUCAUCCUUCUGAAACUCACCACCACUUCACAUUCCUAUGUGGAUCAAAUUGACCUCUUACAUUUCUCUUCCUUGCAAUCAAACUCAUGAGAAAUUAUAUUACUUUAGUAUAUAGCAAACGAUUAAUUAAUUAUGCAUUUCAUAAAAUACUAGUAGUGUCCGCUUGUUAUUUGUUCAUAACUUGAAUAUAAUUAAGCUUCUAGAAACCCUUCGCCAUACUCCAUUAUAUAAUUCAGAGUGCUAACUAGCUAGCUGAAAGUCUGAAACGAUGGAAUACAAAGUCUGAAAACGACUCACUCCCUUCCUUUUUUUGGUAGACUCCGGAGUAAUAUAUAUGGUAGAAUUAUUAUUGAGAGAUUCAAAUUCAACAUAGAGAGAAAGAGUACUGAGAUGAUCAUUUUGAACCUGAUUAGCUUAUAUCGUGAAGAGAAUAAGUUGCAGGGUAACUAAAUUACUGUUUGACUUCUCGAAACUUACAAUGACGUCUUAGACAUAUAAAGUGUCAAACACUGAUUGUACUUUUUAUUUUGGGACUAAGUAUUGCUUGAGAUGUUUUCUUUGGUUUUUUUUUUUUAUUUUUUUUUUUGUUUCAGCUCCUUUUUUGCUGCAUCUUUAGUCUAAUUAAUAAUACGAUUACAUUCAACAAUUAUUUGGUUAUUGAAUACACGUGAUUACAUUAGGCAAUUGCUGGUAGCAUAGUUUAUUCUGCUUGUCUGCUUGUGUAGAUUAGAUUAGGUUUGGGUUGCUUUGCAACUUCCUUUUUUGUGCCUUGCAUUGUAAUUUAGGUACUCAUUCCCCUAGUUUGACGGACGGAGUAACGUCGUUUGAUUAAUGAACUGAGCUCGACUCUAAAAUUGACGUUAAAUUAGUUUCAAUUAAGGUUUUUGGAUGACUUGGUGUGAAUGUUCCUGAUAAGAUGAAAACAAGAACCAAAGGGACAAACAGAAAACGAAAGAAUUCAAUAUCAAAACCCCAAGUCUUGUGGCUGGCUAGCUUACAGUCAAUCGGUGGUGGCCUCUUCUGCCAAUGCCUCUUGGGUGAUACAAUAUUAUCCAACCAACUCGAUCAAGUGGCUGCUGCUUCGUCUCAUAUUGAACAUAAUCACAUUUCAGUCUUUUCUAAUGCCUCUUUGCAAUUCGAGUGGCCACUUCUACUUCCUACAGUUCUACUUCACUUUCUAAUGAUAAUUCCUUCUUAUGUACGUAAAUGCUCCUAAACUCUAAACCCUAGUAAGUUAUUGAAAAUGGUCCCUUGAGCAUUUCAAGCUUCCAUUUCCAGCUAGCUGCUUACAAGUUACAAAUUAAAUAUGUGAUCAUGCAAACACAAACUAAGGUUGCAUUAAGAGAAUGUGAGUUGAUCUUCAUCGGCAUGAUUAAGCCGACACAGGCUGACUUUCUGAAAUAUCAUAUAACUAAACUGGUGUUUCAGCUACUGCAUACCAAUUAAUUAGUACAAUCUAUAAUAUACUAAUGAAGCAACAAAUUAAUUCAACUGAAUAUCCAGAUUGAAUAGAGAAGAAGAGCAUAUCUUAAUAUAAGAUCAGAUAUUUACGGUGAUCCUCUGUAUGGUGAAAGAUAAGAUAUUUACUACAAAAAUUAUCUGUUAAUUAAAAAAAGGAGAUAUCGAAGAAUAUAUCGGAAAUAUCGUAGACAUUUCAAUCCUUGGGAAAGACCCAGGUCUGGGUCCUCACAGGGUCUUAAGUAGAACAGAAUUCAAGUUGCACAAGUUGACCAUCUAAACAAAAUCUUCCAGGGCCAAGAAAUUCUCAUCAAGGCUAUAUUAUUGAAGAUGAUAUGAGUGUCAUAUAGAAUAGAAGACAAGAUACAAGAAACUUCAUAAUGCAUUUAUAACCAAACAACAGAGCCUUCUCAAAACAAAUAAUAAUAUUAAUAAUAACCACACAACAGAGAACAUGUGAAGAAUACUCAUUUAUAAGUACAUAAAUUUUGCAAGGCUUUGCAUACACAACUUUACAGAUGUUUCUCAAUGCUUGCAGUCAAUAUGGUUUUAGGUACUGCACCAAUUACCGUGUCCUGUUUCUCACCCUUGUUGAAAAUCAUCAGGGUUGGGACGCUCCGAAUUCCAUAUUGAGUUGCAAUUGAAGGACUAUUGUCUGUGCUUAACCUAAAGCAGUUAAGUUUCCCAGCAUACUCCUGUGCUAGUUCACCCACAACUGGAUGGAUCAUGCGGCAUGGCCCGCACCAAGGAGCCCAAAACUCAACCAGGACAGGGCCAUCGGCUUUGAGGACUAGUGAUUGCCAUGUUGCUUCGGUAACUGUGGGAACUACAUUUAUAAAGGAAAGGUGUAAACACAUUUUAACUAAAUUGAACAAGAAAAAAAUCACUGCUAUAUGUCAUUAACACAAAGGAAAACAAUGCUGUAAAUUUUAUCAUCGUUUAAACCAAACAAUUAGACGACUGUUGAAACACAAUUUCACAAGAAUAUGUUUCAGAAUAACUAUAACUAUUACUCCAUCAGUUCAAAAAGUAACCUCAUACAGUGACCAAUUAUCAAAAAUGCAUACAAAAAGAGUAUACACCUGUGCCAACAACACCCAUGUCGGCAGAAAUGUAGAUGAAUUUGCAAAAUAUUGGAAGAUUACAAACGUAUCAGAUGUACUAAUAUGUCCACUAUUCAGACUUAAUGGCAAAUGAAUGGAGCUCUCAAUCAAUACCAUAUGGAGAGGUUAAAUGUGCUUAUUCAUUACAUUGACAAGAAAUCUAUAGGUGGGACAACAGCACCAAGAAAAAGAUGCCAUAACUUUCUGGUCUAACUAACUUUCGGUUCAUUCUAGUUGACUAUGAUAAAACUAACACAGAGAAAAAAGAACAAAAAUAGUUUCUCAUUCCGAGAGCUUCCCCCUGCCUGAAAAUUCCAAAAUAUCAUUUUAUAAAAGCUCAGUGUCUUUGCCCAAAAAAGAAGAAGAAAAGGAAAUACAAGGUCAGUUCAACAUUAGGUUGGCCCAAAGCAGGCCUGCCUAACCAUGUUUAUGGACUCAUGUUGGUCAUUAAGGCUUCAACAUGUCCAUGUCGUUCCCGCUCAGCCUAUUGGGACAUGUGAUGGAAAUUUAUUUGCUUUUGACAUCAGACAUAGACAAAGUGACAGACUAACACUCUGUCAUAAAAAGCUCUAAAUUGAAUAUGUCCUGGUCCAUGGAAUUCAGGCAGGUACUUAAAUUCGUGCAUACUACAUAUAAUUCUCACCUCUCCAAACGGAAAUAUAUCCAAUACGGACAAUUGUGGAAGCGAACAAUGCAGGUGUCUAAGUUAAUUUCUUUAGCAAGUUAAAACAAAGUCCAACUGUUUUUUUUCUUUGGCAGUAGAACAACAACUUAUAUUAAUCAAGACACUAAUACAACAAGAAAGUCCCAAAGAGGCCUUCCAAACACAUACUGAAGUAAAAGAGGACAACAGAUGCCCAGAUUUUUCCCAAACAAAGCUACAAAAAUAAAACUCUUGAGCCUAAACCAGGCAGGCCCAAAGUCGAUCUGUUUAACAGAUCCCUAACUGAAAAAAAUCAGUUUACAGUUGUUGGCGCCUUUUAAUAAAAACUUCUAGGAAAAUUAACGAUGUCAGCUCUAGCAAAAACAAAGUUCUCAUUUGACAAGGAAUUUUCUUUAUUCCUGCACGGCCAAUUUACCGUCUGAGGUAUUAGUGUGAGACAGAAUCUUUUGGUGCAUUAUUAUUGUUGGACAGUAAUUUUCAUACAUAAUAAUAUUAAGUUAUCUAGCUUGCUAGUUUCUUGUGGGGUUUGGCUCAUGUUACAAGCAUAAAUAUGUUGGGAAUAUGUGCUUGAAAAAUGUCAAAAUCUGAAGAUCUUUGCGCCACAGUUAAUUACUGCCAGACAAUAUGGUUGACGGACAGUAAACUGAAAAAGAAAGAAAAACAAGUGAGGAAAGCAAUUCUGUAUGCUCCAUUUAAUGGCAACUUUCUAGGCUAGUCAUUGAUCAAAAGAACAUUUACUAUGAAAAAAGAAAAAGAAAAUACCAAGUCUCUGGUCUGAAGGCAGAGUUGAAGGUUUGCUGACGAUAGACAUAGAAGACUUAGAGAAAUUUCAAUAUUUAAUAGAUGAUCAUCAGCUCUUUAGAAGCCGGGAUAUCAAAAGGAGAGUUUGAAGUUGGGCUGUAGUUCUUUCAAAUUGUGCGCUUAUGUCGUGCCUCAAGGAAUAGGAAUUAUAAACGCUUUCCAGCAAAAUCAGGGGUGCAUUUCUUAAGAAAUGCUUUUAGCAUCGAGCAUAAAAAUUGUUCAAUGAAUUUAACCUUUGAUGAAGCUAUGAACAAGACAAUAUAUUUGAUAAGGCUUGCUCCUUUUUAUGGUCAGAAAUAAGGGUGAUACAUUUGAGGAUGGUUUUAACAAGCCAAUAUAAGUAAAUCCUAACAUCUCCUACUAUCAACCGUUGAGUAAAUUCAAACUAAGACCUGUAGGCAUUUAGGAAGCAACUUCAAACUUGAUGUGAAAUAACAAGUUAACCACAUAUUCAACUGCCAACUGUAUUCUAAACUAGCAUAGACCAAAAGAAACAAAGUAGUAAAAGUAGAGCACAAGUAAAAACUUACUGUCAAGAGCGGUGGUGUCGUGCGCUUGAGAGACAAUGGUGGGCGUUGAUGGAAGACGCGAGACUUUUGGAGCAAGGGAGGAAUACAGAGGCGAUUGAACCUUCAAUCCCCGGAAACCCGGUCUGUGGCGGAGGGAGAGGGAAACAGCCCCCGGCCUUGACGUGAUCGCCGGGAGGAGAUACGAAGGAGAAAAGAGAGCAGUGGAUUCAGUUAUGGUGGCCAUUUAAGCGGGUGAGAGAUAUACAUUGGGAUCAUGUAUAUAUAUAAGAGGUGAAUUGAGAAUGAUGAAAGUUAGAUGGUGGGAAAUAAGGAAAGGGAAGUACCGGAGUGGCGGCUUGAAGAGUCGCUAGUAGCCAGCUAAUUCCGAGUAAGCAAACACAUAAAAUAACCCAUUAACAAUCAAUCCCUUGCCUUUGGCCCCCUGUGCUUUAUUCAUAUCAUCCGAGUAUCUGCCAUUCUAUCUCUUCCGACGAAAUAUCGGACAGUAUUUUUGGGGGUUGCCUAGUGCCUUGACCGACUGAAAAUUUACGGAGAUUGUAUUCUUGUACGGUUAAGAUUAGAAAAUGUGAUCAAAAAAUAGAUCUAUCAAGAAAAUCACAUCACAAGAAUAGAAAAAUGAAAUUUACGCUUCUUAAAUUAUAAUUUACACACUCAUUUUUUAUUUUUAAUCAUCAUUUUCAUAAAAAGACAAAAUUCAAAUCAUUAACAACAAAGCUAAAUUACCAAAAAAAGAAAUAUGGAACGUAUAUUACAAUUUGAAAAGUGUGGAUUUUACUUCUCUAAGAAUAAAUAAAUAGGUCAUUAUCUGAAAAAGAUUGUAUGUAUCAUAUAUAUAGUGCUUUGAAAAUGUACUCAUUUUUAAAGAUUUUUCAAACGAAAAAGAACGCGCGUUUUCAAACGUUUUGUUUCCACGUACCUGCACCCGAUUUCAUGCAGCUCAAGUCAUUAUUUGUAUAGAAUUUUAGUAUGUGAGGGUUUUUUUUGUACUUUAAUAUUUAGUUUGGUGCAACUAUAUCAUUAUCCAUUUGGCAAUUUCAUUGGAACCAUUACCACAAGGUUUAGUUCGGUUUCUUUUUUUAAGAAAUUUUGAAGAAUAACCAUUUUUUGGCUUUCAAAUUGAUUUAUAACCAUGAUUUUUAAAAUAGUUGAAGAAUGACCAUAUGAGGUGAUGAAAUAUCAUAAUUACCUUUAAUGACAAAUUAACACUGUCCAACUCUCCCUUCUUCAGUUCUUCUUCUUCUUCUUCUUCUUCCUAAUACAAUACACGUAUGGUUGUAAUUAUUAUUUUUUCCUUCCUCCUUCACUUCUGAUCUAUUGUUCAAGUAUGAAACCAUUAGAUUAGUAAAAGCUAUGAAACAUGAAAUAACACAUUACAUAAAUUCUACAAUCAUGGUUCAUAAAUUAUUUGACAAAUCAACAAAACCUUAUGCUCAUGAGAUAUUAUUUCUUUUGAUUUGUCAAAUUCCAUCGAUCACUUGUUUUCUUUUUUCACUUCUACAAAAUCCAUAGGCGAGAAGAAUGUAAGUAAUGAAAUUUGAAACCAUUGUUAUAUAUUGAGAGAGCAAAUAUGAGAAGAAGGUAUUUAGACCCAAAGUCUUAAAGUUUGAGAACUUGAGAAGGAAGUGAAUAUUCCAGAGAAAAUAACUUUUAAUAGGUCUAAUUCCCUUGACCUGGAGAGUGGCUUCAUGAAACAAGAAGAAACAAAGAUAUAAUUAUCAAAUUAAACUAAGAAGAAAUUGCUAUCGAAGAUGUGAUGUGAAUUCCUAAAGUUGCAAGAGAUUUAGGGUUGAAGAAGAAGAAGAAGANNNNNNNNNNNNNNNNNNNNNNNNNNNNNNNNNNNNNNNNNNNNNNNNNNNNNGGUAAUUACGAUAUUUUAUUACCUAUUUUAGAAAUCAAGGUUAUAAAUCAAUUUAAAGACCAGAAAGUGGUUAUUUAUCAAUUUUUUAUUUUUUAUUUUUAUUUUUAUUUAUUUUUAUUUUUUUGUCAUUACAACAAGGUUUUGUUAACCUCAAUUUUGAUGGAUCAGUGUUAGAUACUUCCCAAGCCGGCAAUUAGUUUGUUUUCAUUGGAGGAGCAAGGGGUUUCCUCGUCCUCACUUCAACUAAUCGACUUGGUCACUCCAGUGUUAUUAUUGCCGAAGUUGCUACCCAAGCCCGGACCUGAGAUUUUAAGGCCUGAGUCGAACUCUCAGAGUUGGACCCUUAAUUUUUUUUAUAUAUAUAUAAAAUAGCAUAUAACAUUCAAAAAUAUAUAGGAUUUUUAUGCAAAAUACUUAUUAUGCAAAUAGGAUUCCAAAACCUUCGAUGGUUUAGUAAUCCUAAUUGUAUUAUAAAUUCUAUCUAUACAGCAAAUAUCUUAUCUAAUCAUGUUUGGUUGCUUCUAUUUAAUAUUUUAACUUUUUUUAUGGGUACAAAUUUAAAGUAGUAAUUGAUGGUUUGAGUCCCUCAUCAAAUGUAAUUGUCUUUGUUUUAGGAUAGUUGUCUUUAAUUCAUGUCAAAUCGCACGGCCUAAAAACUAUUAUUUUUUUUUUGGACAACUAUAAAAAAAAUAUUUUUGGGCCCCUUAGAUUUUUGGGCCCUGAGUCCCAAGCCUCUUGUGCCUCUGUUCAAAUCCGGGCCUGCUACUACCCUUCGAGCAAGUUUAUUGGCUGCAGUGUUUCAUGAUUACAAGAAUGUACGUGAAAGUGGAAGGAGAUUCAAAAAUUCUCAUUGGCUAGCAUAAAUAAUGCUUGCAUCGUUCCUUCGCGAAUGCGGACUAGUGGUAUUAGAAUUUUAAUUCGUUACUUUCAAACAAUUGAAUUUCGUCAUGUUUGAAGAGAAUCCAACUUUUUAACUAAUGCAAUCGCAAAUCUUGGUCGUACUGCUAAUUAACUUACAACGUUGGGAUCACAACCUUCCUCUUUCGGCUCUGACAGUUUUUAACUUUGAUUUCCAUAGUUUAGAUCGUUCACUGUGGAUUUUCCUAGUAAUCUUUUAUUGUUUAUUCCUAAAAAAAAAAAAGCAGUUUGAAUCGGAACCAUUAAUUAUUGUAGUAGUAUCCUUUGAAAAUAGUGAAGGGGAGCGACAAGAAGAAAAAACCCUACGGGCCACGGCCCAGCAGCAGCUUGGAUAGCAGGCACAGGCAGGAAUCCGCCAUGGCCUCCCCCUCUAGGGCCAUCGCAUUCAAAUGCUCUUCCUCUCUCGCCUUUUCUUCAAAAACGCGGAUGGACUCCAAACCCAGAACCCUCCAUAACUCAUUUUCAAGUUCAAGCGCUGCUCCAAGAGAAGCUACUGAAGCCUCUAUCACAUUGCAGGAAUGGCAGGGCUGGGGCACCACCUCCCCUGUGCCCGCUUUGGUCACCAAAAUUGUUCAGGAUUUGAAGGUUUUGGAGAAGGCUACCGAUGCACGAAUGAGCUUUGGCGGCAGUGGUGGCAAGCUUCAGGUAUCUCCUCUUCUGCUGCGGCCCAUUUUUGUUUCAAAAUUAAAUUCUACAGCAACAUGGUUUUAGAAGUAAGCUUUUCAUAUAUUUAUUUUCAGGGAGAUUUUAAAGUGCAGGAGGAUAGAAAACACAGGAAGACAUAUAAGGCUUUAGGUGAUUCUGAACAAAAGCUUCAGUUUUUCUCAGCUCGACAAAUAGCAUGCCGCGUGCUUGGGAGUAGAGGCUACCUUUGUCAAAAGGUAUUGGGCUGUUUUGCAAAAAUAUUUGUGUGCAUUUUGGCUUUUAACUUCUUCCUCCUACUGAUGCUGCCCCUUUUCAUGUUCAUGAUAUCUAAUUGGGAAUUAUUAUUUUCCAGUGCUGGCUACCUUUGGAAGAUUGUAUGUGUGCAAGAAUAGUGAAGUACCCUCUUUGGCCUCGAAUGCGAUUCUGGUUAUAUAUGCAUCCAAAGGUUGUCACUUUGUCAUUGUACAAAUCAUGUACUUUGAACACUUCUGAAAGAAAAGCAUAUAUAUUUAUAUUAUUGAAAUGAGCAGUCAGCUUUUUGCAGGAUUUCUUAAGGCAGAACAAUACUGGAAAGUUGUUGUGGCAAGUAUUUGGCACUGAAGCUGCAACUUUGUGCCUCUUCGGCAUCGUGGAACAGGAAGAAAUAAUGUGGGAUGCAUUUAAGCUUGCAGGUCUUCUUGCUUUUCCUUCUCAAAACUGAUAGGGCCAAUAAAUAUUGUGUCCUUAAUUUUAUUCUGAUAUUGGUAAUUUGCAACUUUAGAUAUUAAGCUAUUGUUUGGGAAACAUAGCACUUUCCAUAUCAUACUAAGACAUUUUUACAAAGUCUUUUGACUCUGAUUAGAUAGAUGCUUUAUUUUAGUACUUUUUGUAGCCAUUGCUAUAACACUGAAACUGCAUGUUGAAAUUAGUACUUGACAUUACAUUACCAAGUUAAAUUGAUGAACUUAAGUUGCCAAUGUUAUUUUUAUUAUUUUUCGGUGUGAAGUUGUCAGUGUGGCAAUUUAUUUUUGUUUAUUUUGUUUUUUCUAGCAGCUAGAAUUGGAAGUUUCUUAUGUUCUGUGGCUUACUUAUAUGGAUAUUAUUUGUGGAAUCAUUAAUUUAUUCUUCAAUUAACAAUAAAUCUAGGAAAAAGCAAUGUGUGGUGCCUCUAUCCCAACAAAAAUGCUGUGGUAACAUCUGUUCAGGAUGUAUUUGGCCAAGAAUCUUCAGCUGAUCUGGAAUGUCCAUAUACGAAGGUAUAAUUAUCUCAGGGCUAUGUUUGUGGAAGUUGUGUAUGAGGUUCAUUUGCUAAUGAUCCUCUUGCUAGUUGUGAAUAAGGCCACAAAAAAAAAAAAAAAAAAAAAAAAAAUACCUUUCUAGUGUCAAUGUGUUUCUUACAUGGUUAUCCCAAUAAAUUUCCUGAGAGCCAUAACUAGUGUUUCUUUUGAACAAACUAAAAACAGUUUCUUACUAUAGUUUUUUCUUCCAUCCAAACCAGUAAACAUUUUUUUAGCAAUCUGAAAGUGCUUUUGGCAUCCAGGAGGGGUCAAUUCAGAUGUUAGUUGAUUGUUACCGAUCAUGUUAAGAGGCCAUAUAAAUGGCUAGCGUAACUUAAAUCCUUCAGUUUCUUAACAAGAAAUUUCUUAUGCUUUUAUCGAGUUCAACAAUAUGAUAAAUUCCAUUUUUGACUGCUGCACAGAUAAAUGAAGACAGAACUCUAAAUUUCAUUUUGAUCGAUGGAACAUGGAACAAUUCUGUUGCAAUAUUUCGUCGUCUGAAGGUAAUAGUUUCUGUCACGCUUUUCUUUUUGGUUUUCAUUAUUAUCUGCGAAAUGCUACAUGAACAAAUUUGUUCUGUGAAUUGGGAUUUAUUCCCUCUGUUGUAGAUGAUAAUAAAGUCAUGUGUAUACUUGCAAGAAUCAGCUUUUCCUCAUCUUUCCUUUCUAUACCUUUUCCCCUGAAUAAAAUGGCAAGUCUCUGAGUGAAUGGAAAGAAAGGAAAAAACCAGUGGGAUCAUGCUUCAUGCUCCUAUUUAGUCAAAUUUUGUAAAUGUGUAGACUGUUGUUUGGUAAUAUUAACAGCCACAAAAUUUGGCCAUUGGUAUACUGACAACUGCUUUACUUGCAUGAAGAUAUCAAAUGAUGUAGUGAUGACUUCAUAUAAUAUUUCUAUGUGCAGGAUCAAGCAAAGUUAAUAUGGGGAGGAGAGGACUUCCCUUGUAUUUCCCUUGCUACUGGUGCUUCUGCAAUGCAUAAACUUAGGUAGAACAACAACUUCACUUCUGCAGUUUUCUGACUUUCUCUACUGAGGCUUUCUUUCAGUUCUUUUUGUUCUUUUCUUGUUGAACUCUUUCUUUGCUCUUCCACAAAUAACUUCUGCUCACCUUUCCCAAAUACCUGCCUUAUUGAAUCUAAUUGUUAAAUGAUUGUGUGCGCAGGCCCCAACCAUCAUUGGAUCGUACCUGUACAGCAGCAGCAGCUAUUGGCCUCCUCUCCGAGCUGCAUCUUCUUCCAGAGUUUAGCUCCCAUGGAUUUGAUAAGAAGGCUGAAGCUGUGGAGGAUGCUUUAGUUGUAUUAUUAGAGGCUUUAACAACUAGACGACUUCGGAUGGGCAGGUCCAUCAGUCGUACAGUGAGACAUAACAGCGAUUUUUGUUAACUGAUAAGUCUAAUGGUUGCCCUGAUAAGUGAUAGCUGGAGAAAAUAUUUUCGAGAAUGCGAGGUAAUCACACCAUUUUUGUGACCUUAUAUGAGUGCACACUGUGCUUAUAGAAUGCGGUUGGCUGAUUGAUAGUGGAAAUAUGUGGUCGCACAUGUACAACAUGAAAAUACUUGAUACAGUAAGAUCAGAAUCGUAUGAGAAGCUGACUUCUCUUCUUUGUUCUUAGUUUCGAUCUGUUGCAUAUUACGUAAUUGUUUGCUGGCAAGCAUCCAUAACGUGAAACUUUUACACUUUAUGUUCUGUUUGUUAUGGUUUGCCUAUACCAUUCAUACGUGAUGGCAAAUGAAACAUGAUAAUCAGCAACAGUGAAUACUGUAGCAUAUUCCAGUUUCAACAACCAAGCUGCAUCUAUUCCAAUUCUGUUAUCAAGCCUAUACUUCUAGCUGAUUGACCUAUCGUGCGCACACACGCUAACAGUCGGGUUUGUUUGUGUCCUUUUUACCAUACAGCUCUUCCAAAGAGUGCAUCUUCUACGUCAUGUGCUCUGUGUUGCGUGCUACUACUCACAAGUCACAACCAGCAUAUACUAGAUUGUUUUUUGAACAGUGGCCGCAACCCAUAUGGAGCUCCAUUUUAUCCGACUCAAGAGGUUGUAUGAUGUCUCCUGAAAAACUGAGCAAUGGCUCGUGGUCCUGGUCCAUUAUCUUUUUUCAGGCGUUUGGCUUAUAGGCUCGCACCUAGGCACGACCUGAUGCUAGCUGUACUACACUCGCUUGGAGUUCACAGCCGUGCGUCCACAUGUACGGCCCAAGGGUGCGCUUCUGCUAAGAGCCGUAGAACGCACGUGUACAAGUUUAUAAAAGUGCUUGGUGAGGUUUCACCAAGCAAUAGUGUUUACAUCUAACGGUGAUUGACCACGAUUUUUUUAGUCAUUAGGUGAUCACGUGAACACCACUCUUCCAGCAACAGUGUGGCCAACAGAGAGUUGUCUUAUGAGAGGCAAUAUCAGAAAAACACAAAAAAUAAAACUCUAGAAAUUUGGUUGUUUAACUCUAUAAACUUAAAUGAGCAGUAACUUAGACUUAAGUGACAAUACUGAGCUCAUGUAUUAACCUAGGUAAGGACGUGUGAAAGAUGUCAUGUUCUAGAAACACUAGUAAGAAAAUGAGACAAGUUAUAUCUGCAAAAACAAAAGGCAUGGUCGGUGAAGCUCAUCCUUAUCUAACCGAAACAAUCUUCCUCGUGUUUCUUAUUUUUAAAUGAAACUGCUUGGAAAUUAAUAAUCCUCCUCCCCUCCCAUUUACUAAUACGCAAACGGCGGAGACCCCCCAAUCGCUCUAUUACCUUCCCGAUCCUUGCAAGCAAUAUGGCGUCUGGAUCGUCGGGUCGGGCCAACCCGGGCUCGAAGGGCUUUGAUUUCGCCUCUGACGACAUUCUGUGCUCCUACGAAGACUUCGGUAGCAACCAGGACUCCUCUAAUGGAAGCCACAACGACCCAGCCAUCGGAACCAAUUCCACCCAGGUAUUCUUUCAUCUCUUCGAUUAGAUUAGGGUUCCGAUCAUCGAUUUCGAUUUAUUAGGGCAUCUUUGUUGCUGCUCUCAGUUGAAAUUGAGCACAGCCUUGCUUCAAAUUUAUAAACCAAUCUUUAUUUAAAAAGCUUGAUUUUGGGUAAGGCCAACAGUAGCCUCCAGAGUGAGUCAAUUUCUUUUGGUUCCUCCUAGAUUUAUAUUUAGAAGCAACCUAACAACCAAGUAGAGCCUUCGGUUUGAUUCCGCUGAUCACCGGAACCCUAGUCCAUAAUAAGAACUAAUUUUUAUAGCUCUGUAUUUAAUGGGUUAGAGCUAUAAACUACGUUAUCGAGUUUUGGUGGUUGCCAUGUUACGUGGAUGAAAUAAUAUGGAAACUUAUUGUAAGCUUUGCAUGCACAGUUCUAUAGGCAUUGAUAUGGUUGCGAGUAUUAGCUGUAAGUGUCGAGAAAUAUUUUUUAUCUACCAACACAAUUAUGUCUGAAAAACUUGCUCUUGAGACUUGAAGUGAAGAUGAGCUUUUGAAUGAAAUUAUGGUUAAUUUUGUUGUAGUCUAAAUUGAGUUCCUUUAAAAGAGCAUAUUAGGUAUUGGCUAUGUGCUUUAUAGUUUUUUGUAUAUCCAGUUCUGAAUAUAUGAUCUCAGAAAAGCUAUGUCAUUACUUCAUUAUCGGUCAUCUUGGUUGCUUGAAUGUUGGGAACUUUGUUGUUGUUCUAGUUGAUCUUGUAAACCCUAUGAGUGAAACUGAUUUUCAGAUGCAGUUAGCUGGUUCGGAUAUCGUAAGUCCUUAUAUUACAGUAGUCAACCUAUAUAUGUUACACUUACGUGAUUCAAAAAUGUUUGAAGCAUGUGAGAUUAAAAUGGAUUUGGGAAUAUAGUUUUCUCAUUUGAUAAUCGACUGCCUGAAUAUAGUGGGACUUCUCCUGAAGAUUGUUUUGUUGGUAAAAUGUAAAUUGAUUAGUAUAUCAAUUUUUCCCUCAAUAUUCUUUGUAAGUAUGUUUGUAAAAACAAGCUUCGUCUUUAAAUCUAAGAACCAGUGCAAAGGCUAAGAGUUAGGUUUCAUGUGUAGAUAGAGUGGGGUUGCUACUGCCUCAAAGUUUUUGAGAAAUAAGGGUUCAUUGACAAGAUUAUUUAUUCAACCACAUGCUAUGUUGUAAGCUGGCGAACCUCUUAUUUUCUUAGUUCAUUGAAAAGAUUAUUUGUCCAACCACAUGCUGUGUUGGAAGCUGGCGAACCUCUUAUUUUUUAUUUUUACAUAGAGAGUUGUAUUCUGCAGUUUUAUAUUUAAGCAUUCAUAAGAGUAUGACGUUCCAUUAUUUUGUGAGUUUGGCCUAGUGCUCAUUUUUUUUCAAUAGCUAUUGCUCACCAAAUGUUAUAUUUUAGAUUAGAAGCAUAGUAGAUACUAUUCUGUUUGCUGACUAGUUAGCUUUCUGCCACCUCUACCAGGAUUUUCACAAAAGUAGAAUGGCAAGAUCACCAAUGUACUCUUCUGCUGCCUAUGGCCAGCCUGAAGACUCUCUUAACCAAGAAGUAAUUGCUACUGUUGAAAAGAGCAUGAAAAAAUAUGCUGACAAUCUCAUGCGCUUCCUUGAAGGAAUCAGUUCGCGGCUGUCACAGUUGGAGUUAUAUUGCUACAACCUUGAUAAGUCAAUUGGUGAGAUGCGUUCUGAUUUAAAUCGUGAUCAUGGGGAGGCAGAUACAAAGCUCAAGUCUCUCGAGAAACAUCUUCAAGAAGUUAGUUGCAACUCUUUAUUUCUUUUUGCAUAAAUAUUUCCAUGGUGGAAUAUGAUUUAUAGGCCUUGCUUGUGUGUCAAAUUGCUCGUACAAGCUUGAUUAGUUUUCUAGGGAUUCUCUCUUGGCGAUAUAUACCUGAGGAUCUUUAAAUAAGGCAACUCUAUCUGUACUUUGGCUAUAGAUUUUUGUUAUUUGCUAGAAUUAUGAAGCAUAGAAUGUGUGGUCUUAAAAGUUGGGUUUUGAUUGAAAAUUUUGUACUCCGUGCCUCUUGUUCGAGUUCUUGAUUCUACCACACUCUGCAUCCAAGGACUUGAAAUGUCAGGAAUGGUUUCUUUCAAAUGGAAAAUUAGAGCCCCAAUAAUUGAACCUCUGUUGUCUCUUACUGUUUUAUAGUUUUAAUUCUUACACUAGGAAUAGGUUUUUGCAAUUGUUGAACUUUUGUGAUGCUCAUUUCAGGUCCAUAGGUCUGUCCAGAUCCUGAGAGACAAGCAAGAACUUGCGGAGACUCAAAAAGAAUUAGCCAAGCUUCAGCUUGCACAGAAAGGAUCGUCUUCAUCGAUCCAUUCCCAAUCUAAUGAGGAAAGAGCUUCACCACCAACCUCAGAUGGUCAGAAGACUGACAACACAUCUGAAACAGCUAACCAGCAAUUAGCUCUCGCCUUGCCCCAUCAAGUAGCACCGCAGCAACAGCCGGUGGCACCUCCACAACAGGCGCCAACUCAGAGUGCGACCCAGCAACAACAAACCUAUUAUUUACCUCAAUCUCAGCUAUCAAAUCCAGCACCUGCACAACAGCAUCCUCAAAGUCAGUAUUUGGCUUCGGAUCCUCAGUAUCGAACCCCGCAACUACAAGACCCUAGAGUGGCACCACAGCCAACACAAUCUCAAGUAAAUCAACCACAAGUGCAGACGUACUCUCAAUAUCCACAGCCAUUACCACAACAGUUGCCUCAGCAGGUUCAGUAUCCACAACAGCCCUCUAUGCAGCCUAUGCAGCCUAUGCAGCCCCACAUGAGGCCCCCAUCAACACCUGUGUACCCACCGUACCCACCUGGUCAGCAGACAAACCCAUCUCCUCCAGAGACUCUUCCAAACAGCAUGCCAAUGCAAGUAUCAUAUUCGAGUGUUCCUCAACCUGGUUCUGGUCGUUCUGAUGCCAUGCCUUUUGGGUAUAGCGGAGCUGGUAGAACAAUGCCACAGCAGCCGCCACCCCAGCAGCAGAUCAAGGGUGCUUUUGGAGCUCAACAAGGUGAUGGGUAUGCCGCUGCUGGGCCUCACCCUGCACUUCCCCCAGGGAGUACAUAUAUGAUGUAUGAUAGUGAAGGGGGUAGAAAUCCAUAUUCUGCUCAGGUGCCUCAUUACAGUCAAGGUGGAUAUCCUCCAGCAAGUGGCUCUCAGACUCCACAACCAACCACAGCUCCAAGUCAUAUGGUUCGCAAUCCACAAUUCAUUCGUAACCAUCCGUACAACGAAUUGAUUGAGAAGUUGGUGAGCAUGGGAUUUAGGGGUGAUCAUGUUGCAAGUGUAAUCCAGAGGAUGGAGGAAAGUGGCCAAACCAUCGAUUUUAAUGCUGUGAUUGACAGGUUGAAUGUACAUUCAUCUGGGGCUCCUCCUCAGAGAGGAUGGUCAGGGUAAACAGAAAAGGGGAGGAAAAUUUCCAGUUGAGUAACAGUCAUUGCGUGUGUUUUUUUAUUACGCAUUGAAUAAAGGCUGAUGAUAGGUGUAUGGUUGAGAGAUACAAGAAUAUUAUUGUAUAUCUGUGACCCCAUUGCAAGAUGUUAACGUUUGAUUUAGGUCAAUGGUGGGUUUUCUUUUAAAACGCAUUCUUGUAUAAUUGUUGGGACCUAUUUAAGUAUUUAUGGCUGCUUAUCUUUUAUAAUGAAUGAAGCUUUUUCUUGCUAGUGGUUAUGGAGGAUGUGUAUCCCACUGUAAUUGUUAUAGUUGAGAAGAGUGGCACUGCAACUGUACAGGUGUGUGCUGUUCAUCAAACUAGAGUCUCUACUUGUAUGUUUUAUCGCCUAAAUUUUGAGGUUUGGUGAUGUACGAUUUGAUUUGAAACUCGGGCAGAUACAUAUAUAAAAGAGCAAAUUGAAAUCAAUCUCGGACCUCCUCUCCGAAAAGGAAAUGCUCCUCGUCAAUUCCCGAUCAUCCUUUCUCCAGAUUUCUACAGAAAAAUUUAUGCGGAUGGACAGUAUUAUAGUUAGAGGCAUCGUAUAAUUUCCAGAUAGUGAACACGUUGGAAAACCUGUGAGAUGAAAUCUGUCAACUCAAAAGUUGCUUAAGAUCAAAGUAAAAGAGGCGCGUUUGACUUUGUAUUUAGAUCCAUCCUAAAUCAAAAACAAAAAUAUAUUUCUAAGGAAAAGAAACACGGACGGUAACGGGGUGUUUAGGACGCCGCCCAACACAGAAUGAAAUUAUGCCAAGAUUGAUUCUCUGCGGCUUUGCCAGUGGGAAACCCUCAAAAGAAGGAAAAUGAAUUUCUUUUAACACAUGGAGAACCUUCCUUUUUACUCGUUUGCCAAUACCAACAAUUAAUAAAAUUUGUUAUUUUUUUCUAAACAUUUUUAUUAAAUAACUCACACACGAACAUUAUAAUUUAUACAAUUCCUAUGUUCCGUUUUAAAAUGAAAGUAUAUGGCUCCUUAUUUGACACAUUUGUCACUUUUUCACAUCUCCACUGUUUAGUGUCUAGAACAUUUGAAGGCAAAUUGCAAAACCUUAGCCCAAGUUGCAAGCUAAAAGGGCCAUCAAGCCGGAUUGGGCUAGUCGACCAUUAAAACCUUUUUGGUCAUGCUCUAUCAAACCUACAGCUGGCAACACAAUCUGCACCGCGACACUUCACGCCGUCAUGGCCCAACACCAUCGGCCAUGACUCAAAGUGUCGUCAGUCAAGAACCCCUAAACAUAAAUUAGUCACCUACUGGAUUGCAUGACCACCAUCUACGCACCAACCCAACCAAACCAAAUUGAUGGAAACCUUGCGCAAAAAAUAGUGCUUUACCGUUUCUUUCAUUUUCUUUUUCAUAUUUUUAAGCUACCUAAGAGUAACAACUACACAACCACAUGAUGUGGUAAGAUUGGUCGAGCUGCCUAGUAUUAAAUCCCAAGGCUAGAAUUUGAGUCCUAAUUCAUCAGUUUGUGGCUAGCAGGUUAAGAGUCAUUGAGUUCCUACGUUUGCGGCAAGAGACUAGUUUGUCUUUAUCAGAUGCUCUCGUGGACACUCUGUUGGUUAGGUGUGUCAGUGUGUGUGACUAACUGGCUAACGUUACCGACAUAUUUUGUUGCUUCACUCUUUACAAUAGAUAAAAAAAACUAACAACUACAUAAUAAGUCGUAAUUGCGUCCAUUUUUUUGGUUACAAAAAAGACCUAGAAGGCCGAAAGCCACAAUAAUUGCAUCUUUUGUUCCAUAUAAAGGAAAAUUUUCAUAUCAUAUGCAAAAAUUGUUAAAUUGCUAAAUUCCAAAAUGUUCAAAUUCUUGGAAGUGUCCAUUCCGAACAUGAUUUGGUCCAAAAAAGAAGCACGUUUUGAGCUUCAUACGACUUUUGUGUUUGGUUUACUCGUUUCCAGAAAAAUAGUCUGGUUAACUUGGAACAGAAAUAAAUAAAAAUCAAAUAAAGAAACGUAAUUGUCUCUGUCUGCCGAGACGGAAAAGGAAGGGGAAAGGAAGAGGCAAAAAAUUUCGAAACAGACGGCGAGUGGGGAAACGGCGUUACGUCUUUCCAUUUCCUAUCCUUCCUUGUCUCUCUCUCUCUUCUUCUUCUUGUUUUUGACCAAAAACACACAAAACCUAAGCGGUCUCCGGCGCCAUGAGUAUCCGGCCUCCGGACCCGGAUUCCGAGCCCUACAACAUCAUCCCCGUCCACAACCUCCUCGCGGACCACCCCUCUCUCCGGUUCCCUGAGGUCCGCGCCGCCGCCGCGUCCCUCCGCGCCGUGGGCAACCUCCGCAGGCCGCCCUACGCCCAAUGGCGGCCCCACAUGGACCUCCUGGACUGGCUGGCCUUGUUCUUCGGGUUCCAAUACGACAACGUCCGCAACCAGAGGGAGCACAUCGUCCUCCACUUGGCCAACGCCCAGAUGCGCCUCAGCCCUCCCCCUGACAACAUCGACACUCUGGACGGCGGCGUCCUCCGCAAGUUCCGCAAGAAGCUCCUCCUCAAUUACACCAACUGGUGCUCCUACCUGGGCAAGAAAUCCAACAUCUGGAUCUCCGCCUCCUCCGACCACCGCCGCGAGCUCCUCUACGUCUCCCUCUACCUCCUCAUCUGGGGCGAGGCCGCCAAUCUCAGGUUCGUGCCCGAGUGCUUGUGCUAUAUCUUUCAUAACAUGGCCAUGGAGUUGAAUAAGAUUCUGGAGGAUUACAUUGAUGAGAGCACCGGGCAGCCUGUUAUGCCCUCCGUUUCCGGGGAGAAUGCCUUCCUGAAUUGCGUCGUCAAGCCCAUUUACGACACCAUCCGGGCCGAGGUUGAGGGCAGCAAGAAUGGGACUGCCCCCCACAGUGUUUGGAGGAACUAUGAUGAUAUCAAUGAGUACUUCUGGAGCAAGCGCUGUUUCGACAAGCUCAAGUGGCCUGUCGACGUCGGCAGCAACUUCUUUGUUACUAACACCAAGAGUAAGCAUGUGGGCAAGACCGGCUUUGUGGAGCAGAGGUCCUUCUGGAACUUGUUUAGGAGCUUUGACAAGCUUUGGAUCAUGCUGCUCUUGUUCCUCCAGGCCGCCAUCAUAGUUGCUUGGGAGGAGAGGGAGUAUCCCUGGCAGGCCUUGCAGGAGAGGCAAGUCCAGGUCAAGGUUCUCACUGUGUUUUUCACUUGGAGUGGUUUGAGGUUUCUGCAGUCCCUACUUGAUGUGGGGAUGCAGUAUAGUCUGGUUUCCAGGGAGACUUUGGGGCUCGGGGUCAGGAUGGUCUUCAAGAGCAUUGCUGCUGCAGGCUGGAUUGUUGUUUUCGGGGUCUUUUAUGGGAGGAUAUGGUCCCAGAGAAACCUGGAUAAGCGGUGGUCUCCUGAGGCAGACAGCCGGGUUGUGCAGUUUCUUUUGGUGUCGUUGGUUUUCAUCAUUCCAGAGCUCUUGGCCAUAACCUUCUUUAUUCUUCCUUGGAUUCGCAAUUUUAUGGAGAACUCAAACUGGAGGAUAUUUUAUGCCUUGUCCUGGUGGUUUCAGAGCAAAACUUUUGUCGGCCGUGGCUUGAGGGAAGGCCUUGUGGACAAUGUCAAGUACACUUUGUUCUGGAUUUUGGUGCUAUCUACCAAGUUUGCUUUCAGUUACUUCAUGCUGAUUAAACCCAUGAUUGUUCCAUCUAAAGCACUCGUAAAACUUGAUAAUGUGGAGUAUGAGUGGUUUCAGAUUCUCAAAAACAGCAACAAAAUGGCGGUGGGAUUGUUGUGGCUUCCUGUCGUUUUGAUAUACCUCAUGGACAUGCAGAUCUGGUAUUCAAUCUACUCCUCAUUUUGGGGGGCAUUAGUCGGUUUGCUUGCGCAUUUGGGUGAGAUUCGAAAUAUCCAACAGUUGAGGCUGAGGUUCCAGUUCUUUGCAAGUGCUAUUCAGUUUAAUCUCAUGCCAGAGGAGCAGAUGUUAAAUGCAAGGGGGACACUGAGAAGCAAGUUUAAUGACGCUAUCCACAGGUUGAAGCUGAGGUAUGGGCUUGGACGGCCUUAUAAGAAGCUUGAAUCCAACCAGAUCGAGGCAACCAAGUUUGCUUUGAUAUGGAAUGAGAUCAUAUUGAUCUUCAGGGAAGAGGAUUUGAUUUCGGACAGCGAGGUUGAGUUGUUAGAGCUACCACAGAAUUCUUGGAAUGUCAGGGUCAUUCGCUGGCCUUGUUUUCUUUUGUGCAAUGAACUGCUGCUUGCACUUAGUCAGGCCAAAGAGUUGGUAGACGCGCCUGACAAGUGGCUCUGGUAUAAGAUAUGCAAGAAUGAGUACAGGCGCUGUGCUGUGAUAGAAGCUUAUGAUUGUGUCAAGCACAUGAUACUUGCCAUUAUAAAACCCAACACAGAAGAGCAUUCAAUCGUGACAGUCUUGUUUCAGGAAAUUGAUCACUCUAUUCAGAUUGAGAAGUUCACAAAAACUUUUAAAACCGCUGCCCUUCCACUACUCCAUGCCAAGUUGAUCAAGCUUUCUGAGCUAUUGAACAAACCUAAGAAAGAUACAAACCAGGUGGUGAAUACCCUUCAGGCUCUUUAUGAGAUUGCCAUUCGAGAUUUCUUCAAGGAGAAAAGAAGUACUGAACAGCUUUUGGAGGACGGUUUGGCUCUCCGUGAUCCAUCUUCUGCUGCAGGGCUGCUUUUUGAAAAUGCUGUUGGGUUGCCUGAUCCUAGUGAUGGAUCCUUCUAUCGGCAGGUUCGGCGCCUGCACACAAUACUUACCUCACGGGACUCGAUGCAGAAUAUUCCAGUUAACCUUGAGGCGAGACGCAGAAUUGCCUUCUUUAGUAACUCCCUGUUUAUGAACAUACCCCAUGCUCCACAAGUUGAGAAAAUGAUGGCUUUCAGUGUUCUGACCCCAUAUUACAGUGAAGAAGUAUUGUACAGCAAAGAACAACUGCGUACUGAGAAUGAAGAUGGGAUUUCUACCCUGUACUAUCUACAAACAAUUUAUGUUGAUGAGUGGAAAAAUUUCAUGGAGAGAAUGCGUCGAGAAGGAAUAGCAAAUGAUGAUGAGAUAUGGACAACGAAGUUGAGGGAGCUCAGGCUUUGGGCAUCUUACAGAGGACAGACACUUACUCGAACCGUAAGGGGUAUGAUGUAUUAUUUUCGGGCUCUUAAGAUGUUGGCUUUUCUGGAUUCUGCAUCAGAGAUGGACAUUCGGGAAGGUUCACAAGAACUUGGUUCUAUGAUGCGAGACAUUGGUUUGGAUGGUUUGACCUUGGAGAAGUCACUUUCUUCCAGGAGUUUAAGUAGGACAAGCAGUUGUGUGAACUCAUUGUACAAAGGUCAUGAAGUUGGAACUGCUUUGAUGAAAUAUACAUAUGUGGUUGCAUGCCAGAUAUAUGGAACACAAAAGGCGAAGAAAGAUCCCCAUGCUGAUGAAAUUUUGUAUCUGAUGAAAACCAAUGAAGCACUUCGAAUUGCCUAUGUUGACGAGGUUUCAACUGGCAGGGAUGAGAAGGAAUAUUAUUCUGUUCUCGUCAAGUAUGAUAAUCAGUUAGAGAAGGAAGUGGAAAUCUAUCGCAUUAAGUUGCCUGGUCCCUUGAAGCUCGGAGAGGGGAAACCAGAGAAUCAAAAUCAUGCCAUUAUCUUCACUCGUGGUGAUGCAGUUCAGACUAUUGAUAUGAACCAGGACAAUUAUUUUGAGGAGGCACUUAAAAUGCGGAAUCUGUUGGAAGAAUUCAGGCGCUAUUAUGGUAUCCGAAAGCCUACGAUCUUGGGAGUUAGGGAGCAUGUCUUUACUGGUUCUGUCUCAUCUCUUGCUUGGUUUAUGUCAGCUCAGGAAACAAGUUUUGUCACCUUGGGUCAGCGGGUGUUGGCAAACCCUUUGAAAAUUCGAAUGCAUUAUGGUCAUCCAGAUGUCUUUGACCGAUUUUGGUUCUUGACUCGAGGUGGCAUCAGUAAAGCUUCCAGGGUGAUUAACAUCAGUGAAGACAUUUUUGCUGGCUUUAAUUGCACUUUGCGUGGAGGCAACGUCACCCACCAUGAAUACAUCCAAGUUGGCAAGGGAAGGGAUGUUGGAUUUAACCAAAUCUCCAUGUUUGAGGCCAAGGUUGCUAGUGGAAAUGGGGAGCAAGUUCUGAGCAGAGAUGUGUAUAGGUUAGGCCAUAGGCUUGAUUUCUUGCGGAUGCUGUCAUUCUUUUAUACUACUGUGGGUUUCUUUUUCAACACAAUGAUGGUGAUUUUAACUGUGUAUGCAUUUCUAUGGGGCCGACUUUAUUUGGCUCUCAGUGGUAUUGAAGGUUCUAUAUUGGGGGAUGAUACUAGUAAUAGAGCACUUGGUACAGUCUUGAAUCAACAGUUUAUUAUCCAGCUUGGUCUGUUCACUGCCCUUCCAAUGAUAGUAGAGAAUUCUCUCGAGCAUGGGUUUCUCCAAGCUAUCUGGGAUUUCCUGACAAUGCAGCUCCAGCUUUCUUCAGUUUUUUACACAUUUUCGAUGGGAACUCGUACCCACUAUUUUGGGAGAACCAUUCUUCAUGGUGGGGCAAAAUAUCGAGCGACGGGACGUGGCUUUGUUGUGCAGCACAAGAGUUUUGCAGAGAAUUAUAGGCUCUAUGCCCGUAGCCAUUUUGUGAAAGCAAUUGAACUCGGUUUGAUACUUACAGUUUAUGCAGCAUACAGUCCUGUGGCUAAGGACACAUUUGUUUACAUAGCAAUGACCAUCACAAGUUGGUUCAUGGUUUUGUCCUGGUUUAUGGCUCCCUUCGUUUUCAAUCCUUCUGGCUUUGACUGGUUGAAGACUGUUGAUGAUUUUGAUGACUUUAUGAACUGGAUUUGGUAUCGUGGUAGUGUGUUUGCCAAAGCUGAACAAAGCUGGGAAAGAUGGUGGUAUGAGGAACAGGAUCAUCUAAGGACAACCGGUGUGUGGGGAAAGUUGCUGGAGAUAAUUUUAGACCUUCGCUUCUUCUUUUUCCAGUAUGGGAUCGUGUACCAGCUUGGUAUUGCUGAUAACAGUAAAAGUAUACUUGUUUACUUGUUAUCUUGGAUCUAUGUGUUCCUGGCUUUUGGCAUAUUUAUCGUGAUAGUGUAUGCUCGGGUAAAAUAUGCAGCAAAAGAUCACAUUUACUACCGGCUGGUCCAAUUUCUUGUCAUUAAACUUGCACUACUGGUAAUAAUUGCCCUGUUGGAAUUCACAAACUUCAAGUUCAUGGAUAUAUUCACUAGUCUUCUGGCAUUCAUCCCCACUGGUUGGGGUUUGAUAUUGAUAGCACAAGUAUUCCGGCCCUUACUACAACGCACUAUACUAUGGGAGGUUGUUGUUUCUGUGGCUCGACUGUACGAUAUCUUGUUCGGGGUGAUUGUAUUGACUCCUGUGGCAGUAUUAUCAUGGUUUCCUGGGUUCCAGUCUAUGCAGACUAGGAUACUGUUUAAUGAUGCAUUCAGCAGGGGACUUCGUAUAUUCCAGAUUGUUACAGGAAAAAAGAAGUCCAAGAGAGAUUCGUGAUUGAAGGUAAAUUUAGUUAUUGAUCUUUCAAAGGUUUUAAUUAUGUACGUUCUAUUAUUAUGCCACCUCACAGGUCACUAAAUAAAACUUGUCAUGCAUCUAGUUGAUAAGUACUGUUAUUAUGUACGGCAAAGUUCAGUGCAUAGUCUAUGUAGGUGGGAAAAGAUGUGUUAAAUUGACAUGAUAUUCUAACAAAAAAAAAACUUCCUAUUUUUAUAUCCAUGUCAUGCUCUGCCAUUGAUUUUGAUUGCAUGCUUUUCGUGCGAGCAUGAGCUGCUUGAAUCUAUUUCACCUUAGUCACCACAUAUGAUGUCUCAUUUUGAAAUUAUCACCCAUCAGAUUCUGGUGUUAUUUCUCGUCAACCAGUUUCUGGCGUUAUGGUGAAUGGGUUUGCAUUUGGAUUUCAGAGAUUUAUUAAAAUGAACAAGGUCAUAUAUGCAUGGUUCUUAUACUGGGGCAUUGAUUUUAAACAGCUCGAUGGGAUAGUAUAUUAUGUAACUGGAAUCAUGAAUUGCUAGCCCAGGAAUAACUAUGUAAGCUGUUAUUGCGUAGCGUCUGAUAUCCCGGUUGUCACAUUGUUGGGACUGUUUUCACUAAUUAGAAGUUGAUCAUCUUAAGGAUGCUCAAUAGUUCAAACAGUGCAUAUAACCUUAAAAAAGAACAUGGAUAUUAUUAGUUUAGUGCAGGACUGCUCAAUUAUGAUGGAAUAUUUGUUUGUUUCAAACGUAAAAUAUGUUGAUAAAGCAGACUAGUUUAUAUCCAUGUUAGUUGAGGGUCUUCAACCACUUGCUUUAGGGAUUUGUGGCUUCGGGUUUUUGGGGUUAUGAUUAUGUAUAUACUCAAAGUUUCGUGGAAACCACCCUGUGGUCUUGUGAUAAUGCUUUAGAUUUUUGAUCUGCUUUUGGGAAGCCUUUAUUUAAGCUAUAUUGUAAUUAUUGUCCUAUGGUUCAAAUAUUUUUGUACAGGAUCACUGAUUGCAUUUAUUUCUGUGAUUUUUGAACUUACUAAGAGGACUGCAUCUUUUUGUUGACAGGGAUUGAUGUAGUUAAUCGUCCCCAGAGGUUGUGAGGAUAGAUUUCGAUUUUGGAUUGGAGGCUUGUGGGGUUUGAAGAGGCUAUGAAUUGUUUGACAUUUGUGGCUGGCUGGUUAGCUUGGCUUGAUCUUCCCAAUUCUAGACUUGUGUAAUUAGAUUAAUAUUGCUGGUUAGAUAUAUCUGAUGUUGAAUCGGGAACUUUUAGCACUGUGCAUAUGCAAUCUUGUUUCACUCUGCAUCGUCUCUAUAUUGACUAUAGAUUAGUCUGGUAGUUGCUCAAGAUUGUUACAACAUUUGUUUAUUCUUUUUGUGAGAAAUGCAGCUUGGCAUUCAGUGUUGUGAUUUACCUGCUGUACUUAAAUUCUUGAUCUGCAACGCAAAUCAUUUAUUGAUUUGGCUUAUUAGCUCUACAAGCAUUCUGAACAUAUUUUCGGCACUGUUGUACCGACUGCUGCUUGGAGAUGUUGCAUCUUUUUAUGUUAAAAUGGUAGUCCUGAAGGCCCAACCCGUAUGCGAACAUGAAACUUGUAGAGGCUAGAGGGUUGAGUUGGGAAGAGAUUGACGGCUCUGUGAGCAUUGGGACAAGUCUAGUUUAAACAAGGUUGAGAUGUUUUUAUGAGGUGGUGUGUUUAGAGUGGCUGAAGACAUGAUCCAAGUCAAAGCAAAUUGAUAAAGAGAGAGGUAGGAGCUAAUUAAUAUUAUUAAUAUGGAGUAGCAAAAUGAAGAAUGGCUAGCUAGAUGAUCAGCCGACAGCUGGUUGAUGCAUGCUUGACGAAAUAAUAAUUUAUAAUUGUGAUAGAUCCAAAUCCCCCUCAGUCCUCCCUCCACUACUUUACACGUCCUCCUACACCGCCUCUCUCAAACAACCCCAUUCUCUCUGAAACAAACAAAAAAAAAUGGAGGAUCCUCUGAUCCCCGGAGAAUCCAGCACUCUCCGACGCCGCGGCGGCGAUAAGGGCUUCAAACGCCGCUCCGACGCCAUCACCUUCGGCUCUUCUUUCCAGAAAGCGGCCGCUCUCGUCGACUUGGUAUCUCUCUCUCUCUCUCUUGAGUUCUUCUUGAGUUCUUCUUCAGUCUCUGAUUGAAACUUGCAGGCGGAAGACGGCAUUGGCUUGCCGGAGCAGAUACUCGAUCUCUCGUCUUUUCACAGUGCUGCCAAGUACUACUUCAUCUACAUGCGAUUCAGCUUCCUUUGGGCCCUACUCUACUUCGCCCUCUUGAUUCUCAAUUUCCUUGAGAGACCUCUUUGGUGUGCGAAUCUCACUGAUUAUACUUGCAGUGACAGAGACUACUACUAUCUUGGCCAAUUGCCUUACUUAACUUCUACAGAGUCCCUUAUAUAUGAGGUAGCUACUCUUCUACUUUCACAUUUAGAAUUCAUCACUUUCUGCUUAUGUUGCUUCAUGACACAAUCAUAUACCUACGUUUCUUGAUCAAUUUUUUAAAUUAAAGCAUGAUUAAAUCUACCAACUUCUGAGCUGAUUAAUGUGCUUGUAAAUUUGCAAAGGAUUAAUUGUUUCAUCAUAUGACUACAUAGCUGCAAGAAUAUGCAUGAAUUGCCAGAAGGAUAUAAAAGCAAUCUUUCGAGUAGGCAUCGCUUUAAAGAAUAGCUUUCUUUACUUCCAAUACUUGACUUUCUACAGAAAGUAACCACUUAAACUUCUUACUAUUAUUCUUCUUGUAGAAUUUCCCUUCUUCUUUGUCUUGUGUUUCUUACAUUACGGUAUACACUAGGUUUUACGACUGGAUAUCAGUGGCAUGCUUUACAUACUUCCAUCCUCCCAAAGUAUGACUCCAAAAUCAGUAUCAUUUGAUAUGUACUUCUUGGUUCACUAGAUGUUUAUUCUUCUUCCCUCUUAUAUGAUGGACUAUCUAUAUGGAUUUGAUUGCAUGCACUUUACAUAGGAAAUCUAAAAUACAGAACUUUUGAUAAGUAAUAAAUUUUUCUCACACACAUAGUUUCCAAAUUUCUGUGUGAAUUAUGCUAUAAAGAUUGAUGUUAGAAGAUCCAUAGAGUCCACUUAAUGUCUAGAUUCACUGAUGAGACUUGUAAUUCAUUUUUUUUUUCCUGGCCAAUUUUCUGUUGUAUUGUGCACCAGAUAGCUAUGCUUUUCUCCUCGUUUUGUUUUUUACUUUUUUUUGUGGGUGUUAAUAUUAUUACUUAUGUCAAUUUUAUUCUGUUGUCUGCAGGGCAUAACACUGAUAGUACUCAUGGUGCAUACUUUCUUUCCAAUUUCAUAUGUGGGGUUCCAUCUCUAUUGGAAAAGUCAUCUUACUAAAUUUAAGGUAGGUGUAUGGUUUGGCCUUGUACAUAUCCAAAUAAUCUCCAAUCAGCCCUUUUUUUAAGGGCAGGGGUCGGCUUUGGGGGAUCUUCAUUGUUGGUUACAGUUGGUGCCACCUAAACAUCCCUUUGUUUCUUAAGUGUAUACCUAUUUCUAGCACAGUACAUUGUAGGCCUUGGGGCAAUCGUGUAAAUUUUUUCCUCUUAUUUUGAUAGCUGCUUGGCUCAUUUUUUUUUACUGAUAGGAAUACAAUAUAGUCCAAGGAGUAAUUUACAAGGAAAGUAGGAAGUAUGUGAUGUUUUUAUUAUGUGAGGAAGCGUAAAAUUUUCUUUUACAUCUUUAGGUAAGUUUUCUUUGUCAUAAAUGGAAUCAAGUUAUGUUCUAGGAUUGUAGUUAUGUAUAGGAAGAAAUCAAUUAGCUUCUAGUAAAAGGAAAUAAGUUAAGAACCAUUCAACAAAUUAUCAUUCAGAAUAGAAUUUUGCCUGUAUAAACGUUCAUUUUUAUGAGUCGUAGCUGUUUUCUAGUGGCCAUAGUAGUAGAGCAUGAACUACUUUAUCAUUUCUAGAUGUGUACACCAUAAUACCUGUGCUUUUAUGACCACUGAUACCGUCAACAUCAUAUGUAGUGGAGAAAAUAGAGCAGCUUCUGGUAUGCAAAUGAUUAAAAACAAAUGUUCAAAUGAAUAUAUGAGAUGUUCGUCGAAUGUACUAACAUCUUGGUACUAUUUUUGUUAUGUAGUGUAAUGAUAUAUAUGUACCUUUUCUUUUUACAGAUCAUAUGCCUGUUGAUUUUGGUUGCUGAUUUGCUGGCUUAUGUUCUCUAUUUGUCUCCAGUCGCCUUUGAGUCUCUCCCUCUCCGGGUUGCUCCAUAUAUCAGAGUCAUCUUUUUCAUCUUGAGCUUUAGGUAUUGUGUGAUACCCUAUUAUGUGCUUAUAGCAAUGAUGGGGCAAUUCAGUAAUAAGUGACCUAAUGUGAAAAAUGUGUGUGUGUGUGUGUGUGUGUGUCUUCUUUAAUUAUUUUUAAUAAUGCAACUUUAGUUUUACUUUUAUUAUCAUUCUCCUAGACUCAUCAUUAUCCUUGUUAGAAAUCCUCUUUGUAUCAAUUUCACCGAGGAAGAUAAUAAAUGGAACUACAAUCACACUGAAAUUAAUCAUUUAGUUGAGGCAGCUUUAAAUCUAUUAUUAUUAUCACUUUUAUUUUUAUUUUUUUAUGGUUGACUUACCUCUACUUCCAAAAAUUUAAGCUCUUAGGUGCAGGGAACAUAUUAAGAGUCUACACUACACCCCACAUUUGGGUAUCUCUCCACCAUUAAUCCAACAUGUGGAGAUCAACUUAGCAAUUAUUAGGGAUUGUUCUGGGGGUCUUUAAUUUUUUUCAAAUGGUUAAGACAUUAGGAUGUGGGUCGACAGUUUGCGUUCCAACCAGAUGGCAUAUUUUUUUGGUCAUUUCAGGAGCUUAACAUGCUAUUUUUGAUUCAUGGCAAGAAAAGUAAGUUCUAGUGCCAAAUUAGAAACACUGAUAUCUGGUCAUCUAUUUUUGAUUUAGGAGCACACCAUGCUACUAACUGCAGAUAGUCCGGCAUGCAACUGACUUUAGGCUUGUAAAGAGAUUUGUGCCCUCCAUUUACCCUACCCAUCAAUUAUGUAAAUUGGGAAUCACUUUAGUAUAAUUGCUGGUAUGUAGAUUAAGUUCCUGAAGCAGAGUAGCCUACAGACUAAUUAAUUGUUUCUAUUAGGCCACCACUUAUGCUAUAUGGUGCAUAAUUUGGGUAGUUAAUCAUUAUUGCUUAUUGAUUUGAUGUUGUUUCAUCCUCGUUUAAUGACGUAACUACAAUUUUGAUCUGUUAUUUAUUUUCCUAAUUUCUUUCAUUGAUAGGGAGUUACGAUCGUGCAUGCUCAUCUUGGCUGGAAUGUUUGGCACAUUUUUGAAUGUCUUGGUUUGUUAACUAUCCAUUGUUAUGCUUAAUACUUGUUUUUUUUUUUUUUUUUUUUUUAAAACUGUUAAAUGCUACUUUUUGUGGGGGAUUUCACAGACUAUGAUUUCUGUGAUAAGAAGCUUCCAUUUGAUUCUGUUUUGAUUUCAACUUUUUCAGUUCCAUACAGAUGCAUAAUAUCUACUUUAUCCAUUUCACAGUUUAAUUAUUCUAUUGCAGGCUUUAGGGCUUUUAUUUCUUCUGUUUGCUAGUUGGCUAGCUUAUGUCAUGUUUGAAGAUACUGACCAGGGGACAAUAGUAUUUACUUCAUACGGUACCACGUUGUAUCAGAUGUUUGUAUUAUUCACCACAUCCAACAAUCCAGAUGUUUGGAUACCUGCCUACAAGUAAGUGUCGCCUACAAAAUUGAAUAAUAUACUUCAUAUCCCUCUUGUUUUUAGUUACAGCUAGUAAAGUUAAGUCCAUUGUUUUGAUUCAUACCUGUUUCACUUUAACUUCCAGUCAUUUUAGCUCCUUUUCAAAACUAGGACUGGGUUAUAAUUUCCUUAUAUUCCAGUUUCACUUUAUUUUCCUAAUUUUUAAUGAUGCAGAAAUUUGAACUCCUAUUCAUUUCAUAUGGUCCUUAGUUUCAGUGUCUAACGAUAUUCUGUUUUGAUUAUAGGGCUUCACGUUGGUAUUGCUUGUUUUUUGUUCUAUACGUGUUGCUGGGAGUCUAUUUUGUCACAAAUUUGAUUCUUGCCGUUGUAUAUGACAGCUUCAAAAGUCAGGUGUGGUUUAUUCAUGGGUGAAGCUUCUUUUUACUUGUGAAUUAACAUGAUAACACAGUAUGUAUUCUGCUUCUGAAUAGAUAAUUAUUUUCCUGUUUAAUUGGUACAUGUGUAUGUAGUGCUGGUAUCUUUCCUAGUACACAAACAAUAUUUGAUCGAUUAUUUCUACAAUAUUCAGGAAUAUGAAAUUUGCAGGCUAAAUUGUCAUUUUUUUUGUAGCUUGUAAAGCAAGUUUCUGAGAUGGACCAGACAAGGAAAACUAUACUGGAGAAAGCCUUUCACUUGAUAGAAAAAGAUGUUAGUGAUGGUGUUCCUUACUCAUUGGAUAUUCUUCUGGCAUGCUAUCCAUCAAGUUUUUGAUCUGUUCCAUACAUAGGAAAAGAGCUAUGAUAGUCUUUUUAUCUUUCAUGCUUACUAUAUUCUAUAUUUAGGGGGGCGACCAAAAUCACUGCUAGUUCCUAUGGCAUGAUUCCAAUGGUUUUUCUGUGCUUGACAGAAUUCUGGAUAUAUCAAUAAGGAGCAGUGCAUACGUCUAUUUGAGGAACUAAACAAAUACAGGUAAUUCAGUCAUCUAUGUUCUGUAAAUGUGACAACUUGCACUUGAUACACUGGUGAGGAUAGGAGAUUAGGAGCAACAACACGGCUUACAUUCCCUAUUUGGUACUUUUGUUGAAACUUAAAAGAAACGUUGCUAGUAUCUUCUGUUAGAUCCAGCAUGACUUUGUCUCUAACAAUCCAACUAUGGAUUCCCAACAGAGGUUGAUGGCUUAAUUAGUUGUGUAAAGGUCUUAGUGGGCUGCUAUGAUGUUGGUUUCAAAUAAAGUUUUUAUCUGACAAUUAUUCCAGCUACCUUUUCGGUUAGGUUUUUCAAAAUUUGAAUGUGAAAAGCAUACAGAAGUUUCCACCCUCCCAUGGGUCGCCAACCAGCCUAAACCUCAAACUUUGCCCCCUGUUAACCAUAUAAAACUAGCAGAAGAAAAUACUAGAUCUAAGUUAACAUCAAAAGGAAUUUUUAAAAGAUUCACCAGAAAAAAGGCACCUGAAGGCUACCCACUCCUAUCACCCAUUUUCAAGCCCACCAAACCAACACUUUUUCUACACUAGUAAAGGCAACAUUUCACUUACCUCAUUGUUUGUCUCUUUUAAAACAAACUUUUAACUCACAGUGGAGCUAAACUCUCUACCACCCCCUCUGCUUUCUCCUCACCAUCUUCUAAAACUUCAAUUUUAUAAUAGAAGGAUUUUCUACAUUUUCCUUAGAUUUUUCAUCUUGCAUAGUCAUUGAAGUACUGACAAUUGUUGCUAACAUCAGUUAGUUGACUAUUUACUUGCUUGACGAACCCACUCGCUAUUUUUGACAGUGGUCGAUAACAUCCUUUUGCAAAAUGUUUCCAAUAUUAGACGGCUACUGUUUAUUGUCUGGAGUUUAACUACUCUAUUUUUUUUCCUUAUGUCUCUUUAGGACUUUGCCAAAAAUGUCAAGAGAAGAAUUUGAGCUGAUAUUUGAUGAGCUGGAUGACAGUGGAGACUUCAAGGUAGAUAAAUUUUCUUAAAGUAUUAUUAGACUAGUUACAGUAUCUUUUAUUCCACAGAAAAAUGACUUUCUUUUUCAUCACUUAGAUGACUUUUGAUUUCCUUGUCUUUACAUAUCAGGUACUCUGUGUGUUGUAGUUCUGUCAGUAUAAAUACUUGGUUUAAUAAGUUUCCUUUUUGUUUUUUUUUUCUCUCUUCAGGGUUUGAAAGUUUAUUAAGAAUAAUUGUGUUUAUGUGGCUUUAUAGUUGGAGAAAAAGGGGCUGUCUAGGUGGUGAUCAACCGGGCUUGUGGGUUUUGGUGUUUUUCUGGGGGUUUUAGAGAAUAAAUACAUUUUGGGGUUUAGAGAGUUAGGGUGGUAAUAGUCCACCCUUUGUAUUAAAUGUUAUGAGUAUACUGAUGACAUGUGUAUUGACUUGUCUUUGAUUUCUUUGGAUGGUCUUUAACUUGUCUUGUUGGAAAUGUUUCUUUUAAUACAUUUCUUCCAUACAUACUCAUGUUUAUAUUAUUAAGCACUUGAGUAUAUUUCACUGGUUGGUUUAUUAUUAGUGUCACUUGUUGACACUCUAUCUCCUCAUUUGUUUUCUGAACUAUUCUCUGUUGCCUGCAGAUCAACGUACAAGAAUUCACUGACCUUUGUAAUGCCAUUGCCCUAAGAUUCCAGAAGGAGGAUACUGUAAGUGGAGAUUUGUCCAAGACAUGCGAAAGUUAUAUAUUUAUAGUUGAAACUGAAGUUCUGAAACUGAAGUUUGGUGCUGCAAAUUUGUGUGCAGCCAUCUUGGUUUGAAAAGUUCCCUUCAUUCUACCAUUCUCCCGUCUCUGAGAAGUUGAAGGCUUUUAUUCGGAGCCCCAAAUUCGGAUACAUAAUAUCCUUCAUACUCAUAAUCAAUCUAUUUGCUGUUAUCGUUGAAACUACGGUGAGGCUUAAACUCUUACACAACUGCCAGACUCAGGCUUUAAAGUGGAUAUAAAAUAUGAUUCUUUUUUCUUGUCAACAUGAAAAUAUUAUCUGCUUUACCUUUUGAUUUAGGCUGAUUUUGUGUUUCAUAUUUUACAAAGAGUUCAAUGGAUUUUUACAUGACUUGUAAACUAUUUGAGGCUUUGAUGGUUCCUUCAAGUGACUGUUAUUAAUCAAAUUUUGACUUCGCCUAUGAAGUGGCUUGAUUUUAUUCUCUGUUUGGUUUCAGCUUGACAUAGAAAACAAUUCUGCUCAGAAGGUAUGGCAAGUGAUGGAGUUUGUCCUUGGUAAGAGCUUAUUUGAACUUUAAUUCUUCAGGUAGUUUUUUUUAAUUUUUUUAAUUAUUAUUUUUUUAAUUCAGGUAGUUUCUUUAUGUAAGAGGAAUGAUAAUACAUAAUAUAAUGUCCAAACCAAAGAAAUUUGGUUUAUAGUCUGUUAUGAGUUACACUUGUGACCGGAGAUUAUCAUAUCCUUGGGAGUUGAUCAAGUUUAACGAGUUAAAGCAGAAAGAAUAGUUUAAUCUUGCGUAUUAGGACAUUUGAGUAAUUACAUUACACUAUCAGGUUAUUGUUGAUUGAUGUCCUGGUUUAAUGUUUCAGCUUGCAGUUGAUGUCAUUUAUCGACAAUUAAUGCUAACAAAAGCAGCUUUGAACUGUUAAUUAGUGGUUUUUUUUUCUUAUCCAUAGGGUGGGUAUAUGUACUGGAAAUGGCUUUGAAAGUCUAUUCAUUUGGAUUUGAGAACUAUUGGAGGGAUGGCCAAAAUCGGUUUGAUUUUCUGGUCACAUUGAUAAUAGGUAAUUGCACAAUCACAUCCAAUAAUUUUACUUUUCUUAUUCUUUUUCUUAAUGUAUUUAUGAACAAACUGGAUUUAAAGUGCUCAUUAUCUUUCACAGGUUUAGUCUAUUAAUUACUAGAUCAAAACAAUAAAAAACAUAGUAUUAGAAACUAUGUGGCCCAAACGGGUUCUUGGGAGGCAGAUCUACAUUUAGUACAUUAUCUGCAUUUUCUCCUAACUCGUAUGGGAACCACUGUUUAGUUAGUCAUCAUGAAAUAACCACACAGUAUUUAUAUGUCAUCUGGACCGGGUACUAUUUUUAUUUAGUUAAUGACAGUAGUUGAGAUUCUCUUUGUUAAAUUCAUAGUUAUUGACACAUGGUUCUAUGAUUUAUCAUAUUGCAUUCUGAAAACAUUUACCUAUUUCGUUAGUUGAUCUGUUUUAUAGGUCUAUAGCUGAGAAAAAAAAAAAAUUCAGUGUACAUUCUCAUCUGAUCUCAAGCUCUCUUACCUACAGUUUAUGAGUUUUCCAAACCAAUAUUGAAACAAACAUAGCAAUUUAUUACCCUAAACAUACCCCAUCUCAAGCUCUCUUACCUACAGUUUAUUUUUCCAAACCAAUAUUGAAACAAACAUAGCAAUUUAUUACCCUGAACAUACCCAAACCCACCCCCCUCUUCUCGUGGGUCACAUGGCAAUAACUAUUACUAUGGCCUGAUUGUAUUAGUGGGGAAGUAAUGUUGGCCCUAACUUUCAGUACUAUCAGUGUGAUGUACUAUGUUAGCAAAAAACAUUAAUUGAAAAGAUUUUGAUCAGAUUUUGCAUUAAUUAGAUUGUUUGCAUGUAGAAUGUAUCUAUUUAUUGUAUCAUUCGGUUUCGUCUUUUUUUUUCACCUAACUUUUCCUUAGAUUGCAUUAUAUUUGUAUGACAUCGCUUAUUAAAUUUGCAGUUAUUGGAGAAACACUAACUUAUGCUGCUCCACAAGGACUAACUUUCCUUUCAAAUGGAGAAUGGUAGGGGUUUCAAAUUUCUAAUACCCUGCAUGCCUAUUAAGUUAUAACUCCACUAUGAAAUGGUCCUAAUUUUUCUUUCUGUUGAAUUAAUAUCAUAUCUUCUUCAUGAAGUUGAAACGACUAUCAUGAUCUUUCAUCUGAAUGUUAUUUGACUACAGAAUGGUAUAAUUUGUUUUGUUCAACUGCAUUAUUCAUGAGGAUCAACACCCUAAAAGAGUCAUCAUCAGAUUUAUGGUUGGGUUCAAUGGCACGAAAUUACUCUAUUUCUUACACAUUUUUUGAACCUUUAAAUUUUAUGACUCUGAGUGGCCUAGAUUAAAAGUAGCUUUACAUUAUUUUAUUUGAAGCAAGUUACAUAGUCUUUGCGUACGGCAUUCUUCAUCUUCAUAUUCUUCAGUUCACUGCACGUGCGUGUAUUUGUAUGUGUGUGUGUGUUGUUUCUUUCCUUUUGCUUCACUUUUCUUCUUAUGUAACCAUCACCUUUCUUCUCCAGACCCAAAAGAUCAUCACUUUCCUCUUUGAAUUGGUUCCAAGACCAAAUGGAAACAACAAUUACAAAUCCAGAGUUCAUAUGAGCAUAAACAUUCAUAUGGCAGAAGUAAUUCCAGUUUCUAAAAUUUUACCACCUGUUUUCCUAUUACAUUGUAUAAUUAUAGUGGCAAAUGCUUGAAUUACGAUGAUGAUUUAUUAUGGCCAUUGAAUGAAUGAAUAUCUAAUGGUUUAAAAGCUGUGUAUCUUGUGUGAAAGUUAAAGCCCUAUCGAACCUGACCCCAGAUUUAUGACCUAGAUCUUGUGUGCAAAUUUGCUUCUGUAUUAUGGAUACUGGAUAGUAAGAGUGAUAUCAUCUGAUACGAGUAUCAGGAUAACAUAAAUACAUAAUAUAUAAGCUUGUACAAUAAGAAAAGAAAAAAGAUCUAAUGGCUUCUGCCUUUUUUGUCAACAGGAUUCGCUACCUUCUCAUUGCAAGGAUGUUACGAUUGAUUAGGCUCCUGAUCCAUGUCCAGCGUUGCCGGGCAUUUAUUGCCACGUUCUUGACUCUUUUACCAAGUUUAAUGCCAUACCUUGGGACCAUAUUUUGUGUCAUGUGCAUCUAUUGUACACUUGGUGUACAGGUAAUUCAAAGCUCUCUCCCUCUAUUUGUCUUUUGUUCCAAUAGAUCCACAAAUUUCAACAUAUAAAUUUGUGGUUCCGAUUAGCCUACAUACAUAUCCUGUACAAUACAAAUAACUUUGUACCAACUAUGAAUAAAAAAAAACAGUUUUUAUGCAUAUUUAGCUGUUGUUGCAUUCUCGUGCCAAUAUUCGAUGACAUACAUUAGAACCAUAUUUAUUUAUUUCAGUAUAUAAUAUUAUGCAGUUGGUGUGUGGGUUUAAUAUGCUUUCUUCUACUGGUCCUCUUUUGUUCCAACAAAGAUUAAUUUGUCUUCUAUGUUUAGGUUCUUAUUUCCUGUAUGUUAAAUGUAAUUUUUAACGUGUAAGGAAGAGAGAAACAAAAGAAGCAGGAUGAUCACCUGCUCAUAAUUUUCUGUUAUUUGUGUACUUUGAUGGCUCUGGACUAGUUCAUGAAUGACUCCAAGUACUUAUCUGCUCUACUUUAUGUAAAUAUGUUGUGAUUGUUGUCCAAAAUCUUUAUUGGUAGAGUCGCAACAAACUUCUAACAUAUUUAACCAUUUUUAGAUAUAGUACAUUUUCAUUCGUCAUUCGAUCAUUCUAUGCGAAUUCAAAGGUUCCAUGUAUUUAUAAGGCAAUGGUAUUUAUACACCAUUGGUAAUCGAACUCUAAUUUAUAAACUAUUUAGAUCUUUUAAAGAAAUCUACACUGUUUUAAGCUUCUCAGUUCCACCUUUAUGUUAAUUUCACAAUAUUUUGUAAGCAAUCAAUUCCUUUUAAUCUGUAGAUCUUUGGCGGGAUGGUUAAUGCUGGAAAUGCCAGUUUGGAAGCAACAGAUCUUUAUGACGAUGAGUAUCCUUUGUCAUGGAAAUCUUCAUUCGAUAUGUGGUUAUUCAUAGAUGGUUGAAAUGUUCUGCACUUCUUUAGUAUUACAAGAUAAAACCUCAUCUUACAAUAACAGCAAUAGGAUAUACAUUUCCCACAGUUAUGAAAUUUAAGUUUGAUUAGUCAUUUAGCUGCAUUUCGACAGAGGCAUAACAACAGCUAUAUUUCGAUGUUAAUGUCUAUUCCUUUGACUUUCUUGACAAAAUAAGUUAUCUACUUUUCAACUUCAAUGAUUAUCCAAAUGGGAUGGUGACACUUUUCAAUUUACUAGUCACGGGAAACUGGCAAGUUUGGAUGCAGGUAUACUUCCAAUUCAUUCAUUGUGUUUGAUGGCUCACAUUCAUUAUCUGAUUUUUAUUGAAUGUCUAGUAGACCAACAAAAAUUCCUUGUUCACAUGUCAAUUGAUCAUUUGCGCAUGCUUUUAUCUUGGAUGUCAAGUACCUUUUACUCUGUUUAUCCAAUUGUUGUUUUUCCUUGUACUCUCUAAAGCUUUUUUGGACCAAGGACUAUGCCUUCUUUUGGUUUGAUUUGUUUGAUUUUUUAUUUUUUUUAUUCUUUUGUAUGGAAACAAAAUAAAAGGUCUGGAUGCUUAUGCAGAUGUAACAUUGUAUAUGCAAAAAAUUUGUCUACCACAGCUUUUAAAGAAUACCUUUCUGUAUGAUUCGAGAUCUGGAUGCUUGUAUGUAAUCAACUUCCUGUAUUAGUUGACACUGCCAGAGGAUCCAAUACAUAUUCUUUUAAAUAUGUUAUGAAAACAGGAACAUGAUUUUAAGCAAUUCCAACUACAUUACCGAUCAUAUAUGCUUGAUGAGUAGUAUAUUUUGAAUUGCUAACUAGUUAAAGAUGAAACAAGUGUUAUUAGUGUAUCAUGUCACUAAUAACAUGUGAUUGACCAUUUCAGAGUUACAAGGAUUUGACGGGAACUUCUUGGAGCCUUGUAUAUUUUGUCAGUUUCUAUCUUAUAACUGUCUUACUUCUGCUGAAUUUGGUAAGUACUCAAAUCUUGCUUCAGUAAUUCUUGUACUUUGUUUCAUAAGGUUCUACUGACACAAAACAGAACAGAAUAGGUGUGUGUGUUGGGUGGGUGGGUGGUGGGGGGGGGGAUUAUAGUUGAACUUAUUUUUGCAUAAAUUUUUCCUAACCAUCCAAGUUUUUGGUCCAACUUUGAUAUUUAAAAAGUUAAUAAAAUCAGGCGAAUGGAAAAUCAGUUAGUCCCACUUUUUACACAUUUCCCAAGCUGGGAUGGUAAGGUAGUUGACCCCUACUUUGAGAAGUAGGUAAUUUCCUACUUGGCAUGGUAAGGUAGUUAACCCCUACUUUGAGGUAAUUUCCUUUUUGGCACACUUGAAGAUGGAUCCAUAUACAAAAGCGCUGGAAAGAACAUGGCCUGUGAUAAUCUUUAUCCAAAGACAAAUUGUUUAAAAUAUAAUCAAUAUAUAAAAAGGACAGAGCGGAAGUGAUGAUGAAUUCUCUAUUUGUUCCUCCACAUUGUGUCUCAGGAAUUCACUGAUGAGGAACAUGAUUUGGUUGUGUUCUCUGAAAGUUUAAUGGAAGUUCAUUAAAUAUCUUCGGGUCAGUAUAAUGCUCUUUUUAAACUAUUAGAAUGAGGUUAGGUAACCAUUUUUUUUUAAUCUUAAUUAUAAGCGCAUAAGUAGGUUAGCAAUGCCUUAUGCUCGUUCAUUGGCCGGAAAAUUAAUGUCUUAAUAUAGUUAAGCAUUGUGAGGUUUUUCUUAUUUAUUAUCCAAGUGGAAUUGAUUCUACUCGACUUUGUUAAAAACACUAAUAAUGUUUUAUUUUAAAUUACUGCAGGUUGUAGCUUUUGUCCUGGAGGCUUUCUUUGCUGAAAUGGAUCUCGAGUCUGCAGGAAUUUGUGAAGAACAUGAGGGGGUCAGGAUCUUUUCUAAACUUAUCUUUAAACUUACUUUCUGACUUGACAACAGGGAGUUAUGCUGCAAUUGAUCAAAUUUCUUAUGUUCUGUUUUUAUCUUACAAAAUCUAGCCAUCAUAAGAAUACUGCUUUACUACAUCUACAAAUUCAAGGAGAAAGUAUGAAAAUCAUUUGGUCAUUUAAAAUCUCUAGAUUUACUUUAAUUUGAUAGAGAAUGCAAAAGCAUGAUUAAGAGAUGAAUUUUACAAAGUAUUUGGUGUUUUGGGUAGCUACUCAUAUGAGUCCCAGGUUUCCUUGAUAUCUUCGUAAUUUGGAACUGUCCUAAUAUAUUUUGGCACCCUAUAUAUUUUAAAAUAUAGUGCAUGUAGUGAUUAAUCCCCUUGUGUUGGAGUACUACUUGCAUAUACUUCUCCACUCCAGUUGACUCCUCAAUCUCAACUUCUCGAGUAUAAUUAAGGAAUGAUGUGAUAGAGAACAUAUAUAGAGAGGCCCAAUGCGUUAUGCCUAAUAUAUGCAACUUUUCCAUUAAAAUCAGCAGAUCUGAUACAUAUCAAGGUAACCAACAAUUUGCAAACGGAUUGUAUCGAUAAAAUCUAAAGGAACAACAGCAAUAUAAUGGAAGAGCAAAAGGAUCAAUUUUCUUUCCUUUUACCUAGUCUUGACUCUAACGACGGUGUUUCCUAGAUCUUGUUGCUGGGUUUGUAUAUGAGAAUCAUGGGUAGAGUUGGAAAGUAUUUAAGUGCUGGGGGUGUAUCUAGAAAUUUGCUGGGCACAUUUCGAAAGACCCACUUUUAAUUGGAAUCUUGUAGCCAUUCUUUCUUUGACUAAUAUAUCGAGAGCUUUUUCCUAUUAUUAUGGAGGCAUCAUCCUGGACCUCUGACCAUAAUCAGUUCAGUUCUCAAUAUAUCAUCUCUUAUAAUUAUAUUUUGUUCCUUUUAUCUAGGAGGUGGAUGGAGUAAAAGACCGACGUCGAUCCGUAGGGUAUGUAAUUCUUGCGUAUUGUGGCUAUAUAAAGUCGUUACCUGCUCGUAUUCCUUGUCACAGUUCUAAACUCAUAUAUUGGGUAUUCUACAGCUCAAAAUCACGGAGCCAGAGAGUUGACGCUCUUCUUCACCAUAUGUUAAGUUCAGAGCUAAAUCAACCGCAGUCCUCCAGUGCAUAGCUUUUGUGACUCUCCUUUAUGGUAAUGAUUUUGAUGAAUGAUUUAGUUUUUCUCUUGAUAGUUAAGUUGUUCAAACGUUCUCUUAUAACAGCUAUUGUUAGUGUUUAUAUAUUUAUAUGGGGGAUAUUAUAUGCGGUUCCAACAGAGUUGGCUAGUAUUUUAUGUGGUCAUCAUUCUGCUCAAGGGAAGAAGGCCCAAGUUCUUUAGAGUUAAUAUGUUUUGGUUGUUUGAUUGGAGAGGAAUAAAUGAUUUUUUUAUGUACGUGUUUCCUUACGGCUUAUGUCUCUUUUCUCAUUCAAGAUUGGAAGGCUGCUGUAGCUUAAUCUUGUGGUUUUUGUGCUUCCUAUGUCUUGCUGAUGUCUUUUAUUGUGCUGGCACCCUGGCAAAAGUUUGCCCAUUCUUGGGACAUGGUAUCUCCAAGCAUGUGUUUUAUUUGAGCUCUAGUAGAAGAGGGAAUGUGGUGAGGAUACUAUGGAUAGUCUGAAAAUUAGGGAGCUUUAAGAGUGAUCCUGCAGGGUCAGGAUAAGUAAUGCAAUGAUGGAUUUGAUGUCAAUGAUUUUAAGUUCUGUUAAAAAUAGAGUUGCACAGUACCUGAGGUUUUUCUUAUAUGAAUUUAGAUGAGCUGUGUCGUAGUAUCACACUAGCUUGUGCUUUGCAAUUGAAUUUUGACAUUUAUUUUGUGUUUCUCUGCUUUUUGACAGGUUAUACAUGUGACUUGGUGGACCAAGAAUGAAAGAAAUGGAGGGAUUAUUUGUCGGAUUGUUGUCUGCUAAUUAAAAGUACUGGAUACUAUGUUUUUUGGGGGUCAAGGAAAUUAGAGGAUUUGGUGGUAAGGAGUAUAGGUUCCAUGGAGUGUGAUUCGGCACUAGGGUUCAGUUAAAACCUUUGUUUUUUUUUUUUAAUUUUAUUCGAUUAAGAAUUACUUGAGAAACAAACUUACAACAAAAACCCACGGAUACAGCAUUAGAACAUUUGUUGGUCAAGGUUCAGUUCAUCAGUUGAACUUAGAACGAGUCUUAUGCAAUGGUAUAACUUAAUUUUUGAUAAAGUUCAACAUUGUCAACUACUGCAUUGCAUACUAUUCAAUCCGCGUCGUUCUUUUUUCUUUUUUUUUGUAUCACAACCUCACAAUGGUAAGAAGCAAAUAUAAAUAAAUAAAUAAGAUUCCAUCAUCUUGCUGAUUUAAUCCCAUGUACAAUAUAAUAAAACCUUGCUUUAAGAUUCCGUCGGUGCUUUUCCGACUUCCACUUCCCACUAGAAUUCCUUCUACUCUAGGAUUUCCCUUCAGUCCCCUCUGUAUGAGAUCGAAGUGGGAGGCCAAAAAGGUUUCACACCUUUGGUGGCCUCCCGCGCUGGUAAUGUAAGUUGGUUUCAAUGGCGUGAAGGUGGUGCUAUGUCUGCUGGUGGACGUCGGAAUGUGUCUUAGGUCGGUGUGGCUUUUGCCAGCUUUUGGUUUUAUAUUGGGUUGACAACUCGAGAUAAAAAAUUAUAAAUGACAACCUUUUGAGACUAUUGGUGUUUGUUUUAUUUUAAGUUGAGGGGUUUAGUCAUAAACGAAUCGGUUGCAUAAGAGCUAUGUAUCUCAUGUGCCUACACGACUGGCCGUACUCGUCAUAAGGUCGGCCUAUGGUUCCAAACUUUAUUAUAGAAAAGCUUUCUUAAAACUCCAAAAGUACUAAGCAGAAAUGUAGCCACAUAAAAUUGAUAGAAGCUGAAAAUCAUCCAUGUCAUCCUACUAUAAUACAUUGAGGUGAAAAAGCUAGUGAAAUAGAAACAACAGAAAUCCAGCUACCCAAUUCCAUAAUAUCAGUUUUACAGAACACCAAAAAUCCAGUCCUAGAAAUUCAAAUCCAUUCCAGCAUGCUAAUCCAUCGUUAAUUCUCUUAUUUACCUUCCCAAUCCCAUUCAAGUCAGCUAGUCAAAUGUGUGUUUUAAGCUGCACCUCGAAACUGCUCACAGUCUGUUGAUCCAUUUCUGGUGAAAUGUGUAACAAGUGUAUUCAUCAUCCUAGCCACAGAUGACUUAAAUUCUCUUGAGCUACUGUCAACUCCAUUCUGCACUGCAUCUCCAAUAGCAGAGCCUACCACUGUACCCUCAGAAUAUGCCUUACAUGCUUCCAGAAUAUUAUGUGCACGAUUGCGAAAAUGUCCCGAGACAAAGUCCUCAAAAUACUGCAAGAAGAGACAUGCUUGUACAUCAAUAUUAAUAAUAAAUUCCCCAUGGACAGCAGUUGUGCAAUUAUUGGUCCUCUAGGCCAUAUAAAGAAGAAACCCCAGUUCUAAAACCAUGGGAGACUCUACGUGAAAUUCAUGAUGAUAAUCAAGUAAUGUCUCUUAGAGUAACUGAGCUUAGAGUUGUAAAAUUAUGUUAUACCCUGCUUUAGUAAUUGAGUAAUCAUCACUAGGUUUACAAAAACCAAGAAUAGCAUAUCGACUUGAAUAGAGUUAUUAGAUCAUUGAGUACCACAUAAAACAUGGCUUUAAUUCAGUAGCUCCUAUCUUACAAAUGGCUUUUCCUGGAAUCCAAGUCUAAGAAAAAAAGAAAAAAAAACCAGCAAAUCUAUAAGAGGCCUAAAGGUCAUGCCAGGAAUUCCUUUUACUUCAACUUUCUACCACAUUGUCCAGCAUCCUGGAAAUAUAAGCCUCAGACACAACACAAAUCCUAAACUUUAGCAAUGAAACAGGUCUGACACUCAUCAGACUAUCCUAAAAUUUGUUGCUUACACCAAACUAGAUUAGUAGGCUCAUGUUACAGAAUACCGCUCAAGCUAGAAAGUUCUCUUCAAACCCUAGGCAAAACCAUCACAAUCUUGGCAAAACUGAUUGAUGCUAAAGAACUCGAAUGGAAGGACCGUUUUCAGAUAUCUUUGAGUUCUUUUCACAAACCUGCCAUGUGUCCCUGACACCUAGCAACUCCUAAAUGGAGAUAAAAGUAACCCCAAAGCUCAAACCUAUUGAAAAUUGCUCAUGGUAGACCCACACACUCAUGCCUCCUAAAAAUAUUACACUUCAAAAUAGCACCCCUUCGCAUUCCUUUGGGAAUCUUAAGAGGCUUAGGACCAUCUGUUCCGAUGAGUAAGAUUCCAUGAAUCCCAUAUUUGUUCAAGAUUUUUUAUUUUUAUUUUUUAUACGUUGUUAACAAAUACAACCCUAGGAGAAAUUUAGUUUGUCAACAUUUUCAUGCAUAAAAACCUACUAACCACAUUUAUAUGACUAAAACAUAAAGAUGAUGUUAACUAUAGGAGAGAUGGUUAUCAAAAUCAUACCUUAGGUGGCUUCCUUAGUGUAUACAUCAUUGUCUUCAGAGACAUAAUAAAGGCCUCCUCACUGUACUUCCUGGAUUGCUUUUGCCCUUCUACUGUAGUAGACGUUUUCUCAUACCCAGGCUCAUUGAAAUAGGGGUCUGCAUUCAGAAUAAGAGCUUGUAUAGAGACCAAAACUUGUAGCAUUGUUGAUUCCCCAGGUAUCCAGUUCUCUCUCUGCUUACCGCUCCACGUGCCUAAAAGACUAAGACAAACUUUCCCACAUUCGUAUAAAUUUGGAUUUAGCCGAAGACCACCAGAAUAGUAGUACACCAUCUGAAAGAAGAAAUUACCAAAUCAAUUUCAGUAGAUAUAUACAUUAACAGUAAGUACAUUGACGGCAAAGACUUACAGGUGGUGAAUUAGGAUAGUCAGUGGGGAAGAGACAAUCAAAGACAAAAAGACCAUCAUGGUAUGGAGUGCCUGUUGGUCCUAUAAUCACCGCCCGUAGAAGCUCCAUUCUUGCUUCAUAAACCCGGACAAAUAUAGUGUCUGAAAAUAGGAAAUUAAAAUCAGAUGAAGGCUUAAACUUAUGCCUGAAAGAGACUGAUUCCUAGAAAUAGGUGAAGUUUGUAAUGAAAAAUGGGGAUAUCACACAGAGAAUAACUUAAAAUGUAAGAUAAAUAAACAGGUAAACACUGGUAUAACGUACUUGAAACAGUAUAAAAGGUUCACUUGUUUUCAUUAUUUUGCAUAAUAUCAGCUUAAUUAUUAAAAUAAAACCAAAAAUUUCACACCAAAUCAAAACAAUAUAGCUCCAAAUAUUUCCCACCAAUUUGUAAACCUAAUAGCAGCAUGUAUAGACAGGGUAUCAUAUAUAAAGUGGUGGAACUCACCAGGCAAGUCAUUCUCCAAAAUUUUCCACUCUUCCUGAAUUCUCUUUGCCCAAUUCUUGGGUGGCUGUCAUGAAAUGAGCACAAAAUUAGUUGGUAGCUUCAAAUCAAUUCAUGCCUGUGUGGGUGUCAAUCAAUUUAUUUGUGCAAGUUUGUGUUGGUAAUAUAUUUGCAUCAAUGCUUGUGUGCAUAUUUAAUAUGUACAAACAUUUGGAGCAGUCCAGACAGAGAUGAAAACAAUUCCACAGAUCUGUUCAAGAGGCACAGUUAGGUAAAUAAAGUUACCUGCUCAUCUGAGAAUCCCAUGCGACUAUAGUGAUGAUCCGAGAAAUCCUCGACAACAUCAAAUUGCUUAAAUUGUUGAAAUUUUUGGGUGAGACUAUCAUCAUUGCUGUGUUGUACGUUCUUACUAGAACUUGACUCAGAAGGACCAGCUGAACUACAUGCAGCAGAUGUACUCAUUGAACCAGAUGCAGAUCCAGUUACAAAUGGUGCAUCAGAAAUAGUUAACUUCUUAGUGGAUGGGGUGUUUUCACUUGGAGAAGGAUCCUUCAACCAGGGAAGUGAGGCUUCCACCCCAGGAGGCAAAUCUACAUUGUCAAAUUGAGAUUCGAGAGUCGAAUAAGCGUCAUCAGACAGAUAAUUGUCAUCAAAAUCAAAUUCGUCAUCAUCGUCUUCAUCACCACAAUCGUCUUCAAUGUACAUUUCAUCGUCAUUAAUACCUGACGACUCAUUGGAACUUUUGAGAGCAAUCGAAUUGGUUGAUCCUGAACUCUUGAGGGGCUCAAAACUAUCUAAAGAGCCUGCUAAACUAGCAGAGCUCCCAGGGUCACAGGCCUACAGAAAGCAGAACAGGUUAUAACGGGGGCAGCCACAUGAUAGAUUAAGCAAAGAGAACCUUCGAUACUCUGGUCUUCAGAAAAACAGCUUUAAACUCGUUUUUUACUUUCAAUUAUCACAAGUACACUUUUUCUUGCUUAACACCAAGGUUAACUUCAAUACAAACUACAGAUCUCGGUCAGAAAAUCAAGUACCAUAGGAAGGAAAAAGAACAUAGAGUAGAUGAAAUCGUCUUGUAGCUACAAUCACUGAAAUCUUAAAUACGUAAAUUUACAAAUUCAUGUAUGGAUGGGAAUUUCAAAUUGUAUAGUAUGUGUAAGUUUGAGUUUCCAAAAUUCAUUCCACUUGUCAUAAUAAUGAUGAUGGUUACCAACAGGUCUAGUGAUCACAUGAGAAGAGCGACAUGCUGAAACAGCAAAAGCUUACAACAUUGAACAUGGGCAUUGUGAUGGUGAUUUCAGUAUUCAGAAACAAGCCGCAUUAAAAAAGUGGUUACAUGUUCAAAAGUGAAAAAAGAGAUUAUGAGCAAAUAGCAACACUAAAAGAAUCAAAUUUGCAGACCGAAUAGCAAGCCCUGAAUACUAUCAAUCGCAAUCAUCGAAUAAAUAAUAGACCCACUCGUCAAAAUCAACCCAGAAAAGAAAGGGAGCGUAGAAUCAAGAAAAGACCUGAUUUUGUUUGAGUUUCUUGGAGAUGGUGGCUUCAGAGUCCAUGAUGAGAUCCAAUCCCUAGAACAAUCCAAAUUGUUGAUCAGACUCGGACCUUGUUAUAUAUUUAUAUAUGUAAAAGGAAAAUCAAAGAAACAAGAACAAAACCCUAAAACCAAAACAUACUUUGAUUCAAGUCCUUGUUGCAUGCGAGACCGAGAGAAAUAAGGAAAAGAGCCCUAUUAGGUGAUUGGACGAGAGGAGAGACAGUGUUUGGCGCCCUAUUAGGUGAGCUCUGCUAUCGUGCGCUCAAAGGAAACAGUGUGCCCACACCAAUCAGAAUUGGGCGUUUUUGGGCUUAUUCUGGAACCUGCUGUGGGUGAUUCGAAUUUGGCAGGCUACUUUACCAAUCUCCGUUUCCCAAUGGGACGGUCUUCCCCACACGAAUUGACUUGGGCCAGAAAUCUUCAAUGUAAUUAUCCAGGUAGUUUUUUUUUUUUAAGAAGAAAAAGAAAGUUACAACGAAAUUUCCUUGGACAACCAAAAUGAGAGGAAUCUAACUGAAAAGCACUAAAAGUUUAGGGGAGGGAAACUUUCAAUCCAAAUAUUUGGGUUCUGGAAAGCAUGACCCGUAUUUGCAAGAGCAUCCGCCAUGAAGUUUGCUUCAUGAAAGACAUGGAUAAGAGAGAUGUUGUCAAACCACCGAAGAAGGUGCAUAAUAUCACAAAUAAUUGGCUUAAUGCUCCAAGGGGCAUUGGUUGGAUUCCGUACAAAAUUGAUCAUCAACAACGAGUCCCCUUCGACUAGCAUAUUCUUGUGGUUGAAUCUCUUGGCAGCUAAAAUACUAUCUUUAAGGGUAAGACACUCCGAAACAAAAACAUUUGAAGAAUGAAGAGGCCAAGCACCAGCCACAAGAGGAUUACCAUGAGCAUUUCUUACACUAAGCCAUCAAAAUUGAGUUUAACCUAGUUUGGAGCAAGUGGAAUCCAUUUUAUGCAUAUAGCCUCUUCAGAAGAGGAAGAUGAUCCAGAAUUAUUGAUUUCUCUAUAAGCAGCGCCCACCGAAGCAGCAACAAAUUACUGAGGAGUGGUUGACCUAACCAGAUUGGAAAAUCACAUGGUUUCUGGAUUUCCAAAUCUGCCAACACACCAACAAGCAGUCCUCUACUUCAUUGGUUGAAGCAUUUCUUAAAAAUAAAGUCUAACCAUUCUCCUACAGAUUGAUAAGAUGUAGGAGAUGGCAAAUCACUGUAAUUUGCCCAAACAGUAGCACUGCAAGAACAAUUAGCAUACAGAUGGUCAAGAGAUUAUGUAUUAGAACCACAAAGAGCACAAGUAUUAUCAAUGCCAAUCAUAAAUCUAGCUAGAUAAGCUCUAGUUUUGAGUCUUCCUAUUAGAAGAAGCCAACUAAAGAUUUUCAUUUUAAGAGGAAUUUUCAGAUGCCAAACUCUAUUUAAAAGAUCUGCCUUUGAAUGCAUCCAAGUAGCUGAUUUAACAGAAAAAAAAAUCCAUUUGAGGCAGGACCCAAACAAAUUCAUCUUCAAAAUCUGCAAUAGGAAUAUUAACAUAAGAAAUAACAUUAACAGUAGGUCUAUCAAGAAAAUACAUUAAUUUGGGGAUGUUCCAACAACCAUUCUCAAUAAAAUCAGCCACAGUAUCGUCAAUAUCAGUCAUAUCUUUAACUAAAUAAUCUAACAGAUUAAUCAAGGAAAAAUCAUAGACUCAGUUAAAGGUCCAAAACUUAAUAUUCUUACCCUUCUCAAUAAUCCACCUUAUACCAGAAGUUAUAAUGUCUCUGACAUAGUGACAUCUAACAUUCUUUUCCAAGCAUAAGAAUGAUUGACUUUCUUUUUUAGUUCAAAAAAUGAAUGCUUUCUAAGGUAUCUCUGGGUGACAAUUUUUGUCCACCAAUUUUCUGUGUUGGUAAGAACCUUCCAACCAAGUUUGGCUAAGGCAACAUUAUUAUAAAACGAAAUUGGUCUUAAAUCAAGCCACCCGCACCCCCCCCCCCCUCCAAAAAAAAAUCUUUAGAGCAUACGCAGCGUUUGAGUAAUUGGGUGAGGGAGAUUCCCCCCCCAAAAAAAAAUCUUUAGAGCAUACGCAGCGUUUGAGUAAUUGGGUGGGGGAGAUAAUGGGUUGGAUUAACAUAGGCAUGCAGCAACGCAAAAUCAAUUUGGGUUAGUCAUGGGUAUUAGGUGGGACCCAACUAACUCGGGUAAGAGAAGGACCAAUUCUUAGUCCACGAAUUGGUCUGGGUUAAAAGAAAUGGCAGGGCCCACAUGCGCUGAUGCUACUUGUUACAGAGCCAUGUGCGCUUGUCUCCAAAGGGCAAAAAAAAAAAACUGCCAAAACAACAAGUUUUUAAUAUGGAUUGUUAGAUCUUGAUCUAAUGGACCAUAUUUAAAAGCAACGGUAACAUAACUUUUUAAUUAGAAAAUAGGUAACCAAUAGAAAUAUUAUGAACAAACUGGAAAAAAAAAAAAAUAAAUAAACAACAACAACAACAAAAUUUUCCUAUAAAUAUCAUACUACUCUUCUUCAUUUUACACACAUCCAUCUCAUCAUUCUCCAAUUUAUUUGUUCUUCUUUACCAAAAUAUUCUUCUUCUAUCCAUCUCUUUCUUCUUCAAUUUAUUUGUUCCUCUUUUUCAUUCUCUAAUCAACAAAUGGGAGAGUCGGGUACUACUUGGACCAAAAAGGAGGAAGUUCAAUUGUGCGAAUCAUGGGCGGCGGUUACCGUAUGCCCCGUCAUCGGCAAUAACCAAACCCUUCCAAGGAUGCGGCUCCAGGUCGUGAACAUUAUAUUGAAAAUUAGACGGGAUCAACCUCGGUUCGACCAUCGGGAAGCUCUUCAAGCUCAUUUCAAGCCCUUGAAGAAGAUUCUUAAAGAGUGGCACAAUACAAAAAUUUAAGUCAGCAAUCAUAGACCAAGCAACACUAAUCAAUUGGAUGAGGUAUUUUUUUAGACCAUUCACUUAAGUUAAGUGACAACUAAUUCAUAUAGUUUACAAUUUUUAUAAUAUUUGAGUUUUUUAUUUUUGUAGGAGUGCCAAAUUAAUUUAGAGUUUAUAAGGGUGACUAAGAAGCAAUUUGACCAUCAUGAAUAUUGACCCUAGUUUUAGAAAUGCACCUACUCCUCCGGUCACCCUUUUUGUUUAUUUUAUGGCUAGUGGUUCCCAAACCGAAUCACCAAUUAAUUGGUUGAAGAGGUUGUAUUGGAGACGCCUCCUAGCUUCGUUAGAAGGCCAAUGGGACAAAAGGCCACCAAAGAAGCGAGAAGGAAAAGAAAAAAUAAAGUGAAUGUGGGUGAAUCCAUACUCACCAUCACUGAGAGCAAAAAAAUUUCCAAUGAAAUUCUUAGGAAAAAAGAAGAGAAUUGUUGUGCCAGAAUAUGAAAGAAGAGUUAAUUUCAGUUUACUACCAUGAACUUUAGGUCUAAAAUCAGUUUGAUACCUCAUCUUUUUUUUUAAUCAGUUUCAUACCUAAACUUUCAAAAUGACAUCAAUCUCGACCAAAAUGACUAAAAUAGCCUUGGUUAAUCUUUUUACCCUCUCUCUCUCUCUCUNNNNNNNNNNNNNNNNNNNNNNNNNNNNNNNNNNNNNNNNNNNNNNNNNNNNNNNNNNNNNNNNNNNNNNNNNNNNNNNNNNNNNNNNNNNNNNNNNNNNNNNNNNNNNNNNNNNNNNNNNNNNNNNNNNNNNNNNNNNNNNNNNNNNNNNNNNNNNNNNNNNNNNNNNNNNNNNNNNNNNNNNNNNNNNNNNNNNNNNNNNNNNNNNNNNNNNNNNNNNNNNNNNNNNNNNNNNNNNNNNNNNNNNNNNNNNNNNNNNNNNNNNNNNNNNNNNNNNNNNNNNNNNNNNNNNNAGGGUAAAAGAUUAACCAGGGCUAUUUAGUCAUUUUGGUCGAGAUUGAUGUCAUUUUGAAAGUUUAGGUAUGAAACUGAUUAAAAAAAAAGAUGAGGUAUCAAACUGAUUUUAGACCUAAAGUUCAGGGUAGUAAACUGAAUUUUUUCCAUGAAAGAAUGAUGGCAUUUGAAGAGGCAAAAGAAGAUGCAAGGAUAAUGGGCAUGCCAAAUAAUGAUAUUUCACCCGGGUCAAAAGGAUUGGUUUAAAAGAAUGAGGAGGGACAUUAGGAGAAAAACCGAUCCUAACGCUAAUGUGGAAUGCUAUAGGCAUUUUUUUGAGGAUCCACAAUCCCCACGUAUAAUAGAGUAUUGUGUUUUAAUUGUAUUAGAGUGCGGCUAUUAGGACCUUCAGAUUUGCUCAGUAUACCUCCACAUGUUUUGACUUAUUGGAUUACAAACAUAACCUCAUACAAAAUGACAGUAAUAGACAUUGAAUUUUAAAAAAAAAUUUGUAAUCAAAUUAGUAUUCUUCAUUUUUUUUUGUUUCNNNNNNNNNNNNNNNNNNNNNNNNNNNNNNNNNNNNNNNNNNNNNNNNNNNNNNNNNNNNNNNNNNNNNNNNNNNNNNNNNNNNNNNNNNNNNNNNNNNNNNNNNNNNNNNNNNNNNNNNNNNNNNNNNNNNNNNNNNNNNNNNNNNNNNNNNNNNNNNNNNNNNNNNNNNNNNNNNNNNNNNNNNNNNNNNNNNNNNNNNNNNNNNNNNNNNNNNNNNNNNNNNNNNNNNNNNNNNNNNNNNNNNNNNNNNNNNNNNNNNNNNNNNNNNNNNNNNNNNNNNNNNNNNNNNNNNNNNNNNNNNNNNNNNNNNNNNNNNNNNNNNNNNNNNNNNNNNNNNNNNNNNNNNNNNNNNNNNNNNNNNNNNNNNNNNNNNNNNNNNNNNNNNNNNNNNNNNNNNNNAAAACAUUCAAGGAAUUGAGGUUGCCAAAGAGAUUUUCAUGAAAAAAGAGAAGAAGAAAAGAGAAAUCAAGCAAUCGAGGUAUGAAAUAGAUGUUUGCAUGUAAAAAGAAAAAAAAAUUAAAAGUGUGGGAGGUCUAGCGAGCGAAUAAGAGGUAUAAUGAGUAAAUUAUUGAAAUAUAUAUGAAUAACAAACCUAAGAUUAUUUUAGGAAUUUGAAAGGAGGUUUAAUAAGCAAAUGCUUGUUUUUAAAAAUGAAAGGGAGGUGUAAAGAGCCAUAGAGGUAUACUGAGGAAAACUGGAGGUCCCAAUAGCCGCACUAAUUGUAUUAUUCUUGAAUGACUAAGUUGAUUGUAUUAUGCAAUUUAUUUAAUGAAAUAAAUGUCACCUAUUUGUUAUGAAAUAAGAAUAGUGAAAUAAUUUUAUUUUAUUGAAAGGAAACAAACAAAACACACAUACAAUAUUAUUAAAGUUAAAUAAAUAAAACACACACACAACAUUAUUCAAGUAAAAAUAAAGAUGAUGAACUAAGGAGAACAUCACUUUAACAAAUGAUUAUGCAAAUCAUUUGUUAAUAUGAAUUACCAAUUCAUCUCGCAACGCCUUGUGGAGAUAAGCAGAACGUAAUUGGAAGUUAGCAUCUAAGAAUGCCGGUAGGGUUUCUCUAGCCCUUAAAAUUGAUUCAUGAUGGAUAACAUUACCUUCAUGAUCCACCGUUCGUUCAUAUACGCUUGCCAAUAAUGGAUGCAAAUUCAUAUUCCUCAAAUUAGUCCUCGUCAAACUCAUCUUCCAAAAUCAUGUUAUGAAGAAUCAUGCAACUUACCAUGAUAGUACACAUGUCUUCUAGUUUGAACAAGUUAGCACCAUGACGAAGUAUGGCCUAUCGAGUUUGAAGGAUAUCAAAACACUACUCAACGUCCUUACGGUAAGACUUUUGCAUCUUGGUAAAGUGUGCCUCCUUGGCAUAUUUGGGUAUGGAUAUUGCUUUGACAAAUGUCUGUCACCUCGGGUAUAUUCCAUCAAUAAGGUAAUAUGGUACAGAGUAUGUACUAUCAUUCACCUUAUACGCGACCUCCAGAGCACUUCCGUUAAUAACCCUUGCGAACAUGUUGGAUGCAACGUUAAGGUCGUUUUGAGCUCCUGGGUUACUGAAGAAUCCAUGCCAAACAUGUGUGUCGUAGGAUGCCACAGCUUCAAGAAUAACAGUAGGGUACCCUUUACGACCUGAGAAAGCUUUGGACCACCCUUUUGGACAAUUUUUCCACUUCCAGUGCAUGCAAUCAAUGCUCCCAAUCAUACUGGGAAAACCAGGUUGUUCCCCUUUGUGUAGGAGCUCGAAGAUACCAACCUUCAUACAAAUACUCAACUUGUGCACAAAAUUUCUUAAGGCAUUUCAAAGCUGUUGAUGCUCCCAUCCUGGUGACUUCAUCACAUUGAUCAGCCCAUGCACCAUAUACAAGCAUUUGUAACGCACCUGUCAUUUUUUGUUCCGAGAGCAAUCCUAGCUUUCCGGUGGCAUCUGGUUUUUGCUUCCAAAAAUCGUCGAAAUUGCAAAGGUCCACCAUGAUGCGAUUGAAUACUGGUUUUAGCAUUCGACAACGCUGACGGAAAACCGUACGUUGUUGUACACUGGACGCUCGACAAAGUAAUCCUCCAUCAUGUUAGCCCCUCUUGAUUGCCUAUGUGUUUCGACGUUAAGGGCAUAACCAGGACAUGAACCCGAGUCUGCAUCUACAUAUGGUGAUAUUGGGCAACCAAUGCAGCGGCUUGAGCAUUGUUGGACCGAAUCUACAUAAUGUGUAAUUUAUCUUCUUCAUCUCUCGCUCUCAAAUAAUUUUUUAUAUGAUCCAUGAAAAAUAUGAGAAGUGAAAUAGAUGAUAAUAUCUGAAUCUAGAAGGAGGAGAUGAAAAUGAGAUAAAUGUGUGAAUGUAGAAUGAGUUUGAGGCUUAUUUAUUGACCUUUUUAAGAGACAAAUUGUUAUUGUCUACACGUGGCGUGUCGAGAUUGAUUUGAAAUCCUAUCUGAAAUCGUCUCAAUUAUUUUUGAAGAUAACGAUAUCUGAAGAGGACACGUGUCUUUCCCACAUUUGUCUUUGAUAUAUUAUUGGUAUUUUUUUAGUUUAAUUUCUUUAUAUAUAUAUAUAUAUAUAUGUUACAUGAGCAUCUUGUGUAUAAAUAAAUAAUUAUUGAAUUCAAUUAUAAAGUAAAAGACAAUAAUUGUUUAUCAAUAAAAAAACAUUGUUAUUAAAAGGUGAAUAGUAAUUGGUUCUCGGAUCGGUCUCGUUGUUGUAUCAUCGAAUCAAGGACCAAUGACCGAUUUGGAUGAAUAGUUCAUUAGCUCGGGUUGAGGAUUGGUCCAACCCACCUAAAAUGUGUGCAUUUGCUCUUAGGUAGGCAAAUCUGAUCCCAAGCCACAUGAGGUGUCUUAGCAUCUUUUCCCCAGAAAAAAGUUCUCAUCUCUUUUUCCGGUGCUUUAGAGAUCUUAGAAUGACACUUGAAGUAGGAAAGAACAUGAUUAGGAAUAGCAUAAGCAUUGGACUUAAGUAAAAUGGCCUUGCCUGCUCUAGAAAGUGUUGAGCUCUUCCAGCCACUAAGUCUUUUAGAAACCUUAAUGAGAAGCACUCUAGCAUUCUGGGGGUCUUUCCAAAAGACAAUAUUGUGUAUUCUAAUUAAGAUAUCUACCGAUGGUAGUUUUAUGCUAUAAGCCAAGUAAAUUUGAAAUGUUCGUUUUCAAAGAAGCAUGCGUCUUAUCAAAAAAGCAGAUGGAAAACUUAUCUAGAUUGAUCUGUUGACUCAAGGAGGUAGCGAAAUUCCUUAAGAUAUUAUCAAUAUUACGAGCAGCCGUAUUAGACGUCCUGCCAAAAAUUAAACAAUCAUCAGCAAACAAAAUAUUAGAAAUUCUAAACCCUUUUGGCGAAGAAAGAAUUCCAACAUAAUUCUUAGGUUAAUCAACAACCAUGUUUAAAUGUCUAAUCAAAGGCUCCAUACAUAAAAUAAAGAUGUAUGGAGAUAAAGGAUCUCAUUGUCAAUCUUAAUCCCCGGAGGGGGAAAAGUUACCAUAAGGCUAGUAAGCUUGAGCUGGUAGGUUUAAAUAUUAUAAAAUUAUUCUACCACUUGUUAAUUAAUGUUUCAAAAAGGGAAAAAUGUCAUAACGGUACUUCGGACUAACGAGUUCAGAUCCUGCACAAACAUUGGUACAUGACGUCGUUAACUCCGUCAUUCAGGUUGUUCCUUGUUAGCUGACAAUUUUUUUUUUUUUGAUGGACAAAUUUCAUCCAUUCAUAUGUUAAUUAACUUAUUUCUUUAAGCAUUUUUUUGUUUUCCUAAUUCUCCAUCUAUGGGGUUGAAAUUUUCACUACAACGUGUGAACCACUGCCUAAUGAUACUGCGCAUCAAUAGAAUGACGAUUCAUGGACUUUUUAAAGACAACUCAUUACAAGGGAAAAAACCAAUGAAACAACUAAAAAUGUGACCUUGUCAAAAAUCAGUAGCCUCCAAUCAGUAGCCUCCAUUGGCUACUACUGUUAACUGCUACGGACCUUGUCAAAACCUUGUUCUUCAUGUAGGGAUCCCAAACACUAAACAUAUUCAUGAAUGAAAAGAAAGAAAUUCAAUUUCUUUAGCUUUGAUUCUCUGUCUGAAUUCGAGAAUAAUCGUUUAGAAGUGGAAGUGAUGGGGUUUGGGACUUAAGAUGGUGAAAUAGAGACAGGUGUUCCACGAUCUCAUUCCUCCUUAAGGUGUGCCUUCCAAUAAGAAUGGGAAAAUGUUUCAACUUCAAAGCUCACCCCAUACUUAAGCAUCAAAAUGAUUCUAGAAACCAACAAUGAAAACUACUUAAGCAUACACCCUCAACGUUGUAACCAAUCUAGGAAAUAAAAAUAAGAGAACAAAGAACAAUUCUCUAACAUUAUUAGGAGCUCAACCAGAACGAAACCAAGUUGAAACGUAACCUUAUUUGCAGAAAAGCAAAAGAAAACCAACUAGGCCAUGAGCUAUAUAUGAGCACCCAAGAAGCUGGGCACCCAGGCUUCAGCUUCCCGUUGCCGCCUUCCACCGCCACUGCACCAUCACCAUCACCAUCACCAUCGCCAUUAUCUCGCGAUCGGCCCCCCAAGAUCUCCGACAACCGAAGCAAAGGUUACCAUUCUGCUGCUACAACCAAACAAUCUGGCUCCCGGUCUUGUGGAGAUUAGAACCCAAAACCUCAUGCCUUAAGUUGUCAUGAAUGAAAACAGACACCUCAAGUAUGGUCAAGAUUCAAAGCCACGAUACAGGAGCCUAAGUCUGCCCUACAGCUAUCAUAAAAUCAAAUCUACGGUCCACCCGCCGUCGAUCCAAACAGUCGUCCUUCUCACACCCACGAUCAACGCCCUGCCAGAAUGGAGAGCGUCGCGGUCAGUCAGAUAAAGUCUUGCAGGAUCAAUGAGCCCCGAUAUAACGCUGCUGCUGCCUACACCGCAUCAGGGUUCUCAAAAGAAACUCUAGCAGAAAAACACACCACCAUCAAUUAGUUAUUAACUAAUCAUUGUGCCUUCAUUCUGUUGUCGUCUCUAAUUAUGAAACAUGGAAAGAGAAGGAGGAAAAUUAAGGAGUAUUUGACGUAGAAAGAGGGAAGAAGAUAUGAAAGAACGUAGAGAGGUUUAAAAAUAGUGAAAAAAAUCAUAACAGUAUGAAUGACGAAAGUGCCUUUUAAAAAUUGACCGCUAAAGCGCUAACAACUUUUAUAACGGAGCUAAUGGCUCUAUGUACCAUUUUUUGGUCUAGAUUAGAAUUUUAAUACCUCUUUAAUGUUUUAAACUUUUAAGACACCAAAAUUAUCAAGAGCAAAAAUUCAUGUACCUUUGGGACCAAUUUCUAGUAACAUAAAUUAGUUUUACUAAGACUUUGGUUAAGAUUUGUUCACUUGAGAAUAAAGUUGGCUCAUCUUUCGCAAUAGUCGAGUUAACUUUCCGUUAUGUCACCAUUAUGUUAAAGCAAAUAGAGUAGCCAAUAGAACACUUUUUGCUAGUCGGUGUCUAGUUGAGUACAUGUUUGUAGAGACUGCUGAUAUUAGUUCAGGUCUUUGUAAUGAGAUGUUUAGGCUCAAUGUCCCUCUCUUGUAUUCGAUAGUUUCAUUAAUCAAGGCUUGAGAGCAGCCGCUUACAAAAAAAAAAAAAAUGUUCGAGGUGACGAAAAUAGAACUAAAUGAUGGUUAUCGUAGCAGCACCCGUUGGGUUUUAAAGUCAAAAACCAAAUGAAUGAAAUGUUGCAGCGCCAAAAUGAUGGCGCGAAACGAAAAGUUGGCGCCACUCGGUCCCCGCCAACUCCAGUCCGCCUUGUUUCUUUAUAACACGACACCCACACCUUUACCCUUCACACUCUCACACCAAUUUUGCUCUGAUAGCCGCCGCCAUGGUUCUGAAGCUCAAGUUGACCAGUCCAGCCAAGUUCUACGGCAGCAGCCUCCCACGCCCUCGGAUCUACACCGACGUCAAGUUCAAUGAGGAGCGGGUCGACCCGCCUGUGCCCGUCCUGGAUCCGCUUCUCGCCUGGGCCAACGAGGCCCACUGGUCAAUGGGCGGCCUCAGCUUCAAGCGCCUCCGCUUCCAGGGCCGGAUCGAAGGCAACGUCGGCAAGCUCCGCGCCGAGCGGCACAAGAGGGCUUCUUCAAAUUCGCCUCCUCCGGCUCCGGUUGCGACCAAGCGCAGCAGAUUCAUGGCCUUGAUUGAUGAAGACGGCGAUGAGGAGGCUGUGAGGGGGAAGCGGCUUGCCGUCGAGUUCGACAGGGUGGCUGCGGAGGAGGAGGAGGAGGAGGAGGAGGCCGUGGCUUCAAGGACUCGGAGCCGGAAAUUGGAAGUGGAGGAUGAGACUGUGAUGCAAGAGGUGGCAAAGGAUGCAAGUAAGUUGAGUUUGAACAAGAGGAAAAGCAAGGGACCAAGGACAUCACCCAGAUUGGCAAACCGUCGCUCAAGCCUUGAUUUGAUCUAGUAAUUUAUGAGCUCUAAGUGAAAGAAAGAGUGCUAUUGUAUGUAUACAUAUCUCUUGCCCCUGUUUUAGUUAUUUCUGUGUCAUUUAAUUCAAUUCAGUAGUGCUGCUAGGUCACAUUGUUCUUCAAACUACUUCCUUUGUUCAUUUUCAAGUGAUCUUAACGGUUGGUACCACACAUUCUCACAGGCACUGCACUGAAUGCUGCAGCCAAUUGCAUUGUGAUUUAGAAAUGAUGCACACCACUAAAUCAGUAUAUGAAUGAAUGAAGGCAAAUCCCAACAAGGAACAGAGUUGUAUAAAUAUAUCAUCAAAACAUUUGAAGUAGUAAUCAUUACAAGAGAGCUAGUGGUGCUGCUAUCUAUACCAGAGAACUAUCAGUCCCAUCAGUGUCCCACCCAAUAAACAUAGCAGAUGGUGGUGGCCAAACAAAAACAUAGUACCAUGCCAAUUGCUUACAAGCAAAGUAAACUACACUCCAUAAUUUAGCAACCAUUUCUGGAUGUUGAUCUGUUCUUCUAUAACAAAAGGCUUGAUAACAUGGCAAUUCUUACACAUUCUGUAAUUAAUCUAAUUCCUUCGAGAAGAAACUAUAUAACGUGUAUCAUGUGGCAACACCUGCUUCCCUCUAAACACCGCAAACCACAACACAUCCUACUUUACCCCCUCCCCCUCAAAAGGAAUGAACCUUCAGCUCAAAAAUAAGCAGUUCAGUGUUUUUGUAAGCACAGCUCUUUCAAAUUUCGCUGUUCUAAAACUGGACCCUGGAUUCUAGCCAACCUACAUGUAUGUUCUAUUAUCAGCUUAUAGGUAGCUGGCCUCUCCCAUGGAAUAAUCCCAAAUUCAUCAUUGAACUUUUCCAUUCCUCCAACAAUAAACUGCCACGCUAAAGCACCUGCCCCAGCCUGGUGUUUCUUUGCAGAUUUGUAAAUGAUAUCAUAAAUAGUUUUGUAAAAUCUAUCAAGCUGGUCUGCCAAGCCAAAUUCCGUGAACAUGACUGGUUUGUUAAGUUCUUUCUCACCAUCUUCAAUGUGAGAAAGCAUCCACUUGGUUACAAAUUUCAGGUGGUCCUCCACUUCUAGAUCAUGAAACCUACCCAAAAAGUGAAAACUAGUUAGAUCUAUUUCAUAAAGUGAAAAAAUGAGGGACAGAUCUAUUUCAAAAAAUUAUGCAGUACUUCAGGUACAGAGCAUGUGUAGUUUAGCCUCAAACUGAUCAGAUCUAAUCAAAUAGAGAAUAUGAGCAAUAGCCAACUAUUUCAUACAAAUUACGAAUAAAAGAACGUACACACACACACACACACACACAUAUAUAUAUAUAUAUAGAUAAUUAUAUACACUAUAAAUAUAUGCAUACAUAAUAUACAUACAUGAUGAUCCUUUUAACAGCUAAUUUACCACUACAACAUGGUCGGUACGUGCUGUAUCCAUACUACAUGUAUUAAAAUUUUGAAAUUCUGACAAACAAAAAAGAAUCACAUAUGUUUAUAUAUAGCCUCCAAUAUCCCUAAAUCAGAUCCUGUUUUUGAAUUGCUGAUCAAAUCUAUAUAAAGAUGUAUAUCAAUACAUUGUGCAUCUCAACCAUUCACAACUAAUCUAACAACUUAGAGAACAGUCUUGGAUAAGGUCCUUAACCAUAUAAUCACUCUGCAUAUACAGUCACAACAGACUCAUCAGUGAGCACAAAAUCCAUACCAACUAUCAGAUCAAAACCAAUAGAUAUUUAUUCAGAGUGAUACUAUAUCGAGAUUGCAUAUCAAUCAUUUAACACUUCAAUCCAAAAGACUCCAAUUAGGUUUUGCUUAUCUGUGAAUACAGGACUCACAAAGAACCUGGACUAUCUCAGUCGCUACACUAAUUAUGGACGAUAGAAGCACAGAAAUCAAGAUGCAUCUUAAUAUAUCUCAAUGGCUCAUAAUGCUCUCGCGGCAAUGGCAAGCACAAUGAAUUGAAUUCACUGUUGAAGUCCUCUAUAUCCAAAGGGAUAAACAGGCUUCAUAAAUCAUGAUGAGGCUUUGCAGCUUGCUACUCUUGGAAAAUUUUCUCUAGUAAGCCAAUGAAAGCAAGUCUGCCAACUUUAUAUAACUAAUGACUAUGUCUAGAGUUGCUAGCAAGAAUCCUAAAGAUUGCAUGUCCGCUAGCCGAUCUUAACAGCUGCAAUAUGAUGAGUCUACACUACUUCAUCGUAUUUAGCGUUUAUCACAAAUUGCUAACUACAAGCAAUUUUUCAGUGGAAUAUGUGAAGAAAUUUUGUUGUUUGAUUUCAUUAUUAAUUAUUUUCUAAGUAAGAGAGUAGUUCAGUUAGAAGAAAAAGAGGAGUGUGUUAUGAAUGCUUCAAACUAGACAAUCUAACAGUGAGUAAGCUGAGAGUUACUGUCAUCUCAUUUGUUUCACAUUUCUCCAUUUGCAACAACCAAGAUGUCAACAUCUCCUUAUUGGAUGAGGGACACACGCACACAGCAAUGGUCUACUUGGGUUUUGAGUAGUGAGGCUGAGAGUUACUGUCAUCUCAUUUGCUUCGAAUUUAUCCCUUUGCAACAAACCAAAGACGUCCUCAUCUCCUUAUUGGAUGAGCACACACGCACAAACACAUUAUAGUAUAGUAAUAGAGAUACUCAAAGAACUACUAUAAGUUUGUAAGCUUUGAGUUCCCUCAAAUUGACUUCAGAUAGUUGCGUAAGUAACGUUGUAAACUGACUGAAAACACUUACCAAUGGUCAGGGUAGAUAUGAACAGAAGCAAAGUCAAUGCUGGGGAUCUUGGAGUUGCGAAUGAAAUCUGAUCCAAGUCGGGAAGCCCACCGUUCAGGAUUCACAGUUAAGGCUUUGGGGUCCUUAGGACCAUAAAAUCCUUCCAGGCCCACUGUCAGUAGAUGUUUCUUAUCAAUUAAUUUCACAAAUGCUGACAUUUCUUCUAUCCAAUCCUGCAACACAGUAUGCAACAGAAUUAUAGAAGCUCCUUGUGGACUCUAAGAAAGAGAGUACAUUUUUAUAAAGGAAAACAGAAGGCAAGUUAAAGGAACUGUAAUAUUUGAAGACGUUUUUGACUAAAUUUCUGACUAAAGCGAGUUAUUAAACAUGAUAAUGAUAAUUUGCCAAAGAAAAGUGCAUUUUGUAAACUAGGCACCCUUCCCAAUCACCCAAAUAGAUUGAUCAAUCAGCAGAAACUCAAGUAAAAUAAGAAAACGCGAUAAAAAAAAUUAAAGGGGCAUAUGGUAUUCACACCCCCUUUUCCUCUCAAUGUACUACACACACUCCCUUUUGUGUGUUAAUUAAUUUGAAAAGUUAAAGUAUUACUGUGUUAAAGGGAGAGUGAACAUCAACAUCAAAACGGUCUCUUGGCAAUUUGAAUGCAAAAUUACAUAAAUCUUUGGUGAUAAUUUUUUAAAAAAUAGGGUCAAGAGUUGAGAGCAUACUUGGAGAGUAUCGCCUGAGGCAUCAGUGCUGCAACGGGGUUCAUUUAUUAACUCCCACCCAAAAAUGGUGGGAUCAUCUCUAUAUUCAAUCCCAUUCAGAGUAUUCUUCCUCGUUAGGAUAGUCUGGGGGAACAAAAAGGAAAUGAAUUAGAAUUGGUAACAAAUGAGGCAAAAACGAACCAAAAAUCUAUAAAUAAUUUAAAUCAUUAUAGCGGCAUAACAUUAAUUUUCAAACUAUUCUUGGUAUGCAUGUUAUUUACAGAAAAGUAUCAAUUAAAGAAACUAGUGACCUAUUCAAGAUGCCAGCACAAUAAAAGAUCAUUUCUGUCAAAACAGUCAACCUCUAGAAAUCCAUACAAGCUACGCACAGCUACCAGAAAUCUCUAGUUCAUGUAUAUCACCUGUACCUCAUAGAUCCAAACUACUAUCCUAUUAAACUUUAGUCAGUGCUUUCAUGCUCAUAUUUUGCAGUUUGAAACUACAUGACACCUGAUAGUUGAUGGUGUGCACACAUUAGAUUCUUUCCUUGGAUAUUGCUAAGAACAGGGGAGAUGAAAUGAUGAAAGUUAGUAAGGCCUAGUAAGAACGUCAUGUCAAGUUUUCCCUGUUCUCCUUUUCUUUGUUAAACAACAAAAUUGCAUUGAUUGAAAACAAAAUCAACAAAGGAGCGGACAAGACAUCCACUGAGAAAAACUCAAGAAACACCCGCUAAACAUGCACCAAAGAAGGCAUGCACCAAGCGUAAGAGUUUAAUCCGUUCCAUUCCAAAUCUAGUUAAAAGCAAUACACAAGCUAUUCAGAAGUCAACUCUCAAAUUAUGUCAAACUCAUCCCCCGCACAUUCUCAGAACUUUUGUAUGUUACUCUCCGUCUAAUGGCCAAAACACAGCAGUCACAACAUAUCCACCAGAACUAUCCCCUUCUUUCUUCCUCCAAGAUUCGUCCUCUCCACCCUAAUACUGCAGCUCAAAUUGCAUCCCUUAAUACCCUUGUGCAAAGACCUAAAGCAACAGAACGGUGCCAAAGCAAAUGUUUCUUCAUUUGCGGCUUCUUCUUUGCAGGUAUUACACCAUUGAGGGGGGAUACAAGAACCAGGGUGGUUUUCUUUACCAAAUCCCAAGUGCAUAACCAAAGCUAAUAACUUUAGAAGGACUCAGCUUUCAAAAUUACAGAAUGCAGAAAGAAAAGAAAGAAGGGUUAUCCAUCAACUGCUUACAGUGAGAUUUGUAAAAUCCCAAGCACUUCCUUCAAUAUGCAUCAUUCUAUAUAACAUUUAAAUGGAGAUCUAAGGCAACCUUUAACUGUUUCCAAUUUUGGGAGGAUCAGCAAAAAUUAACAAGAGAACAAAAAAGAUUGCCAAAGGAGGACAAGGCUGAAAAAGAGAUUAACCUCCGCCAAAAAUCUAUUACCUUGAACCACUGCAGCCUUCAAGUCUAGAACAAUGGAACAUGUAGCUCUGAAAUCAACCAAUACGGAAGAAAACAAGACACGACAAUGUCUUUCUUGGUUGGACCAACAAGCGAUUUCUUUUAAGUCUUUCGUAUUUUUUUGGUACGAGUUGCUAUUCAUCCGUAGAUUGGAUUCUGGGUUACUCUCUUCUCUUUAGGCUCAGAGUGGUAGGAUGGUUUACUCCCACAAAAAAGAGAAGUGGAAGAAGCGGGAUAGAGGAAUUGGUUGACUAAUCAGGCUGACCUGAAGACUGCAUUUUCCUAUUGAUCAAUAAGAUUCAGAAUUUUGAUUCAUUUUACAUUACAUAAUUUCUCCCCAAACAUACAGCAACUAUAACCUAGUAGCAACUUGUCUUAGCUGCAAAAGUCGGUUCCACGUACCUUCUUGGUCACUUUACCUAUGACAAACCCGAAGUUGAGACUAAUAAAACAAAUAUGUUUUCUUCUUUAUUUUCAACAACAAUAAGCAUCCUAUAAAAAAAAAACAAAAUUAAAAGUAGUUUUAAACGAAAAAAAAAAAAAAAAAACUAACACUUAUGAAGUCUCAAAGUGGCAUAAAAAUGUAAUGCAUCGUCUUAUCUUUCUGGGACCCAAAACAAAAACGAAAAGAAAAAAAAUAAACAAGAAGAAGUACCUUGAUGUAACUCUUGAAAUAAUUGCGAAUGGAUGGGUCAAAGAAAAAUGAAUCAUUAGAUGCACUCAAACCAACACCUUCUUGCCAGGCCCACCUUACAUAUUGAGACUUCCCACCAUAAUUUUCCAAGUUAUUAACUAAGCAAAGUAGCAAUCUGAUGCCCUGUUGUCUUGCUUCUACAAUAACAUGAUCCAAAGCCUGCCACCCAAUCCAAUGGUUAUGAUGAAGAAUGAAUAUGGAGACGUAAGCACAUUAAGAGCAUACAAAGUUAACCAAAAGUUACCAUAAAAUAUAUUUUCCUAGGCAGUACAGUCCAAAUAAAUCAGCAGUGUGUGACUAGUUUUCUUUCAGCUGCCGUAGAGUGCUAAAUACAUGUAGUUCUUAUUUUGUUUCUAGCUUCUACACUGUUUUUGUAUCCACUUUGAAUAGCCUCUAUCAACAAGGAACCCAAUUAUCACUGGUAUGCAUUAAUUUCUACUUAGAACCGUCUGUUUACAUUUUUAGAUGGAUCCAUGAUUUAUUACUCACUUGCAAACUUGAGUGAUAUAAAAUUUAUAAUAUAUGCAAAAACCAGACCGCUACUGAACAAAACCGGGUAAAUUGAAGCGCACCCAAACAAGUAGAAAGAUAAAAGUCAGGAGACAACCACACAGAAUGAAUGUUCAAUGGAACUCUAGUUUAAUGGAGCUAAUUAGAGAAAAGGAUGAACAUGUAUGCAAUAUGAAUACCUUGAAAACUCGCUCAUCGAACUGACCAGGGGAAACCUGAAGAGCAUUGUAGUCACCAUCAUUAAAAGCCCAAGUUCGACAGAGUGUAAGACCCAUUUUGGCACCGGCUUGCAGGAUUUCUCGGACUCUAGGUCUGGUAUACUCAUCCACACCGUGAUACAUUAGCCAAUAAGAAUUCCAUCCAUUGAUGUAAAAUGGUUUACCAUCCGAGGUGAACUGAGUCCCAUUCCUUUUCACAAAAGCCAACUGAUGAUCUUCUUCACGAAAAUUGCUCCUCAAGUCCCCAAAGGACAAGUAGAUGAGAGCCAAACAUGAAGCGAAUCCGACAAUGGGGUAGAACAGACCAUUUCCUGCUGCUACCAUUUUCUUUGUAGAUAAUCUAGAGGACCUUAAAAUCAUAAAAUCCCCAAAACUAUGAGAGAUUGGAAGAAAUCAGAGAAAACCCAGAUGCAAACAAACAUGAAUGAUUCGAAAAACCCAAUCCCAGAAAACACCCAGAUCCUUAGGAUGCCUCAAAGUCGAAGAAUCCAGACCCAACCCUGAAAUUGAGGAAGGAAUAAAAGGGGAAAUGCAAAUGUGAGAUUAGGAAAAUCGAGGUAAUAAGUCUAUGCGAGAAAUGAGGAAGGUAGGAGGGCAAGUAGGGAAUAAGACAUGUUCAACCUUGAAAACAAGAGUCAACUGGCGGUGGGUGUGUGGUAGAAUAUUGGUAUCAGCUGCCUGCCGGGUGAUUAGAUCUGAGCACCUGAUUACACUGGUUUUCUUGGAGUUUAAUAUUGGACUCAACACCAGCCAUGGGCCAUGUGUGUGUGACUGUGUGGAUAUUUCCUAUCACCAAUGCCUCAAUCUCACCUACUGAAUAAUGGUGAUAUCAAGUAAAUGCAAAUCUCUCCUAAUUUCUCAGCUUGGAUUCUGCAGUAGCUCUUGGCUUUGAGCGCCUUGAGAGAAAGAAGAGGAAGAGUAAAGUCACUAAAGUGUAUCGUAUGAUCGACCACGGACAAAGGGGUUUUGGCGUUCAGUCGUGAGACUCGGGCAGAUGCUUUCUUUAUGCGGUCGGUUCUUUUCUUCUUUCUGUUUAACUUCUUCCCCUCUGUUUUCUUCUCUCUCUUUUCUAUUAAGAAGAGAAAAUUGCAUGACCAAAGCCCCAUUUGAAAACCAACGACAAAAAAAAAAACCCGACACUUUGCAGCAACUUGAAUCCAUGAGCUUCAAGAUCUUGGCAAGAAAAAAGUGAUCAUCCAAGGUUGCAAUUCUUGUAGUGACCAAAUAUAGCCACAGAAUUCACCACCAAGUUGGCUUCACCCAGAGUAUGUUUUAAAAAGAUAGAUCCAACUUAAAGUCACAGUUUUUUCAUAUAAGGUAUGAGAUAUUAUCAUCGGGGAGUACAAAUCAUUUUUAAAAUGUAAAUGACAUGUUUUUUAAAAUCGUAGUUAUUUAAAUUAAUAAAUUUAAAUAUAUUUAAAAUUUAAAAUUAUAAAAUAUAUUUAAAAUGAUGAUUAUAAGUGAUUUUAUUCUCUAAAAUUCAAUACCAAAUUGGGUCUUAAUAAGUUUAGAAUCAACUUCCAUUUCUAGUUUUAGAAUUUCAAAACUCUAAUGACAGACCCAUUAAAAGAACUUGAUUUUUUGAAGCCAACAACAAUAAGUUCACUAUACAUGGUCUUUAUUAAUAAAUCAACAACAAUUGGUUUUAUAUUUUUAGGAAACAGAUAAAUUCCAUUGAUAUGCAUCAUUAUGAUCAAGCUAGGUCAAGCAAGAACGAUCGUUGGAUCCUUCGAUAGCAUUCAUUACUACAAUCUAAGAAGGAAAAUGCAAAGACCAAACUAAAGAAAAAAAAUGCAAACCAAAGGAAACUAAAGAGGAAUUAUUACCUGUACCCGGAACAAGGCUGAGGUGGUGUUCCCAACCAAUGAGCCCAAGACAUGUGUACUUUUUUUUAACACAUCACUCACCUCAGUUAAAAUCCGAGAAAACGGUGUUACUAGUCUGCCAUUGUAAAUAAACCUUCCAGGUUCAUAUGAAAGCUCAGUUCUGUCCAUUCUCCUUACACCCAAGUAGAACAAAGUUCACCCAAGUAGAAUAAAGUUCCCACCAACAAUUAUAUAUUAAUUCGUUCAAUCUCAUAUUUCAAGCUUAUGUUUUGGUUUACAGAGAUUUGAGAGGAGAGAGAAAGUAGAUAUGAGUUUCCCUUUCUCCUCCGCCGUUAACUUCCGAGCACCACCGUGACCCACCUACUCACAGGCUUUCGACGAGUCAAUUCCUGUCUCUGAGGUCGUCGGCGACGAACGGCGGGUCGGCGUGUUAACGAGGAUGCAGAGCGGCAGCGGGGGUUGUUGAGUCGGCCCUUUACGACGUCGUUUUCAUGUAGAUUAAUGAUUAUCUGCAUUUCAUCAUUUUCGAUUACUGAAGCUUGAUCUGAAUUCUCUGUUCGGAGACGACCUGGAUAGACUUUGAGCUAGGUCCUCGUUGAGAGCGAAAUACGACAUCAAAAACCAACUCACGCCGAUAUAUAGGUACCCAGAAUUUUCUCUGGGCACCCAAGCUUUCUUGAGAAUUAGAAUCAGAACUAAAAAGAGAAGGGGAAGUUGUCUUCUAUGUAUUGGGAUCUAAGAUUAAUUCCUCACCCACAUAUAAGAAUUGUAUAUACGAGUCUGAUGCCAGAAGCAUAACCCCACCUGAUUGUUGAUCCAUGAUAAUAAAAUCAAGAUGAAUUCUUCUCCUCUUUCGGCAAAAGAAGAAGAAGACCAGCGUUGCAUAAGUUUAAAGAAUUUUACAGACUGACGCAGUUAACAGACUAACGAUCCACGUAAGUCUUAUUUAUAAUACUGUAAACGUGUCUUGGGCUCAUUGGCUGGGAACACCACCUCAGCCCUGUUCCGGGUACAGGUAAUAAUUCAUCGAAACUAAAACAAAAACAACUCCUUUAUUAACCAAUAACGUAAUACACAUUAUCCCAAAGCUUGAUUAACAUUCUCCAGGCUGACGUAGUUCUUCUUAGCAUCAUUCCAUGAACCAGUGUUGUGCGAAUCUUUCAUCUUGGACUCGAACUAUAUAUAUGGUAGUUUUUUCUUUUUUUCAUUUGAUGCUCCAUGGUUUUAUUGUCCAAGCUGCUAUCUCCCUCGCUAACUCUACCACAUUAUUAGCAGUUGUUUGCUGAAAAGUAGUCAUCUUAUGAAAGCUCAUUUGAAGUUCUUGAGAACCUGAUCAUUGGCUCAUCCAAAUCAGUAAUUGGUGGCACUUCCUCAACUGACUUUAAUGAAAUCUAGUAGUUCUUCAUCAUUAGGAACGAUCUCUAUACUCAUUAGCUGCCCUUUUUUUUUUUUCUACAGUUGUGACAAGGAGCAUUUGGUGCAUCACAAAAGUAACAUUGAUCCUGACCCUUCUAGCUUUAACCCCAACAUCAGUAAGCUUGAGUCUCAUAUUGUUAGAGCAAGUUCACCUGUUGGAUUAGAUUAAACACAGUGACCUAGGUCACUCUGGGUUACUAUGACUGGGCAGUAAUUUUCACUCGUUUGAAAUGUGAGAUUAUUGCCACAUGGCAGUGAUUGUUUAUUGAAUUUGAAAAAAAACAUUUUUAAGUGUGAGUAAUAGUUUUAGAAUAAUAAAUAUUAGAUACUAGUGUAAGCAAAUGGUAGAUAUUUAUUACAAAAUAAAAUAUAAGUGAAUUUAAGAUGAUAUAAAUAAUAAAAUUACAAUGAAAUAACACUAUGGCAUAUUUUUAUAAUUAUAUUUUUUAUAAUUAUAUUAUGGCCAAUCGUAAUUUAUUUUUUAUUUCAUUUUCUUAAUUUUUUUUCAUGCUUUUUCAGAAUAGGUAUUUAAAUAUAUUGGAUAUUAAAUAUGAUGCUCGAUCUCCUAGUCGUUCUCGACCUCUCCCGGCGAUGAAGCUCUCCCAAUCGUUCUUGACCUCUCCACCUUCAUCAGCUCCAGCCGCGUCUCUUCCAUCUCCUGGCAAUGAAGCUCUCCUGGCGUGUUGUUGUUACUCCGGCAAAUCUGUCAUCAACUCCGGCCGCCUUUCCUCUAUCGCCGCCUCCGUCUCCUCCAUCUCCUUCAGCACCGCACUCUCCGUCGUCUUCUUGCUCGCCGCACCGCACUCAGGCAAAAGCGUGAAAAGCACGCUGCUUUUGGUUGGAGGAUAAUAGUCUGUGUUCUUCACGCGUGAGGCCUCCUUCACGUGGGUUGAUUAGAGCAGCUGAAGUCAGCCACGUUUGGCUUUUGGCAGAGGUGGAAAAAUUCAAUAUGGACUGGAUUUCUCCUCUAGCCUGGGUUAGAUCUCUCCCCAAAGUUCUAGCCUAGGUUGAAAUGUGAGAAGACCCAUUUCAUGGGUGGAUUCAAGUUUUUUGGGGCUGGGUUAGAUUGCCUAUGUGGCAUCUAACCUGGGUUGGAUUUUAAAGGAUGGGUGGACUUGCUCUUACUAGCCUCUUUUGGACAUACUUCUAUGCCUAAUCAGAAGUUUACACCUCCAAAUACAAGUGUUCAUCCCCUACAGUCAUUAUAUCCAACCAUAGCAAUUCAAGCGUGACAGGCUAGGAUAUUGAGAUUUUAGGGUACGGUUGCGAGGGACUGAGAUUGAGAUUGAGAUUUUAGGGUUUAGGGUUCUUCAGGGGUGUUGUUUGUGAGACGAGAGAAAGCGAGAGAGAAGUAGAGGGACUUAGAUUGAGAUUGAGAGUUUGAAGUUUAGGGUUAGAGUCAACAUGAAUUAAGCUGGGUUAAAGUCCCUAUAAUUCAAAUUUUGAAAAAUUAACAGAGUAUUAACACUAAUGGAGACGUUAACAGAGUUAAAUAGAGUUUAAUCGGGUUAGUAAGUAAGCUAACUGGGUUAGUGAGUCAGCUAACUGAGUUAUUGUCACGUAGGCGAGGUAUGGAUACCCCAAGACAUGCAAGUGGAACCUACAGUAAAACCUCUAUAAAUGAAUAAUGUUGGGAUAUACAAAAGUUAUUAAUUUAGAGGGGUUUUAUAAAUGAAUAUUUAUUCCACUGACACUGGGUUUGGGGGUGUGACAAUCACAUAUCAUACGACAACCACCUCAGUCCCUGAGAGCCCAGCUAGGAGAGAUAACCCAGCUGUGUAACUCUUACUGUUGCCACCUGCUAUGCGACCUGAUGCCGAAUCACACUCUAUAUUUGCUGGGUUUGUGGUUAGAUCCGAGUGUAUCCAACAGCAAAGCACCGAUCUACUAGGUGCAUAGCCUAGCCACACCACUAAUCAACACCAUCUGCCCCGAAGUCACUACUUGUGCAUCCACCACCGUCAACCAAGAGCAAAGCAAAAUUGUUCCUCCCCACCCCAAUCUAUAUAGCAUCGUCCGGCCGUAAUCAAAGCAUGACAGCACAAUCGGACGGGUGACUUUUCUCUGUUAGGGUUUCUCUUUAUCCGUUCUUAUAUUUUUUAUUUUUAAUUGCUAUGAAAAUAAUCCGUAUUUUUUAUAUUUAUUUUGCAUUUUUAAGUGGCGCUACUUACACUUUGUUUUUUUUUUUUUUUUUUUUGUAUUUUUGUAUUUGUUUUUCAUUUGAUACUUUGUUAUGUAAAAUUCUCUUGAUAAAUAUUGACGAUCCAAACCGUUAUCGAAAAACCUGUACGAGACUUAUGAGUUGAUAACGUAAGAAAAGGGGUUAGAUAUUGCAAAUAUAUAAUCACAUAAAUCUAAUUUAUAAUUAAAAUAAAUAAUUAUAAUUGUAAAAUCAAGAACACAAGAUGAACAUGAAGAACACCAAUGUUUCCAACUCGGAUGUAGGAGGAGAGGAAAAAUUAAAAUCGAGUCGUGUGUCUCACACGCUUUUCUUAAGACAAGUUAUGCCUCCUCUUUCAGUGCAAAAUGUUUGAUGUCACUUGUCUCCCAGGAUACAACGACUGCUUGUGCUUUUAGAACUGCACUACUACCAAGAACACCCAACGAACUUGUUGUACCUUCUUUCUAUCACUAGAAAACUAAAACUAGAGAAUGAGAGAGACCUUAAGAGAAGAGAAGAUUAUUUUAGUUGGUGUGUUUAGAAUGAGGGAAGAGGUCACCUAUUUAUACAUGGGGAAACCUUAGAAUCACUUGAAUGUCAUGAAUAUGAAUUCAUGAGUUACAACCCUUUCACCUUUGGUGUAGUUAACACCUUGUAAUGUUACAACCUUUCAUAACACCACAACCAUUCCAUUUAACAUCUUAUGAUGCUAUAGAAUCCAAACAACCAUGGAAGGUGAAAAGUAUAAAACCGUUUCAAGUAUUCAACUUUGGGUGACUAUUCUCAUUCACCCUAUAACCCACUUAAAUUAUCCAAUUUAAAAUGGUUAAAUAAAAUAGUGAUUUUCACCAUUUUUUCCAACAGAUAGUGUGGUUGGUUUAAGGAAAUCCGGCUCGGUCAGGAACCAGGGUAUAUGAUUAGCCAGAUUAACUAGUACUACCAAGUGCUUCAAAUUCAUGGCUAUCUAUCAAACUCAUGGAAGCAAAUCCAAACUUGGAAUGUCCUUCCAUUGACACAACACAUGUCUCUAUGAACUCAUUUUAUCAUAUUCAGUAUCAACCAACCAUCUGUACGGGCCAAUGUGCCAUUGCUUAAAAGUAAAGUGGAUGAGAGAUUAAAGCCAGUUAGGUUCUCUAGGUUCUUCAUCUCUCAGAUGAAUAUCAGCCUAAAAGAUAAUCCAAUAAUGAGCACAAUUUUAAAAAGGAGAUUCAAGGUUGAACAAAUAGGAGAUAUGUAAGAAGGUAAACAAAUAAAGAAGAAAAAAAUUAACUCAAAAAAUGGGCAGAAGCAACAAGAAAGAAAGAAGAAUAUGAAUCAGAAAGAAUAUAGCGAAGAGUAUUUGAUUUUAAUGAUCACAUGAAUCAUCCAUCACUCUUGUAAUACUUUCAUCAUCUUCAUCAAACCAUCGUUAACAAGAACUCAAAAUGAGAGAGACUGUGAGAGACUGCAGAGCAGAUAGAGACCUCGAACCUCAUUCCACUAUACAAAAGCUGGAAUAUUCACUCAUCUUCCACUCAAAAUAUAACUCCCGGGAGAUGCACAAAGCUGACAAGACAUCAGCAAUAUGCCAUAACCUGCCUUGAACUCCACCUCCUGCUUAAAAGUUCUAACAUGUUGGGUUGGUCAGUUUACAAGUCUACUAAUCUUAUACGGUGGGAAAGAAUCAAAUACGAAAAAGCACCGACCAAAGAAAAAGCAACUGAAAAUUUCAGUAUUGAACAGAUUAUCAAACGCUAGAGAACUUCAUGCUAAACCAGAUCAUCAAAACAUUAAAUUGGGUAGUAUCUAAUCAAAAUACUUCAUAAGCAGCUACUACUUAUAUUUGUGAGCAGAAUUGCUUCCUUGCACAAUUGAACUACUAUUGCAACUCCUGCUAAAACUAGAAAUCACGUGGAAGCAUUCAUUCACCCUUGCUAUGAAAACUAUAGGGUACAAAAUUGAUGGAUUGGGGAAGAAGAAAGAUACCAGAUUACACAAACUAGUGAGAGAUGACAAAAUAGAAUUAAAACAAGUGAACUGUUACAGCAGAGGUCAGAGCUUUACCCUCUCUCAAUCCUCACAGGGAGAAAGGGAAACUAUACCAAAACCUGAACAAAGCCUUGAAAUCUCCUCCACAACCACCAAAAUUAGCAAAGAUUCAGUCAAUGAGGUCUGGAGUAGCAUUACUAUUCCUCCUGAAAAGGGCAAAAUAGCCCAAAACAGCACAAACAGCAGCCACCAAAUUGCCCUCCUUCAACAAAAUCUUGAACACAAUCACCACAAUCUCCCUAGUAAUCUUCCUGCCUUCGACGACCAAAGCCCUCCUGGGCUUCCCAAAAAAGGCCAAGAGAACCACAAUCGCAAUCCAAGUCACCAAGGUGGCGGGCACCAACACCGCCAGCGCUGCAAACAUGGAGAGCAGCCCGAAAACCGCGCCGAGCAGCACGGAGGCGUAGAGGGCCGGCCACCCAGAUGACGACGGCGAAGGCAGGCCUUGUAAUUUGUACCACGAGAGUAUGGAUUUGAGGAAAUUCCAAGAGCUAGUUAAGAGGAUCGCAUAGACCAGCACAAAAAUACAUACCCAGGUUCUCCUUUUGCUCAUGAUUCUGAGGAACACCAAGUAAUACGAGGGCGGCGGUGCUGCGUCUUGUUCUUCCUCGUUGUUGUCUGCCAUAUGUGGAACUUAACGAACACCUUGUUGUGUCUCUUAAUAUCAGUGGGCUGCUCUGGGACUUUGGGUUUUGGUCGGAUGAUGUUCUUGAAUGAGUCAAUCUGAGAAUAAAUUAUGGAAAACAAAGUAUAUAUAUCAUCUGCACCCAAGCAAAGAAAAAUGGGAAAGAUAAUUAUCAUCACUAUUCAUCACAAUAGGUGAAAAGCACGCACUUGAAUGUGUCGCGAGUAAGGCACUCUACUCCACGCGCGUCCCAAAUUCAGACAUUAUUUUCUCUACUAAUUUGGAAAAGGGAAAUGAUUAUAUAUAAAGCACGCCGUUCUUAAUUUUUAAAUCCCCGGAGAAUAUUGUGCGUCUGAAGAAAAGCAGCUUUUGCAUUUCCGCGGGCAACUCUAUAUCAAUGAGGUUGCCAUUGUUGAAAGUAAAAUGGAAUCAUAUACUUGGCACCGUCCAACAAGUUUCCCUCUUUCAUGAUACAUUUCUCUUCACCGAUCUAGAAGAGCAGGGACGGAGGAUAGUGGAACUGUCUCUGGGCUGUAGCCCAGACAGUUUUUCUCCAAUUUUCAAAUAGACUAGAUCAUAUUAUAUGAAUAAACAGGUAUAUAUACCAAUAGCCCAUAUAAAAAAUAUUUAAAAGAAGCCAAAACCUACUAUAUUAUACUAAAUGAGGAUCGGAAUAUGCCACCUCCACGGUUCCACCUUUUAUUUUUUCUAAAAAGAGGCAUUGGUUCAUAUUAAGUUUUCUUCUUCUUCUUUUUUCUUUUUCUUUUUUGUUUUGGGAAUGGUCCAUAUUAAGUUCUAGUCUCCAGCUGUUGCAAAACAUAAGGCUCGUCUUCAUUUUUUUCUUCGACUAUAACAUUUUUUGGUUUAUGUUAUUUUUUUAGUUUUUCAACAAAUAGUUUUUCCUUCAAUUUUAUUCAAUUCUCAAAACAUGUUAUGUGCUAUCAAUCGAUAUUGACAUUUUGAGGAUGUGAAUCUGAUUAUUUUCUGAAAUUCAAUAUCACUUCUACUCUUAUAGAUUGAUCUUCUUAAUAUCAGCUGUUAAGAAGCCAAAAAUAUUUUCUUAAUGCAAAUACAAGCAUUAUAAAUUUAUAAUUUUCAUACAUUUUAUUAAAGAAAAUUUAGCCCAGGUGAUUUUGGAAUCCUGGCUCCGUCCCUGUAGAAGAGUAAAAACUAAGUCGCAUGGAAUUAGAUACAAAUACGUACAAACGAAGUGUUUAUAAUUCAGAAGCGUUUUUUUUGUUCAUAUUUAAAAACGGGUACGUUUCGAAAUGUCUGAUCAAAAUAAUAUAUUAAUUUAUUUUUUAUUAAUAAAGCCAAAUGUUUGUCUGAAUGGUUAAAUUUGUUAAGUAUCUGCAUAUUUGUUUGUGUUGAUCAAAGUUGGUUUGGCGGUUUCCAAUGAGCUUUGCAGUUUCAGAUGAUUAUGUGCUUAUCAAAUGUUGAUUGCAUUUGCAUGUGUCUGUGUUAACUCUAGUAGAUCAUGUUUUGAAAAGAGAAUUUAACACUCAUCUUGUGUUAACAAACAAGUGAUCGAAGUAAUUAUUAAUGUUUUUCUACCCCAGUUUGCUUAGUUAUUUCUUUAAUAAUCUCAUUAUAUCUUACUAAUUUGUAUUUAGGUACAAAUGAGUAAAGAACGUCAAGAAUGAGUUAAGGAGCGUGAAAUAAGGCAAGGAUGCAGAGAGAUGAAGAAAAAUAGCUUUAGGAGAAGCUAUCGCGCCAUUAUCACCAUUUAUGGGCUAGGGAAAAUUUUGGUUGUACUUGAAGUUUGGCCAACUAAGAAUUUCUAUGCCUCAAAUUCUAAAAUAUAAACAUUGGUACAUCACAUCGCAAUUUCGACUAAACAUACAUAUACAACAUCAUUAAUGAUGUUAAAUUGUGUGACAUAUGUCAUAUUUUAAGGGGUAAAACAGUCUCUUUCUCCCCCUCACUUCACUUAUUUUUAAUUUUUUUGUUCAGACCCUCCUCACUUCACUUCACUUCACUUAGUUUACUUCUUUGAUUUUUCUUCUUACAACCCAAGCCCUCUACUGAUCAUCAACAUUGUCGUCCUAGACACCUUGAUUGCCAGAGCAAUGGAGGAGUAGAGGAUCUGAAUUAAGGCGAGAGGGAGCAAGACGUAGAAGUCCUCUCAGGUUUGAAUCAGAUCGAACUGGAAAAAGACCAGAUCGUUCAGUGGCGGAGGACGUUGAGGUCACCGUCGGUGAAAUAAGGAACGACUUGGGCCAAAUACUCGUCGUAGGACCUGAGGAGACACAGCCAAAAUGAGUGCAGAUUGUGGACUACCUGUAAUCGGUGGUGAGGAUGAAGGUAGGAUUAGAUUUAGGGCUUUUGUAGGAUUAAAAUUAGGAUUGGUUUUAUGGGUAUGAGUUUGGAAGGUCUUGUGCAGUGAUGAUCGCAAUCAUAGAAGAGGGAAUUACCAAAAUAAUCUUUGACAAUAAAUAAUGACAUAAAGUUUAACGGUGUUAUUGACGUCGGGUACAAAUUAAUACUGAGUCGGGUAUGUAUUGGAACUUGAUUUACAGAAAUUCAUAGUGGGUCUAAUUUCAUGUAUUUUUCUUGAAAUUUUCAGGCUACAAAUAUCUAAGUAGUGUAGUCUGGGCCAAGAGUUGAAGAUUUUAUAAUCCAUACAUGGGCCUAGACUCAUGAGUUGGAACCCUAACCUAAGAGAAGCUAUCUUUACCGUUCAAAGAGGGAGAGAAGGGAGUGACGGCCAACCAACAAUUAAGGAUAAUAAUCAUUCUCCAAGUCAAAUAAAGAAAGGAGAUUGUGUUAAAGACAAAUCCACGAUAAAUCAGAAUCUAAGCCAUCUAUGGAUGGAAUGCUACAAAUGUCUCAUGAGGCAGUGGUUUGCAUCCUGGUUAACGUCUUCCGAGGCAGCGACUUUAUCGUCCAGGCAGCGGGUCUGCUUCUUUUGGGAGAGAGAGAGAGAGAGAGAGAGAGAGAGAGAGAGAGAGAGAGAGAGAGAGAGAGAGAGAGAGANAGNNNNNNNNNNNNNNNNNNNNAAAACUACUACACCUAGACCUACACAUCUAGCAUCCCUAUCACAUGCCCCAUCAAAGAAAAGUGUAACCUCUUGAUUAUGCCUAUUAUUAUCCCUCUCACCUCCCUCUGCAUUAUGAUCAGUUGUAUUGGCGUGAGUCAUACCAUAUAAUAUUAGGAUUGUAAAUAUUCUGUUAUUAUUAGGAAUAUCCUGUCAUAGUUAGUUUCCUAAUAGGUUUUGAUAUCUCUUGUAUAUAUACUCCGUUCUUGGAGAAUGUUAAUAUAUCGAAACGUUCAUAUUCUCUUGAUACCGUUUGACUUGGUAUCAGAGCCGAGAUCCUCUCGGACUUGGUUUAUUAUUUCCGCUGCAAACUCAGGGUUCUUUUGAUUUGGUUAUUUGGUUGAAUUGGUUCCUUUUAGUCGAUUCUUGCUUGUUGGAGUUCUUGAUCAUUGAGGUUCUUUUGGUUUUUGGGAGUAUCUUUUGGGGAUCUUUUGUUGCUGAAGUUAUAAUAUUACUGGGGUUUCAUUCUUUCUCAUUGCUCGUCAAGUUAUUUUGUGAGAAGAAUUUGUUUACUUUAUUUUGGUGGUUGUGAUCAUCCAAGGACGUCAAAAGUUGAAGAAGACUUUGUUAAUUGCUUCAAGUGCUUGUGAUCAUUCAAGCACGUCAAGGAUCUGGGUCAAUUUUACUUGUUCUGAAAGUUUGUUAUUUGGUUGGUGAUCUGAAUAGUAAGAAAAAAAGGAGGAAGAAGAAGAAGAAGAAAAAAAAAUGGUGGAAUUGAAAGUAAUCGAAGGGGAGAAGGAAGCUUCUCAAAACUUGUCUUUCUAUGGCGCUGAAGGAGAAAAAAAUUUAAAGGGUAAUGUUUCCUUGACUAAGGAAACUCGAGGUAAAUUUGGUGUUGCUUUUCAUGUUGCUAACUUUACUGGUGGUGACACUUGGAUAAUUGAUUCUGGGGCGUCAGAUCAUAUGACCUAUGAUAAAUCCUUCUUUGUGUUCAUGUCAUCUUCGUCUAUAUCUCAUGUCUCAAAUGCAAAUGGUGCAUCUUUUCCAGUUUUAGGUAUUGGGUCUGUUCAGGUUACACCAUCCAUUAUAUUGCAUGAUGUACUUUAUGUACCCUCAUUAUCUCGCCAUCUUCUGUUUGUCUCCCAAUUGAGUUCACAAAAUAAGUGUUCUGUAACCUUUUACCCAAUGUAUACUGUGUUUCAGAUUUUGUGUUCCAGGGUGAUCAUUGGCAAGGGAGACUUGAGGGGGAGACUAUUUCACCUGGAUUGCAUGUACACUGAGUCGGCACAAGCACCGAAGCAACCUUUGGCCCUGACAUUGAAUUCUGAUCGAUUAAGUGAACUAUGGUUGUGGCAUAGACGGUUGGGCCACCCAUCUUUUGGAGUUAUUAAGAAGUCCAUGCCCUCAUUGUUUCUGGGAAUUAGUGAGUCUACAUUGCACUGCGAAACUUGUAGGGCUGGCAUUGGUAGGUAUACCAACUAUAUUUUGCAAUAACAUGUACCAACCAACUUAAAAUUGGUAGGCAAAAUCUUGUACCAAAACCAACCGUCAAAGUUGGUAUACCAACUUAGUUGGUACGGUUGGUACUCAGUUGGUACGGUUGGUAUUGGGCCUCUACCAAGUUUAAAUCGAGGCCCAAUAAACUGAAAGGCCCAGCUCAUUUAAAUCCUGUUUUUGGGCAUAUACCAAACUUCUAUCAAUUAUCAAACUAUUCAAAAUUCAAACACAUUCAAAGUUUCACACAUCAUAUAAUUUCAAAUGCAUAAACAAGCAAGAUCAAAAGUUCAAAAGUUCAAAUGCAACAAGCCAACAACGUCCAAAGUCUAAUUGCUAUGAGUAAGAGAAGAGAAGUUUUCAGAAAGUAAGAUAGAUCAUGCUAACCAAAAAGACAUCAUACAUAUAAACUUCUCUUCUCUUACUCAUAACAAUUAGAUAGAUCAUUGCAGAUUUGCAGUAUUGCAGAAAGUAAGUNNNNNNNNNNNNNNNNNNNNNNNNNNNNNNNNNNNNNNNNNNNNNNNNNNNNNNNNNNNNNNNNNNNNNNNNNNNNNNNNNNNNNNNNNNNNNNNNNNNNNNNNNNNNNNNNNNNNNNNNNNNNNNNNNNNNNNNNNNNNNNNNNNNNNNNNNNNNNNNNNNNNNNNNNNNNNNNNNNNNNNNNNNNNNNNNNNNNNNNNNNNNNNNNNNNNNNNNNNNNNNNNNNNNNNNNNNNNNNNNNNNNNNNNNNNNNNNNNNNNNNNNUCUAUCUCCUCAUUCAACCCUACCCUCUUCUUCUUCUCUCUCAUUCUCUCUAACUUGAACAGAAAUCAACAUUGCUACCCAAUUCACUCCUACUCUCUAACUAUCAAAAGGUCCAUUCUUUCUUACAAGCUAUCGGCAUUUCAUAAUCUACCUUCUAUUCAUCCAACAGAUGAAAUCAUAACUCUAAAGCCAAUGCAGAAUAAUCAAAACAAGCACAUAAGUGAAACACAACAAAUCAUAUCUCAAAGCCAAAUCACCAUCAAAAUGUUCACAGAGCAUAUAACACAAUCAACACAUAGAUUGAUAGAUAACAAUCAUAACACAUAGAUUGAUCAUUGAUAGAUACACAUAGAUAAUAGAUUGAUAGAUACAUACGGAGAUUCGAGGCUUGGUGCUGCGAAGUCGACGGCGAGUUGAGGCGCUGGCCUUCGUCGGAGAGUCUAGGCACUGCCCAACGCUGCCCUUUGUCGGAGAGUCGAGGCGCUGCCCAGCGCUGCCCUUCGUCAGAGAUUCGAGGAGCUGCCCAGCGCUGCCCUUCGUCGGAGAGUCAAGGCGCUGCCCUUAGCGCUGCCGAGUCGAUGUGGCCGAGGUGCUGCUGAGUUGACGACAAGAGAGGCGAGGUGGCUAGAAGGUGAGUCGAGGUGGCGGAGCCGUGGGGUGUUGCGAAGCAAAGAGAUGAGGCGAGAGGGGCGAGCGUGAGAGGUGACUCAGGUGAGUUACUGAGAAUAGAUCCACAGUCCACAGAGAUCAACGGCUUAGAUUAAUAAGUUUAAUUAUUAUUUUUUUUAAUAUAACUCGGUUGGUACAUGGUAUACUGUAUUUUGGGAAAAUCUGUACCAUGUACCAACCGACUUCUAAAACUUGGUACGGUAGUACUGUACCGACAACUCAGUUACCAACUACUUGGCAUACCAAUUUGUUUGGUACGGUUGGUACAUGGUUGGUUGGUAUCGUCAGGGUCCAAAUUGCCACCCCUAGAAACUUGUGCUUUGGCUAAAAGUCAUAGGUCUAGUUAUCCUUUGGCUUUUCAUUCGAGUACUAUGCCUUUCGAAUUAAUUCAUUCGGAUUUAUGGGGUCCUUCCAAAAAUUCCACUCUUUCUGGAAUGCGUUACUUUGUGUUAUUCAUUGACGAUUUUACUCGUUUGUCUUGGGUGGUGUUGCUUAAGUCCAAAGAUGCUGUUUUUUUCUGUCUUCACUGUCACAUCCCGACCCUUAUAUUUUUACCUUAUUUACUAGCGUGAUGAUAAUAAGAAUUUUACCGUCUCGAUCAUUGAGUAAAUAGUUUAAUUGGUCCCUAGAGGGGUUUCGGGGACGAUUAUGUGCGGAGGAUUAUUCGUAUGAGGAAAAUACGACGACGGUAAAAAUAGUAAAUUUUAGCUAGUAAAAGGUAAUUUUUUUAUUCGGGUAUUAUUUUUCGGGGUGUUGAAUUUUGGAAUUUUGGGUUAAAAGGGGUGUUGGGUCGGCUGGGCCGAGCCCAACCCAUUUCUUCUUCUUUCUCUUCUCCCUCUCUCCCGAUUCUCUCUCCUCCCACCCGAUUUUCUNNNNNNNNNNNNNNNNNNNNNNNNNNNNNNNNNNNNNNNNNNNNNNNNNNNNNNNNNNNNNNNNNNNNNNNNNNNNNNNNNNNNNNNNNNNNNNNNNNNNNNNNNNNNNNNNNNNNNNNNNNNNNNNNNNNNNNNNNNNNNNNNNNNNNNNNNNNNNNNNNNNNNNNNNNNNNNNNNNNNNNNNNNNNNNNNNNNNNNNNNNNNNNNNNNNNNNNNNNNNNNNNNNNNNNNNNNNNNNNNNNNNNNNNNNNNNNNNNNNNNNNNNNNNNNNNNNNNNNNNNNNNNNNNNNNNNNNNNNNNNNNNNNNNNNNNNNNNNNNNNNNNNNNNNNNNNNNNNNNNNNNNNNNNNNNNNNNNNNNNNNNNNNNNNNNNNNNNNNNNNNNNNNNNNNNNNNNNNNNNNNNNNNNNNNNNNNNNNNNNNNNNNNNNNNNNNNNNNNNNNNNNNNNNNNNNNNNNNNNNNNNNNNNNNNNNNNNNNNNNNNNNNNNNNNNNNNNNNNNNNNNNUUUAGUAGCUCUGAAUACUUUAGAAUUUUGUAUAUUAUGUGGUAUUCAGAAGCGUUAAAUUAAGAGUGUAAUAUGAAAUUUUCGAGUUAGGGUUGUCCAUCUGCAAGGGAGAUUUUCUUAAUCUUUUCAGUAAAUUUUCCUUGGAGGUGGUCCCCGCACGACUUACUCUGGGUUUCAGGGUGAAAUUCGGGAUGGGUCGUGUCAUUCACAGCCUUCCAUAAUCUUAUUCGUACUCAGUAUAAUGCAUGUGUUAAAAUAUUUCGUUCAGAUAAUGGAGGUGAGUUUGUCCAUCGUUCUUUCAAUGAGUAUUUCCAGAACCAUGGCAUCAUAGAUCAAACUUCGUGUCCACAAACACUUGAACAAAAUGGGGUGUCAGAACGGAAAAAUCGUCAUCUCUUGGACAUGGCACGGUCUCUCCUCCUAAGUGCUAACAUGCCUAAGUACCUUUGGGGAGGAGCCGUGUUAUGUGCGUCUCAUCUAAUUAAUCGUCUCCCGUCAGCCCCUCUUCAAGGUCGUAUUCCUUUUCAUGUCUUGUCUCAAUAUGUCCCUAUUCCGUCAUCAAAUACUCUUCUUGCUCGUGUCUUUGGUUGUGUUGCUUAUGUUCAUUUGUAUAAGAAUUAAAGGUCAAAAUUGGAUGCUAGAGGCCUUAAGUGUGUGUUUGUGAGAUAUGGUUCUCAUCAGAAAGGCUACAAGUGUUAUCAUCCACCAUCCCAAAGAUUUUAUGUCACCAUGGAUGUUACCUUCAAUGAAGAUGCAUGUUAUUUUUUGUCUCCUGUAACUCCUCGUAAGGGGGAGAAGUCAUGUUUUUAUGAAGAUUUGUUUAGUGAGCUAAUUGGGAGUCAAAGUGUUGAAGAGUCCAUAAAAGGAAAAAAAAAAGAAAGAUGGAGUGAACCAGUUUUACAAGAAAGUAAAAAAGGAGGCAGUAAGCAAGAUUUGCAUGACUUGUCGUCGUCCUCUGUUGACGUCGGUCACGCUGCUAAUUCGCUGACUGACCGACUUGCCAACUAGCUCGACUGACUUGCCAAUCCACUGCCCAACGUGCUCGGCGACCCACCUCCCAGCGAUCUCGCCGGCAGACCAGCCAAGCUCACCAACUGACCGAUCGGUCACUACAGAGUCAUCAAACUUCCAGGGACAUCCAAAUUCGCUGAUCGUAGCAGAGUUUCCUAGCCAGGCAGUUUGGAGCGCAGCACGACCCAGUUUGUCAUAUUCCGGCGAACCGAAUCGGUUUACUGAAAGCAGUAGCAUGGCCGACGCCGGCUCCGGCGUUCUGGGCAGUAAGGAGACUGAGUCUCCAAGUGAUAGCUUGACCGAGAAUUUGAUCAGUACACCCAUUGAUGUUUUGGGGGGUAGUAAUCCUACAGACUCGGUUUCACAUGCAACCAGUCAAUCCGUGUUAGUUGACAAUCAAGCUCAAUCUAGUUCGUCGGCAAGGGAGCAAAUUACUGAUGGAAAUCCUCAUGUGAACAGUACCCAUGUCUCUCCCUCUCUUGCACAGGUCUCUCAAGCUCAUGAAUCACCCGAGGUAUUUUCUAAUUCUUCUUCUGUGUCUACUAAUGUGCCUACCAAACAAUUGCCUAACCGUGUCACUCGUGGUCAGUCUCCAAAAUAUUAUGAACCUACUCUAAGUGCAAAAGCUCGGUACCCUAUUGCUAAUUAUGUGUCAACCCAUAGGCUGUCUAAACCAUAUGUUGCGUUUGUGAAUCAAUUAUCUAGUGUGUCUCUCCCUAGUAAAGUGCAGGAUGUAAUGCGGGAAGAUGGAUGCAGGAAAUGAAAGCUGAGAUGGAUGCUCUUGAGAAGAAUUGUACGUGGGAGUUAGUGCCAUUACCACCCGGGAAGAGCUGGUUAGUUGUCGGUGGGUGUAUACUGUGAAACAUAAUUCUGAUGGUUCGGUGGACAGGUACAAGGCGAGGUUAGUAGCGAAAGGCUACACUCAGAAGUAUGGGGUGGUUUAUGAUGAGACAUUUGCACCAGUGGCCAAAAUUAACACAAUUUGAGUACUUCUUUCGUUAGCCGCUAACCUUGAUUGGCCUUUGCAGCAAUUUGAUGUUAAGAAUGCAUUCUUGCAUGGUGAUCUGCAUGAAGAAGUUUAUAUGGAUUUGCCUCCUGGAUAUCGUACUUCUACUAGAGAGCAGGUGGUGUGCAAGUUGAAGAAGUCUCUUUACGGUUUGAAACAGUCUCUUAGAGCAUGGUUUAGCCGGUUCACCAAGUUCAUGAAGGAAAUUGGAUACCGGCAGAGCAAUUUAGAUCACACCUUGUUUCUUAAACAUAGGUGUGGUAACAAGGUGUGGUAAAGUGACUGCCUUAAUUAUUUAUGUUGAUGACAUGAUUGUGACAGGUGAUGACAUUGAGGAGAUUCAAAGGUUACAAGGUCAGUUAUCUUCUGAAUUUGAGAUGAAAGAUUUGGGUAAUUUGAAAUAUUUCUUAGGAAUAAUUGAAGUUGCUCGUGGGAAAGAUUAUAUUGUCUUCAGUCAAAGGAAGUAUGUAUUGGAUUUGCUGGCAUAAACAGGUAUGCUUGAUUGUAAACUUGUUGAUACUCCUAUUGAGCAGAAUCAUCGGUUAGCAGAGUAUUUGGAUCAAGUGCCUACAAAUAAAGCGAGAUACCAGAAGUUAGUUGGCCGGUUGAUUUAUUUGUCUCACAGCAGAGCUUAUGCAGUUAGUGUGGUGAGUUAGUUUAUGCAUAAUCCUAGUGAGGCUCAUAUGGAAGCUGUAUUUCGUAUUUUGAAGUAUUUGAGGUCUGCUCCAGGGAAGGGAUUAAUCUUUUCAAAACACAGGCACUUGGAUGUUUCUGGGUACACAGACGCAGACUGGGCAUGUAAUAUUACAGAUCGCAGGUCUACUUCGGGCUACUUCACUUUCGUUGGUGGUAAUUUGGUUACUUGGAAAAGUAAGAAGCAAAAUGUGGUAGCUCGUUAUAGUGCUGAAGCAGAAUAUAGAGGAAUGGCUCGAGGACUUUAUGAGAUGUUGUGGUUGAGACACUUGUUGAAAGAUUUGGAAUUUCGGCAGAAGAAGACUAUGCCACUUUAUUGUGAUAAUAAGACUGCUAUUGAAAUUGCUCACAAUCCUGUUCAACAUGAUCGCACAAAGCACGUGGAGGUAGAUCGACAUUUCAUUAAAGAGAAGUUGGAUGGUCAGAUUAUUUUCUUUCCUUUUGUCCCUACGGAGGAACAAUUGGCUGCUAUUCUUACGAAAGCUCUCUCAAGUAAAGCUUUUCAUGACUCUCUUGACAAGUUAGGCAUUGGUGAUUUGUAUGCGCCAACUUGAGGGGGAGUGUUGGCCUGAGUCAUACCAUCUAAUAUUAGGAUUGUGAAUAUUCUGUUAGUAUUAGGAAUGUUAGUAUUAGGAAUAUCCUGUCAUAGUUAGUUUCCUAAUAGGUUUUGAUAUCUCUUGUAUAUAUACUCCGUUCUUGGAGAAUGUUAAUAUAUCGAAACAUUCAUAUUCUCUUGAUACCGUUUGACUGUUGUCAUACAAGCUAGACUUCCAUCAAAGGUUACCUUUUAUACACGCGGUGCAAGUACAACGACUUCACUAUGCCAAGCAAUACAUCGCUCAUAAAGGAUGUGAGGCCCCAGCCUUUUUUUUCCAUGAAUUUUCUCAUUCCGAUCUUUCCACUCUCACAUCAAGGCAAACAACUCGAUCUGUCUGUUGCUUCCUUCUUUGGCUACUAACCCCAACAAAUCAAAAAAACAUUGCACUCUUCAUGUCUUAUGAAAGCCAUACAACUAGCUGAGUUUCCAGAUUUUUCUUACCACUGGGCACAUCCAUAGACUAUGCUCUACAGUCUCCUCUGAAUAACCACAUCUAUUACGACAUUGAUGAGGAGUGAUCUUGAGUUUAAACUAACGCUCAGCACACGACAAGAAAUCUUUUCCUUUAGUUUUGUUGGAAUGGUCAAUAAAAAUCUUUUUCAGUUGGAGUGGGCACUGACUCUCUUUGUUUUUGUUCAAAAAGUUAUUAGCCAAAAAAAAAAAAUUUGGCCUCUAGAAUUUGAUGCAUGAGGUUGUGACAUCUUAGGCCUCACCUCAAGUCGGGGUCUGUGUGAAGAUAAUAGAGCGCCCUAUCUUCUUCUAGUUCAAUGAGCAAGUUUCUCCUCUCCUAAGUGGUGCCAAAAAUGUGGGUCAUUUAGCGUCUCUAACAGUUGCUAGACAAAGCUUGUAUGGAUCAUUUCCUCAAAUUUCUUAUCAGUCUCAAGAAAUCUCGAGUUGAAUGUGCUUCAAAACUUGCGAUCAACUUCAUUUUUUUUAAAGAAAAUAUUUCAUUAAUAAAACUCAGGCCAAAAUGGCAACACAACACUAUUACAUUAGACAUAUUGCUCACUUAUUUGUGAGCUUAGCAGAUGAUUAAAUUAGAUAAAAAAUAAGAUACUAGGGAAAACAUAAAAAUGAAGCCAAGGUGCUCAAUUGCGGUACGCCAAGCUUUAUGUAACCCUCUAGUUGCAGCUAGCCCGCACAGUCUGCGAGCUCAAAUACAGAGAUCUAACUUAAACCAUUUUCCAUUUAUAAUCAGGCCCAACAGCCAAACUCCAAAUCAUACCUUGUUUAAGCUUGAGUUCAGAUACAUGCAAAAACAAACAAACCCAUUUCCAAACCCUACCUAAUUCAUGUUGCCCACCUUUGCCUGCAUCGCCAUCCUUGACGGCGACCAAAACUGGAUCAGCCACCAACACUUUUGACUAGUCUGCCGGAGUCAUCAUCAGUCUUUGUCUAGUGGGUGCACAAUGUGUUCCUCUUCCGGUAGAUACCAAAUUGUUUGUUGUCUUCUUUAGAAAUACCAAUGGCCAUAAAGCCACUGUUUUGCAGCUAUUCUCGAAUUCGACCACGGUCUGAAACCUUGCCUCCGCUAGCACUACCCAACCUUCUGUCAACUCAAUUGCUGUAGCCAAACGCCACCACAACUGAGGUUCUUGAGUCCUCUUGAGUGAGAUCCGAUCAGAAUUGGUAUGGAGGACUUUUGGAUGAAUCGUCCCUGGAAGACAUUCACCAUUGAUUGUUGAAGUAAGCCAUCGAGAGGUAAAGGACAAGCCACUGCUUAGUUGUGACGACGCGCGUCCUUGAUGAAAAUCUAGGCCGCGACUGCUGGCUGGGAUUAGUGAAGGGUUGAAACCCUAGAGCGAGAAAACGGUGGAGCAUUUUUUGGUUUUUCUUUUUUCGAUUACAAAAGAAACAAACAAAAGCUAAAGAGCAAAACCUCUCUGUAGUCCCUUCCCAGCUGAUCCAAAUGGAACGCUGGGGACACUGACAAGGGAAGAAAGGCAGUGAAACCAGACUAAAGGAGAAGAGGAAUGACCAAGAAAAGCUAAGCGAUAUGCUACAAAAUUCACAUUCCAAUGGACAUGCCGAAAUAUGCAACACUGGAACAAAGAUGCUAGCCAACCAAUAGCUUGAACAAUAGACUUUAUUGAUACAUGACGAGAUUUUGGCAUAUUUCAACAAAGAAUUCUGAAAAGGAAUAAACGUCGUCACAUUAAGAAGAAUGAUUUGAAUAUCGAUUAUUGGUAUUCAAAUAGGCUUCUUAAUGAUAAAAUCAUAAAUUACUCUUUUGGAUAUAUCGGGAUUCUCGAGCAAAAUCUUAGUUGAGAUUCCAAAUACAUAUUUGGAAUAAUAUUCUUUAGUAUCUAGGAUUUCAUAUCUUAUUUUUAUUUGGUUUCCUAGUUGUAGUCUAUUCUAGAUUAUGUUUUCUGAUUGUAGCAAGCUUAUGUUAUGUGCUCUAUAUAAAGCACCUCCUAGAUUGUAAUCGUAGGUGAUUGAUAUUAAUAAACUUAGAGUUUUCUUAUAUUUAUUGGUGGAUUCCAAAACAUCUUGUGGAUUCGAGAAACCCUAGUUUUGGGGAUUCAAGGCUGCGUGUUGGUGGAUUCCAACGUAUUUGCUAGUGGAUUCUAGCUUAUCUCAUAUGGCUUCUGAUGCUUGUCGGAGCUUCUUACUAUCGUGAUUACGCUUCCGUAUCAUUUAUACUCCAAGGGAUGGAAGCUUUACCAACAAGACAAUCAAUGAGGAUUUUGGAGUCACCUUCAACAAAACCUUUGGAAUCAAUUGCAAAUAGGCUGUAUGAAGACCUUCACGUAAAGCAGUAGCUUCAGCUAUCAGGACACUAGUAUUGCCAAAAUGAUCUCACAAAACAAAUCCAAUAGAAGCUUGAUGGUGAACUAUUGAAGCAUCAAAAUUCACUUUUAUAAACUCAGGAUCUGGAGGAUGCCAUUUGAUAUUAGAAUGCAUAAGAGUACUAGAGGGUGUUCGGCGAGGGUUAUGAUUAACAAAUGUAUAAUUAUUGCCAAAAGUAGUAGUAUGAUAGUAACAUUGGGUUUGCAUUAGCUACAACAUUCUGAAAAAUAAGUCGGUUGCAGACAUUCCAGAUAGACCAAGUAACCAUAAUAGCAUGUUGAAGCAUACUUUUAUCAACAAGCUGAAUUAAGGACUUCAACCAAUCCAAGAACGAUUGUGACCAAUUUAAAGGCAAACAAAAAGAAGAAUAGGACCAUACCGGUUGAGCAAAAUGACAAUGCAUAAAAAGAUGAUCAACUAUCUCAGAUUGAUUAGUACAAAAGGAGCAAGCAUUAGGGAUAUUAGGGUUAUAAACCGAUAAAGUAUCUAGUUUUAAGUCGAUUACGAAAUAAAAGCCACACAAAAAUUUUAACUUUGGGAGGUAUUUUUAAUUGCCAUAAUUUGGCUAAAAAGUCUGCAUUCAAAUGUUUGGGCUUAUUAUUUAAUUGUAUCCAAGAAGCAGAACUAAUAGAAAACAAACUUGAACUUCAAGGUCCCCAAAUAAAUUGAUCUGGACGAGGAUAUAAAGGAAGACCAAGUGUUAGAAUCUUAACAACAAUAUCAUGAGACAACGCAUUUUCUAAUGCUUGAACAUUCCAUAUAGAAUUUAGUAAUAAAAAGGUUAACAAUAUUAUUCCAGUCAAUUAAAUGUCUCUGAUCUUUAAGAAUAAUAAUGUAUAAAGGAAAGGGAAGUACCCAAUUAUACUGCUAGAAGAGGAUUGUUUGACCGUCACAAACAAUCCAGCGAAUGCCUUCAAGUAAGAUAUCACGAGAGUCUAAAAUGCAUUUCCAAGCAAUAGAAUGAGAAGUGUUUUUGCGAGCAACAAGAAAAGAAUCAUUUUAAAGAUAUUUUUUGGUAACAAGUUGAACCCACCAAUUAUCUGGUUGGAUUAAAAUCUUCCAUCCCAAUUUAGCAAUAGCAUCUCUAUUUUUCUUUUUUUUGAUUAAAUAGAGAACUAUAUUAAUAAGAGCAACUAGCCCAGAUUAAUACAAACAGGCCCGCAAGGGAAGCCCACGAAGGGGUACAAACAUAAUGUAAAACAAAUAGUCCAAACAAGAUGACGUGCUCGUUACCGGGCGUGCGACAAUUAAGAACCCUUUUUGACAAUCGUAGUAUAAGACAAAUAAAGUUCGAUCAAUCCGGGGACUAAGGGUGCUCAUGUAACAAUGGUCAUGAGAAAAGUCAGUGGGUAUCAAUACAAAUAUUUACAAGUAUUUAUUUACAAAUAUACAUAUGGUACAAUAGAUAAAAGGGGGGUUUUGAAGGUUUGUUCUAUGUUCCUACUAAAACAGAAAAUAAAAGCUAAACUAAUAUAUACAAGUGAUCGACAACUUCACACAAAACAAGAAACGAAAACACUCAAGAACAUGUAACAAAUUAUGCAAGACAUUCGGUACAGCAGUUUCUACACAUCCUAGACUUUAUUUCAAUUCCGACUCUAAUUUAGAGCCCUUCGCGGUUACUCCAAUCGUUAAGACUUCACAAGUAUUUAGAAUCAACUUCCCGUGUAAUCCUAAAUUGUAUGUUAACUCAUUUAAAGACACUUCGCGUAGAAAUUAAACAAGAGAACACAUAAGCAUAGUAAGCCGAAUCAGAAACAUGCACAAGGUAUGGCGUCACUCAUCCUAUUAACAUGCAAGUUUUCAGAAUUAUAAUUAACCACUUUUGAGCAACAAAGACCUAGACAACUUCGCGUAUGACUAAAUCAUAUAUCACUUUGGUAGAUGAAAUCACAACCCACAUAUCAACCAUGGCCUUAGGCUGUAUGCAACCAUUGAUUUUGCCUACUCAAUUCAGAAAACUAAUCGAAUACAAUCAAGAACAUAUUGAAACAUGCUGCCCUAAAUCUUGCACAGAAAAUAUCACAUGAACAAGUUUGUAACAAUCGUCAUACAUAAGUUAUAAAUAUCAGAAAAUCUAAACAUGUUACAAAACCAAAUCGGCAACCAUAAAAACAAACGAUCUUCAUAGACAAAGUGUCGUAAAAUUAUAGAAACAUAAACAGCCAUGAGAAGAAUGGAUAGCACUUUGUAGAAACCUUGAAUGGUUGCUGCAAAGGCGGUGGAAUUGGUGAUGGAAUUAUACACAACAAAAAGGGAGAUGGUGGUGGUUCGGCUAAUCUAGUUUCUGUAUAGGGUUUAUGGUGAGGAAUUGGUAGAGUUCCGGCUUGUGUUUGUAUGGAAGAAGUGAUGCCCAUUUAUGAAGCAAAGCAGCCUUUAUAUAGUGUCCAUAAAUUGCUCUUGGCCCUUAAUUCAAUCUUGAUCCAACGGUCCUCCUCGAUUGCACAAAGUCGGAUAUUUAUCUCCACUGAUAUUUUCCUUAUCUUCAAAGAUAUUUAUCUUAUCUCUAAAGAUAUUUCUAGACAUGUGCAAUAAUACUUUGAAUGUAGCUUGAAUCAUGUCCGGAUACAUUGCUUAGCCUCCAAGAGUCUUCAUAGUAAGGAUUACUUGUUCAAAUUGAACUUCUCUUUUUAGCUCCACAAGUUUGACUUUUCUCCUCUUUUUUAGAGUUGGAAUCCAAAUUUGCUUCUUCUUCCCUCCUUGGACUUGGGCCUCUUUUGGGCUUUCUACAUUUUUCUCUUAAAUCCACGAUUUAGCUGUCUUUUCUCGAUUUAUGCUCUUAUUGUCUCUACAAACACAAAACAUGUCAGAAAUGAUGUUAAUAAAGAAAUAACUUAGCCAAAUAAGGUAAGAAAACAUAUUAAGAACAUGGCAUAUUAUGCUUCUAUCACAAGAAGACCAACAAACAUAAACCUAAACUAGGGCCCAACCCUAAUAACACAAAGAUAUAACCAUUAAUCAACACUGUUGGAAAAGCAGCCGCCUGUCGGGGGGAUUUGCAGUGGAUCCAUCGCCGUCCUUUUUCCUUUGCUUGCUGCCAUGAAGUUGCGGACCUUCGCACCGGCACCCAUGGUGGAAUCUCGAGGGAUGUCCCCACUCAUUUGUCUUUGAGAAAGACAAGGUCGUUCUAGCGUCCAAAACACCGUUCAGAGCCGGUUCCGGGGACGUUUUCCUAGCGGCAACGGAGGGGUGGAGCUUACUACAAUUAGCAGAGGAGAGAGGAAGGUUUUGGAGAUUGAGAUGAGAUGGGUUGAAGAGAAGAGAUGGGAGGAAGCCUGAAAUGGGGACUUUGGCAGCCAUGGAUGGAGAUAUUUUGUGCACGGGGAGGGAAACAAACCGUAGAAACAUACCGCAAAAACAAAAUGUGGGCACUGGAACUAGAAGCCCGAACAAGGUCACACUCCCCCGACCCUCAAGCCGAAGAUCUAGAUUCGGAAGGACCUAGACCAGAGCAGGAGAGAAGGGAGAGUACAGGGAUCAAAUAUACUUUCUCUCUCUAGUUUUUAGAGAGAAGACAGAGCACGAGAGGAAAAAGGCACCCAGCAAUAGCUGCUCUAUUAAAUAUAUUAGUUGGCCUAAUACCAAACCCUCCAUGGGUUUUGGGAAGAGCUGCUUGAUUCCAAGCCACUUUAGCAGGGGAAUUGCCCCAAAAGAAAUGUUUGCAUUCUUUAUCAAAAUGAUCAAAGUACUUGGGCAUUUAAAACAAGAAAGAAUGUGAUUAGGCAUACUUGAAAUAUUUGAUUUAAUGAGAGUAAGUUUUCUACCUCUAGAAAGGGUACGAGCUUUCCAACUAGAAAAUGUGUUUUGGAUUUUGCUAACUACAAAUGAAAAAUUAACAAGAUCCCUCCAAUCUCUUGGCUCUUUGAACAUAUGUAUAGAUUAAACUUCAUUAAUCGAGAUAAAUAACGUCAUUUUUAUCCUAUAUUUAAUUAUGCUACUGCAUAAAUUGUAGCCAUAUCUGAGUCGAGAGUUAUCUUAAGGAGGCUAUCGAUUUUAUUUGGGCCGCACUAAUGACAUGAUAAUUUCAAUUUCUUGAAAAUAUCACAAUAUUAUCUUGGUAUGUUAA
Molecule: long non-coding RNA, 417046 nt
Filed under: Fragaria vesca (wild strawberry)
Lineage: Eukaryota; Viridiplantae; Streptophyta; Magnoliopsida; Rosales; Rosaceae
Description: long non-coding RNA (FVES_LNC002971)
Rfam family: Small nucleolar RNA J33 (bases 351246-351325)
Source: RNAcentral